This 481214-nucleotide long non-coding RNA is filed under the name Lactuca sativa (garden lettuce). RNAcentral describes it as "long non-coding RNA (LSAT_LNC008724)". The record is from RNAcentral. Lineage: Eukaryota; Viridiplantae; Streptophyta; Magnoliopsida; Asterales; Asteraceae.
GUAGCCGAUGAAAAUACAUCGCUCACUUCGAGGUUCGAAUUUGUCGUGAGUAUCUCGUCUUACGAAAGCCUCGCAACCCCAAACCUUGAUAUGUGCCAACGAGGGAGCUUUCCCUGUCCACAUCUCGUGAGGUGUUUUGGCAACCUUCUUAGUAGGGACUCGGUUAAGGAUAUGGGCGGCAGUCUCUAAGGCAUACCCCCAAAAAGAGAUUGAUAGUGAAGCACGACUCAUCAUAGAGCGAACCAUAUCCAAUAAGGUUCGAUUACGCCUUUCUGCCACACCAUUCAAUUGUGGUGUCCUAGGUGGCGUCAAUUGCGAAACUAUUCCACACUCCUUGAGAUAUUCAUGGAAUUCAAGACUUAAGUACUCUCCUCCUCGAUCGGAUCGAAGCAUCUUGAUCUUCCUGCCCAAUUGAUUCUCCACUUCAUCAUCUUUCCCUUUCCUUGACCAAUUGCCAAGACAGGAGCAGCGGGUGGAUUGGGAGUUGGUGCAACAGACUUGUCUUUGAAGUUGCUCUCAGCGACCCUCAAGAGACCUUGGAGUUUGCUUAGUGUGACCUCCUCUUUGUUCAUGUGGUAGGUCAUACUAAAUUGGUUAUAGCUUGGAGGCAAAGAGUGAAGCACCAUGUCGAUUGCCCAGUCUUCCCCAAAGUCAACAUUCAACUUGCGAAGACGAUCGACAUACCUUUGCAUCUUUUGCAGGUGCACGGUAAGAGACUCUCCAUGACCCAUCUUAGCGGAAAUCAUGUUAGUGAAAAUCUCAUAACGCUCUUGUCUCGCGUUUUGGUGGUAUCUCUCUAAUAAGUCUUGGUGCAUCUCGUAUGGAUACAUGUCCUCAUAGGACUUUUGGAAUUCGGAGUUCAUUGUGGCUAUCAUGAUGCAGUGAACCUUCGUUGCAUCACGUUCAUGAGUCUCAAAAGCACUCAUUUCAGCCGGAGUAGCGAUUUCUGGAUUGAUCUUCUCGAGCUUUUCAUCAAGGACAUACUCCUUGUCCUCGUAGCGAGCAAUUGUGCGAAUGUAUCUUAUCCAUUCGCUAAAGUUCGUUCCAUCGAAAGUAACCUUUUGGCAAAGGCUCAUCAAUGAGAAGGAACUAUCGGCAGCGUUGUUUGAUUUCGACAUCUACAAAGGAAAAGGAGAAAGAUAGAUUAGAAUAUGAAUCCCUAAUUAUCACCCAAUAAGAAAAAUUAGGGCUAGGAUCCAACAACAAUAUUUACAUCUUAGAAAAGGGAUGCCGUAAUCUAAAUGCAAAUAGUUUGAUGGUAAGUGAAUGACGAUUCACUAAUUCACCAUCAUGAAAAACCUAACUCUAAGUUCUAAAUGUAUUGAGAAUUCCUAGGUUCGGAUGAGAUUCAUUGAAACUUUUCAAUGGCAUGUUUAAAUCUCGAUAUGCCCCUCUCAUUUGUGACUGGGAUACCGAGGAUCACAAAGUGGGUGUGAAUUACCAUGCAAAUUCACACGACGCCUUCAUUGUAACGAUCACCUAUUCGAUGUGCCGGUAAACCACACACGCUCCAUCGAACUAUGAUAAACAAUGAAUCACCCUUUGCCACCUUCGCUUAGAACCAAUUAGUGUGCCGGUAAACCACACACGCUCCACUAACUUCUUNGAGCGUCGCCUGUCACCAAGCAAGGUGCAAAGUGUAAAUUCAUGGGAUUGCAUCAAUUCACUUUUCCUAAAGUUACUAAGAUUGGGAAAAUUUGAAAAUAUUUAGUUACUUGUAUUUCCUAUUAUACUUUUAAUGAAAGGAUGAGGUUGUCCUAUCCUAUCCGUUCGGCUAACGACCCUCCACCGAUCAAGCAAGCGGUGGGUGUGAGUGUACACCCAUUAAGCGCCAUUUUAUAGGCCGCAACCUUAUACCCACCUUAUAGAUCGGCUUCGUGAAUGAGGCCUACUAGCGGUAAGACUAGCAUUUAGUUAUACAUAUAUAUAGAUAUUAAUCUUGUAAUAUUAUAUUAGUAUAAGGUUGAAUUUUAAACUUGUAUAACUCUAGGGUUUGAAAUUUAAAUUUAUCUAAAUUAAACUUUUAAUCAUAAAACACAAAUUUCAAAACUUGAGGGCAAGUUUUAAACUAUUCAAAACAUAGAGGAUCAAAUAACAAAUAAUUCUUAUUAACAAUUAAACACAUAAUUAUCCAUAUUUGAUUUAUUUGAGAUUUCUUGAAAAACAAUUUACCAAUUAAAAUAAUAAUUAAUAAUUAUCAUAUAAGUAAAUUAAAUAUUUGAUUAAUUGAUAAAUAUCAUUAACUAGAUCAAAAAUAUGGUCAUAUUUAUCACAAAAUCGGAUUUGGGAUGAUCUAAUAUGAUAAUGGUAACUUCCCAUAAGAUAAUUACAAAGAAAUCCCGAAAUUGGCUCUUCCUGACGCUCGGACUCGCCUAGUACCCAUUCUGGACUCGCCGAGUCUACAGUGGGACUCGCCGAGUCCAUGACUCAGAAACACAAAAUUCGAAUUUUGCAGUUAAGAUUCAAACAAACAAGCAACAAUUUAAAAGAAACCAAGCUAGGCUCUGAUAUCACUGAUGGGUUUUGGCCAUAUGAACAUUCCUAUGUGCACAUGCAAACCCUAAUGCUUGGAUCUAUGGCUUCUAAUUAAACAUGCUUGUAUCCAAGACUUCUAAUGGCUAAUUAGGUAUAAAACAAUACAAAAUCAGAUCUACAAUCAUACCUUUGAUUCUCUUGUUUGUUCUUAUUGUCUUGGAGCUCCAGAGUCACAAUUGUCACUCCUCUAGUGGCUUACAAACACCAACUAGCAAGAUGAUGAUUUGAGAGAGAGGAAGGAGCAAGAAAUCGGCCAGAGUAUCUUUACUUAUGAAGGGGUCCCUAUUUCUAAUGCCAAGAGGGUCUAUUUAUACUUACAGGGCUCCUAGGGUUUCACCUUUAAACCCUAAUUGGAUAACUUAGACUCCAAGUAAUCCAUAUCCUUUCCUUAGAUAACCCUUUGGACGAUUUUAGGCUUAUCCUAGCCCUAGAAAUCGUCCAAUCCUUUAUCUAUAAGGAUUUAUAGCCUAAAGUCCAACUAUCAAACAAUUGACAGUUUAUACCCUCAUAUUUAAUUAAUCCCUUUAAGUCACGAAAUUAAUACUAAUUAAUCUAUGACUUAUAUUAAUUAAAUAAUUAUAUUAUUAUUCCUUAUAAUAUUCUCAUAAUAUAUUAAUAAUAACUAUUCUCUCAUAAUAAAUCAUCCUAUCAAGUUGCUAUGGUGAAGGCAACCCAAAAGGACCAAUGCACAAUCGAGUCAAGUAUUUGCCUAAUCUGGUUGCAGCCUUAGACACUAUUCCAACACGAACAACACCAGAAAAUCCGAUAUUUUCUGUAAAAAUAAUCUAAAAGUGAUGUAGCAAGAUCCAAUAUUAAUGCAUGUGUGUUUUCUGUUUUGGAAAUGUAUAUAAAAAUGUAAACCAGAAAUCUUGUAUUUUCUGUUGUAAGUAGAAGAUAAUGUAUAAAUGUAUUUUUCCCAGAAAAUCCGAUAUUUUCUUGUUAUAAAAGUAUCGUGGUCUUAAACCCGAAGACCGAGUAUUAGUGUAUGCAUGUGUUUGUAUCGUCAAGAUUGUAUAUGUAUUCUGUAAAUGUAUGAUGGAGUUGAUCUCUAAGUGAGUCGCUAUAACCAUACAUGAUAAUGAUAAAUUCCCCUGUCUUGGCGAUUUCAGGCGUCGGUUUGUUUAAGGUAAGGUUUGUUGCCCUAGACUGGCCUAGUCUAGCUGUAGCGAACAGCUCAGGCAUGGGGUGUCAUCCCUGUAUAGAUCUAUAAACAAACUCCCGCUCUCCCUCUAGGUGACUCUGUUAUAACAACAUGCUAGGACUAUACACUCAAGAGGUGUCAACCGACAUGUCUCACUAGAUCCUUAACUACGAAUAUUGUAUUACACUGUGUAUAACGUUUCUGUGUAUGUUUUAUGUUUGCAAAGUCUAGAAAGUAUGUAUGUGAAUGUAUGAGGCCCAACAGACAUGUAGAGGGAUAGCUAAGGCCCACUAAACAUAUAAGUUAUUUCCAGGCCCAAUAAGGCUGCAAAAGGACAUCUACGACCCACUAAGCAUGUGAUGUAUAGUCCAUGCCCAAUUAGCAUGUAAAUGGAUCACUAAGGCCCAAUAGACAUGUAAUGUGUAUUCCAGGCCCAAUAAGCAUGUGAUGUAUAGUCUAGGCCCAAAUAGCAUGUAAAUGGACCAUUAAGGCCCAAUAGACAUGUAAAGUGUAUUCCAGGCCCAAUAAGCAUGUAAUUGGACCACUAAGGCCCAACAAACAUGUAAUGUAUAAUCCAGGCCCAAUAAGCAUGUAAAUGGACCAAUAAGGUCCAAUAAACAUGUAAUGUAAGUACUAUGCCCAGUAACAUGUAACCGAUGUAUUUAAUUCGUUUGUUAUUACGUUGUUUGUUUUAGCUCGUUUGUUUACUAAAAUGACAUAAAGGCCCUAUUUUUCCAAUGAUGACAUUUUUGGCCCAUUAAGCAGAAAAUUUACAAUUAGGGCACAUUCUUGGUAAGAUUGACACUUUAGGUCCCUUAAGACCAAAAGUUUACAUUUAAGGGCUUUUUUCAAUUAAAAUGACAUUUUUAGUCCACUUUUGUUAGAAAUAACAUUUUUGGCCCAAUGUCAUGAAGAUUGACAUUUUCGGCCCAUAUAUAUAUAAAUCGACAUUUUCGGCCCAUAUAUAUAAAUUGAUAUUUUCGGCCCAUUUAUAUAGAAAUUGACAUUUUCGGCCUAAGUUUUAUGAAAAUAACAUUUUAGGCCCAAAUUCAAAUAAAAUAACAUUCUCAGCCCAUUAAACCGUGUAUUUACAUUUUUGGCUCAAAUUUUUGUUAAAUGACAAUUUAACCCAUACAAGUCAAAAAUCUAUAAUUUAGGCCCAUAAACCGUGAAGGCCCACAGUAAGGCGCAUUAUGUGAAAAUUAACACUUUUGGCCCUUUUAAAACCUUGAAUAUCAUAAUGACCCAUUUUUAUAUAAAAGUGACUCUUUUAGACCUUGAAAAACCACAAGUGUCAUAAAAGUCUCAUCUUUUUGUUUAUUUGUCAAAAAUGGCCCUUUUACAAGAUUUUGUUUAGUUUCUCAAAAAUCUUCACAUGUUUAAGACUUUCAUCUUCAUGGUAUGUUGUAUAAAGUGUUUUAGUUUACAAAUAUCACUAAGUUCUGUUAGGAUUUUUGAGAUCUAUAAAGUUUCAUCACAUAUUCAUAACUUAUACCAAGAAAACACAUAUAAACAUGUACAAAUACAUAGAUCUAACACAUAAGCAACUUGUAUUUUUCUUAAUCUCCUCCAGCAUUCGUAGGUGAUAUGCCUCCACAUCCUCUCCUUCAUUCUUCUCAUUCAUCCUUCGCAACAUAAACUCCUUUGCAAGAUGUUUUUUUCCGUGACAAUAAUUGCAAUCGUAUCUGGAGUCACCAACUAUCUUUUUCUCCUUCUUCUCUUCCUCUUUCUGAGAACUACUUUUUCUCUCUUCUUUCACAUUCUCCGAGCUAUAGCUUCCCUGCCAGUUUCUAUUUUGCUUGAGGGAAACUUAUUCCUAGCAAAUCGCUUAGGAUUUGACACCAUUAAAGCAAAAUCUUCGUUUGAGAGCCCGUACUCAGAGUGAUCUGAAUCCGAUCCGUCAUCAGCAACAGUCUUGACUUUUGCAACCAAGGCUAACAACCCCAUCCCAGAGACCACCUUCGCUUCUUUCAUCACUUCACUCUCUCGCGCCUUCAUAAUUCCCACAAGGCUCGCAAGAGUAUAGUUUUCGAACUGUUAGUGUGCUUUAACAGUUUACACCACUCCCUUCCACUUUGAUCACAGUCCGUUCAUGAACGUGACCUUUUGCUCAAUCAGUUCAUGUCUAAUCCCAUGCUUCAUCAUCUUGCUGAGAAUAUGAUUAUAUCGAUUGAACGUGGCACUCAAUGUUUCUUCAAGCUUUUGAAUGAAUUCGCCAAACCCGGAUAACAAGAGUGUUUGAGUCGAGUGUUCUAGAUCUGUGUCUAUGGAAUAGAGCUAUUUCAACCUAUCCUAUAUAUCCUUCGCUGUGUCACUUGAACUUACAAGACGGAACGUAUCUGCUUGCAAAGAAAAUCUGAUGAUCCUCAUUCCUUUAAUAUUGCUUAUGAGUUUGUGCUUUUCGUCCUGAGGCACGUCCUUCACAUCAAAGAGCAGUUGGUUGUAUUCUUUCUGGGUUUUGAUUUUUCUUUUGGUCUCUGUGUGAAUAAACAAACCUAGAGUGAUUGCCUCCCGAAUCAGAUAACCAUUCUCUUCUGAGCCUAGAACAUAAUCUUCAAAGUGAAGUGCCUAGGCUUCAUACUCUUGAGGAAAAAUAAUCAGGAUCCUAGUUGUUGAACCGAUGUUGCUUGAGAUAUUCAAGGAGUUGAUGUAUGAAUCGUCGUUUUGCAUGGUGGAUAAUCUUUUAAUACCUUCAAUUAAUCAGACUGUAAACACUUAUUAGGUUAAUAUCGAGAUCACAGAGUGAUGUCAAUAAAUCAGUGACGGCUCUUAACAGAUCCAAUAUUUGUGGAAACCAUAAUAAUUUCUUCAAACAGGAUAGUUGUGUAUUAAGUACAUAGCCUUCUGCUUUGAUACCAAUUGUUAGGAUGAAAUCCUUAAUGAUCGAAUAGAUUAAAAACAGGUAAAUAAGAACACGAUAUGAUCAAACUGGUGUUGAAUGAUUAAAAGUCACGCCUUAGAAGAACUCGACUAAGAAUUGCUUCAGUAGAGGCGUAAAUAGGGUUACAAAGAUAAUAUCGAGAGUUAACUAAAAUACGUAGCAUGCAUGCACCUUAUAUACUAUAACCCUAGCAAUAAGUAUAAGUGGACAGGCCCAACUCGUUUAAACAAAAUGGACUAAACAAAACAGGCCCAAUGACGCAACACUAAAUCUUCAACAGAAGGCCUUAGAGGGAUGGAAAGUCAACUCAAAAUUAAGGAUGAUGGGGCGAGACAUUUCAUGAACCGAGUAUGGAUUCCAAAAUAUGGAGAAGUUAGGAAGGAGUUCUAAAUGUGACUCAUAGAUCUAGAUAUUACAUUCAUCAUGGAAAAGAAAACAUGUACUUAUACCUAAAGGCCCUUUAUUGGUAGCCAAACAUGAAGACAGAUUUUGUGUCCUGCGUAAGCAAAUCCCUAACAUGUUCCAAGUUCAAGGCAGAACAUCAUUGGCCCUUGGGAUUGUGGCAGCAGUUGAAGAUUGCUGAGUCGAAGUGGGAGCAUAUCGCAAUGGACUUUGUUACCAAAUUACCAAAGACUACUGCUGGUUAUGACACCAUAUAUGUAUUAUUGAUAGAUUAACCAAGUUUGCCCACUUCAUACCAACAAAAGAGACAAUAAGAUGGAGAAACGGACCAGAACGUACCUUUGAGAGAUCGUCAGAUUGCAUAGGGUACCCUUAUCCAUUAUCUCUGACAAAGAUAGUAGGGUUAUGUCACACCCCCAAACCAAGGAUGGCGGAAACGUCUGGAGGUGGCUGACUUCAUGUAUAGUAUCAUAACAAUGAGUUAAGCAAUACAACCAACCAUAAAUAUAAUCGUAAAAGAAUUACAUGAUUUCAAGUGUUACAUAUUUCAAAGAUUGAUUACACAUUAUGUAAACAUAGUUAUUCAACGUCGUAGCGUUCCAUCCUCAAAAGCUUGUAGUUACCUAGUUUCACUGAUUUCCUGAGAAUAUAAGUAGUUUUGAAAGUGUCAACAAUUAAGUUGGUGAGCUCAUAAGCUUUUGAAAGUAGGAGUUUAAAAACCGAUCUUUGUAAUGAGUUGUACGUCACCAAGAAAAUCCAAUAUUUUCCUUAUAAAAACAAUAUGUAGUCUUAAAUCCCAAGACUGGGUGUGCGUGUGAGUUUUGUGUUAUGUGGUCUCAAGUUCCGAGACCAAAAGUGUACAAGUAAAAUCCAUACUUAUUGAUAUAAAAGUGGCUUUAAAUCGACAUAAAACCCUUCAUGAUUUAUGAAAUCCCCGUAAACUUUAUGUUUCGCUAACUCCCUAUGUGAGUCGCUAUAACCAUACUAUGAAUAACUGAACCUGAUACGACGUUUUUUAGGCGUUGGAAAGAUAUGACAUUUGUCACCCCUGGUCUACCGACCAAACUGUUGCGAACAGUUGGAGUGUGGGGUGUCAAUCCUAAUAUAGAUCUAUACACAACUUAUCACGCUCUCCUUACAAGAGACUCUGGUUAUAACUAUCAGGAAUUUUAACCUGUACUCUAAGAGUACUAUGAAGAAUGUCUCACAAUUUACGUUAGCGAGUUUACGUGUGGUGUGCAAGUGUAAACCUUUUCUGUGGAGAUAAAAACCUUCUGUGAUGUGUUGGUUGUGUAAAAUGAAACAUAAACUAUUCCUAUAAUAGCUUAUCAAAAGUGUUUUUGUUACGUUCAAAAUCCUUUUUGUAAUAGAUGUAACCUUUAUACUAAGGUAAAAGAUAUGUAAUAUAAUCAACAUGUAUUUUUACAUAAAAAUACACACCUUGCUCAACAAGUUACAAGGUGUAAAUAUGUUAUUAACAAUUUGAUAGCUUUAUCUUUUCUGUCACUGUUCUUGGAAUAAUUAUAGAAUAAUCAUACAAAGUCAAAAGCUAAAUCCAUCAAUUCUGAGAGUCUAGAAAUUGUGUCUAGUUUAUUCAUAAUUUUUAUUAUGAUUUUUAGUAACCUCUAACUUGUGUAAAAAUGUUCAUAUUCACACACUGGUCCGAAUUCGUAACUACAGUGAUAGGCAGUUUUGUAAAAAUCACCAUAAAUUGUAGAAAAAUCAUAUGGAGAUGUGAAAGUAGUCAUUUUAAAGGUGUAAACCUGAAAUAUUUGCAUAUAAAACAGUUUUAAAAUAUAUUGAGUUUAAUAUGGUCAAAACAGUCCGAAUAUAGAACUAAACUUUUCUGUGAAAAGCUGAUGAAUUAGUUUAAGCUUGAUUAAGGUGAUUUAACUUGUAUCCCCCCCCCCCCCUAAAACUUGAAGAAAACAUGAAAAUGUAGGGGUAUGAACUCACCUUGAUUGAUUUCAGGUGGUGGAUGAUGAAGAAAAUUGAGUUUCUUCAUCAAGAACGCUUGAUGAACACGAAAUAGUUGGAAGAUCCUAAGAACAACCUUUUGAUGUUAAGAUGUGUAUAGAUGAUUCGAUGAUGUAGUGAAAAACAUGAAAGAACUCUGGAGUUUAGAUGAUAUAACUUCCAAAUGAUGAAGAAAUAUCUCAAGAAUACCUCCAAAAAGUGGCUGGAAGUAGAGAGGAAAAGGUAGCUUUCUUGAGAGUAAAAAGAGAGUGUAAGAGUUCUAGAAAUGAAGAAAUGAUCAAGUUAAGUCAAGAAAUCCUCUAGGGAUUUUCCUGUGAGAGAGGUUUCUGAAGCAACUUGCAAGGUGAUGGGAUGUUUACAUUGGUAAGUGUGAAGUGGAUAGGGUUGGAGCAAUGGGGAAGUGACACAUGGAUGCAAGUGGGCACACUUGACACACUUGUGGGGUAAAAUAUCUUGGGAUAUUUUCUUAACUGAAUAAACGAUUUUAUAAUUAAUUAAUCCUUGGAAAAUGAUUAAAUUAUGAUUUUUGGGAGUUUAAAAUGUUAAAAAUAUGAAUUUGGUGAAAAAAUCCCGUUAAAAACGUCAAAAAUGGGCUUAACAGGCGAAAGUUGCUCAAACCCGGACAUCUAGGACCGAACCUGCGAGGUUCUGCUCCUUGGAUGCGAGGACCAAAGGUGGGAGGGGGAACCGAGAGUGGAAGAAGGAGGGAUCGAGGCUCGGUCCUCUAAUUUUUGGUUCAGACAAGAGGGAUUCGGUUCUGACAGGAUCGACUCCUAAGACGGUCGGCUCUUAAGAGGGUUUCGGCUCCUUAAGAGGGUUUCGGCUCUAAGAGGCUGUUUUUCGCGUUUUCUUCCCGUUUUGAGUGAUUAUUGACCAUGUUAAGGUUCGGGAUGACCCGAAAGGCUACCAAAAGUUUGAGAUAGAAUUAACGGAGAUUUGGGAGAGAUUUGAGAGAGAUUCUUAUAGAGUGGGAGAGAUUUAGAGAGGCUUUGUUUUUAAUCCUUAUUAGCGUCUUUCCUUGUAAUGCAAGGAUCUUAAGCCCCGUUAUGACUCGUUUAUGAUUAUUUUAAGUCCCCGAAGGGUCCAUAGUCGCAUUUUUGACCCGUUUAACUCCCUUCUUAGUGUGUCUCCUUGAUAAAAACACAGGUUCGCUGCGAUACUUGAAUUUUUGACAUACAAAUGUAAACUUUUACACAUAGAAUCACACUUAUCAAAUAAGUACUAAUUAUGUUUGACUAGUUUGACCAGUUGACUUUGACUUUGACUCGUUGACUUAAACUUGACGGUUGUAACAUUAUCCCCCGACAGAAGGAAUUUCGUCCCGAAAUUUGCAUUCGGAGUGGGACUUCAAGGGUUGGGGAGAAGAUGUGGGUAUUUUUGUUCCAUUUGGUCUUCGAGCUCCCAAGUGAACUCGGGUCCUCAUUUAGCGUUCCAACAGACCUUCACAAUAGGGAUCCGACUUUGUUUCAUUCGUUUGGUUUCCCGAUCCAUGAUUUCGACCGGUUCUUCUACGAAAUAGGAGACUCUCGUUGAGUUCAAUUUUGUCGAGGGGUAUUACGAGAAUCUCAUCGGACAUACACCUAUUUGAGUUUGAUACAUGGAAUGUCAAGUGUAAGUUGUUAAGUUCUUGUGGUAAUCGAAGCUUGUAUGCCGCUGGGCCAAUCCCGGCAAGGAUUUCGAAUGGCCCGAUGUACCUUGGGUUUAGUUUCCCACCUUUACCAAAAUGUAUCAUUCCUUUCCACGGUGAGACAUUUAGUUGUACCCGGUCACCAACCCGGAAUUCCAAAGGUUUGCGUCGUUUAUCUGUGUAGCUCUUUUGUCUAUCUCAAGACGCCUCAGUCUUUCUCGAAUCUGUAUGACCUUUUCUGUUGUUUUUCUUAUGAUUUCAGGGCCUGUGAGGGUGCUGUUAGAGAUUUGCCCCUUCGCUAGCUGUGUAUCACUCACUUCAGUCCGGCGUGGUGAUAAUCUAUCCUUGUGGCUAUAGAUGUUUCUUAUGGGGCAACAUUUAUGUUAGGGUGAUAGUUGUGGUUGUGUGAAAGUUCAUCGAGUUAUAAGUGGGCAUUCCCACGCUUUAUGGAAGUCAAUCACCCAUGCAAUUUGGAUGUAUUCCAAGGCUUCAACAAUUUAUUUUGUUUUGUUCGUCGGUUUGUAGGUGGUAGGUCGUACUCCAGGCUAACCUAGUCCUUAUAAGGGUUGUCGGAACCGCGAAAUCAGUCUACUAUCUCUGUCGAAGAUAAUGGAUGUUGCCAUCCCUGUAGUCUUAGAAUCUCUUUGAUGUACGGUCUAGUCAAUUUCUCCGUCAUGUCGAUUUCUUUGAUUGGAAGGAGGUGCACGGAUUUGGUCAACCUAUCAGUACUUUCCCAAAUGGAUUUGGUAAACCUACCUUCCAGUAUUCUGCAACUAGAUUACGACAUCCCUCUUCUAGGUUGUAGAGUAUUGUGUUGGAUCGUAGCCUUGAUGUUUCAUUUGGGUGUUACAUCAAGGAUUCUAAUCAACUUAACUUGAAUUUUCUCCCAUUUUAUAGAUGUCUAGUUCUGAAAACUAUGGUUUUCCUAAAUCCCUUAGAACAAAUUUUCCAAACGAAGAUGAUAUUCCACGAUAUGAUCGAGGAACAAGAGAUCAUGUUUCACUUCCUCCACCUCCUCCAAUUAUUCUCCCUAACCCAUAAGUUCGAAUGCUUGAAAAGUUCAAGCUCACUCAAGCCCUUUUGGAAAGUUAAUACGAAGAUGGGAAACCUGUGUGUGCACACGUAUUAGAGAUGAAGUCACACAUUGAUAGGUUAAGAAUGUUAGGUGUCGAGAUUUCAAGUGAGUUGGUUGUUGACCGGGUUCUUCAGUCACUUCCUGAAUCAUAUGGUGAGUUCGUUAGAGAGUACUAUAUGAUGGAUCAUGACGCGACCCUCAUUGAUUUGACCUAUUUGCUUAUAGCUCCUGAAUCAGAAAUGGUUUGGCGAGCUGGUCAAGCAAAUUUGUCUGGUGAAUUAAACUCCCAAACUUCAAUAGAUAUUGAAAUUGGUGACAUUGGAGAUCCAGAAAAAGUAAAGUCUGAGAUAGUUCCUUGUGUCAUUCCAAAAGAGUCCAUUUGAUUUUAUUGCCAAUAGAAGGGGCAUUAGAGAUGAAGAUGUCCUAUUUACCUGAAAGAUCUAAGAGAUGGGAGAGUCAAGACGUAGGGCAUUGCUUCAGGUAAAAUCCAUUAACUAACUCUUUUAAGUUCCUAUUCUAGAUUCUUAAUGCAUGAUGUGAUAAGAUUACAUUUUGACGUUUUGUAGGAUCGAAGAAAAGAGAGGAAGCUUAAUGGAAGAAGUGAGCUGAAUCUAAUCAUGAAGAAAUGGAUUUCAAUCGCAUUGCUUGAAGAUUUGAUUCUUGAGCUACUACUUGGAGUUAGAAUAGAUUGCUUAAGAAUAUGUAACAACAUUGUUUUACAGUUGAAUUGCUUUGUAAGGACAAAAUUUUUUGCAAUAAAAUAAAUUUUGGUUUUAUCUUAUCCUUGCAAUGGUGUGUAUGAAAAAUUGAUGUUUGAAGGUUUCUAUUAUUAGCAAUAAUGGAUUUGAUUCAUAAUUUUGUUAUUUGUGGAAAUAUCGAGAAUUUACCAAAUAGGGAAAGUUUCCCAUUGCCCAAGUUUCAAUUGGAUAGAAACUUGGAAUCAUGCAACUUGGUUGCAUGAUGAAUGAGAAAUUUCAUAUUUUAAAAUUAGACUAAGUCAUUGACAAAGUGCCAAGUGAAGGACUAGGAGAUCGAGUACACAAAGUUGUGUGUUGAUCAAGUCCACCACAAGAGUAACAAAGACUUGGAAUCAUACAAAUUGGUUGCGUGAUGAAUAAGAGACUUCAUAUUUGGAAAUUAGACUAAUUCUUUGACAAAGUGUCAAGUAAAGGACUAGGAGAUCGAGUAUACUAAGUUGUGUGUUGAUCAAGUGCACCACAAGAGUGAAAAAGAUAUUCGUCAUGAUUUACUAAAGUUUAGUAAAUAUGAUUAUACAGAUUAAGUGNNNNNNNNNNNNNNNNNNNNNNNNNNNNNNNNNNNNNNNNNNNNNNNNNNNNNNNNNNNNNNNNNNNNNNNNNNNNNNNNNNNNNNNNNNNNNNNNNNNNNNNNNNNNNNNNNNNNNNNNNNNNNNNNNNNNNNNNNNNNNNNNNNNNNNNNNNNNNNNNNNNNNNNNNNNNNNNNNNNNNNNNNNNNNNNNNNNNNNNNNNNNNNNNNNNNNNNNGUCAAUCAUACUUCGUUCCAAUAUCAAGUCUUAGAGUUAAGAUUGUGAAUUGAGUGACAAGUCUUAAGAAGGUUUAUAACAUUCAUCAAAUGUGGAAUUUGGAAAAGGUUUUCUUAUUCUUGCACAUUUGAAAUUGGAAAUUUGUGAUGUCUUGGAUAAGACAAAGACCAACUAGGACCAAUUUUGUGAAGUGUUUUGUCUUGAUAAAAGCUACACUAACUCUUCAAUAUUUGUUUGUCAAGAAAUGUUUAUUGACAAGAGAAUCUUAUAUGUCAAGGAGUCAGUGGGAGUCUCAAAGUUCUUGAAAGGUUUUAAGAACAAAUCAAGAAUAAACCUUAUCGAUCAUCACUAGCACACGACUUGAGGUUUACAACCUAUCGUGUUGACAAUAUCUUGUUUUUGUGCCGUUCCAGUUGAGUUAAUUAUGCAUGUGAGUUCUAUGAGUUCUCAUUUGAAUGCAUAAAGACAAAGCACGUUGAUCGAUGGAAAGUACAUUGAUAUGUAAGGAUAAGUUGUUGNUCAUGUUACCAUGAGGCAAGAAAUCAAGAUUGAAAAAAUUCAGUCCAUAUGAAUUUGGAUUUGUCUCAAACCUUCGUUUUGGAAAAUUCACAUGGAUAAGAAUGCAUACACCAUAAAAUCUAAGUGACAUAAGGUUUCCAUCCUUCAUGAAAACGAUUGUGAGGAAAUGUUACACUAAGAGAGAUUUUGAGAAUAUAGCUAUUGUGAAAAAUUGUAUUCUCAAAUUUGAUUAUGAUUAUGACAUCCCUCUUCAUAGUUCGAAUUGUGAGAUUUGGCGAUUAGUCUGAACUUCCGGGACUUAGUAACAUAAGUUCUGAAUUGUUUAGACACACAUGUGAGCUAUCUAAGGCAAAGUUAUAUGAGCUUAAAAAGCUUAGAUAAAGGCUUAUCGAAGCAUCUGGUAUUAGAAAUAUGAACUUUAGAAAUUCAAUAAGCAUUGUUUUCUGGAAAUUCAGCUGUUUUCUGAAUACGUGUCAAAGCUAGUGGGAGCAUAAGUGUUAUGCUUAUAUGAUAAUAAUCAUCAUGAUAGUGGGAGAAUAAGUGUUUUUUCUUGCCUGAUUAUUAUGGAAAGUAUUUCAAGUUAGCAAUAUUAAUUAUAGAAAACAAAGAUUCAAUUUGCAAGGUUGCAUGGGUUGAAAAGUUGUUUUGCUAUAAUUUAGGGAGAGAAUAUUAUACUUCGUUUCAAAAUCUACAGCUUAGGUUGAGAAAUUUUAAUAAAUUUAGUCAAAGGAUACAUAGUGUGUUCUUAAAAUUCUCUUAUGAUUACGACUUCCCUCUUCAUAGUUCGAAUUGUGAGAACGUGAUACAUAAAAUAUUAUGGCAGACGAUUGAUAAAGUAUCAUAUCUUUAUGUAAGACAUUAUGCAUCGUGUCCCAUACGCUUCGGGUAUAGGAUCGAUUGCAAAUGCUACAAUAUAUGACCAUUCUAAAAUUUUCCGAAUGUAUAGCGCAUUAAGAGGGAAAAGGGACUAGAAUCGGUUUUGACUAAAAUAACUAAAAGGACGAUCCAAAGUUCGCUGAGGAUUGGUCGCUUGUGAGUACUGGAAGUAUGGUAUUGGAUGGGCCAUAUCAACAUUAUUAGGAAUAGAUAAGAUUCUAUUAAGAAUGAGUUGUCAUAUGGCAAAUAUGGAAAUAUUUCCAUAUUGGGAGUUAGAUAUUUAGAGUCUAUGUCUAGGUUAGAAAAUUUUAUGCAAGAAGGAUCUUCAAAGGAAUAUACUUUAAAUGUGAGACUUCACGUCUAUGGAAUUGUCUUGUAACAAUUUCCGGAAGGGUACUUUAUAAUUUCAUUGGCCAAGUCUUGGUGACUUUUGUGGUAUGACUUUGCGAAAUGAUCAUUGCAUAAAAUGUUAGAAUCUAACAUAUUCUAUUUGCGGCAAGAAUGUUGUGUUCUUACACAAAUAAUAAGGAUUGGGAAUUGUGAAAUGAGUUUCAUCGAAAAGGUUUUCAAUUGAUCUAUCUCACAAAGCAUGGACCAUAGGAACCAUAGUGUGCAUGCUUGGUGCAUGGGACAAUUGAUGUUGUGAUUCAAGUAAUGAGAUGAUUAUUCGAAACAUUAAACAAUAAAUAAUGAGUAGUAAAUAUGGCACUUAAAUAAAAGUGUUUUAUUUACACUCAAAAAAUUUGGGGCCAUAAAGGAUUAAGUAUUAUUAUUGUGUUUCAGCUUUGCAUGUUUUGACUUCCAGAAUAAUUGGGUUAUUCGAACCUCCACAGUCGGUCAUACGUUGGAAGUAGGUAUGAAGGAAGACUGUCAUGAAGAGUUUGUAGAUUGUCUGAAGAGUUUAGACAUAGCACAACUUUGCUGCAGAGUUCAUGAGUGCUUUGAUAAGAUUAGAGUAUUGGAUUAAACCCACGCUCACGUGAAUCACUUCAUGGAUUAUAUUGCGAGUGAUUGUGUGUCAAUAAUAUUGUAUAUUCUUGAAACCGAGACGUGUCAGUUGUUAUUUGUUUGUCGGUUACACAUUGAUAAUAAGUAAGCGCACCAGUAACUUGGUGUUAUAAAACUUAUUGUUGUGUGUGAUUCGAUCAGUAAAUGCAAGCAAACAUUUGAGUCAAAGUUUAUCCGUUCCUUUUACCCAAAGUGGGAUAAAUGCGAUAUCUGUGGGCCCCUCGAUGAUUUAGUGAUGACACCAAAGCGCUUGGCCUAGCCAGGACUAAGUUGAUGUGUUCAAUUAUAGUCUGUUGUCAGUCGUCAUAAAUAGGAAGUCGGGAAACAGUAUAGAGAGAAUGAUUGAAAUUCAUAUCUUAUGUCUAUACGAUAUCUUAAGAAUGGAGGAAUAUAUGAUCCCUUAUCUAAAGGACACGUGUAUUUGAUAAGAUCAGAGUUGAUAGCGGCAUUUGAAAGCUACGAUUGCUAAUCAGGUUCUGAAGUUAUGCUUAAUAGUUAUUAGACUUAUCCAAGUGGGAGACUAUUGGAUUAGUGUCUAAGUCCAUAACUAUUUUGGUAUGUACUUGACCUGAUUAUGAGCAUGGUCCUUUUGGGUUGCCUUCACCAUAGCAAUAUGUAGGAUGAAUUAAGGUAGGCCUAGCAAUUAGGUUGGGUUCGGGUUGGCGGGUUGGCGGGUUAGAAAAUAUAAACUCAACCCAGCCCAUAUAAUAUAUGGGUUGACGGGAUGGCGGGACAUGGGUUGGUGGGUUGGAAACCUCAACCCAACCCAAGCCAUAUAACCCAUUUAAGUAUAUGGGUUCGUGGGUUCACAAGUUAAUGGGUUAAACCCAACCCAUAUAACCCGUUGAAUAAAUAAGCAACACAUUUUAAAAAAAUGAGAUUUUUUCAACAUAAAUUCAUAAAAUGAUUAAAGUGAUUAACAUAAAAAAAAGGUUUUCAACAUAAAUUCAUAAAGUCAAUAACAUCCAAAUAAAAAUGAAAAAUAAAAAUAUUCAUAGAAAGCGGAUGUGUUCUUCGUUCGUGACUCGUUAAAAUAAUGACAUGUAUUUUUUUUCUUUUUCUGAUUAACGAACAACAAAUGCAAAUUACUCACAUACGAAUAUGGAAUGAAUAAAAUGAUACAAAAUAUUACGAAUACGGAUGGAAAUCAAAUUUCAUUAAUAAUUAGUGUAUCAUUUUUUUAAAUGUAANNNNNNNNNNNNNNNNNNNNNNNNNNNNNNNAACCCAUGAAAUAAAUGGGUUGGUGGGUUGGCGGGUUGACGGGUUGGCAGGUCAAAAAUCUCAACCCAAACCCGUCUAUUUUUGAGUUGGGUCAGUUUCGGGUUACGGGUUGGGUCGAGAGUUGCCACUCCUAAAUUAUGGAGAGAUAGGUUUAAUUAUGAGUUAUUAAUAUAUUAUAAGAAUAAUAUAUUAAAGGAGAAAUCAUAAUGUUUAAUUAAUAUUAGUCAAGAAUUAAUUUUGUGGCUAAAAGAUAUUAAUUAAACUUAAGGGACUUAUUGUGGAAUUAUAAGAUAAUUACAUUGAUGGGCUUAUGGACUCCAUAGAAGGUGGAGUGGACGAAUUCCACUGGGGAAACCCAUUAGAAGUCGUCCAAGGCUUCUAAAGAAGGAGUCCAUGGGCAUCUUAGGGCUUAAGCAGUCAAAUUAGGGUUUGUUUGUUAGUUAAACCUAAUUGCCUAAGUAUAUAAGGAGCCCUUAGGCACCAAAAAUGUGGCUAACACUUGGAUUAGGGUUUCCAGCCGUUUUUUGGUGCCUCCCCUCUCUUCUCUUCUUCAUCUUGUUUCUUAGUGGUGUUUGUGACUCCAUUAGAGGUGCAACAUUUGAGGCACUAAGCUUUCUGAAGCCAAGGAUUGACUAUUAUUGCUAUAUAACAAUCAAAGGUAAGAUCUAAACCCUAUUAAUAUGUUAAUAUGAUUACUUGUAUGCUAGACCUAGGAUUUAUAAGUCUUGGAAGUUAAUUGCAUGUUCAAAGUAGAAAAACUAGAUCCAAGAAAUUAGGGUUGCAUGAACACCAUAUAAUUGAUGUUAUGCACAAAACCCAUCAUUUAUAACAAGAAAACGAGAUUAUAAAGCCUUCAAAUGGUCAUGAGAAUGAUCUUGAAUGGAUAAAAAAUUACUAUUCUCCCCCACGACAAGGUGAUAUAAACAAUGAAGUUUAAAAUCCGAAAUAGCCGAAAAAAUUUGACGUUAUUGCGAAAAACGACUUUCCGAACCGCCAAGACUUGAUGGAAUCCUUAAUUUUCUGUUCACGAAAAAAUACGUGCAUUAAAAAAUCUAAAACCGUUCACCAGCCCUUUAUUUUGCAAACUUUUCCAAAAAUGGGCUGAAACUGACACAUUGUUGAAAUUUUGGGACUGAAAAUGUAACUCUGCAUCAAAUUCAACUAUAAUUGUAACAAUUUCUUGAAAUGGAGCAAAACUGCCAAGUCACAAAUAAUUCAGGGACCAGAACCGUCAAAUCCCUGAAGUUGCAGGGACCAGAAAGGUAACUUGAGUCAUCUUCCUCAAUUUAACGUCAGAUGAAUAGAUGAAUGAACAACACGCAAUUUAAACAACGAACCCAAGAAAUUAGUAACCUUCGAAUUUAUACUUUCGUUACUAGCACCAAGGUACGAAUCCGAGCCAUUCUCAGUGCCAAUUUCAAGUCGUUUUGCUUUUAUCAUAAACAUCGACUGCGAGAGGUUCGCUCCGAGUCCAAUGGUGUGAAUCAAGACAACCCCGAAUCCUUGACCUUUUAUUCCGUAUCAGUCGAAUACACACCCAAUGCGAACAUUCUCAAUCUCAUUGCGAAACCUAAUGGCAACCGAUUCGCUGCGAAUCAGUGACAUCCACGAGUCCAAACAAGGGUUCGCUGCAAUCAUUCGUGAGACGAAGUGCGAGCCCAGGUUCGCAGGUAUGAUCUUCGCCCAAUGUUCACCCCGAAUGGGUUUCGAUUUGCACUCCAUUCGUUCACAGGUGUCAAUUCCCGAUCGUUCGCAUGUUGGAACUUUUAAAUCGAUUUUGACUAUUUCUGUUAACUAGCAAUUGCGAAUAAGCACACAACUACCACGAUUUCAUUCGCUCACAUGCCACUUCCUUUUACAAUUUCAAUUACAAAAGCGGAGAACCUGUUUGCCCCAAUUUUGACUUUUUAGAUUGACUUGCAAGAACAUCUGCUUAUUCUGAUAAAAUCCAAUCUCGAUUUCAGUCGAUUGCAUUACACAUCCGGUCACGAAUCUGAUUAAGAUUAGAGUCCCAAUUUUGACUUUCUAUGGUUUGACCCUCCAAAUCGAAAGAAAAACAAUGUUGUUCAUCCAUUCAUCAUCAGACUACAAUAUUUGCAUUCUCAAUCAAGCACCCAAUCGAUUCGAUAAUAUGAAAAUUUUGAUUUUGGAUAAAAGCUAAUAGAAAUCGAUUCAUGUGAGUGAUAACAACAAUAACCUUUGACGAUAAUGGUAAUCAAAUGAUGAAAAGAUAGAAGUGUCAUAUCCAAAGCACGAAACGUACGGAGAUAAAAGAAUGGCAAAUCGGGUGGAUGUGAACACUAAAGGACCAAUUCUUAUGGGCCAAAACAAACAAAAUAGAUCAAUCGAUGUAGUAAAUUGAUUUUGGAUUGAACAAAUAUGAAAUUGAAUAAAUGGACUAAAUCCCGAGAAGUAGAGACUAAUAUGAACACAAAACGUGUCAGAUUAAUGAAAAAUUACCCAUAUGAACAGUAACAUAAAACAUAAGUUUUCUUGAACAGAAUUUUGAUUCUAAGACGCUAAAAAACCAAUAAUCUUCAAUAACUUGUGCAGAAAAUCAUCAAACCAAGAAGCGAUACUUCAAAAAUCAAUAGAUAUUCAAAGACCCGCUCUGAUACCACUUGUUGGAAUUAAAUCCCUGAUUGUGAUUUGAUGAACAAGAUGCGGAAAAUAAGAACAAACACAAAUAUGAAGAUAUGUAAAAUGAUCACUCAAUUUAUUCAAUUAUGAGGAACAGAUUACAAUUUUAAGAAUAGGAAUCUAACUCUACAAGAAACCUCACAACGUGGCGGCUACAUUUUGCCUCACUCUUAACCCUAAUUAUGAAUAAUAAAUGAUUGUUUAUAGUGAAAAGACAAGUCUUUGGCUUUUAACCUACACUUCAUCAAGGGUGCCCAUUGCCAUCAUCCAUGGAGUACUUUGAAACCUUACACGGCCAAAGAAAGACCAUACAACAUCAUACCAAGAAAAUACCUGCACACACACACACACACACAUUACAUGACCCACCCACCAUAACUUACAUACACAAACACAACCACCACACAUGGUGGCUGGUGGCAGCAGAAAAAGGCACCCCGACGGCAGCCACCAUGGUUGGUUGCCAUGGUGAUUCUUCUCAUUUUCUGGCCAGCCAAAAACACAUCAACGCACACCUCACAACUGAAGCAGCGACACACACACACGAAACACGAGUCCCAACUAUGAAAUACGCAAAUAUGAACUUAGACACCCUCAUGGUGGCUUGUGGCAGUAAGAGUAAUGGCAGCAACACGCGACAAAAAAAAGAGACGGAGAAGAAAAUGUGUGUGACCUCUAACCGAGAAUAGCAGCGACGAAAACCCUGACUCCGUCUUCCGAUUUCUCUGACGACGCCAGCUUACGGUGAUUGUCUUCUUCGGCCGCCAUAGUCUGUAGUGGUGGUUGGCUUCGGCGGUCUCCGAUCUCAAUAGUAGGGGGUGGCGGCGACUGGUGGUGAGGGGUGAUAACGAUGGCGACUGCAACAUCGUUUAGGGUUAGGGUUUGGAGGUUGUGGUUCAAAAAUGAAGGGACGAUGGAAGGGUGACGGGUAUUAACCCGUCUCUUAUCAACUUCUGCCAAAAUUUCACUUUCAGCUCCUCCCUCAUUCAUCUUUUUCAAUUCAAGUCCAGAAAUUACCAAACAGACCUUGCUUCAUGAAUUUAUUUACAUUUCAAGUCCUAAUGUUACAACAUAGACCCCAAAUUCUAGAGAUUAUAUCAUUUAACUCCUUAUGGCUAACACUAAUAAAUUAUUACGGAUUUAGGGCUAAAAUAAAAUAAAAUUUAAAUACAUCUCGGGGCCUUAGGGCUUAUUAUUUAGUUAUUUACUUUUUAUUUAUUUAUUUAUUUAUUUUAAGCAGAAUGUUACAAUUCCCCCCCCCCUCCCCCACUUAAAUUAGAUUUCAUCCUCGAAAUCAGCUAUCGCUUCUAUUUCAUGAUGUACUCCCCUACAGCAACCAAGAUGAACGAAAAUCCUCAGAAUACAUCGGUCUCCGCGCCUCUCGGCCAAACGCCGACGCUCAAAUCCUGCGCCAAAAGGGCAUCACCGCAGAGAAAGUUAACUGACAUCCUAUUAAACCAAACCAUACUCUUACUCUGCUCCGACAGCCUAGCUGAGCUAUCCACUAUCAACACUAGGGCUUACCCCCGACCAGACGACAACAGAGAAGCAACCCUUAAACUGAACUCCUAACACCUUAGGGCUAAGCAAAAACACGCCCUAAAGAUGCUAUCACGAUAAAGAUAAAUACAAAUCGAAGGGAAAGUCCAACAACUGACGGUGGGCAUGUCGCGAAACUCGAAGGUUUAGCAGUUGCGCGAAAGUCUGAAACUUAGAGAAAUCUGACUGAGACCGAAUCUUGGUACAAAGUCUUCCUGCUAUGAGUUUCCACUCUCCCCCACUUGAAAUAUGCUAGAAGUUGAGGACUUUAUAUUCCUUUGAUACUACGACUAACUCGAACUCUAUUAUUUGAUCUCAACCACUGAUAUCCACACACAUAGCAGAAUCUGAUUUCACACCACAUUCAUACAUUCAAACUUUCAUACAGUGGAGGAAAAAGAUAAUUAAUCCAUACAUAACAAGAGAUCAAAUGGAAAAAGUUAAAUAAUAUAAUUCCAUUUAAUUGAUCAUCGAAAAUUACAACUGAACCUUGAAACACAACAUAAAUGAUAGAUAGAUAUCAAUACUACCACAAUAGCUGAAUAAAAGAACUGUCAACUCAAUUUUCGGUCUUCAGGACCCCAGUGGUCUCUUGAAGACCAUCUGGUAACUGCGAAGCUUAGGAUCUAGCACCUCACUGAGAAAAGGACAAUUAGCUUUAAUGUGGCCUUCCCGACCGCAAUGAAAACAAACACGCACACUCCGCCCAUAGUCUCUUCCAAAAUGAUCCUCCUUGCCAAAUCGGUGAUAUGAAAUAGAUUUGAGCCUCCCUCCAAUUGAUCCUGAACUCUGACUGCCGGACUUGAACCGUUUUACUGCAUGACGGGACUGAUCCGGAUCCUGACGUUGCUCCCUCACCUGGGUCUCUAUCUCAAUCUCUCGCCUCUUCACGGCAUCUUGAAGCUCAACGAGAGAACCACAACACUGGAUGGACACGAACUGUCGAAUAUCCAUUUUGAGCAUGCUUUUAUACUGAGUCAUCUGAGCCUGAUCUGAAGUAGUGAACUCAUGGUUGAACAAGGCCUUCUCAGUGAACAUCUUGGUGAUCUCCGUCACUGACUCGGUCAUCUGUCUCAGAUCUAGGUACUCCUAGGCCAGUCUCUUCCUCUCUACCAGGGGAACAUACGUUGCACGGAACAUAUCCAAGAAUAGUUCCCACGUCAUCGCUACCCUCUGAUCAGGAGUAUAAGAACUAGUCACCAGUCUCCACCAAUCCCUUGCCCUAGGCCUCAAAAGGUUCAGAUCUCACCUAACCUUCUAGUUAUCUGGACAAGAACUCGUGAAGAAACAACCCUCCAUGUCAGGCAACCAUCUCAUCGUCAUGAUCGGGUCUGAGACCCCAUCAAACUCUAGGGGCUUCAUAUGAUCAAAAUACUGAUACUGGAAAUAUUUCGCUCCUCGAGCCCCAAUGACAGCAACAGUUGCGGUUGCUGCAGCAACAACAACCUCAGUAAGUGUAGCAUAUCAGUCAUCAAAGUACUCCAUCAUAGCGACAAUGACAGAUUCAACCAGUUCCAGUAUCUGCCCCGAACAAAAGAAAUAACUUCCUUACAAAUGAUCUCCCUGACAUGGUCCUCAAUCAAUGCUGGCCCAUACUGGCCAUCUGCUCGUGAUCCUGAUCUAGAUCCAGGCUCAAAUCGUCUCGUACUCGCCAUAAUGAAAAAAAAACAGGGAGAUAUAAUAAAAAACACAUAUAACACCAGGGGAACCAAUUCCUAAAAAACUCUAAGGUUUGUGACUUCCCUGAUACGCAUACGGAUCUUAUGCUUUCAGUAGUACGGGCCCAUACUACCUUCCACACCUACCCGUUGUUGUCUCAGAGGAUCAUCACGACAACCCUAUAAAUACACUGCACUCAAACAUACUCAUGCACUCUAUCCUCAUUCCUAGAGGAAGGCUAAACAUCUCACAACUAGUCGACUGACCCCACCCUACUCAUCCAUGAAGCUUCCACCGACCCUGCAAAACUCGUGUAUGCUUGCCAUACAUAACGUUGGACCCUAUAGACAUUCAAAUAUCUGAUCCUACUCUAAGCCAUUCAUCAAACAAGAACAGGAAGUAAGGCCAAACAAAACAUUCUCAGGCUAUAAGAUCUUAGUUAUAUACAUCCAUGAUGCAUACACUAAGCAACUAUAGUAAUAAUGUCAAUUUCAUAAAAGAAAGGCUCUAGGCUAUCAGGCAUCAUAUAAUUAGGAAAUUCUUGAUGGGUUUUGGUCAUAAGACAUCCUAUGUGCUCAUACAAACCCUAAUGCUUGGAUCUAGGUUUCUCUAUUGUACAUGCAAGUUAUCCAAGACUAUAAACCCUAAUUCUAGCAUUUAAAUAAUCAUAUUAACAUGAGAAUAGGUUUAUAAUGUUACCUUGAUUGUUAUGUAGCAAUAACAAUCCCAAUUCCACCUUGAAUUGACUUUGGAAGGCUUAGAGUCACAAGUGUCACUCCUCUAAUGGUUCACAAACACCAUAAGCAAGAGGAUGAAGAGGAGAGAGGUUGGAGGCUACCAAAACGUGUAGAAACCCUAACAAGAAGCUUAUCCACGUUUUUGGGUCAUAAGGGUCUUAUAUGUAGUGAGGCUAUUAGGGUUAUCUAACAAGGAAACCCUAAUUUGGAUGCUUAUGCCCUAAGCAACCCAUGGAUUCCUUUCCUUAAGGGCUUGGACGAUUUCUCAUGGGUUUUCCCAUAGAAUUCGUCCACACCUUAAUAUGAGACAAUCCAUGGCCCAAAUUGCAAUUAUCUUAUAAUUACAAUUCCAGUCCCUUAAGCUUAAUUAAUCUCUUUUAGUCACAAAACUAAUUACCAAUUAAUUAUUGACUAAUAUUAAUUAAACAAUAUGAUUUCUCCUUUAAUAUAUUAUUCCCAUAAUAUAUUAAUAAAUCAUAUUUAAUCCUUUCUCUCCAUAAUUCAUCCUAUCAAGUUGCUUUGGUGAAGGCAACCCAAAAGGACCAUGCACCAUCGGGUCAAGUACAUACCAAAAUAGUUAUGGACUUAGACACUAAUCCAACAGUCUCCCACUUGGAUAAGUCUAAUAACUAUUAUGCGUAUGACUUCAGAUCCUGAUCUGCAAUCGUAGCUUUCCAAAGCCGCUGUCAACUCUGAUCCUAUCAGAUACGCGUGUCCUUAGAUAAGGGAUCAUAUAUUCCUCCAUUCUAGAUAUCAUAUGAGAUAUGAUUUCAAAUCAUUCUCUUUGUACUAUAUCUCGAUUUCCGAUUUAUGACGACUGACUAAUUGAACAAAUCAAAUUAGCCCUAGCCCGGCCGAGCAUUUACGUUUGUCAUCACUAAAUCAUCGAGGGGCCCAAAGAUAUCGCUUUUAUCCUACUUUGGAUAAAAGGAACGGAUAAACUUUGAUACAAUGCUUGCUUGCACUCACUCACCGAAUCACACACAACAAUAUGUUUUAUAACACCAAGUUACUAGUGCGUUUACAUAUUAUCAAUGUGCAACCGAUUUGCAAGAUACAACUCACACAUCUCGGUUUCAAGAAUAUAAGAUGUUAUCGUCUCACCAAUCACUCGUGAUACAAUUCAUGGAGUGAUCCAAGUGAGCGUGGGUUUAAUCCAAUGCUCAAAUCAUAUUCAUAAGCACUCAUGAACGUUGCAGCAAACAUUUGCUUAUGUCUAAUACUCUUUUAGACAAUCCACACACCAAUUCACGACAGUCUUCAUUCAUAUCUACUUCCAACAUAUGAACGACUGUGGCCCGUUCGAAUAAUUCGAUUAUUCUUAAUAAACUCAAUUAUUCUGGAAGUCAAAACAUGCAAAUGUGAAACACAAGAAUAAUACUAAUCCCAUAUGGCCUCAAACCUUUGAGUAUAAAUAAAACACCUUUUAUUUAUCACCAUAUCGAUUACUCAUUAUUUGUCGUUUCGGGUAAUCAACUUCUUACUUGAAUUCCAACACUUGUCCCAUGCUCCUAGCAUGCACACAAUGUUUACCUAUGGUUCUUACUUUGUGAAAUAGAUCACAUUGAACACAUUUCCAAUCCUUCUCAUUUCACAACUCCAAAUCCCUUUUUCAUAAGUUAAAGAAUAUCAAAUUCUUGCUACUUAUAGAAUAUGCUAGAUUCUAACAUUCUAUGCAACUAUCCUUUCGUAAUGUCACUGCACCAAAGUCACAAAGACUAUUGCCAAUGAUAUUACAAAGUCCUCUAUCGGAGAUUGUUACAAGACAAUUCCUUAGAUAUGAUGUCUCUCACUCAAAGUACAUUCCUUUGAACAUCCUUUUGCAUAAAAGUUUCUAAUCUAGACAUAGAUUUUCAAUAUUCAAUUCCCAAUAUGGACACGCUUCCAUAUUUUCCAUAUGACAACUCAUUCUUAAUAGAAUCUUAUCUAUUCGUAAUGAUGUCGAUAUGGUCCAUCCAAUAUGGAAACAUUUCCAUAAUUUCCAUAUGACAACUCAUUCUUAAUAGAAUCUUUUCUAUUCAUAAUAAUGUCGAUAUGGUCCAUCCAAUACCAUGCUUCCAACUACUCACAAGCGACCAAUCCUCGUCGAACUUUGGAUUGUCCUUUGAUAGUUGUUUAAUUAUUUUAGUCAAAACCAAUUCUAGUCCCUUUUCCCUCUAAAUGCGCUCGACAUUUGGAAAAUUUUAGAAUGGUCAAACAUUAAAGCAUUUGCAAUCGAUCCUAUACCCGAAGCGUAUGGGACACGACGCAUAAUGUUUUAUUUGCUAUGUUCUCAAAAUUCGAAUUGUGAAGAGGAAUGCCGUAAUCAUAAUCGAAAUUUUAAGAACACACUAUGUACCCUUGACUAAAUUUAUUAACAUUUCUCAACCUAAUCCUUUAGAUUUGAAAUGAAGCAUAAUAUUCUCUCCCUUAAUUAUAGCAAAACAACUUUACAACCCUUACGACUUUGCAAUGUAUAACUCUUGUUUUCUAUAAUUAAUAUUGCCAACUUGCAAUACUUUCCAUAAUAAUCAUACAAUCAUAACUUUUAUGUUCCCACUACUAUGAUGAUUACUAUAAAACAUAACACUUAUGCUCCCACCAGCUUCGACAUGUAUUCAAAACAUCUUAACUUCCAGAAAAACAAUACCUAUUGAAUUUCUUAAGUUCAUGUUUCUAAUACUUAAUGCUUUGAUAAUCUUUUAUCAAGGCUUCUUGAACUUAUACACCUUUGCCUUCGAUAGUUCAUAUGUGUGCCUAAACAAUUAAGACUAAUUGCCAAACCUCACAAUUCAAAUUAUGGAAAGGGAUACCGUAACCAUAAUCGAAUUCGAGAAUGCAAUUUUACAAUCACUAUCUUCUUAAAAUCUUUCGUAGUGAAAGCAUUUCCUCACAAUCAUUUUCAUGAAGGAGGAAAUCUUAUAACACUUAGAUUUAAACGGUGUAUGUGUUCCUAUCCAUGUGAAUUUGUCAAAACCAAAGUUUACGACAAAUUCAAACUCAUAUGGAUCGAACUUUCUAAAUCUUGAUUUCUUGCCUUAUGGUAGCACAGCUGCCCACCACGUCUUCCAUAUAGUUAAGCAGCUCACCUUUUCCUAUCAAUGUACCAUUCAUUGAUUAAGGUGCCUUGCCUUUUAUGCGUUCAAAAUGAGAACUCAUAGGACUCACAUGCAUAAUUAACUCAAUUGGAAUGGCAUAUAAACAAAAUAACGUCAACACGAUAGGUCGUGAACCUCAACUCUUGUGCUAGUGAUGAUUGAUAAGGUUUAUUUGAUUUGUUCUUGAAACCUUUCAAGACCAUUAAGACUCCCACUGACUCCUUGACAUAUAAGAUUCUUUUAUCAAUAAACAUUUCUUGACAAACAAAUAUUCAAGAGUUAGUGUAGUUUUUAUCAAAACACUUCACAAAUUGGUCCUAGUUGGUCUUUUGUCUUAUCCAAGACAUCAAAACUUUCCACAUUUGAAUGUUAUAAACCUUUAAUACUUUUCACUCAUUGUCACAAUCUUAACUUUAAGACUUGUUAUUGGAACGAAAUAUGAUUGACUUCUUGAUUUAACCAUUUCCUCAAUUCUCGAAUCCUCUUCUUAGACAUAUAAUUGUACUAAGUCUCACUUAGAGGAUUAAUUGAAAUAUGGUUCUUAAUCAUUAAGACUUAUCAUUAAGCAUAAAAGCUACUCUCCCUUCUUCUUAGAAUGGAGAAACUUUUAUCUUUCUGCCUACUCGAUUCUUCUUAUUCGUUUUGCUAUUGAUUUAAACCUUUUAAUCAAUUUCGAAUUACACUUAAUCUUGUAAGUAUAAUCAUAUUUGCUAAAAGUAAAUCAUGACAAAUAUCUUUGUUACUCUUAUGGUGAACUUGAUCAACACACAACUUUGUGUACUCGAUCUCCUAGUCCUUUACUUGACACUUUGUCAACGAAUUUGUCUAAUUUCCAAAUAUGAAAUUUCUCAUUCAUCAUGCAACCAAGUUGCGUGAUUCCAAAUGUCAGUCCAAUUGAAAUUUUGGCGAUGAGAAACUCUCCCUAUCUGGUAAAUUCUCUACAUUUCCAUAAAUAACAUAAAUAAGAAUCAUAUCCAUUCGUUGUAGAAAUAUGCAAAAAUCAAUUUUCAUAACGAUUUAAUUGCAAGGAAAUAAACAAAUAAAUGAGUCAAAACAAAAUUUAUUUUAUUUAUAAAAGCAGGGGAAAAAUUUGUCCUUACAAUGCAAAAUCCAUUGAAAACUAUGAAAAAGGAAAAUUUCUAACAACUCUAUCAUAACUAUUUAAGCUCAAAAUCUAAUCUUCAAGUCCAUGCGAUCGAGAUCCAUCUCUUGGUGAUUAGAUUCAUCUUGCUCUCUCAACAAGCUUCCUUUCUUUUCACCGAUCCUGCAAAAACACUCAAAUGCAAUCUUAUCACAUCAUGUAUUAAGAAUCAAUGAAUAGGAACUUAAUGGAGUUAGAUAGUGGAUUCUUACCUAAAGUAGAGCCAUAUUUUCUGACUCUCCCAUCUCUUAGAUCUCUUAGGUAAUUAGGGCCUUCGUCUCCAAUGCCCCUUCUCUUGGCAAUAAAAGCAAAUUGACUCUUUUGGAACAACACAUGGAACUACUUCAGACAUCGCCUUUCUCUUAUGAUUAGACUUUUCGAUCAUAGCAUGUCUUUCGUUGCCAUUGUCUAUAUCCAUAGAGGUCUUGAAGGCAGAUUCACCAAUCAAAUAUUCGUUUCUAUUGUGCCACACCAUUGUUGAUUCAGCAGCAAUAAGCAUAUAGGUGAGAUCUAUAAGGGUCACGUCGUGGUUCAUCAUAUAGUAAUCUCUUACGAAAUCACUAUAUGAGUUAGGAAGUGACUGAAGAACCCAAUCAACAGCCAUCUCCUCACCGACAACAGAUCCCAUUAUUCUUAGUCUAUCAAUGUGUGACUUCAUCCCUAGGACGUGUGCACACACCGACUUUUCUUCAUUAUGUUUACUUGCCAAAAGGGCUUGAGUGAUAUUGAACCUUUCAAUUUUUUGAUCUUGUGGGUUAGGGAGAACAAUUGGAGGAGGAGGAGGAGGAAGUGAAGCAUGAUUUCUUGUUCCUCGAUCGAAUCGUGGAAUAUCAUCUUCAUGUGGAAUGCUUGUUCCAAAGGAUUCGGGAAGACCGUAGUUAUCGAACUUUGACAUCUACAAAACGAGAGAAAACGAAAUUCAAGUUAGUUGAUUGAUUGAGUCCUUGGUAAAUCACCCAAAUGAAAUUCCAAGGCUAGGACCCAACACAAUACGCUACAACCUAGAAAAGGGAUGUCGUAAUCUAGUUGCAGAAUAUUUGAAGGUAAGUGAAUGACGAUUCACUAAUUUCCACCAUGAAAAACGAAAAAGAAAUUUAAGUUUUAAAUCUAUGAAAACUCCUAGAUCCUUUGAGAUUCAUUGAACUUUCAAUGGCAUGUUUAAAUCUCGAUAUGCCCCUCUUGUUUGUGACUGGGAUGCCGAGGAUCACAAAGCGGGUGUGAAUAACCAUGCAAACUUACAUGGUGCCCUCACAUGUUACAGUCACCUAUUCGAUGUGCCGGUAAACCACACACACUCCACCGAACUAUGACAAACAUUGAGUCACCCUUUGCUACCUUUGCUUAGAACCAUUUAGUGUGCCGGUAAACCACACACGCUCCACUAACGUCUUCGCAAGGGCACAAAGUGUAAUUUCAUGGAAUUGCAUCAAUUCACUUUUGCCUAAGUAACUAAGAUUGGGAAUUUUAUGAAAACAUUUAGUUACUUUUAUACUUCAUUAUACUUAUAAUGGAAGGUUUCGUCCUAUCCUACCCGUUCGGCUAACGACCCUCCACUAGUCAAGAGUGCGGUGGGUAAGAGUGGAUACCCAUUCAAUCGCCAUUUUAUAGGCAAUUUCCUUAAACACCCCUUAUAGACCAGCUUCGUGAAUGAGGCCUACUAACGGUAAGACUGACUUUUACUCAUACAUAUAUAUAAUGUUAGACUUUUAAUGUUAUAUAUAGUAUAGGGUGUAUUUUACACUUUUAAAAUACUAGGUGGUCAAAUUUAACAAUUAUACUUUUAAUUCAAUUAAAUUGUAAACCUAAACUUUUAUGGAUUUAUUAAACCUCUUUUAAUUAUACACCUUAAUUAAUUAAUAAAACCAUAAGGGUGUGAUUUGAACUUUUUCAAAACUAUACUAGAGUUUUAGAAUUUAACAUUCCUAAUUAAACUUUUAAUCAACUUUUAAAUUCCAAAACUUGAGGGCAAGUUUUGAAACAUUUCAACACAUUAGGGUUUAGAAUUUAAAUAUACAUCAAAAUUAAACCAUUUAAUCAAAAUUUAAAUUCCAAAACUUGAGGGCAAGUUUUGAAACCUUUUUCAAAACAUUAGGGUUUCAACUAUUUAAAUUUCAAAACAACAAAACUUUUGGGUUCAAAUUUAAACUAUAAAACCUAAAGGGGAAAAUAUGAAACUUUUCAUAACAACAAGGAUCAAAUAACAAAUAAUCUAAAUUAACAAUUAAUCACAUAAUUAUCCAUAUUUGAUUUAUUUAAUGAUUUCUUGCAAAACAAUUUAUCAAUUUAGUCAAAAUAAUUAAUCAAUUAUCACAUAAGGAAACAAUUAUCUUAUUAAUUGAUAAAUAUAUUCAAUUAGAUCAAAUUUAUAGUCAAAUAUAUCAUAUAAUCGGAUUAAUAUUGAUCUAACAUGAUAAGGUAACCAUCCAUAAGAAAAAACAGCAAGAAAUCUCGAAGUAUGCUCCAUCUGACGCUCGAACUCGCCGAGUACCACACUGUACUCGCCGAGUACACUGUGGUACUCGCCGAGUUCCUCAGUCAGAAAGCCCAAAAAUCAAUUUUCCAAUUAUACAAUGCGUCAAUACAAUUGAAACCAAGCUAGGCUCUGAUACCACUGAUGGGUUUUGGUCAUAAGAAAUCCUAUGUGCUNUUAUCCAAGACUAUAAACCCUAAUUCUAGCAUUUAAAUAAUCAUAUUAACAUGAGAAUAGGUUUAUAAUGUUACCUUGAUUGUUAUGUAGCAAUAACAAUCCCAAUUCCACCUUGAAUUGACUUUGGAAGGCUUAGAGUCACAAGUGUCACUCCUCUAAUGGUUCACAAACACCAUAAGCAAGAGGAUGAAGAGGAGAGAGGUUGGAGGCUACCAAAACGUGUAGAAACCCUAACAAGAAGCUUAGCCACGUUUUUGGGUCAUAAGGGUCUUAUAUAUAGUGAGGCUAUUAGGAUUAUCUAACAAGGAAACCCUAAUAUGGAUGCUUAAGCCCUAAGCAACCCAUGGAUUCCUUUCCUUAAGGGCUUGGACGAUUUCUCAUGAGAAUUCGUCCACUCCUUAAUAUAAGACAAUCCAUGGCCCAAAUUGCAAUUAUCUUAUAAUUACAAUUCCAGUCCCUUAAGUUUAAUUAAUCUCUUUUAGUCACAAAACUAACUACCAAUUAAUUCUUGACUAAUAUUAAUUAAACAAUAUGAUUUCUCCUUUAAUAUAUUAUUCCCAUAAUAUAUUAAUAAAUCAUAUUUAAUCCUUUCUCUCCAUAAUUCAUCCUAUCAAGUUGCUUUGGUGUAGGCAACCCAAAAGGACCAUGCACCAUCGGGUCAAGUAGAUACCAAAAUAGUUAUGGACUUAGACACUAAUCCAACAAUUCUAUCAUGUUAUUCUUGAAGAUCCCUAGCCUACCACUAGUAUGUUGUUCUAACAUAUCACAAUAUCAAAGAAUAACAUGGUAUUUUGGGGUCUACUUAUUAGCUCCGGCUGAUCGUACACAUCGCAUCCUCCUUUAGUAUUUUGAAAACCAUUUGAAAAUCAUUUUGAAAAUCUUUUUCUUAGUUUAAGACUGGAUUCACAAGAGUGUUCCUCCAAUUCACUCAAACCAAGGCUCUGAUACGAACUUGUAACGUCCCGAAAAUUUCAACAAAUUUAAACUUUUCAAAACGAUCCUAUUACUAUAAAAUGUUUACAUAAAUAAUGUUCUCAAACCUUAUUCGAAAAUCAGAUUUUCCCAUGAUCCAAUCUGUUGUAAAACCAAGAAUGUGUACGGUCACGCAUUCUCCUUGCCACUCUGAUCAUAUGAAGAACUUGAAACCAUAAACAAAACUGUAAGCACAAAACUUAGUGAGUUUCCCCCAAAGUACCAACACACAAUCAAAUAACACAUAUACAACAAUAGCAUACUAUGAUUCCAAUCAACCAUCGGGUUGGAAUACCAAUAUACUAUAGGCCCAAUCAACCAUCGGGUUAGAAUACCUCAUACCUUCAACCAUCGGGUUGGAAUGCCAAUAUAUUAUGGGUCCAAUCAACCAUGGGUUUCGAGUACCCCAAUCAUCGGGUUGGAAUGCCAGCAUAAUAUGGUUCCAAUCAACCAUCAAGUUGGAAUACCCCAGGCCCUCAACCAUCGGGUUGGAAUGCCAACAUACUAUGGGUCCAAUGAACCAUUAGGUUGGAAUACCUCAGAAUACUAAUCUAACAGAUCAUAACAACACAACAACAUCCUAUCUACCAGGAUACCAAUCUUACAGAUCAUAAGAGCAUAACAGUAAACUAACUAUCAACAAUCCAAGGAAUGCAUGGCUGUAUAUACUCAGAGGUGAGAUAGUCACCCGGACAGGUGAUCCUACUCAAGAACCACAACCAAACAAAGAAUAGGUAAGAGAGCUUAGAUCAAGAGUCCUCAGUCUAUCCUAUGUGACUAUAUAUGGUCCCUAGGGUAUCCGUUUACUAGCAGAUAAUCAAAACUAGUGGGCCUGUAUUGGUGCGUUGGACCCACGAGUACAGUGAGGCGAAACUCACCUCGAUAUGUGUGCAUAUAACCAUUUUCGCAAUGAAGGGCUCUACCAGCUUCAACUCACUUCCAAAUACCAACAGGAAGAUACUUGAGUGAAUACCCGAUCACAAAUUAUAGUCACUUGCAACAGUGACCACCUUACAUGAAUUGACAAUUAGAGUUUCACAUAAAAUAACGAUUAGGGUUAAGUAAGAACACUUAACCCAUUAAGGACUUAAUCACUUAAGGGUAUGACUGAUUAAUGUUUGACUUAGUCAUUCUCUGGUGGAAUAAUAAUCCAAUCAGCAGCGCAAAUACGUGCCAGAUUAUUGCCGAAAAUCGAGCUCAUAGAUUCUAGGGUUUUCAGAUAAAAUGAUAACUAGGGUUAGUGUUCCUCACUUAACCCUUUAAGGACUCAAUCCAUUAAGUCCAAUUUUUUAUCGAGUUAAUUAUGGAAAAUUAUUUAGUAUUAUUUUAGGUUUAAUUAAUAGUUUUAAUGUGGUUCCUGACCAACUCCAAAAUUAGGGUUUUCUAAACCCUAAUUAGAGUUUCCAACCCCUAAAGUUAAUUAAUUAUCUAAUUAAAUAAAUAUAUUAUUAAUAAAUUGGGCACCACCAACUGCCACGUCGGGGAGUGGUGGUUGGCAGUAGGAGGCGGCAGCCACCCCCGUACGACGAUGGUUUUAAUAAUAUUCCAGCAAGCCAAUAUACAUACAAUUUCUUACAACACACACACACACACUAGAACCAAAAGAACAAGGAAAAAGUCCAAUGCAACCACCAAAAACGAUGGUCGGUAGCGGCAGUAGGUGGUAGCCACCACCUCACGGUGGUGGUGGUGGGUUUUCUUUGGUUUUCCGGCCAAACAAAGACCAUACAACAUCAUACCAACAAACUACCUUCACACACACACACACACACACACUACAUGACACACCCACCAUAACUUACACACAUGCACACACAACCACCACACACGGUGGCUGGUGGUGGCAAAAAAAGGCAACAUAGUGGCAGCCACCAUGGUUGGUUGUCAUAGCGGGUCUUCACAUUUUCUGGCCAGCCAAAAACACACCCACACACACCUUACGACUGAAGAAGCGACACACACACACACGAAACACGAGUUCCAUAUAUGAAAUACGCAAGUAUGAACUCAGCCACCCUCACGGUGGCUUGUGGCAGUCGAAGCAAUGGCAGCAACAUGCAACAGAAAAAAUAGAUCGAUAAGAAAAUGUGUGAGACCUCUAACCGAGAACAGCAGCUACGACAACCUGGAAUCCAUCUUCCGAUUUCUCUGAUGAUGCCAGCUUGCGGUGAUUAUCUUCGUCGGCCAUUGGAAUCUGUAGUGGUAGUUAGCUUUGGCAGCCUCCGAUCUCAACAGUAGGGGUGCGACGGCUUGAGGUGAGGGGUGAUAAGGGUGGCGACUGCAACGUCGUUUAAGGUUAGGGUUUGGAGGUUGCGGUUCAAAAAUGAAGGGACGAUGGAAGGGUGAUGGGUAUUAACUCGUCUCUUAUCAACUUAUGCAAAAAUUUCACUUUCAGUCCCUCCCUUAUCCAUAAUUUUCAAUUCAAGUCCAUAAAUUACCAAACAAACCUUGCGUCAUGAAUUUAUUUACAUUUCAAGUCCUAAUGUUACAACAUAGACCCCAAAUUCUAGAGAUUAUAUCAUUUAACUCCUUAUGGAUAACACUAAUAAAUUAUUAGGGGUUUAGGGCUAAAAUAAAAUAAAAUAUAAAAUACAUCUCGGGGGCUUUGGGCUUAUUAUUUAUUUAUUUAAUUAUAUAUUUAUUUUAUUUUAAAUGGAAUGUUUCAAAGAUAGGGUUGAUAAAAUACUUUAGGAAAGGUUUUCAUAUAAUAAAAGGGAUUCUCUAAAUAAUACAACCCAAUAAAAACUGAAAACUAUAAAAACUUGUGCACUCACCUACAUUAUGUUGACGUUUUCAAAAAUACAUAUAUUCUCUGCGAAAUGACUGUAGAGGAUACUCGUGUCUAGAAGAAGAAUAGUCGUGACAAGGAGGAUGAGGAUAGUUGUGUCAAGAUGGAGGAAGCCUGCAAGGAAGCUGCCAAAGUUUUGUGUCGACUGGUUAUCGUUUCUUUUUAGGAAUCGUGUUUUUCUUUUGAUAAACAAUGUAAUACCGAAAUAAAUUAUAAAUGAAUAAAAGAUAUGUUUGUGAUAUUCUUUUAUGUUAUGUUCUAUAUAUUUGUAUGGCUCGACCUAAUCUCCCAUUGUUCGCACCGCCCGACGUUUUCGCCAAAGGUCGAGUGUGUGACAAAUUCCGUUACCUAUGUUCGCACCCGACUUACCUAAAAAAUCCUAUAUAUUGACUAGGUACACUUCCUAAGUGCAAUUAUUUACUUAUGUAGGUUGGUUUUAUAUAUUUAAAACUAUUAGUAUAUAAAUCUCACAUCAAGUUUUUGGCGUCGUUAUAGGGGAAUGACUUAUUUUGGUUUUUAUUUAAUUACUUUUAGCUAAGCGAUCCUUUUUGUGGGGUAUAAACCGAAAAAUAGUUAUUUUCUGCAAGUUCUAUUUUUCUACGAAAUCAACUACCACAAUGUGGUGAAUUCUUGUCGCGACGUAGGCACUCUUUAUUUUCAUUUUUUCGUUUAUUUUGUUUUUAAUUCGUUUUAGACAUUUAUUUUCUGUUUUGUUUCAACGAUUUAUUUCCAGAGCAUCACAACUUCCUAUCAUACCACCACUUGAAGAUCCAAAGUCCAAUUUCCUUAAGAAGAAAGACAAAAAGGUUGACUAAUCGAGUAGCACUUUUCAUUUCGACAAAUUCAAAAGUUUUAAGAGAACUCAAAAAAAGAAAAGAAGAGGUUACAAGCCAAGAAUUGAAUGAAAAUCAAGAGCAGUGUAGAAGAAAUAGCAGAUAUCACAAUAAUGACGAUAGAGGAAUACAAGAGGAGAGUGUGUAACGAUAACGGUCCCGGUCUCGUUCCACCCGCAAUAUCAACUGCCACAAACUUUGAGCUCAAGUGCCAUAUUCUCACAAUGCUUAAUGAAAAACCAUUUUUUCAGGAAAGAUUAUGAAGAUGCCUUCAAACAUAUUGAUGAAAUAUUAGACAUUUCAAAGUAUUUCAAUGUUCUAAAUAUUUCGAGAGAUGUAGUUUUGUUAAUGAUGCUUCCAGUGACACUUACUGGAACUGCCAAAUUGGCUGAGGUCAUUAGCACUUGGAAAUAUAAGAACUUGGUAAUACCUUCAUGAAACAUUUGUACGACAAUUCAGCUAUCCUUCAAAUAUAUCCAAACUAAAAACGAAGAUUGCUAAUUUCCAACAUAACGAUGGCGAGUCCUUGUACGAAGCUUGGGAAAGAUACAAUGGAUUGCUUAGGAAUUUCCCUCAACAUAAAGAGGUUUCUAUAUUUUAUGAUGGGGUGAAUGUGACCACAAGGCAACUCCAUGAUUCUCAAGCCAAUGAAGAAGAAAUAUUCCACUACAGUCAAAGAGUUAAUAGAAGAAUUCACAAAACAUUCAAGAGAGAAUUACAACCCUUGAGAGGAUGUUACAAGAAGUAAACGCAAUGCGGCUUAAGAGGAUUUAGAAACUGUAAUGGCAAGACUAAAAAAUAUGAACUAAAUGAUGAAGGAUUACGAUUUAGAUGAUAAUGGGAAUCGAAAAGAAAAAGUAUGCUACUCUAGUGGUGACCGGGUUGAUGAAGAUUGGAGAAAGCCAAAGAGGGAAAGGUUGUAUUACAAAGAAUACAAGAAGCAAAAAAGGUAUCGGCAAACCGGAUGAGGCUUUUACAAAAAAACAACCACCACCCAAGAAAAAACCAGAUUUCUAGUCAAUGCUCGAUAAAUUCAUGGAAGCUUCUAAGAAAAGACACGACGCUACUGAUGUUACAACUAGAAACCAACAAGCUUUCUUUAAGAAUAUCGAGACUCAACUUGGGCAAUUGAAUAAAUUUUUUAAUGAGCAAUUACCACUUAAUAAUCCCGAUCCAUAACCACAAUCUCAUGUUAUGGCAAUAUACACUAAAAAAAGGUUAAUUAUAAGCCAUUAGUGAUCCACGAUACAACUACAAGACAACCCGGUCCACAAACGGAAGAAGCAAAGCAAGAAGGAAAAAAUAAAUAUUGGUCAUGCCUAGCAACCACGAGGCCACGUCAUGCUUACUGAAAAAUCAAUAAUCUUCUUUGAAACCAUAUCAGCGUCUGCUUCCUUAUCCAUCUCGAACCAUGCGAAACCCAUUGGAGCCGGAACAUAAAAAGUUUAUGGAACUAGUGUUAUCUCUUUCGAUCAAUGCCUCAUUCCUCAAAUCCAUGGCUAAACUUACAAAAUUUUCUAAGGAUGUAAUUACAAGUCGAAAGGAGUUGGAAAAAGCAUCCAUCAUCGUGCUUAACGAACUAUGUUUUACAGCCAUGAUUGAGGGAUUACCAACAAAAAUGGGAGAUCCGAGCCGAUUGACUUUACCUUGUGAAUUCGACAAUUCCACUAUUAUAAAUGCUUUAGCAUAUUUGGGGGAAAGCGUUAAUCUAAUGCCUUAUAUCUUUUACAAGAACAUUGGGUUGCCAAAAUUGAAAAUAAUAAGAAUGACAAUCUACAUGGCGAAUAACUCAAUUACCCAUCCACGUGGAAUUGUACAAGAUUUAUUAGUCAAGGUUGGGAAAUUUUUCUUUUUUGUUGACAUAGUUGCGUUCAACAAGAAAAAAAUAUAAAGACCUUAUAAUUUUGGGAUGACCAUUUUUUAGCACUGUGUCAGCCCUUGUUGACAUCUAUGACUCUAAGCUUAUAGUUAGAGUGGACAGUGAAGAAAUAAUGUUUGGGAUGAACUUACAAGCAAGUCAAAACCAAUAUAUAAGAGUAGAUGAUUUAGAUGUGGUAAUGGAGAACAAGGAAAAUGAAGAAGGAUUCAAUGAGUUAGAAGAAAUAGAGAAAAUGAUGGAGGAUAAGAUAAAAGUUUGGAAGAUACCACAAAAAGAAAAGGAUGUUAAGCUCACGAAGCCUCGAGCUUCAGUUCCAAUGACAUUUGAACUAUUCGUGUUCGGUACACGAAAGAUGGAAAACGAAGAAAACUAUUAUGAUAAAGAGAUGAGUGAAAAGGAUAUUGAAUAAGACUUAAACAAGCUGAUAUUUGACAAUAUGGGAGUGGAAGCAAGGGAAUAAAGGAAGAAAAAGGGAAGAAGCAACUUGCUGGAAAAGCAAAGGGUUGAAGCACAAACAUGAGGAAAGAGCCAACAAAACGAAGAAGGAAAACACAAAGAAGCCGUAUAUAAGGUGAGUUAAGGCUUAUGAAAAAGAGUGGAAAGAACAGAAGGAGAAAAACGAGACUCACUCCCACCUGCAACAAUGUAGAGUGAGAAGAAAUUCAGCUCUCGACUCCUACAAAAGAAGUGCAUAACAAGAGGCAAUCCGUCAUUUUUUAGAGUUUGCAUUUUCUUUUAAUUUUAAUUUUAGUUUUUUUUUUGUUUUCUUUUAUGAGUUUUGUUUUCGUUUAAUUGAAUGAUGAUGUGUUUUUCCAGAUCUAAUUCUCAUUUUGUAGUAUUUAAGAAGUGAAAUCAGGAAAGGAGCUUAAUUGGAAAAGUCGAGAGGUGUUAGAAGAUUACAAUCGAGAGCCACAUCUUUGAAUAAGUGUGGGGGUGCUGCUCAUUUUUGAAAGAUUUAAGGGAGAGUUCAGGAUAUAAUGAAGCUUAAAAUAUGUUUUUGCAAUUAUGUCAUGAAUUGAAAUUUUUUCGAAAAGCAAUUGGAGCAUAAACUGCUUUCGAAACCUCCUAGUAACUAUGACGUGGCCAUCAUUAUGUCACACCAUUGCAUUUGUUAUUUUCGCAAUCGGAAAUUUUCAUCCUUGAUCUUACGGUGUAGCCAUCAUAUUCCCACGUUGUGGUGCAAAUUUUUAUCACAAUCAGACUCUUUCAGAUUCAAAUCCAUGACGUGGUGUAUGCUCUCCCACAUCGUGACAAAUUCCCAUGCAUUAUUAUGAAGAUUUUUCGUACCAACUUUUUGAAGUAGACACUUUUGUUUCUAUUUAUCCGACACAUUUAAAUGCAGAGAGUCCAGUUUCUAGACAUUAAUGAGAUGUUCAAGUUUUGCCAUCACAAAUUAGAUUUGAUCUCGCUACUACUACCCCAUGGGAGUCUUUACUUUUUCUCCAUUUUAUUUUAUGUGCUUUAUUUUCUUUAAGCAUGCAAUAGGAACAUUGCAAGAAUUAAAUGUGGUGUAGGGGGCCAAAUAUAGGAAUACAAGAAAAUUGAUUCAAAAAAUAAAAAAUGAAAAGGAUUAAAUUUUUUUAGAGCUUAAAGACUUGAAACAAUGAUAUAAAUUUAAAAUCUAGUUAAAAAAUUAUAUAUUUUUGUGUUGUGUUUUAUGUUGCUAGUGUUAUGUGGGAUGAUCCGAUGUGAGCUUUGAUGUUUAAUUGAACCAAUAUAUGUUUUAGUGUGUUUGUAGCUUCCCUUUCCUAGUGACGUCAUGAGACAAAAACAUAACCUUGUUUAGUUUAAGGGACAUCAUACGUUUAGCAUCGUGUACUCGAAAUAUAUCUAGGAAAGCUUAUGUAGUCAUUGCAACUUAGACUAAUGUCUUUAACUAAUAAGGGUUGAAGUUAAGCUCCCUUGCUUAAUCAUAUGUUUUCCUUUUUAGGAUUUUUAGUUUUGAAUGAAAAAAGUGAGUUGUGAAAAAAAUAUAUAGUAAAGAAAAAAAGUUGUAAAAGUUUGAGUGAAUAAGAGUCUACAAAGUUAUGAAUCUCAAGAAAUGCUAGGAAGAAAAGUUCAAAAGUUUCAAAAAUUGAAGACUCGAUUUGAAGAAAGUGAAGAAUAAGGCGAAUUGCCAAGUAAUUAUUUACUAUAAUUUUUCUUUAUUGGUUAUAUUUCCUUAUGUAUGCUUUGGAGCUUAAUCAAAAAUUACCUUGAGGUUAAGAAAUAUUUUUAAGGAUAUAUCGAAGGGAUGCAUAAAACGAAUGUUGUUCAAAAUAAGCGGGGAAGUAUUUUUGAAGAUUGUGAGUACUUAGGAUUGGGGAAGUACUUAGGAAUCAUUAGACACAAACAUAUGCAUUAAGGUCUUGAUGUAAUGGAUAAGCUUAAAAUGUAUAGUCUUGCGCGAUAUUGGUAGCUAAGGUUUUGAUGUGAUAGUAUGACGAUUAUAAAAUCAUUUUUGGUUGGGGGCAAGAAAAAGUCAAGUGUGGGGUAUUUUGAUAUUUGCUUAUUUAUUCAUAUAUUUUGUGCAUUAUCUUAAUAUUUUUAACUAUAAUUGUGUUUAUUUUAGUGAAAAACUUGCUUAAUAUGUUAAAAAUAUGUUUCGUAGCUGUAAAGGCGUGCUCGAUAUUAAAAGGAAGCAAAAUGCAGAGUUGAAAGUAGGAAAAAGUGGGCCAGGUAAACCGAAGUAAAAAACUCCAUGAAUUUUGAAGCCCACGGUGUGGAGAUCCUUAGCCACACCGUGGUGAGGAGAAGUUUCGCGAUCAGAGAACCGCCUUGGGGAAUACACAUUUUUCAUGGGUGUCACGUCAUGGAGCCUAUUCACCAUGACGUUGGAGACGAAUUUAUGGACACAAUAUAUAUGGCGGUUCUACCUUUACACCUACCUUAUGCUUCUAGUUCUUCUCGAAUUUUGAAGAACAGAAACGUGCUAGAAGACUGAGAAAGAUCUGAAUUCAUUUAGAGCUUAAAUGUUGAAGAUAUAUAGAAGAAACCAACAUUAAAUCCUUUGGUUUGCUAGCUUUAAUCAUGUCUAGUCCUAUUCUGUCACACCCCGCUAAAGCGGAAACGCAAGGUAUGACAGCGAUAACGGUUUCAUUGCAAAAGAUAAAGAUACAUCAACAUAGCAGUAUUUAAAAGUUUACAACCCAUAGUUUAAAAGAAACAACGUACAAGUUUUUCCAAAACAACAUUGAUCAAAAUAUAACUUCAUAAUAGCUUCAACACGAUGCAGCAUGCUCUAUGAUGAUGGAUCUUUACAUCCACUUACUAAUUAUUUCCUGAAAAAACAUGUAAAACGAGCGUCAACUAUGAAAAUAGUUGGACAUGCUUUUCCACCCCAAAACAUAAAAACUGAAAAUAGGGGAUUGCGUGAAUACUCACGAUGUUUCGUGUAGGCACAAGCGGUACUUCGGGAUGCACCAACGUCUUACUACCGGGAUCCUACGACAUCAAACACACACUAGUGAGUUUCCAUGUCGAAAUCUAAUGCUAAUAUACUAAACUCUACGUAUAGUGAAAUGCCAAUUUAUGUUUUAGUAUUGGAUUUUAUAUUAAUUGGUUACACUUUUUCUGAAAUAAUGAAAUUCUACAAGUCGUGUGAUUAAUUACAACUUUGGAAUAUUAAUUUUCCAAAUUUUUGAAGUCUCUUUAACAACAUAAUUUCACGAAAAACAGCAUUCAAGGGAUAAAAAUUCUCAAACUUUUUAUUUAACUGUUAUUACACAAUACGAAGCUGGGAAAAAUAUAAAAAUGGAUUUCCAAGCUGUUUAAUUAUAUUUUAUGAUUUAUGAGCAUUUAUUCCAAUAAAAAUUGAAAUAAAUAAAAAACAGUUUCCAAAAUUACCUAAACUUUUUAUUUAACUGUUAUUAUACAAUACUAAGCUGGGAAAAAUGUAAAGGAUAUUUUUCAGUGGGCAUUUCUAUUUUUCAUUGUUUUAUUCCUUUAAAUAGUCAUUAAUUGAAGAAAUAAUAUUAAACAGUUAAAAUAAAUCACCAUAAAUUUUGUAACAUUAUCUACAGUAUAAAUAACCUGGGAAAAAUAUCAAAAGUGGUUUUCAUAAUGUAUAAACUGGUUUUGGGUAUUUAUGUGUAUUUAAGUGUAUUUUAUUUCAAUUAACAUUAGAAAAUAAGAGAAAAAUAGUUUACAGUAGAGAAAAAUCCUCAAAAUGUUUAUGGGACCUCCUACUGUACAAUAUGAUAUCCUGGUAAAUUUGCAUCAAUUUUGGAUAAUCAGAACUAUUUUUCCUAUUUUUAGACCAUUAUAAUUACCAAAAAUUGGGAAAAAUAGUAAGACAUGAUGAAAAAUCGUGAAUUUAUUUUCUGGAGUCACCCAUCACAGGUAAGGUAUGCGACAAUUGUAAAAAAAAAAUUUCACAUUCUCUAAAGUGGUUUUGUGAUUUAUUAUGCCCUAACAAAAAGAAAAUCGGAAAUCAUAUCAAAUAGCAACGGAAAUUGAUGAAGUUUGGUGAGGGGUCAUUAUUCUCCAUAUGGAUCAGCCAUGAAUUUAUUCAGGAUUUAUUGACCUCUGGAAGUAGUUUAUGUGAUUUAUACCCUUGGUUUUAGCAAUAAUUUUAAUAAAUCAAAGAAAUAAUAAAAGCUCUUGAAAUUUUCCAGACUAUCACAUGCAUGUGAGGGCUUUCAAAAGGAAAAAUGUUAAAAAUUUAUUGAUAAGGGAAAUGGGGGUAAUGAAUCCAAACAAAUUAAGAAAUGUUGCAUGCAAUGGUGCAUGAAAUGUAGAUGUGGCUGAAGUUCAUGAAUUUGUGUAGCCCAUUCAGUGAGGUUUUAAGCCACGAAAUUUCAGCCAUCAUUCACUAGAUAUGUUAAGUUUCUAAAGUAUUUUUCCUCAGAUUUAUGGUUGGGUUUGAGGCCGUUGAUCAUGCAAGGCAAAAAUUGUGAUCACAGAAAAAGAGCUGUUUGCGCAACCAUUUCGUAAAAAUUGCCACAAAUCGGAUAAUUAAUAAUUUACAGUGAGACCAGUUGGGUUUGAAGGCUAGCUCGUGGAAAUAUCCAAUACAAAAAGAAUAUCAUGAUUUGGUUAAGAAAUGACCGAGUUAUGGCCGUUCAAAGUCGAACAAAGUAAUCUGGCAGAUUGCAUGUUUGUUUGUGUGCAUUAUUAGGGUAUUUUGACAAGAACAUCAUGCAUGCCUUUGUUAAGGUCCGAUUUCUAACACAUGCAUGGAGUGAAUGAGCAUCCAAGAUGUACUAUAAAUGGUUUAAAUGCUUUUGUUCAUGCAAGAACACAAAAGAAAUGGAGAAGAAGAUGAAAUAUUCGGUUUUGAUGUCACAUGAACAUAUGUGCCUCUUUUUCACUCGUUGCAUGGGUUUGAUCCCGGAUUUUCACCAUCUCAAACACAUGCAUUGUGUUAUGGUGAGAAUCUACAAACCACAAGGGAAAAAUAAGGAUUUUUAGCCAUGGAAAGGCAUAGAAUCCGAAAAGUAGAGAAAAUUAUGAAGAAGAAGAAGUAACAUCAUGAAACUAUGAGAGAGGAUUGUGUUGUUUACCUUGGUUUUCAUCUUGAGAGAAGUAAGAACACUUCAAGCUCUCCUAAAUCUCGAAAUAUGGCAGAGGAAUGAGAGGAUUUCGUGGGUUAGAGAGAGAGAAAGGAAGAGAGUUUGUGUGAGAAGAGAGUUGAGUGUAAGAGAGUGAAGAGAGAAGAGGUAGUGUGAGGGAAUGAGUUUAAUGAUUGAGUUUUGGGGAAGAGAGAGUGCAUGGGGAGAGGAGAAUGGCCGGCUCUUGCAUGCCUUAAGCCUCCUCUCUCCUAAUUUUCAAAUUUUAUAAAAUUCUCUUUAUUUUCUUUAUAAAAACCCUAAUUUUAUAAAAGUGUUUAUUAAGCAAAUUUGAUUUACUUAAAAAUCUUGUUUUUAACUAAUAAAUUAUGAUUAAUACUUGAUAAUUUAAUUUCUAUUUCAUUGAUUAUAAUUCAUAAUUUGGUUAAUAAAAAUUUGAUAUUAGGAAGUUUAUGGCCAAAUUUUAUAAAGUUUUUAAGCUUUAUAAUUUAUAAGUUUGGAUUUUUGGCUCUUUAGGGUUUUUGGAAUAUUGUUUGACAUUCAUCAACAUGUUGAAGUAUAAUUAGAAUGUUUUAAUUUAUUUUUAGGGUUUUAUGCCCUAUUUCAAUUAUAACAAAGCUUAAAGCUUCAUUCUAAUUAUAGCAUUGACAUUUUCUAUUGUAGUUAAGCAACUUACUAGAAUUGUCAGUGUCAAGUAUAUUAGUCUUAGAUCUUAGUUGGAUCCUAGUUUAUGCAAGAAUUUUGACGUAAUUUAUACUACUAGGUCAUAGCAUGUUGUGCAUGAAUGGUUUUUAUAAAGAUGCAUGAGUCCGAAAAUGACCUGAAUUGACAGUUGUCACAUAUUUGCUUUGAUUUUAUGUGUUUUUCUACAAUGAUUAUAGGCUAAAACCCUUAGACUUUUGUUGGUGAUGAUGAACCCUUCGAAUUAUGUGUUUAUUUCAAUCUUAUGGCUACUUAUUAUUGUUUUUUCUAGUGUUGAUAAAUCGCAAUCAUUACAUGUUUAAGUUCUAGUUUUUAAUUGCCUUGUUACAAGCUUUGUGUAGUAGAUGAUCAUUCUAUUUGCAUGAAUUCGCUAUCUAGUUGUUUAUGAUCAUUAAAUGCCAGAGAUAGGUACUUAGAGUUAGUAAAUUUAACCAUGUUAGAGAUCAUAAUUGUUCCAUAAUGUGUGUUUGGUUGCUUGACUUGGUCAUAGAAAAGUAACUCUUAAGAUUUAUUGUUCUUAGCCAAAUUUAUCCUUAUAUUAGUUUCAUGUUUACUUGUCUUUGAUCAUUACAUAGUAAGUCAUAAAUUGGAAACAACUAGGAAUUUGAUCAUAAUAAUUAGUUACAUAAUAAUUUGGUAACUAAUAGAUGUAAUCUAAUAGAAAUCAAUCAUAGGAGAAAAUGGGGGAAUUUAGAUAUAACGAAGGUAGUAUUUAAUAUUGAAUUCAAAUCGUUUUCUUUGCUUGCUUAAUUUUUAAUAAUUUUUUAAUUAGUAGUCCUUUGAAUUAAGUUACUGAACUUGCAAAAUCAGUAAAACUGCCAUUUAAAGUUUGUUUCUUAAUUUAAUUACUAGAAGUUAUUUUAUAAAUUAAAAUUAUGUUGCCUGUGUUCAACACCCGACUUACCUAAACUAUCCUAUAAAUUGACUUGGUACACUGCCUAAGUGCAAUUAGGUAAUUAAGUUGGUUAGGUUUAUAAAUUUAAAACGGGUGGUAUAUAAAUUGCACAUCAGUUGGAAAUGAUAGAUGACUUGUUAAUUUAUUAUGUGAUUAAUAAAUCUAUAUGAGAUCAAUUCUUAAAUAAUUGAUUUGUUAAUUUAUAUGACAAAAAAAUUAAAAUUAAAUCAAUUAUAAUUGAUUAAUUAUUAAUCAAAACUAUUAUGAAAUUAAUUCAAAAUUAGUUAUAAUUAAUUAAAGGUGGAAGGGAUGGAUAUUAAUUGUUAAAUAAUUAAACAAAAAAGACAAUUCUAGAAGCAUCCAAGGAUGCAUGGCUUUGGGAGCCCCACUAGGGUUUCGAGAAGUCUCAUAGAUGCUAAUAAAGAAAUGAUUUGAAUUAGAAUUAAAUCCAUUAUUUUAUUAAUUCAAAUCUUACUUGAUUUGAAUUAGAAUUAAAUCCAUUAUUAAUUAAUUCAAAUGUGGCUUUGUCUGCAAGUUACCUAAACUAUAAAUAGGACUCAUGUGGCUAGGAUUUUCAUGGUUACUAGUUCCUAGAUGCAUAUGAACAAAAAUUAUAUAUCUCCUCCUCUCACCUCACUUAUCUUCUAGUACUAGGGUUUGGGUGUGAGCCAUUAGAGAUAUCAUACUUUCGGUGCUAGCUUUCCAAGCUUUUCAAAGGAAGGAUUGAAGUGAUUUGCUUAUUACAACAAAUCAAAUGUAUUUAUCCCAAAUUCUUGUAUUGAAUUUUAAGUAAAUUAGGGUUCAUCUAGAUAUUUUUGUUAAUAGUAUGUUACAUUUAAAGUAUAUGACAUAUAUCCUAUAUGUUGCAUGUACCCUUAGGUGUUAAGUGAAAUUUCACAUGCACAUUAAUUUUGUAACCUAUAAAAGCUAGCACGUCCAUGGAAUGUCAUUUAAGUGAGUUUUAUUAUUUAUUUUCUUUUAUUUUCAUUUUAUUAUUUUUUAAUUCAACAACUAUAUACUCGGUUUUUACGUGUUUUACAUUUUUUUAGGUUUUUCUAAUCCUUUUUGUUUUUCUAUAUUUUUAAUGUCUUUACUACAUAUAUGAAAAUUCUUUUUUCUUUUUGUUUUUUUUAAACUAAAUAUCGGUUCGAGUUUUAAAUGUUCAACAAUUAUAAGUUUUUAAAUAAAAAAAAUAUUAAGGAUCCAUAUUUUUCAUUAAUACUAUUUUUGAAUCAUAAAAUUUUGAAUUAAACUAUUUUGAAUGAUAGUAUUUGGAAUCAAAUUAUUUUUGAAUCACAUGAUUUUGGGUUAAUAAUAUAUUCAAUUAAAAAAUUGGUUUGGUUAAAAAAAAUUGUUGACUUAUAUAUAUUUUGAAUUAUAAAAGAUAUAAUUUAAGAUUAUAAAAUAUGUGAAUCUAAAUAAUUUUAGAUCAUAACAUUUUAAGGAUCGUAACCAAGUUGAAUCAAAUGUUUUUUUUUCAAUAAUAAAUAUUUUCAAUCAUAAAUAUUUUGUAGCACUAGGUUCCAAAGUAUUCCUUAUUUUGACCCUUGUUAUUAAAUUAACAUGCAAAUUUUGUCCUAAGGGGGCGAAAGUGACACUUUUGGGAAGGAGGGAGUAUGCUGGGCAUACGCUGUCUAGGGACAAACCCUAAUUUUUAGGGUUUAGACCCUAUUUAAGCAUCAUUAUUGACUCAAUACCUUUCCUCGCAUUAGCCUCCUUCCCUCUGAAUAUACCCCACGAAACGGUAGCCAUAUUUGGUGCAUUCUUGAGCUAUUGGUUGAGUUUUUGUCCCUUUUUGGUGCAAUAGAAGAAUAAGAGACUUAGUGGUCGUGUAUUGUUGGAGUUUGAGCCUCAAGAUCUAGAGCUAACUUCUUCAUUGCAAGCUUCUGGAGGUAAAACGUUAUUACCUUGAUGGUUCCAUUGUUGAGAUCUCAUUUACGGGUAGAUUUAGGAGAUUUUGGUUCCAUGACCUUGGUUCUUGGGAGUAUGGGCUACUUGUGAACAUUAGAAUGGCAUUUCUAGUAGAUUUAAGGUCCUUAAAGCAUAAAAAUCGACUCGUGAUGGUUUUGUUUCAAACAUGCAUGAGUUGUAGACCUUUGUAAGGUGUUUUGGACUUAGGUUUUAAUUUUGGGUCCUUGUGUUACAAACUUUAUGGAUUAAGACAUCAUUGAGUAGUAGAUAUGUGGUUUGGAUAUUAAGGUCUUAAGUAAUUAAGACCCUAGGUUAGCUUUUGGGACUCUUGAUAGUACGAUGGGCAUACUCCUUAGUAUGUUGCACUUAUUGGAUCAGCAGCCCGCUUUCGGGUCAACGGGUCAACCUGCUUCUAUGGGGCGUACGCCAUGUUGUGGGCCUCCUUCUAUUUUGUGCCAUUUUUGGGCUUUUCGGGAUAGAUGGACCAUUUUGGGGUUUCAUGCUUUCAUAUUUAGGCCCAUUAAGAAAAGGGUAAAAUGGUCUUUUACCAUGGGAGUUGGAACUAAAGACUUAGACUCUUGGAUUUGGUUUAUACCCUAAUUAUUAAUUAGGAUGUUAUUUGAUCAUAUUUAGUGCGAAUAUUUCCCGGAAUAGCAGCCCGAGCAUUUAUCUGAUUUUUUCAACACUUAAAGGUGAGUCUCCUCCCAGUGUUUAGCGGUUCGAAGGCACUAAUGCCGAUCCAUGGAUUAUUGAUGUCUGUAUGCUAGUAGUCUUUGUGACAUUGUAUGUGUGUAUGUAUUGUAUGCAUAUNGCUAGGUAAGACCUGAUUGGUGUGUUGGGUGGGGUUCAUCACAUGAUACAAACAAAUCUGUUUCGAGCGGGGCUCGAUGCCAAGUGGGUCCCUGUGACAUCCCCAAUUUCAUGGCCAGAAAAGACCAAUUUUUUUAUGCAUUAUUUGAAAAUCAGAGUAUCCUUUUAAAGAAAUAUGUUGCGAAAUUUGUUCCCAAAAUAUAAUAAGUUAAUUAUCAAAGCAUUUUUAAAGAAAUGUGUUUCCAUUAUUUUAAAAACGUUGGGAUGUCAUUGUCAGUACAGUACAUAAGCAUAAACCAAAAUAGUACACGCCUUACAACAUCUAUUAUUAUAAUGACCUAUAAUCCAUAGAUUUCUCAUCACAUCAACACUCAUGUGCUCUUUGACCACUACCUGUAAUACAAGAAACUAAGUGGGUUAGGCUUGGGAGCCUGGUGAGCACAUACGGUUUUAAACCCACGAUAAUUAAUUUUAUUAGUUUCAUCAAAUCAUUCAUCAUGAUUACUCGUUACCGUUAUCCUCACUUUCCGUCCCUAAAACAUCUAAUUCAAGGUACCUAGCCUAAGCAUCAUCAUCGGAAUGAAAAUAAUGCUUAGGGGAUUCCUCAUCAAUAUAUGUCAGUAAGGAAACCAUGAGGGGGAUGGAGUACACCAGUGAACACAUCGUUAACAAACACCUAGAGCUUGCAAGCCUGCUAGCGUUUCACUAGACUGUCUAGAAUAGUCCGUGGUCGUCAUCUAUACUCCGCUAGAUGAUGGGAUCAGCUUAAACAUCAAGGCUUCUCAUCAUUUCUUUCAUCAUCUAUAUCAUCUACCCAUCUUUACUCAUCAUAAUUAUAGCUAUAAAAUACAUACACAGUUUAAAUUGAAUAAAACUUAUAUAUUUUAUUCAUCCAAGAUAAAUAUGAAGAACACAGAUAAUAUGCACACAUAGCACGCAAUUUAUAUUAAAUACUUCAUAUCUAUGUGUAAGAUGAAAGUAACUAUUCAAUCACUUGUUAAAGUGAUGACUCCAAACUCGAGCAGCGCUUCACUUCUAACACUUUUAUUUUCCUUCUAUGAAACCUAGUAUCAUUAUCACUGGAUCUUAGUCUAAUGUUUAUUGCGACUAAUUAUUAGUCUAGGUAAUAUUGUUUGCAAUGUAUUAUAUAAGUGUUAAAAAAUACUUUUCAACUACUAUGUAUUGAAAGGGGACAAACAUGAAACACCGGUGGGCAUGACCAUUUUGGCAUUUAAGCUGUUCUGAAACCCAACAACCCUAAGCGACCCUUCAAACUAGAUUCCGCGUACCGCGAGCAGUUAAAAGGUAUCAUAAUAAAAAUUUGCAUAAUUUAUAAUACUUAGCACAUAUAUUUUUUUAUAGGAUCAUAAUAACGAUAAUGAACUUAAACAUAAGUUAUACUUAAAGUAGGGUAAGCAUAACUCACUUACAAGGGGGUUUAGCUAGGAGUCAGGAUCUGCAGGGCAGAACUUCUGAGCCGAAAGAUCUUCUUCUCGUAGCCUUCUGGUGCUUCAGGACUCAACUCAAGCACUUGGGAAGUACUAGGGGAUGGUAAAGAAUAAGAAGAGUAUUUGAGAGAGAAAGAAUGGGAAAGGUGUGAGUUUUUGGGUUGAUCCUCGCAUCUAUUUAUUGGCUGGAUCCUCGGAGUAUGCGGGGCAGAACUUCGGAGUACGUUACACGCACUCGGUACAUUAGGGGUAUGAGUCCCUACGUUGUGCGCACAAGGGGCAGGUGUGUCCUUAUUCGGCCACGUGUCACCCUCGCAUCCUAAUCCUAUUAACUUCUAAAUUCCGUAACUUUCGCAUACUAUCUCUGGUUUUGAUGUUCUUUAUAUCCACGCGUAGAUGGCGACGUGUCCUACAACUUUCGUUUAGACUCCAUCGGCUAAUUUAAACUUUAUUUUUAAAGUUAUAUUUUAACAAGCUUAUAUAGAUAAAGUCCAUUAGAAAUUCAUAACUUUGUCAUCAGACGUCCGUUUCCGUCUGUCUUUAUAUCGUUAAGUUCUUAUUAACGCGAUCUUCAAUUCUCGUUUAGAUCGUGUCGGCUAAAAAUCGAUCGAUCUAAAAUUCGAAUAUCGGGCUACAUACUACUUUGCCAAAUCUUAGAAAAAUCAUAACUUUUUGUAACGAAGUCAAAUUUGGACAUUCACUAUAUGCACGCUCUCGGUUUAAUGUAUUCUACGAAUUUUGUUUAGAUCGCCAAGUCUAAAAAGUAUUUUAUCCCAAACUCACAUUUUACGAUACACCGCGUCGUGCCGGUUUUUUUGCAAAACUUUGACGGGCCAAAACUUCUUCGUUAUAUGUCGGAUUUCAGCAUUCCUUAUAUCUCCGAAAUCCUUGUUGCGACCACUUCAACUUUCUUCAUAGAUAUUGGGUCUAUCUUUUAUUUUAUUUUCAUGCAUAUUUUUAUUACUAUUUUAUUACAUUGUUAUAAGCACGUAUAUUGCACAUAAAUCACAUAAUUCACAUAAUACUCAAAUAAUUCAUCUUCAUUACUUCAAAAUAAGUUACAAUUGUUGACACUAACUAUUACAUCAUCAUACUAAUGCUUAUACAUAAACACGGGCGUUACAAUUCUCUCCUCCUUAGGAUAAUUCUGUCCCGGAAUCAUGCGUCAGCAAACAAAUGUGGAUAGUGACUUAUCAUGUCACUUUUUGUUUCCUUGGUAAGAUUUGGCCCAUUUGAGUGUUUCCAGUGCAUAAGCAACAAGUCGGCCAUCUUUCGUUGCAACUUCUUUGUCUUACGGUCAACCAUUGCUUCAGGCUCUUCGAUUAACCUCUUAUUUUCAUCCAUCUUGAAUUCCAAAAGUGGAAUUAUAUCUGGAACUUCUCCUGUGAACUUCCUCAAAUAACACACAUAGAAACUAUGAUGAAUAUUGUCUAGUUCUUCUGGAAAUUCUAGUUUGUUAGCUUGCUUCCUAAUCCUCUUAAGAAUCUUGAAUGGUCCAAUAAACCUUGGACUCAACUUUCCUAUUUUUCCAAGUCUUAUAAGUCUCUUCCAGUGUGAGACUUUGAACAAUAACGUAUCUCCAACUUUAAAUGCCAUUGCUCGUUGCUUCUUGUUAGCAUAACUCUUUUGGCGAUCUUGAGCCGCUAACAUCCUUUCUCUAAUCACUUUUUACUUUUCAGCAGUCUGAUGGAGUAUCUCGGGACCCAUAAACUGCUUUUUUUUCUGUCCACAAGCCAACAAGACAGUGUAUGACACUUCUGUCCAUAGAAGGCUUGAUAAGGUGCCAUCUUUAUGGUCAAAUGGUAACUAUUGUUGUAGGAAAACUCUACCAGGGGUAAAUGCUCAUCCUAGUUACCUUGAGAUUCUAGGGUACAUGCUCUUAGCAUAUCAUCCAAUGUUUAAAUUGUUCUUUCACUCUAACCAUCAGUUUACGGAUUGUAGGUUGUACUUAAAAAAAAUUCAUACCCAUUUCCUCUUGUAGACUUUUCCAAAAUCUUGAUGUGAAACAACUGUCAUGAUCAAAUACAAUCUUUUAAGGUACACCUUGAAGUCUUACUAUCUCCUUCACAUUAGCAUUUGAAAGCUUGUCCAUAGACGACCUCUCAUUGGCUGUUAUGAAGUGUGGACUCUUAGUGAACUAAUCUACGACUACCCAAAUCAUGUUGUGACCAUUGUUAAUCCCGGGCAGUUUAGUCACAAAAUCUGUGGUUAUCUCUUCCCAUUUACCCAUGGGUACAGGUAAAGGUUCUAAACACCCAUACAAUUUCUGAUGUUGUUCUUUAACUCUUGCACAUGUUACACAAUCUGCCACAUACUUUACAACAUCGAGCUUCUUCAUCGGCCACUAGUAGUAAGGUUUCAUAUCCCUAUACAUCUUAGUGUUGGUGGGAUGAAUCGAGUGCAUAGUCUUGUGAGCUUCUUCCACCAGAAGAUGUCUUAUUCCUCCUAUCUUAGUAACCCAUAUCGUAUCUUGGAAUACCUUCAUCCCUUAACUAUUUGUACCAAAUACCAACAUUUUGACUACCCGUUCUUCCUUUCGGUCAUUUUCUCUAGAGCUUCUUCCUAAGCUUUUUUGAUGCUUUCCACAAUAGUUGAGACAACUUCUAUUCUUAAUGCUCUUGGCCUUUUUCUUUCGAAGUUUACUUUUCAACUUAGAGCAUCAACUACGACAUUUACUUUAUCAGGGUGGUAAAGUAUCUCACAGUCGUAAUCCUUGAGCAACUCUAACCAGCGUCACUGCCUCAUAUUUAAUUCUUUAUGAUCAAAGAGAUACUACAGUAUUUUAUGAUCAGUGAAGAGCAUGCACUUUGUGCCAUAAAUAUAAUGCCUCCAUAUCUUUAAUGUCAAUAUUACCGCUAACCCAACUCCAGAUGCAUCGCUAUAGACUGCGAAGUCUUCAACUCCGUUAGGUAAAGAAAGUGUUGGAUAUAGCGUAUAAGUCCAUAAAUUUAUUUGGUAUUUACUUGAUCCGACCCGACAUGGUCCAUUUGGGUUGCAUGACAUUGCAAUACUUGGAUAGACAAUGAGAGAAAGGACACUUGUGAUUAUUAAUAUAUUAUAAGUUCUAAUAUAUUAAUAAUAGUAUUAUUUAAUUAGUGAUCGAUCAAGUAUUAAUUGAAAAUUAAUUUGGUGAUCAAAAUGAGUCUAAUUAGAUAGACAGGGUUGAUUAUGACAAUCAUUUAAUCUUUUAUGGUAUUAAUGAUCCAUAGUUUAUGGAGCUGGGUUAUAACCAUUUGGAGCUCCAUGGAUAGUUCAUGGGAGUUACAAACCCAUAGAUCAUAGGAAAGGAAGAGUGGUGACAAUUAUGGGCAUUCAUGUGAAAACCCUAAUUGUGACAACACUAUAAAAGAAGACCUAUAGUUAGCAAAAUCGGCCACUAGUGUAUUCUAAGAGGGCAAAACCGAUUUUUUAGUGCAAGUGUAUUCUAUCAAGUUAUUCCAAGUCUUGUAGUGUUUUUUUAAGCAUUUGAGGCACAACGUUUGGGGUGCUAGGCUCACUAAGUCUUCAAGGAAUCCAAGCAACAAGAAAGGUAUGUACUUCUACUAGUUUUUAUAUUACAUAUUCCCCAUGCCAUGCUAGUUAGGAAGUAAACCUGGAAAAAUCAAAUUUGCAUGUAUAUUAGAGAAAACAUAGAUUCAAGGUUUAUAUGGUUGCAUGUACACCAUAGGAGUGUUAGAAUGCUCAAAACCCAUCAGUGGUAUCAGAGACUAGGAUUGUUUUCUAUAUCUUUGAUGCAAACUGCUUAAAAUAUCGAAAACUACUCACUGUUCAACUGGACUCGCUGAGUGCAAGGGGAGAACUUGACGAGUCCAAGGCAAAGUUCAUCGUACUCAUCGAGUAGGAUCAUGCAAUCGACGAGUAGGUGCGUGUUGGGCAGUUUUCCGAGUUAUGUUGCUUGAAAUGGGCUAGAAUCAUUAUCCCAAACUGUUUUGGACUUAUAAAAUCUGUUUUUCAAAGUGGUAAUGAUUAUGUUAACCCAUUUCAAAUGACUAUUAUCAAUUUUCAAGUAUUAUAUGUGUUAAUAUGAUUUCUUGAAAUUGUUUGAUAUGAAUAUUUGUUCUUAUGAGUUUUUAGAAGAUCAUAGGAAUUAUGUGUAACUUAUAUGCUUGUUUAAUUCAUGAUCUUAAUGCUAAUGAUGGUGUCCAUAACUUGUCCUCAAGUUAUGGUAAACCAAAAGUCACUUCUUUAAAUUGUUAUUAAAGAACAAAGAGGUUUAAUGUAACACUGUAAAUUUCAAAAUAAUUUUUCGCAUAACAUAAAAACUUAAUUCAUUUACUAUUUGUAAAAACAUCAUUUGUUUCAAGUUCAUAUUCAUAGCACGUAAUAAUCCAAAGAUCUCAUAACAUAAAAUCCCGUGUGUGUACUCAUCAGACCGGCGCCUUCCCGCGAUCCUCACUGGUACCUGAAACAAUAACACCAAACACUGUAAGCACAAAGCUUAUGGAGUUUCCCAAAAUCCCACAUAACACAUAUUAGCCACUCAAGGCUAUAACUCUGUGGGUCCGUGCACCCAAACUCUGUGAACCCUCUGGUUCUAACUCUGUGAACCUUUCGGUUCCAACUCUAUAAACAUGCACAUCAUAAAUCACAUAGAAAUAAUGCAGUACAACACAUAACAUAUAAAUGGCAUACAACACUGUAUCACACAGCUCUAGUUAUCUACUCAGGGUAAAGUAUAUUAAGAAGACUCACCUCGCGUAUCUCUAUAACUCGCAAAUCCCGGAAAUCACUCGCGCUCGAUCCCCCGAGCUAUAAUCCUCCUAUAACAUAAUAUAUCUCUAAUUAACACUUUCACAAAUAAGGUUGACUAACCCUAUCAAGUCAACACUGGUCAACUCUGGUCAACGGUCAACUUUGACCGGACUCGGCGAGUGCACUAGCGCGACUCGGCGAGUCUGUACAUGUUCACUGACUCCCUCGGAUCCUCUGUUGACACGUCGAGUACUUCCCUAACUCGACGAGUUCCACCUGGCAUGAAUCGCGGGGUCACCAUGACUCAACUCGCCGAGUCUCAAAAACAACUCGGCGAGUUCCGCUUGACUCAGACCCGUAUUGACUCUCCCUGAAUCACUGGGUCAUCCCCUAACCCGGUGAGUCUACUCGCUGAGCAAUUUACGUGAAACCCCAACCCUACUCGCCGAGUCUCAAGAACAACUCGGCAAGUUCAUGCCAUGCAGAAACUCUAUUGACCUUCUGAGGUCAGAUCUACUUUCCCAAACCAUAGAUCUGGCCUUCCCAAGCAUAAAUGUCACGUAAAGUUCGAAACUUGAUGCUUGUAUAACCCCCACAAGGCAUCAAAAGGAGAUUUGGUCCCAAAAAUGACAACCUAGGUCCAUUAACUCCAUAAUAACCCAAAAAGCUCCAAGGGUUAAUGUCUCUGGACCUCUUUGAGUCCAGAUCCAAGGCACAAAAUUGAAGAGGGACCAUUUCCUUCACCAAAUCACUCUCCAAAAGAGUUAGAAAACCCUAACUCUAAAGAUCAACCCUAAAACUGAAGGAGGUUCGAACUAUUACCUCAAAAUGAUGCCUCUGGACUCUGGAUCUACUGGAAUCUCCCUCCUCCUUGCUCUUGCCACCUUCUUCUUGCUAAACAAGGAAUACAAAGGCCCAAAAGUGACUUCCUCUCUCCUAAAACGAAUUAGGUCCCUUAGGGUUCUCUCAAGGGACUGGUAGCCGCAAUGGGAGGCUAUAAGUACCCUUAAAUAGGCUCCAAACCCGCGGAAUUAGGGUUUCAUUAAACAGCGUGGACUCGCCGAGUCCACUUUUGGACUCGCCGCGUCCAGACGCGAACCCGUGCCCAUAGCCGCGAUCAUACUUGGCGAGUUUGGGCUCCAACUCGCCGAGUCUCGUCACAAAUCACCAAAAAUAUAAGAAUGAAUAAUACCUGGGAAUCCGGGCUGUUACAAUUCUCCCCCACUAGAACUAGUCUUCACCCUCGAAGUCUCGCUCUGCAAAUAACUCCGGAUGCUGCUCAUGCAUCUCACGCUCCGGCUCCCAAGUCAUCUCGGACCCCUUCCGAUGCUGCCACUGAACCAAAACCAAGGGUACCUCCUUGCUCCUCAUAACCUUGAUCUUUCGAUCCACAAUUGCGACUGGUCUCUCUGCGUAGUUCAGGCUCGCAUCCACCUGAUUGUCCACUAACGACACUACCGCCGACUCGUCGACUAUACACUUCCGCAAUUGCGACACGUGGAAAGUGUCGUGAANCCCAUAAGGACCUUCAUUUGAAGAGUAACCUCCAAUGUGAGUCCAUACGCACCUUCUAUGCAACCCUUGAUACUUCUAGCACUUGUAGCAAAGUGUUUUUAUGUAAUAAGUUCACUCCUUUCCAAGGAGAGACCUUCAGGAGCACAAAGUCUCCGACCUGAAACUCAAGCUCGGACCGACAUAUGUCCGCAUAACUCUUCUGACGACUCUGAGCGGUCAACAACCUCUGUCUGACCUGCUGGAUCUGCUCUGUCGUCUGAAGCACGAUCUCUGUACUGCCCAUAACACGCUGUCCGACCUCUCCCCAGCAAAUGGGGGUCCGACACCUCCUUACGUACAACAUCUCAAAGGGUGGCAUACCAAUGCUCGAAUGAUGGCUGUUGUUGUAAGAAAACACUGCCAAGGGCAAAUACAUGUCCCAACUCCCUCCGAAGUCCAACACGUAUGCUCGGAGCAUGUCUUCGAGCGUCUGAAUCGUCUGCUCACUCUGUCCGUCUGUCUGGGGGUGAUAUGCGGUACUAAAAUGCAGCCUAGUACCCAACUCCUCAUGAAACUUCUUCCAGAAUCUGGAAGUGAAACGUACAUCCCGGUCUGAGACAAUCGAGAUCGGCACCCCAUGCCGAGAUACCACUUCCCUCACGUACAUCUCUGCUAACUUCUCUGCGGAGGAGCUCUCACUAAUAGCAAGGAAGUGGGCACUCUUUGUCAAGCUGUCCACAAUCCCCCAAAUUGCAUCGACUCCCCUAGCAGUCCUUCGCAAUUUGGUGAUAAAAUCCAUGAUAAUCUAUUCCCACAUCCAUUCGGGAACCUCCAACGGCUGCAACUUACCAUGCGGUCUCUGGUGCUCGGCCUUAACCCUACGGCAGGUUAAGCACCUCUCAACAAACCACGCAACAUCCCUCUUCAUACAGGGCCACCAAUACUCCCUCCUCAGGUCCAAAUACAUCUUAGUGGCCCCAGGAUGGAUCGAGAAUUUCGACCGAUGAUCCUCUUCCAUCAAAAUGGUACGCGCCCCUCCCACAAACGGUACCCAUAUACGCCCCUGAAAAGUCAUAAGCCCCCGACCAUCGGUAACGAACUUCGAUACCACCCCAACAACUCCCUCCCUCUUCUGGUUCUCCGAUCUCACGGCCUCAGCCUGUGCUCCACGAAUGGUGUCCAACACCGGAGCCAUCAUGGUCAAUCGCAAACAUACACCUCGCAAUGGGGCACUCUCCGCCCUGCGACUCAGGGCAUCAGCUACCACAUUAGCCUUUCUCGGAUGGUACAGAAUCUCACAAUCAUAAUCCUUGACCACAUCCAACCACCUCCUCUGCCGCAUAUUUAGGUUGGGCUGAUCCAUCAAAUACUUCAGGCUCUUAUGGUCCGUGUAUAUCGUACACCGAACCCUAUACAAAUAGUGACACCAAAUCUUGAGGGCCAAUACCACUGCACCCAACUCUAGAUCAUGGGUGAGAUACCUCAUCUCAUGAGGUUUCAGCUGCCUCGAUGCGUAUGCUAUCACAUGCCCUCUCUGCAUCAGCACCGCUCCCAACCCCAAGAUCGAUGCAUCACAAUAUACCACAAAGUCCUCCAUCCCCUCCGGGAGGGCUAACACGGGGGCUUUGCAUAACCUUUGGCGAAGCGUCUCAAAGGAGGCCUGCUGCUCGGGGCCCCAUGAAAAAGCGACACCCUUCUGGGUCAACCUGGUGAGUGGCACUGCGAUCUUAGAGAAAUCCUUGAUAAAUCUCCGAUAAUAACCUGCCAACCCUAGGAAACUCUUGAUCUCGGAGGGUGACCUCGGCACCUCCCAACUCAUCCCCGCCUCAACUUUGGCCAGGUCGACCAAUAUCCCUUUCUGGUUAACGAGAUGACCCAAGAAUUGGACCUCUCACAACCAGAAAUCCCACUUGGAGAAUUUGGCAUAAAGCCUCCCCGAUAUCAGAACUUUGAGGAUCUCCCUCAAAUGAUCCUCAUGCUGCUCUCUAGAUCUCGAAUAUACCAAAAUGUCAUCGAUGAAUACAAUCACCGACCGAUCCAACAUCGGCCUGCACACUCGGUUCAUGAGAACCAUGAACACUACCGGGGCAUUGGUGAGCCCGAAAGGCAUCACCACAAACUCGUAAUGCCCAUAACGCGUCCUGAACAUUGUCUUAUGGAUGUCCUUGUCUCGCACCCUCACCUGAUGGUAUCCGGACCUCAAAUCGAUCUUGGAGAACCAAGAUGCUCCCUGUAACUGAUCGAACAAAUCGUCGAUCCUCUGCAACGGGUAACGGUUCUUGACCGUCAGCUUGUUCAACUCCCGGUAAUCAAUGCACAUCCGGUGUGAACCAUCCUUCUUCUUGACAAAAAGGAUAGGUGCUCCCCACGGCGAGUUGCUCAGCCGAAUAAACCCCUUUCCUAGAAGCUCCUGAAGCUGCAAGGAUAACUCUUGCAUCUCUGGAGGUGCAAGGCGAUAAGGCACCUUGGCGAUAGGCGCGGCCCCCGGAACCAAAUCGAUACUGAACUCCACUUGCCUCAUAGGAGGCACACCCGGCAGCUCCUCUAGGAAUACAUCCGGAAACUCACGCACUAUCGGAACCUCCUCAACUGACCUCGACCUCUCUGAAUCAACCCUCGUAUCCAUCACAUACGCCACAAAGCCCCUAUAAUCCUGCUGUAGACACUGCCUCGCCCUAGCAGCCGAAUAAAACGCUGACCCAGAACGUGUACCCUCGCCGUACACCGUAAGAACUCCCCCACUAGGGACUCGUAUGGUCACCAGCUGUCGUUCGCAGUCGAUAACCGCACCGAAUCUGCUCAACCAGUCCAUGCCCACAAUGACAUAGACAUCACCCAUCGCGAUAGGAACCAAAUCAAUCGGGAACUCAACACUGAAGAUCUCGAAUAUGCACCCGCGGAUUACCUCCGUGGCAUAUAUCACCCUCUCGUCAGCUAUGGAAACUCUCAGAGGCCGACUCAACGCCUCACGACUAAGACUGAUAUGCCGACUAAAAGCCAAAGACACAAAAGAUCGACUCGCACCCGAGUCAAAUAACGCCAAGGCAGGUACAUAAUUCACAAGAAAAGUACCUACGCAUAACAUAAUAUAAGCAUAAUAUCUCAACACCAAAAUAAAUACACGAAAGAAUACAUACCAGCCACAAAAUCAGGCGCUGUGCGAACCUCCUCCGAGGUCAACUGAAAGGCUCUCCCUCAUGCUCUCGGCACCUCGGCCUUCACCGGCUGACUCUCGGUAGCUCUGAUGGCGGCAGGGGCAGAUCCCUGAGGUGCUCCCUAAGCUGAUCCCCAUAAUUGCGGACACUCUGCCUUCCGGUGUCCGGUCUGGUUGCAGUGAAAACAUACUGCAAACCCCUUGGGGCAGUCCUUGGUUAUGUGCCCCUCUUUGCCACUCUUGUAGCAAGAUCCAGCUCUACAAAAUCCAUCAUGACCCUUGCCGCACUUCCCACAAGUGCGGCCCUUCGGGCUCCCUGAUUUGGGAUCAGCGGGCUUGGCCCGCUUGGCUGCCGGCUAGGACUGUGUCGGUCGCCGAUCCCUCCCCNCCGCCUCCUCCCUAGCCUAAGUCUCUAGCUCAAUCUCCCUCUUCCGGGCAUUUGCCUGAAGCUCGGCAAAUGUCCGGUACGAGGAGUUCGCCACGAACUCCUGAAUGUCUCGUCUGCUCGGUGGACACGUGCUCAGGGCAGAACAUCGCCCUCUCGUGAAACAUCCUGGUAAUCACCGUAACAGACUCACUACCCUGCUUGAGGGUCAGAAACUCCUAGGCCAAAUACUCCCUCUCCACCUGGGGAACGUACUCAUCUCGUAACAUGGCAGUGAACCUCUCCUAGGUCACUUCCGCAAGCUCAGCAGGCGUAAAGUGUGCCGUCACAAAUUUCCACCAGUCAUUCGCUCCCAAGCGAAGCUGGUUCAGCACAAACCGAACUCUCAAAUGCUCAGGUGAUGAGCAAGUGAAGAAACACCCCUUCAUGUCUGACAACCAUCUCAUAGCCGCCACUGGGUCCUGGGUCCCAUCAAACUCCGAUGGUUUUGUGUUGCUGAACUCUCGAAACAGCAACGCAUCACCACCCUGCGGCCUCGCGGCAACAUUAGCUGUGGUGGUCGCUGCAACAGCAGCCUCGGAAGGAGCAUCAUAACGCUCGUCGAAAGUCUCAAUCAACGUGGUCUUAAUAGACCCGAACAUCUCUGGUAUCUCUGCCCUGAUGGCCGCAGCCGCCUCCUCAUGGAUGAUUUGGUGGAUCUCCUCAUCACUGGUCCCGCUGCUAUCUGGCGCUUGACGUGUCCUCACCAUGAUCUCCCUCUGAAAAACAACAUACGAUAUAUUAGAGAUCUCCUUGAGUAUACUCACAGUCGAUAACUCCGCCUGACUUAUUCCUUGGUGCCCUAACGAUUCUUACUUGGUCCGUGCACCAACCUGGUAUUUUCAGUAGUACGGGCCCAAUACUACCGUCCAUACCGCAUCGGCAUUCAUCCCAAGUCCUCCUCCUUGAGCCCCAAAUCCCAAGUACUCUACUCUCUCUAUCAUGUGCUACUCACUAGCAAUCAUAAGCAUCUCACUGCUAUCCAAGUCACUCGUUAGCAUCCCUAGCAGCAAAACCCCUAGACUAAGGCAUCAUAUAUCAGGCCACUCUAGUCCUAAUAAGAAUACCUAGUCUAAUGUAGCAUGCAUAUCGUACUCAUCAUAUAGCAUAACAUAACAUUUCUGAUAAUUACUUAUCAUGAGGGUAUUCUGGGAAAUCACCGUUCGGGGGCUGGCUAAUCGUACACACGACUCUGCUCUAUCUUUUCAAAAUCUUUUACCCUUUCUUUUUGAAAAUAUUUCUCAAUCCCUCAGUUUGAGUUCAAAUACGCCCGAAGGUGUACUCAAAUCCCUCAAACCAAGGAUCUGAUACCAACUUGUAACACCGUAAAUUUCAAAAUAAUUUUUCGCAUAAUAUAAAAACAUAAUUCAUUUACUAUUUAUAAAAAAAUCAUUUGUUUCAAGUUCAGAUUCAUAGCACGUAAUAAUCCCAAGAUCUCAUAACAUAAAAUCCCAUGUGUGUACUGAUCAGACCGGCGUCUUCCCGCGAUCCUCACUGGUACCUGAAACAAUAACACCAAACACUAUAAGCACAAAGCUUAGUGAGUUUCGCAAAAUACCACAUAACACAUAUUAGCCACUCAAGGCUAUAACUCUUUGGGUCCGUGCACCCAAACUCUGUGAACCCUCUGGUUCUAACUCUGUGAACCUUCCGGUUCCAACUCUAGAAACAUGCACAACAUAAAUCACAUAGAAAUAAUGCAGUACAACACAUAACAUAUAAAUGGCAUACAUCACUGUAUCACAUAACUCUAGUUAUGUACUCAGGGUAAAGUAUAGUGAGAAGACUCACCUUGCGUAUCUCGAUAACUCGCAAAUCCCAGAAAUCACUCGCGCUCGAUCCUCCGAGCUAUAAUCCUCCUAUAACAUAAUAUAUCUCUAAUUAACACUUUCACAACUAAGGUUGACUAACCCUAUCAAGUCAACACUGGUCAACUCUGGUCAACGGUCAACGGUUAACUUUGACCGGACUCGGCGAGUGCACUAGAGCGACUCGGCGAGUCUAUAUGUGUUCACUCAGUCCCUUGGAUCCUCUCUUGACACGUCGAGUACUUCCUUAACUCGACGAGUUCUACCUGGCAUGAAUCGCGGGGCCACCACGACUCAGCUCGCCGAGUCUCAAGAACAACUCAGAGAGUUCCGGCUUGACUAAGCCCCCUAUUGACUCUCCCUGACUCACUGGGUCAUCCCCCAACCCGACGAGUCUACUCGCUGAACAAUUUACGUGAAACCCCAACCGUACUCGCCGAGUCUCAAGAACAACUCGGCGAGUUCAUGCCAUGCACAAACUCUAUUGACCUUCUGAGGUCCGAUCUGCUUUUCCAAACCAUAGAUCUGGCCUUCCCAAGCGUGAAUGUCACGUAAAGUUCGAAACUUGAUGCUUGUAUAACCCCCACAAGGCAUCAAAAGGAGAUUUGGUCCCAAAAAGACAACCUAGGUCCAAUAACCCCGUAAUAACCCAAAAAGCUCCAAGGGUUAAGGUCUCUGGACCUCUUUGAGUCCAGAUCCAAGGCACAAACUCGAAGAGGGACCAUUUACUUCACCUAAUCACUCUCCAAAAGGGUUAGAAAACCCUAACUCUAAAGAUCAACCCUAAAACUAAUGGAGGUUCGAACUAUUACCUCAAAAUGAAGCCUCUGGACUCUGGAUCUGCUAGAAUCUCACCUCCUCCUUGCACUUGCCACCUUCUUCUUGCUAAACAAGGAAUACAAAGGCCCAAAAGUGACUUCCUCUCUCCCAAAACAAAUUAGCUCUCUUAGGGUUCUCUCAAGGGGCUGGUAGCCGCAAUGGGAGGCUAUAAGUGCCCUCAACUAGGCUCCAAACCCGGGGAAUUAGGUUUUCAUUAAACAGCGUUGACUCGCCGAGUCCACUUUUGGACUCGCCGAGUCCAGACGCGAACCCGUGCCCAUAGCCGCGAUCAUACUCAGCGAGUUUGGGCUCCAACUCGCCGAGUCUCCUCACAAAUCACCAAAAAUAUAAGAAUGAAUAAUACCUGGGAAUCCGGGCUGUUACAUUUCAUAAAAUGAAGAGUCUUCAUUUUUAUGAACCAUUAAAGCUCAUAAGUUACAUAUUGAAGAGUCUUGAAAUAGUUUCAAAUCUUGCCCUCAAGUUUUGGAAAUUUUAAAGUCUUACACUUUAAUACUUUAAUUCCAAAUUAAACCUUCGAUUUCUAAAAGUUUAAAAAUCAACACUUAUACUAUUAUUAUAAUCUUGUUCAUAUAGAUAUGUAUAAGAAUAUGUCAGUCUUACCGUUAGAAGGCCUCAUUCAUGAAGCAGGUCUAUAAGGGGGGUAUAAGGUUACUGCCUAUAAAAUGGUGGUUUAACGGGUGUCCACUCUCACCCACCGCUUCCUUGACUGGUGGAGGGUCGUCAUCCGAACGGGUAGGAUAGGACUUUAACUCUCAUUAAAAGUAUAAUGAAUUAUAAAGUAACUAUACAUUAUUAAUUCCCAAUUUUAGUUACCUUAGGAAAAAUGUGAAAUAGGUGCUAGCCCAUAAAAUUACAGUUUUUACCUUACCAAGUCGUUAGUGGAGCGUGUGUGGUUAACCGACACACUAAAAAGAUCGGUGGAGCGUGUGUGGUUAACCAACACAUUGAUUAGGUAAUAUAGUUAAGGGUACCAAGUCAAUUUGUAUCAUUAUUCACACCUUGUUUGUGAUCCUCGGCAUCCCAGUCACAAACCUGAGAGGGCACAAUCAAGAUUCAAACAUGCCAUUGAAAAAGUUCAAUGUAUCUCAAAAAGAUCUAGGAGUUUCAAAUCUAACAAAACCUAAUAACAAAAUAUUUCGUUCUUAUGGUGGAAAUUGGUAAAUCGUCAUUUACCUACCUUCAAAUAUUUUAUAAUGUGCAUUACGGCAUCCCUCUUCCAACUAUAAAUAGUUUGUUGGAUCCUAGCCUUAAUAUUUCAUUCGGGUGACUUAUGAAGGACUCUUAAUCUAAUGAAACUUGUUUUUCUUUUCUUUCAAAUGUCUUCCAACAAUGCUGUUGGCUCAAACCCUACAAGCUCCUUUUCCCUAAUGAACUUGUGUGCGAAACUCACUUUUGAUGGAUCCAAGUUUAAUGAAUGGAUCAGAAACAUCAGAAUGAUUACCCGUUAUGAGGAGAAGGAGUAUGUCCUUGAUAAGGAGCUUAAGGUUGUGAAUGAAGCCACUGCUACUCCUGAAGACUUUGCGGAGUUUGUUGCACAUCAAAAGGAUGCUACUAAAGUAGCAUGCAUCAUGAUGGCCACCUUGACUCCCGAACUUCAAAAAUCCUAUGAAGAUUUCUACCCCUAUGAGAUGCACCAGGAUCUGAUGGAUAGGUACCAUAAGAGCGCGCGUCAGGAGACGUAUGAAAUCGUCUCCUCCAUGAUAAAAACCAGAAUGAAAGAUGGUGAACCCAUCACCGGUCACUUACAGAAAGUGCAAAGGCUCAUGGACCGGUUACUGAAGCUAAAUGUCGACUUCCCUGAGGACUUGGCGAUUGAUAUCAUUCUCCAUUCCUUACCUCCAAGUUAUGAUCAGUUUUGUAUGACUUAUAAUAUGAAAAAGGAGGAAGUCACACUUAGCAAAAUUCAAGGACUCUUAAGGACAGCUGAAAAUGGCCUUAUGGGUAAAGCGGUUGUUACUUCUACUUCUACUCCUUUAGUAGCCCAUGUUCUUGCAAUUGGGCAGGGAAAGGGUAAGAAGAGGAAAACCCAUUCGAAGGGUACCAAGGGUAAGCCCCUUGAUGGUUCCUCUUCAAGUGGGACAAAGAAAGGUCCCAUUACUCAUUCCUCAAACCCAAAGGAAGCACAAUGCUUCUAUUGCCAGGAAAAGGGGCAAUGGAAGCGAAGCUGCCCCAAAUACUUAUAAGAUGUAAAGGAUGGGAAAGUUAAACCCACCUAUGCAGGUAUUUAUACAAUAUUGUCUAAUAACUCUUCUAAUGCUAAUUCUUGGGUGCUUGAUACAGGUUGCGGUAUUCACAUUUGUACUGAUUUGUAGGGCCUAAGAAGAAGUGAGCAAGUGGAGCAUGGGAAGAUAAACAUAGUCAUGGGCAAUAGGAAACCAUCACCUGUCACCAAGAUAGGAGUUUAUUCUUUAUUGCUUAAUAAUGGGUUAAUGUUAGAUUUGAAUAAAUGUUGUUACUCGCCUGAAAUGGCAAGAAAUAUUAUUUCAUUUUAUGGCUUGUACAAACAACGUUUUACAUUUUCAUUUGAUAAUAAUAAUUGUGCUAUUAAUGUUAACUACAAUGACGUAUUUUACUUUAAAGCAUUACCUUGUAAUGGUGUAUUGUAGACAAUCUAGGAAAAAAUGUGUUGUAUAUUGAUUCUUCAAAUAGCUUGGAUAAAGCAUCCUUGUGGCAUUGUCUUCUUGGACAUGUCAACAAGAAGCGCGUAGGCCAACUCCGAAAAGCUGGAGUCUUGGAAUCAUUUCACUUAAGGUCGGAUGAUAGUUGCGAGUCUUGUUUACUUGGAAAAAUGACAAAGUCACCCUUCACAGGUACUUGUGAUAGGGGUAAAGGUUUGUUGGACCUUGUACACAUAGAUGUGUGUGGGCCCUUCAGAGUUGCUACAAGGGAUGCUAAUCAAUAUUAUGUGACUUACUGAUGAUUACAGCAGAUAUGGAUAUAUCUACUUAAUCAAGCAUAAGUUAGAAACCUUUGAAAAGUUCAAAGAGUUUAAGCAGGAAGUAGAGAAUCAAUUGGGCAGGAACAUCAAGAUGCUCCGAUCCGAUCGGGGUGGAGAGUAUCUUAGCAUUGAGUUCCUUGACUAUCUUAAGGAUUGUGGGAUUGUCUCAUAAUUGACAUUCCCAGAAAACCACAGCUGAAUGGUGUGGCUGAGAGGCGCAAUUGAACCUUGUUGGAUAUGGUUCGUUCCAUGAUGAGUCGAGCUUCGUUACCAAUCUCUUUCUGGGGGUAUGCCUUAGAGACUGCCGCCCAUAUCCUUAAUCUAGUCCCUACUAAAAAGGUUGCCAAAACACCUCACGAGAUGUGGAUUGGGAAAGUUCCCAAUUUAGACCACAUCAAGAUUUGGGGUUGUGAAGCUUUCGUGAGGCGUGAGAUUCAUGAUAAGCUUGAACCUCGAAGUGAGAGGUGUAUUUUCAUUGGCUACCCACAGAGAUCCUUUGGUUACCUCUUCUAAAGACACGGUGAUAAUGUGGUCUUUGUAGCAAGAAGAGGAGUCUUUCGUGAGAGAGAAUUUAUAAGCCAAGGGGACAGUGGGAAGCAAAUUAACCUUGAAGAGCUUUAAGAGUCAAGUGGUGAAGGAACAUCAAAUACUACCGACCAACUUGAGGAGGAAACUCCUGUUGAGCCGAUAGAUGGGUCUGUACCUCCGAGGCGUUCCACUAGGGUGAGGAACACACCUGAUUUUUAUUAUGGUUAUCACAUCACUACUGAAGGUGAUACAUUUAUCAGGGAUAGUAAACUGAUAGAUUUGGAUGAGCCUAAUAAUUACUGGGAAGCCAUGGCAGGCCCUGAGUCUGCUAAAUGGAAGGAGGCUAUGGACAGCAAGAUUGAGUCCAUGUAUGACAAUCAAGUUUGGAACUUGGUUGACAAUGUACCAGGUCGUAAGAUAGUUGGGUGCAAAUGGAUCUUCAAGAAGAAGACCGACAUGGAUGGAAAGGUACACACUUACAAAGCACAACUGGUUACGAAGGGCUUUACUCAAACUCCGGGAGUUGACUACGAUGAGACCUUCUCACCAGUAGUGAAGAUUAAGUCUAUUAGGCUUUUACUGGCCAUAACUGCAUUUCCUGAUUAUGAAAUAUGGUAAAUGGAUGUCAAAACCGCUUUCCUUAAUGGAAAGUUGGUUGAGGAUGUUUACAUGGCUCAGCCAGAGGGUUUUGUCGAUUCAAAAUAUCCUAAUAGAGUGUGUAAGGUUGAGAAAUCCAUUUAUGGAAAGCAAGAAUCUCGCAGAUGUAAUAUUUGCUUUGAUGAGAAAGUUAAAGAUUUUGGCUUUUCGAAGAGCGAGGAUAAGUCAUGUGUAUAUGUUAGGGCUAGUGGGAGCAUAGUUAGCUUUUUGGUGUUGUUAAUCAAGAAAGUAACCCUCUUAAACUGUGUCUACCGCAGUCUUGCUCCCAUCCGCAGUCAACAAAUUCAGCUACCGCACCCAUAGUCAUCAACUACAGUCUACGUUACUUUAUUAGAUUAGUCCAUUAUCUGUUAUUCUAAUGUAAUUCUCUUUUAUCCAUUGUGCCUUGCAUGGCAUCACUAGAACAGAUUGGACCGAUGUAAUCUAUGAGUCUCUAUAAAUAGAGCUCAUUCUUUCUCUUCAAAUAAUAGAUAACACUCUGCAGCUUGCAAUUUAUAUCUUGUGUUAUUUACUCUCAUGUCUUUCUCACCUUCAAAGUUCUGUUUAACAUAUCUCUUCGGAGCAAGUCAUUUGUGACUUAUUCACUAAGUUUGAUCUCAUAUACUAACUCAGUUUGAAUGCAUUCCUUGUUAAGAAUCAACUUAAGUGUUUACUUGAUAUACUACCUGCUGUCAUUUAUAUUUCCUUACAUUUCUGCACCUAACUCACUAAUCACCUAACUCUAACUUAUUAUUAUUGUCGAGCUUUUAGAUCCUUUGAGAUAAACUAUUAUUUCGCUAAUAUACUUGUUCUAGCAUUUGUUCAUGUGUGUCUGAAGUUUUUCUCUCAACAAUUGGUAUCAGCCAGCUUUGAAUCAUCCCACCAAAGACGAUCUCGAUAAAAUGGAAAGUGACGAUAUUGCCUUUUAUGAGAUUUCGUCUGGAGUUGCUCCUGACAACUUUGAUAUCAUCUUAAAUUACAAAUCAGCUAAAGAGAUAUGGUAUGUACUCAAGAAUCUGUAUGAAGGAACUGAACAAGCCCAAGACAAAAAGCUUACUAUUGCACUGAAUGAGUUAAACAACUUUAAAGCUAUUGCGGGUGAAAGCUUGGAAGAUUCAUUCAAAAGGUUUAAUCUGAUAGUGACCAAACUAUCAAAUACUGGUACUGUAAGAAGCAACCAUGAAAUAAAUCUUCAAUUCUUGAAUGGUUUGGGAAGACAUUGACAACAGCCAAAAUGAUCAUUCAAGGGGAUAGGAAAAUUCACCCGUUGUCCCUCUAUAAGCUGUAUGGAGAACUACAAGCCCAAGAGUCUAUGGUACUCAAGGACUGUUUGGAAUUCAGGGGUCCACUUGCCCUCGUAGCACAAUCACCUCACCCUCAAACAUAUCCUUCCUUGUAUGACUCUCCACCGCAGUCAUAUGAAACAUACUUAGAGUAUGAUGACGAAGAAGAGUUUCAGAAUGUCAUAGCCCUUGUCAGUCAGCAAUUCAAUCGAUUACCACCUCCUUCAUUCCGUAAAAACCAACAAUACAAGAAACCACCUUUCAACUGCAACUUCCGAAACAAUCAUUCUCGUUUCACUAAAAAUCUUAACCCUCCACCGUAGUCUCAGCAAACUCAAUCCAAAGACAUACCGAAGUCCAUCCAAACUACUGACUUCGGUACUACUUCAGAAGACAAAAGUGAUAUUGUGAUAUGUCACAAAUGCAAAAAAGGGAACCAUUUUGCCAAGGACUGCAAGGCAAACAUAGUGAAAGAUAGAGCCUUCUAUCUCAAAAUGGCUCAAGAACGGGAGGAAAAGGAAAAAGGGGAGAGCUUAUGUUGCACAAUUAAAAUGGAUCAUCAAGUGUGGUCAUCCGGAGAUGAAGAUGAGGACAACAACAGCAAAGGGAAAGGCAAGAUCUGUAUGGUAGCAACUACUGAUGAGGACGGCUCAACCAUCUAAAGAAGAAUUAUUGCUAUAUGGCAAAAGAUGGAACUAUCAGCAUUGUGGAACAGGUAAAGCUUAUGAUUCUAACUUUAAAUUAUUGUAUGCAUGACUGCCAGCCUUUCAUAGACACUCUUAAUGACACAUGUGCUGCCAUCCUUACAGACUACAAUAAAGCUUUAGAUGAGAAGAACAUUGCGUCCCAGGAGAUGUUUCACGUUAGAGGACGUUUGGACAACAAAAGACUCAAAAUGGCUAUGUUAGAAAAAGAUUAAUGUUAGAAAAUGAUGCUAGAAUGUUAAGUGAAACACAACUAGAAAUAGCUUUGAAUCAGAGAGAUUUAAUACAGCAUGAAAUUGUACGCUUAAAUCUUUUAAUUGAAAAGUUGUUUAAUGAAAGUGAAGCCAUUGAGAAUCUGGUCAAUAAUGGAAACAUUGAUAACACAUACAACUGGGGUUGGUCCAAUGGGUACCCUAACGCAACGAACUCCUCACCCCGGUUCACUCCUGAACGUCCCUAUAUCCCUCCGGAUCGUAACUUUUUGUUUCCGGUCAAUGACAAAACUUUUCCUGAGGAUAUCCAAGCUCGUUUUGGAAAACUUCAUGAUCUGAGUAACAACUGUAUUAUCUAGGAAAUUCUCCCUGAAUUUUCUAAUCUCGUAGAUAAUACAAUUCACUCCAAUUCUCAGACAUCGUCCGUGGUUGACGAGGAAAUAGUUGUGGAAAGUCAUGCAGUCUCAUUGGACUUUCCAUCUCUGCAGCCUGACUACAGUGUCCCUAACCACAGUCAUGAAUUACGAUUUGUUCUCUUACCUAUUAUCAAAUGUCCCUCUAAAGUACCCACUCAGACUUACUUUGCAGUAGUUCAAAAUACCGCACCACAGACUGUAGUUAAAAGUUCUAUGACCAUUAAACCAAUUAUCAUGCAUUGUGAAUCGAAAAUUUUGAAGUUGGUUAAUUCUCUCAAAACCCUGAAUUCUCCAGUUCGAAUGAAUCAAGUCCUCGCUUUCCAAAGUUACCAAAUGUUUCACAGAAACCGCAACUGAAUGUCAUUGACUGCGGUUCUCCUAAAACCGAAGCAAAAAAGGCUUUUAAAGAAGAAGUUCGUUCCCAUGGAAAACAACUGGACAUUCUUUUAAAACAAAAUAAAUUCGUCAAAAUUCCCACGUCAAGGAGUCCAGAAAAACUUUUUUUCUCAAAUUAUCAAUUCAAAACAUUUUUUUCCAAGAAAACAAAGAGAAAGGAGUUCACAGUUUCGAAAACUACUCAAAAAUCAUCUGACACAAUUCCUAAGAAAGAAAAGUAUUUUCAAUCAAAUGGUUUUCAGUUCUAUUCCUUACACAAUCCAAAAUGGAAGGGUAUUUUACCUACUCCAACCCUUCUAAAAUCACUUCCAAAAAUUCAUAAAUGGAAAGGAAUUCUUCAAAGCCCAGCACUCAAAAGGUCAUCUCAAGAGUUUAAGAAAUCAUUUCAAAAAAGGUCUACGUGUCUACUCACCUACAAAACCUACAAAAACGACCUUUUUACAUCACUCCAAAACAAGUGUCGGAUCGAGCAAUCCUCAGACCGGACAAAAGCAUACUUUAUCUCCAAGUACGCUGACCAAGCAAAAUGUCAGGGUAAACGAUAAAAAAUCAGGGUGCUAAUGUCAGUGUCAAAAGAUCCCUUCUCAUGAAAAAUCACAUUUUUCUCAAGAAUCUCGUAACUAUUCCCAAUCUUACAAAGGUCCAAAAAAUCUUAAACACCCAGGACUAGGCUUAGAAGUUGACCUAAAACCUAUCCCUGAAACCUCGAAUCAUGCAUUAAUUAACAAUUCCUAUGUUACCCCGAGCUCCAAACUCGCUUGGGUGCCCAAAUUAACCACUUAAUUUUGCAGGCCUUAUUCAAGGAGAAUUAAGAAGAAGAAUGGUUGAUCGACCGUGCCUGCUCCUUGCACAUGACCGGAAGGUUGGAAUACAUUCGGGACUUCAGGACAGUUUGCAAUGGGGGUAAUUGUUGGAAUAGUGUCUAAGGCUGUAACUAUAUUAGGCAAGUAUUUGAUCCGGUUGUGCAUGGUCCUUUUGGGUUGCCUUCACCAUAGCAACUUGAUAGGAUGAUUUAAUAAGAGAGAGUAAAUAUUAUUAAUAUAUUAUGGGAAUAAUAUAAUGAAUAAUAUAUUGUUAUUUGAUUAAUAUAAGUCAUAGAAUUAAUUAGAAUUAAUUUGGUUACUUAAAGAGAUUAAUUAAAUAAAGGGGUAUAAACUGUCAAUUGUUUGAUAGUUAAACUUUGGACUGUAAAUCCAUUUGGAUAUGGUAUGGACGAAUUCUAAGAGAUUUAGGAUAGCUAAAAUCGUCCAUAUGAUUAUCUUAGGAAUGGAUUUGGAUAGCCUUAAGAGAAGAUUAUCUGAUAGGGACUUAUCUGUAAUCCUUAAGGAGUCUACAAGUAUAAAUAGACCCUAUGGCAUGGGGAAUUCGACACUUGACCUAAAGUAAGGAACCUCUGGUCGAAUUCCUCCCCUCUCCUCUCUCCUAAAUCAUCUUCCUUGCUAUUGGUGUUUGUAAGCCAUUAGAGGAGUGACAUUUGUGACUCUAGAAGCUCCAAGACCUCAAGAUCAACAAGGAAUUCAAAGGUAUGGUUCUAGAUCUGUUUCAAUGUUGUUAUUUAACCUAAUUAGCCAUUAGAAGUCUUGGAUUCAAAGCAUGUUUAAUUAGAAAGCCUAGAUCCAAGCAUUAGGGUUUUGCAUGCGCACAUAGGAAAGUUCUUAUGGCUAAAACCCAUCAGUGGUAUCAGAUCCUAGCUUGGUUUUCUUUAAAUUGUUGCUUGAUUAACUGAAACAAACCUGCAAAUUUCGAUUUUAGGUUUCUGGGUCAUGGACUCGGCGACUUCCAAGGUGGACUCGGCGAGUAGGCCUGACUCGGCGAGUCCCCUUGUGCACUCGGCGAGUCCAGGCGUCAGGAAUGGCCAGAUUCGGGAUUUCUUUGUAAUUAUCUUAUCUAAACUUUCCAUAAACUAAUUAGAUCAAUGUUAAUUCGUUUUUCUGAUAAAUAUAACUGCAAUCUUGAUCUAAUUAAAGAUAUUUAUCAUAUAAUAAAAUAUUUGAUUUCCUUAUAUGAUAAUUAAUUAAUUAUUUUGAUUAUUUUGGUAAUUAUCUUAAAAGAAAUCUUGAAUAAAUCAAAUAUAGAUAAUUAGGAUAUUAAUUGUUAAUUGGAAUUAUUUGUUAUUUGAUCCUCCAUGUUUUAAAUGUUUAAAACUUGCCCUCAAGUUUUGAAAUUUAUAUUUAUGAUUAAAAGUUUUAAUUUAGACAACUUAAAUUUCAAACCCUAGAUUUUAAAAGGUUUAAAAUACAACCCUAUACUAAUAUGAUAUUACUAGAAUAAUAUAUAUAUGUAUAACUAAAUGCUAGUCUUACCGUUAGUAGGCCUCAUUCACGAAGCCGAUCUAUAAGGUGGGUAUAAGGUUGCGGCCUAUAAAAUGGCGCUUAAUGGGUGUACACUCACACCCACCGCUUGCUUGAUUGGUGGAGGGUCGUUAGCCGAACGGGUAGGAUAGGGCAACCUCAUCCUCUCAUUAAAAGUAUAAUAAGAAAUAUAAAGUAACUACACAUAUUUUAAAAAUUUCCCAAUCCUAGUUACUUUAGGAAAAGUGAAUUGAUGCAAUCCCAUGAAAUUACACUUUGCACCUUGCUAAGAUGUUAGUGGAGCGUGUGUGGUUUACCGGCACACUAAUUGGUUCUAAGCGAAGGUGGCAAAGGGUGAUUCAUUGUUUAUCAUAGUUCGAUGGAGCGUGUGUGGUUUACCGGCACAUCGAAUAGGUGAUCGUUACAAUGAAGGCACCAUGUGAAUUUGCAUGGUAAUUCACACCCGCUUUGUGAUCCUCGGCAUCCCAGUCACAAACAAGAGGGGCAUAUCGAGAUUUAAACAUGCCAUUGAAUAGUUUCAAUGAAUCUCAUCCGAACCUAGGAAUUCUCAAAAACACUUAGGACUAAUAGUUUAAGUUUUGUGAUGGAGAAUUAGUGAAUCGUCAUUCACUUACCUUCAAUUUAUUUGCAUGUUAGAUUACGGCAUCCCUUUUCUAGUAUGUAAAUGUUAUUGUUGGAUCCUAGCCCUAAUUUUCUUAUUGGGUGAUAAUUAGGGAUUCUUAUUCUAAUCUAUCUUUGUCCUUUUCUAAUUGUAGAUGUCGAACGCAAACAACGCUGCUGCUAGUUCUUUCACGUUGAUGAGCCUUUGCCAAAAGGUCACCUUCGAUGGAACGAACUUUAGCGAAUGGAUAAGAUACAUUCGCACCAUUGCUCGCUAUGAGGAUAAGGAGUAUGUCCUCGAUGAGAAGCUCGAGAAAAUCAACCCCGAAAUUGCUACUCCCGCCGAAAUCACCGCUUUUGAAACUCAUGAGCGAGAUGCAACGAAGGUACAUUGCAUCAUGAUCGCCACCAUGAACUCCGAAUUCCAAAAGUCCUACGAGGACAUGUACCCGUACGAGAUGCACCAAGACUUAUUGGAGAGGUACCACCAAAACGCGAGACAAGAGAGGUACGAGAUUUUCACUAACAUGAUUUCCGCGAAGAUGGGUCAUGGAGAAUCUCUUACCGUGCACUUGCAAAAGAUGCAAAGGUAUGUCGACCGCCUUCGCAAGUUAAAUGUUGACUUCGGUGAAGAUUUGGCGAUCGACAUGGUGCUUCACUCUUUGCCUCCGAUGUACAACCAAUUUAGGAUGACCUACCACAUGAACAAAGAAGAGGUCACCCUAAGCAAGCUCCAAGGUCUCUUGAGGGUUGCUGAGAGCAACUUCAAAGACAAGUCUGUUGCACCUACUCCCAAUCCGCCCGCUGCUCCUGUCUUGGCUAUUGGACAAGGGAAGGGAAAGAAGAGGAAAGCUUCAUCGAAGAACUAUCGCAAGGUGAAAGCCCGAGAUGGUGCCUCUUCUAGUGGGACCAAAGUUGAUCCCGCUAAGCCCUGCUCUAACCCGAAGGAGGCAGAGUGCCACCACUGCCACAAGAUAGGACAUUGGAAGAGAAGCUGCCCGGAUUACCUGCAAGCAAUCAAAGAAGGAAAGAUCAAGCCAUCUUUCGCAGGUAUAUAUACAAUCAAAUCUAACGAUUCUAAUCAUGCUAUUUCUUGGGUUCUUGAUACCGGUUGUGGUUAUCACAUUUGUUCUAAUGUGCAGGGACUAAGAAGAAGUAGGGAUGUGGAGCAAGGAAGGAUCAAUCUAAUCAUGGGGAACAGAAGAUCGUCGCCUGUGACCAAGAUUGGAGUGUAUUCCUUAGUGCUUAGGAAUAGUUUAGUUUUAGAUUUGAACAAUUGUUGCUAUUCGCCAGAAAUGGCAAGAAACAUCAUUUCAUUUCAUGGUUUAUAUAGACAAGGAUUUAGAUUUUCUUUUAAUAAUGAGAAUGGUUCUAUUUUGGCUUAUCUAAAUGGUGUCUUUUACUUUGAAGCUAUACCAUGUAAUGGAAUAUAUGAAACCGUUAUGAUUGUUGAUAACUUAGGAAAUGAUGUUUUGAAUAUUGAUUCUUCCACUAGUAUGGAUAAAGCAUCCUUGUGGCAUUGUCGUCUUGGACAUGUCAACAAGAAACGCAUAGCCCAACUCCAAAAGGAUGGAGUGUUGGAGUCAUUCGACCUUAGGGAAGAUGACACAUGCGAGUCUUGUUUGCUUGGAAAGAUGACUAAGUCACCCUUCACGAGUACAUGUGAAAGGGGCGAGGGUCUAUUGGACCUAAUACAUACCGAUGUAUGUGGACCGUUUAGAUCAACCACGAAGGAUGGGAACCGCUUCUAUGUGACUUUUACCGAUGACUAUAGUAGAUAUGGGUAUAUCUACUUAAUCAAGCAAAAGUCAGACACCUUUGAAAAGUUCAAAGAGUUCAAGAAUGAAGUGGAGAAUCAAUUGGGCAGGAAAAUCAAGAUGCUUCGAUCCGAUCGAGGAGGAGAGUACCUAAGUCUUGAAUUCCACGAUUAUCUCAAGGAGUGUGGAAUAGUUUCACAAUUGACGCCUCCUAGGACACCGCAGUUGAAUGGUGUGGCAGAAAGGCGUAAUCGAACCUUAUUGGAUAUGGUUCGCUCUAUGAUGAGUCGUGCUUCACUACCAAUCUCUUUUUGGGGGUAUGCCUUAGAGACUGCCGCCCAUAUCCUUAACCGAGUCCCUACUAAGAAGGUUGCCAAAACACCUCACGAGAUGUGGACAGGGAAAGCUCCCUCGUUGGCACAUAUCAAGGUUUGGGGUUGCGAGGCUUUCGUAAGACGAGAUACUCACGACAAGCUUGAACCUCGAAGUGAGCGAUGUAUUUUCAUCGGCUACCCGCAGACAUCCUUUGGAUAUCUCUUCUAUAGACCGAAGGACAAUGUUGUCUUCGUUGCGAGGAGAGGAGUUUUCCGAGAGCGAGAACUCAUAAGCCAAGGAGACAGUGGGAGGCAAAUCGAACUUGAAGAGAUUCAAGAGUCGAUAGAUGAAGGAACCUCUACCGCUGGCACUCAACCCGAGGAGGAAACUCCGGUUGAACCGAUUGACGAAUCCUUACCUCUUAGACGUUCCGAUAGAGUUAGAGUUCUUCCCCAGUUUUAUGGUUUUCAUAUUACUACCGAAGGGGACACGUAUAUUAGUGAUGGUACACUAGUAAAUCUUGAUGAACCUAAUAGCUAUAAGGAAGCCAUGGCAGGCCCGGAGUCUGCAAAAUGGAAAGAGGCAAUGGAUAGCGAGAUCCAAUCCAUGUAUGAUAACCAAGUUUGGAAUUUGGUUGAUUAUGUGCCCGGACGUAAGACCGUUGGGUGCAAAUGGAUCUUCAAGAAGAAGACCGACGUGGAUGGAAACGUACACACAUAUAAAGCGCGAUUGGUUGCGAAGGGCUUUACUCAAACUCCCGGAGUUGACUAUGAUGAGACCUUCUCACCAGUUGCGAAGAUUAAAUCUAUUAGAGUGAUGCUAGCAAUUGCCGCAUUUCAUGAUUAUGAGAUUUGGCAAAUGGAUGUCAAGACCGCUUUCCUUAACGGAAAGUUGGCUGAGGAUGUUUACAUGGCUCAGCCAGAGGGGUUUGUGGAUCCGAAGCAUCCGGAUAGAGUGUGUAAGCUUGAGAAGUCCAUUUAUGGACUUAAGCAAGCGUCUCGCAGAUGGAAUCUUUGCUUCGAUGAGAAAGUCAAAGAGUUUGGAUUUGUACGAAGCGAAGACGAAUCUUGUGUAUAUGUCAAAGCCAGUGGGAGUAUAGUAAGCUUCCUCGUUCUAUAUGUCGAUGACAUAUUACUCAUAGGAAACGACAUCCCGACUCUGCAGGAGGUUAAGUCCUGGCUCGGGAAGUGCUUCGCUAUGAAGGACCUCGGAGAGGCUUCUUACAUUUUGGGAAUAAGGAUAGUAAGAGAAAGAAGUAAGAGACUAAUUGGACUUAGUCAGAAUACUUACUUAGAGAAGGUACUAAAACGUUUUAGUAUGGAAAACUCAAAGAAGGGAGAACUACCGAUACAAAGUAAUGCCAAAUUGAGUAAGACUCAAAGUCCGAGUACCGAAGCUGAGAUAGCAGAAAUGAGCCGAGUACCAUACGCUUCCGCAGUUGGCUCAAUCAUGUACGCUAUGACUUGUACUCGCCCUGAUGUAGCCUUCGCUUUGAGCAUGGUUAGCAGAUAUCAAGGGAAUCCUGGCAAAGCACAUUGGAUUGCGGUGAAGAAUAUCCUUAAGUACCUUCGGAGGACGAAGGAAUGGUUCUUAGUCCUCGGAGGGAGUGAUGACUUGAAGGUGCGAGGGUAUAGUGACGCCAGUUUUCAGACCGACAGGGACAACUACCGUUCGCAGUCGGGCUGGGUCUUUACCCUAAAUGGAGGAGCAGUGACAUGGAAGAGUUCCAAGCAGGAAACCGUAGCUGAUUCAACGUGCGAAUCAGAGUACAUUGCAGCGAGCGAAGCGUCGAAGGAGGCAAUAUGGCUAAAGAACUUCAUCGGUGAUCUUGGAGUUGUACCUGCCAUAAAGGAGCCAAUGGAGAUUUUCUGUGAUAACGAAGGUGCGGUUGCCUUAACCAAGGAACCGAGGGAUCAUGGUAGAUCAAGACAUAUCGACAGAAAGUAUCACUUCAUUAGACAUCGUGUAGAAGAAGGACAACUCGUAGUGAAGAGGAUAUCAUCAGAAGAUAACCCAGCAGAUCCGCUUACGAAGGGACUGAGUAGGGUUAAGCACUUGCAGCAUGCUAGGAGUAUUGGGCUGAAGGAUGAUAUUAGCAUAGAUUAGAUAGUAUUAGAAACGUGUAAUAGAUAAAUGUAAUUAACAUUUGAUGAUUAAAUAAAGGAGUUUUAUUUAUGAGUAAUGUUACUAUCUUAUGUUAAUUGUUUAGCUAUUGUUUCACUUUGCAUGUUUUGACUUCCAGAAUAAUUGAGUUUAUUAGGAAUAAUCGAAUUGUUCAAAUGGUCCACAAUCGUUCAUAUGUUGGGAGUAGAUAUGAAUGAAGAUUGUCAUGAAUUGGUGUGUAGAAUGUCUAAAUGGUGUUAGACAUAGCAAAGGAUUGCUGCAACGUUCAUGAGUGCUUAUGAACUAGUUUUGAGCAUUGGAAUAAACCCGCGCUUGCUGGAAUCACCUUAUGGAAUACGAUAUAAAAGGUGAUCGCAAGACGAUAAUAUCAUAUAGUCUUAAAACCUAGAUAUAUGGUUUAUUAUUUGUUAAUUGAUUGUACAUUGAUAAUACGAAAACGCAUCAGUAACUUGGUGUUAUAAAACGUAUUGUUGUGUAUAGUUGGUAAAUGAAUAAGUAAAUGCAUAUAAGUCGAAGUUUAUCUGUAACUUUUAUCUAAGAAGGUAAAAGCGAUAUCUCGGCCGCUCGAUGAUUUGAUUUGACUUAUGUGCCGGGCCCGGUCAGAACUGAAUUGAUGUGUUCGAUUAAGUUCUAUGUCAAAUAAAUCAGAGAUCGAGAAACCUAAAUGCUUGACUAACCAUUCCAUAGGAUUGUCAGCAUGAUAUCUAACAGAGGACUGUACGAUCCCUUAUCUAAAGGACAAGAUUGAUUAGAUCAGAGUUUGACAGCGUCUUUGAGAGCUACGAUUGCAAACCGAAUUGUACUUGUAUAGUUACUAGACUUAUCCAAGUGGGAGACUGUUGGAAUAGUGUCUAAGGCUGUAACUAUAUUAGGCAAGUAUUUGAUCCGGUUGUGCAUGGUCCUUUUGAGUUGCCUUCACCAUAGCAACUUGAUAGGAUGAUUUAAUAAGAGAGAGUAAAUAUUAUUAAUAUAUUAUGGGAAUAAUAUAAUGAAUAAUAUAUUGUUAUUUGAUUAAUAUAAGUCAUAGAAUUAAUUAGAAUUAAUUUGGUGACUUAAAGAGAUUAAUUAAAUAAAGGGGUAUAAACUGUCAAUUGUUUGAUAGUUAAACUUUGGACUGUAAAUCCAUUUGGAUAUGGUAUGGACGAAUUCUAAGAGAUUUAGGAUAGCUAAAAUCAUCCAUAUUAUUAUCUUAGGAAUGGAUUUGGAUAGCCUUAAGAGAAGAUUAACUGAUAGGGACUUAUCUGUAAUCCUUAAGGAGUCUACAAGUAUCAAUAGACCCUAUGGCAUGGGGAAUUCGACACUUGACCUAAAGUAAGGAACCUCUGGUUGAAUUCCUCCCCUCUCCUCUCUCCUAAAUCAUCCUCCUUGCUAUUGGUGUUUGUAAGCCAUUAGAGGAGUGACAUUUGUGACUCUAGAAGCUCCAAGACAACAAGGUCAACAAGGAAUUCAAAGGUAUGAUUCUAGAUCUGUUUCAAUGUUGUUAUUUAGCCUAAAUAGUUAUUAGAAGCCUUGGAUUCAAAGCAUGUUUAAUUAGAAAGCCUAGAUCCGAGCAUUAGGGUUUUGCAUGUGCACGUAGGAAAGUUCUUAUGGCUAAAACCCAUCAGUAAUGUCACCUUUGGUAACAAUGCGAAUGAUAUUAUCCGAGGUUAUGGUGUUCUUACUACCGGGAAGUUUUCUAUACAAAAAGGUUGCUUAUGUGGAAUGUAUGAAACAUAAUCUCAUAAGUGUUGGCCAACUAUGUAAGCCAGGCCAUCAGGUUGAAUUUGAUGACCAAUUCUGCUACAUAAUGACAAAUGAUAGAAGCACUUGCCUAAUCAAAUCCAGAUGCGAAGGUACUAUGUACACUCCGGAUGUCUCUCUAAUCAUUGGCAAACCGUAGCUCUCUUUCUAUCAAAAGCAAUAUGUGAAGUAAGCUGGCUCUGGCAUCGCAAGCUUGCUCAUCUCAACUUUCAGUACAUCAACAACCUUGUUAAAGGGGAACUAGUCAGAGGUCUCCCCAUUCUGAAGUUUCACAAUGACACUCUCUUCCCAACAUGUAAGUGUGGCCAAUAGUCAAAGCCAAGUCAUCUAAUGGUGAUCGAAUCCUCAAUAUCCGAACCAUUGGAACUUCUUCAUAUUGAUCUCUACGGACCAUCUACUGUAGCCAGUCUUCAUCACAAGAAAUACAUACUGGUUAUACUGGAUGAGUACACACGUUUUACAUGGGUCUUCUUUCUUCGAAUCAAGUCAGAAACACCAUAGGUAUUCAUCAACUUCAUAAAGGAGAUCGAGCUUCAAAUCAAACUGCCAGUACGUCGUAUCCGUAGUGACAACAUAACAAAUUCACCAAUCAUCUUCUGAAUAAUUUCUUGGUGUCUAAGGGUAUAAGUCAUAAUUUCUUAGCUCCCUAUACCCCGCAAUAUAAUGGUUUUGUUGAAAGAAGAAAUAGAACUCUGGUGGAAGCAGCCAGAUCAACGCUCAACUUUGCUAAUCUUCCUUUAUAAUUCUAGGCCGAAGCAGUGGCCACAACUUAUUUUGUGUAGAACUGCAACAUAGUGUGCAAACGUCUCAGCAAAACACCAUAUGAAGGCCUCAACAAAAGAAAGCCAAAUGACCGCUUCUUACAUAUUUUUGGAUGAAGAUGCUUCAUGAUGAACAAACAAGAUCACCUCAACAAGUUCACACCUAAAUCUGAUGAAGGCAUCUUCCUAGGCUACUCUACCAAUAAGGUCGCAUAUCGGGUUCUGAUAAGACGUACGAGGUUAAUAAUCGAAAGCUUUAACAUGAAGUUUGACUAUUCCUAUGUCCGCAAUGCUGUUCCCUCCACUAAAACAAAAGCAAUUCUUGAAUCUGAUAUUCCGGAUUCUUCGGGUCCUCUAAACAUAGUCGAAGUAAACUAUGAUGAUCUUUUUGAUCUAGUAGAGACUACCAAAUUAUCUGAAGUUCUUAUCUCUCCGGAAGCUCAAAUGCAACAUGCUGACGUAUCUGGUCCUACCCCUUCAGAAGAUAUGUCCUUAGGUACUUCCACCCACCGAGUCAGAUCAUUGGCAACCCAUUGGCAGGUGUUCAAACUGGAUCUUCACAAGACUUAACUGAUCACUGCCACUAUGCGGCAUUCAUGUCUUCGGUCGAACCCCGAACAAUCAAAGAAGCAUUACUAGAGCUUGACUGGAUUGCAACAAUGCAAGAAGAGCAAGCAGAAUUUGAACGAAACAGUGUGUGGCAACUCGUGCCAAAACCGUAAGGUCACACCAUUGUUGGCACCAGAUGGGUGUAUACGAACAAGCUGGAUGAAUCCGGUGAUGUAGUCAGAAACAAGGCAAGGUUACUUGCCAAACGACAUGACUACGAUGAAACAUAUGCACCCAUAGCCAGAAUGGAAGCUAUACGCAUCUUUCUAGCGUAUGCAGCUCACAAAAACAUUAAAGGACAUCAGAUGGAUGUCAAGAGUGCUUUCUUCAAUGUCAAAUUGAAAGAGGAAGUGUACCUUCAGCAACCUCAAGGCUUUGAAUGUCUUGAACUCCCAGAUCAUUGCUAUAAGCUCAAGAAAGCAGUUGACGGUCUAAAGCAAGCUCCAAGGGCAUGGUAUGAGACUCUCUCUAAGUUUCUUGUCACGUCUGGCCAUAAGAGAGGAGUGUUUGAUCCCACUUUUUUUAGAAGAGCGAACGGUAAUCACCUUAUGCUCGUACAAAUAUAUGUGGAUGAUAUUAUCUUCGGAUCCACAGAUCAGAGGAUGGUGGAUGAUUUUGCUAAGCUCAUGACUAACAAAUUUCACAUGAGCAUGAAUAGAGACAUUAAAUUAUUUCUAGGACUUCAAAUUAAACAUAUUCCUCAAGGGAUCUUCAUCCAUCAAGAAAAAUACACCUCUGAGCUGCUAAAGAAAUACUCAAUGGAUAAUUGUUCCUCAGCCAAGGUCCCUAUGGUCUUUGGAUAUAAAAUCUCUGUUGAUCCUUCUGGGGAACCAGUAGAUCACAAAACUUAUCGAGGGAUAAUUGGCUCAUUGAUGUACCUCACUGCAAGUCGAACGGAUAUUGUCUUUGCAACUGGCGUAUCAGGCUGAUCCGAAAGUGUCUCACGUGACUGCAACUAAGCAAAUUUUGAGAUACUUGAAGGGGAGCAAAACUCUUGGUCUUUGGUAUCCCACAAGGAAUGAUUUCAGCCUACAAGCGUUUACUGAUGCAGAUCAUGCAUAUAUCGAUUAGAUCGCAAGAGUACUUCGGGUGGAUGUCAAUUUCUGGGUGGAUGACUUGUCAGCUGGUCUUCAAGAAAACAAAGGUAGGUGUCUCUAUCUACUGCAGAAGCUGAAUAUGUGGCCACAGCCAGCUGUUGCUCUCAAGUUUUAUGGAUGAAAACUCAACUCAUGGACUACGGAUAAAGAGUGCUGCGGAUACCGAUUUAUUGUGACUCUGAAAGUGCCAUAACAAUCUCUCACAAUCCGAUUCAUCACUCGAAGUCUAAGCACAUUGAACUACAGUAUCACUUCAUAAAAGACCACAUCUUGAAAGAUAACAUUGAGCUAAUUUUUUUCAACACUAACGGAGAAAUUGCUGAAGUCUUCACAAAAGCACUUGACUAUACAAAACUCAACAACUUCUUACAAAUGUUAGGAAUGAUGAAUCUGGAUCCACAAUUCUUCUUUAAUUGAUAGGCACCGCAGACCUCUCUUGGUCUCUGAUUACGGUCCUAGUUGAAAUAUAUGUAUAAUACAUGGUUUCAGUAUGUCUAUGGACUACAGUAUAUUCCUUAUACCACAGUCUAUCUCAUAUACCGCAACCAUAUAUGAUAUCUAUUUUUCAGUGAUCCUUAUUGUUUGUUAUUGCCGAUCUUUCUCAAAGUGUUUUCCCUUAGUUGAGAUAUCACAGUUGCUCAUCAUUCCAUCCACAAUGACGAAGUUCAACCUGCAAUCAGUUCACUAUCCGCAAUAGUUGCUAGAUCCGCAUGUUUAUUAACUGCAUUCUUAAAUAAAAAAAUAAAAAAUUUUCAUAAAUUGUUGAAACAAUGUGUGCUAUUUAAUGAUCCUUCAUUAAAUAAGAAAACAUUCUGAAAGAAAAACAUUCUUUUUGCAACACACCAGCGUCUCAAUCUUUACAUAAAUCUGUAUCUGAUCUAUUUUGGGUAUGAUGACAAAAGGAACAGUUUUCCAUAAAAGAAAUCUUUUUUCCUUAAACUGUCCCUUCCCACUACUCCAAACACGUCAAAUCCAUUUCAACUUCUGUUUUAUACGAUAGAUCGACCCCCUCACCACACGUUCUUCAGACGUGGGGAAAUAGGGUCUGACACAUCAUUUAAUGCUCCAUUUCUUUUUCAAAAAUAAAAAAAAUAAAAAAACAACAAAAUCUUUUUGUUAAAUCAUGAGUGGCUGGGAUUAAUAUCCUAAUUAAAACAAAAACACCCAAACAUUUUUAUCCUCUUUAAAUUACUGUUAGGAUAAAAUUAAUAAAUUUUCAAAUCUGCCACUAUAAAACCUUUUCUUUCUUCCCCAAGAAUGCUUUACGCUUUCUGAUUACUCUUAGACGAUCUUCUUGUUCUUCAUCUCCUUGCUUACAGUUUACAACAAGUUCGUCAAACCAUUUUUUCAAAAUGGUGAAGUCAAACGUUUCCAAGAAACAUUCCAAGGCAUGUGCCUCUGUUCAACCAACGGGUUCAAACUUUGAAACAAGAAAUCAAAUGCCGACCAUUGCCUCAAGCAAUUUUAGGGCAAUUUUUGAUGAACAACCGUUCUACAAUGGCUUGAUCAAGUUGAUGAUCAAGUUCCUAAAAAAUCACCCACUGUUUGGCCCCUUUUGACACCUUCACAGAUGUAGUGCCUCAGUCAACACUCUUCAAGUGUGCUUUCCCUGCCUACCGCCCUAUCAACAACCCUCAAGAAGUACAUUUGAAUCUGGUGAAUGACUCUCUUGUCAUUUUGAAUCAAGAAAAGUUUCUCAAGUCAAUCAAUCUAUUGGUUCAUCCUUCAACCAAGUUUAUCACUCCAAGCAUGACUGACAUCAUCUCUGCUCUCUACCAAAUGGGUUACCAAAAGAAGAUUAAGGGAAUCGGUGAGUUCAAGAAGAAUCAGUUGCCUACGGUUUGGCAAUUUGUUUGCCAAUUCGAGAUCCGCAGUCUAUCUGGAAGAACCGAAGGCACUGACAAUAUGAGUCUCAAGCUGUUGGAACUCGUACGGAACAUAUUCACUGGCAACAAUGUCAAUUUCAGUCAUAUUCUUUAGGAUGAUUUCCUGCAGUACAUUCCUAAAGAAAGCCCAAGAGAAAAUCCUACUGAGCUCAAUUUUGCAAGAUUCUGGUCCCUCUAUAUCUCGGAUCUUCAUGCGGAUGCAAAGCUGAGCAUGGGCAACGACAUCAACUUUUUCAUCACCAGAGAUCUCAAAAGGUACAAUCACUCCAAAGAUCAAUCUAUUUUUGGACCUAGUAGACAACUACCAGUCCACAUUUUGUCCACUCUUGGUCUUUCAACCAAGGAAGUAUCGGACCAUAUAGAGACUACAGAAGGUAUUGACCCAUAUCUUUCUACCGCGCCUCUACCUAGUCAACAUAUUCAUGCCACAACCACACCCAUUAAUCCUGGUAGUACCGCAACGACUUCUUCCACUGCUCUAUCAAACGUUUCUUUGUCUCAAAGACAUAAAAAGAUAGCUUCUGCUAACCAAGGCCCCCGCAACGUAACUAAGAAACGCAAUACACUAAAGAAGGAUGCUCCCAAGAACAACGACCCCUCCAGGAAAAGGAAUCUCAUACAGUUUUCUCUUUCUGAUGACAUAACCGAUCACUACCGAGCUCACUCUCCUUCCAUGGAACUCUUGCAUAACUCGGAUGACUCUGAUGAUGAUGACACUCCAAUUGCAAUACUCAAGAAACAGAAAACCCAACCUACUAACCAUAUAUGUGACCUGACUUAUACCACAACCUCUCAAAAGGUUCACGUAGUCAUUGGGGUUGCCGCAAACCCAAUAUGUACAAUCAUCGAAUACCACUCAGACACAGAAAGUGUGUCUGCUUCAUCUAAAAGUGGAAACUCACCCCCAGCUCACUCCCAAACGGAUGGAACUGGUUCACGCCUUAAGGUCUCUAGGGCUUCCUGAUUACAUAUUUUUUCUCCUAAGGAGUUGCACUCCAUUCUCCUUUCAGUCAACCAUACACUCCAAACACAUUCCCAAACGUAGGGCACCUCUUUCGUCCAUGCCAGAACUGAGCCGAGGCCAAACUUGACCACAGGUCUAGGAGACCAAGGAAGCUGAGGAAAUCCUACUCCGCUUAUACAUUUUUCAGGUGGUUUAAGCAUGGUGAGCACCAAUGUGCCAGGAUCCGUGAACCCGAGGGACACCACGGUGAGUUUUCAAGGAAUUGACGAAAUCGAUCUCAAUGAUUCAUGGAGUAAGUAUCAGCCAUCCAAUGAAGUUGAAGCAAGGAAAUAUGCCACUUUCUGUAGGGCAUUUCAAGAAAGAAAAGAACACCAAAACAAGCAACUGCAACAAAAAGAACACGAACUCCAAUCCGUAGCCAAGUACUGGGCAGACGAAAUCAACAAUGCCCACACAGUCGCUACUAUUCUCAAGGUUCAAAAUUGGAUGGAAGACAUGGCAACCAUGGUCUGCAACUCUCAACAUCAUCCUACCGGUGCAGGUCCUUCAAAACCCCCUACCACUCCAACUAUUCAAGACUCUCAAGACGGGGGUACCGCAAUUGAAGUCAGCUCUGCUCCUACCUUCGGAUUUGAUGAUGAUGACCUACAUGAGGUAAAUCAACCCAAUCCCUCUGAUGAUGAUCUAAUGAUGUUUGAUGAAGAAGAUGAAUCGAGUGGCUCUCAACACUCAACUUCAAAGCCCAAGGAGAAAAAGAAAAAGAAGAUGAUGGCCGUUUCCAGAAAAGAAUUCUUGAGUCUACAAUCUAGAGUAGAUCAAAUUCUGGCCGCAGUCAACCUCACUCAAACGCAAUCAGAAGAGUAUCCGGUACCGCAGUCAUUAAUCGAAAGAAUUGAAAGAUGGGAAACCCGUGAAAGACUGGCUGUGGAGCGCAUCUCUCUAAAGGUUGAAAUGGGACUACGAUCCAAGGAUGUGAAUUGAAAAGCUGAUCACCAGCAAUUCAUAUCUACUGCAGAGCACCUCAUCUUUGAGGAAUCCGAAAUCGAAGACAAAUUGCAAACUGCCAUUGCGGAUCAAUCCACACUCUCACAGAAACUGAUAGUUGAAACUCACACUGCUUAUGAGUCCACUAUUUCAGUCCUUCACUCCACCAUCAACAGACUUUAACGCUCCUUAGCAUCGAACUUCCAUGGUCCUGAAAUUUUACAACUCACAAAGGAGUUUCAACGACUACUUUUCAACUCUGAUAUACCAGACAAUCAACAACUGGCCGAUGCUCUUAAAGCUUAAUUUCAAGAAGUGUGUAACAAGUUCGAUGGUCUCAGACAAUGGCUUGAGGUGUCUCCGGCCCUGCACUCCACAAGAGGGGGAAGUGACGAGGACCAUCGAGAAGAAGCUCAUCAUGAAGGAGAUCAUCAAUCAAACAACAUUUCUCAUCAAGAAAGCCCUCCUAUCAUUACUGAGAAAAUUCCUUCAACACAUCCAUCUCCCCAGAAGAUUCCAAGCGAUCAGUCAUCACUGUAGUCACCACCACUGAAGCAAAUCUUUCCUUCACCUGAAAGACCAGUGACUCCCCCUCAUUUCAAAAAUUUGGCUGAGGAGAUGUCUCCUGAAAGCUCCACUGACUCCCCCGCAACCAAACAAAAGAAGGCGGAUUGGAGAGCAGCAAAAUUUGCCGACCAAAUCUGGAGAGAAUUUGGUUUUGACAACAGCAUGGAUGAAUCUUUUGUUAAUUCCUGGAUCAAUCCCCAUCACAGACUACUGGAUGAUGACUGCAAACCCUAUCUCACUUUUGCUGAACCUCCCUCAGAUGACUACUAGGAUGUUCCAAUCUCCACCAAUGCUAAAUACUUCACAGUAUUUGAGUCCUUUGACUGCAGUCUCCUUGCUCAUAAAAGACUGCCCAUGGAAUUCAAAAGGCUCAAUUGAUUCCAUGCCAAACAUGCUUUUUCGAUCGAGAAAAUUUGGUCGAACGAUAGACCAUCCGAAGUCAAAAACUUCAAACCCCGAAAAUUCAUGAAGGCCGACUUCAUUUAAUAUACUCUCACAAGAAGGAAUCGGGACUACGUCCACACCCAAGCUGAAUAUCCAUGUAUGAAUCCAGAAGAAGUCUUCCUGAUAGCAAAGGUGUUCCAAAACAAGAGUGAAAAGUAUCCUAAAAUGAAGAUAGCAUUGGAUAACGCAAGCACUUUUCUGAAGGAAACUCUUUAUGAUUUUGAAAAAAUUGAUGCAGAUGUCUAUCCUGUAAUUGCCAAGAAAUUCGUUCUACCUCCACUUGAUGCUGCACCAAUGCCUACCGAAGGUUUUAAGAAAGAUCUCUAGGUGCAACAAACUACCUUGAACUUGGAGUCAUUUUCAAAAGAAAAGUCGAUCAGAUCAAAUACUUCAUUCCAAUAAUCUCCAUGCAUCGACUAACAUGGAAGCAACUUGAAAUCUAUCUAACCGCAGCAGAAAAAUCAAAUCAUACAAUUGUCGAAGUAAAGUUCAAGAUUUUAUGGAGAAUCACCUGGGUUGAAAAUGUCAGAAAGUUUUGGUGGAUUCUCAUCAAGUUCCUUAAACUUGAUAAAUAAAGAAAAGUUGAAGAGGCCACUUAGGGGGAAAUUGUUGAAUCAAGAAAGUGACCCUCUUAAACAUUGUCUACCGCAGUCUUGCUCCCAUCCGCAGUCAACAAGUUCAGCUACCGCACCCACAAUCAUCAACCGCAGUCUACGUUACUUUAUUAGAUCAGCCCUUUCUCUGUUUUUCUAAUGUAGUUCUCUUUUAUCCAUUGUGCCUUGCAUGACAUCUCUCGAACAGAUUGGACUGAUGUAAUCUAUGAGUCUCUAUAAAUAGAGUUCAUUCUUUCUCUUCAAAUAACAGAUAACACUCAGCAUCUUGCAAUUUAUAUCUUGGGUUAUUUACUCUCAUCUCUUUCUCACCUUCAAAGUUCUGUUUAACAUCAUCUCUUUGGGGAAAGUCAUUCGUGACUUAUUCACUAAGUUUGAUCUCAUCUACUAACUCUAUUUGAAUGCAUUCCUUGUUAAGAAUCAACUUAAUUGUUUACUUGAUAUAAUACCUGCUGUCAUUUAUAUUUCCUUACAUUUCCGCACCUAACUCAGUAAUCACCUAACUGUAACUUAUUAUUAUUGUUGAGCUUUUAGAUCCUUUGAGAUAAAUUAUUAUUCCUCUACUAUACUUGUUCUAACGUUUGUUCAAGUGUGACUCAAGUUUCUUUCUCAACAGGUUUUGUAUGUGGAUGACAUACUACUCAUAGGAAAUGACAUCUCAACCCUGCAGGAGGUGAAGUAUUGGCUUAGGAAGUGUUUCGCUAUGAAAGACCUUGGAGAAGCUGCUUAUAUCCUAGGGAUAAGGAUAUUAAGAGAUUGGAGUAAGAGACUAAUUGGACUUAGUGAAAUUACCUACUUGGAUAAGGUGUUGAAGAGGUUUAGCAUGCAAUAUUCCAAGAAAGGGGAAUUACCUAUCAAGAGUAAUGCCAAGCUGAGUAAGACUCAGUGUCUGAGUAGAGAGGCUGAGAUAGCUGAGAUGAGUCAUAUACCAUAUGCUUCCGCUGUGGGAUCAAUCAUGUAUGCUAUGACUUGUACUCACCCUGAUGUGGCCUUUGCUUUGAGCAUGGAUCAGUAGUUAUGAAGGGAACCAUGGCAAGGCUCACUGGACUGCGGUAAAGAACAUUCUCAAGUAUUUGUAGAGGACUAAGGAUUGGGUCCUUAUCCUCGGUGGCAGUGAUAACUUGAGAGUGGAAGGAUAUAGCGAUGCUAGCUUUCUGACUGAUAGGGAUAAUUUCCACUCUCAUUCAGGCUGGGUCUUUAUCCUAAAUGGAGGGGCAAUUACUUGAAAAAUUCCAACCAGGAGACAGUAGCUGAUUCAACUUGUGAAUCAGAGUAUAUAGCAGCAAGCGAGGUAGCAAAGGAGGCAAUAUGGCUAAAGAACUUCAUCGGAGACCCUGGAGUUGUACCAGCUAUAAAGGAGCCAAUGAAACUUUUCUGUGACAGAAAAAGUGCGGUUGCUUUGGCUAAGGAACCAAGAGAUCACGGGAGAUCUAGGCACAUUGACAGAAAAUACCAUUUCAUCAGACAUCGAAUAGAAGGACUCCUUGUGGCAAAGAGGGUAUCAUCAGAUGAGAACCUAGUAGAUCCCCUCAUGAAGGGACUGAGUAGGGUUAAACAUUUGCAGCAUACUAGGCGCAUCGGGCUGAAGGAUGAUAUUAGUUUCAAUAAUUAGAUUUCUGAAACUUGUAAAAUGUAGUUGACAUUUGAUGAUUGAAUAAAAGUUUUUACAAGUUGAGGGUGCUUUUCCACCCAAGAAAGGCCCCAUGCAAUUCAAGGGCUUAUUUUAGGACCUUUUGAGCUUAAAGUCCCAUGCAAACACGUAAAGUUUGUAAAUUUGCGUGCUAGAACGGUCCUUGGAGCAUAGAUCUAUCCUUUGAUCAAGAGUUGUACAUCAGAAAUUGAAGAUCUAGUGAGAACACGAGAUAGACUCGGCGAGUCCGUCCUUGGACUCGGCGAGUCCAAGCUUGAGUCCCAAAUUCGUUGAGGGUCAAAAGGACCCAGUUGAGUGUGGAAAGGUUUUAGGGAGUCCCGGAAGUGACCCAACAUUCUGGACUAAGCCAUUGUUCUGGGUAUUCAUGGGACUCAGCGAGUGCAUGAGCAGACUCGGCGAGUCUAAGGCAAUCUUCUUAUGGAUGAAGAUGAACUCUAUGAGUUGUUCAUACAACACGGCGAGUCAAGGACAGGACCUUUUGAUCAGUUGAAGAUGAACUCGACAAGUUGUUCAUACAGCUCGGCGAGUCGGAUGAAGACUCAGUCGAUGUUCAUUUGGAAGGGAAACUCAUCAAGUCAUUGCCUAACUCGACGAGUAGAGACGCGUAUAAGGACAAAUGGAAGAAUACGGAGUCGCGAGUUGGCGAGCCAAAUCGGCGAGUCAGGUCAACUGGUAGUUGACUUUGACUUUGACUUGGUCAGGGACAAGAUGGUUAUUUCACCCUAAGAGCAGUUGGAAGUGUUUAAUUGUGUGUUUUGUGGGAAUUACAACUGGAGGUUUUCCGGAGCAGCAGCAGCAACAGACAGACAGUUCCCACGCAGAUCAGCAGCUACUACGAGGUGACUUACCUUCAAGUAGCAGUGGGUCUAUGGCCAUAAUGCCGGACCACCAGUAGGAGUUGUAUGAUAGAUGAUUGUCUUUAUGAUAUUCAUCUAGGUUUGCUACUACUUGAUAUGUUAUAUAUGAUAGUAGUAGAGUUCAGUUGGUAGGAUCGAAGGUUAGUCAGACACCCCAGAUACGUGUAACGCCUGUGUUUCUAGGCUAGGCAUUAAUUAUGACAUAAUGGUCUAGGUUAACCUUUGUAACUCAUUUAGAAGAAAUGAAAAGGAAUUAUGUGAAUUUUAUGUGAAUUAUGUGUUUUAUGCUUAAUUAUUAGGGUUUAAUUAAUUAAAAAUAAAAAUAAGCGUCAAAAUUAAAGUGUGAGAUAAGCCCGAUAUCUUUACAUAAAGUUGUAGUGGUCGAAACAAGGAUUUCGGGGAUAUAAAGAAUACCAAAUCCGAGUUAUAACGAAGAAGUUAUGACCUAUUGAAGUUUCGCGACAAAACCGACACGGUGCUGAAUGUCGUAAAAAGUGAGUUUUUGAUAAACUACUUUUUAGCCUUAGUAAUCUAAACGAAAGUCGUAGUAUUCGUUAAACCGAGAAGUUCGAUAGAAAGAACGCCCAAAUCUGACUUCGUAUGAGGAAGUUAUGAUUUUUCGAAGUUUCAGCGCAACAGUAGACAGCUAAGAACUCGAAUUUUAGAUCGAGCGGUUUUUAGCCGACACAACCUAAAUGAGAAUUGAAGGUCUCGUCAUUAGGAGCACAACGGUAAAAAGUCUGACGAAAACGGACGUCGGAUGAAGAAGUUAUGAAUUUUUAACGGAUUUCCUGUCCCGGUCUGUUAAAAAUAAUAAUAUAAAAUUUAAAGUCAAAAUUAGCCGACGAAGUCUAAACGGAAGUUGUAGAUCGUAAUUUUAGCUACGCGUGCAUAUAAAGAACGUCAAAAACGGAGCUCGUAUGCGAAAGUUAUGGAUUUUAGAAGUUUUGGCACGAAAACCGAGAAAUUUCGCAUAGUCACAAUUGCCACGUCACCCUCGCUUAGAAAGUGACACGUGUCCUGCUGAGUCACCUGGCUGCUGAGUCAUUAGGCUGCUGAGUCACCGAGGCUGCUGAGUCAUGCGAGCCACGUGUCCUCUUCUGAUUCGACCGAGGAGGAGGCCCAAUCCGAAGCAGCCAGCUCCCCAGCCGAAGCUUCGCCCAGCUGCCGCGUGUGUCCGAGCCUCGCAUAGCCUAGCUCCGAGCCUCGCAGGUGCGCCAGCAAGCCGCGGUCCACUUAGAAGCCGCCAGCGAGCCCUCGCAUGUGCGAGCCAGGUGCGAGCCAUGCGAGCCAUGUGCGAAGCCACCCCCUGCGAGCCGUCGGAUCUCCGAAGCGUGCCAUCUUCUCAGCCGUUGGAUCAAACUUCGGACCCUAUAAAUAGAAGGGUACCUGCGAGGGUUUCCGGUUACUUUUGGAAUUUUGCCACUUUUAGCCCCUUUCUCCAUAUUUUCUUCAUCUUAACAUCCCGCAAAGCCCCGGUAUCGAUUGUAAAGCCCGGAAUACCCCACGAAGUGCCCGAGAAGCCCGGAAAAUUUAUCUUUUCGGUUUCAAAGCCCGACCUUUCGCAGAGCCCGGUUUCUCAAUAAAACUCCCGGUUUUAUUAGAAACGAUCGUUUUAGGAAACGAAUUGCUGCCCGAUUUUCACCAAAAUAAGUGAGUGUGUAGUUACUUUCAAUUUACACAUAGAUAUGAAGUAUUUACCUUGAAAUACGUGUUAUGUGUAAAUAUAUUAAUUGUUUGACUGAGGUGACUGUUGAAUUGAUGUUUUAUACAAGUUUUAAACUGUAUAUGCUUUUUAUCUACAAAAUAUGUUGGGUAGAACAUGGGUAGAUGAAAUAGUGGGUAUGAUGAAAGGUGAGUUGGAUAAAGGAGAUGAUCAAUAAUAUUGAUCAUGAGUUGAGGGUGAGUGGUGAAAAUUUGAGAGAAUCACUUACCCAAAUUGUUGGCCCCCGUCAUUCAGCAGAGUAUGGAUGACAACCAUGGACUAUUCUAGACAGUCUAUGGAACACUAGCAGGCCCGCAACCUGUAGCUGUAAUGAACUAUAUGUUCAUUUGUUGUACUCUAAAACCCAUUGACAUGUAUUGCAGGAGAGAAAACCUGUAAAUAAUACUGUCGAUAUCUGAGAGCUAUGGACUUAGCACAUGUUGAAUAAACUUUGGCAGCUAUGGAACUAGUGCCCGUUGUAUAAACCCCGGUCACGAGGUGACUUUGUGUCUAUUCCUUAGGAUGAAUCCUUAGGAAGGAGUGAUAGUUGAUUCUUAGGGUAAACCCUUAAGAAAUAAAUAAAAUAAUGGGGUUUGGGGUAGUUAGGUUGAUUGAUUGAUGUAUAAACAUAAUAAAUUUAUGUAUUGUGGGUUGAAAACCCUAUAUGCUCACCAGGCUUCCAAGCCUGACCCACUCAGCUGUUUAUAUUACAGGUAGAGGACCCCGAGCAUAGUCGGAUGAUGAUGAUGAGUGAAUUUUGGAUUAUAGGCCAGUAGUUACAAAUAAUUGUCGUAAGGCUUAUAAUGUCUUGUUUAUGCUUUUGAUCUGUAUUGGAACAUGACAUCCCGAGGUUUUGAUAUAAAAGGAAAUGAUAUAUUUCUUAAAGAAAGGUUUUGACAAACUUUUAUCAUAUUUUGUUUUGGGGACCAACUCCGCAACAUCUUUUAUAAAGAUUUCUCUGAUUUGAUUUUUAAAAAGCAUAAAUUAAAUCGGUCUUUUCUGGCCGAGAAAUUUGGGGAUGUCACAGUUGGUAUCAGAGCAUUAGUUUAAGCGAACUAAGAAAUUGUAGAAUUUCUAGACUUGAACUUAGAAUGCUAAGUGAUGAUUGUGAGAUGAGUGUCUACCAUAUUUUAGACACGAGCACUAGUUUAUUUUAGGGAAGAUGCCUAAAAUGCCCUUAUGUGCUAAAUGUUUUGUGUUAUAGCUAUAAUGAUGCUAUUAUUUGUUCGGAUCUAUGGUCUGUUGCCGACCGGAUCUGGAAACCUUAUGUGUGUAGGAUUCUAAACGUAUGACUACGAUAUUGGAACUAACAUAUAAACGUUUCGAAGACUUAACAUCUAACAAAAAAGAAGAUCUAAAUUCACCUACGAUUGGUGUAUAGAUCGAAAUGCCGAGUACUCAAAGUGGGUUCGGAAGUGAUAAUCCACAGCCUGAGCCAAUCACGAUGACUGGAGUGCAGGAAAUGGUACGUACGAUGUUAGGUGAACAGAUGGAAGAAACAAAACGUUUACUUCAACAAAGUAAGGAUGAACUUAUUGUGCCAAAAGGUCAGACAUCUGUUCUUGAGGCAACUAUUAGGGCUGCUAAGUCUAUUGAGGAAAUGAUCAAUGACACAACCGCCAACAAAGUUGAAGUUGGCAAGAAGAGGAAAUUUGAGGGGUCUUCAAGGCCCAACAAGAGCAACAUAUCCUCAAAGUUUGGCAAAAGAAGAGAUAAAGGAAAAUGGUGCGGGAAGUGCAAAAAUAAACACUCUGGGAAUUGUGACGGGAAGGUGAAGUGCUUUAAGUGUGGAGAAAUAGGGCAUUACGCCAAUAAGUGUACGAUUCCCAAGGAGGUGUGCUACGGAUGUAAAGAAGAAGGCCAUAUUUCUAAGAAUUGUCAGAAGAACAAUGAAGUAACAAGGCCAAGUGCACCAUCAAUGCCAAAGGAAUUUCAGGAUAUCCUUGAAGAAGCGAUUAAUAACACUAGGAAGUAGAAGUCAAGACUUGAUACCCGAAGAUCAAGUUACGAAGUAGUAAUGUGAAUAGUAACAAGUAGUUUAGCCUAUGAGAGGCAUAGUAUAGGGUAAACUUGAACCUUUGUGUAAUCGUUUCAAGGAAAUAAAAUAAACCCUGGUUUUGUCGUCUGAUGAAUAGAAUGGCUGGUGUAAUUUUUGAAGUUGUCCCAAUCAUCUGAAAUUUCCAUCACCAACCAAGUUGAAGUAGAGUUGAUCAUUGAAGAUACGCGUGAAAGAAGUCCUAGUAGAGUCUAGGAAAAUUUUAUGAUUAAUUGGACACAUUUGUAUGUGUUAAAUUGUUUUGUGAUUUUAGGACUUGGGGACUGCGAGACAGUACUUGGGACGAGUAUGAGUAGGUGUGAAUAGUAGUAGAGAUCUAUACUACUGGAAGCACAGGACUCGCACUUGGAUCAGGGAAAGUCACAAGGUUACCAAGAAGCUAUUAUUUGAUUUCAUCUUGUUCUAGUCUGUCGUUACCAUCGUUUCGGUAAUGACUAAGAAGAUGAUUGUUAUUCCGAUCUAAGAGGUCAUAUUGAAUCGAGUCCGACUAAGAUGAGUAUGUUACGUGGUUCAGAGAACCAAGUUCGAUGUAGCAUUUGACUUAUGCCAGAAGAUUGAAGUAAAAGAUGAUUAAAGCGAUCAAUAGAAGUAUUGCACUCAUUGUUAAAGAAGUUGAUAUUUAGGAAUCAUACAUGUUGAACUGUGAUUGUAUCACAUUAGAACAUGAAGGAAGGUGUAGUUUGUUUUGGAAAUUGUCCCAAGGAGAUCUGAGUCUAAGUAGUGCAGUAUACAAUGAGAGAUCAUUAGAACAUGACCCAUCGGUCUGUUAUAAUAAAUGAAGGAAAGUACUUAUUCCAAGAAGAAGAAGGAGUCCUCAAUAAGGAAUUAUUUUGUAACUCGAAGGUUACGAUUGAAGGUCCUAUAAAGAUCUGAAGCUUUUUAGGAUUAGCUGGAUAUUAUUACUGAAUUAUCCAAGGCUUUUCUUCGAUCGCGACUCCAUUGACAGCUUUGACCCACAAAGGAGCUGUCUAUACUUGGAAUGAGAAGCAUAGGAAGCUUUGAGAAGUCAAAGAAGAAGUUGUGUGAAGCACCGAUUCUUUCGUUACCCAAAGGAGUUGAUGACUUCACAGUUUAUAGUGAUGCCUCUGGAGUUGGGUUAGGAUGUGUUCUGACCCAAAUGGAUAAGGUGAUAGCAUAUUCAUCGAGGCAAUUGAAAGAGCAUGAAAAGAACUACCCCACUCACGAUUUGGAGUUGGCAGCGGUAGUAUUCGCCCUAAAGAUAUGGAGGCAUUAUCUUUAUGGCACAAAGUGUAAACUUUUCACUGAUCAUAAGAGUCUUCAAUAUCUCUUUAAUCAGAAGGAAUUGAACAUGAGGCAACAAUGCUGGCCAGAGUUACUCAAGGAUUACGACUGCGAGAUACUUUACCACCCUGGUAAAGCAAAUGUGGUUGCUGAUGCUCUCAGUCGGAAGGUAAACCUUGAAAAGUAAAGGCCAAGAGCGUUGAGAAUUGAAGUUGUCUCGACAAUUGUGGAACGUAUAAAGAAAGCUCAAGAGGAAGCUUUAGAGAAAAAUGACCGAAAGGAAGCACGUUUGGGCAAAACGUUAGUAUUCGGUACAAACAACCAAGAGUUGAAGGUAUUCCAAGAUAGGAUUUGGGUACCUAAGACGGGCGGAGUAAGAGAUCUUCUGAUGGAAGAAGCUCACUGGACCAUGUACUUGAUUCAUCUCAGCAGUAGAAAAAUGUAUAGGGAUUUAAACCCCUAUUAUUAGUGGCCGACGAUGAAGCUCGAUGUUGCUAGGUAUGUGGCCGAGUGUGUAACUUGUGCUAGGGUUAAGGCACAACAUCAGGAGUCGUUUGGAAGUUUAGAACCUUUACCCGUACCCAUGGGUAAAUGGGAGGACGUCACCAUGGAUUUUGUGACUAAACUUCCCAGAACAAGGAACGGUCAGGACAUGAUUUGGGUAGUCGUUGAUCGCUUCACUAAGAGUGCGUAUUUCAUAGCAACCAUCGAGAAAUGGUCUAUGGAUAAACUCGUGAAUUCUUAUGUGAAGGAAGUGUGAGGCUUCACGGUGUUUUGUUAACGAUUGUAUCCGAUCGUGACAACCGUUUUACCUCAAUGUUUUGGAGGAGUCUAUAAGAGGAAAAGCAGUUUAUGGGACUUGAAAUAGUCCAUUAGAUUGCUGAAAAGUUGUAAGUGAUUAGGAAAAAGAUGUUAGCUGCUCAAAAGAGCUAUGCUGACAAGAAAAGACAACCGAUAUCAUUCGAAGUUGGAGAUUCGGUUUCACUUAAAGUCUCGUCGUGGAAGGGACUUAUAAGAUUUGGUAGAAGGGGAAAGUUGAGUCCAAGGUUUAUUGGACCAUUUAAAGUUCUUCAGAGAAUCCGGAAUCAAGCUUACAAGCUAGAGUUACCGGAAGAACUAGAGGGUAUUCAUAACACCUUUCAUGUGUGUUAUUUGAGAAAGUUCACGGGAGGUGUGCCCGACAUAAUUCCCAUUUCUGAGUUAAGGUUGGACAAGAACAAGAGAUUAAUUGGAGAACUUGAGGCAAUCGUUAACCGUAAGACUAAGAAGUUGUAACAUAAGAUAGUCGAUUUAGUGCCUGUACGUUGGAAACUUAUAAAUGGGCCAAAUCCCACCUGGGAAACGGAGAGUGACAUAGUGAGUCGCUACCCGUAGUUGUUUGUCGUUGUGUGAUUCCGGGGACGGAAUCAUCCUAAGGGGGAGAGAGUUGUAACGCCCGUGUUUCUAGGCUAGGCAUUAAUAUUGACAUAAUGGUCUAGGUUAACCUUUGUAACUCAUUUAGAAGAAAUGAAAAGGAAUUAUGUGAAUUUUAUGUGAAUUAUGUGUUUUAUGCUUAAUUAUUAGGGUUUAAUUAAUUAAAAAUAAAAAUAAGCGUCAAAAUUAAAGUGUGAGAUAAGCCCGAUAUCUUUACAUAAAGUUGUAGUGGUCGAAACAAGGAUUUCGGGGAUAUAAAGAAUACCAAAAUCCGAGUUAUAACGAAGAAGUUAUGACCUAUUGAAGUUUCGCGACAAAACCGGCACGGUGCUGAAUGUCGUAAAAAGUGAGUUUUUGAUAAACUACUUUUUAGCCUUAGUAAUCUAAACGAAAGUCGUAGUAUUCGUUAAACCGAGAAGUUCGAUAAAAAGAACGCCCAAAUCUGACUUCGUAUGAGGAAGUUAUGAUUUUUCGAAGUUUCAGCGUAGCAGUAGACAGCUAAAAACUCGAAUUUUAGAUCGAGCGGUUUUUAGCCGACACAACCUAAACGAGAAUUGAAGGUCUCGUCAUUAGGAGCACAACGGUAAAAAGUCUGACGAAAACGGACGUCGGAUGAAGAAGUUAUGAAUUUUUAACGGAUUUCCUGUCCCGGUCUGUUAAAAAUAAUAAUAUAAAAUUUAAAGUCAAAAUUAGCCGACGAAGUCUAAACGGAAGUUGUAGAUCGUAAUUUUAGCUACGCGUGCAUAUAAAGAACGUCAAAAACGGAGCUCGUAUGCGAAAGUUAUGGAUUUUAGAAGUUUUGGCGCGAAAACCGAGAAAUUUCGCAUAGUCACACUUUGCCACGUCACCCUCGCCUCGCAUGUGACACGUGUCCUGCUGAGUCACCGAAGCUGCUGAGUCACCAGGCUGCUGAGUCACGAAGCCACCUGGCGAGGCGUGUCAUGUCCUUCCGAGUCCGAGCUGCGGUCCAAUCCGCUGACUACACGUAGAAGCCUCGGUGGCGAGCCUCGCAUCCGACGCGUGUGUAGUGACUCAUGAGUCCGAACCCUCGCAGGCGCCACGAACCCCCUACUUCGGACCCUAGACCUCGGUCCAAUCACAAGCCGCCAGAGAGCCCUUCGCACGCGCAGCCCUCAUGCGAGCCUCCCCCUCUGCGAGCCUUCUCAGCCGUCGGAUCAGAAGACUCCUGACCGUCCGAUCAGAAGCUUCCCCCUAUAAAUAGGAGGGUGCGAGACCUCCCGGGUAUUUUUGGAAUUUUGCCAUAUUUAGCCCCUAAACCCAUAUUUUCUUCAUAUUAACAUCCCGCAAAGCCCCGGUAUCGAUUGUAAAGCCCGGAAUACCCCACGAAGUGCCCGAGAAGCCCGGAAAAUUUAUCUUUUCGGUUUCGAAGCCCGACUUUUGCAGAGCCCGGUUUCUCAAUAAAACUCCCGGUUUUAUUAGAAACGAUCGUUUUAGGAAACGAAUUGCUGCCCGAUUUUCACCAAAAUAAGUGAGUGUGUAGUUACUUUCAAUUUACACAUAGAUAUGAAGUAUUUACCUUGAAAUACGUGUUAUGUGUAAAUAUAUUAAUUGUUUGACUGAGGUGACUGUUGAAUUGAUGUUUUACACAAGUUUUAAACUGUAUAUGCUUUUUAUCUACAAAAUAUGUUGGGUAGAACAUGGGUAGAUGAAAUAGUGGGUAUGAUGAAAGGUGAGUUGGAUAAAGGAGAUGAUCAAUAAUAUUGAUCAUGAGUUGAGGGUGAGUGGUGAAAAUUUGAGAGAAUCACUUACCCAAAUUGUUGGCCCCCGUCAUUCAGCAGAGUAUGGAUGACAACCAUGGACUAUUCUAGACAGUCUAUGGAACACUAGCAGGCCCGCAACCUGUAGCUGUAAUGAACUAUAUGUUCAUUUGUUGUACUCUAAAACCCAUUGACAUGUAUUGCAGGAGAGAAGACCUGUAAAUAAUAAUGUCGAUAAAUGAGAGCAAUGGACUUAGCACAUGUUGAAUAAACUUUGGCAGCUAUGGAAUUAGUGCCCGUUGUAUAAACCCCGGUCACGAGGUGACUUUGUGUCUAUUCCUUAGGAUGAAUCCUUAGGAAGGAGUGAUAGUUGAUUCUUAGGGUAAACCCUUAAGAAAUAAAUAAAAUAAUGGGGUUUGGGGUAGUUAGGUUGAUUGAUUGAUGUAUAAACAUAAUAAAUUUAUGUAUUGUGGGUUGAAAACCCUAUAUGCUCACCAGGCUUCCAAGCCUGACCCACUCAGCUUUUUAUGAUCACAGGUAGUGGACCCCUAGCAUAGUCGGAUGAUGAUGAUGAGUGAUUUUGGAUUAUAGGCCAUUAGUUAUAAAUAACUGUUGUAAGGCUUAUAAUGUCGUGUUUAUGCUUUUGAUCUGUAUCGGAACAUGACAUCCCGAGGUUUUGUUAUGAAAUAAAAAUAUAUAUUUCUUAAAGCAAGGUUUUGAUAAAUUUUUAUCAUGUUUGACUUUGGGAACAAAUUCCGCAACACUUUUAAUGAAAUGAUUACUCUGAUUUUAUUUUAAAAAGCAUAAACGAAAUCGGUCUUUUCUGGCCGUGAAAUUGGGGAUGUCACAAUACGUCUGACCGAAUGUGAUGUUAUGUGCAUAUGCAAGCAGGAUAUGUUAUAUGUGUUAGAGGUAGUAGGAGGGGAACAGUCCCUUAGUUCGGUUGUUAGGACUGAUGGGUAGUUCAGACACCCCAUAUAUGUUUGAUAAUCUGUAUACUAUGAUAUGUGAUAGUAGUAGUAGUAGGGGUGGAAUAGUCCCCAAGGUACGGUUGUUAGGACCGAAGGGUAGUCAUCACCCCAGAACAGCUUGACAUGGGUCAGUCAGCACCCUAGAAUGGCUUGACUCGGGUAGGACGACACCCCAGAAUGGCCGCAUGGGUAGCUCAGCACCCCAGAAUGGUCGUACCGGGUAGGUUGGGCAACCCAAAAUUGCCUGGCAGUAUGUAUGAUAUAUGAAUGUAUGGUAUGUGGUAUGAUGGGGGAACUCACUAAGCUUCGUGCUUACAGUUUUCAGUUUGGUUUCAGGUACCUCUUCAGCGAAGGGGAAGGAGUUGUCGCUGUAGCGGCACAUCAUACACACACCUUAUUUUCCGCACUAUGAGUUCAUUCUGCGAUUUGUACUCUGACAUUAUAGUUAAUUUUAUGUUUUGGUUUUUAGACACAAAAUAUGUUUUUUUGAAAUGAUAUGAUUCACUCGAUGUUUACUUACAAAUGUUUUGUGAAAUAUUUAAUUAAAAAUGAAAUUUUGGUCGUGAAAAUUGGGUUGUUACAAGUUGGUAUCAGAGCCCUGGUUUGUGGGAUUCGGACACACCUUUGGGGGUAUCUGGACUCAAAUCUAGGGAAUUAAAAGAUUUCGAGAAAGAAAAAGUUUUCUAAAAGUUAAGUGAAGAAUUUUAAGAAAGAAAGAGGUGUGUGAUGUGCGCGACCGGCCAAGCUCAAGUAAGUAUUCCCCAAAGUACACAUACAAGUUUAUGCUAUGUUAUCAGUUUCAGUAAAACAGCGUGCUAGAAUAGGACUUAGGAUCUAGGAAUGAUGCCUUAUGUGCCUGCUUUAUGUGCUUCAACUUUUGUGAAUUGCAUGCUAGUAUUGAGUAGAUAGCAGUAGGAUAGCCUGUUUAGGUUAUGCCUGAUAGUAUGAGCUUAGCAUUGCAUGCUAGUGCAGUUUCUCAUUGUGAGAACAGAUCCUCUUGAGUAGUUUUCCUGCAUCCGAAUGCUGCUUGCUUUGUGGUUUGUAGGACUCUGAGUGAUGGGAGUUAGCCAUUAGGUGAAUACGUCAUGUCACAUGUGGCCAGGGUUGAAUAAUCUCAGAGUGCUGGAUUUGACCCUAUUGCGCAGCUCUCGUUUGAGUCUAACCGUUGUGGGUACGAGUCUUUUACUCGAAGGAUUAUCUGAGCCUCACUCCAUGUGAUGGUAUUCAGGUAAUGACUAAUUGGCAUUACGAGGAGGCCUUCAGCAGCUGAGGACCGGAAUGGGUGGAGUCGGAGAUUUUCCCUAGGGUGAGCCUAGGAUGAGAGUAGCAGAGAUCAAUAGUGGUAAAAGGGAUCCGGUGGAGUCAAGGCAGUCCUUGAGGAAGGUACGGAUAGAUGUGGAAGGUAGUAUAGGCCCGUACUACUGAAAGAAGAGGAUCCGUACCCGAAUUAAGGAGCGCCAAGACAAGACCAGGGAACUUGUAGUGGGUGUGAUCCCUCAAAAGGUAUCAGUAUCACUAACGGUUGUUGUUAUGUAUUGCGGAAUGGUGGUACUACGUCCUAGGCUACAGAUGGCAGUUCAGGAGAGGGAACGGGUUCGGGAUUAGGUUCCGAGCCAGCAGAUAAGGGGCUACGCGAGUUCAUCGCGUCAGAGAUCACCAGAGGUAUCCAUGAGUCGACCCCCAUCAUCUUUGGGUUAAUCAAGGAAAGGAUAGUUGAGCUGAUGGAUGAGUGCCUCGGGGCAUUCAAGAGAGACAUGGCAUCAGCCCAGUCAGGGUCUCGCAAACUAUCCUUUAUGGACUUCAGGGGCAGUGGUGCACCGGAUUUCCAUGGGGUGAAGGACCCCAUUGCUGCCAGACACUGGAUUACGGACAUUAAGUCUGCAUAGUUGACUAGCUUCUGCCCCGAGGGGUCGAAGGUGCGAUUUGUCGAAGGGUGUCUGAGACACAGAGCUAGAGACUGGUGGGAGUCUGUUGGUGACUCGUUGGGAGCCUCGACUGUUGAGGCUAUGACAUGGCCGGACUUUGUGACCUAGUUUCGAGCGGAGUUCGCACUUGCGGUAGAGCUCUAGCAGUUAGCUAGAGGGUUUCUGGAUAUGAGACAGACGACGGAGACUGUGGCGGAGAUUACCACCAAGUUUUAGGAGAGGGCGUUACUGGUGCCCCAGUAUGCGGGUGAUGAGGAUACGAGGAGGACCCGCUACCACGACAUGCUUCAAGCCGAUAUUCGAGUGCAUGCCAGCUUUUCAGCUUGUCCUACCUUGGACUCUAUGAUUGCUAGGGCGAGGGAGAGGGAGAUAGAUCUGGAGCACAUCUGGAAGAGGAAGACAGAGGAGGGACAGACAGGGGGGGGCUUCAGGGAAGAAGCCCAAGGGAUCAGAUGGUAGGCCGAAAGGCCAGUCAGGACUGGGCCGCGGCAAGAAAUGUGGCAGGCCACAUGAGGGGGCAUGUAGAAUGGGAUCAUCGGGCUGCUAUAAGUGCGGACAGACGGGGCACUUCAGCAGGGAUUGUACCGCCCCUGCACUUGUGAUACAGACGUCUCAGUUGCUGUGUUUCCACUGCAACCAGAGGGGCCACAAGAAGGACAAUUGCCCCCAGUUGACAGCAGCGGCGCUAGCUCAAGCGACCCUGCAGAUUGCUGAUGGCCGGCAUGGCAAGGCAUAGGCUCCAGCGGUGAGGAGUUGGGCAUUUUAGCUGACUACCAAGGAGGCACGCGCCGCACCCGAUGUGUUGAUGGGUAUGAUUGUCUCCUUUUGAUUUAUUUAUAUUAUGUUAUGAUAUUGAUAUGUGCUCUGUGUAUAUGUAUUUAGGAUCGUUCCAUGUGAACGGUAUCCCAGUGCAGGUGUUGUUUGACUCGGGUGCCACCCGAUCAUUUGUUUCUCUUGCGCUUAGCAAGAAGUUCACUGAGUCUUCGAGCUUGUUGGAUUGCCCUUUAGAGGUAGACAUUGCCGAUUAUCAAUCAGUGCGAGCAUCCGUAGUGUUCAGAGAUUGCAUUCUGAGGUUAAUUGAGGAGUAGUAUUUGGUAGACUUGGUUCCCAUUCUGUUGCGUGGGAACAAGGUGAUUAUAGUCAUGGAUUGGUUAAGCCCUAAUGGGGCGGUUGUAAAUUGCGCACAGCAGCUGGUGCGGAUCAAGACCCCAAGUGGGGGAGAGUUGGUGAUUCAGGGCGAGAGGCUACAGCGUGGUCCCACCGUAUGUUCAGCAGCGAAAGCUAGGUGCUACCUUCAUCAGGAUUGCACGGGAUAUGUCGCGUAUGUUAUGGAUACUCGGGAGGCAGGUUAGGCGAUGGCGAGCGAGGUUCUGGUGGUGCGAUAGUACGCAGAUGUGUUCCUAGAGGAGCUUAUGAGAUACCUCCGGACGACAGUUGCAGGAGUUGUCUACACAGUUGCUGGAUUUGUUAGACAAGGGAUUCAUUAAACCGAGCAGUUUACCCUGGGGAGCCCCGGUUCUGUUUGCGAAGAAGAAGGAUGGGUCGCAUCGGAUGUGUAAAGAUUAUCGGGAGCCGAACAAGGUAAUGGUGAAGAACCGUUACCCACUCCCGAGGAUUGAUGACCUCUUUGACCAGUUACAGGGAGCAUCUUGGUUCUCCAAGAUCGAUUUGCAUUCGUGUUACCAUCAAAUAAGGGUUAGAGUGGAGGAUGUGCAGAAGACCACGUUUCGGACGCGCUAUGGCCAAUACGAGUUUGUGGUGAUGCCCUUCGGGCUCACCAAUGAUCCUGUCGCGUUCAUGGACCUCAUGAACCGCGUGUGUAGACCGAUGUUAAACCGGUCGGUGAUAGUGUUUAUUGAUGACAUCUUGGUUUAUUCCAAGACACAGGAGGAGCACGAGAAGCAUCUGCGAGAGGUUCUGGAGACUUUGAGGAGGGAGAACUUGUACGCUAAGUUCUCCAAGUGUGAGUUAUGGUUGCGUGAGGUGCCGUUCGUUGGGCAUCUCGUCAACCAGGACGGGAUCUCAGUAGAGCCGGCCAAAGUGGAGGACGUGAUGACAUGGGAGGUUCCAAAGUCUCCAUCUGAGAUUUGGAGUUUCCUAGAAUUAGCGGGCUACUAUCGGAGAUUCAUUCAGGAUUUCUCCAAGAUAGUCGUACCCCUGACACGGCUGACUAAGAAAGUCGUGUUCUUUAGAUGGGGGCCUGAGCAGUAGGCAGCAUUUGGGAUUCUGAGACAGAGAUUGUGUGAGGCGUCAAUCUUAGCCCUUCUAGAGGGCGUAGAAGAUUUUGUGGCAUACUGUGACGCGUCCAUUUUAGGUUUGGGCGCGGUACUGAUGCAGAGAGGGCAUGUCAUUGCUUACGCUUUGAGGCAGCUGAAUCGUCACGAGCAGAACUACCCGACGCACGAUUUAGAGUUGGGGGCGGUGGUCUUCGCCCUCAAGAUUUGGUGACAUUACCUCUAUGGAGUUUGGUGUACCAUUUACACGGACCACAAGAGUUUGAGGUACCUCAUGGAUCAGCUGAAUCUGAACAUGAGGCAGCAUCGGUGGAUGGAUGUGGUAAAGGAUUAUGAUUGCGAGAUUCUUUAUAACCCAGGGAAGGCCAAUGUGGUGGCCGAUGCGCUUAGCCGCAAGGCAGGGCCGAUCAGAGACAUGUGUAUGAGGAUGACGGUGGUGACUCUGCUGUUAGAGCGGAUUCAGGAGGCUCAACAGGAGGCUAUAAAGGAGGAACAUCGGANAUCCCGGGGCGACAAAGAUGUAUAGAGAUCUUCGUCCAGACUAUUGGUGGCCCUGCAUGAAGCAGGAUGUAGCUUGGUACGUUGAGCGGUGCUUGACCUGCAGGAAGGUAAAGGCCGAGAAUCAGAGACCACACAACAAGAUACAGCCGUUCGAUAUUCCGCUAUGGAAAUAGGAAGACAUCACGAUGGAUUUUAUCACCAAGAUUCCCAGGACUGCGCGGGGAGUGGAUUCUAUAUGGGUUAUCGUAGAUCGGUUGAACAAGAACGCCCACUUCAUACCGAUCCAGGAGAGUAUCUCGGCAGAGAAGUUGGCCGAUAUCUACAUUCGAGAGGUGGUGGUGCGACACAGAGUGCCAGACUCCAUGACUUUCAGACAGGGAUGUACGGUUUACUUCCAGGUUUUGGAAGAAGUUCCAUGACGAGCUGGGCACUCGUUUGCAUUUCAGCACUGCUUUUCACCAGCAUACAGAUGGUCAGAGUGAGCGGACCAUCUAGACCCUGGAGGAUAUGCUACAUGCAUGCGUGCUAGACUUCGGUGGUAGUUGGGAUACUUAUCUCCCUUUGGUUGAGUUCUCAUACAACAACAACUACCACGUGAGUAUUGACCGUCCUCCCUUCGAGAUGUUGUAUGCGAGGAGCUGCAAGACCUCGAUAUGCUGGGGUGAAGUUGGCCAGAGGGUCAUGGGGAGCGCCGAAGUGGUGCUCAAGACGACCGAGAGGAUUCAGUAGGUUCGGAGCAGGCUUCAGACUGCACAGAGUCGGCAGAAAAGUUAUGCCGACAAGCGACGUUCAGACCUGGAGUUACAGGUCGGGGAUAGGGUUCUCCUGAAGGUGUCUCCUUGGAAAGGCGUCAGUCGAUUCAGGAAGCAUGGCAAGUUGGGCCCAAGGUACAUUGGACCGUUCAGGGUUGUAGCCCUGGUGGGCAAGGUAGCGUACAGGCUUUAUCUGUCGGCCGAGCUCAGUCAGAUCCACAACACUUUCCACGUCUCCCAGCUAGGGAAGUGCCUUGUGGACGACUCAGCGGUGGUACCCCUAGAGGAUAUUCAGGUUGAUGACAGCUUGAAUUACACUAAGAGGCCAAUGGCAAUCCUCGACUAGAAGUUGAAGGAUUUAUGGAACAAGAGAGUGGAACUCAUAAAGGUCCAAUGACAACACUGGAAGGGGUCGAGGUGGACUUGGGAGCCGAUAGAAGAGAUGAUGGUGCAUUAUCCCGAGCUGUUCCAGGAGCGAGCAGCAAACUUCGAGGACAAUGUCUAAAAUAAGUGGGGGGAGAUUUGUAGCACCUGGUUCUUGGUAUGUAUUCUUUGUAAUUAACUCUUUAAAUAAUUGCAUUUUGGCCUUGGAAUCGGCGAGUUGAAGGACCAACUCGCCGAGUAGAAGCGAGAUAAGACGCGGGGUUUAAGCUAUGGACUCGGCGAGUCGGUCCCCGGACUCGGUGAAUAGACCCUGUCUAGACAAAAACCCUAAUCGGAGGUUUUGCACCCUAUUUAAACACAUUAACUCGGCCUCCUUUGUCCCAUAUACUCCCAGAGAACCUCCAUAACAAACCCUAGGCGUUGUUGAAGCAAAUUAGAGCAUUUGAAGAGUUUUUGGUGUUCUUGUGAUCCAAGGUAGGAAGGGGAGCUUGAAGGAACAAGAAAGGUAUUAAGGAGAUCCGAAUUGGUGCAUCAUUUGCAGCUCAUUCAAGGUAAAAAGUUUGUACCUUGAUCUUGCAAAUGCUAGAUCCCAUUUUGUGGAAUUUUAGGGCUUUAUGAGCCAUUUUAGCUAGCCAACCAUGAAUGCAAGCAUGGUGGGGAUGAGGGUGCGGAGUUAGGACCCUUGAGGGGUCACAAAGCAGAAAGGGGGUGCUUUUCCACCGAAGAAAGGCUCCAUGCAAUUCACGUGCUUGUUUUAGGACCUAUUGAGCUUAAAGUCCCAUGCAAACACGUAAAGGUUGUAACUUUACGUGCUAAAACGGUCCUAGGAACAUAGAUCUAUCCUUUGAUCAAGAGUUGUACAUCAUAAAUCGAAGAUCUAGUGAGAACAUGAGAUAGACUCUGCGAGUCCAAGCUUGAUUCCCAAAUCAGUUGAGGGUCAAAAGGACCCAGUUGAGUGUGGAAAGGUUUUAAGGAGUCCCGGAAGUGACCUAACGUUCUGGACUAAGCCAUUGUUCUGGGUAUUCAUGGGACUCGGCGAGUGCAUGAGCAGACUCGGUGAGUCCAAGGCAAUCUUCUUAUGGAUGAAGAUGAACUCGACAAGUUGUUCAUACAACACAUCGAGUCAAGGACAGGACCUGUUUAUCAGUUGAAGAUGAAAUCGACGAGUUGUUCAUAUAGCUCGGCGAGUCGAAUGAAGAUUCAGUGGAUGUUCAUUUGGAAGGGAAAUUCAUCGAGUCAUCGCCUAACUCGACGAGUACAGACACGUAUAAGGAUAAUUGGAAGAAUAUGGAGUCGGUGAGUUGGCGAGCCAACUCGGCGAGUCAGAUCAACUGGUAGUUGACUUUGACUAUCACUUGGUCAGGGGAAAAAUGGUUAUUUUAUCCUAAGAGCAGUUAGUUGUGUUUAAUUGAGUGUUUCGUGGGAAUUACAACUAGAGGAUUUCCGGAGCAGCAGCAGCAGACAGGCAGUUCCCACGCAGAUCAGCUGCUACUAUGAGGUGAGUUACCUUCCAGUAGCAGUGGGUCUACGGCCACAAUGCCGGCCCACCAGUAGGAGUUGUAUGUUAGAUGAUUUUCUUUGUGAUAUCCAUCUAGGUUUUCUACUACUUGAUAUGUUAUAUGCUAGCAUAAUAUGUUAUAUGUGAUAGUAGUAGAAUUCGGUUGGUAGGACCGAAGGGUAGUCAGACACCUCAGAUACGUCUGACAGAAUGUGAUGUUAUGUGUAUAUGCUAGUAGGAUCUGUUAUAUGUGUUACAAGUAGUAGGAAGGGAACAGUCCCCGAGUUCGGUUGUUAGGAUCGAAGGGUAGUUCAGACACCCCAUAUAUGUUUGAUAAUCUAUAUGCUAUGAUAUGUGAUAAUAGUAGUAUUAGGGGGUGGAAUAGUCCCCAAGGUACGGUUGUUAGGACCGAAGGGUAGUCAGCACCCCAGAACAGCUUGACAUGGGUCGGUCAGCACCCCAGAAUGGCUUGACUCGGGUAGGACGGCACCCCGGAAUGGUAGCGGCACAUCAUACACACACCUUAUUUUCCGCACUAUGAGUUCAUUUUGGGAUUUGUACUCUGACAUUAUAGUUAAUUUUAUGUUUCAGUUUUCAGACAUGAAAUAUGUUUUAUGAAAUGAUAUGAUUCACCCGAUGUUUACUUACAAAUGUUUUGCGAAAUAUUUAAUUGAAAAUAAAAAUUUUGGUCGUGAAAAUUGGGUCGUUACAUAUAUGAUCACUUAUCUUAAAUGGCAUAUCAUCAUCAUCUCAGUUCUGAGAGACAUUGAAAGAGCUAGGAUUGCUAGUUGAAUCCUGAAGUCAUAUCUGCAAAUAUAGUUAUUAGACUUAUCCAAGUGGGAGACUGUUGGAUAUAGUGUCUAAGUCCAUAACUUUAUUUGAUAUGUACUUGACCCGACCCGGCAUGGUCCAUUUGGGUUGCAUGGCAUUGCAAUACUUGGAUAAUCAAAAUGAGAGAAAGGACACUUGUGAUUAUUAAUAUAUUAUAAGUUCUAAUAUAUUAAUAAUAAUAUUAUUUUAUUGGUGAUUGAUACAGUAUUAAUUUAGAAUUAAUUUGGUGAUCAAAAUGAGAAUAAUUAAAUAUAUAGGGUUGAUUAUGACAAUCAUUUAAUCUUUUAUGGUGGAUUAAUGAUCCAUGAUUUAUGGAGUAGGGUUAUAACCAUUUGGAGCUCCAUGGAUAGUUUAUGAGAGUUACAAACCCAUGGAUCAUAAGAAAGGAAGAGUCAUGACAAUUAUGGGCAUUCAUGUGAUAGCCCUAAUUGUGACAACAUUAUAAAAGAAGCCGUAUAGUUAGCAAAAUCGGCCACUAGUGUAUUCUAAGUGGGCAUAACCGAUUUCUGAGUGCAAGUGUAUUCUCUCAAGUUAUUCCAAGUCUUGUAGUGUUGUGUGAAGCAUUUAAGGCACAACAUUUGGGGUGCUAGGCUCACUAAGUCUUCAAGGAAUCCAAGCAACAAGAAAGGUAUGUACUUCUACUAGUUUUUAUAUUACAUAUUCCCCAUGCCAUGAUAGUUAUGAAGUAAACCUUGAAAAAUCAAAUUUGCAUGUAUAUUAGAGAAAACAUAGAUUCAAGGUUUAUAUGGCUACUUGUACACCAUAGGAGUGCUAGAAUGCUUAGACCCCAUAAAAAAGAAUCACUGCUUCACACAAAUUCUUCUUUAAUUUUUCGAAUGCAUCUUCAUGCUUCUCACUCCAUGUUUGUGUAUCUCCUUUAUGGGUCAAAGCUGUUAAUGGAGCAGCUAUCGAAGAAAAGCCUUAGAUAAUCCUUCAGUAAUAUCCAGGUAAUCCCAGAAAGCUUCGAAUCUUAGUGGGACUUUUUGGUUGUUCCCACUUUAUCACAUCUUCCAUCUUUGCUGGAUCAACCAUUAUCCCAUCUUGGUUAACCACAUGACCCAAGAAUUGGACUUCUCGAAUCUAGAAAUCACAUUUGGAGAACUUUGUGUACAACUUCUCAUCCUUCAAAACUUCUAAUACAUCUCGCAAGUGCUUUCCAUGCUCCCGUUGGCUCGUUGAGUAAAUUAGAAUGUCAUCUAUGGACACUAUCACUGAUUUAUUGAAGAAUAAUGUACAAACUAUGUUCAUCAAAUCCAUAAAUGUUGUUGGAGCAUUGGUUAGUCCAAAUGACAUAGCUAAUAACUUAUAGUUUCUGUAUCUCAUUCUAAAUGCAUUCUUCUCAACAUCUUGCUCUCUCACCUUCAGUUGAUGAUAUCCUGCACUAAGUUCGAUGUUUGAGAAAUAGCUCGAACCUUGGAGCUGAUCGAACAUGUCAUCAAUCUUUGGAAAUGGAUACUUAAUUUUCAAUGUUUCCUUGUUCAGCUCUCUAUAGUCUAUGCACAUCAUCAUGCUUCCAUCCUUCUUCUUUACGAGUAACACCAGAGCUCCCCAGGGUGAUGAACUAGCUCUAAUGAAGCCAUUGUCCAACAAUUCCUAAAGUUGCAUCAUAAGCUCCUUCAUCUUUGUCGGUGCUAACCGAUAUGGUGCUUUCGUAAUUGGUGUCGAUCCUGGCAACAAGUCUAUUCGAAACUCCACUUAUCUAUCAGGGGGCAAUCCGGGAAGAUCUUCAGUAAGGACUUCUUGAUAGUCACACACUACUGGUAAUCUUUGUAUCUCUUUCUUUUCCUUCUUUGUGUUGAUCAUAAAUGCCAAGUAUGAUGUACAUCCUUUAGACAAACAUUUUAUAGCUUUCAUUACUAAAAUGAUUCUAGAAUUCACUAUAGGUUUGUCCCCGUACACCAUAAAUGAAUCUCUUCUAGGUGGCUUUACUCUCACCUUCUUCUUCUUGUAUAGUAUCUCGGCAUUGUUUGCACUAAGCCAAUCCAUUCCCAGUACGAUGUUGAAACCGUUCAACUCAAUGGGCAAAGACUCCUUGCGGAAUUAUUCCCGUUCAAGUCGAUGACGAUAUUUUUAAUGCAAUUGCUAACAUGUAUGAAUUUGCCACUGGCAACUUCUGCAACUAGAGCAUUAUCAAGUUUAUGUACAGGAAAUGCUAGUUUUCCACCAAAUUUGUGUGAUAUAAAGGAGUAAUUUGCUCCAGAGUCAAACAAUAUAUUGUCGAGCAAUCCAUUUACAAGCAAGGUACCUGAAGCGACAUCUGCUUCAUCCCUUGCUGCUUCCAGGGUUAUUUGGAAUGCUCUUGACUUUGGCCUCGGAGGAAAAUUAAGCCUUGCUUCCUCCUUCUUCUUCAGGAAAUCCCUAGAAAUAUGCCCUUCUUCAUUACAUCUGAAACACACCUUCUUGUUGAAUGUGCACUCAUUGGCGUAAAGCCCAUACUUUCCACAUUUGAAACAAGUCACCUCCUAAUCACAUUUUCCAACGUGCUUCUUUUUUUCACUUCUUACACCAUCUUGUGUAACAACGUAAAUUUUCAAACAAAUUUUUCAUUUCAAAACAAAGUAUUUUCAUUCAAAACAAGGCAUAAACAUUCCAAGUGUCAUGUCAGAAUACAAAUCAUAUGAAUCCCAAGAUCACCAAACAUCUAUCAGUGUGUACAGAUCACGCCGGCGCCUUCCCACGGUCCUCGCUAGUACCUGAAACACAUACACAACAACUGUAAGCAUAAAUGCUUAGUGAGUUCCCCAACAUACAACUUACGUACAUACGCCAUUCCAGGCCCUGACCUUCCGGUCCAUGUGUAUCAGGGGACUUCCAUCCCUGCUGGGUAAACCUUCCGGUCCUACCUACGCCAACCUUACGGUCCACAUUACACGCCUUCCGGCCCAUAACAUAAUGCCUUCCGGCCCACAUAAACAUACAUAGCACGCGUAACAAUUAACUUAUCACAUAUUACACAUAUAUCACAUAUCAUAUCCGACCUUCCGGUCACUCAGUCAAACCCUUCCGGGUACGGUAUAGUGAGAAGACUCACCUCGUGAAUAUCGAAAACUAGCAAAUCCCGAAGUUACUCGUGCUCGAUCCGCCGAGCUACAAUCUCCCUAUAACAUCAUACAUCUUUUGUCAAUACUUUUAUCUUCUAAGUUUGACUAUCCCUAAGAAGUCAAACACAGGUCAACUCUGGUCAACGGUCAACGGUCAACGGUCAACUUGACCGGACUCGGCGAGUGCACACGGGCAACUCGGCGAGUCUAGACGUAUUCGUCAACUCCCUAGGAUUCCCUUCUUACUCGUCGAGUGCUUCCCCUGNCUUCCCCUGACUCGACGAGUUCCACCUGGGAGAGUCGCGGGGCCACCCCGACUCAACUCGCCGAGUCUCAAGAACAACUCGGCGAGUCCCAGCUCGACUCAGUCCGCCUGUCGACCCUCUCUAACUCGUCCCGACUCACUGAGUCAACCAUAACUCGGUCAGGACUACACACUGGGUGUCCUCAAGGACAAUCUUCAAGCGACUCGUUGAGUCUGUUCAUCAGACUCGGUGAGUCCAUGCCAUGCACCAGCUAAAACAGGCUUUUGCGAUCAGAUCCGUUCCAUCCAUUCAUAGAUCUGGCCUUCCCAAGCUUANNNNNNNNNNNNNNNNNNNNNNNNNNNNNNNNNNNNNNNNNNNNNNNNNNNNNNNNNNNNNNNNNNNNNNNNNNNNNNNNNNNNNNNNNNNNNNNNNNNNNNNNNNNNNNNNNNNNNNNNNNNNNNNNNNNNNNNNNNNNNNNNNNNNNNNNNNNNNNNNNNNNNNNNNNNNNNNNNNNNNNNNNNNNNNNNNNNNNNNNNNNNNNNNNNNNNNNNNNNNNNNNNNNNNNNNNNNNNNNNNNNNNNNNNNNNNNNNNNNNNNNNNNNNNNNNNNNNNNNNNNNNNNNNNNNNNNNNNNNNNNNNNNNNNNNNNNNNNNNNNNNNNNNNNNNNNNNNNNNNNNNNNNNNNNNNNNNNNNNNNNNNNNNNNNNNNNNNNNNNNNNNNNNNNNNNNNNNNNNNNNNNNNNNNNNNNNNNNNNNNNNNNNNNNNNNNNNNNNNNNNNNNNNNNNNNNNNNNNNNNNNNNNNNNNNNNNNNNNNNNNNNNNNNNNNNNNNNNNNNNNNNNNNNNNNNNNNNNNNNNNNNNNNNNNNNNNNNNNNNNNNNNNNNNNNNNNNNNNNNNNNNNNNNNNNNNNNNNNNNNNNNNNNNNNNNNNNNNNNNNNNNNNNNNNNNNNNNNNNNNNNNNNNNNNNNNNNNNNNNNNNNNNNNNNNNNNNNNNNNNNNNNNNNNNNNNNNNNNNNNNNNNNNNNNNNNNNNNNNNNNNNNNNNNNNNNNNNNNNNNNNNNNNNNNNNNNNNNNNNNNNNNNNNNNNNNNNNNNNNNNNNNNNNNNNNNNNNNNNNNNNNNNNNNNNNNNNNNNNNNNNNNNNNNNNNNNNNNNNNNNNNNNNNNNNNNNNNNNNNNNNNNNNNNNNNNNNNNNNNNNNNNNNNNNNNNNNNNNNNNNNNNNNNNNNNNNNNNNNNNNNNNNNNNNNNNNNNNNNNNNNNNNNNNNNNNNNNNNNNNNNNNNNNNNNNNNNNNNNNNNNNNNNNNNNNNNNNNNNNNNNNNNNNNNNNNNNNNNNNACGGAGGAAUAAACAAAAGGAGAUUUUGGGGGAAAUUGUGUGUGGCCCACGAGUCUUCUCGCUGUAAAAAAUAAAUUUUGGCUCAUUUUAAUUUUGCCUAUUUUGUGGUAAUAUUAAAUUUUAUUCGUUCAUCAUUUUUUAUGGUUUUUUAUAUUUUAUUAAAUUUCAUAGUAAUUCACUUUCUAAAUUUAAAAUUUCUAAUUGGAUAAUUCAAUCAUAUUUUAAUGUCAUUAAAUUAGGAACAAAAUUAACGGAUGUUUUUGGUAAAUAUAAUUUCUAUAUCUUCCUCGUUAUAUUUGAUGCGACAUUAACCUCUGAUGAUUCUUUUGGUCUUCUGCUGCUGCGGAGAUCUGCUAGUCACAAUCAGAGAGAUGCGUUAGAGCCGUCCCAGGGACUGUGCCUCGGGAGCGGACACCGAUGAUCAAGUUAGAUUAGCUGAUAGAUCUGAGAUGGUCCUACAUAGCUGGAGAGAACCAUCUUGGUGCUAGUGGUCGUGUAUGGUUGCUGAUGGCGGCGGGCGGCGGCUGAGCCACCCGGCAUGUGUAUAGUGUGGCGACUAAGCUAAGGGCAAGAUCCCCCUCCAUGGAGGAGGUACUGUUCAUUAUAUAGGGGACAAUUAGGUCAAGGGGAAUUAGGUCAGGCCUUGGGCCCGCCUAAUUCAGGCCCAACUAGCAAGGAGUUGGGCAAGGCCGCCCGGAGGCGCGCGGGCGGGGCUGGUGAGCGCGCACCAGGAAAGACUGGCAAGGGGCGUUAGGCAAAGGAGCGUCGAGCCGGGCCGGCAAGAGAGUCCCCAACAUGGCUGGCAAGGGAGCACCAGGAAAGGUUGGCAAGGGGAUGCUAGGCAAGGCUGGCAGGAGCGCGCCAGGCCAAGCUGGCGCUUUAAAGUGGUCUAGGCCAUGCUAAUGUACCAUAUAUCAUCAAGUCCCCCCAGUCUGGUGUUAUUGGUACGCGGCCAAUGACAUCGGACUAGAACUAGUCAUAUAAACAAGCAGGAGAGUCCCCAGCGAGGCUGGCAAGGGAACGCCAGGCAGGGCUGGCAGGAGCGCGCCAGGCCAGGCUGGCGCAUAGAGCAGUCUGGGCCAUGGUAGUGGACCAUAUAUCAUCAAGUCCCCCCAGUCUGGUGUUAUUGGUACGCGGCCAAUGACAUCGGACUGGACUUAGUCAUAUAAAUUGUGCGUCAUCAAGUCCCCCUAGUCUGAUGCGAUUGGGUUGCUGACAAUUGGAUCGGACUAGAUAAAGCACCAAUAUAUCAAAGAAUAGAGAGAACGUUUGAACCUCGUCCACGAGAGUCGUGGGGUUGCGUGAUGAGCCAAGCAUUACUUAUGUAGCCUUGACUAGAUACUCCUUCGUUGAGAGGAGUGCGAGGUUGCUAAAGAGUGUUAUGCGACACUAAUGUCGAUAAAAUGUCUGGCCAGUGUAGCUAAGGAGCGUAAGCUCGCCGUACAGUCUCUAAGACCGCUAUUCGACAUGAUUGUUGUGGUAUUCAUGCACAUAUGGAAUAUCACCAAUAUCUGUCUACAUAGUUUGCAUUAAUAACCAUCUUGAAGGUAUUUCUUGCUUGGGCUACACCUAGUUGGAUUCCCCCCAGUCUGAUGUGGGUAGAGUAGGUAGCCGCGUCAGACUAUGUCGUUGAACCAAUAAACCGUAAGGUUGUUGACCAUAAUAUAAGUGGCAGAGAUUUUGAGAGCUGGGCGAUUAGGUUGCUAGCGAGGGUCACGUAGUGAGACUAUUGUCGAUAGUCAGACAACAGAACUCCUGAGGAACAGGCAGUGAGGCUAUAUGUAGGAAAUAUGCAUUAAGACUGUUGCCGAGAGCCAGGCAGCAGAGGUGCUAAGGGAUGAGCGGUGAGGCUGAGGUAUGGGUUGCGCAGCAAGACCGUUUCCGAGGGCUAGGCAAUAGUGAUGCUGAGGGAUACACAGCGAGGCUACAGGUGGGGUUACGCAGCAAGACCGUUUCCGAGAGCCAUGAAACAGAGAUGUUGUGGGGUACGCGGCGAGGAUACAGGUAAGGUUGCAUAGCAAGACCAUUUCCGAGAGCCAGGAAACAGAGAUUUUGUGGGAUACGCGGCGAGGCUACAAGUAAGGUUGCAUAGCAAGACCAUUUCCGAGAGCCAGGAAACAGAGAUGCUGAAAGGUAGUAGGUAGCAGGGCUGCUGUCAAGAUGACCUUCUUGCUGGAGAGUAACCUCACUAUAGCAGGUUGUAGUGUAGAUAACACUUCAUCGAUCAUCCGAGCACAAGAGAACCAUGAUGAUUGUGAGAGAGGAAGCACCGAGAUCAUGGUGUUAGUCACGGAAUAAGCUUGUGAUGCGCGACUUAGGAGAAUAGCUCGGGCUUAGCAGCCAGCGAACAUGGAGAUGUCAUGAGGGAAGGCAUCGUGUGUAACAGAUCGAGUUUGGUUGCUAACGAUCGUUAAUAGAUCACGCGAGAGAGCAUCGCGUGGAAUGGAUCGGGCUUGGCUUCCAGCGAUCGUAGAUAAAUCACGUGGAAGAGCAUCGCGUGGAAUGGUCGGAGCAUGUUGCUAUAAUGGAGUCGGGCUGAGAAGCCAGGCGACUUGAGGCGGUGGGUACUGAACCUCGCAUGCGGAGCUUGCCGCUAUAAUGGAGUCGGGCUGAGAAGCCAGGCGACUCAAGGCGAGGGUACUAAACCUCGUAUGCGGAGCUUAGUGGCCAACAAUCUAUGUGUCUGGCCCGGGUGAUCAGCUCGUGUUGAAGUGUAAUGGCAUCUGAUGCUUUGCUACAUCACUAGUUUGGUGAUUGGUGCCUCGCUGUCUUGGCUAUCUGUCGAAGGCUAUGCAACGAUGCUACUUUGAGUUGUAUAAUGUAGUUGUUAUCGAGUGGUGCACAGCGAGACUGCCGUCGAGAGCUGGUCAACAUGGCCGCUGAGAGCUGAGCAUCGAGCUGCUAGCGAUACAUGAGCAACAUGACCACUGAGAGUUGGGCAACGAGUCUCCCGAGGAUUGAACCACGAGGCUGCUCUUUUGAUCUGGAAUAUUGGUGUCACCCUAGGGGUGCACUGUCAUGGACAACAUCAGCUCUUCCGGUACACUAACUUUGCCCAUUCGGAGUAAAAAUUACUUCUGCAUAGUAUCGCAGCAACCCUACCCCCCCUUUUUUUAGAGGAGGCGAGGAAUAGAAACGAUGGAUGCAUAGUUGCAGGAAUUUGGGCAACACAGCUACUGAGAAAAGCUAAGUGACCCAAGUACCAACAAAAUCUGGGCAGCACAACUGGCACGACUGCUGGGAGUCAGGCAAUGUAACUGCUGAUGAUUGGGCUGCGCAACCGCUGGGAGUUGAGCAACGAGACUAGCAGGGGCCAGUCAACAUAAAUGGUGAGGGUUGAGUAGCAAGACUGCUUGAAGUUGGUCAACAUAGUUGUUGAUAGUCGCGCAACGUAGCUGUUGAUUGUUAUUUCGAAAUGAUUCACUAGUAGUAGUAGCGUAUUACUCUUCUCCCACCCCCCCCCUUUUUUUUUGGAAAAGUUGUCGAGAGUUUGAGUCGCAACGCAUUUUGAUGAGCGAAACUUGCGCUGCGCAUGUAACGCCCUGUUCUAAAAGUAUUCGUUCGUGAAUUUCAGAAACCAAAGCUAGGGGUGUUUUGGUCAUUUAUGGGAUUGGAGUUUAUUUUGAGAAGGUUUUGGGGCUGAGACAUGCUGCUAGAAGCGUAGGGCUUCUCGCCACCUUUCUGUGGAUAUAAAGUUCAUCAGAAACGGAUUUAGAAUGAAGACGUUAUGACACUUUGAAGAUUUGGCAAUAAUGGACCUGAUGGAGAAAAGUUCGCAUGGAAGGCCAUGCAUGCAUGUUUGGAACACGCGUGGGUACGCCCAGCAUACUGGGGCAACUUGGUCGCGGAUGUUCAAGGCGUAUGCCCAGCGUACAUGGAGGUACGCCCAGCGUAAGCUAAAAGUCAUGAAACCCUAAUUUUUGGGUUGAGCACUAUAUAAAGGACAUGUUGGCUUCAACCCUAACCCCAUUUCAGCCUCCCCAACCUCAAAAGAAACCCUAGAGCAUCCCUACCCUCAUUUUGUGAGAUCUUGACCUUGGAGAACCCAUUUUUGAUGGUUUAAAGCUUGGAAUAGAAAAAGAAGAAGGUUGGCAAGGAGGAACCUUGGAAGCUAGAGCUUGUAGAUCUGGGUUAAGUGCUUCAUUUCAUACCUCUUCAAGGUAAAAAGUUUUGAGCUUGAUGAUUAAUCUCUUAGAUCUCCUUUGGUUCAAGUUUAUGGACUUUUUGGUCCCAAGAUUGGGUCUUUGAGACUUAAGCACGUUUCUAAGACCAGGGUUGCCUCCCUUAGAGUCAGAUGAGUCCCAUAAGCAGUAAAGUUCCAACCUUUAUGGUCCUAUUAAGUCCAUGCAUGAGAUCUAGUCCCCUUUAUGGAAGUAGAAGAUUAUUUUGGGAGUUUGAGUUGGUUUGGGCCAUAUAAAGUCACCAAGUCAGUGACUUUAUGGCUUAAGACAUGGAAUAAGGCUUGGAUAUGAGUUUGUAGCUUCUAAAUCGGGGUAUUAAGCACAUAUUAGAAAGUUGACUUAAUGGGGAUGUAUGUUGGGCAUACAAGGAGGUACGCACGGCGUACAAGCCAUCAGCCAGUACGCUCGGUGUGGGCUGUGCUUAGUGGACCAUCAUGAGUCAGUGAUUAUGGGCCAAGUUUAUGUGUUGAGCAUAGGGUAAGGCCCAAUGUAGCAAAUUAGGCCAUUAAUGGGCCAAUAGUGGGCUUGGGAAGCCUACCUGAUGUUGGACAUUUUUAUAUUAUGUUUUGGGCCCUAGUUAUGGACCAUUAUGGGGUAGGGGUAAAAUGGUAAUUUUACCCUAAGAGUGACUAUGAUAUUGGGCUAAGUGAUAUUGUGAUCUUGGUAGCUCGGGGAGCCGAAAAAUCAGCAGUCGGGGAGUUUCCAGUCAGCAGUAGAGGGUUAUCAGCAAGUUCAGCAGUGCAAGGUGAGUUUUCCCUUUGUGUGGAUGGGUCUACGGCCACAAUGUCGGCCCAUGUAGAUAUGAGUAGGAAGACCCAUGGGUUAGCCCUAUGCACGGUAUGCCAGGAUGAUAUUUAGGACCAAGGUCCGAAUACUGCUUUCUUUGUGCCUUAGGAGUUCUAGUUGUUUUUCACUAACUAGUAAACGAAUAUAUUACGUUACAUAUUGCAAGGACUAAAUAAUUUUAGAAGGUUAGGUCUAGCUCUAUUUCGCAACUCAUGUUUGAGUCUAACCGUUGUAGGUUAGGAUCUCUCAUUCGAAGAAUUAUCUAGUCUGAGUGAUAUGUAAUUGUAUUCGCGAGCUAGUUAGGGAAAGAUAGCAGGAACUUCUUAUGCAGCUGAUGGCGGAGAGUGGGAUGGUGAUUUCCCUAGGGCAAGCCUAGUGGGAUAGUAACNNNNNNNNNNNNNNNNNNNNNNNNNNNNNNNNNNNNNNNNNNNNNNNNNNNNNNNNNNNNNNNNNNNNNNNNNNNNNNNNNNNNNNNNNNNNNNNNNNNNNNNNNNNNNNNNNNNNNNNNNNNNNNNNNNNNNNNNNNNNNNNNNNNNNNNNNNNNNNNNNNNNNNNNNNNNNNNNNNNNNNNNNNNNNNNNNNNNNNNNNNNNNNNNNNNNNNNNNNNNNNNNNNNNNNNNNNNNNNNNNNNNNNNNNNNNNNNNNNNNNNNNNNNNNNNNNNNNNNNNNNNNNNNNNNNNNNNNNNNNNNNNNNNNNNNNNNNNNNNNNNNNNNNNNNNNNNNNNNNNNNNNNNNNNNNNNNNNNNNNNNNNNNNNNNNNNNNNNNNNNNNNNNNNNNNNNNNNNNNNNNNNNNNNNNNNNNNNNNNNNNNNNNNNNNNNNNNNNNNNNNNNNNNNNNNNNNNNNNNNNNNNNNNNNNNNNNNNNNNNNNNNNNNNNNNNNNNNNNNNNNNNNNNNNNNNNNNNNNNNNNNNNNNNNNNNNNNNNNNNNNNNNNNNNNNNNNNNNNNNNNNNNNNNNNNNNNNNNNNNNNNNNNNNNNNNNNNNNNNNNNNNNNNNNNNNNNNNNNNNNNNNNNNNNNNNNNNNNNNNNNNNNNNNNNNNNNNNNNNNNNNNNNNNNNNNNNNNNNNNNNNNNNNNNNNNNNNNNNNNNNNNNNNNNNNNNNNNNNNNNNNNNNNNNNNNNNNNNNNNNNNNNNNNNNNNNNNNNNNNNNNNNNNNNNNNNNNNNNNNNNNNNNNNNNNNNNNNNNNNNNNNNNNNNNNNNNNNNNNNNNNNNNNNNNNNNNNNNNNNNNNNNNNNNNNNNNNNNNNNNNNNNNNNNNNNNNNNNNNNNNNNNNNNNNNNNNNNNNNNNNNNNNNNNNNNNNNNNNNNNNNNNNNNNNNNNNNNNNNNNNNNNNNNNNNNNNNNNNNNNNNNNNNNNNNNNNNNNNNNNNNNNNNNNNNNNNNNNNNNNNNNNNNNNNNNNNNNNNNNNNNNNNNNNNNNNNNNNNNNNNNNNNNNNNNNNNNNNNNNNNNNNNNNNNNNNNNNNNNNNNNNNNNNNNNNNNNNNNNNNNNNNNNNNNNNNNNNNNNNNNNNNNNNNNNNNNNNNNNNNNNNNNNNNNNNNNNNNNNNNNNNNNNNNNNNNNNNNNNNNNNNNNNNNNNNNNNNNNNNNNNNNNNNNNNNNNNNNNNNNNNNNNNNNNNNNNNNNNNNNNNNNNNNNNNNNNNNNNNNNNNNNNNNNNNNNNNNNNNNNNNNNNNNNNNNNNNNNNNNNNNNNNNNNNNNNNNNNNNNNNNNNNNNNNNNNNNNNNNNNNNNNNNNNNNNNNNNNNNNNNNNNNNNNNNNNNNNNNNNNNNNNNNNNNNNNNNNNNNNNNNNNNNNNNNNNNNNNNNNNNNNNNNNNNNNNNNNNNNNNNNNNNNNNNNNNNNNNNNNNNNNNNNNNNNNNNNNNNNNNNNNNNNNNNNNNNNNNNNNNNNNNNNNNNNNNNNNNNNNNNNNNNNNNNNNNNNNNNNNNNNNNNNNNNNNNNNNNNNNNNNNNNNNNNNNNNNNNNNNNNNNNNNNNNNNNNNNNNNNNNNNNNNNNNNNNNNNNNNNNNNNNNNNNNNNNNNNNNNNNNNNNNNNNNNNNNNNNNNNNNNNNNNNNNNNNNNNNNNNNNNNNNNNNNNNNNNNNNNNNNNNNNNNNNNNNNNNNNNNNNNNNNNNNNNNNNNNNNNNNNNNNNNNNNNNNNNNNNNNNNNNNNNNNNNNNNNNNNNNNNNNNNNNNNNNNNNNNNNNNNNNNNNNNNNNNNNNNNNNNNNNNNNNNNNNNNNNNNNNNNNNNNNNNNNNNNNNNNNNNNNNNNNNNNNNNNNNNNNNNNNNNNNNNNNNNNNNNNNNNNNNNNNNNNNNNNNNNNNNNNNNNNNNNNNNNNNNNNNNNNNNNNNNNNNNNNNNNNNNNNNNNNNNNNNNNNNNNNNNNNNNNNNNNNNNNNNNNNNNNNNNNNNNNNNNNNNNNNNNNNNNNNNNNNNNNNNNNNNNNNNNNNNNNNNNNNNNNNNNNNNNNNNNNNNNNNNNNNNNNNNNNNNNNNNNNNNNNNNNNNNNNNNNNNNNNNNNNNNNNNNNNNNNNNNNNNNNNNNNNNNNNNNNNNNNNNNNNNNNNNNNNNNNNNNNNNNNNNNNNNNNNNNNNNNNNNNNNNNNNNNNNNNNNNNNNNNNNNNNNNNNNNNNNNNNNNNNNNNNNNNNNNNNNNNNNNNNNNNNNNNNNNNNNNNNNNNNNNNNNNNNNNNNNNNNNNNNNNNNNNNNNNNNNNNNNNNNNNNNNNNNNNNNNNNNNNNNNNNNNNNNNNNNNNNNNNNNNNNNNNNNNNNNNNNNNNNNNNNNNNNNNNNNNNNNNNNNNNNNNNNNNNNNNNNNNNNNNNNNNNNNNNNNNNNNNNNNNNNNNNNNNNNNNNNNNNNNNNNNNNNNNNNNNNNNNNNNNNNNNNNNNNNNNNNNNNNNNNNNNNNNNNNNNNNNNNNNNNNNNNNNNNNNNNNNNNNNNNNNNNNNNNNNNNNNNNNNNNNNNNNNNNNNNNNNNNNNNNNNNNNNNNNNNNNNNNNNNNNNNNNNNNNNNNNNNNNNNNNNNNNNNNNNNNNNNNNNNNNNNNNNNNNNNNNNNNNNNNNNNNNNNNNNNNNNNNNNNNNNNNNNNNNNNNNNNNNNNNNNNNNNNNNNNNNNNNNNNNNNNNNNNNNNNNNNNNNNNNNNNNNNNNNNNNNNNNNNNNNNNNNNNNNNNNNNNNNNNNNNNNNNNNNNNNNNNNNNNNNNNNNNNNNNNNNNNNNNNNNNNNNNNNNNNNNNNNNNNNNNNNNNNNNNNNNNNNNNNNNNNNNNNNNNNNNNNNNNNNNNNNNNNNNNNNNNNNNNNNNNNNNNNNNNNNNNNNNNNNNNNNNNNNNNNNNNNNNNNNNNNNNNNNNNNNNNNNNNNNNNNNNNNNNNNNNNNNNNNNNNNNNNNNNNNNNNNNNNNNNNNNNNNNNNNNNNNNNNNNNNNNNNNNNNNNNNNNNNNNNNNNNNNNNNNNNNNNNNNNNNNNNNNNNNNNNNNNNNNNNNNNNNNNNNNNNNNNNNNNNNNNNNNNNNNNNNNNNNNNNNNNNNNNNNNNNNNNNNNNNNNNNNNNNNNNNNNNNNNNNNNNNNNNNNNNNNNNNNNNNNNNNNNNNNNNNNNNNNNNNNNNNNNNNNNNNNNNNNNNNNNNNNNNNNNNNNNNNNNNNNNNNNNNNNNNNNNNNNNNNNNNNNNNNNNNNNNNNNNNNNNNNNNNNNNNNNNNNNNNNNNNNNNNNNNNNNNNNNNNNNNNNNNNNNNNNNNNNNNNNNNNNNNNNNNNNNNNNNNNNNNNNNNNNNNNNNNNNNNNNNNNNNNNNNNNNNNNNNNNNNNNNNNNNNNNNNNNNNNNNNNNNNNNNNNNNNNNNNNNNNNNNNNNNNNNNNNNNNNNNNNNNNNNNNNNNNNNNNNNNNNNNNNNNNNNNNNNNNNNNNNNNNNNNNNNNNNNNNNNNNNNNNNNNNNNNNNNNNNNNNNNNNNNNNNNNNNNNNNNNNNNNNNNNNNNNNNNNNNNNNNNNNNNNNNNNNNNNNNNNNNNNNNNNNNNNNNNNNNNNNNNNNNNNNNNNNNNNNNNNNNNNNNNNNNNNNNNNNNNNNNNNNNNNNNNNNNNNNNNNNNNNNNNNNNNNNNNNNNNNNNNNNNNNNNNNNNNNNNNNNNNNNNNNNNNNNNNNNNNNNNNNNNNNNNNNNNNNNNNNNNNNNNNNNNNNNNNNNNNNNNNNNNNNNNNNNNNNNNNNNNNNNNNNNNNNNNNNNNNNNNNNNNNNNNNNNNNNNNNNNNNNNNNNNNNNNNNNNNNNNNNNNNNNNNNNNNNNNNNNNNNNNNNNNNNNNNNNNNNNNNNNNNNNNNNNNNNNNNNNNNNNNNNNNNNNNNNNNNNNNNNNNNNNNNNNNNNNNNNNNNNNNNNNNNNNNNNNNNNNNNNNNNNNNNNNNNNNNNNNNNNNNNNNNNNNNNNNNNNNNNNNNNNNNNNNNNNNNNNNNNNNNNNNNNNNNNNNNNNNNNNNNNNNNNNNNNNNNNNNNNNNNNNNNNNNNNNNNNNNNNNNNNNNNNNNNNNNNNNNNNNNNNNNNNNNNNNNNNNNNNNNNNNNNNNNNNNNNNNNNNNNNNNNNNNNNNNNNNNNNNNNNNNNNNNNNNNNNNNNNNNNNNNNNNNNNNNNNNNNNNNNNNNNNNNNNNNNNNNNNNNNNNNNNNNNNNNNNNNNNNNNNNNNNNNNNNNNNNNNNNNNNNNNNNNNNNNNNNNNNNNNNNNNNNNNNNNNNNNNNNNNNNNNNNNNNNNNNNNNNNNNNNNNNNNNNNNNNNNNNNNNNNNNNNNNNNNNNNNNNNNNNNNNNNNNNNNNNNNNNNNNNNNNNNNNNNNNNNNNNNNNNNNNNNNNNNNNNNNNNNNNNNNNNNNNNNNNNNNNNNNNNNNNNNNNNNNNNNNNNNNNNNNNNNNNNNNNNNNNNNNNNNNNNNNNNNNNNNNNNNNNNNNNNNNNNNNNNNNNNNNNNNNNNNNNNNNNNNNNNNNNNNNNNNNNNNNNNNNNNNNNNNNNNNNNNNNNNNNNNNNNNNNNNNNNNNNNNNNNNNNNNNNNNNNNNNNNNNNNNNNNNNNNNNNNNNNNNNNNNNNNNNNNNNNNNNNNNNNNNNNNNNNNNNNNNNNNNNNNNNNNNNNNNNNNNNNNNNNNNNNNNNNNNNNNNNNNNNNNNNNNNNNNNNNNNNNNNNNNNNNNNNNNNNNNNNNNNNNNNNNNNNNNNNNNNNNNNNNNNNNNNNNNNNNNNNNNNNNNNNNNNNNNNNNNNNNNNNNNNNNNNNNNNNNNNNNNNNNNNNNNNNNNNNNNNNNNNNNNNNNNNNNNNNNNNNNNNNNNNNNNNNNNNNNNNNNNNNNNNNNNNNNNNNNNNNNNNNNNNNNNNNNNNNNNNNNNNNNNNNNNNNNNNNNNNNNNNNNNNNNNNNNNNNNNNNNNNNNNNNNNNNNNNNNNNNNNNNNNNNNNNNNNNNNNNNNNNNNNNNNNNNNNNNNNNNNNNNNNNNNNNNNNNNNNNNNNNNNNNNNNNNNNNNNNNNNNNNNNNNNNNNNNNNNNNNNNNNNNNNNNNNNNNNNNNNNNNNNNNNNNNNNNNNNNNNNNNNNNNNNNNNNNNNNNNNNNNNNNNNNNNNNNNNNNNNNNNNNNNNNNNNNNNNNNNNNNNNNNNNNNNNNNNNNNNNNNNNNNNNNNNNNNNNNNNNNNNNNNNNNNNNNNNNNNNNNNNNNNNNNNNNNNNNNNNNNNNNNNNNNNNNNNNNNNNNNNNNNNNNNNNNNNNNNNNNNNNNNNNNNNNNNNNNNNNNNNNNNNNNNNNNNNNNNNNNNNNNNNNNNNNNNNNNNNNNNNNNNNNNNNNNNNNNNNNNNNNNNNNNNNNNNNNNNNNNNNNNNNNNNNNNNNNNNNNNNNNNNNNNNNNNNNNNNNNNNNNNNNNNNNNNNNNNNNNNNNNNNNNNNNNNNNNNNNNNNNNNNNNNNNNNNNNNNNNNNNNNNNNNNNNNNNNNNNNNNNNNNNNNNNNNNNNNNNNNNNNNNNNNNNNNNNNNNNNNNNNNNNNNNNNNNNNNNNNNNNNNNNNNNNNNNNNNNNNNNNNNNNNNNNNNNNNNNNNNNNNNNNNNNNNNNNNNNNNNNNNNNNNNNNNNNNNNNNNNNNNNNNNNNNNNNNNNNNNNNNNNNNNNNNNNNNNNNNNNNNNNNNNNNNNNNNNNNNNNNNNNNNNNNNNNNNNNNNNNNNNNNNNNNNNNNNNNNNNNNNNNNNNNNNNNNNNNNNNNNNNNNNNNNNNNNNNNNNNNNNNNNNNNNNNNNNNNNNNNNNNNNNNNNNNNNNNNNNNNNNNNNNNNNNNNNNNNNNNNNNNNNNNNNNNNNNNNNNNNNNNNNNNNNNNNNNNNNNNNNNNNNNNNNNNNNNNNNNNNNNNNNNNNNNNNNNNNNNNNNNNNNNNNNNNNNNNNNNNNNNNNNNNNNNNNNNNNNNNNNNNNNNNNNNNNNNNNNNNNNNNNNNNNNNNNNNNNNNNNNNNNNNNNNNNNNNNNNNNNNNNNNNNNNNNNNNNNNNNNNNNNNNNNNNNNNNNNNNNNNNNNNNNNNNNNNNNNNNNNNNNNNNNNNNNNNNNNNNNNNNNNNNNNNNNNNNNNNNNNNNNNNNNNNNNNNNNNNNNNNNNNNNNNNNNNNNNNNNNNNNNNNNNNNNNNNNNNNNNNNNNNNNNNNNNNNNNNNNNNNNNNNNNNNNNNNNNNNNNNNNNNNNNNNNNNNNNNNNNNNNNNNNNNNNNNNNNNNNNNNNNNNNNNNNNNNNNNNNNNNNNNNNNNNNNNNNNNNNNNNNNNNNNNNNNNNNNNNNNNNNNNNNNNNNNNNNNNNNNNNNNNNNNNNNNNNNNNNNNNNNNNNNNNNNNNNNNNNNNNNNNNNNNNNNNNNNNNNNNNNNNNNNNNNNNNNNNNNNNNNNNNNNNNNNNNNNNNNNNNNNNNNNNNNNNNNNNNNNNNNNNNNNNNNNNNNNNNNNNNNNNNNNNNNNNNNNNNNNNNNNNNNNNNNNNNNNNNNNNNNNNNNNNNNNNNNNNNNNNNNNNNNNNNNNNNNNNNNNNNNNNNNNNNNNNNNNNNNNNNNNNNNNNNNNNNNNNNNNNNNNNNNNNNNNNNNNNNNNNNNNNNNNNNNNNNNNNNNNNNNNNNNNNNNNNNNNNNNNNNNNNNNNNNNNNNNNNNNNNNNNNNNNNNNNNNNNNNNNNNNNNNNNNNNNNNNNNNNNNNNNNAGAGAGAGAGGAUAAUAUGAUUUAUUAAUAUGUUAUAAGAAUAAUAUAUUAAAGGAGAAAUCAUAUUUGUUUAAUUAAUAUUGGUCGAUAAUUAAUUAAGAAUUAGUUUUGUGAUCAAAUGUAAUUAAUUAAACUAGAGGGGCUGAUUUGUAAUUAUGUGAUAGUUACAAAAUAAGGUAAGGAUUAUCUUAUAAGGAUGGUGAACGAAUUUAAGGUUGGAAAGCCUUAGAAUUCGAGUAUGAUAAGGAUUCAAGGAUUAUCUUAUUGGUUGCUUAAUGGAUAAUCAACUAGAUAAGGAUAAUGACUGAAACCCUAUCUUUACACCUAUAUAAACACCACUAGGGUUAUGAAUUCGUGUAUCCCUUCCCAAGAGGUGCCAAAUACGAAUUCUAACCUCCCUCCUCUCUCCUUAUACCUUCUCCACUUGCUUAUGGUGUUUGUAAGCCAUUAGAGGAGUGACACUUGUGACUCUCUGCUUUCCAAGGUCAAUUCAAGGAGGAAUUGGAUUGUUAUUGCUAUAUAACAAUCAAGGUAUGUUCUUAAACCUAUUUACAUGUGAAUUCUGAUUUCCAUAUGCUAGUAUUAGGGUUCAAAGUCUUGGAUUCAAAGUAUGUACAAUAGAGAAACCUAGAUCCGAGCUUUAGGGUUUGUAUGAGCACAUAGGAUGUCUUAUGACCAAAACCCAUCAGGUUCUACUCCCUAGACCAGCAGACUGCAGUUCAGGUGAUGGGGAGGGAUCAGGCUCGGGCUCUGGAUUCGGGCAGUUAGACGAGCAGACCAGGGAGUUAAUCUCCUUAGAGAUUAUGCGCAUCAUACUUGAGUAGACUCCUGUGAUCUUCGGUUUGGUCAAGGAGGGUAUUCUAGAGCUAAUGGAUGAGAGGUUUAGUGCUUUCCGUACUAAGAUGGUGACCAUGAUGGGGCCGCACACACUCACCUUUCGAGAGUUUAGGGCAUGUGGAGCUUCGGACUAUCAUGGGGAUCGGGAACCCCGUUGCGAGUACUAGAUGGGUGGCAGGUGUCACCAAUGCAUUCCGCACCAGCAGACAACAGGUGUCCCAAGGGCAACAAGGUUAGGCUUGCGUCCUGUCUUCUGAAGGACAGAGCAUGUGACUGGUUAGAGGAGGUUGGGAGAGCCAUUGGUGAUGAUACUAUGUUGGAUAUGAUGACCUGAGUGACUUUAUGACCAGGUGUAGGGCCGAGUUUGCACUUGUUAUUAAGGUGCAGCAGCUUGCGAGGGAGUUCCAGGAUCUCCAGCAGACGACUGAGACUGUGGUAGAGAUUACCGCCAAGUUUAAGGAGAGGGCCCUUCUCAUUUCGCAAUAUGUGGCGGACGAGGAGAUGAAAAAGGCCCGAUAUUAUGAGAUUUUGCGGAGUGAUAUCCGCCAAUUUGUGAGCCGCUCUAGCUGCAAGAUGUUGGAGGACAUGAUUGUGAGGGCUUGUGAAAGGGAGAUUGACUUGUAGAUGGAGAGGAAGAGGAAGCUAGAGUCGGUGUCUGGCGCAGUGGGUUCGGGCAAAAAGCCCAAGACAGAUUCCAGAGGGAAGGGCCAGUAGGGUCGAGGCCGCUGUGGCAAGUGCGGCAGGGGACAUAAGGGGUCGUGUAGGGCGGGUAGUUCGGGCUGUUUCAAGUGUGGCCGAACCGGACAUGUCAACAUGGAUUGUACAACUACUACCACCACCACCGCAACAUCUGAUCUGAUUUGCUUUCCCUGCAAUCAGAGGGGACACAAGAAGUCCCAGUAUCCGAGUCUAGCAUCAGUAGGACAGGUAGUGGCACCCGCGCCUACCACUUUAAGGAUUACAGACAGCCGUCAGGGCUGGGCUGAGGCACCAGUAGCAAAGAGCAGAGCCUUCCAGUUAACAGCAGAGGAGGCACGAGCAACCCCUAACGUGGUUACGGGUUUGUAUCUUCUCCAUUAUCUCUUUAUUAUCUCUGAUUAUUACUCAUGUUUUGUGUUUAUUUAUAGGAUCAUUCUUAGUGAACGGUAUAUCGGCCAUGAUAUUGUUUGACUCAGGGGCUACCCAAUCUUUUGUGUCGCUCGCACUUAGCAAGCGGUUUAGUAGAGCUCCGAGGGAGCUAGAUUGCCCACUUGAUGUAGAGAUAGCAGAUGAUAGGACUAUCAGAGUCGUGAGGGUUCAUAGGGGUUGUACACUACGGUUAUUUGAUGAGUAGUUCUCAAUAGAUUUGGUUCCCAUUCCCCUGCGAGGGAAUAAGGUCAUAGUGGAUAUAGAUUGGUUGAGCCCCAACAGGGCAGUGAUUGAUUGUGAGCUUCAGCUUAUGAGGGUUCGCACUCCUAGUGGGGUAGAGCUAGUGAUUCAGGGUGAGAGGCCACAACGCGGAUCGAUUCUCUGUUCGGCAGCAAGAGCGAGGUGUUACUUUCAGCAGGGUUGCGCGGGAUACGUCGCCUAUGUCAUGGAUACCCGGGAUAAGGGUAAGGAGACAGUGGAUGAUGUACCAGUGGUGAGAGAGUACCCAAAUGUAUUCCCGGAGGAUUUGCCUGGGAUACCUCUGGAGAGGCAGGUUGAGUUCCGGAUUGACCUGGUCCCUGGUGCUACUCCGAUAGCUAAAGCACCAUAUUGGUUGGCUCCUUCCGAUAUACAGGAGUUAUCUACACAGCUACAGGAGCUGCUAGACAAGGGUUUUAUCAGGCCGAGCAGUUCACCAUGGGGAGCCCCGAUCCUGUUUGUGAAGAAGAAGGACGGGUCGCACCGUAUGUGUAUAGAUUACCGAGAGCUGAACAACGUAACGAUGAAGAACCGUUACCCACUCCUGAGGAUAAAUGAUUUGUUUGACCAGCUUCAGGGAGUAUCUUAGUUCUCCAAGAUUGAUCUUCAGUCCGGAUAUCACCAGAUGCGGGUCAGAGAUGAUGAUGUGCAGAAGACCGCUUUUAGGACCCGCUAUGGUCAUUAUGAGUUUGUGGUGAUGCCGUUUGGGCUCACCAAUGCUCCAGCCACGUUUAUGGACCUCAUGAACCAUGUAUGCAGACCGAUGCUGUAUUGGUCUGUGAUAGUAUUCAUUACUGACAUCUUGGUUUACUCCAAGACUCAGGAGCAGCAUGAGGAGCACCUAAGGGAGGUACUAGAGACACUGAGGAGGGAGAGAUUGUAUGCGAAGUUCUCCAAGUGUGACUUCUAGUUGCGCGAGGUGUAGUUCCUUAGGCACCUUGUCAACCAGAAGGGUAUAUUGGUUGACCCGGACAAGAUAGAGGCAGUGAUGCAGUGGGAGACUCCGAGGUCUCCAACUAAGAUUCUGAGCUUCUUGGGUUUGGCAGGGUAUUACAGGAGAUUUAUCCAGGACUUCUCCAAGAUAGCAAUUCCGUUGACCCGACUGACCAAGAAGUCGGUGGUUUUUCAUUGGGUUCCUGAGCAGUAGACGCCUUUGAGACGCUCAAAUAGUGACUGUGCGAGGCGCCAAUUCUCACCCUGCCAGAGGGAGUAGAUGACUUUGUAGUCUAGUGUGACGCUUCAAUCAUAUGUAUGGGAGCAGUGAUGAUUAGCGGGGGCAUGUGAUAGCUUAUGCAUCGAGACAGUUGAAGCCUCACGAGGCUAACUACCCGACGCAUGAUUUGGAGCUAGGGGCGGUGGUGUUCACCCUUAAGAUUUGGUGGCAUUACCUCUAGGGGGUCUGGUUUACAUUUUACAUGGAUCACAAUAGUUUGAGGUACCUCAUGGAUCAGCCGAAUCUGAACAUGAGGCAGCGUCGGUGGUUAGACGUGGUUAAGGAUUACGACUAUGAGAUCCUUUACCACCCGGGCAAGGCCAACGUAAUGGCUGACGCCCUGAGCCGCAAGGCGACAUCAACCUCGACUCGAGAUAUCUGUCUGAGGAUGACAAUGAUUACUCCAUUACUGGAGCAUAUCCGAGGGGCGCAGGUCGAGAGCCUAAAGGAGGAGCGUUGGAAGUGCGAGAGGAUUACAGGCCAGGUGGCCUCCUUCGAUUACGACAGUAGAGAGUUGUUGACCCUACAUGGGAGAGUUUGGGUGUCGUACUGGGGAGGAGUGUGGCAGGUAUUGAUGGAUGAGGACCAUAAUUCCGGGUUCUCCAUCUAUCAGGGAGCAACGAAGAUGUAUCGGGACCUUCACCCAGACUACUGGUGGCCCUGCAUGAAGCGGGACGUCGCCUGGUACGUUGAGAGAUGCCUGACCUGCAGGAAGGUCAAGGCGGAGUACCAGAGGCCGCAUGGAAAGAUGCAACCAUUUGAUAUUCGUGAUAUUCGUGUAUAAAAGUGGGAGGAUAUUACUAUGGAUUUUAUCACUAAGCUUCCCAGAACCGCACGUGAGUCGAUUCGAUAUGGGUCAUCAUGGAUCGGUUGACCAAGAGCGUGCACUUCAUACCGAUCCAAGAGAGCUUCUCGACCGAGAAGCCGACUGAGACUUAUGUGUGAGAGCUAGUAGUACACCGCGGGGUGGCAUUACCUCUAGGGGGUCUAUUUUACAUUUUACAUGGAUCACAAUAGUUUGAGGUACCUCAUGGAUCAGCCGAAUCUGAACAUGAGGCAGCGCCGGUGGUUAGACGUGGUUAAGGAUUAUGACUAUGAGAUCCUUUACCACCCGGGCAAGGCCAACGUAAUGGCCGACGCCCUGAGCCGCAAGGCGACAUCAACCUCGACUCGAGAUAUCUGUUUGAGGAUGACAAUGAUUACUCCAUUACUGGAGCAUAUCCGAGGGGCGUAGGUCGAGAGCCUAAAGGAGGAGCGUCGGAAGUGCGAGAGGAUUACAGGCCAGGUGGCCUCCUUCGAUUACGACAGUAGAGAGCUGUUGACCCUACAUGGGAGAGUUUGGGUGUCGUAUUGGGGAGGAGUGUGGCAGGUAUUGAUGGAUGAGGCCCAUAAGUCCGGGUUCUCCAUCUAUCAGGGAGCAACGAAGAUGUACCGGGACCUUCGCCCAAACUACUGGUGGCCCUGCAUGAAGCGGGACGUCGCCUGGUACGUUGAGAGAUGCCUGACCUGCAGGAAGGUCAAGGCGGAGCACCAGAGGCCGCAUGGCAAGAUGCAACCAUUUGAUAUUCGUGAUAUUCGUGUAUAAAAGUGCGAAGAUAUUACUAUGGAUUUUAUCACUAAGCUUUCCAGAACCGCACGUGGGUCGAUUCGAUAUGGGUCAUCAUGGAUCGGUUGACCAAGAGCGCGCACUUCAUACCGAUCCAAGAGAGCUUCUCGACCGAGAAGCCGACUGAGAUUUAUGUGCGAGAGCUAGUAGUACACCACGGGGUGCCUGUCUCGAUGGUGUCAAACCGAGAUGUCCAUUUUACUUCCAAGUUUUGGAAGCGGUUUCACGACAAGAUGGGUACUCGUCUCCACUACAACACCGCUUUCCACCCCCAAACUGACGGAUAGAGCGAGAGGACGAUUCAGAAUCUCGAGGACAUGCUUCGGGCAUGUGUGCUAGAUUUCGGUGGCAGUUGGGAUACGUUCCUUCCGUUAGCAGAAUUUUUGUAUAACAACAGCUACCACUCCAGUAUAGAUCGACCUCCAUUUGAGAUGCUCUAUGGGAGGAAGUGUAGGACCUCAAUCUGUUGGGGCGAGGUCGGUCAGAGGGUUAUUAGGAGUACGGAGGUAGUACUCAAUGUUGGAUUAGUGUCUAAGUCCAUAACUAUUUUGCUAUGUACUUGACUCGAUGGUGCAUGGUCCUUUUGGGUUGCCUUCACCAAAGCAACUUGAUAGGAUGAAUUAUGGAGAGAAAGGAUUAAAUAUGAUUUAUUAAUAUAUUAUGAGAAUAAUAUAUUGUUUAAUUAAUAUUAGUCAAGAAUUAAUUAGUAAUUAGUUUUGUGACUAAAAGAGAUUAAUUAAACUUAAGGGACUGGAAUUGUAAUUAUAAGAUAAUUGCAAUUUGGGCUAUGGAUUGUCUUAAAUUAAGGAGUGGACGAAUUCUAUGGGGAAGCCCAUGAGGAAAUCGUCCAAGGCCUUAAUUAAAGGAGUUUAUGGGUUGCUUAGGGCUUAAGCAUCCAAAUUAGGGUUUCCUUGUUAGAUAACCCUAAUAGCCUCACUAUAUAAAGACCCCUUAUGACCAAAAAACAUGGAGAAGACUUCUUCUAGGGUUAGAACACGUUUUGGGCAGCCUCCAUCCUCUCUCCUCUUCAUCCUCUUGCUUAUGGUGUUUGUGAACCAUUAGAGGAGUGACAUUUGUGACUCUAAGCUUUCCAAAGUCAAUUCAAGGUGGAAUUGGGAUUGUUAUUGCUACAUAACAAUCACGGUAACAUCUUAAACCUAAUUAUAUGUUAAUGUCGAUUUCCAUAUGCUAGAAUUAGUGUUUAUAGUCUUGGAUUCAAAGCAUGUACAAUAGAGAAACCUAGAUCCAAGCUUUAGGGUUUGUAUGAGCACAUAGGAUGUCUUAUGACCAAAACCCAUCAGUGGUAUCAGAGCCUAGAUUGGUUUCUAUUGUAUUGAUGCUUGAUGUAACUGAAAAUCGUGUUUUGGCCUCACUGUUCGACCUGACUCGGCGAGUCACUCUUGGACUCGGCGAGUCAGCCCUACUCGGCGAGUUCCAGAGGGUGACUCGGCGAGUCGGUGCGUCAGACAGUGCUUAUCUCGGGAUUUCUUGCUGUUUUUGCAUUGGGAUAAUUACCUUAUCAUGUUAGAUUAAUAUUAAUCCGAUUAUAUGAUAUAUUUGACUAUAUUUUUAAUCUAAUUGAAGAUAUUUAUCAAUUAAUAAGAUAAUUGUUUCCUUAUAAGAUAAUUGAUUAAUUAUUUUAAGUAAAUUGAUAAAUUAUUUUGCAAGAAAUCAUCAAAUAUGGAUAAUUAUGUGAUUAAAUGUUAAUUUGAAUUAUUUGUUAUUUGAUCCUUGUUGUUGUGAAAAGUUUCAUAUUUGGCCCUUUAGGUUUUAUAGUUUAAAUUUGAACCCCAAAAGUUUUGUUGUUUUGAAAUUUAAAUAGUUGAAACCCUAAUGUUUUGAAAAAGGUUUCAAAACUUGCCCUCAAGUUUUGGAAUUUAAAUUUUGAUUAAAUAGUUUAAUUUUGAUGCAUAUUUAAAUUCUAAACCCUAAUGUGUUGAAAUGUUUCAAAACUUGCCCUCAAGUUUUGGAAUUUAAAAGUUGAUUAAAAGUUUAAUUAGGAAUGUUAAAUUCUAAAACUCUAGUAUAGUUUUGAAAAAGUUCAAAUCACACCCUUAUGGUUUUAUUAAUUAAUUAAGGUGUAUAAUUAAAAGAGGUUUAAUAAAUCCAUAAAAGUUUAGGUUUACAAUUUAAUUGAAUUAAAAGUAUAAUUGUUAAAUUAGACCACCUAGUAUUUUAAAAGUAUAAAAUACACCCUAUACUAUAUAUAACAUUAAAAGUCUAACAUUAUAUAUAUGUAUGAGUAAAAGUCAGUCUUACCGUUAGUAGGCCUCAUUCACGAAGCUGGUCUAUAAGGGGUGUUUAAGGAAAUUGCCUAUAAAAUGGCGAUUGAAUGGGUAUCCACUCUUACCCACCGCACUCUUGACUAGUGGAGGGUCGUUAGCCGAACGGGUAGGAUAGGACGAAACCUUCCAUUAUAAGUAUAAUGAAUUAUUAAAGUAACUAAAUGUUUUCAUAAAAUUCCCAAUCUUAGUUACUUAGGCAAAAGUGAAUUGAUGCAAUUCCAUGAAAUUACACUUUGUGCCCUUGCGAAGACGUUAGUGGAGCGUGUGUGGUUUACCGGCACACUAAAUGGUUCUAAGCAAAGGUAGCAAAGGGUGACUCAAUGUUUGUCAUAGUUCGGUGGAGCGUGUGUGGUUUACCGGCACAUCGAAUAGGUGACUGUAACAUGUGAGGGCACCAUGUAAGUUUGCAUGGUUAUUCACACCCGCUUUGUGAUCCUCGGCAUCCCAGUCACAAACAAGAGGGGCAUAUCGAGAUUUAAACAUGCCAUUGAAAUGUUCAAUGAAUCUCAAAGGAUCUAGGAGUUUUCAUAGAUUUAAAACUUAAAUUUCUUUUUCAUUUUUCAUAGUGGAAAUUAGUGAAUCGUCAUUCACUUACCUUAAAAUGUUCUGCAAUUUGGGUUACGACAUCCCUCUCCCGAGUUGUAGAAUAUUGUGUUGGGUCCUAGCCUUAGUAUCUCAUUUGGGUGAUUUACUAAGGACUCAAUCAAUCAACUAACUUGAAUUCGUUUUCUCCCGUUUUGUAGAUGUCAAAGUUCGACAACUAUGGUCUUCCCAAAUCCCGUGGAACAAGCUUUCCACAUGAAGAUGGUAUUCCACGAUUUGAUCGAGGAACAAGAAAUCAUGUUUCACUUCCUCCACCUUCUUCUAUUGUUCUCCCCAACCCACAAGAUCGAAGAAUUGAAAGGUUCAAUAUCACUAAAGCCCUAUUGGAAAUGAAACAUGAAGAUGGUAAACCCGUGUGUGACCAUGUUCUAUGAAUGAAAUCACAUAUUGAUAGGUUGAUAAUGUUGGGUGUGUCAUUCCCGGAUGAGUUGGCUGUGAAUUGGGUUUUUCAGUCACUUCCUGAAUCAUAUAAUGAGUUCAAAAGAAAGUAUUAUAUGAUGGAUCAUGACGAUAACCUUAUUGACCUAACUUACAUGCUGAUUUCUGCUGAAUCAGAAAUGAUUUGGCGAAGCAAUGGAGUGUAUUUGUUGGGAAAGUAAACCGACCAUGCUUCCGAGGACAUUCUAAGAGAAGCGACUUGCGUUUGCUGCCAAAAGAAAGGGCGUUGGAUACAAGUCUGCCCAAAGAGCCUGAAGAUUCCAAAGAUGGGAGAGUCAAAGAGUAUGGCUGUGCUUCGGGUAUAAACUCCACUAUCUAACUCCGUUAAGUUCCUAUUCAUUGAUUCUUAAUACAUGAUGUGAUAAGAUUGCAUUUGAAUGUUUUGCAGGAUCGGUGAAAAGAAAGGAAGCUUGGUGAAAGAGCAAGAUGAAUCUAAUCACAAGGAAUGGAUCUUGAUCGCAUGGACUUGAAGAUUAGAUUUUGAGCUUAGAUAGUUAUGAUAGAGUUGUUAGAAAUUUUCCUUUUGAAAUACAUAGUUUUCAAUGGAUUUUGCAUUGUAAGGACAAAUGUUUUCCGCUGCUUUUAUAAAUAAAAUAAAUUUUAUUUUGACUUAUUUAUUUAUUUGUUUAUUCCCUUGCAAUGAAAUCGUUAUGAAAAUUGAUGUUUGCAUAUUUCUACAACGAAUGGAUAUGAUUCUUAUUUAUGCAAAUUUACCAAAUAGGGAGAGUUUCUCAUCGCUCAAAUUUCAAUUGGACAGAAAUUUGGAAUCACGCAACUUGGUUGCAUGAUGAAUGAGAAAUUUCAUAUUUGGAAAUUAGACUAAUUCGUUGACAAAGUGUCGAGUGAAGGACUAGGAGAUCGAGCACACAAAGUUAUGUGUUGAUCAAGUCCACCAAAGAGUAACAAAGAUAUUCGUCAUGAUUUACUAAAGGUUUAGUAAGUAUGAUUAUACUUAUAAGAUUAAGUGUAAUUCUGACUUGAUUGAAAAAGUUUAAAUCAAUAGCAGAACAAAUAAGAAGAAUCAAGUAGGCAGAAAGAUAAAAGUUUAUCCAUUCUAAGAAAAAGGGAGAGUACCUUUUAUGCUUUAUGAUAGGUCUUAGUGAUUAAGAACCAUAUCUCAAUUGAUCCUCUAAGUGAGUCUUAGUACAAUUGUAAGUCUAAGAAGAGGAAUCAAGAAUUGAAGAAAUGGUUAAAUCAAGAAGUCAAUCAUACUUCAUUCCAAAACAAGUCUUAGAAUUAAGAUUGUGACAUUGAGUGAUAAGUGUUAAGAAGGUUUAUAACAUUCAUAAAAUGUGAUAAGUUGUGAUGUCUUUGAUAAGACAAAGACCAACUAGGACCAAUUUAUGAAGUGUUUUGAUAAAAACUACACUAACUCUUGAAUAUUUGUUUGUCAAGAAAUGUUUAUUGACAAGAGAAUCUUAUAUGUCAAGGAGUCAGUGGGAGUCUUAAUGGUCUUGAAAGGUUUCAAGAACAAAUCAAAUAAACCUUAUCGAUCAUCACUAGCACACGAGUUGAGGUUUACAACCUAUCGUGUUGACAUUAUUUUGUUUCUGUGCUGUUCCAAUUGAGUUAAUUAUGCAUGUGAGUCUUAUGAGUUCUCAUUUGAAUGCAUAAAAAGCAAGGACCUUGAUCAAUGGAAAGUACAUUGAUAGGAAAAUGUGAGUUGCUUAAGUACUUGGAAGACAUGGUGGGCAGCCAUGCUACCAUAAGGCAAGAAAUCAAGAUUAAGAAAGUUCGGUCCAUAUGAGUUUGAAUUNAGGUGAGCUGCUUAACUACUUGGAAGACAUGGUGGGCAGCUGUGCUACCAUAAGACAAGAAAUCAAGAUUAAGAAAGUUCGAUCCAUAUGAGUUUGAAUUUGUCGUAAACUUUGGUUUUGACAAAUUCACAUGGAUAGGAACAUAUACACCGUUUAAAUCUAAGUGUCAUAAGAUUUCCUCCUUCAUGAAAAUGAUUGUGAGGAAAUGCUUUCACUAAGAAAGAUUUUAAGAAGAUAGUGAUUGUAAAAUUGCAUUCUCGAAUUCGAUUAUGGUUACGGCAUCCCUUUCCAUAAUUUGAAUUGUGAGGUUUGGCAAUUAGUCUUAAUUGUUUAGACACACAUAUGAACUAUCGAAGGCAAAGGUGUAUAAGUUCAAGAAGCAUUGAUAAAGGAUUAUCAAAGCACUAAGUAUUAGAAACAUGAACUUAAGAAAUUCAAUAAGUAUUGUUUUCUGAAAGUUAAAAUGUUUAUGAAUACAUGUCGAAGCUAGUGGGAGCAUAAGUGUUAUGUUUUAUAAUAAUCAUCAUGAUAGUGGGAGCAUAAAUGUUAUGAUUGUAUGAUUAUUAAGGCAAGUAUUGCAAGUUGGCAAUAUUAAUUAUAGAAAACAAGAGUUAUACCUUGCAAAGUGGUAAGGGUUGUAAAGUUGUUUUGCUAUAAUUAAGGGAGAGAAUAUUAUGCUUCGUUUCAAAUCUAAAGGCUUAGGUUGAGAAAUGUUAAUAAAUUUAGUCAAAGGUACAUAGUGUGUUCUUAAAAUUUUCGAUUAUGAUUACAACAUUCCUCUUCACAAUUCAAAUUUUGAGAACAUAGCAAAUAAAACAUUAUGCGUCGUGUCCCAUACGCUUCGGGUAUAUGAUCGAUUGCAAAUGCUUUAAUGUUUGACCAUUCUAAAAUUUUAAAAAUGUCUAGCGCAUUUAGAGGGAAAAGGGACUAGAAUCGGUUUUGACUAAAAUAACUAAACAACUAUCAAAGGACAAUCCAAAGUUCGACGAGGAUUGGUUGCUUAUGAGUAGUUGGAAGCAUGGUAUUGAAUGGACCAUAUCGACGUUAUUAUGAAUAGAAAAGAUUCAAUUAAGAAUGAGUUGUCGUAUGGAAAUUAUGGAAAUGUUUCCACAUUGGAUGGACCAUAUCGACAUCAUUACGAAUAGAUAAGAUUCUGUUAAGAAUGAGUUGUCAUAUGGAAAAUAUGGAAGCAUGUUCAUAUUGGGAAUUGAAUAUUGAAAAUCUAUGUCUAAAUUAGAAACUUUUAUGCAAAAGGAUGUUCAAAGGAAUGUACUUUGAGUGAGAUACAUCAUAUCUAAGGAAUUGUCUUGUAACAAUCUCCGAUAGAAGAUUUUGUAAUAUCAUUGACAAUAGUCUUUGUGACUUUGGUGCAGUGACAUUACGAAAUAAUCACUGCAUAGAAUGUUAGAAUCUAGCAUAUUCUAUAAGUAGCAAGAAUUUGAUAUUCUUUCAUUUAUGAAAAAGGAUUUGGAGUUGUGAAAUGAGAAUGAUUGGAAAUGUGUUCAAUUUGAUCUAUUUCACAAAGUAAGAACCAUAUGUAAACAUUGUGUACAUGCUAGGAGCAUGGGACAAGUGUAAUAAUUCAAGUAAGAAGUUGAUUACCCGAAAUGAAAAAUAAUGAGUAAUCGAUAUGGUGAUAAAUAAAAGGAGUUUUAUUUAUACCCAAAGGUUUGAGGCCAUAUGAGAUUAGUAUUAUUCUUGUGUUCCACUUUGCAUGUUUUGACUUCCUGAAUAAUUUAAUUGGUUUAGAACAGUCAAAUUAUUCGAACGAGCCACAGUCGUUCAUAUGUUGGAAGUUGUAACAACCCGAAAUUUCCGCUUCUUUUUAAAAGUAACUUUUUCAUAAAUCAACUCGCGCAACCGAUCGUCGUUCCGAUUUCCGAUUUCCGAUUUCUCCGUUUAAUUAAGUCAUUAAUUAGUACACAUUUAAAAUGACUUAAUGGGUGUCUUAAUACAUUUAGAAAUCAAUUUAACACCCAACUUUAGUGAUCGGAAUAAUUCUAGAAUUUACCGUAUCGAGUUACGGUAACUUAAUCGGGUACGACCAAAAACCCCGUCUAACGCCGGUAUCGGGUAGAAUUCCACCGUGUCCAAAACUUAAACACUAUAUAAACGUGUUUAAGACUUCAUUUGAAGCCUUUUGGCAAGUUUCUCACUAAACUCUUACAACCUCUCCCCUCAAGCUAGAAUUAAGGUCCAAAUCACAAGUUUAAGGCUUCAAAUCUUUAAGGUAACCUCCCUAACAUGUUAUUCAACACCUUUAGCCUUCAAAUUGAUGAAAUAAUUGAGUUUUAGGUCCAAGAACAUGAGUUUACGGCCAAGGAACAAGCUUGGGCCGUAAACUCCAUUUAAUGGGGUUUUAAGCCCUUAAACUCCUUCCUAAACUCAAUUGGACUUUAGAUAUGGCUAUGGGACUUCAAGAUAUGGACUUAGGACAUUUAAAACUAUGAUUUUGAGCCAUUCAAAGGAGUUUACGGCCAAGGCAUAAUCUUAGGCCGUAAACUCAAGUAAAAGGGGUUUUUCAUGCCCUAAAACCCUUCCAAAUCACUCAUAUGGCUUAGAUAUGAAUUGUAGGACCUUGGUUUUAGCAUUUGGACACUUGAAACAUGAAUUUUGUGGGACUUAUGUGAGUUUACGGCCAAGGAUAGUGCUUGGGCUGUAAACUCCCCAAAAUGUGACAUAAACCCAAUUCUAAAGUGUUAGAAAGCCAUCCAACACCACCAAAAGACUUGGAAUAAAUCAAGGGACCAACCAAAAAUGCUUUAAGGGUCUAAAACACAUCAUUUGUGGGACUUAUAAGGGUUUACGGCCAAGGCUUGUUCUUGGGCCGUAAACUCCAAAACUUUUGGUGUUAGAAUGCAAACUAAACACCCCUAAAGCCUUUAGAUGAAUUUUAGAAGCCCUUCUAUGCAAGUUUUAGACCUUGAAACACUUUGUAUGAACCUACAUUAGAGUUUACGGCCAUGAGGAGGGUCUCAUGGGUCGUAAACUCCAUAACACCCCUCAAAUGUCACAUAAAAAUCAUACUAGGUCUUGGAAUAAUCUUAUGAAUCACAUGUGAUUUGUUUUAACAACAUUUGACACCCAUUUCAUGAAGAUUAAGGAGUUUACGGCCAGGAGCCUAUACUGGGCCGUAAACUCCCAUAAAAUAAGCAUUUUGAUGAUUUGAAUUCAGUCCAAGUGUUCCAAGACAAUUUAGAAAAUCCAUUCUAGCAACCUCUAGGUCCAUUUGAGCCCUUAAACCCUCAAAACCACACCAACAUGAGUUUACGGCCGUAAAAUCAUGUGUGAGUGUGUUUCAUGGUUGUAAACUCAUUUAAAUGUUUACUUAUGGAGAGUAAACUCAUGUCCCAAGUCCCUAGUGCCAUUACAAGUCCGAAGAUGUCACCCGGGUCACUCCAAACGCUCGUUUUGAGGUGUUUAACCUCAUUGGAGUGUAAUGUUCCAAAUGAUUAGCGAAUGUAUCUCUAAUUGUAUAUAUAUGGACAUUAUAUCAUUUUACAUAGGGUCAUCGCGAGUAAUCAAACCCCGAACCGACGUCUAGCAUUCAAAACCGACACGUUUCCGAGUCCGGUGAGUUCAUACCCCUACCCUUUUUCACUGUUUUCACUGUUUUCAGGGGGGGAACACAAGCAAAGUACAAGGAAAUUCUUGUACUCAAAACAUGUUUUCAGAUGUGUGUUUAUUAAUUCAUAUGCUUUUGUUACUGAUUACCACAACUGAUAACCAUUUGAACAUGCAGAUCACGUAACAUAUAUUUGUGAAUUAGGUCUUUAAAUUGUUAUGUUUUACAUAUAUUUCACAAAUGAUUUUCCACAAUUUAUCAGUUAAAAGCAUUACAUAAGACAUUUGAAUAUAAUACCUGUACACUGUUUUGUCCUCGGUAACACUCCACACAUAUACGCGAGUGGAGGACUAUCAUAUUAUUACUAGUAAAUUUGUUAAUCCUGUAUAAUUGGAGACACGUCCUUGGAGAACACUCCACCAGAUUACGCGAGUGGAGGACUACACCCAUAACCAGAAUCUCUGGUAUUUAGAGAGCGUGACUUGAGUGUAUAGAUCUAUACGGGGCUGACUACCCCACACCUGGCUGCUAGCUACAGCCGAACCGAAAUGGUUCAAGGGUGACGAAAGUCAUAAGUAUGUGGACGACUUAUUGCCACAUGUGGACUACUUAUUGCCACAGGUUUCAAUCUAUUGUAUGGUUAUGGAACUCACAAUUAGGAUAACAGAGAUUUACUUACAGUAAUAAUGGAUUUCUUUAUACAUCGUUUACAUCGUUUACAUCUUUUACUUACUGUAACUAACAUUCAGGAAGGUACGAGACCUUCCUGGGGAAAACAUGGAAUCUAAUCACGAUUACAUCUUUUACAUCUUUCACAUCGUUUACAUAAGAUACAUACAUGCAGGAAAGCAUGGGGCUUUCCUGGGUAACACUUACAUAACUAGAAAGAGUCACAGAAUGGAUAACAUUACAUCUUUUACAAUUUGUAACAUACAAUAAGGAAAGUGUGGGACUUUCCUAGUAACACAUGAUAAGUAAACAGAACAGUUUAACCAGUCAGAUAACCAACUACACAUUUUCACAUGAGUAAACAUGUUUUCAGUGUACAAACUUACUAUACUUUACAUUUGUGAAACAAUAACCAACUUUUAAGAAAAUACGGGAUUUUCUUGGUGUACAUAACAUUUCAGAAACAGAAAGGAAACCGAUACAUUUUCGUAAAACAAAACCGCUUAUAAACUCACCAGCUUUAUGCUGAUUUUCAAACCGCUUGUGUUCUCAGGUCAGCGUUAGAACAGGUACCCGAAGAUCCUUUUGCAUGAAGGCGUGUACAUGAAGACCCGUUACAUUUUGUCUAUAUAUACUAUGUAUCACAACUGUACAAACUUUACUUUUGAAACAACUGUAAAACUGUUAUUAUGUAAUGUAAUGCUUGUUUUACUUUACUUACUAUGUACAUUGGAUUUGAUACUCAACACGGUAGUCAACCCCGAAAAUGUAUUCCGCCUUCGGUUUUCGGGGUGUGACAGAAGUAGAUAUGAAUGAAGAUUGUCGUGAAUUGGUGUGUGGAUUGUCUAAAAGAGUAUUAGACAUAAGUAAAUGUUUGCUGCAACGUUCAUGAGUGCUUAUGAAUAAGAUUUGAGCAUUGGAUUAAACCCACGCUUACUUGGAUCACUCCAUGAAUUGUAUCACGAGUGAUUGGUGAGACGAUAACAUCUUAUAUUCUUGAAAUCGAGAUGUGUGAGUUGUAUCUUGCAAAUCGGUCGCACAUUGAUAAUAUGUAAACGCACUAGUAACUUGGUGUCAUAAAACAUAUUGUUGUGUGUGAUUCGGUGAGUGAGUGCAAGCAAGCAUUGUAUCAAAGCUUAUCCAUUCCUUUUAUCCAAAGUAGGAUAAAAGAGAUAUCUUUGGGCCCCUUGAUGAUUUUUGUGAUGACAAACGUAAAUGCUCGGCCGGGCUAGGGCUAAUUUGAUUUGUUCAAUUAGUCAGUCGUCAUAAACCGGGAGUCGAGAAAUAGUACAAAGAGAAUGACUAGAAAUCAUGUCUCAUACGAUAUCUAGAAUGGAGGAAUAUAUGAUCCCUUAUCUAACGACACGCGUAUCUGACAGGAUCAGAGUUGACAGCGGCUUUGGAAAGCUACGAUUGUAGAUCAGGAUCUGAAGUCAUACGCAUGAUAGUUAUUCGACUUAUCCAAGUGGGAGACUGUUGGAUUAGUGUCUAAGUCCAUAACUAUUUUGGUAUGUACUUGACCCGAUGGUGCAUGGUCCUUUUGGGUUGCCUUUAUCAAAGCAACUUCAUAAGAUGAAUUAUGGAAAGAAAGGAUUAAAUAUGAUUUAUUAAUAUAUUAUGAGAAUAAUAUAUUAAAGGAGAAAUCAUAUUGUUUAAUUAAUAUUAGUCAAGAAUUAAUUGGUAAUUAGUUUUGUGACUAAAAGAGAUUAAUUAAACUUAAGGGACUGGAAUUGUAAUUAUAAGAUAAUUGCAAUUUGGGCCAUGGAUUGNNNNNNNNNNNNNNNNNNNNNNNNNNNNNNNNNNNNNNNNNNNNNNNNNNNNNNNNNNNNNNNNNNNNNNNNNNNNNNNNNNNNNNNNNNNNNNNNNNNNNNNNNNNNNNNNNNNNNNNNNNNNNNNNNNNNNNNNNNNNNNNNNNNNNNNNNNNNNNNNNNNNNNNNNNNNNNNNNNNNNNNNNNNNNNNNNNNNNNNNNNNNNNNNNNNNNNNNNNNNNNNNNNNNNNNNNNNNNNNNNNNNNNNNNNNNNNNNNNNNNNNNNNNNNNNNNNNNNNNNNNNNNNNNNNNNNNNNNNNNNNNNNNNNNNNNNNNNNNNNNNNNNNNNNNNNNNNNNNNNNNNNNNNNNNNNNNNNNNNNNNNNNNNNNNNNNNNNNNNNNNNNNNNNNNNNNNNNNNNNNNNNNNNNNNNNNNNNNNNNNNNNNNNNNNNNNNNNNNNNNNNNNNNNNNNNNNNNNNNNNNNNNNNNNNNNNNNNNNNNNNNNNNNNNNNNNNNNNNNNNNNNNNNNNNNNNNNNNNNNNNNNNNNNNNNNNNNNNNNNNNNNNNNNNNNNNNNNNNNNNNNNNNNNNNNNNNNNNNNNNNNNNNNNNNNNNNNNNNNNNNNNNNNNNNNNNNNNNNNNNNNNNNNNNNNNNNNNNNNNNNNNNNNNNNNNNNNNNNNNNNNNNNNNNNNNNNNNNNNNNNNNNNNNNNNNNNNNNNNNNNNNNNNNNNNNNNNNNNNNNNNNNNNNNNNNNNNNNNNNNNNNNNNNNNNNNNNNNNNNNNNNNNNNNNNNNNNNNNNNNNNNNNNNNNNNNNNNNNNNNNNNNNNNNNNNNNNNNNNNNNNNNNNNNNNNNNNNNNNNNNNNNNNNNNNNNNNNNNNNNNNNNNNNNNNNNNNNNNNNNNNNNNNNNNNNNNNNNNNNNNNNNNNNNNNNNNNNNNNNNNNNNNNNNNNNNNNNNNNNNNNNNNNNNNNNNNNNNNNNNNNNNNNNNNNNNNNNNNNNNNNNNNNNNNNNNNNNNNNNNNNNNNNNNNNNNNNNNNNNNNNNNNNNNNNNNNNNNNNNNNNNNNNNNNNNNNNNNNNNNNNNNNNNNNNNNNNNNNNNNNNNNNNNNNNNNNNNNNNNNNNNNNNNNNNNNNNNNNNNNNNNNNNNNNNNNNNNNNNNNNNNNNNNNNNNNNNNNNNNNNNNNNNNNNNNNNNNNNNNNNNNNNNNNNNNNNNNNNNNNNNNNNNNNNNNNNNNNNNNNNNNNNNNNNNNNNNNNNNNNNNNNNNNNNNNNNNNNNNNNNNNNNNNNNNNNNNNNNNNNNNNNNNNNNNNNNNNNNNNNNNNNNNNNNNNNNNNNNNNNNNNNNNNNNNNNNNNNNNNNNNNNNNNNNNNNNNNNNNNNNNNNNNNNNNNNNNNNNNNNNNNNNNNNNNNNNNNNNNNNNNNNNNNNNNNNNNNNNNNNNNNNNNNNNNNNNNNNNNNNNNNNNNNNNNNNNNNNNNNNNNNNNNNNNNNNNNNNNNNNNNNNNNNNNNNNNNNNNNNNNNNNNNNNNNNNNNNNNNNNNNNNNNNNNNNNNNNNNNNNNNNNNNNNNNNNNNNNNNNNNNNNNNNNNNNNNNNNNNNNNNNNNNNNNNNNNNNNNNNNNNNNNNNNNNNNNNNNNNNNNNNNNNNNNNNNNNNNNNNNNNNNNNNNNNNNNNNNNNNNNNNNNNNNNNNNNNNNNNNNNNNNNNNNNNNNNNNNNNNNNNNNNNNNNNNNNNNNNNNNNNNNNNNNNNNNNNNNNNNNNNNNNNNNNNNNNNNNNNNNNNNNNNNNNNNNNNNNNNNNNNNNNNNNNNNNNNNNNNNNNNNNNNNNNNNNNNNNNNNNNNNNNNNNNNNNNNNNNNNNNNNNNNNNNNNNNNNNNNNNNNNNNNNNNNNNNNNNNNNNNNNNNNNNNNNNNNNNNNNNNNNNNNNNNNNNNNNNNNNNNNNNNNNNNNNNNNNNNNNNNNNNNNNNNNNNNNNNNNNNNNNNNNNNNNNNNNNNNNNNNNNNNNNNNNNNNNNNNNNNNNNNNNNNNNNNNNNNNNNNNNNNNNNNNNNNNNNNNNNNNNNNNNNNNNNNNNNNNNNNNNNNNNNNNNNNNNNNNNNNNNNNNNNNNNNNNNNNNNNNNNNNNNNNNNNNNNNNNNNNNNNNNNNNNNNNNNNNNNNNNNNNNNNNNNNNNNNNNNNNNNNNNNNNNNNNNNNNNNNNNNNNNNNNNNNNNNNNNNNNNNNNNNNNNNNNNNNNNNNNNNNNNNNNNNNNNNNNNNNNNNNNNNNNNNNNNNNNNNNNNNNNNNNNNNNNNNNNNNNNNNNNNNNNNNNNNNNNNNNNNNNNNNNNNNNNNNNNNNNNNNNNNNNNNNNNNNNNNNNNNNNNNNNNNNNNNNNNNNNNNNNNNNNNNNNNNNNNNNNNNNNNNNNNNNNNNNNNNNNNNNNNNNNNNNNNNNNNNNNNNNNNNNNNNNNNNNNNNNNNNNNNNNNNNNNNNNNNNNNNNNNNNNNNNNNNNNNNNNNNNNNNNNNNNNNNNNNNNNNNNNNNNNNNNNNNNNNNNNNNNNNNNNNNNNNNNNNNNNNNNNNNNNNNNNNNNNNNNNNNNNNNNNNNNNNNNNNNNNNNNNNNNNNNNNNNNNNNNNNNNNNNNNNAUUUCUUGAUUAUUACAUAUUUUAGAAUGAAAUUAACAUAUUCACAAAAUUUUACUUUUAUAUGAAAAAAAGAAAACAAUCAAAAGAAAUGAACUAUAACCACUUUUUUGGUGGCUGCACAAAGACCCAGUUAAUUUAAAGCCCAGGAAAGAAUUGUGGCCCAUGCUUCUUAUUAAUAUAUUACACCCACUUAAUUUUAUUUGAAACCCUAGCUUCUUUUCUUACCACCUCAAAUAAUUCCUACCACCACGUGAUUUCUCUUUUCAACCUCAUCUUUUCACCAAGAAAGAGAUGAACUUGUUUCUACUUGCUUUUCCUACUACCUCACAUCUCUCCCAGCAUUUUCUCGACCAAAGCAGAAUCUCAAAACUUAGAGCCAACAACAAAUCGAGGCACUACAACCGCUAAACAGCUAUACAUACCGCUAAACAGGUCACAUGUUUUAUGACUCGUCUGAUUUACGAGCCAACUCAACUCGGUCCGAGUCACGACUUAAAUCGGAUUUUUUUACGAGUCAGAAGAAAAACGAGUCAUGUUACGAGUUGCCUCGCUUUGGGUAUCAAGUGGCUCGACUCGUACGAGUCAACUCCUAACUCGUACGAGUUUAACAACUAUGUGUAUAUAUAUAUAUAUAUAUAUAUAUANUAUAUAUAUAUAUAUAUAUAUAUAUAUAGAGAGAGAGAGAGAGAGAGAGAGAGAGAUUAUUGUUGUAGAUGUACAUAAUAAUCAAAUAAAAAUAAAAUAACCAUGUGUCCCUUUUUGAGUUUUUGUUUAUAUCAACCUAAUCUUAAAACUUCAUUCAACACAAAAAAAUGUGACAUUUAGGUAUAAAUGGUUUAUUCUUGUCUUGAUAGUUAUUAACUUAAUGGAUCUUUUUGGCUUGGAAUUCGACUUCUAAGAGAUCUAACAUUGUGGUUGGGGUCAGAGAAACAUUGUUGAAUCCAAACAAAUGCAUGAUUUCCAAUUUGUGAAAAUCAUAUUCUUUAAGCUAGGAUAGGGGGAAACAACAAAAAAAUACAUAUGUUUUUCCUUUGUAGAUCUAAAAUUCUUAGACUUUUGGCCCUAAGACUAUCUGUUAUACUCUCCACGACAACGAUCGUGGAGAGCUUCCAGAUCAGCCACCGAAGCAACCACGAACCACCCCACUACAACCGGAGUACUCUCCACUGAUAACGAAGAGAAAUAACUAAGAGAGAGACAGAAGAAGGCUGAGAGAGAAGAAAUUUGUCAAGAAGCCAUGAUUGGGCGUUACGUCUCAUCUUCGGCACCAUGAGCCAUCACGAAAACGACGAACCACGACCGGACGGGGUGGUCUGCACGGUUGUUGUCUGUGGCCACGUAGACCACAACUGGGUUCGUGGUCCAUAUACUGGAUGGCCUAAACAUUUUUUUUUGAAACAUGGUACGUCUUGCUUCACCACUUUGUAUGUUGGUCCCACUAGAUAAGAAAAAAGUGUUCUUACCUAUUUUAUCCUUAUUCAGAGCCAAGUAUAGGGAUUUUUUUUACCAGUUAUGUAUUUGACCAAUAGUUUUUUCUUAAUGGGCCAAACACGUAAAAAUACUAUUUUAGCUAAAAAGGAAACAUUUCAAAUAGAUCAAACAUUUUAAUAGAAAUCCAUAGUAUAUUGAAGUAUUUUCAACCAUCCUAACUUGCUUUAAUUAGUCCAAACAAUUUGAUCAUGUUUUAAUACCCUAAUCUUAUUCAUAUUUAAUAUAUUAAUUAUAUAUGAAAUUGAAAAAAGUGUUUGCAGGUUAGCCCAAUACGGUUAAACGGUAUCUUACGGUUUGUGUUUUGAUAUUGCAUCCUACAUGCCAAUUUGCCACAUAUAAGGCUGAUAUAUCUAGAACCAUCGAUUUUUGUGGAAAAGUACGCAAGGUAAUUAGGUAUUGUGACAAACUUACACAUAUUUUAUGAAGAAAUAAAUAGGAGAUAUAAAUAUUCUUUCCCAUGAAUUGCCUACCUUCUUUACUUUUUUGAAGGAUUGGCCAUAGCUAUAUUGUUUUUGUAUUACAAUUUGCAUCGUGGUAUGUUUUUCAUCUUGUUUAACUAUGUUCUUACUCAUAAAAUUGCUUUGUUUGAACUUACGCUUAGUUUCAGGAUUAGUUUGACUAGUAACUUUGAAUAAUAUUUGAUAAGUAGUGGAGCCUUGUUGAUGAAAUCAAUGUGAUUAACAUUAAAUAUCUGGUCAGCAGUGGAACCUUGUCAUAUCAUCAUCUUGUUAAUUGUUUGGUCAUGUAUGCUAAAAAAUCAAAUUACAAAAAGAUGAUGAAGGUAUCAAAAGAAACAAGGAAGCAGGAUCGAAGAUGGACAUUUGCAUUUUACAAGCUGAAUGUACAACCUUUAAUAUAAGACUAUUCUCAAAGAGGAUGGGGAGUGGGGAGGGGAAGAAAAUUGAUCCAGGUCUUAUGCAUUCCAAAUGCAGGUACAUUCCUACAUAAUAAAGGAGGCUUAAAAGAGAAGAAAAGUGAUACCGAAGAUGCAUAUGAGGAACUAAUCUUGGAAGAACUACAGAAAACACAUACUUAACUAUUUGAAAAAUAGCCAAGGUUUGCAACUUAAAUGAAUCCCAGGCCAUAAAUUUCCCAAGCCACCAUUUGCAAAAGUGUGGUUCACCUGCAAAAAAAAAAAUGAAAAAUGAAAACGACAUCGUUUUGGACGUUGUUGACUGUGGAAAGUGAAAUCAUCUGUGAUUUAAAAAAAAUGUAUUAUCAUGUCAUGUUGACUGCGAAAUUCAAAGACCAUACUGUGAAAAUCAUAACCUAUGGUAUGAAAAUUUGCACAUUGUAGAGGAUGUUAUCUUAUAAGAGAUUGCUUUGUAAAAAAGAGUUAUCAAAACCAAUUGUCUGCAUUUUUUAGCACAAUUUUCACUAUGUUUUUUCUUCUGAUUUCCUUAGCAAUUUUUUCCACCUUACCCUUUUGCUCUUGCCGAGAUAACAUGAGUUCAAACAUUGUACAUGACUAAUUGUUGUUUUUUGUUGGUGGUUGAUGGCAGUUAGAAACAACAUGUUUAUACAAUGCAACAAAUCGAUAUGUUGGUGGUGGGAACCGAUCUAGCAGCAGAAGAGGGUCCGGUAGUAAAAGAUGGAAAAAGUUUUGCUAAGAGCAGAUACAUAGAAGAGGUAGCAACAAUCAAAUAGGUAUCUGUAUCUCUCUAAAUGAUUAUCACGAUGUUGGUGGAUAUGUUGCGUUCCAAUAACAACUCAAUUCACAAGUAGUUUCUGAAAACCAAUACACGUAUUGAGAAAUUCAGUAUGUUGAUCCCAGAAGAUAUUCUGUACCAUAUCAAACACUAAUACCACCAUAUCAAACGUCGAUAACACCAUCUGAAAGGCCGAUUGUAUAAUAUCAAAUGCCAAUUAUACAAUACAACCUAUUUUUCCAUUCUAAAAAGUGGGCCGCCGAAAGGAGAGGAAAGUGGUAUUGAAGAUGCAUAUAUAUGUGUAACUAACCUUGGAAUAACUGUAGGAAACAUACACUCAACUACUAGAAAAAUGGACUAUGGUCUGUAACUCAAAUGAGUCCAUGAACCGCAAUUAACUAUUUUUGUUGAUUAUCAAGACUAGCUAAGAGUAAACGUAAAUAAGAAUAAAAGGCAAAUACAAGUAGAAAGAAGUAUAUUGAAUCAAAUUGUAUCUGAAUUGAAAGCAACAAAAAGGAAUAUCAAGAUGUUAAACCCAUGAAAUCUCAAACCCAUUGAAAAUCUUGCAGCAUGACAACGCUGAAAGACACAUCAAGGGCUUACACUCAAGAAAAAAGGUGAUAAAACAAAAAACCUAUUGCUUUUGUGUAUGCUCGACGGCUUUGAGUUAUCUUAUUAUUUAUUGCACAUCUUGAUGUGUCUGAGCAUGUUGAUGUUGUAAUUUAAUAACUUUGCAUCAGUUCUGUACUCUUCUCUUUGCGUAACCAUUUUAUUUCAGCUUCCCUUUGGAUUUCAAUUCUAUGUUACCUGCUGAGUUGAUUUAAGUCCCACCUUCAAAUUUUCUUCAAAAGUUACCUCUUGCUAAACCCCUCAUAAGAAAUGUUCAUGCACAAACUCCCACCUAUUCAAUAAAUCUUGCUAAAUCCCUGAAUUAAAUCACAGAAACCAAUAAAAGAUGAAUGUGUAAGAAACAAAACACCACCAAAAACCACAACAACCAUGCAUGUACGGUGUUGUUUAUCAUUCAUAAUAACAUAACCAAGACCAAAACUUUCCCCCUUUGCAUGAUAAAAGAAAAAGAAAAUUUACAAAUAGAAAAAUAGAUAAUAAGUGGAUACCUGAUUCUUACUUAAUUAUUUGAAAAAUAGACCAAGAUAUGUAACUUAAAUGAGUCCUUGAUUUUACAAUUAACUAUUGUUGUUGAUGAUCAAGACGAACCAAGAGUAAAAGUAACAAUUUGGAAAAGCAAAAUACAAAAAGAAAGAAGUAUAGGCAAUAAACUCAUAUUUGAUUUGAAAGCAACAAAAAGGAAAAUCAAGAUGUUGACCACAGGAAUUGUCAAACCCAUGGAAAUUCUUGCAGAAUGACAAUGCUCAAAGACACAUCUACGGCUUAAACACUCAAGAAAAAAGCAAUAACACAACCUUGACUGCUUUUAAGUUUUUUUCUUUAUUGAUUCCAUAUAAUGAUGUGUCUCCAAUAAUGAUGUGUCUGACCAUUUACAUGUUGUAACUCGAUAACUUCUUGCAUCAUAUCCGUCUUCUCUUUGCGUAACCAAUUUCUAUCUCAGCUUCCAUUUGAAUUGUUGUUCACUGAUUUGUUACCUGCUGAGACUAAUUAGACUGCCACCUUGGAAUGUUCUUCAAAUGCAACCUCUUGCUAAACCCUUCAACAUCGUUCACUUGCAAACACCCAUCUGUCCCAAUAAAUCUUGAGAAAUCCCUGAAUCAAACUACAGAAACCAGUAAAAGAGAAUGCUCAAGAAAUUGAACACCACCAAAAAACCAGAGAAACCAUGUGUGUUGUUAUUUUUUGUUCAAAAGAGAAUGCUCAAGAAAUUCAACUCUCUUAGGCAAUGAGGGAUGAUACCUGUGAAGUUGUUGUGUGCAACAUCCAAAAUUUGAAGUUUCGACAUUUUGCACAAAGAUUCAGGAAUUUCCCCAGUGAAGUUAUUCCUGUGUAGCUUUAAGACCAUCAAAUUUGUCAGCUUUUCUCCGAUCCAGUGGGGUAUGUUUCCGAACAGUUGAUUAUCACCCACAUCUAACACUCUUAAAGCUCGUAAAUUCCCCAAACCUUGAGGAAUUUCCCCAGUAAAGUUAUUGCCAUUCAAUGUUAACCAAUACAAUGAUGAAUGAUUAUUUGCUAUAUAACUUGGAAUGACACCUGAAAGCAAAUUAGAACUAAAUAUCAUGGUUUCCAACAAUUUCAGAUUCUGGAGACACUUGGGAAUUUUCCCUGUUAACCUAUUUCUGGAAAGAUCAAGAUAUUCCAAAUGCGUCCAUCUGCACAAGGACCUUGGAAUCGACUCAUUGAAAAUGUUAUUUGCUAAUAUUAAUGCCAGUCCUAUUUCUGGAAGGUUUGUCAAUGGUCCGCUGAGUUUGUUGUGAGAGAGAUCUAAGAAAGCAAUGACAGGCAUCUUCCGCAACCAUGUGGGCAGAGGUCCCGAAAUUGAAGCAUUCGACAACACUAACUCAGAGAGCAAGAACUGAUUCCGUAGCCACUGUGGCAAUCCAUUUGUGAGAUUGCAGGAACUGAGAUCAAGACCAUCCAACUGGAAUGGAGGCAUCCACUUAUGUGAAAAAUUGCAUGUCAACUUCGUGUUAGAAGAAGCUUCCAAGUAACUCAACAUCGAAAGGUUAGCAAAAUGGGCUUCGGAAACUACUCCUUCUAAGGAAUUGUCUGAGAUAUCUAACUCAUUGAGUUUGGCAAGUUGCCCAAUUGAAACCGGAAUAGUCCCAUUUAACAAAUUUGAAGACAACCGAAUUGCUUGUAAUGAAACAAGUCUUCCUAGAGAUGUUGGGAUGGGGCCCGUUAAGUGAUUGGAUUGUAGAUACAAAGAUUCUAAAGCUGCAAGAUUUCCAAAGGAUUCUGGAAUUGAACCAUUCAAUUGGUUAUCAUGUAGAUCUAAUACCUCUAAGAAUCUUAAUCUUCCUAGAGAUUCGGGGAUUGGACCUGUCAAACUGCUCAUUGAUAGAUCUAAGUGUCUUAAAUUGGUUAGUCUUCCAAAUGCUUCUGGAAUCGUACCAUUCAAACACCCACUUAAAUCCAACCGCUCCAAAGCAUAUUGGGAGCAUUCUGAAACGUUUUGCGGUGGGUCAAUCCUUUCUAUUUCAAAAGGAUUUCCAUAUGCAGCCAAUGUUUUCAGGUGACACUGUCUCCAGAUUCCAACAUCCUCAAUAUUCUUAAACUGGUUAACAGAAAGAUCAAGCUCUAGAAGGUUAGCCAUAAUAGGAACCGAAGAAUGCAGCAUGUUUCUUGAGAGAUCAAGGACUCUUAAGGAACUCAUGUUACUGAAAACAGAUGGAAAUAUGCCUUCAAUUGAAUUCCAGCUAAGAUCCAGGUGUUGGAUGUUAGAAAGCAUACUGAUAUUAAAAUGAGCGGAAGAUAGAAAAGUCUUAUCAAGCCCACAAAGUGACAAAUGCAGCUCUGAUAAAGAGGAAGGGAUCAUGUUUAGCAAGUUAGCAAAAUUCCAUGACAAUCUAAUAUCAUAGUUUGAAAGAUCCAGAAAUUCAAGGGAUGUCAUGUUUCGGAAAAAUCCAGGGAGUGGGCCUUUGAAAGAAUUGGAGCCAAGAUCAAGGUGUUUUAUGUUGGCAAGAAUUCUACUCGAAUUAAAAAAUGGACCAAGAUGGACAUUGGAAAGUCUACAACCACACAAACUUAACUCUUUUAACGAAGGAAGAUUGUAAAGCACCAUGUCCAUGUUCUUUGCUCCGCCAAGAUCCACCCAACUCAAAUCGAGAUGCUCGAGUGAUGGAAGGCCAAAAGUCCAUGACAUAUCAUCCGACAUCAGCUCACCAUUCCAACUGAGAUCCAAAACCUUUAAAUUAGAAAGAUUUCCAAUGUGAGGAGGAAUAAUACCUUGAAAACCAGCAUAAGAGAGAUUGAGAUAUCUCAGCUGUUUGAAGGAACCAAUGAACUCAGGGAUCCGGCUUCCAUGUAAAUCAUUCCAACUCAAGUCCAGGUACUUGAGAUGCCUCAACUCAGCCAAUGAAGAGUUCACCUCAUUACCAACUAAAUAGCCUGCAUCACCCCAGUCGUAGUAGUAAUUUGCUCUGAGAUUGAGGCUGUCAACGGUUCCAGUGAGACUGUCACAGUGGAUUCCUUCCCACAGGCAACAAUACUCCCCCACCCAUGAAGACAACAUUCCAGAAGUAUCUUCAACACUCCCUUUGAACUUGAGAAGAGCAAGUCGCUCUUUUUGAGAGCAGGCGAGACUGACAUUUCCAACACCAAAACAAGAAUAUUUGUUUGCAACCAAAAAAACACAUACGAAAAUGAGAUGGAUCCCUAAACCCCUCCGAGUCCCCAUUAUUAACCCUCCUUUUUAAUUUAGAAGAAAGUUGAAGUGGAAAGAUAGGUUGUUAUAUUGAAGAAACCACUUCAUUUAUAAUGCCAUCAAUGAAGAAAAACUAAUUUCCAUGCCAUGGAAGACUUGAAGUCAACAGACAUUUGUAUGCACAAGUUGAAUUUUUGUGGUCCCCAUGGUAGACAGCUAGACACAAUUGUAUAUGGCAACAAUUCUUUUAAAAAAUAUAAAAUAAAUGACAAACAAGCAUUUAGAUUUUCAAGAAGUAUAGGAUAAUUUAUAAUAUUUUGUAAAUACUAGUUAUAAAUUAUAAACUUGAUUUUGAUGUUCAAUCAUAUUACAAAACUAGCUUCAAGAAAAUAAAUUUUUCGUUAUUAUUUGACUUGACAAGGUUAUUGUGCAAAGCUUAAUUAAAAGAUACAUUAUGUAACUCCAAAUUAAAGAUAUUAUAUUAUUUUUUAUAAAAAGAUGUAUUUUCUCAAAUGCAUUACGAUUUCAUUAGACAUAACAAUUUCAACCCAAUUAAUUGAAAAAUAGGUAUUUGUUAUAUUAAUAAUAAAAAUACCUAUUUUCAUAAUAAUAUAAAUAGAUAUAUAAAGAGAUGUUGAGGAGAUAAAAACGGGGUGGGGUGGGGGUUGAGGAAUUUAUGGGACCCAAUGUUUUAAUAAUAAAAAAAUAAAGUACAAAAAAUAAUUAAAGAUAUAAAAAAUCUAGUAAGGGAAAAAAUGUAUUUUUAGGUCUGUUAGGGAUAAAAAUCAUAACAAAACAAUACCAAAUGCAUGGUCCGAAUUGAGAAAUAAUAAUAUUAAAUAAGGGACCAAGCAUACAUAUUACCUUAAACCACAGGGACCAUUCAUGCAAUUUACUCUAGUUUUUUUCUUUUAAAUUUGAUACCAAUGUUUUUACAAUUGUUUUUGGCUUUUAACAAAUUGAUGGUAGUGAAUUGGAACACCAUUGAGGAAUUGUCUAUGGCCCAUGGCAUACGUCAAUGCAUUUGGCAAAAAAAGUCUUCCAAACAACAAAGCAAACCCACUAAUCACACACACACACACAAAAAAAAAGAAAAAAAAAAAGGACAUGAUUGAUGCACUAAGUAAGCAUCUUUCUUGUGGAAUUUUCCAUGAAACUUCUCCCUAUCAAAUGUAUUCAUCUUUAAUAUAAUUAUAAGUAUCUUUUAAAUCUAAAAUAAAUUACAAUCAUAUUUUAACCUAAAAUAUCUUUAAUAUAACUACUUUUAAAGAUUAAUGAAAUUAUAUACCAAUAGUUUUUAAGUAAAUACACGAAUGGUCUCUAUGAUUUCAGGUAAUUAGCGUGUAUUGUCCUUUAACCGUUUUUUUAAACUUGGAUGGUCCCUAUGGUUUGGUUUUGUUUCGGGUUUGGUACCCAACAAACUUAAUAUGACUAUCUUGCGCUUAAUAAUAUUUUUCUAUAAUUUUUUAGUUCAUUUUUUAUUAUUAUGUUAUUAUUAAAUAGAGUAAAUUAUUAAUGUCUAAAAUGAUACUUCACCAAACACCAGAUGCUGCCCUUGAAACCACCUCCCCCACCAUUGCAAAAGAUUGAAGGAUCCAGCCUCACACCAUUUUCCCCUCUGUUACAGACAAAAAACAACAUCAUCAUCCAUUCCUGAUGAAAAUCAAAUUCAUACCAAGUUCACUCGAUCAGAUAUAUAAUCUCAACUCUCGUAAAAAUGUUAAAAAAAAGAAACGAAAGAAGAAAUGCACAUAAACCAUCAGUGCAGAAGUUAACUGGAAGCACAAGUUUGGGGACACUAGAAACCAUAUCAUGUACAUCAUGAUCUUGCGCAUGUGUAAGCUUUGACAGCAUGCAGUGCCUACUGAAAAAGGUUUAUUUACUAAUACGAUAAUUAUGGUAUCAUGUACAAAACCUAAUCUGAUUAUAUUGGGAGCAAUUACGUGUACACACAUACAUAUAUAAUAUUUGGCCUGGUAAAACUGUACACACAUAAAUAAAUAAAAAUUCAUUUGUAGGAACUGCUUUCAUAGCAUAUGAAGAAGAACCGGUUCCUAAUAUAGCAGCAAUAUGAAAACAUGUUUUUUUUUCCAAUUUUCUCACAGUAAAACAAAAGCAAGAAAAAAUAGAGGCUUUUCAUGAGCACAGGUCAAACUCAACAACAACAAUUACCAGCAUAUAUGAUACCAUUGCAUUCUAUUUGGGAGAGAAUAAAUAGUUUGCUUUCUUGGUGAUUAUGAUAAACAAACAAGCUUACUUGUUAUUAUCAGAUAAUAAAUUCAUUCUACUUACUGUAUAUAUGAUCUCUAAUUUUGGUAUAUGUUCAAAACAAAACGAAAGAAGAAAUGCAUAAAAAUCAUCACUGCAAAAGUUAACUUGAGGAACAAGUUUAGGGACACUAGAAAGCAUAUAAUGUAAAUAAUGAUCCAACCAAAUAUUCUGUCCUUUCUUGUUUACAUAAAUCCUCCCAGAUACCGUUCUGAUACGUUGCUUAACAUAGAAAUUAAUAAGAUGAAUUAUUAAAAUCAUAUAUAUACAUGUUAUCCUUUAGAAGAAUGAUAUAAUAGUUAAGUAUGUGAUCUUGCUAACGUAUAUCAUCAUUAAGUAAAUUAAAACAUUAAUAAAUAGAAAUUACAAUUUCAAUAUAUAUAUAUCAUCUAUCAUUUUCUUGAAAUUUUACCCAAUUCUAAAGGGAUUCCCGGGAUUUUGUUUCUGUUGCUGUUUUGUUGUGUAAUUGUUUAAAUCUUUGUUUUCUUCUAUUUUUUAAAAAACAUUACUGUAAUGAUUAUGAAACUUCAAGUGUUCCCAUAUCUUUGCUUUAUAAAUGUGUUCUUCAACUACAACAUCUCUUCAAAGUUAUAACCAGAUUUGACAGUUACCAAUGUUCUUUAUCUGAAAAGUAUUACAUCUGACUCGGAAUAAAUAAUUCUAUGUGGAAGAAGGUAUGUAAGACAAUGACUUUUGUAACUAUUAAUCUAUUAACUUAAAUACUUACACUUUAGUAUUUGGUAAUUUAUUUAAUUACUUAUUUAUGUUUUAUGAAUAUAUGUAAUUGAAGUAGAAAGUAAUUGUGGUCAACAAGAUUUUCUUCUAUGGUUACAGCACCAGUUAUUUUCAUGUUUAUUGUAGCAUUUGAGCAUCUAUUCGUUUAUCUCCAAAAAUCAAAUAAAUUCAUAUCAAUUUUACACUUGAUCGUUUGGUAUUCAAAAUCAAAGAAGAAGAACCAACUCUAUACCUAUGAUAUCAUCUGGCUAGAACAUGUCAAAAUAGAACCUAAUGUGAUAAUAUUGGAAGUAAGUACACACAUACAUGCUGGGUUUCCUCAUAACUAUUCCCCCAUCCUUGGAUAAACCAAAUAAAAUUAUACAUAAAUAAAUUGAUACAUCAUUUGUAAGAACUUUCAUGGAAUAUGAAGAAGAACCAAUUCUAUAAUUAUGCAGCAUUGCAAGAAAUGUUUUUUUUUUCCAAUGCUGCAGCAACUAAUACUCUAGGGUUGAUGUGUACUGAUCAAAAUAAGUGAUUGGUUGGCAACAUGUGAAAAUUAGGUCAAAUAGAAAAAAAAAGGAAAAAAAAAACUUACGAGGUUAAUAUUGUCGACAACGAGUGAGGAAUGAAGGAGAGGGAUGAAUCAACAAUUGAUGGCUUUGGAUUUUCCUUGUCCUCGCCUCUUCGCUUGUAGUGACGGAGGAUAGGGUAUGAGAACGCGAUCGUCGACGGAGGAAUAAACAAAAGGAGAUUUUGGAGUCUUCUUGCUGUAAAAAAUAAUUUUUGGCUCAUUUGAAUUUUACGUAUUUUGUGGUAAUAUUAAAUUUUAUUCGUAUAUUGUUUUAUGGUUUUUUAUAUUUUAUUAAAUUUCAUAGGAUAAUAAAUAGAUAUUAAUUUUAAUAAUUCACUUUCUAAAUUUAAAAUUUCUAAUUGGAUAAUUCAAUCAUAUUUUAAUGUCAUUAAAUUAGGAACAAAAUUAACGGAUGUUUUUGGUAAAUAUAAUCUCUACAUCUUCCUCGUUAUAUUUGAUACGACAUUAACCUCUGACGAUUCUUCUAGUCUUCUGCUGCUGCGGAGAUCUGUUAGUCACAAUCAGAGAGAUGUGUUAGAGCCGUCCCAGGGACUGUGCCCCGGGAGCGGACACCGACGAUCAAGUUAGAUCAGCUGAUAGAUCUGAGAUGGUCCUACAUAGCUGGAGAGAAUCAUCUUGGUGUUGGUGGUGGUGUAUGGUGGCUAACGGCGGCGGGCGGCGGUUGAGCCACCCGGCCUGUGUAUAGUAUGUCGGCUAAGCUAAAGGGAAGAUCCCCCUCCAUGGAGGAGGUACUGUUCAUUAUAUAAGGAAAAUUAGGUCAAGGGGAAUUAGGUCAGGCCUUGGGCCCGCCCAAUUCAGGCCCAGCUAGCAAGGAGUUGGGCAAGGCCGCCCGGAGGCGCGGGGCGGGGCUGGCGGGCGCGCACCAGGAAAGACUGGCAAGGGGCGCUAGGCAAGGGAGCGUCGGGUCGGGCCGGCAUGAGAGUCCCCAAUAUAGCUGGCAAGGGAGCACCAGGCAAGGCUGGCAAGGGGACGCUAGGCAAGGCUGGCAAGGGGAUGUCAGGCAAGGCUGGUGGGAGCGCGCUAGGCUAGGCUGGCGCUUUAGAGUGGUCUAGGCCAUGCUGAUGUACCAUAUAUCAUCAAGUCCCCCAGUCUGGUGUUAUUGGUACGUGGCCAAUGAUAUCGGACUAGAACUAGUCAUAUAAACUAGCAGGAGAGUCCCCAGCGAGGCUGGCAAGGGAAUGCCAGGCAGGGCUGGCAGGAGCGCGUCAGGCCAGGCUGGUGCACUAGAGCAGUCUGGGCCAUGGUAAUGGACCAUAUAUCAUCAAGUCCCCCCAGUUUGGUGUUACUGGUAUGCGGCCAAUGACAUCGGAUUGGACUUAGUCAUAUAAACUGUGCGUCGUCAAGUCCCCCUAGUCGGAUGCGAUUGGGUUGCUGACAAUUGGAUCGGACUAGAUAAAGCAUCAAUAUAUCAAAGAAUAGAGAGAACGACCGAACCCCGCCCACGAGAGUCGUGGGGUUGCGUGAUGAGCCAAGCAUUACUUAUGUAGCCUUGACUAGAUACUCCUUCGUUGAGAGGAGUGCGAGGUUGCUAAAGAGUGUUACACGACACUAAUGUCGAUAAAAUGUCUGGCCGGUGUAGCUAAGGAGCAUAAGCUCGCCAUACAGUCUCUAAGACCGCUAUUCGACACGAUUGUUGUGGUAGUCAUGCGCAUAUGGAAUAUCACCAAUAUCUGUCUACAUAGUCUGCAUUAAUAACCGUCUUGAAGGUAUUUCUUGCUUGGGCUACACUUAGUUGGAUUCCCCCGAGUCUCAUGUGGGUAGAGUAGGUAAGGGAGAUAAUUUAGUAUAAAGCAUUUGCUACAGAUUAUAUUUAGCAUUAGGAGCUGCAAGUGUGUUGCAGAACAAGGCCAUCAGGUACAUUGGUACAUCAGGAUCAUUUGAAACCUAUAAAUAUAUCAAUGCAUCAUUUUUAAUGACGCUAAAUUUCAAUCUUCUCUGUGUUACCGGUCCCAACAUAUGAAAAUUAGGUCAAAUAGAGAAAAGAAGGAAAAAAAACUUACGAGGUGAAUAUUGUCGACAACGACUAAGGAAUGAAGGAGAGGGAUGAAUCAACAAUUGAUGGCUUUGCAUUUUCCUUAUCCUCGCCUCUUCGCUGGUAGUGACGGAGGAUAGGGUAUGAAAACGCGAUCGUCGAUGGAUAAACAAAAGGAGAUUUUGGGGGAAAUUGUGUGUGGGCCCUCGACUCUUCUUGUUGUAGAAAAUAAUUUUUGGCUCAUUUGAAUUUUGCGUAUUUUAUGGUGAUUUUAAAUUUUAUUUGUAUAUCUUUUAUAUUUUAUUAAAUUUCAUAGGAUAAUAAAUAGAUGUUAAUUUUAAUAAUUCAUUUUUUUAAUUUAAAAUCCCUAAUUGGAUAAUUCAAUCGUCAUUAAAUUAGGAACAAAAUUAAGGAAUGUAUUUGGUAAAUAUAAUCUCUACAUCUCCCUUCUUAUAUUCUUAUUUCUUCUCUAUCAAUAAUGAUUUAUAUAUAAGAAUGUAUUAUAUUACUAUACUAUUAUAUUAUUUUAUUUAUUAAAAUAUUUAUGGUCAAAAGUAGAAUUUGAAAUUUGAUAUAGAAGAAAACUAAUGCUUUUGAGUAAUUUAAUUCUAUUUUAUUUUUCUAAUAUAUAGAGAAUAUGAGAAUAUAAUAAAUAUCAUUAUAAUAUAUUAUAUUUAACAUCAUAUUAAUUUAUUUCUUUUAAUUUUGUUAUUAUAUUAAAUAAGAAAAUAAUAUAACUAAAUUAAAAUAUUUUUACGCUUUUAAAAAAAAAUUGUUAUAUACAAUUAAUGUUGUUUAUGAUAAAGUUUUUAUGUUACAGAACAUAACUAUUAUCUAACUAGGGUUGAGCAAGAUGUAUGUUGUGAACGAAUCCAACUGGAACCGAUUACAACUUGAUAUUUAAUUUUUUUUAGUCAAACCGUGUGUUACACGGGUCUCACACCUAGUAAAAGCAUAAGUUUUUAAGGCCGAAAGAUGUAACAUAUCAUACCGUUGCGGUUUAGAGGGUGCAGGUAAACGAUGAGGUGAGUCUAUCUCUUCGUGUAAUUGGUCAACCUUUUUUUGUUUUUUUAAUAUUUAUUAAAUUAUAUAUCUACAAAAAAAAUUAUAAAAAAUAUAUCAAAAUUCAUUGUUUUUAAUUUCCUACAAAAUGAGUAUAAUUGUAACACUCCAAUGAUGAGGUACUUCUAAUUUUGACUUUAUAAUUGAAUUAUAUUGCAUUUUGGUCCCUAAGGAAAAAAGAAAGAGUGCAAAAGGGGCCCAUAGUGGCACUUCGGUAAAUUCGGACUUUGGGGAGUACGCUGAGCGUACGUGUGUACGCUAAGCGUACUAGUGCACGCCUUAGUACGUUAGGCGUACACCUCGUAUGCAGGGUAUACGUGAAGAUCAUGCAAACCCUAAUUUUUAGGAUUUUGACCCUAUAUAAACAUCACUAUAACCUCAUGUCCCCUUCCUUCUUCAGCCACCCUCUGUGAGAACGAACCCCAAGCAAACCCUAAGUGAAAAAGAGUGCCUUUUGGAGCCCAUUAGAGUGUUUAGAGGAGUUCUUGAAGGUGAAGAGUGAAGUGUGAAGAGUUUAGAGUUGGGAAGCACCUUGGAUCUGUGAUUUCUACCUUGAUUACAACCUCCAGAAGGUAUAAAUCUUGCAACUUUACCACUUCAUAUUAUAGAUCUAGAUUUUUGUUCUUUUAAGACACUUUUUGGUCCCAUAAUGGUGAUUCUUGAGCACGACAUGUUCUUGACUGUAACAGCCCGGAAUUUCAGGUAUUGUUAUAAUUAUGUUUUUGGGGUGUUUUAGAGGGGACUCGGCGAGUUGGAACCUAGACUCGCCGAGUAGGAUCGCGGACCUGGUCGCGGGUUCGCGACGAUAUGGACUCGUCGAGUCUGCGCUGUUUAGCGAAAACCCUAACCGUUCAGGUUUGGGACGUAUAUGAGGGACUUAUUGGCCGUCAUUGUUCACUUUAGCCUUCUGAGAGAAACCCUAAUUCGAUUGUGUGCAUCUGGAGCAAGGUUGAAGACCAUUGUUGAUUUUGGAAGAGUUGUUGUGCAAGGAAGAGAAGGCUUGGUUAAGGGAACAACAAGAGAGUCACGUUCUGAGGAUUGAGGACACAGAGAGCACAUUAUUCAUGUAAUAAUUCGAGUUACAUUCUUCUAUGUUGAUGUGUAUAUGGAUUUAGGGUUUAUGGAACCCUUUUAUGGCUAGAUUGAAUGUUACCUUAGUCCCCAAACGAUUGGAACCCUGUAUUGGGACCUUUGGAGGUCCAGAAUGUCCCAUGCCUGAGCAUUUCGGGAAUCAAUGGAGGUUUUGGAUUGGAAUCCUUAUGCCUUAGGUCAAAAUGUAAAUUAUGAGUCAUGGGGUGUAUUAUGAGCACCGAAAUGGGGACAUUGCGUGAUGAAUCAGUCUAGGAAGGCCAAACCUAUGAAUGGUCGGAGCAGUUCUGACCUUAGAAAGCAGUUUGAGCGGUUGCAUGGCAUGGACUCGCCGAGUCCGAUGAACAGACUCGGUGAGUAGCUUGAAGAUUAACUGGAACUCGUCGAGUUGUUCUUCAGACUCGGCGAGUUGAGUCGGGGUGGCCCCGCGAUUCUUCCAGGAGUAACUCGUCGGGUCAAGGAGGAUACUCGACGAGUAGAAAGGGAAUCUUAGAGAAUUGGUGAGGACGUCUAGACUCGCCGAGUCGCCCUAGCACUCGCCGAGUCCGGUCAAGUUGACCGUUGACCGUUGACCAGAGUUGACCUAUGUCUGACUUCUUAGGGAUAGUCAAACUUAGAAGAUAAAAGUGUUAAUAAGAGAUAUAUGAUGUUAUAGGGAGAUUGUAGCUCGGCGGAUCGAGCACGAGUGAUUUCGGGAUUUGCUAGCUUUCGAUAUUCACGAGGUGAGUCUUCUCACUAUACUGUACCCGGAAGGGUUUGACUGUGUGACCGGAAGGUCGGAUAUGAUAUGUGAUAUAUGUGCUAUAUGUGAUAAGUUAAUUGUUAUACGUGCUAUGUAUGUUAUGUGGGCCGGAAGGCAUUAUGUUAUGGGCCGGAAGGCGAUUAUGUUAUGGGCCGGAAGGCGUUGUGUUGUGGACCGGAAGGUCGGCGUGGGUAGGACCGGAAGGUUUACCCAGCAGGGACGGAAGUCCCCUGAGACACAUGGACCGGAAGGUCAGGGCCUGGAAAGGCGUAUGUGCGUAAGUUGUAUAUUGGGGAACUCACUAAGCAUUUAUGCUUACAGUUGUUAUGUAUGUGUUUCAGGUACUAGCGAGGACCGUGGGAAGGCGCCGGCGUGAUCUGUACACACUGAAGGAUGUUUUGUGAUCUUGGGAUUUAGAUGACUUGUAUUUUUGACAUGACACUUGAAAUGUUUAUGCCUUGUUUUGAAUGAAAAUAACUUAUUUUGAAAUGAAAAAUUUGUUUGAAAAUUUACGGUGUUACAAAUUGGUAUCAGAGCCUUGGUUUGAGGGAUUCGGGUGCACCUUCGGGCGUAACUGAACUCAAACCGAGGAUUUGAGGAAAACUUUUAAAAUAAAGGCAUAAACUUUUGUAAAUGAUUUUGUGGUAAACAAGAAAGAAGCAGUGUGUACGAUCAGUCAGCGCCCGAACGGUAAAGAUCCCCAAAAUACCUUACAAUGUUAUGUUAAGAGAUAAGAUAUGAUGUGAACUGUUAUGCAUGCUAGAAGACUAGGUAUUCAUGAUAGGACUAGAGUGGCCUGAUUUGUGAUGCCUUAGUCUAGGGAAGUUUGCCGAUAUGAGAUGCUUUGAUAGCGUGCAGAUAGAUAGUGCAUAUCAAAAGUAGAGUACUCACUAUCCGGGGUUUGGGGAGGAAGAUUUGGGAUGAAUGCUGAUGCGGUGUGGUCGGUAGUAUUGGGCCCGUACUACCGAAGACACCGGGUCAGUGGGAGACCCAAGUAAGAAUCCCUGGAUAUCGGAGACUGAGUAGGGUUGCGUUAUCGAGUGCGAUUAUACUCGAUGGAGUCUCUGAUAGUUUUAUGUUGUAUUUCAGAGACAUCAUGGUUAGACCACGCCACGGAGCGAGUUCGAGCGGUGUGAGUGACGAGGAGAUUCGUCAGAUGAUUCACGAGGAGGUGGCUGCAGCGAUCCGGGCUGAGAUCCCGGAGAUGUUUGGGUCUAUUAAGACCACCCUGAUGGAGACGUUCGAUGAGCGGUACGCCGCAUUGACUGAGGCUGCAACCGCUGCAGCUACCGCAGCUGUGGCCGCUGCUAGGCCACAGGGGGGUGACUCGUUGCUGUUCCGAGAGUUCAGCAACACGAAGCCACCAGAGUUCGAUGGGACGCAGGAUCCGAUUGCUGCGAUGAGGUGGAUCGCAGAUAUAGAGGGGUGCUUCUACACUUGUUCAUGCCCGGAGCACCUGAGGGUACGGUUCGCUUUGAACCAGCUCCGUCUGGGAGCGAAGGACUGGUGGAAGUUCGUGACGGCGAACUUCACUUUGGCAGAGACUACGGCAGUGACAUGGGAGGGGUUCACUACCAUGUUCAGGGAUGAGUACGUUCCCCCGGUGGAGCGGGAACGAUUGGUUCAGGAGUUCUUAACCCUCAAGCAGGGUACUGAUUCGGUUGCGGUGAUCACGCGGAAGUUCCAUGAGAGGGCGAUGUUUUGCCCCGAGCUGGUGGCCACAGAGCAGGCUCGGAUGAGCCGGUACUUGGGUGUUCUGAGGAGGGAGAUCCGGGAGUUUGUGUCAAACUCCACUUACCAUACUUUUACUGAGCUUCAGGCGAAUGCCAGGAAGCGUGAGAUCGAGUUAGAGACUCAGGCCAGGGAGGAGGCCGAGUCUCAGCAGGCAGACCGGCGGCCGGCUCAGUCUCAGCCGGCAGCCAAGCGGAUCAAGUCCGCCGAUUCGAGGACGGGAGGUUCGAAGAACCGCACUUGCGUAAAGUGCGGUAAGGGUCACGAUGGGGCGUGUCGAGCCGGUGCUUGCUACAAGUGUGGCAAGGAGGGACACAUUGCUAGGGAGUGUCCCAAGGGAUUUAUGGUUUGCUUUCAUUGCAACCAGACCGGCCAUCGGAAGGCCGAGUGCCCUCAGCUUCGUCAGGGAUCUGCACCUGUUGCCAGGACUACUGAGACUCGACCGGUGAAGGUCGAGGCCCCGAGGGCUCGUGGGAGAGCCUUUCAGCUGACUGCGGAGGAGGUCCGCGCUGCGCCCGAUGUUGUGGCAGGUAUGUUGUAAUUCAUGUAAUUAUUUUAAUGUCGAUAUGUUAUGCUUAUGUUAUUAUGCGCGUAGGUACUUUCCUUGUGAACUCUGUGCCUGCCUUAGUGUUAUUUGACUCGGGUGCGAGUAGGUCCUUUGUGUCCUUAGCCUUUAGUCAGCAUAUCGGCGUUAGUCGUGAGUCGUUGAGUCGACCUUUGAGAGUUUCUAUAGCUGACGAGAAGGUGAUUUGUGCUACGGAGGUUCUUCGGGGAUGUGUACUAGAGAUUUUCGGGAUUGGAUUCCCAAUUGAUCUGAUUCCUAUCGCGAUGGGGGAUGUCUGUGUCAUCGUGGGCAUGGACUGGCUGAGCCGGUUCGGCGCUGUCAUCGACUGUGAGCGUCAGUUGGUGACUAUACGAGACCCUAGAGGGGGAGUUCUUUCGGUGUACGGCGAGGGUACCCGUUCGGGAUCAGCUUUUUGUUCGGCCGCUAGGGCGAGGCAGUGUCUACGGCAGGGCUGUAAGGGUUUUGUGGCGUAUGUGAUGGAUACGCGGGAGGUUUCCGAGAAACCGAAGUCAGUUGAGGAAGUUCCGGUGGUGCGCGAAUUUUCAGAUGUCUUUCCCGAGGAGUUGCCGGGAGUACCGCCUGUGAGGCAAGUAGAGUUUAGUAUUGAUCUGGUUCCGGGGGCAGCACCUAUUGCUAAAGUGCCCUAUCGUCUUGCACCUCCAGAGAUGCAAGAGUUGUCCUCGCAACUCCAGGAGUUGCUGGGGAAGGGAUUCAUUCGGCCGAGCAGCUCGCCAUGGGGAGCACCUAUUCUGUUCGUCAAAAAGAAGGAUGGUUCACACCGGAUGUGCAUUGAUUACCGGGAGUUGAACAAGCUAACGGUCAAGAACCGUUACCCGUUGCCGAGGAUCGAUGAUUUAUUCGAUCAGUUGCAGGGAGCAUCUUGGUUUUCCAAGAUCGAUCUGAGGUCAGGAUACCAUCAGGUGAGAGUACGGGAUGAAGACGUCCAGAAGACAGCGUUUAGGACGCGAUAUGGACAUUAUGAGUUUGUGGUGAUGCCUUUUGGACUCACCAAUGCCCCGGCUGUGUUCAUGGAUCUCAUGAACAGGGUAUGCAGGCCGAUGUUGGAUCGGUCAGUGAUCGUAUUUAUCGACGACAUUCUGGUGUAUUCGAGAUCGAGAGAGCAGCAUGAGGAGCAUUUGAGGGAGGUCCUUGAGGUAUUGAGGUCGGAGAAACUUUAUGCAAAGUUCUCCAAAUGUGACUUCUGGUUGCGGGAGGUCCAGUUUCUAGGACAUGUGGUUAAUCAGAAAGGGAUAUUGGUCGAUCCGGCCAAGGUUGAGGCGGUGAUGAGUUGGGAGGUGCCGAAGUCACCCUCUGAGAUCAGAAGUUUCCUUGGGUUGGCAGGGUAUUAUCGGAGAUUUAUCAAGGAUUUCUCCAAGAUCGCAGUGCCACUCACCAGAUUGACCCGGAAGGGUGUUACGUUCUCAUGGGGGCCCGAGCAGCAGACCUCCUUUGAGACACUUCGCCAGAGAUUGUGCGAAGCCCCGGUAUUAGCUCUCCCAGAAGGGAUGGAAGAUUUCGUGGUAUAUUGCGACGCAUCGAUUUCGGGAUUGGGUGCAGUGUUGAUGCAGAGGGGUCAUGUGAUAGCUUAUGCGUCGAGGCAGCUGAAGCCUCAUGAGGCGAGAUAUCCCACGCAUGAUUUAGAGUUGGGGGCAGUAGUGUUCGCUCUCAAGAUUUGGCGUCACUACUUGUAUGGGGUUCGAUGUACGAUAUACACGGACCAUAAGAGUUUGAAGUAUUUGAUGGAUCAACCCAACCUAAAUAUGCGUCAGAGGAGGUGGUUGGAUGUGGUCAAGGAUUAUGAUUGUGAGAUCCUGUACCACCCAGGCAAGGCUAAUGUGGUAGCCGAUGCAUUGAGUCGCAGGGCGGAGAGCACUCCAUUGCGAGACGUAUGCUUGAGACUGACUGUGAUGACUCCAGUAUUGGACGCUAUUCGUGGGGCCCAGGCAGAGGCUGUGCGACCAGAAAUGCAGAAGAAAGAGCGGGUUGUGGGGUUAAUCUCAGAGUUUGUCAAGGAUAGUCGAGGCCUUAUGACGUUUCAGGGUCGGAUUUGGGUACCGUUCGUGGGCGGUACGCGUAUUACGUUGAUGGAAGAGGCUCAUAGAUCGAAAUUCUCGAUCCAUCCCGGUGCUACAAAGAUGUAUUUGGAUUUAAGGAAGGAAUAUUGGUGGCCCUGUAUGAAGAGGGACGUGGCAUGGUUCGUUGAGAGGUGCUUGACCUGCCGUAGGGUUAAGGCUGAGCACCAGAGACCGCAUGGCAAGUUACAGCCAUUGGAGAUCCCCGAGUGGAAGUGGGAACAGAUCACUAUGGAUUUUAUCACCAAAUUGCCGAGGACUGCUAGGGGAGUUGACGCAAUUUGGGUGAUCGUGGAUAGGUUGACAAAGAGUGCACACUUCCUUGCCAUCAGUGAGAGUUCUUCGGCGGAGAAAUUGGCGGAGAUAUACGUGAGAGAGGUGGUAUCUCGGCACGGGGUGCCGAUCUCGAUUGUGUCAGACCGUGAUGUGCGCUUUACUUCCAGAUUCUGGAAGAAAUUCCAUGAGGAGCUGGGUACUAAAUUGCAUUUUAGUACCGCAUACCAUCCCCAGACAGACGGUCAGAGCGAGCGGACGAUUCAGACGCUGGAGGACAUGCUCCGAGCGUGUGUGUUAGACUUCGGGGGUAGUUGGGAUGCGUAUUUACCAUUGGCAGAGUUUUCCUACAACAACAGCCAUCAUUCGAGCAUUGGUAUGCCACCUUUCGAGCUGUUGUAUGGUAGGAGGUGUCGGACCCCCAUUUGCUGGGGAGAGGUGGGACAGAGAGUGAUGGGCAGCACGGAGAUCGUGCUCCAGACGACAGAGCAGAUUCAGCGAGUGAGACAAAGGUUAUUGACUGCCCAGAGCCGACAGAAGAGUUAUGCAGACAGGCGCCGAUCCGAGCUUGAAUUUCAGGUCGGCGACUUCGUUCUCCUGAAGGUCUCUCCUUGGAAAGGAGUGAUUCGAUUCAGGAAGAGGGGCAAGUUGGGGCCCCGGUAUAUUGGGCCAUUUCGUGUGAUUGCAAGGAUAGGCCGGGUAGCCUAUCGGUUGGAGUUGCCAGCGGAGUUGGGUCAGAUCCAUGACACUUUUCAUGUGUCGCAGUUGAGGAAGUGCAUAGCCGAUGAGUCGGCAGUGGUUCCAUUGGAGGAUAUUCAGGUGGAUGCGAGCCUGAAUUACGCGGAGAGACCAGUGGCUAUCAGGGAUCGGAAGAUCAAGGUUCUGAGGAACAAGGAGGUACCUCUGGUGUUGGUUCAAUGGCAACACCGUAAGGGAUCAGAAAUGACUUGGGAACCGGAGCGCGAAAUGCGGGAGCAGCAUCCGGAACUAUUUGCAGAGUGAGACUUCGAGGGCGAAGUCUAAUCCAAGUGGGGGAGAGUUGUAACAGCCCGGAAUCUCAGGUAUUAUUAAAAUUAUGUUUUUGGGGUGAUUUAAGAGGGGACUCGGCGAGUUGGAGCCUAGACUCGCCGAGUAGGAUCGCAGACUUGGUCGCGGGUCCGCGACUGGACUCGACGAGUCCAGAUAUGGACUCGGCGAGUCGACGCUGUUCAGCAGAAACCCUAACCGUUCAGUUUGGAUCGUAUUUAACGCCUCUUAGGCCGUCAUUUUCAGUCUUUUGGUCAAUUGAGAGGAACCCUAAUCGCUGUGGACGCCUAGAGCAAGGGAGAAAGCUUUGGAACUUGGAAGAAUUGGUUAGGCAAGAAGAAGAGGGAUUUGGCUAAAGGAAUAUCAAGGAGGAUUGAGUCCUGAGAUUUGGGGGACACAGAGAGUGCGUUUUCAGGUAAUACUCGGACCAAAUCUGUUAUUUUGAUGUAUUUAUGAAAUUAGGGUUUAUAGAACCCAUUUAGUGAUUUGAUGAAGUAAUGCCUUGUUACCCCACGAUUAUAGUCUUGUAUUAGGACCUUUAGAGGUCCAGAAGGUCCCAUGCAUGUGUACUUCGGGACGAGACCUAUCUCAGGAAGCAGUUACUCGUCUGCAUGGCAUGGACUCGCCGAGUUGUUCUUCAGACUCGGCGAGUAGCUUGAAGAUUUGCUGGGACUCGCCGAGUUGUUCAUCAGACUCGGCGAGUGGAGUCGGGGUGGCCCCGCGAUUCUUCCACGAGGACCUCGUCGAGUCAAGAGGGAUACUCGACGAGUAGAAAGGGAAUAUUCAGGAAUUUGUGAGGACGACUAGACUCGCCGAGUCGCCAUGGUACUCGCCGAGUCCAGUCGAGUUGACCGUUGACCGUUGACCAGAGUUGACCUAUGUCUGACUUCUUAGGGAUAGUCAAACUUAGAAGAUAAAAGUGUUAAUAAGAGAUAUAUGAUGUUGUAGGGAGAUUGUAGCUCGGCGGAUCGAGCAUGAGUGAUUUCGGGAUUUGCUAGCUUUCGAUAUUCACGAGGUGAGUCUUCUCACUAUACUGUACCCGGAAGGGUUUGACUGUAUGACCGGAAGGUCAGAUGUGAUAUGUGAUAUAUGUGCUAUAUGUGGUAAGUUAUUUGUUAUAUGUGCUAUGUAUGUUAUGGGCCGGAAGGCGAUUAUAUUAUGGGCCGGAAGGCAUUAUGUUAUGGGCCGGAAGGCGAUUAUGUUAUGGGCCGGAAGGCGUUGUGUUAUGGACCGGAAGGUCGGCGUGGGUAGGACCGGAAGGUUUACCCAGCAGGGACGGAAGUCCCCUGAGACACAUGGACCGAAAGGUCAGGGCCUGGAAAGGCGUAUGUGCGUAAGUUGUAUAUUGGGGAACUCACCAAGCAUUUAUGCUUACAGUUGUUAUGUAUGUGUUUCAGGUACUAGCGAGGACCGUGGGAAGGCACCGGCGUGAUCUGUACACACUGAUUGAUGUUUUGAGAUCUUGGGAAUUCUAUGAAUUGUAUUUUGACAUAACACUUGGAAUAAUUAUGCCUUGUUUGAAUGAAAAUACUUUAUUUUUGAAAUGAAAAAUUUGUUUGAAAAUUUGCGUUGUUACAUUGACCCAUUAAGUCGUCCUUCAAACCUUAGGAAGGGUCUUAAGUCAUAAAAAAUGGGGUCUUAAUGGUUAGUUUUGCUCCGUGUAUUCUUUAGAAGAUCUUAAUGUAUUAAGAUGUUGAUUAAGCACUUAAUAGACAUGCAAAGUCAUAAAGUUGGAAACUUUAUGACUCUUGAGGAUGAUUUAGCCUUGGAUCUGAAAGUUAGACGUAAGAGCUUAAGGCAUUAAGCUCUUAAUGAAGUUUGAGAAGUCUAGGCGUACACCCUACGUAACUUGAGUACGUAGAACGUACGAGGUCAUCUCUCUUGUCUGCGGUCAAGGUUUGGGUACACCCCGUGUACCUUUGGAGUACCCCACGUGUACGCGUUCUGUAUCGACUCGACUGAGUUGACUCUUAUGGGUUGAAUCGAUCGGGUAGACUCAGUUGACUUAUUGAUCUUGACCAGUUUGACUUUGACAUUGCCCAAGUUUGAGUCAAGGGUAUUUUGGAUUGUGGUUGAGAAUUGGUCAUUUAGUUGGAUAGGUGACUGUUAGAGCUGAUAUUCGGAGUCGGGACCUCAUCAACUUUUGUUCAGACUAUGAUGUGAGUCUUCCUCACUGUACUUACGGGUCGAAGGCACCAAGGCCAGCCCAUUGGAUUGAUAUCCUGGUUUACCAUAUGUUGUUACGCUGUAGUGAUAUGUUAGAUAUGUAUCCUAGUUUCUAGGGUGUUGCUAUGUGAUAGUGAUUUGUAGACCUACUUGUUUGUCUGUUGGUUGAUUAUAUAUUUAUCUGUUAUGUAUAUGUUAACAUAUUUUGAGUUGUGGUUGAGGAUUUACUUCUUUGUGCAUGAGCCAAUAGACCAGGAGCAUUCUAACCCGAUGGUUGAUUGGGCCCGCGGGUAUUCCAUCCCGAGGAUGAAUGGACCCCUUGUAUAGUGACAUUCCAACCUAGGGUAUUCCAUCUUGAAGAUGACUGGACUCGGAGGUUGACUGGGUCUGGGGUAUUCCAACCCGAUAGUUUAUUGGACCUGAUAUGUUGUUGUAGAUGUUAUAUUUUUGUGUGUUGGUACUUUGAGGGAAACUCGCUAAGAUUUGUCUUACGGUUUUUAGCUGUUGUUUCAGGUACUUCUAAUGAUCGUGGGAAGGCGAAGGCGUGACCAUACACAUCCUAUGUUUAUGGCUUUAUGCUUUUGGGAUAAUUUGGAAACGAUGAUUUUGUAAACAUUUUAUGACUAUGGGUUGCUUUUAAAUGUUUAAAUUUGUUGUGAUUUUAUAGAUUUUACAAGUUAGCACUCAAACCAAGGAAAUGAAAAGGUUUUAAAAAUGAUUUCCAAAAUAAUCAAGAGAGGAUGCGAUGUGUACAAUCAGCGGGAGCCAGUAAGUAGACCCCAAAUUAUCACACUGUUAUUUGAUAUUGUGAUAUGUUAAAACAACAUGCUAGUGAUAGGCUAUGGAUCUUCAUGAAUCGCAUGAUAGAAUUGUCUGAUUAUAUGAUGUUUGAUAGCCUAGUGUUUCCUUAUAUGAAAUUGACAUCAUUACUAUUGUUGCUUAGUGUAUGCAUCAAAAUUGUACAUAACUAAGAUUUUAUAGCCCGGGAAUGUUUGGUUUAGCCUUAUUUCAUGUUCUUUGUUUGGUUGUGGGCUUAGGGUAGAAUCAAGUAUUCGACUAUCUAUAAGAUCCAGUGUUAUGUAUGAUUAGCAUACAUGAGUGCUGCAGGGUUGGUGGAAGUUUCAUGGAUGAGUUAUGUGGGGUCAGCCGACCAGUUGAGGGAUGUUUAUCCUUUCUCUAGGAAGUAAGAAUAUGGUGUAUACGUAUUCUAGUGAGUAUUGUUACGGUUGUUGUGAUGAUCUUCUGAGACAAAUACGGGUAGGUGUGGAAGGUAGUAUGGGUCCGUACUACCGGAAGCACAUGAUCCAUACGCAUAGUAGGGAAGUGACAACCCCUUCGGUUUUUUAUGGGAAUUGGUCCUUGUGGUAUUUUGUGUGUUUAUUUAAUAUAUCCCUUGUUUAUUUACAGUAUGGAAGUUACGAGGCGAUUUGAGACAGGAUUCAGAUCAGGAUCGGGAGAGGGUAGCUAGGAUAGGCUAGCUUUGGCAGAGGACCGAGUUUAGGAUAUCAUUUAGGAGGAGGUCGUUUCUAUCAUCUGGGGUCAGAUAACGGAGUUAUUUGGGUCUAUUAAGACCGUUAUGAUGGAGUUCUUUGAUGACUGAUACGCUGCACUUUCUGAGACUGUUGCUGCUGCAGCCACCGCAGUCGUUGUUGCUGUGGGGAUUAGCAUUGAGAGGGAUUUCCAGUACCGUGACUUCGAUAAUACGAAGCCCGCGACGUUUGGCGGAGUUCAAGAUCCGAUCAUAGCCAUGAGGUGUCUGUCUGGCAUCGAGGGGAUGUUUAUUUACAUGCUCUUGCCCAGCUGACCAGAAGGUCAAGUGGGCUCUAAACCUUCUUCGGUCUGGAGCGAAGUAUUGGUGGAGGCUGUUUACUAGCUCGUAUUCCCCAGAGAAGAGGGAUUCCAUGACUUGGGUACGUAUAUUUCUCGGAGAUGUUCCGUUAUAGAUAUGUUCCACUAGUGGAGCGAGAGAGGUUAUCCCAAGAGUACUUGGAUUUCAGGCAGGGGACCGAGUCGGUGACGGAGAUCACCAAGAUGUUUACGGAGAGAGAUAUGUUUUACCCUAAGUUUGUUUCUUCUAAGCAAGCUUAGAUGACCCGGUACUUGAGCAUGCUCAAGCUGGACAUCCGACAGUUUGUGUCCAUGCAACACUAUGGUUUAUUGGUAGAUUUACAGGAGGCCGCUAGGCGACGUGAGAUUGAGAUGGAGCUCCAGGAGAAGGAGCAUAGGCAGGCGUCGGUAUAGUCUUAGUCUGCGCCAAAGCGGAUCAAGGUUGCUAAUGUUAGAUUUGGGAGUUAUAGGGGCCGCACUUGCGGGAAGUGCGGCAAGGUUCAUGAUGGACCUAGUUAAUCUUCUUCGGGAUGCCACAAAUGUAGCAAGCAGGGACACAACAUCAGGAUUUGCUAUCACUGUGAUCAAAUGGGCCACAUAAAAGGCCCAAUGCCCCUUGCUUGCUUCUAGACGGGCGCAGGCUCCAACGCCAGCUACUAUGAGGAUCACGGAUGAGAGCCAGGGUCGGGCGAAGCCUCUGAGGGCUUAUGGUCAUGCAUUUCAGCUUACUUCCGAGGAGGCCAGAGCAGCGCCCGAUGUUGUGACCGGUAUAUUUCUAUUUAUUGUUUUGUCGAUUAUUUUAUGGAGUGCUUAUAUUUAUGUUUCUGAUAGGUACAUUCUUAGUGAACUCUUUGCCUAAUCUAGUAUUAUUUGACUCGGCCGCGAGUCAGUCUUUUGUAUCGUGAUCAAUAAAGAUUUUGGUGUGCCUCUUUGUGAGUUAAAGUGUCCGUUGCGGGUUUCUAUCACCAACAACCACGAGGUUUCUGUUGGAUUAGUGUCUAAGUCCAUAACUAUUUUGGUAUGUACUUGACCCGAUGGUGCAUGGUCCUUUUGGGUUGCCUUCACCGAAGCAACUUGAUAGGAUGAAUUAUGGAGAGAAAGGAUUAAAUAGGAUUUAUUAAUAUAUUAUGAGAAUAAUAUAUUAAAGGAGAAAUCAUAUUGUUUAAUUAAUAUUAGUCAAUAAUUAAUUGGUAAUUAGUUUUGUGACUAAAAGAGAUUAAUUAAACUUAAGGGACUGGAAUUGUAAUUAUAAGAUAAUUGCAAUUUGGGCCAUGGAUUGUCUUAAAUCAAGAGGUGGACGAAUUCUUAUGGGAAGCCCAUAAGGAAAUCGUCCAAGGGCUUGAUUAAAGGAGUCUAUGGGUUGCUUAGGGCUUAAGCAACCAAAUUAGGGUUUCCUUGUUAGAUAACCCUAAUAGCCUCACUAUAUAUAGAACCCUUAAGGCUCAAAAACGUGGGGAACUUCUUUUCUAGGGUUAGAACACGUUUUGGGCAGCCUCCAUCCUCUCUCCUCUUCAUCCUCUUGCUUAUGGUGUUUGUAAGCCAUUAGAGGAGUGACACUUGUGACUCUAAGCCUUCCAAAGUCAAUUCAAGGAGGAAUUGGGAUUGUUAUUGCUACAUAACAAUCAAGGUAAUAUCUUAAACCUAAUUAUAUGUUAAUAUUGAUUUCCAUAUGCUAGAAUUAGGGUUUAUAGUCUUGGAUUCAAAGCAUGUACAAUAGAGAAACCUAGAUCCAAGCAUUAGGGUUUGUAUGAGCACAUAGGAUGUCUUAUGACCAAAACCCAUCAGUGGUAUCAGAGCCUAGCUUGGUUUCAAUUGUAUUGAUGCAUUGUAUAUCUGAAAAAUUCGAUUUUUGGUGUUUUGGAGGCUGGACUCGCCGAGUCCAUAGCUGAACUCGCCGAGUCCAAGGUGACUCGACGAGUCCAGGCUUGACUCGACGAGUCAACUCGUCAGAUAGAGCUUAUCUCGGGAUUUCUUGCUGUUUUUGCAUUGGGAUAGUUACCUUAUCAUGUUAGAUCAAUAUUAAUCCGAUUUUAUGAUAUAUUUGACUAUAUUUUUGAUCUAAUUGAAGAUAUUUAUCAAUUAAUAAGAUAAUUGUUUCCUUAUGUGAUAAUUGAUUAAUUAUUUUGACUAAAUUGAUAAAUUGUUUUGCAAGAAAUCAUUAAAUAAAUCAAAUAUGGAUAAUUAUGUGAUUAAAUGUUAAUUUAGAUUAUUUGUUAUUUGAUCCUUGUUGUUAUGAAAAGUUUCAUAUUUUCCCCUUUAGGUUUUAUAGUUUAAAUUUGAACCCAAAAGUUUUGUUGUUUUGAAAUUUAAAUAGUUGAAACCCUAAUGUUUUGAAAAAGGUUUCAAAACUUGCCCUCAAGUUUUGGAAUUUAAAUUUUGAUUAAAUGGUUUAAUUUUGAUGUAUAUUUAAAUUCUAAACCCUAAUGUGUUGAAAUGUUUCAAAACUUGCCCUCAAGUUUUGGAAUUUAAAAGUUGAUUAAAAGUUUAAUUAGGAAUGUUAAAUUCUAAAACUCUAGUAUAGUUUUGAAAAAGUUCAAAUCACACCCUUAUGGUUUUAUUAAUUAAUUAAGGUGUAUAAUUAAAAGAGGUUUAAUAAAUCCAUAAAAGUUUAGGUUUACAAUUUAAUUGAAUUAAAAGUAUAAUUGUUAAAUUUGACCACCUAGUAUUUUAAAAGUGUAAAAUACACCCUAUACUAUAUAUAACAUUAAAAGUCUAACAUUAUAUAUAUGUAUGAGUAAAAGUCAGUCUUACCGUUAGUAGGCCUCAUUCACGAAGCUGGUCUAUAAGGGGUGUUUAAGGAAAUUGCCUAUAAAAUGGCGAUUGAAUGGGUAUCCACUCUUACCCACCGCACUCUUGACUAGUGGAGGGUCGUUAGCCGAACGGGUAGGAUAGGACGAAACCUUCCAUUAUAAGUAUAAUGAAGUAUAAAAGUAACUAAAUGUUUUCAUAAAAUUCCCAAUCUUAGUUACUUAGGCAAAAGUGAAUUGAUGCAAUUCCAUGAAAUUACACUUUGUGCCCUUGCGAAGACGUUAGUGGAGCGUGUGUGGUUUACCGGCACACUAAAUGGUUCUAAGCAAAGGUAGCAAAGGGUGACUCAAUGUUUGUCAUAGUUCGGUGGAGCGUGUGUGGUUUACCGGCACAUCGAAUAGGUGACUGUAACAUGUGAGGGCACCAUGUAAGUUUGCAUGGUUAUUCACACCCGCUUUGUGAUCCUCGGCAUCCCAGUCACAAACAAGAGGGGCAUAUCGAGAUUUAAACAUGCCAUUGAAAGUUCAAUGAAUCUCAAAGGAUCUAGGAGUUUUCAUAGAUUUAAAACUUAAAUUUCUUUUUCGUUUUUCGUGGUGGAAAUUAGUGAAUCGUCAUUCACUUACCUUCAAAUAUUCUGCAAUUAGGGUUACGGCAUCCCUCUCCCGAGUUGUAGAAUAUUGUGUUGGGUCCUAGCCUUAGUAUCUCAUUUGGGUGAUUUACUAAGGACUCAAUCAAUCAACUAACUUGAAUUCGUUUUCUCCCGUUUUGUAGAUGUCAAAGUUCGACAACUAUGGUCUUCCCAAAUCCCGUGGAACAAGCUUUCCACAUGAAGAUGAUAUUCCACGAUUCGAUCGAGGAACAAGAAAUCAUGCUUCACUUCCUCCACCUCCUCCAAUUAUUCUCCCUAACCCACAAGUUCAAAGGCUUGAAAAGUUCAAGAUCACUCAAGCCCUUUUGGCAAGUAAACAUAAAGAAGGAAAGUCGGUGUGUGCACACGUCCUAGGGAUGAAGUCACACAUUGAUAGGUUAAGAAUGUUGGGAUCCGUUGUCUGUGAGGAAAUGGCUGUUGAUUGGGUUCUUCAGUCACUUCCUAACUCAUAUAGUGAGUUCGUAAGAGAGUACUAUAUGAUGAACCGCGACGUGACCCUUAUAGAUCUCACCUAUAUGCUUAUUGCUGCUGAAUCAGCAAUGGUUUGGCGCAAUAGAAAAGCAAAGUUGAUUGGUGAAUCUGCCUUCAAGACCUCUAUGGAUAUAGACAAUGGCAACGAAAGACAUGCUAUGAUCGAAAAGUUUGAUCAUAAGAGAAAGGCAAUGUCUGAAGUAGUUCCAUGUCAUGUUCCAAAAGAGUCAAUUUGCUUUUAUUGCCAAGAGAAAGGGCAUUGGAGACGAAGCUGCCCCAUUUACCUAAGAGAUCUAAGAGAUGGGAGAGUCGAAACGUAUGGCUCUAAUAUAGGUAAAAUCCAUUAACUAACUCUUUUAAGCUUCUAUUCUAGAUUCUUAAUACAUAAUGUGAUAAGAUUACAAUUGAUGUUUUGUAGGAUCGAAGAAAAGAAAGGAAGCUUAAGGGAAGAAGUGAGCAGAAUCUAACCGUGAAGGAAUGGAUUUCGAUCGCAUUUCUCGAAGAUUAGAUUCUUGAGCUACUACUUAGAGUUAGAAUUAGAUUGCUAAGAAAGAUGUAUUAGCAUAAGUUUUUCAAUGAAUUGCAUUGUAAGGACAAAUUUUUCCGCAAUAAAAUAAAUUUUGAUUUUAAAUUUUAUUUAUUUAUCCUUACAAUGGCGUGUAUGAAAAAUUGAUGUUAAAAUGUUUCUAUUAUUAGCAAUAAUGGAUUUGGUUCUUAUUAUGUUAUUUAUGGAAAGUCGAGAAUUUACCAAAUAGGGAGAGUUUCUCAUCGCCCAAGUUUCAAUUGGACAGAAACUUGGAAUCAUGCAACUUGGUUGCACGAUGAAUGAGAAAUUUCAUAUUUGGAAAUUAGACUAAUUCAUUGACAAAGUGUCAAGUGAAGGACUAGGAGAUCGAGUACACAAAGUUGCGUGUUGAUCAAGUCCACCAUAAGAGUAACAAAGAUAUUCGUCAUGAUUUACUAAAGGUUUAGUAAAUAUGAUUAUACUUAUAAGAUUAAGUGUAAUUCUGAAUUGAUUGAAAAGGUUUAAAUCAAUAGCAGAACGAAUAAGAAGAAUCAAGUAGGCAGAAAGAUAAAAGUUUCUCCAUUCUAAGAAGAAGGGAGAGUACCUUUUAUGCUUUAUGAUAGGUCUUAAUGAUUAAGAACCAUAUCUCAAUUGAUCCUCUAAGUGAGUCUUAGUACAAUUGUAUGUCUAAGAAGAGGAAUCAAGAAUUGAAGAAAUGGUUAAAUCAAUAAGUCAAUCAUACUUCGUUCCAAUAACAAGUCUUAAAGUUAAGAUUGUGACAUUGAGUGAAAGGUAUUAAGAAGGUUUGUAACUUUCAUUAAAUGUGGAAAGUUGUGAUGUCUUGGAUAAGACAAAGACCAACUAGGACCAAUUUAUGAAGUGUUUUGAUAAAAGCUACACUAACUCUUGAAUAUUUGUUUGUCAAGAAAUGGUUAUUGACAAGAGAAUCUUAUAUGUCAAGGAGUCAGUGGGAGUCUUAAUGGUCUUGAAAGGUUUCAAGAACAAAUCAAAUAAACCUUAUCGAUCAUCACUAGCACACGAGUUGAGGUUUACAACCUAUCGUGUUGACAUUAUUUUGAUUCUGUGCCAAUCCAAUCGAGUUAAUUAUGCAUGUGAGUUCUAUGAGUUCUCAUUUUGAACGCAUAAAAGGCAAAGCACCUUAAUCAAUGAAAGGUACAUUGAUAGGAAAGGGUGAGCUGCUUAACUACUUGGAAGACAUGGUGGGCAGCUGUGCUACCAUAAGGCAAGAAAUCAAGAUUAAGAAAGUUCGGUCCAUAUGAGUUUGAAUUUGUCGUAAACUUUGGUUUUAACAAAUUCACAUGGAUAGGAACACAUACACCGUUUAAAUCUAAGUGUCAUAAGAUUUCCUCCUUCAUGAAAAUGAUUGUGAGGAAAUGCUUUCACUAAGAAAGAUUUUAAGAAGAUAGUGAUUGUAAAAUUGCAUUCUCGAAUUCAAUUAUGGUUACGGCAUCCCUUUCCAUAAUUUGAAUUGUGAGGUUUGGCAAUUAGUCUUAAUUGUUUAGACACACAUAUGAACUAUCGAAGGCAAAGGUGUAUAAGUUCAAGAAGCCUUGAUAAAAGAUUAUCAAAGCACUAAGUAUUAGAAACAUGAACUUAAGAAAUUCAAUAAGCAUUGUUUUUCUGAAAGUUAAGAUGUUUAUGAAUACAUGUCGAAGCUAGUGGGAGCAUAAGUGUUAUGUUUUAUAAUAAUCAUCAUGAUAGUGGGAGCAUAAAUGUUAUGAUUGUAUGAUUAUUAAGGAAAGUAUUGCAAGGUUAGCAAUAUUAAUUAUAGAAAACAAGAGUCAUACUUUGCAAAGUUGUAAGAGUUGAAAGGUUGUUUUGCUAUAAUUAAGGGAGAGAAUAUUAUGCUUCAUUUCAAAUCUAAAGGAUUAGGUUGAGAAAUGUUAAUAAAUUUAGUCAAAGGUACAUAGUGUGUUCUUAAAAUUUCGAUUAUGAUUACGGCAUCCCUCUUCACAAUUCGAAUUUUGAGAACAUAGCAAAUAAAACAUUAUGCGUCGUGUCCCAUACGCUUCGGGUAUAGGAUCGAUUGCAAAUGCUUUAAUGUUUGACCAUUCUAAAAUUUUCCAAAUGUCUAGCGCAUUUAGAGGGAAAAAGGACUAGAAUCGGUUUUGACUAAAAUAAUUAAACAACUAUCAAAGGACAAUCCAAAGUUCGACGAGGAUUGGUCGCUUGUGAGUAGUUGGAAGUAUAGUAUUGGAAAAUAUGGAAAUGUUUCCAUAUUGGAUGGACCAUAUCGACAUCAUUACGAAUAGAUAAGAUUCUAUUAAGAAUGAGUUGUCAUAUGGAACAUAUGGAAGUGUGUCCAUAUUGGGAAUUGAAUAUUGAGAAAUCUAUGACUAGAUUAGAAACUUCUAUGCAAAAGGAUGUUCAAAGAAUGUACUUUGAGUGAGAGACAUCACAUCUAUGGAAUUGUCUUGUAACAAUCUCCGAUAGAGGACUUUGUAAUAUCAUUGGCAAUAGUCUUUGUGACUUUGGUGCAGUGACAUUACGAAAGGAUAAGUUGCAUAGAAUGUUAGAAUCUAGCAUAUUCUAUAAGUAGCAAGAAUUUGAUAUUCUUUCACUUAUGAAAAGGAUUUGGAGUUGUGAAAUGAGAAUGAUUGGAAAUGUGUUCAAUUUGAUCUAUUUCACAAAGUAAGAACCAUAGGUAAACAUUGUGUGCAUGCUAGGAGCAUGGGACAAGUGUAAUAAUUCAAGUAAGAAGUUGAUUACCCGAAACGACAAAUAAUGAGUAAUCGAUAUGGUGAUAAAUAAAAGGUGUUUUAUUUAUACUCAAAGGUUUGAGGCCAUAUGGGAUUAGUAUUAUUCUUGUGUUUCACAUUUGCAUGUUUUGACUUCCAGAAUAAUUGAGUUUAUUAAGAAUAAUCGAAUUAUUCGAACGGGCCACAGUCGUUCAUAUGUUGGAAGUAGAUAUGAAUGAAGACUGUCGUGAAUUGGUGUGUGGAUUGUCUAAAAGAGUAUUAGACAUAAGCAAAUGUUUGCUGCAACGUUCAUGAGUGCUUAUGAAUAUGAUUUGAGCAUUGGAUUAAACCCACGCUCACUUGGAUCACUCCAUGAAUUGUAUCACGAGUGAUUGGUGAGACGAUAACAUCUUAUAUUCUUGAAACCGAGAUGUGUGAGUUGUAUCUUGCAAAUCGGUUGCACAUUGAUAAUAUGUAAACGCACUAGUAACUUGGUGUUAUAAAACAUAUUGUUGUGUGUGAUUCGGUGAGUGAGUGCAAGCAAGCAUUGUAUCAAAGUUUAUCCGUUCCUUUUAUCCAAAGUAGGAUAAAAGCGAUAUCUUUGGGCCCCUCGAUGAUUUAGUGAUGACAAACGUAAAUGCUCGGCCGGGCUAGGGCUAAUUUGAUUUGUUCAAUUAGUCAGUCGUCAUAAAUCGGGAAUCGAGAUAUAGUACAAAGAGAAUGAUUUGAAAUCAUAUCUCAUAUGAUAUCUAGAAUGGAGGAAUAUAUGAUCCCUUAUCUAAGGACACGCGUAUCUGAUAGGAUCAGAGUUGACAGCGGCUUUGGAAAGCUACGAUUGCAGAUCAGGAUCUGAAGUCAUACGCAGAAUAGUUAUUAGACUUAUCCAAGUGGGAGACUGUUGGAUUAGUGUCUAAGUCCAUAACUAUUUUGGUAUGUACUUGACCCGAUGGUGCAUGGUCCUUUUGGGUUGCCUUCACCAAAGCAACUUGAUUGGAGAAAUAAAUAGAGAGAGAGGUUAUUAUGAUUUAUUAAUAUGUUAUAAGAAUAAUAUAUUAAAGGAGAAAUCAUAUUUGUUUAAUUAAUAUUGGUCAAUAAUUAAUUAAGAAUUAAUUUUGUGAUCAAGUGUAAUUAAUUAAACUAGAGGGGCUGAAUUGUAAUUAUGUGAUAGUUACAAAAUAUGGUAAUGGUUAUCCUAAAUAUGGGUUGAACGAAUUCAAGGAGAUAAGGAUCCUUGAAAUCGUCCAAAGGAUAAAGGAUAAGGGUUUUCAAGGCUUAUCUUAUGGUUACUUGGUGGGCAAGCAACUAGAUAAGGAUAAGGACUAAAACCCUAAUCUCUACACCUAUAUAAAGACCCCCAAGGCUCAUGAAUUCGUCCAUGCCUUCCCAAGAGGUCCUAGAGACGAAUUCUUAUACCUCUCCUCUCUCUUUAUACCUUCUCCAUUUGCUCUUGGUGUUUGUAAGCCAUUAGAGGAGUGACACUUGUGACUCUAAGCCUUCCAAAGUCAAUUCAAGGAGGAAUUGGGAUUGUUAUUGCUACAUAACAAUCAAGGUAAUAUCUUAAACCUAAUUAUAUGUUAAUAUUGAUUUCCAUAUGCUAGAAUUAGGGUUUAUAGUCUUGGAUUCAAAGCAUGUACAAUAGAGAAACCUAGAUCCAAGCAUUAGGGUUUGUAUGAGCACAUAGGAUGUCUUAUGACCAAAACCCAUCAGUGGUAUCAGAGCCUAGCUUGGUUUCAAUUGUAUUGAUGCAUUGUAUAUCUGGAAAAUUCGUUUUUUGGGUUUCUGGAGGCUGGACUCGCCGAGUCCAUAGCUGAACUCGCCGAGUCCAUGCUGACUCGACGAGUCCAUGCUUGACUCGACGAGUCAACUCGUCAGAUGGAGCAAACUUCGGGAUUUCUUGCUGUUUUUGCUUAAGGAUAGUUGCCUUAUCAUAUUAGAUCAAUAUAAAUCCGAUUUUAUGAUAUAUUUGACUAUAUUCUUGAUCUAAUUGAAGAUAUUUAUCAAUUAAUAAAAUAUUUGUUUCCUUAUGUGAUAAUUGAUUAAUUAUUUUGAUUAAAUUGAUAAAUUGUUUUGCAAGAAAUCAUUAAAUAAAUCAAAUAUGGAUAAUUAUGUGAUUAAAUGUUAAUUUAGAUUAUUUGUUAUUUGAUCCUUGUUGUUAUGAAAAGUUUCAUAUUUUCCCCUUUAGGUUUUAUAGUUUAAAUUUGAACCCAAAAGUUUUGUUGUUUUGAAAUUUAAAUAGUUGAAACCCUAAUGUUUUGAAAAAGGUUUCAAAACUUGCCCUCAAGUUUUGGAAUUUAAAUUUUGAUUAAAUAGUUUAAUUUUGAUGUAUAUUUAAAUUCUAAACCCUAAUGUGUUGAAAUGUUUCAAAACUUGCCCUCAAGUUUUGGAAUUUAAAAGUUGAUUAAAAGUUUAAUUAGGAAUGUUAAAUUCUAAAACUCUAGUAUUGUUUUGAAAAAGUUCAAAUCACACCCUUAUGGUUUUAUUAAUUAAUUAAGGUGUAUAAUUAAAAGAGGUUUAAUAAAUCCAUAAAAGUUUUGGUUUACAAUUUAAUUGAAUUAAAAGUAUAAUUGUUAAAUUUGACCACCUAGUAUUUUAAAAGUGUAAAAUACACCCUAUACUAUAUAUAACAUUAAAAGUCUAACAUUAUAUAUAUGUAUGAGUAAAAGUCAGUCUUACCGUUAGUAGGCCUCAUUCACGAAGCUGGUCUAUAAGGGGUGUUUAAGGAAAUUGCCUAUAAAAUGGCGAUUGAAUGGGUAUCCACUCUUACCCACCGCACUCUUGACUAGUGGAGGGUCGUUAGCCGAACGGGUAGGAUAGGACGAAACCUUCCAUUAUAAGUAUAAUGAAGUAUAAAAGUAACUAAAUGUUUUCAUAAAAUUCCCAAUCUUAGUUACUUAGGCAAAAGUGAAUUGAUGCAAUUCCAUGAAAUUACACUUUGUGCCCUUGCGAAGACGUUAGUGGAGCGUGUGUGGUUUACCGGCACACUAAAUGGUUCUAAGCAAAGGUAGCAAAGGGUGACUCAAUGUUUGUCAUAGUUCGGUGGAGCGUGUGUGGUUUACCGGCACAUCGAAUAGGUGACUGUAACAUGUGAGGGCACCAUGUAAGUUUGCAUGGUUAUUCACACCCGCUUUGUGAUCCUCGGCAUCCCAGUCACAAACUAGAGGGGCAUAUCGAGAUUUAAACAUGCCAUUGAAAUGUUCAAUGAAUCUCAAAGGAUCUAGGAGUUUUCAUAGAUUUAAAACUUAAAUUUCUUUUUCGUUUUUCAUGGUGGAAAUUAGUGAAUCGUCAUUCACUUACCUUCAAAUGUUCUGCAAUUUGGGUUACGGCAUCCCUCUCCCGAGUUGUAGAAUAUUGUGUUGGGUCCUAGCCUUAGUAUCUCAUUUGGGUGAUUUACUAAGGACUCAAUCAAUCAACUAACUUGAAUUCGUUUUCUCCCGUUUUGUAGAUGUCAAAGUUCGACAACUAUGGUCUUCCCAAAUCCCGUGGAACAAGCAUUCCACAUGAAGAUGAUAUUCCACGAUUCGAUCGAGGAACAAGAAAUCAUGCUUCACUUCCUCCACCUCCUCCAAUUAUUCUCCCUAACCCACAAGUUCAAAGGCUUGAAAAGUUCAAGAUCACUCAAGCCCUUUUGGCAAGUAAACAUAAAGAAGGAAAGUCGGUGUGUGCACACGUCCUAGGGAUGAAGUCACACAUUGAUAGGUUAAGAAUGUUGGGAUCCGUUGUCUGUGAGGAAAUGGCUGUUGAUUGGGUUCUUCAGUCACUUCCUAACUCAUAUAGUGAGUUCGUAAGAGAGUACUAUAUGAUGAACUGCGACGUGACCCUUAUAGAUCUCACCUAUAUGCUUAUUGCUGCUGAAUCAGCAAUGGUUUGGCGCAAUAGAAAAGCAAAGUUGAUUGGUGAAUCUGCCUUCAAGACCUCUAUGGAUAUAGACAAUGGCAACGAAAGACAUGCUAUGAUCGAAAAGUUUGAUCAUAAGAGAAAGGCAAUGUCUGAAGUAGUUCCAUGUCAUGUUCCAAAAGAGUCAAUUUGCUUUUAUUGCCAAGAGAAAGGGCAUUGGAGACGAAGCUGCCCCAUUUACCUAAGAGAUCUAAGAGAUGGGAGAGUCGAAACGUAUGGCUCUAAUAUAGGUAAAAUCCAUUAACUAACUCUUUUAAGCUUCUAUUCUAGAUUCUUAAUACAUAAUGUGAUAAGAUUACAAUUGAUGUUUUGUAGGAUCGAAGAAAAGAAAGGAAGCUUAAGGGAAGAAGUGAGCAGAAUCUAACCGUGAAGGAAUGGAUUUCGAUCGCAUUUCUCGAAGAUUAGAUUCUUGAGCUACUACUUAGAGUUAGAAUUAGAUUGCUAAGAAAGAUGUAUUAGCAUAGUUUUUCAAUGAAUUGCAUUGUAAGGACAAAUUUUUCCGCAAUAAAAUAAAUUUUGAUUUUAAAUUUUAUUUAUUUAUCCUUACAAUGGCGUGUAUGAAAAAUUGAUGUUAAAAUGUUUCUAUUAUUAGCAAUAAUGGAUUUGGUUCUUAUUAUGUUAUUUAUGGAAAGUCGAGAAUUUACCAAAUAGGGAGAGUUUCUCAUCGCCCAAGUUUCAAUUGGACAGAAACUUGGAAUCAUGCAACUUGGUUGCACGAUGAAUGAGAAAUUUCAUAUUUGGAAAUUAGACUAAUUCAUUGACAAAGUGUCAAGUGAAGGACUAGGAGAUCGAGUACACAAAGUUGCGUGUUGAUCAAGUCCACCAUAAGAGUAACAAAGAUAUUCGUCAUGAUUUACUAAAGGUUUAGUAAAUAUGAUUAUACUUAUAAGAUUAAGUGUAAUUCUGAAUUGAUUGAAAAGGUUUAAAUCAAUAGCAGAACGAAUAAGAAGAAUCAAGUAGGCAGAAAGAUAAAAGUUUCUCCAUUCUAAGAAGAAGGGAGAGUACCUUUUAUGCUUUAUGAUAGGUCUUAAUGAUUAAGAACCAUAUCUCAAUUGAUCCUCUAAGUGAGUCUUAGUACAAUUGUAUGUCUAAGAAGAGGAAUCAAGAAUUGAAGAAAUGGUUAAAUCAAGAAGUCAAUCAUACUUCGUUCCAAAACAAGUCUUAGAGUUAAGAUUGUGACAUUGAGUGAUAAGUAUAAAGAAGGUUUAUAACAUUCAUUAAAUGUGGAAAGUUGUGAUGUCUUGGAUAAGACAAAGACCAACUAGGACCAAUUUAUGAAGUGUUUUGAUAAAAGCUACACUAACUCUUGAAUAUUUGUUUGUCAAGAAAUGGUUAUUGACAAGAGAAUCUUAUAUGUCAAGGAGUCAGUGGGAGUCUUAAUGGUCUUGAAAGGUUUCAAGAACAAAUCAAAUAAACCUUAUCGAUCAUCACUAGCACACGAGUUGAGGUUUACAACCUAUCGUGUUGACAUUAUUUUGAUUCUGUGCCAAUCCAAUCGAGUUAAUUAUGCAUGUGAGUUCUAUGAGUUCUCAUUUUGAACGCAUAAAAGGCAAAGCACCUUAAUCAAUGAAAGGUACAUUGAUAGGAAAAGGUGAGCUGCUUAACUACUUGGAAGACAUGGUGGGCAGCUGUGCUACCAUAAGGCAAGAAAUCAAGAUUAAGAAAGUUCGGUCCAUAUGAGUUUGAAUUUGUCGUAAACUUUGGUUUUAACAAAUUCACAUGGAUAGGAACACAUACACCGUUUAAAUCUAAGUGUCAUAAGAUUUCCUCCUUCAUGAAAAUGAUUGUGAGGAAAUGCUUUCACUAAGAAAGAUUUUAAGAAGAUAGUGAUUGUAAAAUUGCAUUCUCGAAUUCAAUUAUGGUUACGGCAUCCCUUUCCAUAAUUUGAAUUGUGAGGUUUGGCAAUUAGUCUUAAUUGUUUAGACACACAUAUGAACUAUCGAAGGCAAAGGUGUAUAAGUUCAAGAAGCAUUGAUAAAGGAUUAUCAAAGCACUAAGUAUUAGAAACAUGAACUUAAGAAAUUCAAUAAGUAUUGUUUUCUGAAAGUUAAGAUGUUUAUGAAUACAUGUCGAAGCUAGUGGGAGCAUAAGUGUUAUGUUUUAUAAUAAUCAUCAUGAUAGUGGGAGCAUAAAUGUUAUGAUUGUAUGAUUAUUAAGGAAAGUAUUGCAAGGUUAGCAAUAUUAAUUAUAGAAAACAAGAGUCAUACUUUGCAAAGUUGUAAGAGUUGAAAAGUUGUUUUGCUAUAAUUAAGGGAGAGAAUAUUAUGCUUCAUUUCAAAUCUAAAGGAUUAGGUUGAGAAAUGUUAAUAAAUUUAGUCAAAGGUACAUAGUGUGUUCUUAAAAUUUCGAUUAUGAUUACGGCAUCCCUCUUCACAAUUCGAAUUUUGAGAACAUAGCAAAUAAAACAUUAUGCGUCGUGUCCCAUACGCUUCGGGUAUAGGAUCGAUUGCAAAUGCUUUAAUGUUUGACCAUUCUAAAAUUUUCCAAAUGUCGAGCGCAUUUAGAGGGAAAAGGGACUAGAAUUGGUUUUGACUAAAAUAAUUAAACAACUAUCAAAGGACAAUCCAAGUUCGACGAGGAUUGGUCGCUUGUGAGUAGUUGGAAGUAUAGUAUUGGAAAAUAUGGAAAUGUUUCCAUAUUGGAUGGACCAUAUCGACAUCAUUACGAAUAGAUAAGAUUCUAUUAAGAAUGAGUUGUCAUAUGGAACAUAUGGAAGUGUGUCCAUAUUGGGAAUUGAAUAUUGAGAAAUCUAUGACUAGAUUAGAAACUUCUAUGCAAAAGGAUGUUCAAAGAAUGUACUUUGAGUGAGAGACAUCACAUCUAUGGAAUUGUCUUGUAACAAUCUCCGAUAGAGGACUUUGUAAUAUCAUUGGCAAUAGUCUUUGUGACUUUGGUGCAGUGACAUUACGAAAGGAUAAGUUGCAUAGAAUGUUAGAAUCUAGCAUAUUCUAUAAGUAGCAAGAAUUUGAUAUUCUUUCACUUAUGAAAAGGAUUUGGAGUUGUGAAAUGAGAAUGAUUGGAAAUGUGUUCAAUUUGAUCUAUUUCACAAAGUAAGAACCAUAGGUAAACAUUGUGUGCAUGCUAGGAGCAUGGGACAAGUGUAAUAAUUCAAGUAAGAAGUUGAUUACCCGAAACGACAAAUAAUGAGUAAUCGAUAUGGUGAUAAAUAAAAGGUGUUUUAUUUAUACUCAAAGGUUUGAGGCCAUAUGGGAUUAGUAUUAUUCUUGUGUUUCACAUUUGCAUGUUUUGACUUCCAGAAUAAUUGAGUUUAUUAAGAAUAAUCGAAUUAUUCGAACGGGCCACAGUCGUUCAUAUGUUGGAAGUAGAUAUGAAUGAAGACUGUCGUGAAUUGGUGUGUGGAUUGUCUAAAAGAGUAUUAGACAUAAGCAAAUGUUUGCUGCAACGUUCAUGAGUGCUUAUGAAUAUGAUUUGAGCAUUGGAUUAAACCCACGCUCACUUGGAUCACUCCAUGAAUUGUAUCACGAGUGAUUGGUGAGACGAUAACAUCUUAUAUUCUUGAAACCGAGAUGUGUGAGUUGUAUCUUGCAAAUCGGUUGCACAUUGAUAAUAUGUAAACGCACUAGUAACUUGGUGUUAUAAAACAUAUUGUUGUGUGUGAUUCGGUGAGUGAGUGCAAGCAAGCAUUGUAUCAAAGUUUAUCCGUUCCUUUUAUCCAAAGUAGGAUAAAAGCGAUAUCUUUGGGCCCCUCGAUGAUUUAGUGAUGACAAACGUAAAUGCUCGGCCGGGCUAGGGCUAAUUUGAUUUGUUCAAUUAGUCAGUCGUCAUAAAUCGGGAAUCGAGAUAUAGUACAAAGAGAAUGAUUUGAAAUCAUAUCUCAUAUGAUAUCUAGAAUGGAGGAAUAUAUGAUCCCUUAUCUAAGGACACGCGUAUCUGAUAGGAUCAGAGUUGACAGCGGCUUUGGAAAGCUACGAUUGCAGAUCAGGAUCUGAAGUCAUACGCAGAAUAGUUAUUAGACUUAUCCAAGUGGGAGACUGUUGGAUUAGUGUCUAAGUCCAUAACUAUUUUGGUAUGUACUUGACCCGAUGGUGCAUGGUCCUUUUGGGUUGCCUUCACCAAAGCAACUUGAUUGGAGAAAUAAAUAGAGAGAGAGGUUAUUAUGAUUUAUUAAUAUGUUAUAAGAAUAAUAUAUUAAAGGAGAAAUCAUAUUUGUUUAAUUAAUAUUGGUCAAUAAUUAAUUAAGAAUUAAUUUUGUGAUCAAGUGUAAUUAAUUAAACUAGAGGGGCUGAAUUGUAAUUAUGUGAUAGUUACAAAAUAAGGUAAGGAUUAUCUUAAAUAUAGGGUGAACGAAUUUAAGGAGAUAAUGCCUUAGAAUUCGACUAGGAUAAGGGUUUCUAAGACUUAUCUUAUGGUUGCUUGGUGGGCAAGCAACUAGAUAAGGAUAAGGACUAAAACCCUAAUCUUUACACCUAUAUAAACCCCCUAAGGCUCAUGAAUUCGUCUAACCCUUCCCAAGAAGUCCUAGGGACGAAUUCUUACACCUCUCCUCUCUCUUUAUACCUUCUCCAUUUGCUCUUGGUGUUUGUAAGCCAUUAGAGGAGUGACACUUGUGACUCUAAGCCUUCCAAAGUCAAUUCAAGGAGGAAUUGGGAUUGUUAUUGCUACAUAACAAUCAAGGUAAUAUCUUAAACCUAAUUAUAUGUUAAUAUUGAUUUCCAUAUGCUAGAAUUAGGGUUUAUAGUCUUGGAUUCAAAGCAUGUACAAUAGAGAAACCUAGAUCCAAGCAUUAGGGUUUGUAUGAGCACAUAGGAUGUCUUAUGACCAAAACCCAUCAGUGGUAUCAGAGCCUAGCUUGGUUUCAAUUGUAUUGAUGCAUUGUAUAACUGGAAAAUUCGUUUUUUGGGUUUCUGGAGGCUGGACUCGCCGAGUCCAUAGCUGAACUCGCCGAGUCCAAGGUGACUCGACGAGUCCAGGCUUGACUCGACGAGUCAACUCGUCAGAUAGAGCUUAUCUCGGGAUUUCUUGCUGUUUUUGCAUUGGGAUAGUUACCUUAUCAUGUUAGAUCAAUAUUAAUCCGAUUAUAUGAUAUAUUUGACUAUAUUUUUGAUCUAAUUGAAGAUAUUUAUCAAUUAAUAAGAUAAUUGUUUCCUUAUAAGAUAAUUGAUUAAUUAUUUUGACUAAAUUGAUAAAUUGUUUUGCAAGAAAUCAUUAAAUAAAUCAAAUAUGGAUAAUUAUGUGAUUAAAUGUUAAUUUAAAUUAUUUGUUAUUUGAUCCUUGUUGUUAUGAAAAGUUUCAUAUUUUCCCCUUUAGGUUUUAUAGUUUAAAUUUGAACCCAAAAGUUUUGUUGUUUUGAAAUUUAAAUAGUUGAAACCCUAAUGUUUUGAAAAAGGUUUCAAAACUUGCCCUCAAGUUUUGGAAUUUAAAUUUUGAUUAAAUGGUUUAAUUUUGAUGUAUAUUUAAAUUCUAAACCCUAAUGUGUUGAAAUGUUUCAAAACUUGCCCUCAAGUUUUGGAAUUUAAAAGUUGAUUAAAAGUUUAAUUAGGAAUGUUAAAUUCUAAAACUCUAGUAUAGUUUUGAAAAAGUUCAAAUCACACCCUUAUGGUUUUAUUAAUUAAUUAAGGUGUAUAAUUAAAAGAGGUUUAAUAAAUCCAUAAAAGUUUAGGUUUACAAUUUAAUUGAAUUAAAAGUAUAAUUGUUAAAUUUGACCACCUAGUAUUUUAAAAGUGUAAAAUACACCCUAUACUAUAUAUAACAUUAAAAGUCUAACAUUAUAUAUAUGUAUGAGUAAAAGUCAGUCUUACCGUUAGUAGGCCUCAUUCACGAAGCUGGUCUAUAAGGGGUGUUUAAGGAAAUUGCCUAUAAAAUGGCGAUUGAAUGGGUAUCCACUCUUACCCACCGCACUCUUGACUAGUGGAGGGUCGUUAGCCGAACGGGUAGGAUAGGACGAAACCUUCCAUUAUAAGUAUAAUGAAGUAUAAAAGUAACUAAAUGUUUUCAUAAAAUUCCCAAUCUUAGUUACUUAGGCAAAAGUGAAUUGAUGCAAUUCCAUGAAAUUACACUUUGUGCCCUUGCGAAGACGUUAGUGGAGCGUGUGUGGUUUACCGGCACACUAAAUGGUUCUAAGCAAAGGUAGCAAAGGGUGACUCAAUGUUUGUCAUAGUUCGGUGGAGCGUGUGUGGUUUACCGGCACAUCGAAUAGGUGACUGUAACAUGUGAGGGCACCAUGUAAGUUUGCAUGGUUAUUCACACCCGCUUUGUGAUCCUCGGCAUCCCAGUCACAAACAAGAGGGGCAUAUCGAGAUUUAAACAUGCCAUUGAAAUGUUCAAUGAAUCUCAAAGGAUCUAGGAGUUUUCAUAGAUUUAAAACUUAAAUUUCUUUUUCGUUUUUCAUGGUGGAAAUUAGUGAAUCGUCAUUCACUUACCUUCAAAUGUUCUGCAAUUUGGGUUACGGCAUCCCUCUCCCGAGUUGUAGAAUAUUGUGUUGGGUCCUAGCCUUAGUAUCUCAUUUGGGUGAUUUACUAAGGACUCAAUCAAUCAACUAACUUGAAUUCGUUUUCUCCCGUUUUGUAGAUGUCAAAGUUCGACAACUAUGGUCUUCCCAAAUCCCGUGGAACAAGCUUUCCACAUGAAGAUGAUAUUCCACGAUUCGAUCGAGGAACAAGAAAUCAUGCUUCACUUCCUCCACCUCCUCCAAUUAUUCUCCCUAACCCACAAGUUCAAAGGCUUGAAAAGUUCAAGAUCACUCAAGCCCUUUUGGCAAGUAAACAUAAAGAAGGAAAGUCGGUGUGUGCACACGUCCUAGGGAUGAAGUCACACAUUGAUAGGUUAAGAAUGUUGGGAUCCGUUGUCUGUGAGGAAAUGGCUGUUGAUUGGGUUCUUCAGUCACUUCCUAACUCAUAUAGUGAGUUCGUAAGAGAGUACUAUAUGAUGAACCGCGACGUGACCCUUAUAGAUCUCACCUAUAUGCUUAUUGCUGCUGAAUCAGCAAUGGUUUGGCGCAAUAGAAAAGCAAAGUUGAUUGGUGAAUCUGCCUUCAAGACCUCUAUGGAUAUAGACAAUGGCAACGAAAGACAUGCUAUGAUCGAAAAGUUUGAUCAUAAGAGAAAGGCAAUGUCUGAAGUAGUUCCAUGUCAUGUUCCAAAAGAGUCAAUUUGCUUUUAUUGCCAAGAGAAGGGGCAUUGGAGACGAAGCUGCCCCAUUUACCUAAGAGAUCUAAGAGAUGGGAGAGUCGAAACGUAUGGCUCUAAUAUAGGUAAAAUCCAUUAACUAACUCUUUUAAGCUUCUAUUCUAGAUUCUUAAUACAUAAUGUGAUAAGAUUACAAUUGAUGUUUUGUAGGAUCGAAGAAAAGAAAGGAAGCUUAAGGGAAGAAGUGAGCAGAAUCUAACCGUGAAGGAAUGGAUUUCGAUCGCAUUUCUCGAAGAUUAGAUUCUUGAGCUACUACUUAGAGUUAGAAUUAGAUUGCUAAGAAAGAUGUAUUAGCAUAAGUUUUUCAAUGAGUUGCAUUGUAAGGACAAAUUUUUCCGCAAUAAAAUAAAUUUUGAUUUUAAAUUUUAUUUAUUUAUCCUUACAAUGGCGUGUAUGAAAAAUUGAUGUUAAAAUGUUUCUAUUAUUAGCAAUAAUGGAUUUGGUUCUUAUUAUGUUAUUUAUGGAAAGUCGAGAAUUUACCAAAUAGGGAGAGUUUCUCAUCGCCCAAGUUUCAAUUGGACAGAAACUUGGAAUCAUGCAACUUGGUUGCACGAUGAAUGAGAAAUUUCAUAUUUGGAAAUUAGACUAAUUCAUUGACAAAGUGUCAAGUGAAGGACUAGGAGAUCGAGUACACAAAGUUGCGUGUUGAUCAAGUCCACCAUAAGAGUAACAAAGAUAUUCGUCAUGAUUUACUAAAGGUUUAGUAAAUAUGAUUAUACUUAUAAGAUUAAGUGUAAUUCUGAAUUGAUUGAAAAGGUUUAAAUCAAUAGCAGAACGAAUAAGAAGAAUCAAGUAGGCAGAAAGAUAAAAGUUUCUCCAUUCUAAGAAGAAGGGAGAGUACCUUUUAUGCUUUAUGAUAGGUCUUAAUGAUUAAGAACCAUAUCUCAAUUGAUCCUCUAAGUGAGUCUUAGUACAAUUGUAUGUCUAAGAAGAGGAAUCAAGAAUUGAAGAAAUGGUUAAAUCAAUAAGUCAAUCAUACUUCGUUCCAAUAACAAGUCUUAAAGUUAAGAUUGUGACAUUGAGUGAAAGGUAUUAAGAAGGUUUGUAACAUUCAUUAAAUGUGGAAAGUUGUGAUGUCUUGGAUAAGACAAAGACCAACUAGGACCAAUUUAUGAAGUGUUUUGAUAAAAGCUACACUAACUCUUGAAUAUUUGUUUGUCAAGAAAUGGUUAUUGACAAGAGAAUCUUAUAUGUCAAGGAGUCAGUGGGAGUCUUAAUGGUCUUGAAAGGUUUCAAGAACAAAUCAAAUAAACCUUAUCGAUCAUCACUAGCACACGAGUUGAGGUUUACAACCUAUCGUGUUGACAUUAUUUUGAUUCUGUGCCAAUCCAAUCGAGUUAAUUAUGCAUGUGAGUUCUAUGAGUUCUCAUUUUGAACGCAUAAAAGGCAAAGCACCUUAAUCAAUGAAAGGUACAUUGAUAGGAAAGGGUGAGCUGCUUAACUACUUGGAAGACAUGGUGGGCAGCUGUGCUACCAUAAGGCAAGAAAUCAAGAUUAAGAAAGUUCGGUCCAUAUGAGUUUGAAUUUGUCGUAAACUUUGGUUUUAACAAAUUCACAUGGAUAGGAACACAUACACCGUUUAAAUCUAAGUGUCAUAAGAUUUCCUCCUUCAUGAAAAUGAUUGUGAGGAAAUGCUUUCACUAAGAAAGAUUUUAAGAAGAUAGUGAUUGUAAAAUUGCAUUCUCGAAUUCAAUUAUGGUUACGGCAUCCCUUUCCAUAAUUUGAAUUGUGAGGUUUGGCAAUUAGUCUUAAUUGUUUAGACACACAUAUGAACUAUCGAAGGCAAAGGUGUAUAAGUUCAAGAAGCCUUGAUAAAAGAUUAUCAAAGCACUAAGUAUUAGAAACAUGAACUUAAGAAAUUCAAUAAGUAUUGUUUUUCUGAAAGUUAAGAUGUUUAUGAAUACAUGUCGAAGCUAGUGGGAGCAUAAGUGUUAUGUUUUAUAAUAAUCAUCAUGAUAGUGGGAGCAUAAAUGUUAUGAUUGUAUGAUUAUUAAGGCAAGUAUUGCAAGUUGGCAAUAUUAAUUAUAGAAAACAAGAGUUAUACUUUGCAAAGUCGUAAGGGUUGAAAAGUUGUUUUGCUAUAAUUAAGGGAGAGAAUAUUAUGCUUCAUUUCAAAUCUAAAGGAUUAGGUUGAGAAAUGUUAAUAAAUUUAGUCAAAGGUACAUAGUGUGUUCUUAAAAUUUCGAUUAUGAUUACGGCAUUCCUCUUCACAAUUCGAAUUUUGAGAACAUAGCAAAUAAAACAUUAUGCGUCGUGUCCCAUACGCUUCGGGUAUAGGAUCGAUUGCAAAUGCUUUAAUGUUUGACCAUUCUAAAAUUUUCCAAAUGUCGAGCGCAUUUAGAGGGAAAAGGGACUAGAAUUGGUUUUGACUAAAACAAUUAAACAACUAUCAAAGGACAAUCCAAAGUUCGACGAGGAUUGGUCGCUUGUGAGUAGUUGGAAGUAUAGUAUUGGAAAAUAUGGAAAUGUUUCCAUAUUGGAUGGACCAUAUCGACAUUAUUACGAAUAGAUAAGAUUCUAUUAAGAAUGAGUUGUCAUAUGGAAAAUAUGGAAACGUGUCCAUAUUGGGAAUUGAAUAUUGAAAAUCUAUGUCUAGAUUAGAAACUUUUAUGCAAAAGGAUGUUCAAAGGAAUGUACUUUGAGUGAGAGACAUCAUAUCUAAGGAAUUGUCUUGUAACAAUCUCCGAUAGAGGACUUUGUAAUAUCAUUGGCAAUAGUCUUUGUGACUUUGGUGCAGUGACAUUACGAAAGGAUCAUUGCAUAAAAUGUUAGAAUCUAGCAUAUUCUAUAAGUAGCAAGAAUUUGAUAUUCUUUCACUUAUGAAAAAGGAUUUGGAGUUGUGAAAUGAGAAUGAUUGGAAAUGUGUUCAAUUUGAUCUAUUUCACAAAGUAAGAACCAUAGGUAAACAUUGUGUGCAUGCUAGGAGCAUGGGACAAGUGUAAUAAUUCAAGUAAGAAGUUGAUUACCCGAAACGACAAAUAAUGAGUAAUCGAUAUGGUGAUAAAUAAAAGGUGUUUUAUUUAUACUCAAAGGUUUGAGGCCAUAUGGGAUUAGUAUUAUUCUUGUGUUUCACUUUGCAUGUUUUGACUUCCUGAAUAAUUUAAUUGGUUAAGAACAGUCGAAUUAUUCGAACGGGCCACAGUCGUUCAUAUGUUGGAAGUAGGUAUGAAUGAAGACUGUCGUGAAUUGGUGUGUGGAUUGUCUAAAGAGUAUUAGACAUAAGCAAAUGUUUGCUGCAACGUUCAUGAGUGCUUAUGAAUAUGAUUUGAGCAUUGGAUUAAACCCACGCUCACUUGGAUCACUCCAUGAAUUGUAUCACGAGUGAUUGGUGAGACGAUAACAUCUUAUAUUCUUGAAACCGAGAUGUGUGAGUUGUAUCUUGCAAAUCGGUUGCACAUUGAUAAUAUGUAAACGCACUAGUAACUUGGUGUUAUAAAACAUAUUGUUGUGUGUGAUUCGGUGCGUGAGUACAAGCAAGCAUUGUAUCAAAGUUUAUCCGUUCCUUUUAUCCAAAGUAGGAUAAAAGCGAUAUCUUUGGGCCCCUCGAUGAUUUAGUGAUGACAAACGUAAAUGCUCGGCCGGGCUAGGGCUAAUUUGAUUUGUUCAAUUAGUCAGUCGUCAUAAAUCGGGAAUCGAGAUAUAGUACAAAGAGAAUGAUUUGAAAUCAUAUCUCAUAUGAUAUCUAGAAUGGAGGAAUAUAUGAUCCCUUAUCUAAGGACACGCGUAUCUGAUAGGAUCAGAGUUGACAGCGGCUUUGGAAAGCUACGAUUGCAGAUCAGGAUCUGAAGUCAUACGCAGAAUAGUUAUUAGACUUAUCCAAGUGGGAGACUGUUGGAUUAGUGUCUAAGUCCAUAACUAUUUUGGUAUGUACUUGACCCGAUGGUGCAUGGUCCUUUUGGGUUGCCUUCACCAAAGCAACUUGAUAGGAUGAAUUAUGGAGAGAAAGGAUUAAAUAUGAUUUAUUAAUAUAUUAUGGGAAUAAUAUAUUAAAGGAGAAAUCAUAUUGUUUAAUUAAUAUUAGUCAAUAAUUAAUUGGUAAUUAGUUUUGUGACUAAAAGAGAUUAAUUAAACUUAAGGGACUGGAAUUGUAAUUAUAAGAUAAUUGCAAUUUGGGCCAUGGAUUGCAUUUUAUUAUAAGGUGGACGAAUUUUAUGGGGAAAGCCCAUAUGAAGUCGUCCAAGGCUUUAAGAAAGGGCUCCAUGGGUUGCUUAGGGCUUAAGCAUCCAAAUUAGGGUUUCCUUGUUAGAUAACCCUAAUUGCCUCACUAUAUAUAGAACCCUUAAGGCUCAAAAACAUGGACACGCAACCUUCUAGGGUUUUCACACGUUUUGGGCAGCCUCCAUCCUCUCUCCUCUUCAUCCUCUUGCUUUUGGUGUUUGUAAGCCAUUAGAGGAGUGACACUUGUGACUCUAAGCCUUCCAAAGUCAAUUCAAGGAGGAAUUGGGAUUGUUAUUGCUACAUAACAAUCAAGGUAAUAUCAUAAACCUAAUUAUAUGUUAAUAUUGAUUUCCAUAUGCUAGAAUUAGGGUUUAUAGUCUUGGAUUCAAAGCAUGUACAAUAGAGAAACCUAGAUCCAAGCAUUAGGGUUUGUAUGAGCACAUAAGAUGUCUUAUGACCAAAACCCUUCAGUUUCUGCAUCCAGUAUAUAUCAGGGUUGUGUAUUGGAGAUCAUCGGGGUUCCCUAUCCGAUUGAUUUGAUCCCUAUCCCCAUGGGGGAUUUGUGCAUGAUAGUCUAAAGAUUUAUCUACUCUUGUGCAACCUUUAGAUUUCUCCACUUGGAUUAAGUGCUUAAUCGGUUAAGCCACUAUGUCCAUUUCUCAUAUCUGCUCCUAAUUGAUGUCUUAACAUGUAAAGUUGGCAACUUUACUCCUCUGCACGUCUUAAUAGGAACCAAUACUGAAUAAAAUCCAUUAUAAGCACACAACACUGUAUUUGCAUACAAUUAGUUUCUAAAAACAACAAGCCAACAAUUAUCACACACAACAACAGAUGUAAGCAUUUCAUUUCCUAAUUCCUAUAAAAUUCAAUAAUCCAUUCAUAAUUAUAUUUCAUUUGAUUAAAUUUUUUACACAAUGGAAAUCGAAACGGAAAAAAAAGAGAAUCGAAAUCAAAAACAGAAACGGAAACACAUACAUUUAGACAAAAUUACAUAACUAGUACUUAUGGUUUACCAAAGGUCACAAUAACAAUCCCUGCUAUGUUGUUUUGAUUAACCUGAUCCAUGGGGAUUAUAAAGCUUGCAUAACCCAUGUAAAAAGAUUAUCUAAUUUACAUUAUAUAUUUAUAACUACUAUUAGGAGUUGCAAGUGUUUUUCAGAACAGAGGACAUCACAAUAACAAUCAUAUAUGCAUCAUUAUAUAUUACUCUAAAGUUUUAUCUUCUUUUCCUUACAGGUCGGUUCCAAUAUGUGAGACUUAGGUCAGACUGACACUUGAAAGCAUAGAUGAAUUAUUGUCCCCAUACGAUAUAUCUUUGUUAAUACAACGUUAAAAUGUUGUCUUUCUUUGUGUUACAGGUCCCAAUUUGUGUGUUUUGAAGCAUGUUCGAAAUUUUGUAAAAAAUAAAUAGAGCAAGUACAUGAAAUGAAUAAGAAUUAGGUCAAAUAGAAAAAAUGGAAAACUUACCAAGAGAGCGUCGAUGACUCGACAAUGGAGAUGUAGUGGUGUAGAUUAUGAUGACAAAUACGGAAGAUGAAAUAUCUCGUGAAUCAUCAUACAAAACAUGAACACAUGGAGUAAAUAAAUCUGGUUUAAGCUCUCAUUAGUUUUUGAUAGAAUGGAUACAAAUGGGUUUUGCAAUUUCUCUCUCUAAAACUAACACUCCAAAAUGAUCAUUACAUAAAUGAGUUUUGCUCACUUCCUUAUAAAGGAAAUACAACUCAUUACCCAAUACAAGAGGGUAAGCACUAACACAUCCAAGCAUGACUUUGCACUCUAACAGGAGAAGGAGAGAUGAAUCAGAAAUAAAGGUUUCUUCUUUUCCCUGUAGUGAUUAUGGUUUUUGAAUUAUGGUUUAUGAACAAUUGGUUUGACUUGAAUGUAACUUUAUAAAAAUAUAUGUUUAUUCUAUUUUAAAAAUGAAAAAAAAAUAUUCUGCGAUUUGGGACGUUACACCAUUAUUUUAUAUUUGUAUCAUUCUCACACUAGAAAUAAUGUUUUGAAAUAUAAUUUUAAAAUAUAUCAUAAUAGUCAUGUUUUUUAGUUUUAACCAUAAAAUAGCCAAAAAAAAGAGACAAAAAUAGCCAUAAAUUUCCCAGGCCACCAUUGGCGAAAAUGUGGUUCGCCUGCAAAAAAAAAUGAAAAAUGAAAACGACAUCGUUCUGGACAUUGUUGAAUGUGGAAAGUGAAAUCAUCUGUGAUUUUUUUUAAAAAAACAUGUAUUCCACAUGACUAAUUGUUGUUUUUGUUGGUGGUUGAUGGCAGUUAGAAACACCAUGUUCAUACAAUGCUAUAAAUCAAUAUGUUGUUAGUGGGAACCGAUCUAGAAGCAGAAGAGGGUUCGGUAGUAAAAGAUGGAAAAAGCUUUGCUAAGAUCAGAUCCAGUAGAAGAGAUAGAAACAAUCAAACAGGUAUGUGUAUCUCUCUAAAUGAUUCUCACAAUGUUGGUGGAUAUGUUGCCUAUGGAACAUCGGUAAAAUAACAACUCAAUUGACAAGUAGUUUAUGAAAACCAAUAUACGUAUUGACAAAUUCAAUAUGUCGAUCCCAAAUAUUUUGUACCAUAUCAAACACUAUAUCAAACACUAAUACCAUCAUAUCAAACAUCGAUGACAUCAUUUCAAAUGUUGGUUGUAUAAUAUCAAACGCCAAUUAUACAAUACGACUUAUUUUUCCGGUCUAAAAACUGGGCCGAAAGGAGAGGAAAGUGGUAUUGAAGAUGCAUAUGUGUAACUAACCUUGGAAUAAGACUACUAGGUGUGGGCAAUAUGUUAUUAUAUGUUACCACACAUAAAGUGUCCACCUCAUCAUCCUAGUCACGAUUUGGUGUUAUAACACCCAAGUUGGAAAUGGGCAACACCAAAUAACAUGAGAUAACACCUAUUAUUUUUUUUGGAUGUUUUUAAUUUCUAUUAUUGUAUUUUUUUAUUUUUUUUAUUAUAUAUUUCUAAUUUGUUUUAUUUUUUUUAUUUAUGUCAUAUAUCUAUAUAAAACAUACAAAUUAAUAAAACAUAAUUUCAUUAAAUAGUAAAUUAAAAAUACCAUACAAACUUAAAAAAACAUUACAAAGCAAAAAAAAAAAUUGACCAAAAAACACAUGAUAGUCCUAAAAACACACGAUAAUUUAACUAAAAACACUGAUAAAGUAUUCGUCGUCCAAGUAUUUGCUCUUGAUCUGUGACAACCCGAACCUUUUUCUAGUUUCCGUUAAUUAAUUUCCGUUAAUAAAAUUUUAUUUUAUUGGGUUCCGUCAACUUCCUUCGGUUUGGAAAAUCAUUUAACUAUAUAUUUUAAGUUCUAUAUUCGAGUCGGAACCAAAACCACUCGAAAUUUCGGGAAUUUCCUUCGAGCAAGACCGAGUUCAUGGUCGGACUUGAGUUCACGGCCGUACACUCGUAUACGGCCGGCGUUGGGUGGACCUCACCACCGACCAACAACAACCCCUAUAAAUAUGAGACCCUACCCUUCAUUUACACUCUUCUGGCCGGACACUCUCUCCUCUUCUCUCUAGACUAUCGACUGUACACCCCUAAAAACACCCUUAACCUUCCGGAAAACAUCGAGAAACACCAUUUGGGGUCAUUUCGGAGCAUCUAGAACACGUUUCUCGUCGAAAUUAGCAACUUUGUUCUUAAGUGUAUGGUCGUACACCUUUAAGUUCAUUGACCGCACACCAGUCUACGACCGUACACCUUCAAAGGUCGUACUCCUUCAAGGGUCGUACAACGUUCAUGACCUUACACCCUGCUCACGACCGCACACUUGUUUACGUCCGUAAACCCCGUACACGGUCGUACACACUUCCUAAGUGGUGUAUUUGACUGAAAAUCCUACUUCCCUCGAUUCGAUCAACUCCCGGUAACAUUCCUUAACCGAACUCAAGUGUUUUUCUACACUUUAUCUAGCGAAAUCACUAAUUUAAAUACAUAAAUGUAUUUAAUUGUUAUUAGGAUCCCGUUAGGUGCCACACGCUACAACUCGAGGGUCAUCAUUCUAAUUCGUGAUUUGACGUUUGCACACUACUAACAGUGAGUUCAUACCCCUACGCUUUUAUGGUUUUUAAACGUUUUCAUGGGGGAAUACGAGUCAAACACAAAUGAUUUUUGUGGACCAAAACAAAAGGAUUUAACAAGUAUAAAACUUAUGAAAUUGAUACAGACAAAUGAUUUCCACGUUUUUAUAGAAUAUUUAGAUAUUUUAUCCCUUUUGUACUAUGUUGAGCAUAAUGGACGUUUUCAACGUACAACCAUAAUUGCAUAGUUUUCAGAUCAAUAUACGAACCAAAUACACAACAUACAUGCAAACUAAAAUAGGUAUAGUUUGGGGUUUUCAAUACACAGUUUUUACGAAUUCAGAGUUAUACACUGCUAAACAUAUAAACUAUGGCAUAUUUAGUUUAUGAUAUACAUUACUAUAAGAGUACAAUAUUUAAUAAUUAUUUAAGUAUAAUUAUUACGUUAUACAGUAUUCAACGGAUUCAAAUACAAGGGAACAAUAUAUAAUUACACGUAAACUAGAUUAUACAUAAUUGUAAGACUCUACUUCAAAACUGUACCCUUAGGUGUACUGAAUUAAAUCCUAUCAUAGUAUAACCAGAGUCUCCUGGAGGGAGAGCGUGAGAUUUGUGAAUAGAUCUAUUCGGGACUGACAAUCUCACACCUAAACUGCUAGCUACAGUUAGGCAUACAUGCUUGAGGUGACAAAUUUCAUUUAACCGACACUUGAAGAACGUCGUAAAGGUCACUAGGUCAUAUCAAGUAUGGUUAUACGACUCACAAUAAGUAUAAACUAACCUUUGUUUACAAGAUUUCAUUCUUCAUUAGUUUUAUUUUAAUUAAUAGAACUAUUAUACAUUACAUUAGGGGAUUCCAGAGAUACAAUACCCGGUUUUAUUUAAAUAAUAAAACUACUAUACACACUGGUGGUAGCCAGAGUUUUCAAACAGAACUUACUAUUUGUACCACUGAUAGCCAGGGUUUUCAAACAGAACAUUCUACACAAAGGUUUUCAUACAUAUAUCAUCAUACAAGACAUCUAGUAGUAACCAAACAUACAAACUAAUAUGUUUUAUAUACUACAACCGGAUACAAUAACAAACAUUCAUGGUUAGUUCUAUAACUCUUUAGUUUAUGCAUCAAGGUUACGUAUGAAGAAUACUCGAUAGACUGUGGGAUAUGUGGUUUCCGCCUCAUUUCCUGUUCCUUGUUUGGUUGUGGGCUUAGGGCAGAUCCAUAUAACCAACUAUCUGUUCGAUUUUUGUUUAUACGUGGCUAGCAUGAACUAAGUGGUUAUAGAGGGAACUGAUAUUAUCUCACUCUUACUAAAGAAAAUAUUGGAUUUUAUUGGAAAACAUACGAACAGAGUCAUCAACAGGUUUUCAUUACAAAAACAUCGCUUAUGAACUCACCAGCUUUAUGCUGAUACUCUUUCAAAACUGCUUGUAUUCUCAGGGAAUCAGUAGACAGGUACCUCCUGGAGUUUUGAGAAGACGGAGUGCAUAGAGUCACGUCUUAUUAUUUUGAUUAUACUUUUGAUAUAUAAAAACAAGAAUCAAACAGAUGUAAACCCUUUUCAUAUAAUGUAUUCAAUGUAUUGGUUGUGUUUACAAUGAUUGUUAUGAUACAAUUGUUGUGAUACUACACAUGACGUCAUCCACCCCCGAACGUUUCCGCCGUUCCGGUUUGGGGGGGGUGUGACACGAUCUUUGCCUUCCUCCUCCAUAUCAAUUCUACUCGUGUUGGUCGCAUAUUUUCUUUGUUUGUCAUAAGAAUUGCCAAAUCAUUCGAUAUGCGAUCUUGCUCGGCUUCAUGACGAAGAAACUCCAAAUGCUAACCUUGCAAUUCAUAUCUAUUAUUUGCGACUUCCGGGUGGGCGUCGAAUUUUUGUUUCAUUUAUGCGUGCUCUCGAAGCCGACUUUCAUUCUCCUCUGCAUGUCGUUGAGCGCGCUUUGCUUUGUCGCACCCCAUUGGUCGUUGUGGCAGAGAGAUUUCCUCGAUGUCGUCAAAGUCAUCCGGGAGCUCAUCGGUGUCCGCGUUGAGGUCGGUGUUCGUGCGUCCGUCAGAAACAUCAACCGAACUCGAACCACGAGACCACUUUGAUUGUUAUCCAUUUUGGAUCUUUCCUUACGAUCUCCCAAAUUUUUUCGUGCUCAAAUAUGUGACCCGUUUGCACGUGAUAUUCCUCCCUCGUAGCUCUAAGCGCAUUGAACUUAUUUGCACCACUUUGUGUUGCAAAGAAAGUUUGUUGUAGAUAGAAUUGAAUUUGGUGCACUUCCGGUUAAUUUGAGUCCAUUUGCCACUAAGCAUAUCGUGAAUGCGAUAUGUGUCAUUCUUGUUCAAAAUUGUGCGGAAUUUGACAACCACGGCUUCCCAAAAAGCAACUCUCCUCAUAUCAUUCCCCAAAGUUGGUUGUUUUGAAGUCCCGAACCAAGCCACCGCCAACGCAUGCUCUUCCUCCGGUGUCCACCAUGUUGGAGGUGCUUCCAUUUGCUCCGCCCCGCCCCGGGCUCUUUUCCUUUCUUUUUUGAUCUCCCUUUUUUCCCGAUGCUUUUCAACUACCCCCGACUUGCAUCUUGAUAACCAUUUCUUGUGUGGAUGGGUGUUGUGUGGUUGUUUGUUGCAUAAAAGGCGAGGUAGUGAAUUGUAGUGGGGGUGAGGCGGGAUUGAAAAAGUUGGUGGAAUAUGGAAUUUGUGGUGAGUUUUGCGAGUUGAGGAGGUUUAUGUAGCCCUCGUAUGCCACAAAUCCUAUUGGAGUGGGUGUGUUUGUGUUUGGAGGAGUAUUCGGAUUUUGAUCCAUAGUUGGUUGAUUUUUGUGUUUGUGUUUUGAGUGUAAGAGAAAUAGAGAUAGAUAUAGAGAAAUAGAUGUAUAGGUAAUAAGAAUGAGGUAUAUAUAUUAUAUGUAAUGUAAAAAAAUUUAAUUAGUAAUUUUUUUUAUUGAAGUUACCGUUUUUAAACGGUUUAAUUUUGAAAUAUUGUACCAUUUUUAAACGGUCAAAAGUUUGCAACGUUCGGAUUUAUGCACGCUACACCCUGUUACCACAAUAACGAACGAUAACAUAACACGUAAUAACAGGAGGGUGGGGAGGUGUUCACCCGUUAUGGCGAUGCCACAUCGGAUAACGCCAUAAGGGCGUUGCCCACACCCAUCCGUCUAACUAUAGGAAACAUACACUCAACUACUAGAAAAAUGUACCACGGUCUGUAACUCAAAUGAGUCCAUGAACCACAAUUAGCUAUUUUUGUUGAUGAUCAAGACCAGCUAAGAGUAUACGUAAAUAAGAACAAAAGGCAAAUACAAGUAGAAAGAAGUAUAUUUAAUCAAAUUGUAUCUGAACUGAAAGAAACAAAAAGGAAUAUCAAGAUGUUAAACCCGUUGAAAAUCUUGCAGCAUGAAAAUGCUCAAAGACACAUCAAGGGCUUACACUCAAGGAAAAAGGUGAUAAAACAAAAAACCUAUUGCUUUUGUGUAUGCUCGACGGCUUUGAGUUAUCUUAUUAUUUAUUCCAUAUCUUGAUGUGUCUGAGCAUGUUGAUGUUGUAAUUUGAUAACUUUGCAUCAGUUCUGUACUCUUCUCUUUGCGUAACCAUUCUAUUUCAGCUUCCCUUUGGAUUUCAAUUCUAUGUAAUUACCUGCUGAGUUGAUUUAAGUCCCACCUUCAAAUAUUCUUCAAAAGUUACCUCUUGCUAAACCCCUCAUAAGAAAUGUUCAUGCACAAACUCCCACCUAUUCAAUAAAUCUUGCUAAAUCCCUGAAUCAAAUCACAGAAACCAAUAAAAGAUGAAUGUGUAAGAAACUAAACACCACCAAAAACCAGAACAACCAUGCAUGUACGGUGUUGUUUAUCAUUCAUAAUAACAUAACCAAGACCAAAACUUUCCCCCUUUGCAUGAAAAAAGAAAAAGAAAAUUUACAAAUAGAAAAAUAGAUAAUAAGUGGAUACCUGAUUCUAACUAAACUAUUUGAAAAAUAGACCAAGAUAUGUAACUUAAAUGAUUCCUUGAUUUUACAAUUAACUGUUGUUGAUGAUCAAGACGAACCAAGAGUAAAAGUAAUAAUUUGGAAAAGCAAAAUACAAAAAGAAAGAAGUAUAGGCAAUAAACUCGUAUUUGAUUUGAAAGCAACAAAAUGGAAAAUCAAGAUGUUGACCACAGGAAUUGUAAAACUCAUGGACAUUCUUGCAGCAUGACAAUGCUCAAAGACACAUCUAGGGCUUAAACACAAGAAAAAAGCAAUAACACAACCUUGACUGCUUUUAAGUUUUUUCUUUAUUGAUUCCAUAUAAUGAUGUGUCUAACCAUUUACAUGUUGUAACUCGAUAACUUCUUGCAUCAUAUCUGUCCUCUCUUGGCAUAAUCAUUUCUAUCUCAGCUUACAUUUUAAUUGUUGUUCCCUUUUUUGUUACCCGCUGAGAGUAAUUAGACUGCCACCUUGGAAUGUUCUUCAUAUGCAACCUCUUGCUAAACCCUUCAACAUCGUUCACUUGCAAACACCCAUCUGUCCCAAUAAAUCUUGAGAAAUCCAUGAAUCAAACUAUACAAACCAGUAAAAGAGAAUGCGCAAGAAAUUAAACAACACCAAAAAACCAGAGAAACCAUGUAUGUUGUUAUUUUUUGUUCACAAGAGUAGGGCCAAAACAUCAACCAAGGCCUAACCUUUCAGCUUUCAUCCUUCACCCAAUCAUCUUCUUCUUUAACAUGAAAAACAAGAACAUCUACAAAAAAAUGGAUAAUGAGUCGAUCGAUUACCUGAUUCUUAGUUGGAGCCAUGGAGAUGAAAAGUGGUGGAUGCUACAACAAGUCAGUGCGAGAGAAGUAGCAGGUCAAGAGCACAAUAGCUUAUUACAAAUGUCAUACAAAUCUAGUCUAAUAAUAACAACUUGAUAUUAUAUAAAUUCUGAAUAUAACAAACAUUCCAAGAUUGAAACAUAUAUAAAUCCACAUUACAAACACGGAUCCAAAUAUUAAUUGAUAAGCAUAUAUUCAAGAACUACUCAGAUUCCAAGGAUCUAUGCGGCUUCUCUUCCUCUCUUCAUCUUGGCAAUUGUUACCACGACUGCAAUGUAUAUCCUGUCCAUGGUUUCCUCAGCAAACAUGAAAAUCUUGUGUCUCCAGUGCUUCUUCAACAGCAGAACUCCAAUAACACCCCAAAACCCUGUUGCAAAUCCACUCAUGAUGUCCAGGUAAAACCACCAUACCUUCAUCAACUUGCCAGCUGCUUUAUGUUUCUUCUUGAGAGCUGAUGUCGUUGGGUCUUGAUGAUUUAAGCAAUUGUUUGGCAAUGGAGGUCCAUGGAGAUCUUUGUUCCCAGCAUAUAUUGAUGGAUCAUCAUUAAGGGUCUGCAACUGAUGGCCUGUUGGAAUUCUUCCUGACAAGUUGUUGUGUGACAAAUUCAAAUGACUCAAAAAAUUCAAAUCUGCCAUGCUUGGAGGGAUCAUCCCGGUCAACUCGUUUCCAGAUAAAUCAAGAGAUUCUAACUUCAUCAUGUUUCCAAUGCUUUCUGGAAUCAUCCCACUGAGAUGAUUAUUGGACAAAUUGAGACCCAACAACAUACAAAGUGCAGUUAGCUCGACAGGUAUUACUCCAACAAGUUUAUUGCUUGAAAGGUCCAUGUUGAAAACUAUAUCCCAAUUUGUUGUAUAUUCAAGAUCAACACCUUUCAUCACCUGAAUCACAUUCUCGUUGAGAUCAAAAAUGACAUUAUACUGCUUUUCUGCACCCUUCACCAUUGCAUUCAACUCUUGUAGGCAAUGAGGGAUGUUUCCCCUUAAGUUGUUGUAUGCAACAUCCAAAAUUUGAAGUUUCGACAUUUUGCACAAAGAUUCUGGAAUUUCCCCAGUGAAUUUAUUCCCGUGUAAUCUUAAAACCAUCAAAUCUGUCAGCUUUUCUCCGAUCCAAUGGGGUAUGUUUCCGAACAGUUGAUUAUCACCCACAUCUAACACUCUUAAAGAUCGUAAAUUUCCCAAUUCUCGGGGAAGUUUACCAGUGAACUUAUUGUCGUUCAGUUUUAACCAAUACAAAUAUGAAUGCUUGAGACCUAUAUGGCUUGGAAUGACACCUGAAGGCAGAUUCGAGCUUAAUAUCAGGUUUUGCAACUCUUGGAGAUUCUGGAGACACUUGGGAAUUCUCCCUGUUAACCUAUUUCUGGAAAGGUCAAGAUAUCUUAAAUCUGUCCUUCUGCACAGUGACCUUGGAAUCGACUCGUUGAAAAUGUUAUUUACUAGUAUUAAUGCCUCUACAUAUACCACAUAUUUCUCACAGACAUUUUUUCCAUUAGGAAGGUUUGUCAAAGGUUCAUUGAGUUUGUUGUGAGAGAGAUCUAAGAAAUAAAUGACAGGCAUCUCCCGCAACCAUGUGGGCACAGGUCCAGAAAUUGAAGCAUUGGACAACACUAACACCUUAAGUGCCCUUUGAUUUCGAAGCCACUGCGGAAAUCCAUUUGUAAUAUUGCAAGAACCGAGUUGAAGAAUUCUCAAUUGGAAUGGAGGAAUCCACUCACAUGAAACAUUGAAUGUUAACUUGGUGUUAGAAGAAACAUACAAGUACAUCAACAUGGAAAGGUUAGCAAAAUGGGCUUCGGAAACUACUCCUUCUAAGGAAUUGACUGAGAUAUCUAGUGAAAUGAGUUUGGCAAGCUGCCCAAUUGAGACGGGAAUAGUCCCAUUUAACAAAUUUGAAGACAUCGAGAUUGCUUGUAAGGAAACAAGUCUUCCUAGAGAUGCUGGGAUGGGACCUGUUAACUGAUUGGAUCCUAGAUACAAAGAUUUUAAAGCUGCAAGAUUUCUAAAGGAUUCUGGAAUUGAACCAUUCAAUUGGUUAUAAGAAAGGUCAAGUGUGCAAAGAUUCCCAAGGAAUGUAGGAAUGGGACCGAUUAACCGGUUAUCAGAUAAAUAUAAUUCUUCUAAAUAUCUUAAUCUUCCUAGAGAUUCGGGGAUUGGACCUGUCAAACUGCUAUUCCAUACACUUAAGACUCUCAAAUUGGUUAGUCUUCCAAGUGCUUCUGGAAUCGUACCAUUCAAACACCCACUUAAAUCCAACCGCUCCAAAGCAUAUUGGGAGCAUUCUGAAACGUUUUGCGGUGGGUCAAUCCUUUCUAUUUCAAAAGGAUUCCUCAAUGCAAACAACUGUUUCAGGUGACACUGUCUCCAGAUUCCAACAUCCUCAAUAUUCUUAAACUGGUUAACAGAAAGAUCAAGCUCUAGAAGGUUAGGCAUAAUAGGAACCGAAGAAUGCAGCAUGUUUCUUCAGAGAUGGACUCUUAAGGAACUCAUAUUACUGAAAACAGAUGGAAAUAUGCCUUCAAUUGAAUUCCAGCUAAGAUCCAGGUGUUGGAUGUUAGAAAGCAUAGUGAUAUUAAAAUGAGCGGAAGAUAGAAAAGUCUUAUCAAGCCCACAAAGUGACAAAUGCAGCUCUGAUAAAGAACGGAUCAUGUUUAGCACGUUUGCAAAGUUCCAUGCCAAACUAAGAUUAAAUUUAGAAAGAUCUAGGAAUGUUAGGGAUGUCAUGUUUCGGAAGAAUCCAGGGAGUGGGCCUUUGAAAGAAUUAGAGCCAAGAUCAAGGCGUUUUAUGUUGGCAAGAAUUCUACUCGAAUUAAGAGAAGGACCAAGAUGCACAUUGGAAAGUCCACAACCACGCAAACUUAACUCUUUUAAUGAACAAAGAUUGUAAAGCAUCAUGUCCAUGUUUUUUGCUCCGCCAAGAUCCACCCAACUCAAAUCGAGAUGCUUGAGUGAUGGAAGGCCAAAAGUCCAUGACAUAUCAUCCGAUGUUAGAUUAUAAUUUGAACUGAGAUCCAAAACCUUUAAAUUAGAAAGAUUUCCAAUGUGAGGAGGAAUAAUACCUUGAAAACAAGCAUAAGAGAGAUUGAGAUAUCUCAGCUCUUUGAAGGAUCCAAUGAACUCAGGGAUCCGGCUUCCUUGAUAAAAAUUCUGACUCAAGUCCAGGUACUUGAGAUGCCUCAACUCAGCCAAAGAAGAGUUCACCUCAUUACCAACUAAAUAGCUCCCUCCUUCACCAAAAUCUCCUCUGAGAUUGAGGCUGUCAACGGCGGUUCCAGUGAGACUGUCAACGGUUCCAGUGAGACUGUCACAGUGGAUUCUUUCCCACAGGCAACAACUUACAACAUCGUUACUAAAUUCCGAGAUACAAUACAAACGAACAUAUGAACUAUAAUUGGUAUAGUUUACGGAACGUACGCACCACUUUUACUAAGUUCAUAUUUCACUACAGUAACAAACAUAUAAACUACAUUAGGUAUAGUUUAUGGAACUUACAUACAAUUAUUCAUUACAAAGUGAUUUUCAUUUAUUUUACAUGUAAUCGUCAGUAUAGCUUUACGAAACACACUUCAAGUACUUACCUAAGUACCAACCAAGCUCUGAAAUUAUAAUCAGAGUCUCGUGGAGGGAGAGCGUGAAUUUGUGUAUAGAUCUAUACAGGACUGAUAAUCUCGCACCUUAACUGUCAGAUACAAUUAGGCCGGCAAGCCUGGGGUGACAAAUGUCAUAACUAUUACGACACCUGAAGAACAUCGUUUCAGGCUAUCCUAGGUCAUCAAGCAUGGUUAUACUAACUCACAAUUUGGUAUUGAACAAUACGAUUAAUAUAAGAAUACAUAAACAACUUCAAGUAGUUUUAUUAAAUGAUACAACUACCAUACAGUGCUUUACAUUACAGCUGGUGGAAUCCAGGCACAUACAUUUAUAGAGUUUUCAUACAAGUAUACUACAAAAUACUAUUUUCCAGUACAUAGAAACUUACAUUUCAGGGAAACAUACAUUUUCACUUAGUUUUAUUUACUAAUAAGACUAUUAAAUACUAGUAACUAAGUACAACAAUUAUUACACAUUUUUGUCUUAUGGCAUUAAGACUACAAUACAUUUACAACAAAAAAAUAUAGGAUUUUCUGGGAGAACAUACUAACAUUUUCAAAGAACAAAGACAAGCUUUCUAUCUCAAAAACAUACUUAUGAACUCAUCAACUUAAAUGUUGAUACACUUUCAAAAUCACUUGUAUUCUCAGGAACCAGUAGACAGGUACACUACAGGUUUUUUAGAAGACGAAGCAUCCAAGGUAUCACAUCUAUAAUUUUUGGUAUACAUUUUGAUAUUAUACAAACAAUGUUGCAAAUACAAUGUAAACACUAUAUUAUCAAUGCAAUGGUUGUUAUUACUUUGAUUACUAUUAUUCAAUUGUUGUGAUAUUAUACAUGACGUCCUCCGCUCCCGAAUGUUUCCACCGUUCUGGUUUGGAGGUGUGACAACCAACCCCAAAAAAUAUCCUAAAGGGAUCAAACUUGUAAUAAACUCAUAGUUUUUCUUUAAACUUUUUUUUUUUUGUAAAUUUUAACUUAAUUAAAUUUUAAUUAAUAAUAAAAGUAUAAGUUUUUAAAUUAUUUUACAUUUAUUAAGUAUGAUAGGUUUUAUCCAUAAACGCCAACAACAUUGAUGAAAAUCGUAACAAUAUAAAACUUAUUGUGCAAAAAACUUUAUGCUAACUUCAACUUUGACGUGCUCCAUUGGAUUAUGAUUUGGGUUUAGCUCUAACAAUGAUUAUAUAGUUUGAAUAAUGGUUUGUCUUUGUUGGGAUGAUAAAAGUAUUUUCGGUUGGAACCAUUCAUUUCAAAGAUAUUAUAUACAAAUGGAUUUCUACAAGAACUUUUAUGUUUACAUUAUGGUUUACUCUGAUUUGUUACAUUUGUCACUUUUAUGGAACCAAUUGUUGGUUCAACAUAGAAAACGCGACACUUAUAUAUAAAUAGUUUCUUCUUGUCUUGAUAGUUAUUCAUUUAAUGGAUCUUUAGGUUUGGUUGAAUUUGACUCCCAAGAGAUUUAACAUUGUAGUUGUGACUCCUAUAAACAAACAUUGUUGAAUCUAAACAACUUCAUGAUUUCCAAAAUGGUGGAAAUCAUAAUUUGUAAGCAUGGUAUGUUUUUCAUCUUCUUUAACCAUGUUCUAUUCAUAAAAUUGUUUUGUUUGAACUUUCACGGUUUUCGGAUUAUGUUUUACUAGUCGUCAAAUUUGAUAAGUAAUAGAACGUUAUUGAUGAAAUCGAUGAAAUUAACAAAAAAUAUUUGGUCAAUAGUGGAACCUUGUCAUAUAAUCAAAUUGAACAAGAUAGACAGUUGCAUUUUACAAGUUAAAUGUACAACCUUUAAUAUAAGAAGUUCUCUAGCAAUUGUUGCAUCAUGGGCUGCAGUUAAUAUACAUGAAGGGAAGAACAAGGCGUUGCUUUCUACAACACUACAUAAAUGAAUUCAAAACUUGAUCAUAUAACCUACACUAUAUACGAACAUGAAAGUACUAUGUUGACUUUUGUUACACAAGACAAGAUUUCUAAGGCUAUUUUCAAAGAGGAUCUAAGAAGUGGGGGAUUGAUAUUGAUACAGAUACACGUCUAACAAUCAGAAAAGGGAGCACGUUGGGACCACUAAGAGUGUAUUCUAGAAGGGGAAAAAGGGCAAAUCCAGAAAGUGGCUAAGUUGGUUAGGGAGAGAGAAGAGAAUAAAAGGGAGGAGAAUAUUUGGUUUUGAUCAUCUUGUUAUUUGUUAUGUUUGUUUUAGCUCAGGAGUAUUCAUGCUCUAUGAGAGAGGGACCAUUCCCUGGACAAUCUUUUGAUUGGUUUUGAUUACGUUUAAUCAAUAGAAAUUAUCUCUCCUUCCAUUCAUUUCAGCUCUUACAAAAUUUUCUUACAUAAGCUAGUAUUCUAUCAAUUUCCAUUCUCUAUCACUGGUCCGACCUGCUACGCUCUGCCUUGAGUAAGGAAUGGUUCAGGCUACAGUUGAAACUCGAUCUCAGGCAUCCCGUCUAGAUCACCAUGACGAGCAGAUUUCCCAAUUGCAAGCUGAUUUGACGGCGAUACAAUCUAAGAUAGACAGAGAACGGGAAGAAAUGGUGGAAUUUCGGCAGUAUAUGAUGAACUGGGUUAAGAAGCAAGAUAAAUCCGUGGCAUCCGGUGCCGAUGGUUCUUCCGGUGGCGUUUCUGGUAUGGGAAGCGGUUCUCCAUUUGUACAGACUCCUUUGAUUCACAUUCCUGGGUCAGGGAGUGGUUCGAUUCCCUUCUCAGGAGCAACGGGAUCUGUGGCUGGUGGGUUACCCUGGGCUGUGAAGAAAGUGAAAUUGCCUGAGUUCUAUGGAUUCGAUCCUCAAGGAUGGAUCCAAAAGGCCAAACUCUUCUUCGAGAUCAAUGGCACCGAUCCUUCUCUUCGUAUACGAUUGGCUCAACUCAGCAUGACGGGUGUUGCUCAACAUUGGUUUUCUAUUGUGCGUCAGGUUCAUGAAUCUCUCACGUGGGAGCAAUUCCAAGAGGAAUUAAUUCAGCGUUUCAGUGGUUUGGAGAUCCAAAACCCCUAUGAACAACUCGCUUCGAUUCAACAACUGUCUUCCAUAAACGAUUACAUUGAUGAUUUUGAGUAUUUGAUGGCCCUCGUUCCCAAGAUGCCUGAAAUGCAAGCUAUGGGGUAUUUUAUGGCUGGAUUGCAAGAUGAAGUGCGACGGUGGGUUCGAUUGCAACGUCCUCACUCACGUUUAGAUGCGAUGUACUCCGCCAAAGACGUCGAAGAAAUCCUCCGACCGACCACCGGUAAUAUUUCCCAAACCCGUUUUCGUUAUCAUUCAGCUCCUGGAUCGGGUUCGGAUUUUGGGUCGGAUAUUAAAUCUUUCAGUGGAAGUCGGGUUGACCCAAAAGGAUUUACUAACCCUAAACAGACGGAGCGUAUCCCAAUGCAACGAAUUGAUGGCCAUCGUUCUCUCUUAGCUUCUCGUUCUUCGAGUACGUCCCCACUCGAUCCUCCUUCUCAUCCUCAUUGUGACAGAGGAGUUCGAUCUUUGACACGCACCGAAUGGGAAGAACGUCGGAAAAAAGGCUUAUGUUUCCGAUGUGGUCAACAGUUUGGUCCAAAUCACAAAUGUCCAGAAGGAAAAUUACGUGUGUUGAUACUGGGCGAUGAUGAAGCAUAUGAGGGAAGCCAAUUUAUCCUUACAGAAUCACCCAUUCCAGAGGAUACAUCUUCUCUUCCAAUCGAGGAAGGGCACUGCGCUGCGUUAGAGUUCACUGGCUCAUCAACCGAAUGUAGUGGAGGUAAAACCCUUAAAUUUGAUGGUGAACUCUUAGGGAUUCCUGUUGUGGUCCUUGUGGAUAGUGGAGCCACUCACAAUUUUGUGUCACGUCAGUUGGUAUUGGCUUUAGGCAUCCCUUCUGUCCAAUUUUGUGGGAUCAACAUUAAGUUGGGAGAUGGCCAUGUGGUUCGGGUGACUGAGAAAUGUCUCCACCUGCGUAUCUUGAUGGGGGGGUUGUUCUUUUGAAGUGAAUACGUUAGUGUUUGACACGGGGAGUACGGAUAUCAUCUUGGGCAUGGAAUGGUUGAAGACAUUGGGUGAAGUGACACACAGUUGGGAUAAGUCUUGGAUGCGGUUUUCGUAUCAAGGCAAGAUUGUUCAGCUUCAAGGUUUAGCUCCGGGCCAACAUUCUCAAGCUUCCUUACACAAAUGGUUACAGGAGAACCCAUCCACCACAACCGACCAAUGCAUCCCUCGUACUCCCGGUGGGUUGAUUACUUCUAUGGAAGAUAUGCCUUUAGCAGUUGAUCAGUUAGCUGAGUUGCAUUCGCUGCUUAACCGAUUUGGUGCAGUUUUUCAACCUCCCAAGGGCUUGCCUCCUUCUCGGUCACAUGAUCAUAUGAUCAACUUGGCCAAUCUUCAUGAACCGGUGUGUGUCAGGCCUUAUCGUUAUCCGCAUGCUCAAAAGUCUGAAAUUGAAAGACAAGUUCAAGAGCUGUUAGAUUUGGGGAUGAUCCGACCUAGUAAAAGUGCUUAUUCAAGCCCGGUGAUCUUAGUUCGCAAGAAAGAUAACACUUGGAGAAUGUGUGUGGAUUAUAGAGCCCUAAACAAAGCCACUAUUCCCGACAAGUUUCCGAUUCCGGUGGUGGAAGAACUAUUAGAUGAAUUAUUUGGGGCAUGUUAUUUUUCCAAACUCGACUUAAAAUCGGGUUAUAAUCAGAUCAGAAUGCAUGAAGACAACAUUGAGAGAACAGCUUUUCGUACCCAUGAUGGCCACUAUGAAUACUUGGUGAUGCCUUUUGGAUUGAUGAAUGCUCCGGCCACAUUCCAAGCGGUGAUGAAUGAUGUUUUUCGCCCUAUGUUACGGAAAAAAGUGGUUAUUUUUUUUGAUGAUAUAUUGGUAUACAGUGCUUCUUGGAAUGAACACUUAAAAGAUUUGGAGGACGUGAUGUACAUUUUGGAACUUAACCACUUAGUGGUCAAUCACAAGAAAUGUUCAUUUGGGAAAAAAUCGAUUGAAUAUUUGGGCCACAUCAUCGAUGGGCAGGGUGUUGCAAUGGACCCAACAAAAGUCGAGGCAGUGGUGGAGUGGCCAGUUCCCAAACAGUUGAAAGGGCUCCGGGGAUUCCUGGGAUUAACGGGAUACUAUCGCAAAUUCGUUAAAAACUAUGGGAGCAUAGCACGACCGCUAACAGAAUUAACAAAAAAAGAUGCUUUUAAAUGGAAUUCGGAGGCUCAAUUGGCUUUUGAGAAUUUGAAAACAGCGCUAGUCACAGCCCCUGUUCUGGCAUUGCCUGAUUUCUCACACCCCUUCGUCGUUGAAUGUGAUGCUUCUGGUAGAGGUAUUGGAGCGGUUCUGAUGCAACAUAAUAAACCAAUUGCUUACUUCAGUAAGGCCUUGAGUAAUCAGAAUAUGUCCAAAUCAACUUACGAACGCGAGAUUAUGGCAUUGGUCCUUGCAGUUCAACACUGGCGAGCUUAUUUAUUGGGAACAAGAUUUGUGGUGUACACAGACCAAAAAAGCCUAAAGUUUUUAUUGCAACAACGUAUUACAUCCCCGGAUCAACAAAAUUGGGUUGCAAAACUGUUAGGAUACAAUUUUGACAUCCAAUAUAAACCGGGCCGGGAAAACAGGGCAGCGGAUGCUGUCUCGCGUCGAGCCGAAGCAGGGGAGUUGACUCAAUUACAAUCUACUCCACUAUGGGUUCAAGGGGCAGAAUUGAUCAAAGAAGCACAGGAAGAUGUGGAUAUUCAACGACUAAUUCAAGCAUGCCAAACACAUCCUACUAGCCAUCCGGGCUAUUCAGUCCGCAAUGGAGUUUUGUACUAUAAGGAUCGAUUAGUGAUCUCUCGCCAGUCUAAGUUUAUUCCUGACCUCCUCCAUGAGUUCCACACGUCAGCAACCGGAGGACAUUCGGGGUAUUAUCGCACCUAUCGACGGCUGGCAGCAAAUUUAUAUUGGCCUGGUAUGAUUGCUUGUAUUAAGCACUUUGUGCGCGCUUGUGAUGUUUGUCAACGGUGCAAGGCGAGUUCGUUGACUCCUGGGGGCUUAUUGCAGCCAUUAGAGAUUCCAAGGGCAAUUUGGGAAGAUCUCUCCAUGGAUUUUAUACUUGGACUUCCCAAGUCCAAAGGGUUUGAUGCGAUUUUCGUUGUUGUUGACCGAUUGUCUAAAUAUGCCCAUUUUAUACUUUUGAAACACCCAUACACCGCCAAGAUGGUGGCUGAAGUCUUUGUUCGUGAGGUGGUCCGCCACCAUGGCAUCCCCAAAUCCAUUGUGAGUGAUCGUGAUCCCUUGUUCAUUAGUAAGUUUUGGUAGGAAAUUUUCAAAUCUCAAGGCACCCACUUGCAUAUAAGUUCGGCUUACCAUCCGGAAUCUGAUGGCCAGACACAAGUAAUUAAUAGAUGCUUAGAAGCAUAUCUUCGUUGUUUUGCAGUAGAUCAACCGCGUUUGUGGGCUCAUUGGAUCCCCUGGGCUGAGUUUUGGUACAAUUCCACAUUCCAUGGAUCCACAGGCAUCUCUCCUUUUGAGGUGGUUUAUGGGCGCAAACCACCUACCAUUUUUCAGUAUGUUCCAGGCGAAGUGCGCGUACAGGCUGUAUCUCAAGAGUUGCAAGACCGUGAUGAAGCAAUUCGACAAUUGAAGAUCCACUUAGCUCAAGCACAGAGUAAUAUGAAGACUCAAGCUGACAAAAAACGGCGAGAUGUUCAAUUUCAGGAGGGUGAAUGGGUGUAUGUUAAACUCAAACCAUAUCGACAGAUGUUUGUGUCUAGCAGGAUACAUCAUAAAUUGGCUGCAAAAUUUUUUGGUCCAUUUCAGAUUCUAGAAAAAGUAGGCCCGGUGGCUUACAAGCUUCAGUUACCCCCUACAUCUAAAGUUCAUCCUGUUUUUCACGUGUCUUUGCUCAAAAAAGCGGUGCCAACUCCAGUGGAUCCAACUCUUCCUUCGGAUUUGGAGGUGGAUACUGGCGAUAUUUUAACUCCUGCAGCAGUUUUGGCUACUCGUGUCGUCGGGGAUCCUUCCGACAAGGUGGAACAAUGGUUGGUGCAUUGGAAAGGUCAAGCGCUGGAAGAAGCUACAUGGGAGGAUGCUUUCACUAUCCAAGAACAGUUUCCAAAUACAAGUCUUGAGGUCAAGACUUUAAUUGAUGGGGGGGAGUAAUGAUACAGAUACACGUCUAACAAUCAGAAAAGGGAGCACGUUGGGACCACUAAGAGUGUAUUCUAGAAGGCGAAAAAGGGCAAAUCCGGAAAGUGGCUAAGUUGGUUAGGAAGAGAGAAGAGAAUAAAAGGGAGGAGAAUAUUUGGUUUUGAUCAUCUUGUUAUUUGUUCUGUUUGUAUUGGCUCAGGAGUAUUCAUGCUCUAUGAGAGAGGGACCAUUCCCUGGACAAUCUUUUGAUUGGUUUUGAUUACGUUUAAUCAAUAGAAAUUAUCUCUCCUUCCAUUCAUUUCAGCUCUUACAAAAUUUUCUUACAUAAGCUAUUAUUCUAUCAAUUUCCAUUCUCUAUCAGAUAUCUUUUGCACAACCAAAGAAGAAGGGCAAGUCCCCAUUGCAUCUUUUUGGGUGGGCCAAAAAUUACAAUUUAUCCCAUCGGCAUUAAUCCCGGUCUUUGCACACCAAAUAUUGGUACUUUUCAAAAUAAUAAAGGAGACGUAGAAGAGAAGAAAAAUGAUACUAAAGAUUUAUAUGAGGAACUAAUCUUGGAAGGAAACUAUAGGAAACAAGUACCAAACUAUUUGAAAAAUAGAUCAAGAUAUGUAAUAUAUAUGACUCCUUGAUUCUACAACUAACAUUUGUUGUUGAUUGAUGAUCAAGACAAAUUGAGGGUAAAAGUAGAAACUUGAAAAAGCAAAAUACAAAAAGAAAGAAGUAUAUGCAAUCAAUCAACUUGUAUCUAAACUGAAAGCAACAAAACGGAACAUGAAGAUGUUGAAACGCAGGAAUUGCCAAACCCUUGGAAGUUUUUGCAGCAUGACAAUGCUCAAAGACACAUCAAGGGCUUAAAUACUCAAGAGAAAAGUAAUAACACAACAACACAACUUGCUUAUGUCCAUGCUUGAUUUCUUUUAAGUUUUCUCUUUGUGUAAUUGUUUGAUCUCAGCUUCCAUUUGAAUUGUUGUUCAUUCGUUUGUUAACCGCUGAGACUGAUUAGACUUCCAGCCAAACCUCUUGCUAAACCCCUCAGAACCACCUGUCCCAAUAAUUCUUGGGGAAUCCCUGAAUCAAAUCACACAAACCAGUAAAAGAGAAUAUGCAAGAAAUUAAACUAACACCAAAAACCAUAAAAACAAACCAUAGAAAUCACACAAAUCAGUAAGUUACUAUUUUAUCUUCACAAUAGCAGGGCCAAAAUAUCAAUUAAGACCUAACCUUUACCCCUUCGCCCAAUCAACUUCUUCCUUAACAUGAAAAACAAGAUCUACAAAAGAAGAAAUAGAUAAUGAGUCGAUUACCUGAUUCUUACUUGGAGCCAUGAAGACGAAAAGUGAUUGAUGCGGCAGCAGGUCGAUGCAAGAGAAGUGGCAGGUGGAGAGCACAAUAGCUUAUUACAAAUGGCAUACAAAUAUAGUCUAAUCUAACAACUUGAUAUUAUAUAAAAAUACCGAAUGAUAAAUACAACAAACAUUUUAAAAUUGAAACCUUUAAACAACAUCCACAUUACAAACAUAGAUCCAAAUAGUAGCAUUAAAACAAAAACUUCAUUGAUAACAUAUAUCCGAGAAUUACUUGCAUUCCAGAGCGCCUAUACAGCUUCUCUUCCUCUCUUGAUCUUGGCAACAACUGUUACCAUGACUGCAACGUAUAUCUUGUCCAUGAUUUUCUCAACAAACCUGAAAAUCUUCCAUCUCCACUGCUUCUUCAACAACAGAACUCCAAUUACACCCCAAAACCCUGUUGCAAAUCCACUCAUGAUGUCCAGGUAAAACCACCAUACCUUCAUCAACUCCUCAGCCGCUUUAUGUUUCUUCUUGGGCAUUGUGAUUGGGUCUUGAUGAUCUGAGCAAUUGUUUGGCAAUGGAGGUCCACAAAGAUCUUCGUUCCCAGCAUAUAUUGAUGGAUCAUCAAUAAGGGUCUGCAACUGAUGGCCUGUUGGAAUUCGUCCCAACAAUUUGUUGUCUGACAGAUUCAGAUGGCUCAAAAAAGUCAAAGCUGCCAUGCUUGGAGGGAUCAUCCCGGUCAACUUGUUUCCAGAUAAAUCGAGGGAUUCUAACCUUGUCAUUUUUCCAAUGCUUUCUGGAAUCAUCCCACUGAGAUGAUUAUUGGACAAAUUGAGACCCAACAACAUACAAAGUGCAGUUAGCUCGACAGGUAUUACUCCAACAAGUUUAUUGCUUGAAAGGUCCAUGUUGAAAACUAUAUCCCAAUUUGUUGUAUAUUCAAGAUCAACACCUUUCAUCACCUGAAUCACAUUNUAACAUUCUCAUUAGAAUCAGACGUGCCAUUAUACCACUUUUCUGCACCCUUCACCAUCGCAUUCAACUCUCUUAGGCAAUGAGGGAUGAUUCCUAUUAAGUUGUUGUACGCAACAUCCAAAAUUUGAAGUUUCGACAUUUUGCACAAAGAUUCAGGAAUUUCCCCAGUGAAGUUAUUCCUGUGUAGCUUUAAGACCAUCAAAUUUGUCAGCUUUUCUCCGAUCCAGUGGGGUAUGUUUCCGAACAGUUGAUUAUCACCCACAUCUAACACUCUUAAAGCUCGUAAAUUCCCCAAACCUUGAGGAAUUUCCCCAGUAAAGUUAUUGCCAUUCAAUGUUAACCAAUACAAUGAUGAAUGAUUAUUUGCUAUAUAACUUGGAAUGACACCUGAAAGCAAAUUUGAACUAAAUAUCAUGGUUUCCAACAAUUUCAGAUUCUGGAGACACUUGGGAAUUUUCCCUGUUAACCUAUUUCUGGAAAGAUCAAGAUAUUCCAAAUUUGUCCAUCUGCACAAGGACCUUGAAAUCGACUCAUUGAAAAUGUUAUUUGCUAGUAUUAAUGCCAGUCCUUUUUCUGGAAGGUUUGUCAAUGGUCCGCUGAGUUUGUUGUGAGAGAGAUCUAAGAUAAAAAUGGCAGGCAUCUUCCGCAACCAUCUGGGCAGAGGUCCCGAAAUUGAAGCAUUCGACAACACUAACUCAGAGAGCAAGAACUGAUUCCGUAGCCACUGAGGAAAUCCAUUUGUGAGAUUGCAGGAACUGAGAUCUAGAAAAUACAACUGGAAUGGAGGUAUCCACUCACGUGAUACAUUGAAUGUCAACUUGGUGUUAGAAGAAGCAUCCAAGCAACUCAACAUCGAAAGGUUAGCAAAAUGGGCUUCGGAGACUACUCCUUCUAAGGAAUUGUCUGAGAUAUCUAACUUAUAGAGUUUGGCAAGUUGCCCAAUUGAGACGGGAAUAGUCCCGUUUAACAAAUUUGAAGACAACCGAAUUGCUUGUAAUGAAACAAGUCUUCCUAGAGAUGCUGGGAUGGGGCCCAUUCAAUUGGUUAUAAGAAAGGUCAAGUCUGGAAAGAUUCCCAAGGAAUGUAGGAAUGGGACCGGUUAACCGGUUAUCAGAUAAAUAUAAUUCUUCUAAAUAUCUUAAUCUUCCUAGAGAUUCGGGGAUUGGACCUGUCAAACUGCUGCUCAUUAGAAGUAAGACUCUUAAAUUGGUUAGUCUUCCAAAUGCUUCUGGAAUCGUACCAUUCAAACACCCACUUAAAUCCAACCGCUCCAAAGCAUAUUGGGAGCAUUCUGAAACGUUUUGCGGUGGGUCAAUCCUUUCUAUUUCAAAAGGAUUCCUCAAUGCAAACAACUGUUUCAGGUGACACUGUCUCCAGAUUCCAACAUCCUCAAUAUUCUUAAAAUGGUUAGAAGAAAGAUCAAGCUCUAGAAGGUCAGGCAUAAUUGGAACCCAAGAAUGCAGCAUGUUUCCUGAGAGAUCAAGGACUCUUAAGGAACUCAUGUUUGUGAAAAAAGAUGGAAUUAUGCCUUCAAUUGAAUUCCAGCUAAGAUCCAGGUGUUGGAUGUUAGAAAGCAUACUGAUAUUAAAAUGAGCGGAAGAUAGAAAAGUCUUAUUAUCUAGCCAACAACUUGAAAAAUGCAGCUCUGAUAAAGAGGAAGGGAUCAUGUUUAGCACGUUUGCAAAGUUCCAUGACAAACUAAGAUUAAAACCAGAAAGAUCCAGAAAUUCAAGGGAUGUCAUGUUUCGGAAAAAUCCAGGGAGUGGGCCUUUGAAAGAAUUGGAGCCAAGAUCAAGGUGUUUUAUGUUGGAAAGAAUUCUACUCGAAUUAAGAGAAGGACCAAGAUGGACAUUGGAAAGUCUACAACCACACAAACUUAACACUUUUAACGAAGGAAGAUUGUAAAGCACCAUGUCCAUGUUCUUUGCUCCGCCAAGAUCCACCCAACUCAAAUCGAGAUGCUCGAGUGAUGGAAGGCCAAAAGUCCAUGACAUAUCAUCUGAUGUCAGAUUAUCAUUUGAACGGAGAUCCAAAACCUUUAAAUUAGAAAGAUUUCCAAUGUGGGGAGGAAUAAUACCUUGAAAACCAGCAUAAGAGAGAUUGAGAUAUCUCAGCUGUUUGAAGGAUCCAAUGAACUUAGGGAUCCGGCUUCCACGUAAAUCAUUCCAACUCAAGUCCAGGUACUUGAGAUGCCUCAACUCAGCCAAAGAAGAGUUCACCUCAUUACCAACUAAGUAGCCUUCUCCUUCACUGUAAGAAGGGCCUCCUCUGAGAUUGAGGCUGUCAACGGUUCCAGUGAGACUGUCACAGUGGAUUCUUUCCCACUGGCAACAAUCCUCCCCCACCCAUGAAGACAACAUUCCGUAACGAUUUUUGAUGACACUCCCUUUGAACCUGAGAAGAGCAAGUCGUUCUUUCUGGGAGCAAACAACAGUGACAUUUCCAACACCCAAACAAGUAUAUUUGGUUGCAAACAAAAAAACACAUAUGAAAAUGAGAUGGAGCCCCAAACCCCACGGAUUCCCCAUUUAUCAACCCUCCCUAACUCAGUUUAAUUUAGAAGAAAGUUGAAGUGGAAAGAUAGUUUGUUAUGAUGAAGUGAUAGAUUAUUAUGAAGAAGAAACCAGUUCAUUUAUAAUGCCACAAAUGAAGAACAACUUAAUGCCAUGGAAGACUUGAAGUCAAUGGACAUUUGUACCCACAAGUUGUAUUUUUGUGGUCUGAUGCUAUCUUUAUUUCUCUCUUGAUAAAAAAAAAAAAAAAAAAAANNNNNNNNNNNNNNNNNNNNNNNNNNNNNNNNNNNNNNNNNNNNNNNNNNNNNNNNNNNNNNNNNNNNNNNNNNNNNNNNNNNNNNNNNNNNNNNNNNNNNNNNNNNNNNNNNNNNNNNNNNNNNNNNNNNNNNNNNNNNNNNNNNNNNNNNNNNNNNNNNNNNNNNNNNNNNNNNNNNNNNNNNNNNNNNNNNNNNNNNNNNNNNNNNNNNNNNNNNNNNNNNNNNNNNNNNNNNNNNNNNNNNNNNNNNNNNNNNNNNNNNNNNNNNNNNNNNNNNNNNNNNNNNNNNNNNNNNNNNNNNNNNNNNNNNNNNNNNNNNNNNNNNNNNNNNNNNNNNNNNNNNNNNNNNNNNNNNNNNNNNNNNNNNNNNNNNNNNNNNNNNNNNNNNNNNNNNNNNNNNNNNNNNNNNNNNNNNNNNNNNNNNNNNNNNNNNNNNNNNNNNNNNNNNNNNNNNNNNNNNNNNNNNNNNNNNNNNNNNNNNNNNNNNNNNNNNNNNNNNNNNNNNNNNNNNNNNNNNNNNNNNNNNNNNNNNNNNNNNNNNNNNNNNNNNNNNNNNNNNNNNNNNNNNNNNNNNNNNNNNNNNNNNNNNNNNNNNNNNNNNNNNNNNNNNNNNNNNNNNNNNNNNNNNNNNNNNNNNNNNNNNNNNNNNNNNNNNNNNNNNNNNNNNNNNNNNNNNNNNNNNNNNNNNNNNNNNNNNNNNNNNNNNNNNNNNNNNNNNNNNNNNNNNNNNNNNNNNNNNNNNNNNNNNNNNNNNNNNNNNNNNNNNNNNNNNNNNNNNNNNNNNNNNNNNNNNNNNNNNNNNNNNNNNNNNNNNNNNNNNNNNNNNNNNNNNNNNNNNNNNNNNNNNNNNNNNNNNNNNNNNNNNNNNNNNNNNNNNNNNNNNNNNNNNNNNNNNNNNNNNNNNNNNNNNNNNNNNNNNNNNNNNNNNNNNNNNNNNNNNNNNNNNNNNNNNNNNNNNNNNNNNNNNNNNNNNNNNNNNNNNNNNNNNNNNNNNNNNNNNNNNNNNNNNNNNNNNNNNNNNNNNNNNNNNNNNNNNNNNNNNNNNNNNNNNNNNNNNNNNNNNNNNNNNNNNNNNNNNNNNNNNNNNNNNNNNNNNNNNNNNNNNNNNNNNNNNNNNNNNNNNNNNNNNNNNNNNNNNNNNNNNNNNNNNNNNNNNNNNNNNNNNNNNNNNNNNNNNNNNNNNNNNNNNNNNNNNNNNNNNNNNNNNNNNNNNNNNNNNNNNNNNNNNNNNNNNNNNNNNNNNNNNNNNNNNNNNNNNNNNNNNNNNNNNNNNNNNNNNNNNNNNNNNNNNNNNNNNNNNNNNNNNNNNNNNNNNNNNNNNNNNNNNNNNNNNNNNNNNNNNNNNNNNNNNNNNNNNNNNNNNNNNNNNNNNNNNNNNNNNNNNNNNNNNNNNNNNNNNNNNNNNNNNNNNNNNNNNNNNNNNNNNNNNNNNNNNNNNNNNNNNNNNNNNNNNNNNNNNNNNNNNNNNNNNNNNNNNNNNNNNNNNNNNNNNNNNNNNNNNNNNNNNNNNNNNNNNNNNNNNNNNNNNNNNNNNNNNNNNNNNNNNNNNNNNNNNNNNNNNNNNNNNNNNNNNNNNNNNNNNNNNNNNNNNNNNNNNNNNNNNNNNNNNNNNNNNNNNNNNNNNNNNNNNNNNNNNNNNNNNNNNNNNNNNNNNNNNNNNNNNNNNNNNNNNNNNNNNNNNNNNNNNNNNNNNNNNNNNNNNNNNNNNNNNNNNNNNNNNNNNNNNNNNNNNNNNNNNNNNNNNNNNNNNNNNNNNNNNNNNNNNNNNNNNNNNNNNNNNNNNNNNNNNNNNNNNNNNNNNNNNNNNNNNNNNNNNNNNNNNNNNNNNNNNNNNNNNNNNNNNNNNNNNNNNNNNNNNNNNNNNNNNNNNNNNNNNNNNNNNNNNNNNNNNNNNNNNNNNNNNNNNNNNNNNNNNNNNNNNNNNNNNNNNNNNNNNNNNNNNNNNNNNNNNNNNNNNNNNNNNNNNNNNNNNNNNNNNNNNNNNNNNNNNNNNNNNNNNNNNNNNNNNNNNNNNNNNNNNNNNNNNNNNNNNNNNNNNNNNNNNNNNNNNNNNNNNNNNNNNNNNNNNNNNNNNNNNNNNNNNNNNNNNNNNNNNNNNNNNNNNNNNNNNNNNNNNNNNNNNNNNNNNNNNNNNNNNNNNNNNNNNNNNNNNNNNNNNNNNNNNNNNNNNNNNNNNNNNNNNNNNNNNNNNNNNNNNNNNNNNNNNNNNNNNNNNNNNNNNNNNNNNNNNNNNNNNNNNNNNNNNNNNNNNNNNNNNNNNNNNNNNNNNNNNNNNNNNNNNNNNNNNNNNNNNNNNNNNNNNNNNNNNNNNNNNNNNNNNNNNNNNNNNNNNNNNNNNNNNNNNNNNNNNNNNNNNNNNNNNNNNNNNNNNNNNNNNNNNNNNNNNNNNNNNNNNNNNNNNNNNNNNNNNNNNNNNNNNNNNNNNNNNNNNNNNNNNNNNNNNNNNNNNNNNNNNNNNNNNNNNNNNNNNNNNNNNNNNNNNNNNNNNNNNNNNNNNNNNNNNNNNNNNNNNNNNNNNNNNNNNNNNNNNNNNNNNNNNNNNNNNNNNNNNNNNNNNNNNNNNNNNNNNNNNNNNNNNNNNNNNNNNNNNNNNNNNNNNNNNNNNNNNNNNNNNNNNNNNNNNNNNNNNNNNNNNNNNNNNNNNNNNNNNNNNNNNNNNNNNNNNNNNNNNNNNNNNNNNNNNNNNNNNNNNNNNNNNNNNNNNNNNNNNNNNNNNNNNNNNNNNNNNNNNNNNNNNNNNNNNNNNNNNNNNNNNNNNNNNNNNNNNNNNNNNNNNNNNNNNNNNNNNNNNNNNNNNNNNNNNNNNNNNNNNNNNNNNNNNNNNNNNNNNNNNNNNNNNNNNNNNNNNNNNNNNNNNNNNNNNNNNNNNNNNNNNNNNNNNNNNNNNNNNNNNNNNNNNNNNNNNNNNNNNNNNNNNNNNNNNNNNNNNNNNNNNNNNNNNNNNNNNNNNNNNNNNNNNNNNNNNNNNNNNNNNNNNNNNNNNNNNNNNNNNNNNNNNNNNNNNNNNNNNNNNNNNNNNNNNNNNNNNNNNNNNNNNNNNNNNNNNNNNNNNNNNNNNNNNNNNNNNNNNNNNNNNNNNNNNNNNNNNNNNNNNNNNNNNNNNNNNNNNNNNNNNNNNNNNNNNNNNNNNNNNNNNNNNNNNNNNNNNNNNNNNNNNNNNNNNNNNNNNNNNNNNNNNNNNNNNNNNNNNNNNNNNNNNNNNNNNNNNNNNNNNNNNNNNNNNNNNNNNNNNNNNNNNNNNNNNNNNNNNNNNNNNNNNNNNNNNNNNNNNNNNNNNNNNNNNNNNNNNNNNNNNNNNNNNNNNNNNNNNNNNNNNNNNNNNNNNNNNNNNNNNNNNNNNNNNNNNNNNNNNNNNNNNNNNNNNNNNNNNNNNNNNNNNNNNNNNNNNNNNNNNNNNNNNNNNNNNNNNNNNNNNNNNNNNNNNNNNNNNNNNNNNNNNNNNNNNNNNNNNNNNNNNNNNNNNNNNNNNNNNNNNNNNNNNNNNNNNNNNNNNNNNNNNNNNNNNNNNNNNNNNNNNNNNNNNNNNNNNNNNNNNNNNNNNNNNNNNNNNNNNNNNNNNNNNNNNNNNNNNNNNNNNNNNNNNNNNNNNNNNNNNNNNNNNNNNNNNNNNNNNNNNNNNNNNNNNNNNNNNNNNNNNNNNNNNNNNNNNNNNNNNNNNNNNNNNNNNNNNNNNNNNNNNNNNNNNNNNNNNNNNNNNNNNNNNNNNNNNNNNNNNNNNNNNNNNNNNNNNNNNNNNNNNNNNNNNNNNNNNNNNNNNNNNNNNNNNNNNNNNNNNNNNNNNNNNNNNNNNNNNNNNNNNNNNNNNNNNNNNNNNNNNNNNNNNNNNNNNNNNNNNNNNNNNNNNNNNNNNNNNNNNNNNNNNNNNNNNNNNNNNNNNNNNNNNNNNNNNNNNNNNNNNNNNNNNNNNNNNNNNNNNNNNNNNNNNNNNNNNNNNNNNNNNNNNNNNNNNNNNNNNNNNNNNNNNNNNNNNNNNNNNNNNNNNNNNNNNNNNNNNNNNNNNNNNNNNNNNNNNNNNNNNNNNNNNNNNNNNNNNNNNNNNNNNNNNNNNNNNNNNNNNNNNNNNNNNNNNNNNNNNNNNNNNNNNNNNNNNNNNNNNNNNNNNNNNNNNNNNNNNNNNNNNNNNNNNNNNNNNNNNNNNNNNNNNNNNNNNNNNNNNNNNNNNNNNNNNNNNNNNNNNNNNNNNNNNNNNNNNNNNNNNNNNNNNNNNNNNNNNNNNNNNNNNNNNNNNNNNNNNNNNNNNNNNNNNNNNNNNNNNNNNNNNNNNNNNNNNNNNNNNNNNNNNNNNNNNNNNNNNNNNNNNNNNNNNNNNNNNNNNNNNNNNNNNNNNNNNNNNNNNNNNNNNNNNNNNNNNNNNNNNNNNNNNNNNNNNNNNNNNNNNNNNNNNNNNNNNNNNNNNNNNNNNNNNNNNNNNNNNNNNNNNNNNNNNNNNNNNNNNNNNNNNNNNNNNNNNNNNNNNNNNNNNNNNNNNNNNNNNNNNNNNNNNNNNNNNNNNNNNNNNNNNNNNNNNNNNNNNNNNNNNNNNNNNNNNNNNNNNNNNNNNNNNNNNNNNNNNNNNNNNNNNNNNNNNNNNNNNNNNNNNNNNNNNNNNNNNNNNNNNNNNNNNNNNNNNNNNNNNNNNNNNNNNNNNNNNNNNNNNUUUUUUUGGCUUUUAGCGAAUUGGUGUUAUUGAAUUGGAACACUGUUGGGUAUAUUCUAUGCCCCAUGGCACACGUAAAAACAUUUGGCCAAAAGCCUUCCACACAAACUUUGAAGUCAACAAAGUAAACCCCCAAAUAACACUCACACACAAAAAAAGGGACCAUGAUUGAUGAACCAAUCAUCUUUCUUGUGGAAUUUUCCAUGCAACUUCUCCCUACCAAAUGUAUUCCACUUUGCUAUUAUUCCACAAAAAACAAAAACUACUAUCAGGAUUGCAUAGACUAACUAUCAGUGUUGUGAAGUAUACUUAGCUUAACUUGUUAAUAUUUUCAAUUUAUUAGUUCUUAUUAUAAGUUACAAUGUUAUGUCCUGUAAUUUUUAAAUAUAUACCAACACCAAAACAUAAGAGAUUAUGGUUGAUGGAAGAGAAAAAAUGAAAACAAAUUUGAUGUCCUUAAUCAAUGCCAGAAACUAUGAAUGUCAUGACAGAUACUUUCAUUUCAAUUCAUAGAAUACCACUUCCCAAAGAAUUUCUACAUUACCCAUCAGCUUUCAUUUUAUCCUCGUUUGUUCCUCUAAAUUACUUUUUAAUGUAAGUAAAUACAGUAUGAUGUAGAGAUGACAAUUCCAACCCAUUUAUAGAAAAAUGGGUUUGAUUUAGGUCAUUCUUUAUAUCUAAUUGGUCAAACAGGUCAGCCCGGUUCCAAAACUCAUUUAAAUGUGUUAAAAGUUUGUGAGCUGUUUUAAUAACCAAUUAAUAUUUUACUUCUUAAAACACAGUUUUAAUAAGUUUUCGUAAAAUAUUUAAGGCAUUCCAGUAAACACUUAUGAUAUUUUAAAACUGUCUUUACCAGAUUUACAGGUUAUUAAAUUUGAAUAAAACUAUUGAUGCAUGCUAGAACUCAUAUCUUUAAAGUUGUAAUUCAUUUUAGUUGCAACUAGUGUGGUCUCUAAUAUGUCUAAGACGCAAUAUUUGUGUUGAUAUUUACAAAAAGUUGAUUACAUGAAAAUAAACUGUCUUUUUUCUGUCAAAAAUAUACAGUAAAAAAUGAUAUUAGAUAACUAAUAUCCAGAAACUUGUAUUUUGGUCUUGGGGUAUUUUUCUUUUUCUCUUAAUCAAUAUAAGUGGUUGUUGGUUAUUCCACAUGACAUUCGUAAAUGUAUUUGGCUUAUUGGCCACAAUCUAUUAAUUUUCAUGGAAGACUUGGAAGUCAAUGAAUACAUCCAAGCCUAUUUUUUGUUUUCUCUAGAUCGAAAGAAGUGCUUUUUAGCCAAGUCUAUCCCCCUUGGAAGAAGCAAGUGUAAUUGCAAUAAAAAAAAAAUUUAAACAAUUAAAAAGGAAUUGAAUAUAAUAUAGUAUUUGGCAAGAUUACAAUUAUAUUAGAAGUCACUAACUACAAAAGACUUGGAAGUCAAUGGACAGUUUGUAGCCACAAACGGGUAUGCUCUGGAUCUGGACUGUAUUUUUUUUUUCUAUGCCCCAAGGAAAACACAAAUGUAUUUGGCCACAAGUAUUUUUCACAAAAGAAAUUUGAGUCAACAAAGUAAACCCCGAAAUAAAUAACAUGGACACAGGAAAAUAGUGUCAUGAUUGAUGCACUAAGUUAGCAUAUUUCUUGUGGAACUUUCCAUGCAACUUCUCCCUAACAAGAAAACAAAUAUAUUCCUCUUUUCUUAAUAUUCCAUUAAAAACGAACCUAGUAUCAGGAUUGCAUCAGUCUAAUUAUCAGUUGCAUGAAGCAAGUAUAGUUAGUUUAACUUAAUUUAAUAUUUAUCAAUUCUUAUUAUAUGUUACAAUGUUAAGUACAUAUUCCAUAACUUAUAUUUUGUAACUUUUACAUAUGUACUAUAACAGAUCGUUCAAACUGUAUUUGUGAUUCCACCCAUGCAUGGCUCAUACCCCAUAGAUCGUUCAAACUGUAUAUGAACAAUAAUCAAUUUUAGCUCAAAUGGUAAAAACCACUUUCAUGAGUUUCCUUUGUUGCAAAAUAGGAGAUAAAAAACUAGCUACCAACAAGCUGGUUGGUUUGAAGAAAGAGAGGAUCAAGAAAGAAUCCUUGGAAAACUUGGAAGCCAAUGGAAAUUGUGCCCAGACUUACACUCCUCUAGUCCCUAGGCACACGUAAAUGUCCUAGGCCACAAGUUUUAAUUCAAUGACUUUGAUAUCAACAAAAAACUAUUAACUUGAUUUUGACAUAUAAAGGUUUACAAAACUAACUUUAAGUUUUUGAAUAUUCAGCUUUAAUAGAUUAUGAGGAGACUCACGACUAGACUCGCCGAGUCAGAUGAGAGACUCGUCGAGUCUGCUCCAUGCAAGAGCCAUAUAUGUGUUUUUGCUCGAAUCUAAUCCAUUCCAUUCAUAGAUCUGGGUUCCUAGAGCAUGAAUAACACAUAAAGUUUCCAACAAGUUUCCAACUUUACGUGUAGAUAUUCCUCCAUGAGGGUUUUAGGGUUCAAAAUGCACCAAAAGAGUAGAUCUAAGGUCUUCAUGCAAUAUAGGUCCAUAAAGGUAGUAGAUCUGAGCUCCUGGAGCUCAACCAAGUCUAGAUCUAGAGACCAAUCAACUUAUUACGAAAUAUGAUGCACAUACAAGCUUGGGGAAGGGCUCAAGGAAGACUUUAAUGGAGUUAUAAGCAUAUAGACAGGGGGAAAACGAGUUUUACCUCAAGGAAAUCACUGAGAGGACACUAAGAUGCUUGGCUUCCUUCCCUUCCUCUUGAUCUACUCCACUUCCUUCUCAAAAUCUUCAAGAACACACCCUAAAAUGCCUUAAACUCACAAGAACAAGAGUUAGGACGUAUGGAGAGGUUCUGGGGGUGAAUGGGGCGGAGUUGGGGCGCAAAUGGGUGUUUAAAUAAGGUGCAAACCCUUGGAAAUUAGGGUUUCAUCAAACAGCACAAACUCGCCGAGUCCCUAAUAUGGACUCGUCGAGUUGCCAUCUUAUCCGCGCCCCAAAGUCUCGUCUCUACUCGGCGAGUCGGGCCUCUAACUCGCAGAGUCCACGGCCAAAAACACAAAUACUUAAGGCAAAACUCACGUACCAGGAACCAGGUGCUAUAUAUAUAUAUAUAUAUAUAUAUAUAUAUAUAUAGAGAGAGAGAGAGAGAGAGAGAGAUUAUUGUUGUAGAUGUACAUAAUAAUCAAAUAAAAAUAAAAUAACCAUGUGUCCCUUUUUGAGUUUUUGUUUAUAUCAACCUAAUCUUAAAACUUCAUUCAACACAAAAAAAUGUGACAUUUAGGUAUAAAUGGUUUAUUCUUGUCUUGAUAGUUAUUAACUUAAUGGAUUUUUUUGGCUUGGAAUUCGACUUCUAAGAGAUCUAACAUUAUGGUUGGGGGUAUUUCAGAGAAACAUUGUUGAAUCCAAACAAAUGCAUGAUUUCCAAUUUGUGAAAAUCAUAUUCUUUAAGCUAGGAUAGGGGGAAACAACAAAAAAAUACAUAUGUUUUUCCUUUGUAGAUCUAAAAUUCUUAGACUUUUGGCCCUAAGACUAUCUGUUAUACUCUCCACGACAACGAUCGUGGAGAGCUUCCAGAUCAGCCACCGAAGCAACCACGAACCACCCCACUACAACCGGAGUACUCUCCACUGAUAACGAAGAGAAAUAACUAAGAGAGAGACAGAAGAAGGCUGAGAGAGAAGAAAUUUGUCAAGAAGCCAUGAUUGGGCGUUACGUCUCAUCUUCGGCACCAUGAGCCAUCACGAAAACGACGAACCACGACCGGACGGGGUGGUCUGCACGGUUGUUGUCUGUGGCCACGUAGACCACAACUGGGUUCGUGGUCCAUAUACUGGAUGGCCUAAACAUUUUUUUUUGAAACAUGGUACGUCUUGCUUCACCACUUUGUAUGUUGGUCCCACUAGAUAAGAAAAAAGUGUUCUUACCUAUUUUAUCCUUAUUCAGAGCCAAGUAUAGGGAUUUUUUUUACCAGUUAUGUAUUUGACCAAUAGUUUUUUCUUAAUGGGCCAAACACGUAAAAAUACUAUUUUAGCUAAAAAGGAAACAUUUCAAAUAGAUCAAACAUUUUAAUAGAAAUCCAUAGUAUAUUGAAGUAUUUUCAACCAUCCUAACUUGCUUUAAUUAGUCCAAACAAUUUGAUCAUGUUUUAAUACCCUAAUCUUAUUCAUAUUUAAUAUAUUAAUUAUAUAUGAAAUUGAAAAAAGUGUUUGCAGGUUAGCCCAAUACGGUUAAACGGUAUCUUACGGUUUGUGUUUUGAUAUUGCAUCCUACAUGCCAAUUUGCCACAUAUAAGGCUGAUAUAUCUAGAACCAUCGAUUUUUGUGGAAAAGUACGCAAGGUAAUUAGGUAUUGUGACAAACUUACACAUAUUUUAUGAAGAAAUAAAUAGGAGAUAUAAAUAUUCUUUCCCAUGAAUUGCCUACCUUCUUUACUUUUUUGAAGGAUUGGCCAUAGCUAUAUUGUUUUUGUAUUACAAUUUGCAUCGUGGUAUGUUUUUCAUCUUGUUUAACUAUGUUCUUACUCAUAAAAUUGCUUUGUUUGAACUUACGCUUAGUUUCAGGAUUAGUUUGACUAGUAACUUUGAAUAAUAUUUGAUAAGUAGUGGAGCCUUGUUGAUGAAAUCAAUGUGAUUAACAUUAAAUAUCUGGUCAGCAGUGGAACCUUGUCAUAUCAUCAUCUUGUUAAUUGUUUGGUCAUGUAUGCUAAAAAAUCAAAUUACAAAAAGAUGAUGAAGGUAUCAAAAGAAACAAGGAAGCAGGAUCGAAGAUGGACAUUUGCAUUUUACAAGCUGAAUGUACAACCUUUAAUAUAAGACUAUUCUCAAAGAGGAUGGGGAGUGGGGAGGGGAAGAAAAUUGAUCCAGGUCUUAUGCAUUCCAAAUGCAGGUACAUUCCUACAUAAUAAAGGAGGCUUAAAAGAGAAGAAAAGUGAUACCGAAGAUGCAUAUGAGGAACUAAUCUUGGAAGAACUACAGAAAACACAUACUUAACUAUUUGAAAAAUAGCCAAGGCAUGCAACUUAAAUGAAUCCCAGACCAUAAAUUUCCCAAGCCACCAUUUGCAAAAGUGUGCUUCACCUAAAAAAAAAAUGAAAAAUGAAAACGAUAUCGUUUUGGACGUUGUUGACUGUGGAAAGUGAAAUCAUCUGUGAUUUAAAAAAAAUGUAUUAUCAUGUCAUGUUGACUGCGAAAUUCAAAGACCAUACUGUGAAAAUCAUAACCUAUGGUAUGAAAAUUUGCACAUUGUAGAGGAUGUUAUCUUAUAAGAGAUUGCUUUGUAAAAAAGAGUUAUCAAAACCAAUUGUCUGCAUUUUUUAGCACAAUUUUCACUAUGUUUUUUCUUCUGAUUUCCUUAGCAAUUUUUUCCACCUUACCCUUUUGCUCUUGCCGAGAUAACAUGAGUUCAAACAUUGUACAUGACUAAUUGUUGUUUUUUGUUGGUGGUUGAUGGCAGUUAGAAACAACAUGUUUAUACAAUGCAACAAAUCGAUAUGUUGUUGGUGGGAACCGAUCUAGCAGCAGAAGAGGGUCCGGUAGUAAAAGAUGGAAAAAGUUUUGCUAAGAACAGAUACAUAGAAGAGGUAGCAACAAUCAAAUAGGUAUCUGUAUCUCUCUAAAUGAUUAUCACGAUGUUGGUGGAUAUGUUGCGUUCCAAUAACAACUCAAUUCACAAGUAGUUUCUGAAAACCAAUACACGUAUUGACAAAUUCAAUAUGUUGAUCCCAGAAGAUAUUCUGUACCAUAUCAAACACUAAUACCACCAUAUCAAACGUCGAUAACACCAUUUGAAAGGCCGAUUGUAUAAUAUCAAAUGCCAAUUAUACAAUACAACCUAUUUUUCCAUUCUAAAAAGUGGGUCGCCGAAAGGAGAGGAAAGUGGUAUUGAAGAUGCAUAUAUAUGUGUAACUAACCUUGGAAUAACUGUAGGAAACAUACACUCAACUACUAGAAAAAUGGACUAUGGUCUGUAACUCAAAUGAGUCCAUGAACCGCAAUUAACUAUUUUUGUUGAUUAUCAAGACUAGCUAAGAGUAAACGUAAAUAAGAAUAAAAGGCAAAUACAAGUAGAAAGAAGUAUAUUGAAUCAAAUUGUAUCUGAAUUGAAAGCAACAAAAAGGAAUAUCAAGAUGUUAAACCCAUGAAAUCUCAAACCCAUUGAAAAUCUUGCAGCAUGACAAUGCUCAAAGACACAUCAAGGGCUUACACUCAAGAAAAAAGGUGAUAAAACAAAAAACCUAUUGCUUUUGUGUAUGCUCGACGGCUUUGAGUUAUCUUAUUAUUUAUUCCAUAUCUUGAUGUGUCUGAGCAUGUUGAUGUUGUAAUUUGAUAACUUUGCAUCAGUUCUGUACUCUUCUCUUUGCGUAACCAUUCUAUUUCAGCUUCCCUUUGGAUUUGAAUUCUAUGUUACCUGCUGAGUUGAUUUAAGUCCCACCUUCAAAUUUUCUUCAAAAGUUACCUCUUGCUAAACCCCUCAUAAGAAAUGUUCAUGCACAAACUCCCACCUAUUCAAUAAAUCUUGCUAAAUCCCUGAAUUAAAUCACAGAAACCAAUAAAAGAUGAAGGUGUAAGAAACAAAACACCACCAAAAACCACAACAACCAUGCAUGUACGGUGUUGUUUAUCAUUCAUAAUAACAUAACCAAGACCAAAACUUUCCCCCUUUGCAUGAAAAAAGAAAAAGAAAAUUUACAAAUAGAAAAAUAGAUAAUAAGUGGAUACCUGAUUCUUACUUAACUAUUUGAAAAAUAGACCAAGAUAUGUAACGUAAAUGAGUCCUUGAUUUUACAAUUAACUAUUGUUGUUGAUGAUCAAUACGAACCAAGAGUAAAAGUAACAAUUUGGAAAAGCAAAAUACAAAAAGAAAGAAGUAUAGGCAAUAAACUCGUAUUUGAUUUGAAAGCAACAAAAUGGAAAAUCAAGAUGUUGACCACAGGAAUUGUCAAACCCAUGGAAAUUCUUGCAGCAUGACAAUGCUCAAAGACACAUCUAGGGCUUAAACACAAGAAAAAAGCAAUAACACAACCUUGACUUCUUUUAAGUUUUUUCUUUAUUGAUUCCAUAUAAUGUUGUGUCUCCAAUAAUGAUGUGUCUGACCAUUUACAUGUUGUAACUCGAUAACUUCUUGCAUCAUAUCCGUAUUCUCUUUUGGUAGUCGUUCUAUCUCAGCUUCCAUUUGAAUUGUUCACUGAUUUGUUACCUGCUGGGACUAAUUAGACUGCCACCUUGGAAUGUUCUUCAAAUGCAACCUCUUGCUAGACCCUUCAACAUCGUUCACUUGCAAACACCCAUCUGUCCCAAUAAAUCUUGAGAAAUCCCUGAAUCAAACUAUACAAACCAGUAAACGAGAAUGCGCACGAAAUUAAACAACACCAAAAAACCAGAGAAACCAUGUAUUUUGUUAUUUUUUGUUCACAAGAGUAGGGCCAAAACAUCAACCAAGGCCUAACCUUUCAGCUUUCAUCCUUCACCCAAUCAUCUUCUUCCUCAACAUGAAAAACAAGAACAUCAAGAAAAAAAAAUCGAUAAUGAGUCGAUCGAUUACCUGAUUCUUAGUUGGAGCCAUGGAGAUGAAAAGUGGUGGAUGCUACAACAAGUCAGUGCGAGAGAAGUAGCAGGUGAUCAAGAGCACAAUAGCUUAUUACAAAUGUCAUACAAACCUAUAGUCUAAUAAUAACAACUUGAUAUUAUAUAAAUACCGAAUAUAACAAACAUUCCAAGAUUUAAAUUAUAAAUCCACGUUACAAACACAGAUCCAAAGAUUCACUGAUAAACAUAUAUCCAAGAACUACUCGGAUUCCAAGGAUCUAUGUGGCUUCUUGUCCUCUCUUCAUCUUGGCAACUCUUACCACGAUUGCAACGUAUAUCUUGUCCACAGUUUCAUCAGCAAACAUGAAAAUCUUGUGUCUCCAGUGCUUCUUCAACAACAAAACUCCAAUAACACCCCAAAACCCUGUCGCAAAACCACUCAUAAUAUCUAGGUAAAACCACCAUACCUUCAUCGACUCCUCAGCUGCUUUAUGUUUCUUCUUGGGCAUUGUGAUUGGGUCUUGAUGAUCUGAGCAAUCCUUUGGCAAUGGAGGUCCACAAAGAUCUCUGUUCCCAGAAUAUAUUGAUGGAUCAUCAAUAAGGGUCUGCAACUGACUUCCUGUUGGAAUUCAUCCCGACAAGUUGUUGUGUGACAGAUUCAGAUGGCUCAAAAAAGUCAACGCUGCCAUGCUUGGAGGGAUCAUCCCGGUCAACUUGUUUCCAUAUAAAUCGAGGGAUUCUAACCUUGUCAUGUUUCAAAUGCUGUAUGGAAUCAUCCCACUGAGAUGAUUAUUGGACAAUUUGAGACCCAACAACGUACAAAGUGCAGUUAGCUCGACAGGUAUUACUCCAACAAGUUUAUUGCUUGAAAGGUCCAUGUUGAAAACUAUAUCCCAAUUUGUUGUAUAUUCAAGAUCAACACCUUUCAUCACCUGAAUCACAUUCUCGUUGGGAUCAUAAAUGACAUUAUACUGCUUUUCUGCACCCUUCACCAUUGCAUUCAACUCUCUUAGGCAAUGAGGGAUGUUUCCCCUUAAGUUGUUGUAUGCAACAUCCAAAAUUUGAAGUUUCGACAUUUUGCACAAAGAUUCUGGAAUUUCCCAUGUAACCUUAAAACCAUCAAAUCUGUCAGCUUUUCUCCGAUCCAGUGGGGUAUGUUUCCGAACAGUUGAUUAUCACCCACAUCUAACACUCUUAAAGCUUGUAAAUUUCCCAAUUCUCGGGGAAGUUUACCUGUGAACUUAUUGUCGUUCAGUUUUAACCAAUACAAAUAUGAAUGCUUGAGACCUAUAUGGCUUGGAAUGACACCUGAAAGCAAAUUCGAGCUUAAUAUCAGGUUUUGCAACUCUUGGAGAUUCUGGAGACACUUGGGAAUUCUCCCUGUUAACCUAUUUCUGGAAAGGUCAAGAUAUCUUAAAUCUGUCCUUCUGCACAGUGACCUUGGAAUCGACUCGUUGAAAAUGUUAUUUACCAGUAUUAAUGCCUCUACAUAUACCACAUAUUUCUCAAAGACAUUUUUCCCAUUAGGAAGGUUUGUCAAAGGUCCAUUGAGUUUGUUGUGAGAGAGAUCUAAGAAAUAAAUGACAGGCAUCUCCCGCAACCAUGUGGGCAGAGGUCCAGAAAUUGAAGCAUUCGACAACACUAAGACAGAGAGCUCCCUUUGAUUUCGAAGCCACUGCGGAAAUCCAUUUGUAAUAUUGCAAGAACUGAGAUGAAGAAUUCUCAAUUGGAAUGGAGGAAUCCACUCACAUGAAACAUUGAAUGUUAACUUGGCGUUAGAAGAAGCAUACAAGUACCUCAACAUGGAAAUGUUAGCAAAAUGGGCUUCGGAAACUACUCCUUCUAAGGAAUUGACUGAGAUAUCUAGUGAAAUGAGUUUGGCAAGUUGCCCAAUUGAGACGGGAAUAGUCCCAUUUAACAAAUUUGAAGAAAGAAGAAUAUCUUGUAAUGAAACAAGUCUUCCUAGAGAUGCUGGGAUGCGGCCUGUUAAGUGAUUGGAUUGUAAAUACAAAGAUUCUAAAGCUGCUAGAUUUCCAAAGGAUUCUGGAAUUGAACCAUUCAAUUGGUUAUAAGAAAGGUUAACUCUGGAAAGAUUCCCAAGGAAUGUAGGAAUGGGACCCGUCAACUCGUUAUCAUGUAGAUCUAAUACCUCUAAGAAUCUUAAUCUUCCUAGAGAUUCAGGGAUUGGACCUGUCAAACUGCUAUUCCAUAGACUUAAGACUCUCAAAUUGGUUAGUCUUCCAAAUGCUUCUGGAAUCGUACCAUUCAAACACCAACUUAAAUCCAACCGCUCCAAAGCAUAUUGGGAGCAUUCUGAAACGUUUUGCGGUGGGUCAAUCCUUUCUAUUUCAGAAGGAUUCCUCAAUGCAAACAACUGUUUCAGGUGACACUGUCUCCAGAUUCCUACAUCCUCAAUAUUCGUAAGCUGGUUAACAGAAAGAUCAAGCUCUAGAAGGUUAGCCAUAAUAGGAACCGAAGAAUGCAGCAUGUUUCUUGAGAGAUCAAGGACUCUUAAGGAACUCAUGUUACUGAAAACAGAUGGAAAUAUGCCUUCAAUUGAAUUCCAGCUAAGAUCCAGGUGUUGGAUGUUAGAAAGCAUACUGAUAUUAAAAUGAGCGGAAGAUAGAAAAGUCUUAUCUAGCCCACAAAGUGACAAAUGCAGCUCUAAUAAAGAAGGGAUCAUGUUUAGCAAGUUUGCAAAGUUCCAUGCCAAACUAAGAUUAAAUUUAGAAAGAUCUAGGAAUGCUAGGGAUGUCAUGUUUCGGAAAAAUCCAGGGAGUGAAGUUUUCAAAGAAUUUAAGCCAAGAUCAAGGUGUUUUAUGUUGGCAAGAAUUCUACUCGAAUUAAGAAAAGGACCAAGAUGGACAUUGGAAAGUCCACAACCACGCAAACUUAACUCUUUUAAUGAAAGAAGAUUGUAAAGCACCAUGUCCAUGUUCUUUGCUCCGCCAAGAUCCACCCAACUCAAAUCGAGAUGCUCGAGUGAUGGAAGGCCAAAAGUCCAUGACAUAUCAUCUGAUGUCAGAUUAUAAUUUGAACUGAGAUCCAAAACCUUUAAAUUAGAAAGAUUUCCAAUGUGAGGAGGAAUAAUACCUUGAAAACCAGCAUAAGAGAGAUUGAGAUAUCUCAGCUGUUUGAAGGAUCCUAUGAACUUAGGGAUCCGGCUUCCACGUAAAUCAUUCCAACUCAAGUCCAGGUACUUGAGAUGCCUCAACUCAGCCAAAGAAGAGUUCACCUCUUUACCAACUAAGUAUUUGUCUCCUUCGCCACCAAAAUAAUAAUCUCCUCUGAGAUUGAGGCUGUCAACCGUUCCAGUGAGACUGUCGCAGUGGAUUCUUUCCCACAGGAAACAAUCCUCCCCCACCCAUGAUGACAACAUUCCUUUAGACUCAUAUUUGAUGUUGUGUUUGAACGUGAGAAGAGCAAGUUGCUCUUUCUAAGAGCAAACCACACUCACAUUUCCAACACCCAAACAAUUAUAUGUGGCUGCAAUCAAAACAACAAACACGAAAAUGAGAUGGAGCCCCAAACCCCUCGGAGUCCCCAUUAUCAAUCCUCCCUAACUCGGUUUAAUUUAGAAGAAAGUUGAAGUGGAAAGGUAUUGUGUUAUGAUGAAGUGAUAGAUUGUUAUGAUGAAGAAACCAGUUCAUUUAUAAUACCACAAAUGAAGACAAAGCUCUUAUGCACUCUGCAACAUGAACUCGCUGAGUCCAUGGGGGGACUCGACGAGUCCAUGAGUAAACUCAUCCUACUCGUCGAGUAGGUUCUUGCACUCGACGAGUAGGAGCCACAGAAUGCAGUUUUUACGAGUUUUGCUGCUGGAAAUGGACUAAAAAAAUUACCCUAAACUGUUUUGCUACUAGAAAACUUGUUUUAGAUGGUGUAAUGGUUAUGCUAAUCCAUUUUCAAUAGCUAUUAUCAGAACUUCAAGUUUUAUAUGGUUAAUUUUAUGAUUCUUGAAAUCGUUGAUAUGCAUGUUCAUGAACUUGUGAGUUUAGAAGAUCAUAGGAAUUAUUUGUAACUUGCUUGUUAGUUUAAAUCUUGAUCAUUAUGUGUUUUAAUGGAAUCUAUAAUUUGUCCUCAAGUUAUGGAUUGCCAAAAGUCACACUUUUAAAGACCAUUAAAGAAACACAUAAGUUACAUAAAAUGAAAAGUCAAUCAUUUUAUUAAACCAUUAAUUCAUAAAUUAUGAAAGAUGAAAACUUUUGAAAGUUACAAAACUUGCCCUCAAGUUUUGGAACAUGUAAAGUCACUCUAAAAACUUUAGUUCCAACCCCUAGAAUUUUAAAAGUUAAAAUUCAACCGUUAUACUUUAUAAUAUUAUAUUAUAAGUUUAAUAAUAAUUAUAUAUGUAUAAGUAAAAUUCGUUUUACCAUUACUCUUAAGAGUAAAUCAGUUGUUAUCACUCCUACUCCUACCGCGACCCCUAUCUUCGCAAUCGAACAAGGCAAAGGAAAGAAGAGGAAGAGCCCUUCGAAGGGUACCAAGGGAAAGUCUCUUGAUGGCUCCUCUUCAAGUGGAACCAAGAAAGGUUUUGUCACUCCUUCUGCUAACCCUAAAGAGGUGGAAUGCUUCUAUUGCCAUGAAAAGUUGCAUUGGAAGCGAAACUGCCCAAAGUACCAGCAAGUCGUGAAGGAUGGGAAAGUUAAACCCAACCAUGAAGGUACUUGACACGAUUAGCAUGGUCCAUUUGGGUUGCAUGGCAUCAUGCAUUUGUAUAGACUAAAAUGAAAGAAAUAACACUUAAGGUUUAUUAAUAUAUUAUAAGUUCUAAUAUAUUAAUAGUAUUAUUUAAUUAGUAUUGAUCAAGAAUUAAUUUGGAAUUACUUAAGUGAUCAAAAGAAGACUAAUUAAAUAUAUGGGUUGAUUGUGUAAGUCAUCCAUACUUGUAUAGUGGGCUUAUGCUCCAUGGAUUAUCAAGUUGGGCUAAAACUCAUAGGAUGCUCCAUGGAUGUUCCAUGAUGUUUAUAGAACCCAUGGGUCAUGGAAAUGAAAAGUUGUGACAAUUAGGGUUUACAUAGUGUAACCCUAAUUGCAACACGCUAUAUAAGCAUCAUGUUGUAGACCAAAAUUGGCCACUAAGGAUACAAUUGAGGGCUAGCCAAUUUCUAAGUGUUCUUCAUUUCUCUCUAAGUUAUUCCAAGUGCAUUUGGUGUUGUGUGAGACAUUUAAGGCAUCACACUUGAGGUGCUAGGCUCACAAGAUUUUCAAGGAAUCCAAACUAGUACAAGGUAUGAAUUUCUUACUCACUUUUAUGAUUAAAAAUUCCUCAUGUAUGCUAGAUAGGUUAUAAACCUUGGAAAAACAAAUUUGCAUGUAUCAUAGAUAAAACAUAGAUCCAAGGUUUUUAGGGUUGCAUGUACACCAUAGGAGUGUUAGAAUGCUCAAAACCCUACAUUGUACCUGAACCUAGGAAAAACACAAGAGCUAGAAAAGCUAUAUCUUUUGGAUCUGAUUUUCAACUUUAUUUGGUUGAAGGAACAAGGAAUGAGACUAUAUGUCAACAUCAAUAUUGUUUUAAUAUUGAAGAGGAUCCAAAUACUUUUAGUGAAGCUAUGGCUUCUAAAGAUGUUCAGCAAUUCAGGAUGUAAUUGAUUCUAUCAUGCAUAACAAUACUUGGGUAUUGUCUAGUUUACCUCCUGGUUGCAUGGUUGCAAGGUAUUGGGAAGUAAGUGGAUCCUCAAAAGAAAAAUGAAGGUGGAUGGAACAAUUGAUAAGUAUAAAGCCAGAUUGGUUAUCCAAAGCUUUAGGCAAAAAGAAGGCAUUGACUUCUUUGAUACUUAUGCUCCUGUUGCUAGAAUUUCCACAAUUAGAUUAUUGUUAGCUCUUGCAGUUAUACAUAAUCUUGUGAUUUACCAAAUGGAUGUGAAAAAUGCAUUCUUGAAUGGUGACUUGGAUGAGGAAAUUUACAUGAAACAACUUGAAGGGUUUGUGAUGCCUGGUAAUGAACAUAAGGUGUGCAAGUUGAAGAAAUCAUUAUAUGGUUUGAAACAAGCACCGAAACAAUGGCAUCAAAAGUUUAAUGAUGUGAUAUUGUCUAAUGGUUUUGCAUUAAACCAGGGUGAUAAAUGUGUAUAUAGCAAAUUUGAUUCUUCUGGUAAAGAAAUUAUAAUUUUUCUAUAUGUUGAUGAUGUAUUAAUUUUUAGUACCGAUCAAGGUGAAGUUGAUAAAACCAAGAAAUUCUUUUCAUUGUUGGAUUAUUUAUUGUGUUGUGUCAAAUUUACUUUGUAAGUAAUUAGCCUUUAUCAAACGGAUUGGGCUUGUCCAUACGUCAUUAUGGUGCUAGGGUUAGGUUAUAUAUAUUGCAUGCAUGUAUUGUAUUAGGGUUAAUCGUUUUGUGAUUCCCUACUUUGUCUUUACAUAAAAGUUCAAGUCGAACUCUUCUAAGGCAUUGAUUAUUAAUCAUUCAGCACAACUUCGAUUAUUGUUCUUCCUGUUUUGAUUCAUAUUAUUGUUCUGAAUCUAUCACUCUAUUAUUUAUUGUUUCAACAAUUGGUAUCAGAGUAGGAGAUUGUGUAAACCAUACACAAUUCUUCUGUCGAGUGUUAUUAGUGUUUUUCCGCUUUUACUGGAUCUGUUCUUGCCGUCUUCAUCAUUUUCAUCAAUUGUAGAUGUUGGAUCUUGAUCCUUAUUGUGCCCUUAACUCGAUUAUCGUUUUACACAUUUGACUCUUUACAGCCCUUUGCGAAUCAACAUCAUGCAACCAGAAGACCCUCAUACUAUCUCCUUUAAUAUAUUGUUCUACUACCAGGAUCCUUAUUCUCUUUCCACAAGACUAUGUAGUAUGGGCUUUACACUUCGAAGACUACGUUCUUGGUCUUGAAGAUCAUGUCACAUUAAUUUGGGAAGCUAUGAUUCAACAGACGUUCACUCACACUGCCAAAAGGAGGGUUAUUAAAACGCGAGCAAAAUACAAUGCUCUUCUUGUUGAUGUUAAAGAUGUUCCUCAAGACGAAAGAGACAAGCUGAUAAGUAAUGUCAAUGCAAUGAGGAUAAUCAGGUUCGCUCUUCCUUCAGACACGUUUCUUCUGGUGAGUUCUUGUGAAACAGCGAAGAAGGUUUGGGAUAGGAUGAAAGAACUCUAUUCGAGUGAUGCAGAUCUUGAGCAGUUAGGUAAAGAACUACUUCUUUCGGAGUUUGGUGCUUUUGCUCAAAAGCCAAAUGAGAAACUCUAUGUUGACUUCAACUUAACAUGCUCCUUUGGAUUGUUAUUUGGGUUUAGCUCUAACAAUGACUAUAUAGUUAGAAUAAUGGUUUUAUGUUUAUUGGGGUGAUAAAAGCAUUGCCAUUCGGAACCAUUCAUUUCAAAGGGAUUAUAUAUGAAUGGAUUUCUACAAGAACUUUCAUGUUUACACUAUGGUUUACUCUGCUUUGUUGCAUUUAUCAUUUUCACUACACCAAUUGUUGUAGAAAUACAUAAAUAAUUAUGUAAAAACAAAAUCACACAUAUGACCCUUUUUGUUUAUAUCGACACAAUCAUAAAACUUCAUUCAACAUAGAAAAUGUGACACUUAUGUAUAAAUAGUUUAUUCUUGUCUUAUAGUUAUUCACUUAAGGGAGGUUUUGGUUUGGUUGAAUUAGACUCCUAAGAGAUUUAACAAUGUGGUUGUGGCUCUUAUAAAGAAACAUUGUGUAAUCUAAACAACUUCAUGAUUUCCAAAAUGGUGGAAAUCAUAUUUUGUAAGCAUGGUAUAUUUUUCAUCAUCUUUAACCAUGUUCUUACUCAUAAAAUUGCUUUGUUUGAAAUUUGACGGUUUUCGGAUUAUGUUUUACUAAUAGUCAAAUUUGAUAAAUAGUGGAACCUUAUUGAUUAAAUGGAUGAGAUUAACAUUAAAUAUUUGGUCAAUAGUGGAACCUUGUCAUAUCAUCUGGUUAAUUGCUUGGUCUUCUAUGUUACAAAAUCAAAUUGAACAAGAUGAUGACAAGUUUCAAAAGAAACAAAGAAGCAUGGAUCGAAUAUAGGAUAAUAAUCUGCAUUUUACAAGCUAAAUGUACAACCUUUAAUAUAAGAAGUUCUCUAGCAAUUGUUUCAUCAUGGACUAUAUUUAAUGUACAUGAAAGGAAGAACAAUGUGUUGCUUUCUUCAAACACUACAUAAAUGAAUUCAAAACCUGAUCAUAUAACCUAAACUAUAUAUGAAGAUGAAAGUACUAUGGUGGCUUUUGUAACACAAGGCAAGAUUUCUAAGACUAUUUUCAAAGAGGGUCGGGCGUGGGGGGAUUGAUUUCUUUUGCACAACCAAAGAACAAGAGCAAGUCACCAUCUCAUCUUUUUGGGCAGGACAAAAAAUUGCAAUUUGUCUCAUUGGCAUUAAUCCCGGUUUUAGCACACCAAAUAUUGGUACAUUUCUAUGUAAUAAAGGAGAUGUAGAAGAGAAGAAAAAUGAUACUAAAGAUGUAUAUGAGGAACUAAUCUUGGAAGAAAACUAUAGGAAACAAGUACUUAACUACUUUGAAAAAUAGAUCAAGAUAUGUAACAUAAAUGACUCCUUGAUUUUACAACUAACUAUUGUUGUUGAUUGAUGGUCAAGACAAACUGAGAGUAAAAGUAGAAACUUGAAAAAGCAAAUACAAAAAGAAAGAAGUAUAUGCAAUCAAUCAACUUGUAUCUAAAUUGAAAGCAACAAAACGGAACAAGAAGAUGUUGAACCGCAGGAAUUGCCAAACCCUUGGAAGUUUUUGCAGCAUGACAAUGCUCAAAGACACAUCAAGGGCUUAAACACUCAAGAGAAAAGUAAUAACACAACAACACAACUUGCUUAUGUCCAUGCUUGAUUUCUUUUAAGUUUUCUCUUUGUGUAAUUGUUUGAUCUCAGCUUCCAUUUGAAUUGUUGUUCAUUUGUUUGCUACCUGCUGAGACUGAUUAGACUUCCACCUUGGAACGUUCUUCAAACGCCACCUCUUGUUAAACCCCUCAGAACCACAUGUCCCAAUAAUUCUAGAGGAAUCUCUGAAUCAAAUCAUGCAAACCAGUAGAAGAGAAUAUGCAAGAAAUUAAACUAACACCAAAACCCACAAACAAACCACAAAAAUCACACAAACCAGUUGUUCUUACUUUAUGUUCAAAAGAGCAGGGACAAAAUAUUAAUCAAUACCUAAACUUUACCCCUUCACCCAAUCAUCUUCUUCCUUAACAUGAAAAACAAGAACAUCUAGAAAAAAAAAAUGGAUAAUGAGUCGAUUACCUGAUUCUUAGUUGGAGCCAUGAAGAUGAUAAGUGAUCGAUGCUGCAGCAGAUUGGUGCAAGAGAAGUGACAGGUCAAGAGCACAAUAGCAUACAAAUAUAGUCUAAUCUAAUAACUAGAUAUUAUAUAAAAAUACUGAAUGAUAAAUACAACAAACAUUUUAAAAUUGAAACCUUUAAACAACAUCCACAUUACAAACAUAGAUCCAAAUAGUAGCAUUAAAACAAAAACUUCAUUGAUAACAUAUAUCCGAGAAUUACUUGCAUUCCAGAGCGCCUAUACAGCUUCUCUUCCUCUCUUGAUCUUGGCAACUGUUACCAUGACUCCAACGUAUAUCUUGUCCAUGAUUUUCUCAACAAACAUGAAAAGCCUCCAUCUCCACUGCUUCUUCAACAACAGAACUCCAAUUACACCCCAAAAACCUGUUGCAAAUCCACUCAUGAUGUCCAGGUAAAACCACCAUACCUUGAAAACCAGCAGCAGAGAGAUUGAGGUACAUCAGCUGUUUGAAGGAUCCAAUGAACUCAGGGAUCCGGCUUCCACUGGCAACAAUCCUUACCCACCCAUGAAGACAAGAUUAUAAACUCAAUUUUGAUGUCCAAUCAUUUUACACAACUAACUACAAGAAAAUAAUUUUUUUGUUAUUAUUUGACUUGACAUGGUUGAUGUGCCAAGCCCAAGCCUAAUUAAAAGAUACUUUCUUCUNNNNNNNNNNNNNNNNNNNNNNNNNNNNNNNNNNNNNNNNNNNNNNNNNNNNNNNNNNNNNNNNNNNNNNNNNNNNNNNNNNNNNNNNNNNNNNNNNNNNAAAGAAUAUGUUCUCGACAAGGAUCUUAACGAACUUGAGUCGUCUGCUACUCCUAAGGAGAUCGUUGAAUAUGAGGCACAUGAAAGAGAUGCUACCAAGGUGGCAUGCAUCAUGUUGGCCACUAUGACAGCCGAGCUCCAAAAGUCCUAUGAGGACUACUAUCCUUUUGAGAUGCACUAGGAUUUAAUGGACCGCUACCAUCAGAGUUGUAACAACCCAAAAAUCAUGACUAAAAAUUUCUUUAAAAACAUUACUAAAAUCAUAUUUAUAAAAACUGUAUCAUAAGUCAUAACAUAAAUUCUCGAGUAUUAAUUCAAAACAUAAUAUCAUUAUCAGAGUCAAACAUUCCCAGGCUAACUGACUAUGAUGUGUGCACUGCAAUCUUUCCCGAGCUCCUCUUUUGAAAACUGAGUACCUGAAACCAAAACUGAAAACCAUAAGCACGAAGCUUAGUGAGCUCCCCCAAUCUACCACAUACCAUGCAAUAACCUAUAAAGCACAUACUAGGCCUUGCCCACUGCAUCGGACCGAGGUCCGGACUGACUGGGGCCUUGCCCCCUGCAUCGGACCGAAGUCCGGAAUCUGACUGGGACCUUGUCCCCUGCAUUGGACCGAAGUUCGGACUAACUGGGGCCUUGCCCCCCUGCAUCGGACUUAAGUCCGGAAACUGACUGGGACCUUGUCCCCUGCAUCGGACCGAAGUCCGGAAACUGACUGAACAUAGCAUAGCAUAACAUAUCAACUAGCAUGAACACAUAUACUGCAUAUUGCAUCGGGCUGUAGCCCGGAACACAUAACACAUAAAUCCUGUCUGAGCCACGAAGGCAUCAAACAUACUAACUACUGCAUCGGACCGAAGUCCGGAAACUACUGCUAACUGAACGGGUCGGCAUUGUGGCCUUAGACCCGUUCCUACUGGAAGGAAACUCACCUGAUACUGCUGAACUGCUGCUGCUAAUCCCUUUGACUGCUACCUGACCUCUGACUUCGAACUGCUGCUCCACUAGCUCCUCGAGCUACCAAUAUCAAUAUAACACUUAGUCCAACUGACCUCCAAACGUCAACUAAGUCACCUCUGGUCAAAGUCAACCUUCUGGGUCAACCCUACUUGCCGAGUCCACCUAAUGACUCGCCGAGUUCAUAUGCUCAGGGUCUUUCUAUUCGCGACUCGACUCGUCGAGUCAGUCCAUGACUAGCUGAGUCAACUAUUCCCGAGUCCUGACCUGUCCAACUCGCUGAGUCUCCACACAACUCACUAAUCUGAGCCUUGACUCGAAGGGUUUGGGGUUUCGCGACUUGACUCGCCGAGUCCAUGAACAGACUCGUCGAGUCCAAGGCAAUCUUCAACAGACUCGCCGAGUUGUUCAUCCAACUCGUCGAGUUCAUCUCCAUCUUCAUACUACUCGCCGAGUCCACUCAAAGGACUCGNUUGUCAUGGAAGACAAUUUAUAUCCACAAACUUGUAUUUUUUGGUCUUGGGAUAAUUUUCAAUUUUUCUUGAUCAAUUUAAGUCCUUUUUUGGCUACUUUUGCAUGAAAUACGUAAUUCUGUUUAAGUCCUUUUUUGCCUAUUUUUUUUUUUUAUCAAUCAAAAUUAAAUGGUCUAUAAUGCACCUACAGUUGGCAUGUUACAAUCAUAUUUUAUCCUAAAAUAUCUUUAAUAUAAUUAGAUUUAAACAUUAAAGAAAUUAUAUAAUAGUUUUUUGAGUAAAUUACAUGAAUGGAGUCAUGUAGUUUUGGGUAAUUUGUGUGUAUGGUCCUUAACUAUUUUUUCUAACUCGGACGGUCCUUAUAGUUUGGUUUUGUUUAGGUUUUGUGUCCCCAAACAAAUUAAUAUGACUAUCUUGCUCUCAAUGUAGAUUAGCAUAAACCACAGGGACCAUUUGUGUAAUUUACUCUAGUUUUUUCUUUUAAGUUUGAUACCACUAUUGCUACAAUUUUUUUGGCUUGAAUUGGAACACUGUUGGGUAUAUUCUAUGUUGAAGGUCAUCACUAGCCCCAAUAGAAUCAUGUUAUUGUCUAGAAGAAGUUAGCAUGUUCUAGAAUGAUCUGGAAGAUUCUAGAACAUUAUGGAAUACUAUGGAGAAGUCUAGAAGAUGCCAGAAGAUUCUAGAAUACUCUAGAACGAGAUGGAAGACCCUGGAAGGCUAUGGAACAUUCUAGAACACUAUGGAAGGCACAAGAAUGUCUAUACUUAUCUAGGACAUUAUAGAACAUUCUAGAAACAUAUAAAAGCUUGUAAUUGAUAUAGAAUAUGGUAGAUAGUUCUAGAAUAGUCAUGAAUUUAUGUAGAUCUAGAAACUUCCUAUAAGGAGGUGGAAACACCUAUAAAUAGGUGUGGAGCUCAUUUGCUCCAAAUCAAUCCCAACAUCCAAACCAUCCAAGAAAGCCUCAAAGAAAGCAAAGUGUAUUGUAGUCUCACAAAGUGUAAGAUCUUCUUAAGCGUCUUAAUAAAAGUCUUGUUGCUUCCCAUAUAAAAGAGUCGUGUUCAACAAUCUGGUAUCAGAGCAAGGUUUCUUGAUAGUGAGAACGAGUGAUUCUCGUUGUAUCGUGAGUAGUUUGUGACUCUGCAAGUUUAGUAUCGAAACUAGCUUGUUUGGUAUUACCGAGGUACUGCCAACACGAUGGGUGAUCUCCAAGUCGUCGGAGGAAUCAAGAAACUCAACAACAACAACUACAAAACGUGGGAAACAUGUAUGAAGUCCUACUUACAAGNGCCAAGUCUAUCCCCCUUGGAAGAAGCAAGUGUAAUUGCAAUAAAAAAAAAAAUUUUAAACAAUUAAAAAGGAAUUGAAUAUAAUAUAGUAUUUGGCAAGAUUACUAUUAUAUUAGAAGUCACUACAAAAGACUUGGAAGUCAAUGGACAGUUUGUAGCCACAAACUGGUAUUUUUUUUCUAUGCCCCAAGGAAAACACAAAUGUAUUUGGCCACAAGUAUUUUUCACAAAAGAAAUUUGAGUCAACUUCUCCCUAANGAAUACCACUUCCCAAAGAAUUUCUACAUUACCCAUCAGCUUUCAUUUUAUCCUUGUUUGUUCCUCUAAAUACCUUUUUAAUGUAAGUAAAUACAAUAUGAUGUAGAGAUGACAAUUCCAACCCAUUUAUAGAAAAAUGGGUUGAUUUAGGUCAUUCUUUAUAUCUAAUUGGUCAAACAGGUCAGCCCGGUUCCAAAACUCAUUUAUAUGUGUUAAAAGUUUGUGAGCUGUUUUAAUAACCAAUUAAUAUCUUACUUCUUAAAACACAGUUUUAAUAAGUUUUCUUAAAAUAUUUAAGGCAUUCCAGUAAACACUUAUGAUAUUUUAAAACACACAUGCACUUAGAAGAAGCACUGAUUUUGUUGUCUUUNCUAGCUACCAACAAGCUGGUUGGUUUGAAUAAAGAGAGGAUCAAGUUUUAAUUCAAUGAACUUGAUAUCAACAAAAAACUAUUAACUUGAUUUUGACAUAUAAAGGUUUACAAAACUAACUUUAAGUUUUUGAAUAUUCAGCUUUAAUAGAUUAUGAGGAGACAUACUCUCAUGUGGUAGAAGCAACUACUUUGUAAUAAGUUAUCAGUCUCACAAUAUAAGAAAGAUUGAAUUGCAUAUGAUGGAUCUUACUGCUGCCUAUUUGUACGCCUCCCAUGAUACCAAUCUUUUAUAUAAACCUCCCUCAAAGAUUUAAACCACCAUAAACAUGUAAGAUGGGAUCUCAAAAACACUUUGAUCAAACUAAACAAGUCAUUAUAUAGACUAAAACAAUAUGAGCGUAUAGUGAUAUUUGUGGACAUAAGGAUACAAAAAUUGUUCUAACACAACUUUAUUUGAAUAAGAAAUAUUCAUUGGUAGUUUGCAGCACAUUUAAGUGUGAUUUAAACAAGUCAUUAAUAUAUUUUGCUAAUCAUACAAGACUUGAUAUCUCGUCCUCUGUAGAUUUAGUUUGUUGGUCCGGAAGUAUCACAUCAAUGUACAUGUAUAUGUAUUUUAGUGUAUCUAUAUGUAUAUCAAUGUAUGUGUGUGAGUAUUUGUUGGUGUAUCAAUGUACAUGUAAUAUACUAAUAUGUCUACCAAUGGAUCCUACAAACGUGUUUAACUUUAACAUCACCCGUAAUAUUGUUCUUAUGAGACAUGACAAACACACAUUUCAUAAAGGAACAACAUAACAUGUCAAGUGUACUAACCUUUAGAAGAUGUUGCAAUCAGCAUAAUUAAUGCUUGAAACUUGAUACAACCACUGAGACAUCCAAUAUGAUCAACAAGUCACCUGAAACACCACAAAAGCAAUCAACAAAAAUGCUUAAUACCACCAAACUCAACAACAACAAUUACCAGCAUAUAUGAUACCAUUGCAUUCUAUUUGGGAGAGAAUAAAUAGUUCACUUUCUUGGUAAUUAUGAUAAACAAACAAGCUUACUCAUUAUAAUUAUCAGAUAAUAAAUUCAUUCUACUUACUGUAUAUAUGAUCUCUAAUUUUGGUAUAUGUUCAAAACAAAACGAAAGAAGAAAUGCAUAAAAAUCAUCACUGCAAAAGUUAACUUGAGGAACAAGUUUAGGGACACUAGAAAGCAUAUAAUGUAAAUAAUGAUUGAGAACAUGUGCAACCAUGAACAUAGCAAUCAAGAAUCAUCACUACACAAGUUAACUGGAUGAAGCAUAAUGGUACAAAUAUCUGACAUAGAAAGGACAGUACCUACUGAAAAAGGUAUACAGAACUCAAACUUUAUCUCAUACAUUUUCAUAAGAAUAUAGCUUAUCAGUGUUAAUUAUGAAGUAUACUUAGUUUAACUUGUUAAUAUUAUCAAUUNAUGAUAUAAUAGUUAAGUAUGUGAUCUUGCUAACGUAUAUCAUCAUUAAGUAAAUUAAAACAUUAAUAAAUAGAAAUUACAAUUUCAAUAUAUAUAUAUCAUCUAUCAUUUUCUUGAAAUUUUACCCAAUUCUAAAGGGAUUCCCGGGAUUUUGUUUCUGUUGCUGUUUUGUUGUGUAAUUGUUUAAAUCUUUGUUUUCUUCUAUUUUUUAAAAAACAUUACUGUAAUGAUUAUGAAACUUCAAGNUUGUUAAUAUUAUCAAUUUAACAGUUCUUAUUAUAAGUUACAAUGUCACGUCUUGUGAUUUUAAAAUAUAUACCAACACCAAAACAUAAAGAGAUUUUCAGAUAUUUUCAUCUCAUUCUUUAUUUCUAAUAGUUCACAUAAGUCAACCGAGUUCAAAAACUCAUUUAAAUGUGUUAAAGCUUGUGAGUUGUUCUAAUAACCAAUUAAUGUUUUACUUCUUAAGACACAGUUUUUUAAUAGUUUUCUUAAAUUAUUUAAAACUAUAAUAAAACACCCACCUACAUCUGUGUAUAAAGCUUUUAUACUCCUUUAGUUCUCAUUGCACAUGUAAAUGUCUUAGGCCACAAGUUUUCAUUCAAUGAAUUAGAAGUCAACAGGAAAUUAUAAACUUCAGUUUAACGGUUUAAGGUUUGCAAAAAUAAAUUGCAAGUAAAGAAGUUUUAGAUUAUUUGAGCUUAACAAGGUUGAUGUUUUAAUCCCAAUAAAAGACAUGUUCUACAACUUCAAGUCUAAAUUCUAUGCCCCAUGGUAGACGUAAAGGUAUCUGGCCACAAGUUUUCUCACAAUGAUUUUAAACAUACACAGAAAAGUAGUGCCAUAAUGCACAAAGCAUAUUUUUUUCUUAUAGAACUUUCCAUGCAACUUAUUUCUAACAAUGCUUUUGUGGAAAUUUUGGAGUAUGUGUCUUUGUUUAGUAUGCCUAAGCUGCAUUGAUUUCUUCAUUCUUUACCAUUGAUAAGGGUGAGCUACUGAUAUUUUAAGAGAUAUUGCCAUAAAAGUGUUUUUCAAACAUAGUUCUCUGAAAAAUUAGAACUCCAUAUAAAACUUCAGUUUUUCAAAUGGAAAAAAGAUUUUGUUCUUCAACUUCAAAAUCAUAUUCCAAUACAAAAUAAUAUAAAGGUCAUAAAACUUCAGUUUUUCAAAUGGAAAAAAAGAGUUUGUUCUUCAACUUCAAAAUCAUAUUCCAAUACAAAAUAAUUAAAGGUCAAUAUGCCUCUGAAAAAUUCAAACAUUAAUCUUUCAUUAAAAAGUCCAAAACCUAUUUGACAGAAAGAUUUAAAAACUUUGAAAGCUAAAAUAGAAACUUGGAAGACUGUCUAAUAGCAAUAGUAAAUGAAAGACUUAAAGUGAUGAAUAGAUUUUCAAAAAAUUUCAGACUCUUGUUAGCUUCUUUAUUUACAAAAGGACUAACUCAAAAAUAAAAACUAAUAAGAUACACAAUGCAAUUCAAAAAAGAAAAAGAACAAAAAAACUAGGAGUAUAUAAAGAAAGAAAAUUUUCAUUGUCAUUUAUAGUGGUUCAGAGUUCAAACAAAAUUUUGUCUUUAGUUUAGAGAUUGAGUAUUGUGCACAAAGAAGCUUAUACUGAAAAGGUGCUAAAACAAUUUUAUAUGGGCAAGGCACAUUCAUUGAGCACGGGAAUGGUUGUAACAUCACUCCAUUUUCAUAGACCUUUUUCAACAUCCUAAAGAUUACAUAUUAUAUAUAUGUUCCAUUGGAGAGAUUUCUUUAUCUCGCUAGCCAUACAUGAUUUCUUAUACCAUUUCUCCAUAUAUUAGUUAAUCCGGAAGCAUCCAUGUAUCUAUGUAUGUGUAUGUAAUUAUGUAUAAUGUAUCUAUGUAUCUAUGUAUCUAUGUAUCUGUAUUUUUUUGUUAGUGUAUUUGUAUGUGUAUCAAUGUAUAUGUAUAUAUGCAUUUGUAUGUGUAUCCAUUGCUAUUAUGAGAAAUUGCAAAAACACAUUUCAUAAAGGAACAACAUUUCAAGUGUACUCACCUUUAACAGAUUUGACCCAGAGAAGGCUCCAAUGGCAAAAACACAUGUUUCUGCAUAGGAUGCUUCAAUUCCCCAUACGUAUUAACCUUCAUCCACCCAACAACUCACCUGAAACACCAACACAAGCAAUCACUAUAAAUGCAUAUGAUCACUAAAUGGGUCCAAUUCCCCAAACACAACAAAAACAAUUCCCAUAAACUGCAGAUAUCAUUGCAUUCGAAUCAGAAGAAAUCAGUUCGCUUUCUUCAUAACCAUGAUAAACAAACAAUCUCUUUCUAUUUAUUAUAGGAUACCAAGUUCACUCUAUUAGGUAUAUAAUCUAAACUUUUGUGAACAUGUUAAAAAUAGAACGAAAGAAGAAAUGCACAUAAAUCAUCACUGCAGAAGUUAACUGGAAAGCAUAUGAUGUACAUAAUGAUCUUGAGCAUGAGCAACUAUGCAUAUAGCAAUUACCAGGAAGAUUCAAUAUCGUAUUGAUCUCUGAAAAAUGUAUACAAAACUCAAACUGUUCCUUAUACAUUUUCAUCAGAUUACUUGCUAAUGCGAAUUGAAAAUUUCCUAAAAGUCCUAUGACAAUUAUGAUAUCAUGUAUCAGUAGAUAUCAAUACAAAACCUAAUUUGAUGAUAUUGGAGCAGUUGCAUACAUACAUAAAUAAUAUGUGAAGCUGAGUAAAAUUAUAUAUACAUAAAAUAAAAAUAAAAAGUAACAAUUCCAUUUGUAGAAACUGCUUUCAUAGCAUAUGAAGAACCAAUUCAAUAUAUAGCAGCAAUAUAAAAAACAUGUUUUUCUCCAAUAUUCUCACAGUAAACAAAAGCAUGAAAAGAUAGAGGCCUUUCAUGACCACUGGUCAACAUAGGACUAUAGGUGAUUCGUUGACACAAUAAAAAAAAUACGACUUUAAGUACCAAAGAGUCUACUGAGAAGCAGGGGUUUAAUUGAGUUUGAAGUAUUUCCUCCCUUAAACAGGUAAUUACAGAUUACGUGGUGACAUUGUAUCUACCAUUUGGAGCUGCAAGUGUGUUGCAAAACAGAGGCUAUCACCAUCAGCUUAUAUGCAUCAUUUUACACCAAGCUAAAAUUCUACCUUCUUGUGUUACAGGUCCCAAUUUGUGUGAGAAUUAGGUCAAACAGAAACAUACGAGCAUAGAUGGAUCAUUUCUCAGUAUACAUCAAUGCAAUUGGAUUAUAUUACACAUAAAAGCAUAUAUGUAUCGUUUUCAAAAGCCCUAAAUUCCGAUGCUCUUUGUCUUACAGAUCCCAAUUUGUGUGUUUUGUAGCAUUUUCUGAAUUUUCUUAAAAAAACAAAUAGAGCAAGUUCAUAAAAUCUAGAGAAUUGGGUCAAAGAAAAAAUGAAGAAUAAGAAAACAUACCAAGUGAACACCGAUGACUCAUGAAUCACAAAAGGGGACAUACGAAUCGUCAGUGUAGGCUUCGCAUUUUCCCCGUACUCGUCUAUUUCCCAGUGACGAUAGUUUUGAGAGGACCAGAAAUUUGGGGGAAAUUUUGUUACGAGCAAAUUAUAAAUUUGGUCCCUACCUUUCGUUUUGUUACAGAUAUAAUCCAUUUAGUAACAAAUUUGUUUUGUAUUACCUAUGAUUUUCUAUUUCUUCGAUUGGAUCAUUCAUAUGUAAAGUCCUCAGGUGAAGCAAAUAGAAAUAAGUUAAAAUGCUUAAAAGAUGAUAUUGGGUUACUAUAAUAAUAAUAAUAAUAAUAAUAAUAAUAAAAUAAAUAAAUAAUGAUAUCAUGAAAAGAGGGCUAAGAUGGUUGGAUCCAAAAUAAAAGUUUGAGUAAAUUAUACGAAUGGUCUUUAUGGUUUAAGGUAAAUUGCAUUUUUGGUCUCUAAUUUAUUUUUUAACUCAGAAGGUCCUUAUUGUUUGUUUUUAUUAUACGAUUGGUUCCUGUCUUACCUAAAAAAAACUAUUUUGCCAUUGAUUUUUUAAUUUAUUUAAAUAAAUACACCCUCAAAUACCACCCCCUCACAUUACCUUAGCUACUCAUCAUUUUUUUCCUAUUUGGGUAAAUUACACCAUCCGUCCCUCGUGUAUAUGUAGAAAGCGUGUUUAGUCCUUAUUUUCAAAAAUUAACUCGGACCGUCCCUGAAUUUGUUUUUUCUUGCAUGGUUAGUCCCUAUUGACAUAAAAUGACUAUUUUACCCUUAAUAAUUUUUAUUUUAUUUUUUUUGUUACUUAUUUAUCAGUGUAUAGAUUAAAAAAAAGUAAAUAUCCCACCCCUCCCCUCCCCCUAUCCCUAGUUUCCUUCUCCCUCUCUCUCAUUUACACUCACAACCGACAAUUACCCAACUCCGGCGCUCCUUCUCCUUUCUCCGGCGAUACCAACCUUUUUCUUUCUCUAUUUUUCGAUCAUCACCCACUACAAGUGCUGGCAGCUGCGAAUGGUGGUUCUUUGUCGCAUUCUUCUAAAGUCCAAUAUUCCUCCCCCAAUUUUAACUAAGAACUACAAUUUGUGUGACAACUUGAUACUUUUACACUGAGCAAUCCAUCCAUAUAUCUAAAAUUCACUUGAAUUUAGCAUCUUUUAAAAGUAUGUUGAGCCCGCGCUAGUGUUUUAGGCUUAAUAUAUAAGAGAUAUGGACUUAGGAAAGAUUAGGAAGGGUGCUGCAUCACGAAAUCCAACCAAACACACCAAGAGAGGUGUGUGCGGCCAAGCCAGCCGCACACCUAGCAGCAAACCCCUCCAGCCUCACACUCAACCCUAUAUAAAGUAGAGGACCCCCUUCCAUUCACUUUUGGCUGCAUCCUUUCUCUCUCUAUACUUUCCCUCUCUAGAAAACCACCCAAGAACACCUAGAAGACUCCCAAAACGUGAAGAACACCAUCAUUUUACUUGUCAUGGAGAUGAAAUACUUGAAUCCAAGCCUCAAACUCAUAAUGCUCUUCAUGUUCUUCAUCCUAUGAAGGAGUGCGGCCGCACACCUUCAUCAGGUGGCCGCACACACUCAUAAUACCCUCCAAAGUGAGAGUAAGGCCACAUAAUCGACACAUGGGACUCGAACAAGGAGUGUACGGCCGCAUACUCUAGUGUGCAGCCUCACUCACAAGUCUGGCCGACCCCAGCCGCACACUCACCUAUAUGGCCAUAAACACACCCUAAUACUCAUAUUUGGCCUUAAACUUGCAUAGAUCAUUGGGUAUAGAACAUGGGACACUUAGUCUUAGUGAUUCCAUGCCCUUAGGAAGGAUUUCCCCUCAUGUUUAGUCAUGAAAACACCUUAUCUCUAACUUAUAUAUGUGUCACCGUAUGAUUAAUAGGGGCUACUUGUGUUUAGAACAUCCGUUGACACUCAGCAGUUAUACGAAUCGCAAACUUGAACCCUACAGUAAACGGUGAGUUUAUACCCCUUAAUGAACCUUUUUAAAUGUUUUUACGUGUUUUAGGGGGGAUACAAGUAUAAUACUACGUGUUUUUAUUAUCAAAUCAUAUGUGAAUUACAUUUCAUCAUCAAAAGGAGAACUCUCUACACUUUUAGAUACUUAUCAAGAAAAUUGUUUUCAACUAAUUAUCAAAUGUGUUUUUAAGGUUAAAUUGUUGUUAAAUAUUUUCAAAACUAUGUUUAAACUACAUUUCUUUUAAAAUAUAUCUACAUUAAUAUAUUUAUAUAAGUAAGACUUGAAGGACUUAGGACCGAUAGCUCGCCUUAUUUCAUGUUCUUGUUUGAUGUGGUCUUAGGAUAUUGGUUGUCCGUCCGACUGUCAUUAAUUUCUUAGUUAUAUAUCAUAUAUAUUUGUGUUAGAUAUGAAAGUUUUCAUCUUAUUCAAUACCUUUGCAGAUCAAAGGCAGGAAUUCACACACUCUAGUUAACUAUAAUAGGUAUAGUUAAGGCUACUGCUUGUUACCUCUACUACUACUAUACACACUACAACUGUCAAUAUUACAAGUUAAUACAAGUAUAAGAGAACACUCUACCUACUAUACGAAAAGUCUACCAUGCUAAAGCAUAAGAGAACACACUAAUCCAAAGUAAAACACACUAUCCCUUGAUAAGGUACUCUACCGCGCUUACACCAUGUGAUCAGGGCUUCCCGGAAGGAAAGCAACACUACAUGUAUAUAUCUAUACGGAACUGACACUAUUACAUCCCGACUGUUAACAACAGUCCGAGCCUACUAGGCCCAGGGAUGACACUACAUCACUUCACUACGGAUGACCAGGAAGGUCAUCGGACACUCUAAUAUCAUACAAUUGGUCACAUGAGGGGUUACACUUAUAUCCAAAUAAAUACACUAAGACUUAAAGUCUAAGCUAAUAUCCCGAAGAAAUUAAAGAUCUAUUGCUGACUAAAGUUACACCACUACUGCUGUUAGCAGGCAUAACAUUUCUUCAGCUAUGUUACUCACAUGAGAUCUAUUACUAUACUUUUACAACUGAAGGUUUCAAAGAUAAUACUUUUACACACUCAAAGGAUUUGACUUACGAAUGCGUAUUUAUGGAAAAUAUAGGAUUUUCUAGGGAAUCCUACUACUCAUAAACAUAAGUUUCAGUUUCUAUAUUACGUGUUCGUAAAACUGUUUUACACAAACAACGACACUAAAAUCUUAUGAACUCACCAGCUUUAUGCUGAUACUCGUUUUCAAAAUAACUUGUAUCCUCAGGUUAAAGAUAGACAGGUACUGGUGUAGCUUUUGGAGAAGAUGGAGCACAUACAAGACCCAUCUUUUAUUUUGUUAUACUUUUGGCGUCUAUUAAACUUUACAGAACACAUUUGUAAUUAUGAUCACUAUAUUAAUGAAAUGGUUGUUGUUUCUUGUUUUUACUAUUAUGCAAUUGUAAUGAUACUAUACAUGACGUCCUCCAUCCCAAAACGUAGUCUGCCGUUCUAGGUUCUGGGGUGUGACAAUUUGAUCAACGAAAUCCACCAAAUCCAUUCCCAAAUAAUCAUCAGAUGACUUCUUUCUCUCCAUCCUUCAUCCGCUUCCUACCUACACGCCACCAUCCUCCAUACCUUGAGCUUUUUCAUCUCUGCCCUUCCACAUCCACUAUAUCGUCAUCAUCCCAUUUCAAUAAACUAACCCAUUUCUACAUUCAACCUCAUCAGUAUUUAGAUCGGAAAAGAAGGAGGACAAACAUAAAGGAGAUUUGUGGUCCGUCCAACUCCACAAUCAAGGUCCACAAUAGCAACACACAGAGGAGGAGGUUAUGGUGGCUUGGAGGAUAUGGCGUUGUUACUUGCAGGGGAUGAAAUUGAUGGUGUGAAGGGGAAGAUGUCAGUGGUUUGAAGGAGAUGAUGAGUACCUCCGGCGACUAGAUGUUGACUUCCUCCGGUGGCCUGAUUUUGACUUCACAGGAAAGGGUGGUUUUCAGAUGAAGAUAGAGAAACGGGAAAAGGGAUUUAAGGCAUCUGGCUAACUGAGAAUGGGGUGGGUAAGUGUGAGGCCCACUUCAUUUUCUAUAUAUUAUAAUUAAUAAAAAAACAAACAAUCUAAAAGAAAAUAAACAAUGGCAAUAUAGUCUUUUUAAGUCUCGCAAUGGAUCAACCGUGCUAAUUUAAUUUAAUGAGGGAUGAACCGUGCAACUUUUAAACAAACAAGGGAUGGUCCAAGUUAAUUUUUGAAAAUAAGGACUAAACACGUUUUCUGGCAUAUGCACGAGGGACGAUUGGUGUAAUUUACCCUUCCGAUUUAAAUAAUCGUCUUUUUAGGUAAGAUAUGGACCAAGCGUGUAAUAAAAAACAAAUAAUAGGGAUCAAGUGCGCAACAAAAACAAACAAUAUGGACUUUUCGAGUUAAAAAAAUAAGUUAGGGACCAAACGUGCAAAUUACCCCAAACCAUAAGGACCAUUCAUGUAAUUUACUCUAAAAGUUUUGAGAAUUAUAUAUUAAUUACAUGCUACUAUGGGAAGAAAAAAAAUCAUAUUUCAUACACACACUCCACUUUUGUGUGGAUACACCUUGUAAUCAAUAUAUAAACACUAAAGAAUCAAGUACUUGUGGUUGGCAAGUUAAGGGAUUUUUCAAGUUCGAUAUUCAUGUUUGGGGUCCAACAAUGACAUAAUAUAAAAUUAAUGCUUAUAUGUUGGAAAUGAUGAUACAAAUGUAUUUCUUUUUGUUGUGUAAUUAUGUAUGAAAUAGAAGAAUGUAUGAUCAAAAAAUAAUAAUGUGUGAAAUGUAGUUAUAGAUUGAAUCGGUGAUAUGUUAUUUUGUAACAUUCCAAAAACCGACAUAAAAUUUUUCAUUUUUAAAUCAUCAAGUUCAUAAAUCAUGUGUCUCAAUGUCUCAAAAUCAAUUACAAUACAAUGUAUUAAAAUCAUUAGAGUAAAAUAGUAGUCAUUAAUGCAGGAAAUCAUCAGGGGGGAUAAUGUUGUGCAAUCAAGCUAAACCUUCCCUUUAGAACUGGAAGUACCUGAAAACAUCUAAACACACAAACCAUAAGCACAAAGCUUAGUGAAUUUUCCAAAAUACCACAUAUCAUACAUACAUUGCCAUGGGUUGUCCCAUGGUCUUCCCUUGCAGUACCUCCUAUUUAUAGCCUUGGAUACCUCCUAGGGUUUUAUCCUCUAGCACAUGUGGAUAGGAUAGCCCCAUGAACGAAAUUCCCCUUAUCCAAAAGGAAUUUUCGUCCACCACUGUCACACCCCCGAACCACACGUAUCAUACAUUGAGAUAACAAACUUACAUUGUUUACAUAUUAUAUUUGUUCAUAAAUAUUACACAAAAGUAGCAAUAGUAAAUCUCAAUGCAGCAAAAUAUCUAGUAUCAGAGGCUCUUAUACCUGUUUAUUAGGUUCCUGAGAAUAUAAGAAAUUUUGAAAACUGUCAACGUAAAAUAUGUUGGUGAGUUGUUAUAACUAUACUAAUUUGACGGAUUGCCUGUUUUAUAUUUAUUUUCAAGCGUCGGUUUGUUAAGAGACAUUUGUCACCCUUGUCUAGUUGUAGUGAGCAGCUUAGGUGUGGGGUGUCAACCCUGUAUAGAUCUAUACACAAAUUUCCGCUCUCCUUUCAAGAGACUUUGGUCAUAACUACAGAUCUGACCUAGUACACUAGGUCGGUACGUGUAAAGAUGCGUCUCACAAGAGCCUUAACAAAAAUUUAUGCAAAUUCGUGUGUUCCAUGAAAACGUGAUACAAGAGUAUGCAUUCAACUGUAAACCAUAGAUAAACAUAAUGUGUUCAUUUUUGUCGACGAUAUCGGAAAUGGCUCAAUUUAUCCAAAAUGUCAUGAUUGAUCCAUUAUUUCCGCGUGUGUCUAAAAUGGCUCCAUUUGUUAAAAUAUUAACUUAAGACCCAUUUUUAAAUGAAAUUGCUACUUUUGACCCAAACUUGUUGAAUAAUUCCUUUUUCGGCCCAUUUUACAUAAAAUUGUCAUUUAUGGCCCAAAUUUGAUAAAAAGUUCCUUUUUGGUCCCUUUUUAUUUAAAAUGUAAUAAAUGGCCCAUUUUUAUGAAAAUAACCAUUUUAGUGCUUUUAAUAUCGAAAAAUGACAUAAAUGGAGUUCAUUUUUAUAAAUGACGAUUUUAGUCCACUUUUCACAUUAUUGACAAAUAUGGUCUUUUCUUGUGAUAUCUUUAGUUCCUUGGAAAUUUGUAAACAUAUUAACCAUUUUAUAAGGCAACAUAAGAUAAGUUAUCUUGUCCUAUUUUCAAUAUAUGAUGAAAAUUUUCGAGUUCAUGGUCGUAAGUCAAAAUUUCACAACAUAUCACCAUAUAAGCAUGAAAAACAUACACAUGCAAGCAUAUAUAACAAGAUUUAACACAAAACUAAGCUUGUAUUCCCCCUAAAGAUAGAAAACACGAAAAUAAGGGGUAUGAAGCUCACAUUGGGUGUUUUGUGGGAAGAUUUGAAGUGUGUUGUGAAGAACUUAGAAGCUUAACGCUUAAAUACCCUUGAAGAACAACUAGGAGCUUCUAAGCACCUUAGAUGGGCACACACAAAAUUUAUGUGUGUAAGGAAACAUGGAAUGAACAAUAAUAUGUGCAUGAACACUAAGAGUUAUUGGAAUACUUACCAAUAAGCCUAAAGAUCACUUGGAAGUUAGAAAUAUUACAAGAACUUAGUUCUUGUUCUUGGAAGAGUUGGAAGCUGUUUGAAUGUUCUAGAGAGAAUGAGGGAAGAGUUUUGGAGUACAAGCGGAUUAAAAUGACUUCCAGUCAUGGGUUAAGAAUGAGAAUCGAAUGGUUUUGUUAUUUGGUGGACAUUUGUGGGAGUUGUAUUGUGAUUCGGUGGUUAUAACAAUGUAAAGCCGAAUUUUGAUUUCCAAGUGUACUUUUACGUACUGAUAUCUAAUAAAAUAUGUGAUAUCCUCUAAAAAGUAAUUGGAUAUAGCCGAACACACUCAAGGCAUGACCGAUUUCACCCUAAGAAAAUAGAAAUCGGUCUUAACAUAACACAUAAGUGGAAAUUCGGUCCUUAAUGUGCAUAUAUGAGGGAAAUCGGUUUUAGUUGGGUCAUACAAGGGGAAUUCAGUUUGAGGAGCCCAAAUAAAGAUGAAAUAAGUUUUGCAAAGGCCUAAAACCAUGUGUGUUCAGUCAUGGCAUUCCAUGACCGAAUUUCCAAUUGAAAGGAUGAUAAUGUUUGGGUUUUGGUUACUUUUGAUCCUUUAACUAGUGUUGCAAGUUCAUUCAAGGAUUAUGCUUGUAAUUUUCCUUCAAAAUAGGUCCAUAUUACCUCAACAUAGGCCAUUACAAUUAAGUUACAUGUAGAGAGUGUUGGUACAAGCAUGAAAAUCAUAGACCAAAAUUGCUAGUUAUGACAUCAUCCCCCUGUUAGAGGGAAUUUUGUCCCGAAAUUCAUUCGAGAGUAGUCACUAAAAACUAGAGAAAAGGUGAGGGUAAUUUUGCAUCAUCUGGUCUUCACAUUCCCAUGUGAACUUAGGUCCGCUUUUGGCAUUCCAUCGAACCUUCACAAUAGGGAUAUGACUUUGCUUUGUUCGUUUCACUUCCCUGUCCAUUAUCUCAACUAGUUCCUUGACAAAGUGGAGGUUUUCAUCGAUCUCUAUCUCAUCAAGGGGAACGAUGAGAUUUUCAUCAGAUAAGCAUUUCUUCAGGUUUGAUACAUAGAAGAUAGGGUGUACAUUGCCGAGUUAUGGGGGUAACUGUAACUUGUAGGCCACCGGACCGAUCCUGGCAAGGAUCUCGAAUGGUCCAAUGUAUCGUGGAUUCAACUUUCCCCGCUUCCCGAAUUGAAUCAUCCCCUUCCAGGGAGAGACUUUGAGUACUACAUGAUCACCGACCUGGAAUUCCAAAGGCUUUUGCCUUUUGUCUACAUAUCUUUUCUGUCGAUCCCUGGAUGCCUUCAUUCGUUCUCUAAUCUGAACGAUAUUCUCAGUGGUUUCCAUGAUGAUUUCCGAACCAGUUAAAGUGUUGUUGGGUACCAGUCCCUUGACUAGUUGAGUAUCUCCCACCUCAUCCCAACAUAGAGGUGAUAUACAUUUCCGUCCAUAUAGGGCCUCGAAGGGAGCUACUUUGAUGCUCAUGUGGUAGUUGUUGUUGUAUGAGAACUCGAUUAGGGGAAAGUGUGUUAGAUUAGAUGUCUAAGCCUAUAACUAUAAUUGGUAUGUACUUGACCCGAGAGUAGCAUGGUCCAUUUGGGUUGCAUGACAUCGGAACAAUUGGAUAGACAAAUGAGAAAAAGGAUACUUAUGAUUUGUUAAUAUAUUAUAAGUUCUAAUAUGUUAAUAUGAAAUCAUAUUAUUUAAUUAUUAUUGAUCAAGAAUUAAUUUGGAAUUAAUUUUGUGAUCAAAAGUGACUAAUUAAAUAUAUGGGGAUUGAUUAUGUAAAUCAUUCAUUCUUAUAUAGUGGGCUUAUGAUGCAUAGUUCUUCAUGUUGGGCUAAGCCCAUGGAGUGAUCCAUGGAUACUCCAUGGAGGUUAAAACCCAUGGAUCAUGAAGAAUAUGAAAAUCCAUGCAUAUUAGGGUUUGCAUGGUGUAACCCUACAUGUGGCACACUAUAUAAAGACCCUAUAGGCUAGCAAAAUCAGCACUAAGACUUAUCUAGAGGGCUAGCCGAAUUUUGGAGCACAAGUAUCCUCUUCUCAAGUUAUUUCAAUUGUUGGUGGUAUUGUGUGAUUCCAUUUGAGGUGCAACACUUUGGGCACUAAGCUAUGAAAGGUUCAAGACUUCAAGCUCCAUCAAAAGGUAUGUCAUCUAACUAGAAUUUUAUAGUAUAGUUGCUUCAUAACAUGCUAGUUAAGAUGAUGCUUUGUAAUUUUGAAUGUAUGCAUGUAUAAUAGAGAAAACAUAGAUCCAAAGCACAUAGGUUUGCAUGUACACCAUAGGAGUGUUAGAAUGCUCAAAACCUAAUAGUGGUAUCAGAGCCUAGGGUUGUUUUCAAUUAUACUUGAUGCUAGUUGCUUGAAAAGGCUGAAAAAACUCGUUUUUGUGCUUUCUGGAUAGUGAAAUCGCCAAGUCCAUUGAUGGACUCGACGAUUCCAUGAACAAAUUCAUCCAACUCGUUGAGUUGGUUCAUGCACUCGACGAGUUCGACCCCCUGACAGCAUAUCUUCGAGUUUUAAGUCUGGAAUUUCACUAGGAUCAUUACCCUAAGCUGUUUUUGAACUUAUAAACCUAUUUUUGAUGUCGUAAUGAUCAUACUAAUCCAAUUCAAAAGAUAAUUAUCAAAAGUUUCAUGUUUGUUAUUAGUAUAAUGGUUAGGAUAAUUACAUAAAAAUUGUUUGAUUUGAAUUGUCUUGUUCAUAUGAGUUUAAUCUAGAUCAUAGAAUUAUUUGACAUGUUUGUUAGUUUAUUAGAUUAUCUAAAUGGCCUUUAAUGGAUCCCAUAACUUUUCCUCAUGUUAUGAAAAACCAAAAGUCUUUCUUGUUAACGAGUCUUUAAAAGUCAUAAGUUAUGUAAUUGAAGAGUCUUUUCUAAUAAAUUGUUUUAUGAGGGUCAUAACUUGUCCUCAAGUUAUGGAUUUUAGGAGUUUUACCAUUAAAAGCCAUAUUAAACUCAUAUGUUAUGGAUUCCAAAAGUUUUUUUUGAAUUGUUCAAAACUUGCCCUCCAGUUUUGGAAUUAGUAAAUGUAGAGUCUUCUUUAGACACAUUUAGUUCCAAACCCUAGAAUUUUAAAAGUUUAAAAUUCAACCCUUAUACUAUUAUAAUAUUGUAGGUUUAUUAUUUAUAUAUAUGUAUAAGAGUAAAGUCAGUCUUACCAUUAGUAGGCCUCAUUCACGAAGUCAGUCUCUAAGGGGGGUAUAAAAUUACUGCCUAUAAAAUGGUAGUUUAAUGGGUGUCCACUCUCACCCACCGCUUCCUUAACUGGUGGAGGGUCGUUAGCCGAACAAGUAGGAUAGUACUAUAAUUCUCCCUUCAUUAAAAGUAUAAUGAUAAAUAUAAAGUAACUAAGCUUUUGUUAAAUUCCCAAUCUUAGUUACUUUAGAAAAAUGUGAAUUUGGUGCUAACCCAUGAAAUUUCACUUUGCACCCUUGUUAAGUCAUAAGUGGAGCAUGUGUGGUUAACAUGCACACUAACAUGGGACUGACAAUGCAUGUCAAAGGGUAGCUAGAUGUUAAUCAUAGAUCAAUGGAGCGUGUGUGGUUAACCGGAACAUUGAUUAGGUUGUUGUAACAUUGGGUGUACCAAGGUAAUUUGCAUGGUUAUUCACUCCUUGUUUGUGAUCCUUGGCAUCCUAGUCACAAACUUGAAGGGCAUAAUCGAGAUUUAAACAUGCCAUUGAAUCGUUCAAUGAAUCUCAAAGGAUCUAGGAGUUUCAAUCCAAUUAAAACUUAAUUUUCAAUUUUGUUUUUCGUGGUGGAAAUUAUUAAAUCGUCAUUUACCUACCUUCAAAUAUUUUGUAGCUUAGAUUACGACAUCCCUCUUCCAAGUUAUAAAAUAUUGUGUUGGGUCCUAGCCUUAAUAUUUCAUUUGGGUGUUAUAUUAAGGACUUAAAUCAACUAACUUGAAUUUCUCCCUUUUAGAUGUCUACUUCAGACAACUAUGGUCUUCCCAAAUCUUUAGGAACAAGCCUUCCUAAUGAAGAUGAUAUCCCACAUGACGUUCAAGGUGAAAGAUUAAUCCCUUUGUCAUGUAUUAAUGGGACUGUAAAUCAUACUUCACUUCCUCCACCUCCUCCAAUUAUUCUCCCUGACCCACAAGCCCGAAGACUUGGAAAGUUCAAGAUCACUCAUGCUCUACUUGAAAUGAAACAUAAAGAUGGAAGACCUAUGUAUACUCAUGUCUUAGAGAUGAAGUCACACAUUGACAGGUUGAGAAUGUUGGGUGCCAUAGCCCCAAGGAAGUUGGCUAUUGACUGGGUUCUUCAGUCACCUCCCGAUUCAUAUAGUGAGUUCAUAAAGGACUACUAUGUGACAUACCACGACAUGAUCCUUAAUGAUCUUGCCUAUUUGCUUGUUGCUAUUGAAUCAGUAAUGAUUUGGCGCACUGGUAAAGCAAACUUGAUUAGAAGAUCUAAUUCUCAAACUUCCAUGGACAUUGACAAUGGUAACAUUAGAAGUCCAGAAAAGCUUUCUCUUCCUAAUGGAAAGGGAUCGGCCUUGGUCAACCCGGUUGACCAAAAGGUAGAGGGAAAGACUAAGUCUGUGAUAGUCCCGCAUACCAUUUCCAAAGAGUCUAUAUGUUUCUAUUGUCAAGAGAAGGGGCAUUGGUUGCGAAGUUACCCUGACUACCUGAAAAAUCUGAGAGAAGGAAUAAUCAAAAAGUUUGACUCUGCUUCAGGUAAGUCUACUAUCUAACUCUGUUAAGUUCCUAAUUGUUUAUUCUUAAUACAUGAUGUGACAGGGUUGCAUUUUGAUGUUUUCUAGGAUCAAGCAAAAAGAAAGAAGCCUAAAAGAAGAGUAUGCUAAAUUUGAUCACGAAGAUGGAUUUUUGUUGCAUGGUUUGAGGAUCAGAUUUUUGAGUUGCUGCUUAGGAGUUAUGAUAGAUUGCUAGGAAAUAUGUAAUAGCAUAAAUUCACUUGUAAUUGCAUUGUAAGGAAAAGUUUUCCGCAUUUUAUGAAUAAAUAAAAUUGUUUUAUUUUAUAUCAUAUCCUUACAAUGACAUUUGUGAAAAAUUGAUGUUUGUAUGUUUCUAUGUUAGCAAUAUGAAUUUGAAUCUUUCAUUUGUGGUAGUGUCAUAAUUUACUAAAUAAGGAAAGGAUUCUCAUCACCCAAGUUCCGGUUGGAUAGAAACUUGGAAUCAUGUAACUUGUAUUGUAUGAUGAAUGAGAAUUUUCAUCUUUGGGAAAUUAUGACUAAUUCCUUAUUGACAUGUAUAUAUGAGUCAAGUGAAGGACUAGGGGAUCGGGUACACUUGGUUGUGUGUUGGUUAAGUCCACCACAAAGAUCGAUAAGACUAUUUGUCAUGAUUUACUAAAGUGUAGUAAAUAUGGUUAUACUUACAAGUUUAAGUAUAAUUCUGAAAUAUUGGAAAAUUUUCAAUGUAUGGCAGGAAGAAUGAGAAAACUCAAAUUAGGGAGAAAGACAAAAGUUUCUCCAUUCUACAAAGAUAGGAGAGUACUUUAGUAUCAUGUUUUAUGAUCAUCUUAAUGAUUAUGAAAUCAUAUCACAAUUGAUCCUUCAAGGACACCUUAGUGCAUUUGUAUGGUUAAGAAGAGGAAUCCUAAAUUGUUGAAUUCAUUAAAAUCAAGAAGAUGAGUCAGACUUCGUUCCAAAAUCAUCCAAGAUCGAGCCUUGAGUGACAUAAUCUAAAGCAGGUUAAUAACACUUGUCAAAUGUAGAGUAAAAUGUUUUAAAAGUUAUUAUGUUUUGGAUAAAAUAGACACCAACUAAGACCAAUUAUGUGAAGUGCUUUUCUUGAUAGGAAUUUGUACUAACUCUUGAAUAUUUGUUCGUCAAGGAAUGGUUAUUGACAAGAGAACACGACUUAAGGUUUGUAACCUAUCGCGUUAACAUAUUCUUGUUUCUGUGCCUAUUCCUGUUAAAAUUGACUAUGCUUAUGAGUUCUAUGAGUUCUCAAUUGUUUGCAUAACAACCUGGAAGACAUGGUAGGCCCUUGUGCUGGCAGGUGGCAAGAUAAUAAGGUUGAGCAAGUUCAAUCCAUAUGAGUUUGGAUUUGUCACUAACCUUGUCUUGUGAUUAUGGUUUUGAAAAAUUCACAUAGAUAGGAACACAUACACCUUAAAAUCUAAGUGUCAUAAGGUUUCUCUCCAAUUCAUGAAAAUGAUGGUGAGAAAACGCUUUGACUAAGUAGAUUUUUAAGUAGAUAGCAAUUGUGAUAUUUGCAUUCUCACAGUUGUUAGUGGAGCAUGUGUGGUUAACCGGCUAUGACAAUAGUCAAAUUCGGGUCAAGUCAAAGUCAAAGAAAUCCAAUAAGUUAAACCGGACGACUCAAUUAGCUCUUGCGUAUUAGGGUUUACGUGGUGUAUUUACUAAACAAUCGCUAUUAUAAUGAGAAAGAAUCAUUUGAAAAAUCCAUGUGAUUUAAUUCUUCCUAAGCCUUAAAUGCGGUAAACAAUGAACCAAAGCAAUAAAACACAAAUGAACACUCAUCGGGAGUGUGUAAGAAAUUAAAACAUGGCUUCAUGAGGUUUACGGACCUUGCGUUGCGAAUCCGGACACUCAAAAAGGGCACAAACGAAACCUCUCUCAAUCGUUUUCACUCUAUCUCUUUCUAUUUGAAAUCUCUCCCAAAUCUCUCUCAAUGGUUCUCGUAACUUUUUGAAGUCAUUCGGGUCAUUCCGACCUUUAACCGGGUCAAAAACCACUUAAAACGGGGUUAAAACGAGUAAAAUACCCUAAAAGAACCGAAAAACCCUUUAUAGGGCCGAAACCUCUUAGGGCCGAACUCCUUGGACCGAAAGCAACAAAGAACCGAACUCCUUGGACUGAAAACAACAAAGAACCAAACCCUCUUGGUCGAACCCGAAGGAUGCUCUCGGAACCGAACCUCGCACACACCUGAACCCGAAGUUACUGUUCAUUUCGAUUCAUUUCGCUCUCUCGGCCCAUUUCGCUUCGGCUGCGCUCGGAUCGAACCUACCUUCGCUUCUGGCUGCUUUGCUUCUUAGCAUUUCGCUCCUUACUGUUUCACUUCGUUUCUCCUCUCUGCUAGCCUCAGGAGGACCGAACCUCCGGCUAGGACCGAGAGGUCUCGCUGGAAGACCAAUUCUUUCUGGUUUUCGACUACGACAUCAUUUUAGCUUCGUUUUUCAUGAUUUUAACGCGGGAUUUUCACUCAAACUUGUAUUUUAACAUAAUAAACCCUAAAUAUUCAUAAUUUAAUCAUAUUUUCAUGAAAAUCCUUAUUUAAAUAAUAAAAUGUAGUGGGUGAAUAAUUGAGGUGGAGUGUUGACUUUGCUUUACCUUAUGACACAAGCAACCACCCCCAUACCCACUCUAUGACCAGCCACACCUUCCCACCUUACCUAGGUCACUUCAAUGUCCUUUCCACUCAUUUACCAGCCCUCCCCACGUUCUUAGAACUGGAACAACCCAUCUUCUCUCAUCACUUCUCUCAUUUGCUCUCAUUUCACUAAGGAUCCAACUCCACUUUUCCUCUAAAACUUCCUUCCUCAAAUUCGAGAUUCAAGGCUGAUUAUCAAUCUUUCUUACACUCUUGGUAAGUGUAAUUGAUCCUCCUUGUGAUUAUUGCACUUCAUUCUACUCAAAUCAUUGAUUUCUUACACAAACUCCAUCACUUCGAUGUUAGAUUCUCGAAAAUCUUCAAGGCAUCUUCAAGAGUUCCUGGGUUGAUCACUUCCAUUUUUCAAUAACCAUCUACUGAAAUCACAUAAGAUGAGUUCCUACCCCUACAUGUUCAUAUUUUUCUUAUGUUUUAAGGGGGAUAAUACAAGUGAAAUCAUCAAGAACACAACUAAAUAUUUCUAACAGCUUACAUCAGAAAAGUUGGACUCAUUCACAGACUGUUUUGGUCAACUAAAACAUUUCUGUUUUCAAAACUGUAUAAGGUGCAAGUAGUUAAAGUUCUUAGCUUUAAAAUGACUACUUGCACAUCUCCAUACGAUUUUUCUACUAUUUAUGGUGAUUUUUUCAAAACUGCCUAUCACUUCAAGAACCAAACCGAACCAGUCUGUGUUUAUGGACGUUUUCACGUAAGUUGGAGGUCACUAAAAAUCAUGGAAAAAUAUAUGAACAAACUAGACUCAUUAAACCAACUCCCAGAAUUUACGGAUUUUGAUUUGGAUCUUUUAUUUAGUUUUUAUAAGUUUCCUAAUAACAGUGAUUGAAGCUGUUAUAAACAGAAAAAUGCUAACAUAUUAUUAUCACCUUGUAUCAUGUUGAGCAAGGUGUAUAUCCUUAUGUGACUGUAUGUUAUUACAAAAGAAUGAUAUUUUAUCUUGGUAUAUGAACAUGCAUCAGUUAAUAAAUGGAUUUUGAUAUAGAUAUACAUAUGAAAUAUAAUGGAUAACACAAUUGUUAUAAUCAAAGUACAUCCAUUUUACUCAAACAAUUGAACGAACUACGUUGAAUUUAGAUUACGUACGUUACCAUUACUACCCUUGUUUUGAUAAACUAUAAUAGGUAUUGUUUAUGAUUCAUCACAUAACACACUCGUACAAAAAGGGUACAUUCAUACAAAAAGGUUCUACACUCACACACACUACACGUAAACUUGUUAACUUAAGUGGUGAAACAUUCACUCCCCGUACGUCCGAGUACGGGUUCCAAAUUCUUGUGAGUUAUAACCAAAAUCUCUUGUAGGGAGAGCGUGAUAAUUGUGUAUAUAUAUAUAUAUUGGGGUUGACAUCCCACACCUCCCUGCUAGCUACAGCCGGACCGGCAGGUCUGCGGGUGACAAGAGUCAUAGGAUCAGGACGUCUGAAAGACGUUGUGCAGGUUACCUCUAGUCAUAGUAUGGUUAUAGCGAUUCAUAUAGAGAGUUAACAAUAAAUAGAGUUUAUAUGUCGAUUUAAAAAUCACUUUUUAUAUCAAUAAGUACGGAUAUUACUGUACACUUUCGGUCUUGGUAUUUAAGACUACAGAUCACUCGGGAUUUAGAACUACAUACACAUAUUAAAGAAAAUAUUGGAUUUUCUGAAUACAUAUUCUAUCGCUUUUACAAGGAAAAUGGUUUACUUCUCUAAAGAAAUCUCUUAUGAACUCACCAACCUUCGUGUUGACACUUUUUCAAACAACUUGUAUUCUCAGGGAAUCACUAAACAGGUAACCAAGUGCUUUUGAGGAUGGGACGUUAAGGCGUCAAACUUUUCAUAUUUUGUCAACAUAUUGUAAUUGAUUUUGAAACAUGUAAUUCAUACAGUGAUGUAACUCUUUCAAUUAUAUAUAUGUUUGUUGUGUUUGCUUAAAUUACUAUUGCAAUUGUGGUUAUGAUACUAUACAUGAAGUCCUCCACCCCCGGACGUUUCCGCCAUCCUUGGUUUGGGGGUGUGACAGAUUGGUAUCAGAGCACGGUUUAUAGUGAAUUAAGUAUAUCAAACCGCAUAAGAUAUACAAACUAUAAACACAUUUGGGACUAAAAUUCUCUGAUUUUAAACAUCUCUCAAUUGAAUAUACUUUUAGAAAAUAAAUAGUUUUCUUGUUAAAGUGUACAUAACAUACAUUACAAGUUCGCAUAGUGUCAUAACUAAGGAGAACAUAAAGUGAAAAAGGAGGAGUUGAACACUACGAGUAUGCCCUAGCAUGUGUAAUCAGUUCUGGGAAGGAUAUAGCCUGAUCAACUAUAUCCGUCCGAGAAGUGACUUACGCAUACUGGGGGAUAGUCGUAAUGGGCGACAAAUCUAAUAACCUAACUUCACUCUACAAAUAAUACUCUAAGAACCAAAUAUAAACUUUUAAAAUACUAUAGGAGUAUUUGUAUAUUGCUAUAGCGUAAUGAUAUUAUUAUCCGAUAUGUCCUUCUCACCCCCCAUUUCUCGUGCAGACGACAUGGCAGGAUUUCACAUACCCGGGGACCCGUACUUUCCCAAUCAGGGAAAUGCUGGAUGGAUCGAGGAAGAGCCCGAGCAACAAAUCGAAGAGGACCCCGAGGAGGAUCCCAAAGAGGAUCCCGAGGAGGAUCCCGAGGAGGAAUCCGAGGAAGAGCAAGAAGAAGAGGAGGAAGACGAAGAAGAAGAAGAGGAAGACGAUGAUAUAGUCAUGAUUGAGAACGAAAUUGAAGAAGAACUGGAAGUAUUCAACCCUCCUUACAUCGCGAGGGUACCCGCACACCGCUUUGGAUACAAUGGACCUGAGCCCCGUUGGGUAACGACGAUCGAAAGGUGGAGCCGACAACAACGCCAACGGUCACCAUAUGGCGACCAACGAGGUUAUUAUGACCUCAUCCAUGGUGGACCGGCUGAUAGAGACCUCCUCGUCAUGACUCAGCGAAUAGCAAGUAUGGAUGAUCAUGGUAGGACGACGACCAAUCAGGUCAGGGAGCUAAGUACCAUCGUAGAGUCUACCACUGCUCGCACCAGAGAUUUGGAACGAGACUCCCACUACAGAGACCAACUCAUUCAAGACCUUCUCGCUGCUCGAUCUGAAGCAAGGGAGUAUCGGGAAAGAUACAUGGUGCUCGAAGAGAGAAUGGUCGCAGCCGAACGGAGAUUGGUAGAACUACAGGGCGCAUCGACAUCAUCCCAGGCUCCAUCAGGGAAGGAUCGUCGUGAUUAGAACUCAUUACUAUUCUCACAUAUUUGUAGUAAAAGUUUAUGGGUACGCGUUGGUGCUACUCUUUUGUAUGUAUGUUGAACCUGCGACUAAGUGAUUACACUAUUCAAAGGGCUUUUGUGCUGUCGAAACUAUCUUUUGCAUUGAUGUAAUGUAGACCCUUAUGAGGUCAAAUUUACCCUAAAGCGUUAUGUACUAAAAGUUUAUCAAUGAAUUUUGGCAUGCAUUUUAUUUUAGUGAAUGAUUGGCAUUGGACUUCAUAACCUGAUCACACAAAUAGCUUACAAAUAAUAAAGUCGUGAUAAAAAAAAAUACAAAUGAGAUGAAACAAGUAACACUCGACUCGUUAUUACUAUUGAAGUCUUACCGACUGGUCAUUUUUUUAAAUUAUGACAGAACCAUGCUACCAAGGAAAAGACCAAGACCUUCCGGCAACAUAGCGCCGCCCCCUCCGUCACCACCUCUGCAGUUUGAUCCUGCAAUGUUUCAGGCUGUAGUGACGGCAGCUGUGGCGGCAGCAAUGUCGGAAAUGGGUACAAAUGGUUCUGGCGGUUCUGGAUCCGGAGCUAUCAAUUCAAUUCAUGGGGAUAACACCGGGCGUGCGAAGGAGUGCUCUUACAAAGACUUCUCGAAUGGCAAACCUGACCCUUUCAAUGGAAGUAGGGGCAUCAUCACACUGGUGCAAUGGUUCGAAAGGACCGAGGCAGUCUUCGAAAUCUAUGCUUGUCCCGAAGUGAGCAAGGUCAAGUAUGCUGCAUUCACUUUCACCGGAAAAGCUCUUACUUGGUGGAAUGGCCGAGUUAAAUCACUUACUCCUGUAGUGGCUAACUCUAUAAGCUGGGAGGAUUUAAAAGCUUUGAUGUUAAAGGAGUAUUGCCCGAGCGGCGAAAUACAAAAACUCGAAGAAGAACUUUGGAACCUCAGGAUGUCGAGCACAGAUCUUUAAACUUAUACCGCCCGCUUCAAUGACCUAGCACUCCUAUGUCCAAGAAUGGUCACUCCAGAGGAGAAGAAGGUGGAACGAUACCUCUGGGGGCUGUCAUCCCAGAUUCAAGAUAGUGUACUUGCCUCGAAACCUACUACCUUUGAGAGUGCCAAGGAAUUGGCACAACAACUUAUCGAUCACAGGGCUAGCCGUGGUACCGUGAUAGCCACCACCGACCCAACAAAAGGAGGGAACAACAAGAGGAAGUUCUGGGACAAUAAAAAGAAACGACCGACGCAGGACCCCGCCAAGAAGCAACAGACUGUUGCUGUCCAUGCCGCCACUACUGCCACCACUCCAGCGCCGCCGAAACAGUACACGGGAACUCUUCCCAAGUGCAACAAGUUUAGCUACCACCACAACGGUGCUUUUCGAGAGUUACACUGCAAUAACUGCAACAAGAAGGGACACACUACACGAUUCUGUAGAGCGACGACCCAACCCGCCACUCAAGCCGCCACGACCGCUAGCACCGGAGCAAGCCAAACCUGUUAUGGUUGCAGAGAGACAAGGCACUACAAAAGAAACUGCCCAAAAACACGAAACACAAAUACCGCGAAUGCAGGGAGAGUCUUAACUUUAGGACACAGGGAAGCAGUCAGGGACCCCACCAUGGUUACCGGUACGUUUCUCCUCAAUAACUUUUAUGCAUGCGUACUUUUCGAUAGUGGGGCAGAAAGAAGUUUCGUAAGUCACCAAUUCAAACAUAUACUUAAACAAAAUUCCCAGUCAUUAAAAGAUUCUUACGUCGUAGAAAUGGCAAACGGAAAGGUUGAGCGCACUAACGAUAUUUACAUAGGGUGUACUCUCACUCUAGAUAACCAUUCGUUCAAAAUUGAUUUAAUGCCAGGCAACAUAAAAAGUUUCGACAUAAUCAUUGGUAUGGAUUGGUUAAGCUCUCAUCGUGUCGACAUCCUAUGUUACGAAAGGGCCGUUCGCCUUAAUCUGCCAAACGGCGAAACCCUUCUCAUCUAUGAAGAUAAACCCAGUGCAAAUUUGCUAAUCAUCUCUUGCGUCAAAGCCCAAAAGUACCUCCGAAAGGAAUACAACGCAUUCUUAGCCCACGUCCGUAGACAAGAAACAAGAGGUGAAAGACAUCAAAGAAAUUCCAGAAGUAUGCAACUUCCCGGACGUAUUCCCCAACGACCUGCCAGGUGUACCACUCGCACGACAAGUCGAAUUCCGAAUCGACUUAAUUCCUGGAGCUGCCCCCGUUGCCAAAGCUCCAUACCGCCUAGCACGGGUAGAGAUGCAAGAACUGUCCAACCAAUUAAAUGAACUGUUGAGCAAAGGGUUCAUUAGACCAAACUUUUCACCCUGGGGUGCACCAGUCCUUUUUGUGAAAAAGAUGGAUGGAUCAUUUCGCAUGUGCAUCAACUACCGGGAAUUAAACAAACUUACCAUCAAGAACAGAUAUCCCCUACCCCGAAUCGAUGACCUUUUCUAUCAACUUCAAGGAGCAAGUUAUUUCUCAAAAAUCAACUUGAGGUCGGGCUAUCAUCAGCUGCAAGUUCAAGAAGAAGAUGUCCCCAAGACAGCAUUCAGAACUCGCUAUGGGCACUACGAGUUUGUAGUGAUGCCAUUCGGAUUAACCAACGCACCUGCGGUGUUCAUGGAUUUGAUGAACUGAGUGUGCCGACCCUUCCUAGAUAAAUUCGUGAUCGUGUUCAUCGACGAUAUCUUGGUCUAUUCGAGAAGCGAAGAAGAGCACAGGCAACACCUACGACUAGUUCUGGAGACUCUAAGAGCUGAGAAGCUUUACGCUAAGUUUUCAAAGUGCGGAUUUUGGCUCCGAGAAGUGGGAUUCCUUGGCCAUGUGGUAACAAGGAAGGAAUACAUGUGGAUCCCUCAAAGAUCAAGGCGAUUGAAAAUUGGUCAGCACCUACAAUGCCAACAUAAAUCCGACAAUUUUUGGGACUCGCAGGCUACUACUGAAGAUUCAUAUAGAACUUCUCCAAGAUUGUUAAGCCCCUCACCACCCUGACUCAGAAAUGUGUGGUGUUUAAAUGGGAAGAUAAAAAAGAAGCCGCCUUCCAGACACUAAAGCAAGCCCUAUGCAACGCACCAAUCUUGUCUCUUCCAGAAGGAACUGAUGAUUUUGUGGUGUAUUGCGAUGCUUCAAAUCAAGGUCUCGGUUGUGUGCUCAUGCAAAGGGGAAAGGUUAUCGCUUACGCAUCAAGGCAACUUAAGACCCACAAAGUUAACUAUACCACCCACGACCUCGAAUUGGGAGCGGUAGUGUUCGCCUUGAAGAUCUGGAGACACUACCUCUAGGGCACAAAGUGCACCAUCUUCACCGAUCACAAAAGUCUUCAGCAUAUCCUCAAUCAAAAAGAGCUCAACAUGCGACAAAGAAGAUGGGUAGAGCUACUAAACGAUUAUGAGUGCGAAAUCUGUUAUCAUCCGGGCAAGGCUAAUGUUGUAGCCGAUGCCCUAAGUAGAAAAGAAUACUCGGGUCGCCAGGUGAAGUCACUAACGAUGACAAUCCAUUCGCACCUGUUCACACAAAUCAAGGAAGCUCAACGUGAAGCCUUGAAACCCGAAAAUGUGACAGGUGAGAAAUUGAGAGGGAUGGAUAAAAACCUAGAAGUCAAGGAGGACGGAGCUCGCUACCUCAUGAACCGGAUCUGGACACCGAAGUUCGAUGGGUUCCGAGACGUUGUCAUGAACGAAGCACACAAGACACGAUAUUCCAUCCAUCCAGGUUUGGAUAAGAUGUAUUUAGACCUCAAGAAGUUGUAUUGGUGGCCGAACAUGAAAGCUGAGAUUGCUACCUAUAAGGGCAAGUGUCUGACUUGCGCCAAGGUCAAGGUAGAAUACCAGAAGCCAUCAGGACUACUACAACAUCCGGAUAUACCUGAGUGGAAGUGGGAGCGGAUAACCAUGGAUUUCAUAACCAAGCUACCUAAGACAUCGAGUGGGCUUGACACCAUAUGGGUAAUCGUAGACAGAUUGACCAAGUCUGCGCACUUCCUACCAAUAAAGGAAACCGACAAGAUGGAAAUGUUAACCAGGACAUACAUCAAGGAGAUUGUGCGACUGCAUGGUGUACCAAUAUCCAUUAUCUCUGACCGAGAUAGUAGAUUCACCUCGCGAUUUUGACAGUCCUUACAGAAAUCUCUGGGAACUAGGCUAGAUAUGAGUACGACCUAUCAUCCGCAAACCGACGGGCAGAGCGAGCGCACCAUACAGACGUUAGAAGACAUGUUGAGAGCCUGUGUGAUAGACUUUGGUAAGGCGUGGGAUACUCAUUUACUGCUUAUCGAAUUUUCCUAUAAUAACAACUAUCACACUAGCAUUGGAGUUGCUCCAUUCGAAGCUCUCUACAGUCGCAAGUGUAGAUCACCUCUGUGUUGGGCCGAAGUGGGGGAUACUCAGCUAGCUAGGGGGCAAGUCCCUGAUAGCACCCUUACCGGGCCUGAAAUCAUAAGGGAGACCACAAAAAAGAUUGUUCAAAUUUGGGAAAGACUGAAGGCGUCUCGUGAUCGACAAAAGAGUUACGGAAACAAGCAACGCAAACCCUUGGAAUUCCUAGUCGGAGAUCGAGUACUAAUAAAAGUUUCCCCUUGGAAAGGAAUGAUACGCUUUGGUAAGCGUGGGAAACUAAACCUGAGGUACAUCGGGCCAUUUGAAAUCCUUGCCAGGAUUGGUCCUGUGGCGUACAAACUCCGAUUACCACAAGAACUUAAUAACGUACACCCUACCUUCCACGUAUUAAACUUGAAAAAGUUCCUAUCGGAUGAGACACUUGUAAUACCUCUCGAUGAAAUUGAAGUUAACGACAAUCUCCACUUCGUGGAAGAACCAGUCGAAGUCAUGGAUCGAGAGAUCAAGCGAACAAAACAGAGUCGUAUUCCUAUUGUAAAGGUUCGCUGGAACGCUAAACGGGGACCUGCAUUCACCUGGGAACGCGAAGAUCAAAUGAAACAAAAAUACCCACAUCUUUUUUCCUAACUCUUAAAGUCCCAGUCAAAACGUAAAUUUCGGGAUGAAAUUCCCUUUAACGGGGGGAUGAUGUGACAAUAGUCAAAUCCGGGUCAAGUCGAAGUCAAACAAAGUCAAUAAGCUAAACCGGACGACUCAAUUAGCUCUUGUGUAUUAGGGUUUACGUGGUGUAUUUACUAAACAAUCCGUUAUUUUAAUGAGAAAGCAUCAUUUGAAAAAUCCAUGUGAUGUAAUUCUUCCUAAGCCUUAAAUGCGGUAAACAAUGAACCAAAGUGAUAAAACACAAAUGAACACUCAUCGGGAGUGUGUAAGACAUUAAAACAUGGCUUAAUGAGGUUUACGGACCUUGCGUUGCGAAGUCGGACACUAAAAAAGGACACACACGAAACCUCUCUCAAUCAUUUUCACUCUAUCUCUUUCUAUUUGAAAUCUCUCCCAAAUCUCUCUCAAUGGUUCUCGUAACUUUUUGAAGUCAUUCGGGUCAUUCCGACCUUUAACCGGGUCAAAAACCACUUAAAAGAGGGUUAAAACGAGUAAAAUACCCUAAAAGAACCGAAAAACCCUUUAUAGGGCCGAAACCUCUUAGGGCCGAACUCCUUGGACUGAAAGCAGCAAAGAACCGAACCCUCUUGGCCGAACCAGAAGGAUGCUCUUGGAACCAAACCUCGCACACACCCGAACCCGAAGUUACUGUUCAUUUCGGUUCAUUUUGCUCUCUCGGCCUAUUUCGCUUCGGCUGCGCUCGGACCGAACCUACCUUCGCUUCUUGGCGUUUCUCUCCUUACUGUUUUGCUUUGUUUCGCCUCUCGGCCAACCUCAGGAGGACCGAACCUCUGGCUAGGACCGAGAGGUCUCGCUGGAAGACCAAUUCUUUUCGGUUUUCGACUGCGACUUCAUUUUAGCUUCGUUUUUCAUGAUUUUAACUCGGGAUUUUCACUCAAACUCGUAUUUUAACAUAAUAAACCCUAAAUAUUCAUAAUUUAAUCAUAUUUUCAUGAAAAUCCUUAUUUAAAUAAUAAAAUCUAGUGGGUGAAUAAUUGAUGUGGAGUGUUGGUUUUGCUUUACCUUAUGACACAAGCAACCACCCCCAUACCCACUCUAUGACCAGCCACACCUUCCCACCUUACCUAGGUCACUUCAAUGUCCUUUCCACUCAUUUACCAGCCCUCCCCAUGUUCUUAGAGCUGGAACAACCCAUCUUCUCUCAUCACUUCUCUCAUUUGCUCUCAUUUCACUAAGGAUCCAACUCCACUUUUCCUCUUAAACUUUCUCCCUCAAAUUCGAGAUUCAAGGCUGAUUAUCAAGCUUUCACACACUCUUGGUAAGUAUAAUUCAUCCUCCUUGUGAUUAUUGCACUUCAUUCUACUCAAAUCAUUGAUUUCUUACACAAAUUCCAUCACUUCGAUGUUAGAUUCUCGAAAAUCUUCAAGGCAUCUUCAAGUGUUCUUGGGUUGAUCACUUCCAUUUUUCAACAACCAUCUACUGAAAUCACAUAAGGUGAGUUCAUAACCCUACAUUUUCAUAUUUUAUUAUGUUUUAAGGAGGAUAAUACAAGUCAAAUCAUCAAGAACACAACUAAAUAUUUCUAACAACUUACAUCAGAAAAGUUGGACUCCAUUCACGGACUGGUUUGGUCAACUAAAACAUUUUUGUUUUCAAAACUAUACCAGGUUCAAGUAGUUAAAGUUCUUAUCUUUAAAAUGACUACUUGCACAUCUCCAUACGAUUUUUCUACUAUGUAUGGUGAUUUUUUCAAAACUGCCUAUCACUUCAAGAACCAAACCGGACCAGUAUGUGUUUAUGGACGUUUUCACGUAAGUUGGAGGUCACUAAGAAUCAUGGAAAAAUUUAUGAACAAACUAGAUUCAUUAAACCAACUCCCAGAAUUUACGGAUUUUGAUUUGGAUCUUUUAUUUAGUUUUUAUAAGUUUCCUAAUAACAGUGAUCGAAGCUGUUAUAAACAGAAAAAUGCUAACAUAUUAUUAUCACCUUGUAUCAUGUUGAGCAAGGUGUAUAUCCUUAUGUGAAUGUGUGUUAUUACAAAAGAAUGAUAUUUUAUCUUGGUGUAUGAACAUGCAUCAGUUAAUAAAUGGAUUUUGAUAUAGAUAUACAUAUGAAAUAUAAAGGAUAACACGAUUGUUAUAAUCAAUGUACAUCCAUUUUACUUAAACAAUUGAACGAACUACGUUGAAUAUAGAUUACGUACGUUACCAUUACUACCCUUGUUUUGAUAAACUAUAAUUGGUAUUGUUUAUGAUUCAUCACUUAACACACUCGUACAAAAAGGGUACAUUCAUACAAAAAGGUUCUACACUCACGCACACUACACGUAAACUUUUUAACUUAAGUGGUGAAACAUUCACUCCCCGUACGUCCGAGUACGGGAUCCAAAUUCCUCUGAGUUAUAACCAAAAUCUCUUGUAGGGAGAGCGUAAUAAUUGUGUAUAGAUCUAUAUUGGGGUUGACAUCCCACACCUCGCUGCUAGCUACAGCCGGACCGGCAGGUCUGUGGGUGACAAGAGUCAUAGGAUCAGGAGGCCUGAAAGACGUUGUGCAGGUUACCUCUAGUCUUAGUAUGGUUAUAGCGAUUCAUAUAGAGAUUUAACAAUAAAUAGAGUUUACGGGAUUUUUAUAAAACAAAAAUGGGUUUAUGUCGAUUUAAAAAUCACUUUUUAUAUCAAUAAGUACGAAUAUUACUGUACACUUUCGGUCUUGGUAUUUAAGACUACACAUCACUCGAGAUUUAGAACUACAUACACAUAUUAAAGAAAAUAUUGGAUUUUCUGAAUACAUAUUCUAUCGCUUUUAUAAGGAAAACGGUUUACUUCUCUAAAGAAAUCUCUUAUGAACUCACCAACCUUCGUGUUGCCACUUUUUCAAACAACUUGUAUUCUCAGGGAAUCACCAAACAGGUAACCAAGUACUUUUGAGGAUGGGACGUUAAGGCGUCAAACUUUUCAUAUUUUUUCAACAUAUUGUAAUUGAUUUUGAAACAUGUAAUUCAUACAGUGAUGUAACUCUUUCAAUUAUAUAUAUGUUGGUUGUGUUUGCUUAAAUUACUAUUGUAAUGGUGGUUAUGAUACUAUACAUGAAGUCCUCCACCCCCGGACGUUUCCGCCAUCUUUGGUUUGGGGGUGUGACACCAGCACACUAACAUGGACUAGUGAGGAUGGCAAAAGGUUUAAACAUAAUCAUUACGACAUCCCUCUUCAUAAUUGUUUAGAUAGACAUGUGAGCUAUUUAAGGAAAGGUGUAUGAUUUUGAUAAAGUUUUAUCAAAGAUCUUGUAUUAGAAAUUUGAACUUUGGUAAGAAAGUCAAUAAAGUAUUGAUUUCUAGAAGUCCAGCUAAUUUAUGGGUACAUGUCAAAGCUAGUCGGAGCAUAAGUGUUAUGACAGUUAAAUUAUAAUUAUCAUGUUAGUGGGAGCAUGAUUAUUAUGUUAAUUGUUGCAAGUUAGCAAUGUUAGUUAUAGAAAAACAAAAGUUUCAAUUAAUUCACUUUGAAAAGUUGUUUUGCUAUAAUUAAGGGAGAGGAUUUUAUACUUCAUUCCAAUUCUACAAGCUUAGAUUGAGAUUUUAAUCAACUUUAGUCAAGGAUAUAUAUGAAUGUUAUGUUGGAAUGGUUUAACAUAAGGAAAUUCUAUAUAUGUUGCGUUCUCAAAUUUUGAUUAUGAUUACGACAUCCCUCUUCAUAGUUCGAAUUAUGAGAACAUGGCAAAUAAUUUUUUUUUUAGCAAAAGACUGAUAAAGUAUCAUGUCUUUAUGUAAGACAUCAUGAAUUGUGNGCCAUCAGGACUACUACAACAUCCGGAUAUACCUGAGUGGAAGUGGGAGCGGAUAACCAUGGAUUUCAUAACCAAGCUACCUAAGACAUCGAGUGGGCUUGACACCAUAUGGGUAAUCGUAGACAGAUUGACCAAGUCUGCGCACUUCCUACCAAUAAAGGAAACCGACAAGAUGGAAAUGUUAACCAGGACAUACAUCAAGGAGAUUGUGCGACUGCAUGGUGUACCAAUAUCCAUUAUCUCUGACCGAGAUAGUAGAUUCACCUCGCGAUUUUGACAGUCCUUACAGAAAUCUCUGGGAACUAGGCUAGAUAUGAGUACGACCUAUCAUCCGCAAACCGACGGGCAGAGCGAGCGCACCAUACAGACGUUAGAAGACAUGUUGAGAGCCUGUGUGAUAGACUUUGGUAAGGCGUGGGAUACUCAUUUACUGCUUAUCGAAUUUUCCUAUAAUAACAACUAUCACACUAGCAUUGGAGUUGCUCCAUUCGAAGCUCUCUACAGUCGCAAGUGUAGAUCACCUCUGUGUUGGGCCGAAGUGGGGGAUACUCAGCUAGCUAGGGGGCAAGUCCCUGAUAGCACCCUUACCGGGCCUGAAAUCAUAAGGGAGACCACAAAAAAGAUUGUUCAAAUUUGGGAAAGACUGAAGGCGUCUCGUGAUCGACAAAAGAGUUACGGAAACAAGCAACGCAAACCCUUGGAAUUCCUAGUCGGAGAUCGAGUACUAAUAAAAGUUUCCCCUUGGAAAGGAAUGAUACGCUUUGGUAAGCGUGGGAAACUAAACCUGAGGUACAUCGGGCCAUUUGAAAUCCUUGCCAGGAUUGGUCCUGUGGCGUACAAACUCCGAUUACCACAAGAACUUAAUAACGUACACCCUACCUUCCACGUAUUAAACUUGAAAAAGUUCCUAUCGGAUGAGACACUUGUAAUACCUCUCGAUGAAAUUGAAGUUAACGACAAUCUCCACUUCGUGGAAGAACCAGUCGAAGUCAUGGAUCGAGAGAUCAAGCGAACAAAACAGAGUCGUAUUCCUAUUGUAAAGGUUCGCUGGAACGCUAAACGGGGACCUGCAUUCACCUGGGAACGCGAAGAUCAAAUGAAACAAAAAUACCCACAUCUUUUUUCCUAACUCUUAAAGUCCCAGUCAAAACGUAAAUUUCGGGAUGAAAUUCCCUUUAACGGGGGGAUGAUGUGACAAUAGUCAAAUCCGGGUCAAGUCGAAGUCAAACAAAGUCAAUAAGCUAAACCGGACGACUCAAUUAGCUCUUGUGUAUUAGGGUUUACGUGGUGUAUUUACUAAACAAUCCGUUAUUUUAAUGAGAAAGCAUCAUUUGAAAAAUCCAUGUGAUGUAAUUCUUCCUAAGCCUUAAAUGCGGUAAACAAUGAACCAAAGUGAUAAAACACAAAUGAACACUCAUCGGGAGUGUGUAAGACAUUAAAACAUGGCUUAAUGAGGUUUACGGACCUUGCGUUGCGAAGUCGGACACUAAAAAAGGACACACACGAAACCUCUCUCAAUCAUUUUCACUCUAUCUCUUUCUAUUUGAAAUCUCUCCCAAAUCUCUCUCAAUGGUUCUCGUAACUUUUUGAAGUCAUUCGGGUCAUUCCGACCUUUAACCGGGUCAAAAACCACUUAAAAGAGGGUUAAAACGAGUAAAAUACCCUAAAAGAACCGAAAAACCCUUUAUAGGGCCGAAACCUCUUAGGGCCGAACUCCUUGGACUGAAAGCAGCAAAGAACCGAACCCUCUUGGCCGAACCAGAAGGAUGCUCUUGGAACCAAACCUCGCACACACCCGAACCCGAAGUUACUGUUCAUUUCGGUUCAUUUUGCUCUCUCGGCCUAUUUCGCUUCGGCUGCGCUCGGACCGAACCUACCUUCGCUUCUUGGCGUUUCUCUCCUUACUGUUUUGCUUUGUUUCGCCUCUCGGCCAACCUCAGGAGGACCGAACCUCUGGCUAGGACCGAGAGGUCUCGCUGGAAGACCAAUUCUUUUCGGUUUUCGACUGCGACUUCAUUUUAGCUUCGUUUUUCAUGAUUUUAACUCGGGAUUUUCACUCAAACUCGUAUUUUAACAUAAUAAACCCUAAAUAUUCAUAAUUUAAUCAUAUUUUCAUGAAAAUCCUUAUUUAAAUAAUAAAAUCUAGUGGGUGAAUAAUUGAUGUGGAGUGUUGGUUUUGCUUUACCUUAUGACACAAGCAACCACCCCCAUACCCACUCUAUGACCAGCCACACCUUCCCACCUUACCUAGGUCACUUCAAUGUCCUUUCCACUCAUUUACCAGCCCUCCCCAUGUUCUUAGAGCUGGAACAACCCAUCUUCUCUCAUCACUUCUCUCAUUUGCUCUCAUUUCACUAAGGAUCCAACUCCACUUUUCCUCUUAAACUUUCUCCCUCAAAUUCGAGAUUCAAGGCUGAUUAUCAAGCUUUCACACACUCUUGGUAAGUAUAAUUCAUCCUCCUUGUGAUUAUUGCACUUCAUUCUACUCAAAUCAUUGAUUUCUUACACAAAUUCCAUCACUUCGAUGUUAGAUUCUCGAAAAUCUUCAAGGCAUCUUCAAGUGUUCUUGGGUUGAUCACUUCCAUUUUUCAACAACCAUCUACUGAAAUCACAUAAGGUGAGUUCAUAACCCUACAUUUUCAUAUUUUAUUAUGUUUUAAGGAGGAUAAUACAAGUCAAAUCAUCAAGAACACAACUAAAUAUUUCUAACAACUUACAUCAGAAAAGUUGGACUCCAUUCACGGACUGGUUUGGUCAACUAAAACAUUUUUGUUUUCAAAACUAUACCAGGUUCAAGUAGUUAAAGUUCUUAUCUUUAAAAUGACUACUUGCACAUCUCCAUACGAUUUUUCUACUAUGUAUGGUGAUUUUUUCAAAACUGCCUAUCACUUCAAGAACCAAACCGGACCAGUAUGUGUUUAUGGACGUUUUCACGUAAGUUGGAGGUCACUAAGAAUCAUGGAAAAAUUUAUGAACAAACUAGAUUCAUUAAACCAACUCCCAGAAUUUACGGAUUUUGAUUUGGAUCUUUUAUUUAGUUUUUAUAAGUUUCCUAAUAACAGUGAUCGAAGCUGUUAUAAACAGAAAAAUGCUAACAUAUUAUUAUCACCUUGUAUCAUGUUGAGCAAGGUGUAUAUCCUUAUGUGAAUGUGUGUUAUUACAAAAGAAUGAUAUUUUAUCUUGGUGUAUGAACAUGCAUCAGUUAAUAAAUGGAUUUUGAUAUAGAUAUACAUAUGAAAUAUAAAGGAUAACACGAUUGUUAUAAUCAAUGUACAUCCAUUUUACUUAAACAAUUGAACGAACUACGUUGAAUAUAGAUUACGUACGUUACCAUUACUACCCUUGUUUUGAUAAACUAUAAUUGGUAUUGUUUAUGAUUCAUCACUUAACACACUCGUACAAAAAGGGUACAUUCAUACAAAAAGGUUCUACACUCACGCACACUACACGUAAACUUUUUAACUUAAGUGGUGAAACAUUCACUCCCCGUACGUCCGAGUACGGGAUCCAAAUUCCUCUGAGUUAUAACCAAAAUCUCUUGUAGGGAGAGCGUAAUAAUUGUGUAUAGAUCUAUAUUGGGGUUGACAUCCCACACCUCGCUGCUAGCUACAGCCGGACCGGCAGGUCUGUGGGUGACAAGAGUCAUAGGAUCAGGAGGCCUGAAAGACGUUGUGCAGGUUACCUCUAGUCUUAGUAUGGUUAUAGCGAUUCAUAUAGAGAUUUAACAAUAAAUAGAGUUUACGGGAUUUUUAUAAAACAAAAAUGGGUUUAUGUCGAUUUAAAAAUCACUUUUUAUAUCAAUAAGUACGAAUAUUACUGUACACUUUCGGUCUUGGUAUUUAAGACUACACAUCACUCGAGAUUUAGAACUACAUACACAUAUUAAAGAAAAUAUUGGAUUUUCUGAAUACAUAUUCUAUCGCUUUUAUAAGGAAAACGGUUUACUUCUCUAAAGAAAUCUCUUAUGAACUCACCAACCUUCGUGUUGCCACUUUUUCAAACAACUUGUAUUCUCAGGGAAUCACCAAACAGGUAACCAAGUACUUUUGAGGAUGGGACGUUAAGGCGUCAAACUUUUCAUAUUUUUUCAACAUAUUGUAAUUGAUUUUGAAACAUGUAAUUCAUACAGUGAUGUAACUCUUUCAAUUAUAUAUAUGUUGGUUGUGUUUGCUUAAAUUACUAUUGUAAUGGUGGUUAUGAUACUAUACAUGAAGUCCUCCACCCCCGGACGUUUCCGCCAUCUUUGGUUUGGGGGUGUGACACCAGCACACUAACAUGGACUAGUGAGGAUGGCAAAAGGUUUAAACAUAAUCAUUACGACAUCCCUCUUCAUAAUUGUUUAGAUAGACAUGUGAGCUAUUUAAGGAAAGGUGUAUGAUUUUGAUAAAGUUUUAUCAAAGAUCUUGUAUUAGAAAUUUGAACUUUGGUAAGAAAGUCAAUAAAGUAUUGAUUUCUAGAAGUCCAGCUAAUUUAUGGGUACAUGUCAAAGCUAGUCGGAGCAUAAGUGUUAUGACAGUUAAAUUAUAAUUAUCAUGUUAGUGGGAGCAUGAUUAUUAUGUUAAUUGUUGCAAGUUAGCAAUGUUAGUUAUAGAAAAACAAAAGUUUCAAUUAAUUCACUUUGAAAAGUUGUUUUGCUAUAAUUAAGGGAGAGGAUUUUAUACUUCAUUCCAAUUCUACAAGCUUAGAUUGAGAUUUUAAUCAACUUUAGUCAAGGAUAUAUAUGAAUGUUAUGUUGGAAUGGUUUAACAUAAGGAAAUUCUAUAUAUGUUGCGUUCUCAAAUUUUGAUUAUGAUUACGACAUCCCUCUUCAUAGUUCGAAUUAUGAGAACAUGGCAAAUAAUUUUUUUUUUAGCAAAAGACUGAUAAAGUAUCAUGUCUUUAUGUAAGACAUCAUGAAUUGUGUCACAUAUGCUUUGUGUAUAGGAUCCAUGUGUUAUAAUAUUCAUCCGUUCAAAAUUUUUCCAAAUGCCUAGGGCGUUAAGAGGGAAAAAGGACUAGAACUGGAUAUGACUAAAAUGAUUAAGCAACCGUCGAGGACAAUCUGAGGUUUACCAAAGAUUGGUUGCUCAUGGACAAUAGGAAGUAUAUAGUUAGGACCAUAUUGAAAUAUUCUAAAAACAGGCAACUCUUGUUCAAAAGUGAUAGUCAAAAUGGGAAUAUGACCAUAUUGACAUAUUCUGAAAAGAGGCAACUCUUGUUCAGAAGUGAUAGUCAAAAUGGGAAUAUGGAAAUAUUUCCAUAGGUGGAAGUUAUUCUUUGAAUCUAUGUAAGAUUAGAAAACUUAAUGCAAGAAAGAUGUUCAAAGGAAUGUACUUUGAAUGUGAGACUUCGUUUCCAUGAUUUAUGUGACAACCUGAAAUUUAUUCCGUCGCUGUAACCUGUUUCCGUUAAUAAAACCCGUUUGUAUUUCAAUUUUUCCGUUAACUUUUGGAUUAAGUUAAUUAAUUUGAGACUUUUAUUAUGACUUCAUUAGUGUUCAAACGCACGUGAAACACCCUCGAUAUUCUUUCUAAAAGUUUCUGAUUCACGACCACGUCGGGUUAUGACAACUUAAUCGGGUACGACCAUAAGCCCCGUUUAACGUCGGUAUCGAGUAGAUUUCCAAUGGGCCACAAACUCAAACCCUAUAUAAGGGUGAUUGGACCUUCAUUUGAAGCUUUUUCACUCUCUUAACACUCUCUCUCACUACUCUCUCUCUACAAGCCAAAUUUUGAUCCAAAACCACCCCUUUCAAGCUUCAAAUUGGUAAGUGAUCUAUCCUAGCUUAUAGUUUAGCUUGUUUAGCAUACAAAUCCGUGUUUAAAUCAUUCAAAAGUAUCAAAAACUUGUGUUUAUAGCCCAGGAACAACCCCAAACCGCAAACACCCAUAAAUGGGGUUUUGAAGCCCCAAAACCCUUCCAAAUCACUUUUGGUGCUUAGCUAUGACUUAGGGACUUACAUGUACGAGCUUAGAACACCAAAAACUUGUUAUUUGGGGAGUAAACAUGAGUUUACAUCCCAAGAUCAUUCUUGUACCGUAAACCAUCCUUCAUAGGCCGUAAACACCAUUUAAGGUGUUAAAUUUCCCCUUAAACACCUCAUAUGGCUUGGAAUAAUGUCUAGAACCAACCACCAUUGAAGUAGGGACCUUAAACAUCAAGGAAAUAAUGACCUUAGGCGAUUACAGCCGUAAACCCCCCAAGGAAUGGUCGCUUGUCCGUAAACUCCUCUAAAGAGGUCAAAUGGUGCCCUAACUUAAUUCCAUGGCUUGUAUAUUGGAAUAGAAUCAUAUGUGCUUAACCUAGGACCAUCAAAACACAAAAGGAAAGGGAAAGUAAGAGUUUAUGGCCGUAAACUCUAUGUUUACAGCCGUGAACUCCCCAAAAUGGUCCAUUUGAUUAUUUAAUCACUUCCUAUGCCCUAGAAUUGAACCUAGCCCAAUUCCACAAGUGUUGUAAAACCUUUAAACAUCUAAGAACACACCACCCAUGAUUUUAUGGCUGUAAACUCAUGGGGAUAUGGUAUGUGGGCCGUAAUCUCUUCUAAGAGUUUACUCUUGAAGAGUAAACUCCAUAUCUAGGCCCUACACCCCCUUAAAUGCAACUCGUAUAACUCCUAACAAUUGAAAUAAAGUGUUUCCGCAUCUCGGAGUGUAUUAUCUUACUUAAUUAGUAGUUAAAAGUCUAAUUAGAUACAAUUAUGUAUCUCUUCAUAUUACAUAGGAACCUAGCGCGCGUUCAAGCCCUAAACUGACACUUAGCAUCCUAACCGGGACAUUUCUUGACUUGUGAGUUCAUACCCCUACACCAUUUUCCGUGUUUUUCAUGUUUUCAAGGGGGAAUACAAGUAAAAGUACAAGGAAAUCUUGUACUCAAAACUAUUAUUUCGUAUGAAAUGUUUCAUAUUCCGUAUGCUUUUAACAUUGAAAACCGUAUUAACCGACCGUUUAACUUGUAGAGUUAAUUUUCAAACUAAUUGUGAAACUAAUUAUAAAAUGUUAUAUUUUAUAUUUCACAAAUGAUUUUCCACAUCAUUACUUGUAAAAUCAUUAAUCUUAGAACUGGAAAUACGUCCUUGGUAACACUCCCCCUAGAUACGAGAGUGAAGGACCAAUAACAUAAAUCUUAUAACUGGAAACAUGUCCUUGGUAACACUCCCCCUAGAUACGAGAGUGAAGGAUCAAUAACAUAAAUCUUAGAACUAGAAACAUGUCCUUAGUAACACUCCCCUUGGAUACGAGAGUGAAGGAUUACUAAAAUAGGAUUUUCCAUAUGAUUUCUUUUAAAAUUUCAUUAAUCUUAUAAUUGGAGACACGUCCUUGGUAACACUCCGCCUUGAUAUGAGAGUGUAGGACUAAUCCUGUAACGAGAAUCUCCUGGAGGGAGAACGUGACCUGAGUGUAUAGAUCUAUACGGGAUUGACUAUCCCGCACCUGGCUGCUAGCUACAGUGGGACUGACUGGUCCAUAGGUGACAAAGUCAUAAAAUGAUACUGGUCCUGUUACGAGCCUUAUCUAGUUUAAUGUAUGGUUAUGGAACUCGCAACUUAGAUUAUGGAAAUUACUUCAGUAAUUAGUUUAGUGCCUACUUAUUAGUUUUAUAUAUGUGUUAAAGCUAAUGAAAUUUUCAAGGAUAACCAGGUUUUCAGAAUAUUCCACUUAAACGCUACAAGUUUGGUAGAUACUUGUACACUGCAUUCCAAAUCGAUAACCAACCACCAAAUUUUAAGGAAAAUAAGGGUUUUUCCUGGGAUAACUUAACUGUUCUUGACCAGGCUGUGUAACAAAUGGAUAACUAAACUUUUCUUAUAAGAAAAUAUGAGAUUUUCCUGGAUAGCAACUUUUUCAGAAAACCAAAGGAAAUUUGUUCUUUUACAGAAACAAACUGCAUAUGAACUCACCAGCUUUAUAUUGAUAUUUUUAAAAAUGCUUGUAUUCUCAGGUUCUCGUUAAACAUGUAUCCUGCGUUCUUUUGGAGAAGACGGUGCAUAUAGAAGUCUUGUCUUUACUUUUGUUAUACUGAUGUAUAUGUAAAACAUGUAUUACUUCGCUUUCAAACAAAUGUAAAUAUUUCUAUGUAAUGUAAUGUUUUGUGUUUAAUAUGCUUGCUAUGUACAUUGGUUGUGAUACUUUACAUGAUGUCCUCCUCCCCGGAACGUUUCCGCCAUCGGUUUCGGGGUGUGAUAGAUUGGUAUCAGAGCCCUUGUUUAUAGUGAACUAAGUACACCGAACCUUACAUGGUAUAUAACUAUAAACACUAAGGGGCCGAAAGUGCUCUGAACUAAAAUUAUACUUUAAAAUACAAGUAUUUUUCAAAAGUAUACAAGAAACCUAAAUGCCACAACCCGUAACCACGAGUAGAACAAAACAUAAGUAAUUGGGUGUUGUACACUGCAGUUAAACCUGGGCAAUUAUGUAGUCGUGUCUAGGGUCAAUAUAGCCUGAUCAACUAUAUUCAUUCGAGACACGACCAACAUGUGCUUGGGAGUAACUGUGGUGUGCAGCAGGCCUAAAACUUACCAAAUAUACAAACAAUGAGUCAUCGUCACAGCGAACCAUAAAAUACUAUAGGAGUAUUUUAGCCAAAGCCGAAUACGUUGUAGAAAUUCAUUCCAUGUGUUGCUACUCAUUCUUUCCUUAGUGAUAGUUUACCUGAUUUGGUAACUCUUUCCUGUUUUAUCGCUUAGUAGAACACUAUAUCUGCCAUAAUGAGUUAUCUCUUGUUUCAUAUCUCUUGAUUCUAUUUAGAGGACUUACCAUCCUCUCUUUCCUUAUCAUUUUAGAUCAAGAUGCCUCCAAAGAAAAGACCCAGCUCAAAGAAUAACAAUCGUCCUCCACCACCUCCCUCUCCAUUUGAUCCUGCCAUGUUCCUAGUAGUUGUUACUGCUGCUGUGGCUGCUGCCAUGUCACAAAUGAACCCCGGUGGUUCAGGCGGGCCAGGAGGUGGUACUCAGCCCCAAAACCAGGAAGGUAGUCAGGGACACCGGAAGGAGUGUUCCUACAAAGACUUUAUGAACGCGAAACCCACACCCUUCAAUGGAACUGGAGGUGUUAUUGCUCUAACUUGAUGGUUUAAGAAAAUUGAGUCUAUUUUCGAAAUCGAUGUCUGUUCUGAAUUUGACAAGGUGAAGUUCGCCGCCUGCACUUUCACCGAUAAAGCCCUGACUUGGUGGAAUGGCCGAGUCAAAUCCUUAACCCUGCCUGUAGCCAAUGCUAUGGGUUGGGAGAGCAUGAAGGAGCUUUUACUUGUUGAAUACUGCCCGCAGGGCGAAAUGCAGAAGCUAGAGCAUGAACUCUGGAAUUUAAAGAUGAAGGGUUCCGAUGUUGCCGCUUACACCUCCAGAUUUGAAGACCUGGUGCUUCUUUGUCCGGGAAUGGUUACCCUGGAAAGUAAAAAGAUUGAAAGGUUCAUCUGGGGGAUGACCCAGCCAACCAAGGGCAAUGUUUUGGCUGCGAAGCCAAACACAUUCGACAACACUAAUUGCCUGGCGCAAACCCUGAUCGACCAUGGAGAUGACCUUGAGGAAGCGGCCACCACUCCUGAACUGACAAAAAGGAGUGGUGAGAAAAGAAAAAUUUUGAAGCAGAAGAAGGGUCAGUCUUCGUAGGAGCCCACAAAGAAGUAGCAAACUAUGGCAGUCCACGCUGCUACUACCCCUGUUACUGUUUCUGUCGUCGCUUCUUCUGCUCAAGCACCCACCAGUAGGUAUGUUGGUACCCUCCCUAGGUGCAACAAGUGAAACUAUCAUCAUCUCACUUCCAGACCAUGCCGUGAGAUGCUCUGCAACAGCUGUGGCAAAAAGGGCCACACUGCGGGAAACUGCAAAGCACCAGUCCGACCAACCAAUCAAGCUUCCGGAGCGGGUGUUGGUCAGGCCUGCUACGGUUGCGGUGAAGUCGGGCAUUUCAAGCGAAACUGCCCCAAGGCAGCAAGAACUGGCAACACCGGGAGACUUCUAACUAUGGGACGAGAUGAGGCAGUCGCCAAUCCCACCGUUGUCUAGGGUACGCUCCUUCUCGACAACUCUUAUGCUUGCUUCCUUUUCGAUUCUGGUGCUAAACGAAGUUUUGUUAGCCAUUCAUUCAAACAUCUUCUUAAACAAAAUCCCCAACCAUUAACCGAAACUUUUACUGUUGAAAUGACUAACGGUGACAAAGAGAACACUAACGAUAUAUUCAUAGGUUGUACCCUUACCCUGGAUGAUCAUUCUUUUCCCAUUAGUCUAAUGUCAGUUUCCAUAAAGAGCUUUGAUGUUAUCAUUGGCAUGGAUUGGUUAAGUCCCAAUCAUGCUGAUAUUCUUUGUUACGAAAAGCCAUCCGUCUCAAUCUCCCCUCUGGGCAGACUCUCAUAAUCUACGGUGAUAAACUUAGUUCCAAUCUUCGCAUCAUUUCAUGCAUCAAGGCUCAAAAACUUCUAUGAAAGUAGUGUUACGCAUUCCUAGCUCAUGUAAUCAACGAGAAACAGGAAGUUAAAGACCUCGAGAGCAUCCCCGAAGUCUACAACUUUCCUGAUGUGUUUCCCGAAGAGCUCCUGGGAAUUCCUCCUGAACGCCAAGUCGAGUUUCGCAUCGACCUAAUUCCUGGAGUAAAUCCUGUAGCCAAGUCUCCGCAUCGCUUAGCUCCAGCAGAAAUGCAGGAGUUAUCCAGUCAGCUUAAUGAGCUACUUGGUAAAGGGUUCAUCAGACGGAGUUCCUCACCUUGGGGGCCUCGGUAUUAUUUGUAAAGAAGAAAGAUGGAUCCUUUCGGAUGUGUAUAGACUACCGUGAGCUGAAUAAGUUGACCAUCAAAAACCGUUAUCCUCUUCCUCGAAUAGAUGACCUUUUCGAUCAACUUCAAGGAGCCAGUUACUUUUCAAAGAUAGACCUUAGAUUAGGGUACCAUCAGCUAAGAGUUCACGAGAAUGAUGUUUCCAAGACAGCAUUCAGGACCCAAUAUGGUCACUAGGAGUUCAUAGUGAUGCCCUUCGGUCUAACCAACACACGGGUAGUGUUCAUGGAUCUGAUGAACCCGGUGUGUCGCCCUUUUCUGCACAAGUUCGUUAUCGUAUUCAUUAACGACAUACUUGUCUAUUCCCGAAGCGAAGAAGAUCACAAACAACACUUGAGGUUAGUGUUGGAAACUCUUAGAACGGAGAAGCUAUACGCGAAAUUCUCCAAGUGAGAAUUCUGGAUUCGGAAGGUAACAUUCCCUGGUCACGUGAUAAGUGAGGAAGGCAUACACAUGGACCCUUCCAAAAUCAAGGCAAUAGAGAAUUGGUCGGCACCGAAGACACCCACAGAAAUCCUUCAAUUCUUGGGUCUCGCCGGCAAUUAUCGCGGAUUCAUUCAGAAUUUUUCCAGAAUCGCCAAACCCCUAACCACUCUGACACAGAAAGGUGUACCCUUUUGUUGGAGUGAAAAGCAAGACACUGUAUUCCAAACGUUGAAGCCAACCUUCUGCAGCGCACCUAUCCUGUCCCUGCCCGAAGGGACAAAGGAUUUCGUUGUCUAUUGCGAUGCGUCCAAUCAGGGCUUAGGCUGUGUGCUUAUGCAGAGAGGAAAAUUUAUUGCUUAUGCCUCGAGACAGCUGAAGGCACAUGAAAUUAACUACAUAACUCACGACCUGGAGUUAGGAGUAGUGGUCUUCGCACUGAAGAUUUGGAGACAUUAUCUCUACGUAACCAAGUGCACGAUCUUCACCGACCAUAAAAGUCUACAACAGAUCUUCAAUUAGAAGGACUUAAAUAGGAGGCAACGGCGAUGGGUAGAGCUACUCAAUGAUUACGAGUGGGAAAUCCGCUACCAUCUCGGCAAGGCCAAUAUGGUAGCAGAUGCCCUUAGCCGAAAGGAAAGAUCAAGCAACAAGGCGAAGACAUUGACAAUGACCAUCCAUUCCCACUUAUCCGCACAAAUCCGAGAAGCCCAGUUGUAAGCCCUAAAACCAGAGAACGUGUUGAAUGAAGCCUUGAAAGGAAUGGAUAAGAAACUUGAGAUCAGAGGUGACGGAGUUUACUAUUUCAUGGAUCGAAUAUGGACCCCAAAGUUCGGAGGUUUUAGGGAAGUUAUUAUGAACGACGCUCAUAAGACCAAAUACUUUAUGCACCCGGGUUCGAAUAAGAUGUACCUGGAUCUCAAGAAACUAUACUGGAGGCCAAACAUGAAAGCCGAAAUCGCUACCUUCGUGGGCAAGUGUCUGAAUUGCGCCAAGGUAAAAGUCGAGUAUCAGAAGCCCUCGGGUCUUCUCCAACAGCCCAAGAUACCUGAGUGGAAAUGGGAGAUGAUUACUAUGGAUUUCAUCACCAAGUUACCCAAAUCUCUGAGUGGGUACGAUACCAUUUGGGUAAUUAUCGACCUAUUGACAAAAUCCGCUCACUUCCUACCGAUUAAAGAGUCAUUCAAGAUGGAAAGAUUUACGCGAAUCUACAUCCAAGAGAUAGUCCGACUACAUGGUGUGCCUGUGUCCAUUAUCUCCGAUCGAGAUAGCAAGUUUACCUCAAGAUUUUGGCAGUCCCUACAGAAAGCUCUUGGAACUAAGCUGGAUAUGAGUAUAACUUAUCAUCCUCAAUCAUAUGGGUAGAGUGAGAGAACUAUCAAGACCCAGGAAGACAUGCUUAGAGCAUGUGUCAUUGAUUUCGGAAAGUCGUGGGACACUCAUUUACCCUUGAUCGAGUUCUCGUAUAACAACAGCUACCACACCAGCAUCAAGGCUACCCCGUUCGAAGCCCUCUACGGUCGCAAGUGCAGAUCCGCUCUGUGCUGGGCCGAGGAAGGGGACACGCAGCUAGCCAAGAGUCGAGUCCCCGACAGUGCUCUCACUGGUCCUGAAAUCAUCCGUGAAACCACCGAGAAGAUCAUCCAAAUCCGAGAACGACUGAAAGCUUCACGAGACAAACGAAAGAGUUACACUGAUAAACGACGGAAACCCUUGGAAUUCCAGGUAGGAGAUCGUCUCCUGUUGAAGGUCUCGCCCUGGAAAGGCAUGAUACGCUUUGGAAAGCGUGGAAAACUUAACCCAAGGUACAUAGGACCUUUCGAGAUCCUCGCUUGAAUCGGUCCCGUAGCCUAUAAACUCCGACUACCUCAAGAGCUUAGCAACAUCCAUCCUAUCUUCCUCGUCUCAAAUCUUAAAAAGUGUCUAUCCGAUGAAACCCUCAUGAUCCUUCUUGAUGAGAUCAAGAUCAACGAAAACCUGAACUUUGUGGAAGAACCAAUCAAAAUCAUGGACCGAUAGAUCAAACAUAUGAAACAAGGUCGUAUCCCGAUAGUGAAGGUUCGCUAGAAUGCCAAGCAGUGACCCGAAUUCACUUGGGAACGCGAAGACUCGAUGAAACAGAAAUAUCCGCAUCUCUUUCCAAUUCCAUGAUUUUUAUCUUAAUUCUAAAUUUCGGGAUGAAAUUCCCUCUAACGGGGGAUAAUGUGACAACCUGAAAUUUAUUCCGUCACUAUAACCCGUUUCCGUUAAUAAAACCUGUUUGUAUUUCAAUUUUUCCGUUAACUUUUGGAUUAAGUUAAUUAAAUUGAGACUUUUAUUAUGACUUCAUGAGUGUUCAAACGCACGUGAAACACCCUCGAUAUUCUUUCUAAAAGUUUCUGAUUCACGACCACGUCGGGUUACGACAACUUAAUCGGGUACGACCAUAAGCCCCGUUUAACGUCGGUAUCGAGUAGAUUUCCAAUGGGCCACAAACUCAAACCCUAUAUAAGGGUGAGUGGACCUUCAUUUGAAGCUUUUUCACUCUCUUAACACUCUCUCUCACUACUCUCUCUCUACAAGCCAAAUUUUGAUCCAAAACCACCCCUUUCAAGCUUCAAAUUGGUAAGUGAUCUAUCCUAGCUUAUAGUUUAGCUUGUUUAGCAUACAAAUCCGUGUUUAAAUCAUUCAAAAGUAUCAAAAACUUGUGUUUAUAGCCCAGGAACAACCCCAAACCGCAAACACCCAUAAAUGGGGUUUUGAAGCCCCAAAACCCUUCCAAAUCACUUUUGGUGCUUAGCUAUGACUUAGGGACUUACAUGUACGAGCUUAGAACACCAAAAACUUGUUAUUUGGGGAGUAAACAUGAGUUUACGCCCCAAGAUAAUUCUUAGACCGUAAACCCUCCUUCAUAGGCCGUAAACACCAUUUAAGGUGUUAAAUUUCCUCUUAAACACCUCCUAUGCCUUGGAAUAAUGUCUAGAACCAACCACCAUCGAAGUAGGGACCUUAAACAUCAAGGAAACAAUGACCUUUGGAGAUUACGGCCGUAAAUCCCCAAAGAAUGGUCCCUUGGCCGUAAACUCCUCUAAAGAGGUCAAAUGGUGCCCUAAUUUCCUUCCAUGGCUUGUAUAUUGGACUAGAAUCAUAUAUGCUUAACCUAGGACCAUCAAAACACAAAAGGAAAGGGAAAGUAAGAGUUUACAGCCGUAAACUCUAUGUUUACAGCCGUAAACUCCCCAAAAUGGUGCAUUUGAUGAUUUAAUCACUUCCUAUGCCCUAGAAUUGAACCUAGCCUAAAUCCAGAAGUGUUGUAAGACCUUUAAACAUCCAAGAACACAUCACCCAUGAGUUUACAGCCGUAAAUUGAUGGGGAUAUGGUCUAUGGGCCGUAAUCUCUUCUAAGAGUUUACUCUUGAAGAGUAAACUCCAUAUCUAGGCCCUACACCCCCUUAAAUGCAACCCGUAUCACGAAUAACACUUGAAUUAAAGUUUUUCCGCGUCUCGGAGUGUAUUAUCUUACUUAGUUAGUAGUUCAAAGUCUAAUUAGAUACAAUUAUGUAUCUCUUCAUAUUACAUAGGAACCUCACGCAUGUUCAAGCCCUAAACUGACACUUAGCAUCCUAACCGACACAUUUCUCGACUGGUGAGUUGUUACCCCUACACCAUUUUCCGUGCUUUUCAUGUUUUCAAGGGGGAAUACAAGCAAAAGUAUAAGAAAAUCUUGUACUCAAACUAUUAUUUCGUAUGAAAUGUUUCAUAUUCUGUAUGCUUUUAACACUGAAAACCGUAUUAACCGACCGUUUAACUUGUAGAGUUAAUUUUCAAACUAAUUGUGAAACUCAUUAUAAAAUGUUAUGUUUUAUAUUUCACAAAUGAUUUUCCACAUCAUUACUUGUAAAAUCAUUAAUCUUAGAACUGGAAAUACAUCCUUGGUAACACUCCCCCUAGAUACGAGAGUGAAGGACCAAUAACAUAAAAUCUUAGAACUAGAAACAUGUCCUUGGUAACACUCCCCUAGAUACGAGAGUGAAGGACCAAUAACAUAAAUCUUAGAACUGGAAACAUGUCCUUGGUAACACUCCCCCUGGACACGAGAGUGAAGGACUAAUAAAAUAGGAUUUUCCGUAUGAUUUCUUUUAAAAUUUCAUUAAUCUUAAGAUUGGAGACACGUGUUGGGUUUUGAGUAUUCUAACACUCCUAAGUGUACACAUGCAACCCUAAAUACCUUGGAUCUAUGUUUUUUCUAUUAUACAUGCAAAUAUGAACAUCCAAGGUAUUAUCCUAAUGUAGCAUAUAAAACAAUGAAUAUAACAAGAUAGAAUACAUACCUCUUUGGUGUAGAAUGUUCUCAAGAAGCUUGAGUGCCUAGUGCCCCAAGUGUGACACCUCAAAUGGUUCACACAACAUCAAUUGCUUUUGGAAUAACCUUGAGAGAAAUAUAGAACACUUGAAAUCGGCUAGCCCUUCACUUCUUUACCAUAGUGGCCGAUUUUUCCCAAGAAAAUGAUNUGUUACAAUUAGGGUAAACCCUAAUUGUCAUGGCUUUCCAUUUCCUUGGAUCCAUGGGUUCAAAUACACCAUGGAGCAUCCAUGGAGCAUCAUAUGGGUUUUAGCCCAACUUGAUAAUCCAUAGAGCAUUAGCCCACUAUACAAGUAUGGAUGAUUUACACAAUCAACCCAUAUAUUUAAUUAGUCUUCUUUUGAUCACUUAAUUAAUUCUAGAUUAACUCUUGAUCAAUACUAAUUAAAUAAUCCUAUUAAUAUAUUAGAACUUAUAAUAUAUUAAUCAACCUUAAGUGUUAUUUCUCUCAUUAUAGUCUAUCCAAAUGCAUGAUGCCAUGCAACCCAAAUGGACCAUGCCGGGUCGGGUCAAGUCUUACCAAUUAUAGUUAUGGACUUAGACAUUAAUCCAACAACACGUCCUUGGUAACGCUCCCCCUUGAUACGAGAGUGUAGGACUAUCCUUGUAACCAAAAUCUCCUGGAGGGAGGACGUGACCUGAGUGUAUAGAUCUAUACGGGAUUGACUAUCCCGCACCUGGAUGCUAGCUACAGUGGGACCGACUGGUCCACAGGUGACAAAUGUCAUAAAAUGAUAUUGGCCCCAUUACAAGCCUUAUCUAGUUUAUUGUAUGGUUAUGGAACUCGCAAUUUAGAUUAUGGAAAUUGCUUCAGUAAUUAGUUUACUGCCUACUUAUUAGUUUUAUAUACGUGUUAAAGCUAAUGAAAUUUUCAAGGAUAACCAGGCUUUCAAGAUAUUCCACUUAAACGCUACAAGUAUGGUAGAUACUUGUACACUGUAUUCCGAAUCGAUAACCAACCACCAAGUUUUAAGGAAAAUAAGGGUUUUUCCUGGGAUAACUUAACUGUUCUUAACCAGGCUAUGUAACAAAUGCAUAACUAAACUUUUCUUAUAAGAAAAUAUGGGAUUUUCUUAGAUAGCAUCUUUUUUAGAAAACCAAAGGAAAUUUGUUCUUUUAUAGAAACAAACCGCUUAUGAACUCACCAGCUUUAUGCUGAUAUUUUUAAAACUGCUUGUAUUCUCAGGUUCUCGUUAGACAUGUAUCCCACGUUCUUUUGAAGAAAACGGUGCAUAUAGAAGUCUCGUCUAUACUUUUGUUAUACUGAUGUAUAUGUAAAACAUGUAUUACUUCGCUUUCAAAAAAUGUAAAUAUUUCUAUGUAAUGUAAUGUUUUGUGUUUACUAUGCUUGCUAUGUAUAUUGGUUGUGAUACUUUACAUGACGUCCUCCGCCCCGGAACGCUUCCGCCAUCGGUUUCGAGGUGUGAUAGAAAUGCUCUCCAUUGGAAUACUUUGUAAUGUCUAUUGUCAAUUCUCUGUGAUUUUUGUGUAUAGUCAUUACAAGUGGAUCAUUGCAUAUACAUUUAGAAUCUAGAAGAUUACAGUAAAUGGCAAGAAUUUGGUAUUCUUACAUUUACGGUAAGGAUUUGGAAUUGUUAAAUGAGCAUCAUUGAAAUGUUGUCAAUUAAUCUAUUUCCCAAAGAAAGGACCAUAGGUAAACAUAGUGUGCAUGCUUGGAGCAUGGAAUAAUUAUUGUUUUAAUUGAUGUAUUAAGUAGAUUAGUCGAAACAUUAUACAAUGAAUAAUGAGUAAACAAUAUGGUUCAAAAGUUUUGGGGCCAUAUAGGAUUCGUAUUAUUCUUGUGUUUCACUUUGCAUGUUUUGACUUCCCGAAUAACUAGGUUAUUCAAACCAUCCAUAUUCGAUCAUACUGUGGAAGCAGGUAUUGAGGCAAGACUAUCAUGAAUGGGUCUGUAGUUUGUAUAGGUGUUCUUAGACAUAGUUGCAAUAUUCAUGAGUCCUCCUAGAAUAAUAUUCGAGUAUUGGAUUCAACCCACGCUCAUUUGAAUCACUUCAUGGAUUUUAUCACAAGUGAAUCAUUCGAUGAUAAUAUCUUAUAUUCUUCAAAACAAGACAUGUGAGUUGUAUUUUUACAAAUCGGACGCACAUUGACGUAUGUAAACGUACCAGUAACUUGGUGUUAUAAAACAUAUUGUUGUGUGUGAUUUGAUGAGUAAGUGCAAGCAAGCAUUUGAGUCAAAUUUUAUCCAUUCUUUUUACCCUUGGAUGGAUAAAAGCGAUAUAUGUGGGCUCCUCGAUGAUUUAGUUUUUACAAACCUAAGUGCUUGGCCAAGCCUGGACUAAUUUGAUUUGUUCAAUUAGUCGGCCAUCAUAAAUCAGGAAUCGGAAAACAAUAGAUGGAAAAAGAGAAUGAUUAAAAUCCAUGUAUCAGUCCAUAUGAUAUCUAUAAUGGAGGAAUAUAUGAUCCCUUUUCUAAUGGACAUGUGAUUCACUGGGUCAGAGUUCGACAGCGGCUUUAAGAGCUAUGAUUGCUAGUCGGGUUGUAGAGUCAUACUUGCAACAAUAGUUAUUACACUUAUCCAAGUUGAUGAGUUGAAUCAAAAUAUGGCUUAAUGAUUCCAAUAUAGUCAUACCUCAACAGAGCUCGAUAAAGAACUUCCAUUGUAGAGGUGAGCUAGGGUUUUACAAUACACUUGAUAAGAAUAAUUAUGAAAGCAUUAAUGAUAAGAAUGCAUGCAUUCACUUAUAUACUAAACCCUAUAAGAAUAAACACAUGGCUGGACAGGCCCAAACCGGUGACAAAACUGGACUUAUAACCGAGCCCAAGACGCAACACAAUAGACCCGAUAAUCUCCCCCUUUGUGUCAAUUGGGGUGAGACUUCACUUCAGUUGAUUUGCAGUGGUUCGCUUGAUAACCUUGAACAACUUCGGUAUGAUGGCAAGCAAGACUUGGUGAAAAUCAAUGUACCACCGAAGCAUAUCAGUGAAGUAUUUCUUGUCAGCAUCACUAUUCUGCUUGCACUUGUGAAUGAUGUCCAGAACGUGCUCCAAGCAGGUUAUAGAGAAAAUAUGCUUGUCAAUGAGAGCGAACAAGCACUUUUUAUCUUCACCUCUAGUGAACACGACAAAGUUGAGCUUUGGAUCAAUCUUCCCCAUCUUCAUCUUAUUAAGAUCACUUGACGACCCAAUGGGUAAAACUAUAGGCCUCUUUAGAAGAACAAAAGCAACUUCUUGAUCCAUCUUCGCUACUUCAAGAAUGUAGCAAACAAGCAUCCUUUUGAUGUGAUCAAUGAUAGGCUCAAAUUCUUGAGGAUUGGUGAGCAGAAUAUUGUAUAGUAAGAUCCAGUCAUGAGGGUUUAGGUUUGGAAGCUCAGCAACGUAAAUGAUGUGCUCAGAGUUAGCCAAACCUCGAGUCACCUUGAAUCUAAUGUUGAUGAACUUCCCUUCUGCAACAGGCUUCAACACUUUGACUGUUGAGAUCUUCUGUGCACUUCAUGUUUGAUACUGGGGCUGAGUGAAGGCAAGAUAAAACUCAAUUAGAUCUCUGUCUACCUUUGGAUCAGGAUAUGGAAUCUCAACAAUGGGUUCGAAGCUGUGGAAGAUGAAUGCCUUUUGGGUGAUUAGCAUGUCAAAUUGUGAGUCUCUGGAAUUAUCACAGUCAAGGGAGAUGACCGGUUCAAGCCAGUGAGUGCUUGGAGAAUCGAUUGCUUCCUUGAUAAGAUUAUCCAACGACGAAAAGAGGAAAAAGAGUUUUCCUGCUUUCCAGAAGGUCGUGAGCUUCAUUCAUCUUUCUUUCUUUUUCUUCAGCUUCUCUCACAGCUUUAGCACUUAAAUCAAGUUCCCUGUCUCGUUGUUUCCUUUUUAGGGCAUCAACAAUGGUUUUUUCUUCUUCAUCACUUUCUUUUAUGUGACCUUUGCCUUUGCCUUCGCACUUGAACCCGAAGCUACAUUACCCUUCGGUUCAGUGGUAACUUUCCACAGUUUAGACUGGCAUGUUGGAGGAGGCUGAGUUUUGCUUUUAGGACCUUCUCCCCCUUGUUUCGGAGGGACAACCGUCUCUGAAACACCCUCUAUGCGGCUUAGAACUUCCAGAGCAGGGCCAAGCUUUUUGGCUAGAUGCCUUCUGCCUGAGAGAGUAAAUAUGGAGUCGUGAGCGUCCAGAAUGUUGGAAAGAAUGGCAUGAACAUCACUAACACAACUUCUCACGACAUCCCUCUCAGAGUGAAGAUUAUUGAGAUCCUUGUUCGCCUAAGCGAGUUGUAAGGACUUCGUUUUUAGUUAAGUUGUCUUGAGAGCCAGUUCAUCCAUGAUUGUGCUUUCCAUUGCCAGAUCCUCCUGAAGCUUUGUGAGACGACUACUAAUUGAGGAUUGCAACUCAGUGUUGUCAGCUUGAAUGCUUUGUCACAUGGAGGCGAAGUGCUGCCUUUCGGUCUCAAGCGAUGCAGCAAGCUUUUAAACAGUGGCAUUAACUUUAUUGGCAUUCUGCUCUGUAGCACCCUGUAAAGACUCAAGAAAGAGAUUAGCAUUAUGAAUUAGUUUAUCGACUUUUUCAGUCACUUCGGUGCAAACUUUGGUCAAAGCAUCGAUGGCUAAGGUAGCUUUUGAUAUCAAAGCUUCAUGCUCUUUUACGAAGGUGGCCAUCAUGCCUUGCAUAGCAGACUCAGAAAAAGAACCCUGAGUGGAUGAAGAGGCCAUAAGCUUGUCCAGCUUUUCAUUCACCUCCUUGAGGUGCCUCUUUCUGAUGGCAGUGUCAUCCUCAUCAUCACUUUGAACUCUGUAAGGGUUAUAGUAAAAGGUAUCAAACUCAACACCUUCACCACCGAGAACAGUGUUGGUUACGGUUGGUUGGGUAUGAGAGAGAGGUUUUGUUAUGACAGGGGUUUCGAUAGGUUUGGUGGUACUGGUUGUGGUUGCUUCAGAGAAAAUAGGAGUUGGGAUAAGAAUAAUAGUAGUAAGUUGAGAUGAAACCAUAGUUGGUAUAGGUGCCUUGGUAAUGGGAAUAGAUAUAGGUGGAGGAUAAGGUUGUUGGGAGCGAACAGGUACCUAAUUAGUAGGAAAAGGUGGAGGAGUACCCCCUCGGACCGAAAUCUCAUCGUAUGAACUUGCGCUUUCGGUUUCAAUUUCACUUUCACUUGGAGGAUGAACAGGUAGAUGACCAGUAGGAACAUAAUCUGAGUCAAUUAUAGAUGGGCUCCUGGGAUUCUUGACCACCUUUUUGACCUUCUUCGACUUAGGCUGAGAGGGAGCUGCUUUUUCUUGCUUUCACUUCUUUGGAGUAGCAGCUUUGGACGAAGGACGCUCUUUGUUUCCUUUCUUUGGAUCAACCUUUUUUCCCCUCUUGGCUAGUCUGUCUCCAUCCUCGAUGGAUCGAAUCAUUUCUGGAGUAAGUUCCCUUGGUCCUGAUGACGGAAGCUUCUUGUAUUCCUGAAUCACCUUGCUUUCUCUGGAGACACAUGCAUACAUUGACUCAGGAAUGGAGCCAUUGAAGGGAAACUUGGAUGGAUCGGUGACAAUAAUCUUGGUGGUGUGAAAAUUAGCGAUGGAGGAGAGCAACGAGUCUGCCAUAAUUGGUAUGUGAAAUUGCUCCACUACCCAUUGAGUGAUAAUGGUCUAGAACCUGCCACAGGAGAUUUCUGAAUAGUGAGAUAUUGAUCAAAGACUCUGAACCAGCUGAAGCUAGAGAACCGACCCGUAAUCUAAAUUGAUGCCGGUGUAUAACCCAUAGAGCAAGGUCAUGAAUGACUUACUAGCACCAUCUGACCCUGCACUAUGCUCCGAUAGACCUUUAAAAAGUAGGGUGAAGAGGCCAUUCCAUUGAGGAGGAAGGCAAGAUUUCUUGACUUUAGUCACUGUGGUGAGAACUUCCGUAUACCCCAUAUUGUAGAACAUUGAGAAGAUUUGAGUGGUGUUGAUGGAGUCAGGGUUGAUCUUGGAGGCUUCGUAAGAAAGCCCUAGCAGUGAGCAAAAUCGAUUCUUGGAAAUCGACGUCUUCUGAUUAAGAACAUUAAUGAAGACCCUUUCUUUGGCUUUGUCAUAAGUAGCAGUGGAGUAAAUCUGAGAUAGAAAUGACAUGGGAACACAUUCCACCUUCGUCAAAGCAAUCACGAGUGGGGAAUACUUGAGACAUUCCACCACUUGAAGCAUAUAUGGAUCAUACGAAAACGGUGUAAGAUCAAUCAGUAGGUUUUUGUUAGGCUUGAUUGUGAGAAGAGUGGAUCGAGCCGAGGCCUCUUGAACAGAUGAAGAUUCUGCCAUUGAAGGAGCUUGAUGAAAAAGAUGAUGAAUAGUGUAGAGAAAUCGCCUUUUGUGCUUGAGAGUUGUUGAGAGUGGUAAAGGGUAAAAUGAUGGUAAUCGAUAUCCUUAUAUACGAUUUUGAAGUGAGAGAAAAAUCUUUUGCAAUGAUUCCUCCUUUUUAUGGAACGACGCCUAAAAAGGUGGGAUGUGACAACUGGCAACCCUGAAAAAGGUGUCAGAUGACGCAUGAUAUGGGUAACCAUUUCAAAUUCACGCGCCUUUCCAUACUUAUCCCCUUUUCAAAUUUUCAAUCGAUUUAACUUCAUGUUGACUCACUCCUUUUUUCUUUUAAACGAAUCGACACCACCAUAGUAAACCGAAACCAUAUCCCUGAGGAUAGCUUAUUAGGAACCGAGCCAGACUUUCGAAAAUUAAAGAGACUUUCGUGCAAGGAUGGUGUCAAAGAUAAAGAAAUAAAGCAAAUAAUUUGUGAGAUAUAUGUGAUUUCUAGGAAGACAUAAAACAGUGGAUCCCAAGCACGAUUCUCUUCCUUCAAAGUCAAGAGAGACUUCAAAGUGCUUGUUUGGUUUCCCGUUGAAGUAUGAUCCAAUACCUUUUAAGAGACAUUGAAAGGCUUAUUUUAUAUAUAAGGCUAUUAAGGGUGGCUUUAGCUUCAAUCCAAGCUUUGGUUCUUGAUAUAAGAUCGAAAGUGAAUGAAGUACUUGUGAGACCGGUGUAGCCUAUUAAACAAGUAGGUAUGGAAUAUUUUCAGUGACUUGUUGAUAAAACUUUGAAAUCUCAAAAAUAAAAAUUAAACUGGAUCUUGGGAAGAAAAGCCUUGGUGUUAGACAUUUUCAUAAGGACAUCUCAAAAUGAAAAGAGAUUUCAAGGUACUUCCAUAAAAUGUGGUUUUGUUAAUUCGUUGGUGAAAACUUGAAUGUUUGAUUGUUCACCGUCAAUUCAUGAUAGGUAUUGAAUGUUGGGUUUCACUUAGUACGUAGUAACACGAAACUAAGAUCAUUAACACAAAUAUUGUGUAACCAUAAACCUCAGUGGUAAGUGCUGAGAGUCUCAAGGGUUACGUUCAUGGAACGAAGUAUGAUGGAGAAAAGUAUUGAGGUGGUGUAAAGAACCGAAAGUACCUCUGCUGUAAUGAGAUGACCAAGCAGAAAACUCUUAACUCAAUUGGGAAGAGAUGAUUUGUAUAUAUCAAGUCAUUAAGGCUUCACUCAAAAUCUUUGGAGGCUUGGGUCAACAUGCAACAACAUGCUUCUAGGGACACUUAGCUAGUACAAAGAUUAAGAAUUAUUCCUGCCCCAACUCCAUCAUAAGAAGUAAUCCGUAUACCUUUAUUAGACUUGAGAACCAAACUAUUUUUGAUAUUUUUGUGAAUUUUCGAAAAACAUUGAAGAUAGAAGAAAAAUAUUUAUGAAUUUUUGUAUUGAUUUUUCUGAAAAGAAAUAAAAAUAGAAAAGAAAAUAUUUUUGGUUUUUAUAAAUUUUUUUGAAAAAGAAUUAAAAACAGAAAAGAAAAUAUUUUUGGAUUUUAUGAAAUUUUUUGAAAAAGAAUUAGAAACAUAACAUAAAAUAUUUUUGAAUUUUAAAUGGAUUUUUCUGAAAAAUAAAUAAAAAACAGAAAAGAAAAUAUUUUUGAAUUUUAUGAAAAAUAUAUGAAAAACAUAAAGUAUAUUACAAGAAAAAUAAUGUACAAAAGAUACAAUUGAAACAUCACCAUGAGAUAAGAGGCGAAAUGGACCGAGCGUUAUGUUCAUUUCGGUUCUUGGAAAAACCAAACCCAAAAUAGACCGAGCAUUCGCUCUAUUUCGCUUCCAACAUUUAAUGAGGCCAAAGCGAUUUCGGUACAAAUUCAGCUUCCAUCAUUCCUAAGCCUUGUAGGAUAUUGGGGUACAAAGUUAUUCAUAAAUGACUUUGUAAAUGUUUGACUUUUGUAAAACCCACUUACAUGUGGUGCAUUAGCCUUUGUACUCAUGAGAUGGAGAGUGAGAGAGAGACAUGUUAACUCUUCUAUAUAAGUGGGUUUAGUCCACUUAUAGAAGUGUGCUUAAGAGGUGUAAAAGUUGAGUGUGUAAGUGUGUGUUAUUUAUGUAGACUAGAUCUAGAUCCUUUUUUUGUAACACCAUACAUAUUCUAAGACAUCUCUUGAACACCGAAAUCACCAUGUUCAUUGUGAAAUCUUUAAUUCUGCAUGCCAAACCAUGUUCAUAAUUCCUCAUCAAUUGGUAUCAAAGCGGGUCUUCGAAGAUCAACAUGACUUUUGAAGAACGUUUCUCGGUUUGGCUAAAUUUGUCACAAUUGGAGCAUUUUUUGUGAUUCUCUCUCUAUAAUCUCUCUUAAUCUUGUUGAUUCGUGCGUUACGUUCUUAAAUUUUUGAUCGUUUUGAUUCAUUGGAUCUAAUUCGUUUCAAACCCCAUUGAUGAUCCAAUAAAAUUUUGUUUAGAUCAAGCAUAAAACCAAAUUUCAUUACUGUUCAUCAAUUAAUGUUGAGCCCAAAUUGUUUCGAAUUUUGUUAGCUGCUCGUGAUUCAUUUGUUAAAAAGUCUAAUCCAAAACUUUGAUCCAAACAAUUUGAGCCCACAUAGAUUAGUUACUGUUCAUCUAAUCAUAUUAAAGCCCAAAUUCUAGCCUAAAUCAAAAUUUGAUGUUGAUCUUCGUCUUAAGAGUUCACGACUUCUGAUUUGUUGAUUGAGAUCGCAUUUGGUAGCAAAUUCAAGUUCAUCACAAAAUCGUUGAGCUAAUCUUGAUCAAAUUUUUACUAUAAAGCAGAUUAGUUCGAUUUUACUCUUGAUUUCACAGUUUCAUAAUCGUUAUGUUUUUACUGAUUCAUAAUCAUUGAGUUCACGACAUCUUUGAUUAUACUCAUUUUCAAAUCUUCUUUUCUAUGAUAUUCAUAUGAUCAGUGUUUAUAUUCGUUUUUUUAAUCGAUCUUUUUCUUAUAUCAAUUUAGUUUUUUAAACCAAAGUUGAUUCAGAUCAUGGAGUAGAUGUGAGAAAUUGGGAAUUUUAGUUUAAUAUUCAAUGAUUCUUGUGAUGAACGAUCAAGAACAUGAUGAAGAACAGCUGGAGUAUGUUACAAUUUCUAUUGAUAACAGGUAUUUGAUCCAAAAACAGAUUAAAGAUCGAUAGAUUUGGUGUUCAUCGGGGUCAACCAAAAAGUCAAAAUCAAAUCAACAUUAGAAAUCUAGUGGUUGAUGGUUCUGAUAUUGUUUGAUAAGAGUGGUGUGUUAACGAAAGAAAUUUGAUGUCGAGUGGCUGGAUUCGAUUUUGGAUCUUCGAUUCUCAAUUAAUGGUCGAGGGUACGAAUGUCCAUGAAUGAAUAAUUAAUAUGAGGCUAUGUGAUUUUGAUAGGAGAAGUAAAAUCGAAGACUUGAUCUCAAUUGAUUUCGAUUGUUUGCAAUAGUAACCAAUUUCGAAGGUUUGGUGUGUGUGGAAUUCAACAACGAAGGCUGAUUUGGUAUCGUUUUGGGAUUCGAUUGUUGAUUUUGAUUUAGAAACAAACUGUAAAGGCUUUGAUACUAGUGUCCAAAAGCAAGGCCAUGGUUUACUGGAAAUUGUUGUUGAUCGAAUUAGUUGUUGAUGACGAUUCGUGGUGAUGAAAAAGCGAAUGAAGAUUAGGAAUCUAAUUUCGGAGAUUUUUGUUCUUGGGUUAAUGUGCGAAAUAUUUGAUUUGCGAUGUUGAAUUAAUAGCAAAAAUGAAGUCUAUGAUGUUUCAUAUGAUUGGGAAUUCGAUUUUGGUGAUGAUCAGAUUUUGAUGAUUUUGGGAAGGCAUGUAUUAAUGAAAUCUUGAUUUAGUGGUUGGGUAAAUGAUUCAGACGAGAUUAAGAGGCUUCGAAUGCGUUUUUGUUAAAAUGGGUUAGGGAUUUGGUGAAUGAAUCUAACGAAGGGGAUAGAGAAAAUAGGCAGAUGUGGAUUUCGUACGAAAGAUGAAGGUGGAUUCGUACGAAUUAAAGAAGAAGGUGAAUUUUUGAAAAUGGUCCUUAAACUUUCGACACCUUUUCACAAAAUUUCGUACGAAUAAGAUAAAAGCUUCAUUAGUUUUGAAGGGAAAUAAAGAAGUUUCGAAAUCAGCCCCGGGAGUUUCGUAAGUAUGGCGGUUUUCGCCCAAAUUCGAAAAAGAACUGUUUUUGUUGAGAAUUUGAAGAAAAUGUGUUUCAGGCCCCUGCAGUUUAUGCAAAUUGACGCUUUCUACCCAGCUUUGGAAAAGUGGGAGAGUUUUGCAUUUUUGGCUAUUUUGGGCGCACCGGGUCACUACAGAAUUUUGAAAUUUACAAUUUCUACCCAUUUUUGAGAAAUUUUGUCAAAGGCGGUCCGUACACGAAGCUAAAAAUUUAAGAUUUUUUGGGUUUUCCGGAUUAAAGCACAAAGUUUAUGCACCAUGUUAAGGGGGAGUUUUGACACGAAAAAUUCCGUAUAGAGCACGUUCUCUUUCCUUAAAGGUUUUAUAAUCAAAUUUCGAUUAUAGAAAGGGGGAGAAAUUUAUAUGGAAAUUCGAACUUGAAUUUUUCAUAUUACGCGGAUUUGAAGAUUGAAGUGACCUUGAAUUUUUGAAGCUUACGGAAUGAUGCAAUUGAAAGUUCCGAUGUGAUUUAUUUUUGAAAUGGGUUUGGAUUUAUUGAAGAUUUUCGGGGAGUGUUUUUAUGCUCAACUUUUGGGUGAUAGAUUUGGAGUUUGAGAAGCUCGUGAUCAUUCGUUGAUGCUCGGUUUGUAUGGUCUCACAUCCUAGAGCCCAAAUUGAAGAAUAAUGGAAGAAUUGAAGGUUUGAAGUUCGUUUCGACAUGUGUCACUCUUGAGGCUCGGAUCGCGUAGUUGCUCGAGUUUGGAAGAUUUGAAGUGGGUCAUUCAUCCCGAAUUUUGAGGGGGGAGAAUGUUGGUGUACAAAUUUAUUCAUAAAUGACUUUGUAAAUGUUUGACUUUUAUAAAACCCACUUACAUGUGGUGCAAUAGCCUUUGGACUCAUGAGAUAGAGAGUGAGAGAGAGACAUGUUAACACUUCUAUAUAAGUGGGUUUAGUCCACUUAUAGAAGUGUGCUUGAGAGGUGUAAAAGUUGAGUGUGUAAGUGUGUGUUAUUUAUGUAGACUAGAUCUAGAUCCCUUUUUGUAACACCAUACAUAUUCUAAUACAUCUCUUGAAUACCGAAAUCACCAUGUUCAUUGUGCAAUCUUUAAUUCUGCAUGCCAAAACAUGUUCAUAAUUCCUCAUCAUAGGAUUUUCUUAAAACUUGCUUCAGGCAAGGCUUUAGGAAAAAUGUCAACUAAUUGAUCAGUGGUCCUUACAAAGUGAAUUUCGACAUUACCGUCUUCCACAUGAUCCUUGAUAAAAUGAUACCUCAGUGCUAUGUGUUUCGUUUUGGAGUGUUGCAUUGGGUUUUGAAAAAUCCUUAUUGCACUUUCAAAGUCAUAAUAUAAGUGAUUUUUCUUCAUGUUCAGGCCAUAGUCUCGAAGUUGACUUUGUAUCCAAAUGACCUGUGAUGUACAUGAAGCUGCAGCUAUAUACUCUGCUUUAGCUGUAGAAAGUGACACACAUGUUUGCUUCUUUGAUUGCCAACUAACAAGUUUCCCAUCUAGAAACUAGCAUCCUCCAGUCGUGCUCUUUUGGUCCAGUCGCCAUCCUCCUAGAUCAGCAUCAGAAAAUACUUAAACAAAGGAUUAUGAUUUCGUUAAGUACCAUAGACCGAGAGAUGAGGUUCACUUCAAAUAUCGAAAGAUAUUCUUCACAGCUAACAGGUGAAGUUCGCGUGGAUUAGCUUGAAACCUGGAACAAUAACAAACAGAAAACAUUAUGUCUGGUCGACUCACUGUUAGAUACAUCAGGGACCCUAUCAUUAACAAUAGAGGGUCAUGUCAGUAGCCGGUUUGUCCAGAGACGAUGUUAACUUCAUGCCAAACACCAUAGGAACAUUCACUUUUGAGUCUCCCAUCAUUCAAAAUUUGGCAAGCAAGGUCUUCGUGUAAGCCUCUUGAUUAAUAAAAAUGCCUUUGGGUCCCUUUCUAAUAUUUAAGCCAAGGAAAAAGUUAAUAGGACCCAUUGAGAUCAUUUCAAAUUUAGUCUCCAUCAACUUCCUGAAUUCAGCUGUUAAGCUAGGAUUCAAAGAACCGAAGAUGAUAUCAUGAAUAUAAAUUUGAAAAAUCAUAAGGUGGUCACCUUCUUUCUUACGAAAGAAGGUUGGGUCAACCAAACCUUGUUUAAACUUUGACAUUUUUAGAAAUCGAGUUAAUGUUUCAUUCCAAGCCCUUGGUGCUUGCUUGAGACCAUAGACUGCCUUGUCCAGAAUGUAACAGUGAUCUAGAUACUUCUCGUUCACAAACCCGAUGGUUGCUCGACGUACACCGUUUCUUCCAAUUCUCCAUUUAAGAAGGCACACUUCACGUCCAUUUGAUAUACUUUGAAGUUUUUAUGAGCAACAUAGGCCAGAAAGAUUCUCACGAAUUCUAGCCUUGUUAUUGGAGUGAAGGUCUCUCCGUAGUCUAUCCCUUCUUCUUGACAGUAUCCCUUGACAACCAGCAAAUAAAAUUCCCUUCUUUGUCCAUUUUGUUUUGAAACACCCAUUUUAGUCCAACUAUAGAAGCAUCCUUUAGUGUAAGAAUCAGUCUCCAUACCUUGUUUCGCUCAAACUCAUUGAGUUCGUCUUUCAUAGCUUGUACCCAAUCGGAGUGAUCGAGUGAAGUAUUGACACCCGGUUCAAUUUUGGAGGCAAAAGAAUUAAACAUACUAAAUUCCACUUGAGAGAAUAAUGCAGUUUGCUUCGCUUUGAGUUGAGAACGUGUAAGAACUCUUUCUGAUGAUUCACCAAUGAUUUAGGUUUUUGGAUGAUCCUUGGUUCAUUUGUGAAAGGAGGGUAAUUUGGAUCAUAGGAAAGAUCCUACUCAGCAUUUACUUCUUCUUCGAAUUCUGAUUGAGUAUCUUCAUCAUUUGUAUUUGCAUCCCCCCCCCCCUCAAAUGAUGAGUCAGUUUCGGCUACAGGCCUUGAGUUCUCCCCCUCGAUUAGACGUUCGAUUGAUAUGGUAGCUGAUGGGUUCUCCCCAUGAAAUGGUAAUUCAGGGUUAUUGGAUGAAGAUGAACCCUCCCCCUGAAAUGUAGAACUUUCUUUUGGAGGUUCACUUGGACUAGGCUAUUCGGCUGUUCCCGGUUGUUCUUUUUUCAUAUCCUUCGCUGCGUCAUCAAUGAUCUGCUUCAAGGUAUCAAUCUUAUUAUCAGUUGCCUUUGCUUCAGAGUGAAUGGCUUUCUUUGGUUCAUCGAAUAAUAGUAAGUAUUGCUCAAACAAAUUCGAGAUGGAAACUAUGACUUAACCAGACGUUGGAAAGAUUUCUUUAGUUGAACCUUCGGUUGUUUGAAGCUUCUUGAUGUAGUUGUCAUCGAAGGUGACAUAAUAGGUUUCUUCGAUUUUCUUGGAAUGUUUGUUCAGAACCCUAUAUGCCUUGAAGUUUAAUGAAAAGCCAAGAAAGAUCCCUUCGUCAGCUUUGACAUCAAACUUGUUUCAGUGCUCCUUGGAAUUGAAAACAAAGCAUUUGGAACCGAACACAUGGAAGAACAUGACAUUUGGCUUGCGAUUGUUCAAGAUUUCAUAUGGAGUAAUGGAAAACUCUUGUUGAGAAGAGAUCUAUUAUGAGUGUAGCAAGCAACAACAAUAGCAUCAACCUAUAAAUAUAGAGGUAAGGAAGCAAAAACUGAGCAUGGUUCGGGCUGCUUCACACAACGAGCGGUUUCGCCUUUCAAUGAUACCAUUUUUUUGUGGAGUGUAGGGAGCAGAAAAGUUGUGAGAAACUCCCUUUUCAGCAAGAAACUCUUCAAAUUCAUUGUUUUUGAACUCCAGCCCAUUGUCACUUCGAAUAUUUCUGACCAUCUUUCGCAGUUGAAGCUCGAUUUUCUUGAUAAAAACCUUGAGCUUUGGUGUAGCCUCUGAUUUCUGUUUAAGAAAGAAAAUCAAGGUGAAUCUUGAAAAAUCAUCUACUAUUACUAGUAUAUAUUUGUUACCACCAAUUUUUUCAAUAGCCGAAGGUCCACAUAAAUAGAUAUGCAGAAGCUCAAGUGGUUCGAUGAUCUUUGUGUUGACACGUGUUGGAUGACUCUUCCUGCUUUGUUUUCCCAUUUCACAUGCGGCACACAGAUGUUCCUUACCGAAUUUAAUAAGUGGAAGACCUUGAACAUGAUCACCAAGAACUAGCUUGUUGAUGUAUUUGAAGUUAAGAUGCGAUAGCCUUCGGUGCGACAACCAACUUUCGUCUAAAUGUGCGUUCAUUAGCAGACACACAACUGGCUUCCCUCGUAUUAGAUUGAGGUUCAGUGGAUACAUUUCACAUUUUCUUUUGGAUUUCAGCAGAACUGCCUUGAUUUUCUUCUCUAUAAUUUCUGACCCUCAUCAUCAAAUGAUACUUUCAGCCCUGCUCCUACUACAAGUUGAGAAAUGCUGGUGAGAUUGUGUUGUAACCCUUUCACGUAUGCUACUUUCCUGAUCGAGAAAUCACCAUUUAUGAUCAUUCCAUAUCCUUUUAUCGUGCCAAAAGAAUUGUUCCCAUACUUGACAUAGCCACCAUCCUUUAAAGCUCGAAACUCCCUAAGCUCUUCCAUUCUCCCUGUCAUGUGACAUGAGCAACCACUAUCAAUAUACCAUUCGUUGUCAAAAUGCUCGUCACGUAUAAUCUGCAAAAAUAAAGCUGAUUUAGGAACCCAAAGUUUCUCCGGUCCUUGUGAGCCUUUUACAGAACAGGGUAUUAUAAUAGAAGAAUCAACUAAGUAAGUUCGUUUAAUUAGGGUGGAUUCAUCUUUCCUUUUAAUUAUGAAAACUUUGAUUUUAUUAUCUUUAGUUUCUUUAACUUCAGAUAUUGGAAUCGUGUUUUUAUCGUUCACACUCUUUUGGUUAUGUUUCCUUGGGUUAACGGUCUUCUUUGACUUCGCUUCUCCUUCUGAGACUUGCUUCCCUUUUCCCUUUUCAUAUGCCUUUGAAUUGUGCUUAGAAUGAGACAGAUGAGGUUUUGAAGCGAAAUCUUGCUUUCGGUUCCUAUCGCUUGAGGAUGGUGAACCGAAACUACCCCUUCGAUUGUUGGGUUGAGAACCGAAGCCACUCUUUUGUUUUCUUUUGCUUCUAAGGUGGGGAAUGAAACUUCCCUUUCGGUUGGCCUGACUACAUGAAUGACAUUGAGCACAAGAAGCAGAUGGAUUCUUUGACACUCCUGUAUCCUUAGCUUUUGAACUCUUGUCUGAUCGAACGUAAUUUGGAUUUUGGGACUGCCAAAAUUGUUUUCUUUUAGUGAGAUUUUUCUUGUAUCUCCUAUUACACUGCUAUUUCUUUUCAGACAACUAUUUGGGAGUUUUAUGGAUGCUGACCUUCAGUUUCGGUCUUUCAUCAUGAGUUUCGCUCUUUAGCGAUGAGGUUUCGCUUGUCACCUUAACUGGUUCGCUUGGAAACUUUUUGGUACCACUUGAGCUUGGCACAUCAAACUUUGUAGGAUUGUUGAGUGGUUCAUCCACAUAUCUGCCUUUGACCUUCCAUGAUGUUUUCUCAUAUAGACCUACCGUUUCAUUAGCAUUGUCUAUUGGAGCUGACCAGAAAAACUCAUCACAUCCUUCAACAUUAUCUUCAUUUACUAAAGUAGUGAGUUCAGUUGUUUGCUUCUGUGUAAUGCUGGUAACGGUAUAAACUUGAUUUUGCGUUUGCACCUUUUAAUACACUACAACCUUUUCUUUGAGGACUUUUGUUUUAUCUUUGGACAAACGAGCGAACUCAACUGAAUUUUCAGAAAUGAUAUUUUUGAUGGGUUUGGGUUCGCUCUUGACAAAUUUUGAACAUUCCACCACAUCCUCUAUAGAUAUCUCACUCAUAUCAUCAUCCUCAUUAAAUCCAGAAGCAUUUUCAACAUCAAUUUUGUUUUCUGAACUCAACUUGGCAUUCAAUGAGUCAAAUUUCUGCACAGUUUCGGUCUUAAUUUUUAAUUUUUCAUUUUCAUCCAAUAGAUUCUUAAGCAUGUCCUUGUGGUCUUUGGACUUAAUGAAGGACUCAAUUUUUUCAAGACCAAUUUUAUAAGUAGGAGAAACUUCAUCAGACGAGGUAACAACUUCACAAUCAUAAACAUCAUCAUCAAAUUUGUCCUCCUUUAAUUCAAGGAAGGGAAGAAUCAUACUGUGAAUUUUCUUGCCUAUUUCACAAUCCAGAUGCAACUGAGCAAUAUUGGAAUAUAAACAUUUAGCAAUUAAACAAAAACAUUUCUCUAUUUUAAAAGCUUCAAAUUAUCCCUUUGCAAAUAAAUUGUCCCAUCCCUAAUUCUAGUUAACUCUUUCUCCUUUUGGUCAGUCCACAUUCGCCUCUCCUCACUCUUCACAGACACCCUGAUGAGUUGAUCAGUUAGGUUAGAAUUUGUGAGGUGGUUUUGGGUUAAACUACCACUUAAACUUGAAAAUUUAUAUCUUAAUCCGUUUAAUUCUUUUUCAUAGUUUAUGAUAGGGAUUUUUAAUGAUUCGAGAAUAGAUUGUACCAUCUUGAUCAACUGGUUACACUCAUUGAUCUGCUCACCACCUGGUCUAGCAGCAAAGCAUCCGUCUUCUCGUUCCUUCGCUUCAUCUUGACCCCCAUCCGUGGUGUAACCCCAUCUUGACCCCCAUCCAUGCUGUCACCAUCCAACAAUUUCCUUUAGCAGCGUGCGCAUCUUCAUUUGCCACGUAAGCCCUACCUUGUGUAGGCUUUCUCACUUUUUCAUCCCCUGAGUCAGUAGACUAGACUUCAACACCACCAAAUUCAUCAUCUGUAACAUUUUCCUGCACAAUAAGAACAUUCAUAGAGUUAUUUGCAGCAGCUUUCUUUUUCUUAAUCUCUUCUAGCUUUCUCAUGUGGUAGGCUUCAUCGUCUUUAUGCUCUUCCUUCCUCUCAGACGUCCUUUUCAACAUGCACUCUUUGGCAAGAUGGUUCUUGCCACCACAAUAACUACAAUCGUAACCAGAUUCAACACCAUGCUUUACCUCCUUCUUCGGUUCUUCAUUCUGAGAAACACUCUUCGGUUCCUCCUUCGCUUUCUCUGAACUGUAACUUCCUUUCCAGGUUUUGGUUCUUAGAGGUAGGAAACUUUCUUCGAAUAAACUUCUUUGGAUUAGAAACCAUCAAAGCAUAUUCUUCUUGGUUAGAUCAAAUUCAGAAAGAUCUAAAUCUUCUUCUUCUUCAACUGCAUUCUUUCCUUUGGAAAUAAGGGCCAAAGAACCCAUACUAGAAACCACAUUCGUUUCUUUAGUCACUGCACCCUCAUGUGACUUUAGUAUCCCCACUAGCUUCGCCAAAGAGUAAGCCUUGAAUUGUUCAUGGGCCUUUACAGUAGACACCACAACCAUCCAUUCGGGUCUAAGGCCAUUCAUGAAUGUGACCUUCUGCUUAUUGACUUUCCUUUCAAUGCCAUGCUUUAUCAUUUUGCUGAGAAGAUGAUUAAAGCGAUCAAAGGCUUGGAUAAGCUUCUCUUCAGGUUUUUGCUUGAAGUCUCUAAAUUCUGAAAGCAGUAAAGUUUGGAUUGAAUGCUUAAGAUCUUCGUCGGUAGAGUAUAACUCUUUCAACCUGUCCCAUAUCUCUUUUGCCAUCGUGCAAGAGUUGACCAACCAAAACGUAUCAGAUUGCAAUGCAAACAUGAUCAUCCUUAAAGCUUUGAUAUUACAUACAAGCUUGUCUUUCUCAUCUUGAGGAACAUCUUUCACAUCAGUCAGGAGUUGGUUAUACUUCUUUUGAGUCUUGAUAAUCCUAGAUGUGUUAGAGUGAGCGAAUGGACCAACAAUGAUCGCCUCCCAGAUCAAGUAACCAUUGUCUUCCGAACCGAUCACAUAAUCUUCAAAGUGAUGUGUCCAUACUUCGUAAUCUUGAGUAUAAAGAAUUAGGAUUCUGGUAGUCGAUCCAAUACUGUUGGAGAUGUUAAUAGGAUUUGAUUGAGAAUCUUCCAUGGACAUGAUGAUUUCGUUUAAAAACCUGCUAAAGAUUAGACUUUUAAAGAAAGUUAGGGUAAAAUCAAAAUCUAAGAACUACGAUAAUAGAAAGAUGACGACUCUAAUAGAGAUCAAUGUUAGCGGAAAACCCUAAAACCUUCUUUGAUAGAAGAGAUGCGUAUAGAUUACACAGUCUCCUACUCUAAUACCAAUUGAUGAAUUGAAAACACUCUUUAGAUUGUUUUAGAUCUUCAACAGGUUAACAGAGAACAAUCAAUCAAACAAUGUAAGCACGAGUUGAAUCAAAAUAUGGCUUAAUGUUUCCAAUAUAGUCACACCUCAGCAGAGCUCGAUAAAGAACUUCCACAUUAGAGGUGAGCUAGGGUUUUACAAUACACUUGAUAAGAAUAAUUAUGAAAGCGUUAAUGAUAAGAAUGCAUGCAUUCACCUUAUAUACUAAACCCUAUAAGAAUAAACACACGGCUGGACAGGCCCAAACCGGUGACAAAAAUGGACUUAUAGCCGAGCCCAAGACGCAACACAAUAGACCCAACACAAGUGGGAGACUGUUGGAUUAGAUAUCUAAGCCCACAACUAUAAUUGGUAUGUACUUGACCGAAGAGUAGCAUGGUCCAUUUGGGUUGCAUGGCAUCAGAACAAUUGGAUAGACAAAUGAAAAAAAGGAUGCUUAUGAUUUGUUAAUGUAUUAUAAGUUCUAAUAUGUUAAUAUGAAAUCAUAUUAUUUAAUUGGUAUUGAUCAAGAAUUAAUUUCGAAUUAAUUAUGUGAUCAAAAGAGACUAAUGAAAUAUAUGGGGAUUGAUUAUGUAAAUCAUUCAUUCGUAUAUAGUGGGUUUAUGUUGCAUAGUUCUUCAUGUUGGGCUAAACACAUAGAAUGAUCCAUGGAUACUCCAUGGAGGUUAAAACCCAUGGAUCAUGAAGAAUAUGAAAAGCCAUGCACAUUAGGGUUUUGAUGGUGUAACCCUACAUGUGGCACACUAUAUAAAGACCCCAUAGGCUAGAAAAAUCGGCACUAAGACUUAUCUAGAGGGCUAGCCGAAUUUUGGAGCACAAGUAUCUUCUACUCAAGUUAUUCCAAUUGUUGGUGGUGUUGUGUGAUUCCAUUUGAGGUGCAACACUUGGGGCACUAAGAACUUAAAGGUUCAAGACUUCAAGCUCCAUUAAAAGGUAGGUCAUCUAACUAGAAUUUUGUAGUAUAGUUGCUUCAUAACAUGCUAGUUAGGAUAAUGCUUUGGAAUUUUGAAUGUAUACAUGUAUAAUAGAGAAAACAUAAAUCCAAAGCACAUAGGGUUGCAUGUACACCAUAGGAAUGUUAGAAUGCUCAAAACCCAACAAAGUGGGUAUCGUAUGCCUUACCAAAAUCUAUUACACAAGCUCCGAACAUGUAUUCUAGGAUUUGAAUGGUCCUUUCACUCUGACCAUCAGUCUGAGGAUGGUAGGCGGUGCUCAUAUUGAGCUGAGUUCCCAAUGAUCUUUGAAGUGAUUGCCAAAAUGAAGAUGUAAAUCUACUAUCUCGGUCAGAGAUAAUAGACACCGGUAUGCCAUGUAGUUUUAUCAAUUCCUUUAUGUAAAUUCAGGUCAACUUCUCUAUUUUGUAUGUUUCCUUUAUUGGUAGGAAAUAGGCGGAUUUGGUCAACCGAUCGACAAUCACUCAAAUGGCAUCCAAUCCAUCAGCCGUCUUGGGUAAUUUGGUUAUGAAUUCCAUUGUAACCCUUUCCCAUUUCCACUUGGGUAUCUCUGGUUGUUGCAGUAAACCUGAGGGCUUAUCAUAUUCCACCUUAACUUUGGCAUAAGUCAGGUACUUUCCCAUGUUAGUUGCAAUCUCUGCUUUCAUAUUUGGCCACCAAUAGUGCUACUUGAGAUCUAAGUACAUCUUAUUAGAGCUGGGAUGGACAGAGUACCUUGUUUUGUGUGCUUCAUUCAUAACCACGUCCCGGAACCCUCCAAACUUCGAUGUCCAGAUCCGAUGCGCAAGGUAAUAGGCUUCGUCUUCUUUUAUGGUUAGGUUCUUAUCCAUCCCACGUAGUGCCUUGUUUACGAUGUUUUCUGGUUCCAAGGAUUUCAGCUGAGCCUCCUAGAUUUGUGAAGAUAAGUAGGAAUGAAUGGUCAUUUUUAGCGUUCUCACUUGGCAACCGGAGUAUUCCUUCCGACUCAGGGCGUUAGCCACCACAUUGGCUUUGACCAAAUGGUACCUGAUCUCACACUCAUAAUCAUUUAGCAAUUCGACCCAUCUCCACUGUUCUUUUUAGUUCAGGAUAUGCUGGAGACUUUUGUGGUCAGUAAAUAUGAUGCACUUUGUACCGUAGAGGUAGUGCCUCCAAAUUUUUAGGGCGAAGACCACUGCUCCCAGCUUGAGAUCGUGAGUGGUGUAGUUUACUUCGUGGGUCUUCAAUUGUCUGGAUGCGUAUGCUAUCAAUUUUCCACGCUGCAUAAGAACACAACCUGACCCUUGGUUCGAAGCAUCACAAUAUACUACGAAAUCCUCUAUUCCCUCUGAUGGAUUUUGAACAUUCUAACACGCCUAAGGUGUUCAUGCAACUUUAAAUACCUUGGAUCUAUGUUUUCACUAAUUAUACAUGCAAUGGUGUUUCCAAGGUAUUAAACCUAUAACUAGCAUACAAUCGUCGUAGAAUCUAGUUAGGAUGACAUACCUUAUGGUGAAGCUUGAAGUCUUGAUGUAUCUAGCCUUAAGAGCUUAUCCCCAAUAGUGUGGAUGUAACAACGUAAAAAUUCCAAUUUAAUUUUUUUUUCAUUUUUAAAUCAUGGAAUGUAAAUCAUAUCAUCAUUUCAAAACAUAACAACAGUGUUUUCAAUACAACUCCCAAGAUCUCUAUAACAUAAACUCCAUCGGUGUGGGUGUGUACGAGUCAAGCCUUCGCCUUCCCGCGAUCCUCGCUGAUACCUGAGACAUCAAACACAACAACUGUAAGCAUAAUUGCUUAGUGAGUUCCCCAAAAUACCACAUACCACAAAUACGCCACUCAAGGCUAAACCCGGCCCUCCGGUCAAGAUGUCUCGGCGGGACCCUCCAGUCCCGCAGCUCGUCGGACCCUCCGGUCCAGUCAUAGCUCGUCGAACCCUCCGGUCCAGUCAUAGCUCGUUGGGCCCUCCAGCCCGGUCAAUAUCGUUGGGCCCUCCGGCCCGGUCUAUAUAAUCACACAGCAUAAAUCACAUAGAAAUAAUGCAGUAAAGCACAUAGCAUACAUAGCAUACAAUACUCUGUCACAUAACUCUGGUUACCCACUCAAGGUAAAGUAUAGUGAGAAGACUCACCUUGAAUGUCUCGAUAAUUCGCGAACCCUGGAAAUCACUCGUGCUCGAACCUCCGAGCUAAUAUCCUCCUAUAACAUUUUUACCACUAAGGUUGACUAUCCCUAUCACUGGUCAACGGUCAACGGUCAAUUUGACCGGACUCGGCGAGUGCACUAGAGUGACUCGACGAGUCUACUCAUUUUUACCAACUCUCUAAGAUUCUCAUUUAACACGUCGAGUACUCCCCUGACUCGACGAGUUCCACCUGGUCAUGAAUCACGGGGCCACCGCGACUCAACUCGCCGAGUCGCAAGGACAACUCGACGAGUCCCAACUCGACUCGGUCCACCUGUCAAUCCCUCUCUAACUCUCUGUGACUCACUGAGUCACCCAUAACUCGGAAGGACUACUCACUGGGUGGUUUUAAGGACAAUCUUCAAGCUACUCGUCGAGUCUGUUCUUCAGACUCGGCGAGUCCAUGCCAUGCAUCAGCUAAAACUUGCUUCUGCUGUCAGAUCCGUUCCAUACACACAUAGAUCUGGCCUUCCCAAGCUUAUUUAUCACGUAAAGUCUCAGUCUUGGCCGCCAUGCAACACUUACAAGGCUGUUUUUGGGGAAAUAACCUCUAAUAUGGCAACCCUGGUCUCCAACUCAAAAGAAUGGACAUAAAGCAUAUCAUUUGGGGCCUUCUGGACCUGCUAAGGUCCAGAUCUAGGUUCCAUAUCUCCAUGGGACCUUUCACACUUCAAAUACAAGUCAAAUAAGGCAAGAAGAAACCUUAGAUUUGACAUAUCAACCAAAACACGAAGAUUAGCUCUGAAAGUUACCUCAAGAAGCUUCCCUUGACGAAAUAGAAGUAGAUCCAAGCUCCCCAACUCUUCUAGCUUGAUCUUCUCCUUCCUUUCUUGCAAUAACACACAAAUUGGUGAACAAAUAGCCUCUUAUCUCACUCACAAGGACUCUCAGCUGCUUUGGUGCACUCAAGGAUCAAGGUGGCCGCAAUGAAGGGCCAUAAGGUCCUUUAAAUAGGGCUUAGGACCGGAAAAUUAGGGUUUCAUUAAACAGUGCGGACUCGCCGAGUCCAUCCCUUGGACUCGCUGAGUCCAGACGCGAACCUUCGUCCAAAACCGCGACCCGACUCGGCGAGUUCGACCUCCAACUCACCGAGUCCCCUCACAAAAUACCAAAAAUAUGAAAUUAAAAGAUACCUGGAAAUCCGGGCUGUUACAAUUCUCCCCCACUAGAACUAGACUUCGCCCUCGAAGUCUCGCUCUGCAAAUAGCUCCGGAUGCUGCUCACGUAUCUCACGCUCCGGCUCCCAGGUCAUCUCUGAUCCCUUUCGAUGCUGCCACUGAACCAACACCAGGGGUACCUCCUUGUUCCUCAAAACCUUGAUCUUUCGAUCUNNNNNNNNNNNNNNNNNNNNNNNNNNNNNNNNNNNNNNNNNNNNNNNNNNNNNNNNNNNNNNNNNNNNNNNNNNNNNNNNNNNNNNNNNNNNNNNNNNNNNNNNNNNNNNNNNNNNNNNNNNNNNNNNNNNNNNNNNNNNNNNNNNNNNNNNNNNNNNNNNNNNNNNNNNNNNNNNNNNNNNNNNNNNNNNNNNNNNNNNNNNNNNNNNNNNNNNNNNNNNNNNNNNNNNNNNNNNNNNNNNNNNNNNNNNNNNNNNNNNNNNNNNNNNNNNNNNNNNNNNNCCUGAAACUCAAGCUCGGACCAGCGUCUGUCUGCAUAACUCUUCUGUCGGCUCUGAGCGGUCAACAACCUCUGCCUGACCAGCUGAAUAUGCUCGGUCUUCUGGAGUACGAUCUCCGUGCUACCCAUAACCCGCUGCCCUACCUCACCCUAAUAGAUGGGGGUGCGACACCUCCGCUCGUACAACAGCUCAAAGGGUGGCAUACCAAUGCUCGAAUGAUGGCUGCUGUUGUAGGAAAACUCUGCCAAGGGUAAAUAUGCAUCCCAGCUACCCCCGAAAUCCAACACACAUGCCCGGAGCAUGUCCUCGAGCGUCUGAAUCGUCCGCUCACUCUGACCGUCUGUCUGGGGAUGAUAUGCGGUACUAAAAUGCAACCUAGUACCCAACUCCUCAUGAAACUUCUUGCAGAACCUGGAAGUGAAACGCACAUCACGGUCUGAAACAAUCGAGAUCGGCACUCCAUGCCGCGAUACUACCUCCCUCACAUAUAAUUCCGCCAACUUCUCCGCAGAAGAGCUCUCACUGAUGGCUAGAAAAUGAGUGCUCUUCAUCAAUCUAUCCACGAUCAUCCAAAUCACAUCGACUCCUCUCGCAGUCCGCGGCAACUUGGUGAUGAAAUCCAUAGUAAUUUGUUCCCACUUCCAUUCGGGAAUAUCUAGCGGUUGCAGCUUACCGUACGGUCGCUGGUGCUUGGCCUUGACCUGCCGACAAGUCAAGCACCUCUCGACAAACCAUGCGACAUCCCUUUUCAUACAGGGCCACCAGUACUCCUUCCUUAGAUCCAAAUACAUUUUCGUAGCACCGGGAUGAAUCUAGAAUUUCGAUUGAUGUGUUUCCUCCAUCAAAAUAGUACGCGCACCACCCACAAACGGAACCCAAAUCCGACCCUGAAAAGUCAUAAGCCCUCGACCAUCCGUGACGAAUCCUGAUACCUGACCUACAACCCGCUCCCUCUUCUGAUGUUCUGGCUUCGCUGCCUCUGCCUGAGCUCCUCGAAUAAUAUCCAAAAUCGGGGUCAAUACCGUCAACCUCCUACAAAUAUCUCGGAUCGGGGCGCUUUCCGCCCUACGGCUCAACGCGUCGGCUACCACAUUAGCCUUGCCCGGGUGGUACAGGAUCUCACAAUCGUAAUCCUUCACCACAUCCAACCACCUCCUCUGUCGCAUAUUCAGAUUUGGCUGAUCCAUCAAGUACUUCAAGCUCUUGUGGUCCAUGUAUAUCGUACACCGAACCCCAUACAAAUAGUGUCGCCAGAUCUUGAGGGCGAAAACCACAGCCCCCAACUCCAGAUCAUGGGUGGGAUAUCUCAUCUCAUGAGGCUUCAACUGCCUCGAAGCAUACGCUAUCACAUGACCUCUCUGCAUAAGCACCGCCCCCAAACCCGAUAUAGAGGCAUCACAGUACACCAUAAAAUCCUCCAUCCCUUCCGGGAGUGCAAGCACCGGAGCCUCGCACAAUUUCUGACGACGCGUCUCGAAUGAGGACUGCUGCUCCGGUCCCCAUGAAAACGUAACACCCUUCCGGGUCAUCCUAGUAAGUGGCACGGCGAUCUUGGAGAAGUCCUUGAUAAACCUGCGAUAAUAUCCAGCCAAACCCAAAAAACUCCUGAUCUCGGUGGGCGAUCUCGGCACCUCCCACCUCAACACCGCCUCAAUCUUGGUAGGGUCGACCAAUAUCCCUUUCUGGUUAACAAGAUCCCUGAGGAACUGGACCUCUCGUUACCAGAAAUCACACUUGGAGAACUUGUCAUACUGUCUCUCCGAUCUCAAAACCCCAAGGAUUUUCCUCAAAUGUUCCUCAUGCUGCUCCUUAGAUCUUGAAUACACCAGAAUAUCAUCAAUGAAUACGAUCACCGACCGAUCCAGCAUCGGCCGGCACACCCGGUUCAUAAGAUCCAUGAACGCGACCGGGGCAUUGGUGAGCCCAAAAGGCAUCACCACAAACUCAUAAUGCCCAUAACGAGUCCUGAAAGCAGUCUUCUGGAUAUCCUCAUCCCGAACCCUCAUCUGAUGAUAACCCGACCUCAAGUUUAUCUUGGAGAACCAAGAUGCCCCCUGCAACUGGUCGAACAAAUCGUCGAUCCUAGGCAACGGAUACCGGUUCUUGACUGUCAACUUGUUCAACUCCUGGUAAUCGAUACACAUCCGGUGUGAACCAUCCUUUUUCUUGACGAACAAAAUCGGCGCUCCCCAAGGAGAGCUACUCGGUCGAAUAAACCCCUUCCCCAACAGCUCCUGAAGCUGCGACGAUAACUCCUGCAUUUCCGGAGGAGCUACGCGAUAUGGCGCCUUAGCGAUAGGCGCGGCCCCGGGAAUCAAAUCGAUACGAAACUCCACUUGCCUCUCGGGAGGUAUGCCCGACAACUCCUCGGGGAACACCUCCCGGAACUCACGCACUAUCGGUACAUCAUCCACUGAACUCGACCUCUCAACAGUCUCUCGUACAUCCGACACAUAGGCCACGAAUCCCUUGCAGCCCUGUUGCAAGCUCUGCCUCGCUCUGGCAGCCGAACAGAAUACUGAACCACCACGAGUCCCCUCGCCAUACACCGUCAGCACUCCCCCACUAGGAUCUCGGAUCAUCACCAACUGACGCUCGCAAUCUAUGACAGCCCCAAAACGGCUCAACCAAUCCAUGCCCACUAUAACACAAACAUCCCUCAUGGCAAUAGGUAUCAAGUCAAUCGAGAACUCCACUCUGAAGAUCUCCAGCACGCAUCCACGUAUCACCUCGGUAUCACACACCUCACGUUCAUCGGCUAUGGAAACCUGCAGAGGUCGACUCAACGCCUCCCUCAGAAUACUAAUGUGCCGACUAAAAGCCACAGAUACGAACGACCGACUCGCACCCGAGUCAAACAACACUAAUGUAGGUACGGAAUUCACAAGAAAAGUACCUACACAUACAUAUAAGUAUCAUAAUAUAAACUCAGCAUAAAUAAAUAAAGAGUAUCUACCUGCCACGAUGUCAGGUGCUGCGCGGACCUCCUCCGCUGUCAACUGAAAGGCUCUCCCCCUAGCCUUCGGUGCUUCGGCCCUUGCCGGGCGGGUCUCAGCAGCUCGAACUGCAGGUGCGGAUCCCUGCACUGCCCUCUGAAGCUGGGGGCACACGGCCUUCCGAUGGCCGAUUUGGUUGCAGUGGAAGCAAACCGAGAACCCCUUAGGACAAUCCCUCGCGAAAUGUCCUUCCUUCCCACACUUGUAGCAUACCCCAGACUUGCAUGACCCAUCAUGGCUCUUGCCGCACUUCCCACAAGUACGGCCCCUUGAACUACUUAUCCUCGAAUCAGCGGGCUUUGCCUGCUUGGCGGCCGGCUGCGACUGUGCCGGUCGCCGAUCAACCCUCUGAGACUCGGCUUCCUCCCUCGCCUACGUCUCAAGCUUAAUCUCCCUCUUCCGGGCAUUCACCUGGAGCUCAGCAAAUGUCUGGUAAGUUGAGUUCGCCACGAACUCACGAAUAUCCCUCCUCAGUAUGCUCAGAUAACGGCUCAUGCGAGCCUGCUCCAUGGAUACCUGCUCCGGGCAAAACAACGCCCGCUCAUAAAACAUCCUCGUAAUCACUGGCACAGACUCAGUCCCCUGCUUGAGGGUCAGAAACUCCUGGGCUAGACGUUCCCUCUCCACCUGGGGAACAUACUCAUCACGAAACAUCGCAGUAAACCUCUCCCAAGUUACUGCAGUCAACUCCGCUGUCGAAUAGCUUGCGGUCACAAACUUCCACCAGUCCUUCGCCCCCAAGCGAAGCUGGUUGAGGGCAAAUCGCACCCUCAAGUGCUCCGGACACGAGCACGUAUAGAAACACCCCUCAAUAUCUGAGAUCCACCUCAUGGCGGCGAUCGGGUCCUGUGUACCAUCGAACUCUGGUGGUUUCGUGUUGCUGAACUCUCGGUACAACAACGAAUCACCACCCUGGGGUCUCGCAGCAGCAACAGCAGCAUCAGUCAAGGNAACAACAACAUCAGUCAAAGCAGCGUAUCGCUCGUCAAACGUCUUGAUCAGUGUGGUCUUAAUAGACCCGAACAUCUCUGGAAUCUUAGCUCUGAUGGCAGCAGCCACCUCCUCAUGGAUGAUCUGACGGAUCUCCUCGUCACUCAACCCACUGCUCUCGAUGGUAUGGCGCGUCCUAACCAUGAUCAAUCACUGAAAUACAACAUAAGAACCAUUAGGAACGCUUUCGAGCAUAUGCACACUCGACAAAUUAAUCACCCUCAACUUCUGGUACCCCUAGGAUUCUUACUUGGACUGCGCACCAAUCCGGUGUCUUCAAUAGUACGGGCCCAAUACUAUUGUCUACACCAAAUCAAUAUACAACCCAAGUCCUCUUCCUAGGACCCCAAGUCAUAAAUACUCUACUCUCGCUAUGCAUUGGCUACCCUCAGUAGACCUCUCACGAGCUCCUCACUGCUACCUACUCACUCUCAAAAUAUCUCAUAGCAGCAGCAAUCUCCUAGGCUAAAGCAUCACAAAUCAGGCCAAUCUAGUCCUAAUAUGAAUACCUAGCCUCUCUAGCAUGCACAACAUAAUAUCUCAUAACUCAUAACAUAUAAUGUAAGGGUAUUUUGGGGAUUCACCGUUCGGGCGCUGGCUGACCGUACACACCUUCCACUCUGCUUGGUUCCAAAAACCUCUUUUUCUUUUUAGAAAAAUUUUGUUUUGUUUGAAAACUUCUCAAAUCCUCGGUUUGAGUUCAAAUACGCCCGAAGGUGCAUCCGAAUCUGUCAAACCAAGGCUCUGAUACCAACUUGUAACAACGUAAAAAUUCCAAUUUUCAUUUUUAAAUCAUGGAAUGUAAAUCAUAUCAUCAUUUCAAAACAUAACAACAAUGUUUUCAAUACAACUCCCAAGAUCUCUAUAACAUAAACUCCAUCAGUGUGGGUGUGUACGAGUCAAGCCUUCGCCUUCCCGCGAUCCUCGCUGAUGCCUGAGACAUCAAACACAACAACUUUAAGCAUAAUUGCUUAGUGAGUUCCCCAAAAUACCACAUACCACAAAUACGCCACUCAAGGCUAAACCCGACCCUCCGGUCAAGAUGUCUCGGCGGGACCCUCCAGUCCCGCAGCUCGUCGGACCCUCCGGUCCAGUCAUAGCUCGUCAGACCCUUCGUUCCAGUCAAAGCUCGUUGGGCCCUCCAGCCCGGUCAAUAUCGUUGGGCCCUCCGGCCCGGUCUAUAUAAUCACACAUCAUAAAUCACAUAGAAAUAAUGCAGUAAAGCACAUAGCAUACAUAGCAUACAAUACUCUGUCACAUAACUCUGGUUACCCACUCAAGGUAAAGUAUAGUGAGAAGACUCACCUCGAAUGUCUCGAUAAUUCGCGAACCCUGGAAAUCACUCGUGCUCGAACCUCCGAGCUAAUAUCCUCCUAUAACAUCAUAUAUCUCUAAUUAAUACUUUUACCACUAAGGUUGACUAUCCCUAUCACUGGUCAACGGUCAACGGUCAAUUUGACCGGACUCGGCGAGUGCACUAGAGUGACUCGACGAGUCUACGCAUUUUUACCAACUCUCUAAGAUUCUCAUUUAACACGUCGAGUACUCCCCUGACUCAACGAGUUCCACCUGGUCAUGAAUCACGGGGCCACCGCGACUCAACUCGCCGAGUCGCAAGGACAACUCGACGAGUCCCAACUCGACUCGGUCCACCUGUCAAUCCCUCUCUAACUCUCUGUGACUCACUGAGUCACCCAUAACUCGGAAGGACUACUCACUGGGUGGUUUUAAGGACAAUCUUUAAGCUACUCGUCGAGUCUGUUCUUCAGACUCGGCGAGUCCAUGCCAUGCAUCAGCUAAAACUUGCUUCUGCGGUCAGAUCCGUUCCAUACACACAUAGAUAUGGCCUUCCCAAGCUUAUUUAUCACGUAAAGUCUCAGUCUUGGCCGCCAUGCAACACUUACAAGGCUGUUUUUGGGGAAAUAACCUCUAAUAUGGCAACCCUGGUCUCCAACUCAAAAGAAUGGACAUAAAGCAUAUCAUUUGGGGUCUUCUGGACCUGCUAAGGUCCAGAUCUAGGUUCCAUAUCUCCAUGGGACCGUUCACACUUCAAAUACAAGUCAAAUAAGGCAAGAAGAAACCCUAGAUUUGACAUAUCAACCAAAACACGAAGAUUAGCUCUGAAAGUUACCUCAAGAAGCUUCCCUUGACGAAAUAGAAGCAGAUCCAAGCUCCCCAACUCUUCUAGCUUGAUCUUCUCCUUCCUUUCUUGCAAUAACACACAAAUUGGUGAACAAAUAGCCUCUUAUCUCACUCACAAGGACUCUCAGCUGCUUUGGUGCACUCAAGGAUCAAGGUGGCCGCAAUGAAGGGCCAUAAGGUCCUUUAAAUAGGGCUUAGGACCGGAAAAUUAGGGUUUCAUUAAACAGCGUGGACUCGCCGAGUCCAGACGCGAACCGUCGUCCAAAACCGCGACCCGACUCGGCGAGUUCGACCUCUAACUCGUCGAGUCCCCUUACAAAAUACCAAAAAUAUGAAAUUAAAAGAUACCUGGAAAUCCGGGCUGUUACAGUGGAAGCCUCAAGUGGAAUCACAACACAUCAUGAACAAAGGUUGAACUUGAGAGAGAAUCUUCAUGCAUCUAAAAACCACCAUGAACUCCAAGAAUCCUCACGUAUCUUUCAAGUGGUGAUUUUGGCUAUGAAUGGAUGUAUUUAUAUGUGGGAUUUCUAGGGUCAUGGACAUAACCCAAAUCCAUACCCAUGAGUCUUAUGAUGCAUGGUUCAUGUGGCCCAACUCUUUAUGUAUCCAUACAUAAAGUUAGUCCAACAUGGAUCAUAAGCCCAACACAUAUAAAUAUAACUAAUUAACAAAAUUAGUCCCCAUAGAUUUAAUUAGUCUCUAUUGAUCACCAAAUUAAUUCUUGAUCAAUACUAUUUAACUCAUAUGAUUUCAUAUGAAUAUAUUAUAACUUAUAGUAUAUUAAUAAAUCAUAUAUAACAUCUUCUCUCAAAAGUCCAUCCUAACAAAUUGUCCUGAUGAUAUGUAACCCAAAUGGACCAUGCUACUCUCGGGUCAAGUACAUACCAAUAAUAGUUAUGAGUUUAGACAUGUAAUCCAAUAGUCUCCCACUUGGAUAAGUCUAAAACUAUUGUUGCAUGUACGACUUCAUAACCUAACUAGCAAUCAUAGCUCUUAAAGUCGAUGUCAAACUCUGAACAAAUCAAAUGACGUGUCCAUUAGAUAAGUGAUCAUAUAUUCCUCCAUUCUAGAUAUCAUAUGAACUGAGACAUGUAUUAGAAUCAUUCUCUCUGUCCUUUUGUUUUUUCCCGAUUUCCGAUUUAUGAUGACCGACUAAUUGUACGACUUCAUAACCUAACUAGCAAUCAUAGCUCUUAAAGUCGAUGUCAAACUCUGAACAAAUCAAAUGACGUGUCCAUUAGAUAAGUGAUCAUAUAUUCCUCCAUUCUAGAUAUCAUAUGAACUGAGACAUGUAUUAGAAUCAUUCUCUCUGUCCUUUUGUUUUUUCCCGAUUUCCGAUUUAUGAUGACCGACUAAUUGAACAAAUCAAAUCAGUCCAGGCUGGGCCAAGCACCUAGGGGUGUCAUCACUAAAUCAUCGAGGGGCCCACAAAUAUUGCUUUUAUCCUUAUGAGGUAAAAGGAAUGGAUAAAAUUUGACUCAUAUUAUUGCACUAACUACUUGUUGAAUCAUACACAAAGGCACGUUUUAUAACAUCAAGUUACUGAUGCGUUUUCGUACAAUCAAUGUAUAACCUACUCAUAGUCAACAACUCAUAUCUUUAGGUUUGAAGAAUAUAAGAUAUUAUCGUCUCAUGAUUCACUCGUGAUAAAAUCCAUGAAGUGAUUUAAAUGGGCGUAUGUGUAAUCCAAUACUUGAAACUCAGUCCAGGAGCACUCAUGAAUGUUGCAGCAACUUUUGCUAUGUCUAAACACUUUAGACAAUCUACAGAUAGAUUCAUGACAGUCUUCAUUCAUACUUACUUCUAAUGUAUGAUCGACUGUGGAUGGUUUGAAUAACUCAGUCAUUCAGGAAAAAUGACCUAGUUAUUCUGGAAGUCAAAACAUGCAAAGUGAAACAACAGAAUAAUACUAAUCCCAUAUGGCCCCAACACUUUGAGAGUAAAUAAAAAACACCUUUUAUCUAAGCAUCAUAUUGAUUACUCAUUAUUCAUGUAAUGUUUCGUUAUCAACUCAAUACUUGAAUUAAAACACUAGUUGUCCCAUGCUCCAAGCAUGUAUACUAUGUUUUCUAAACAAUAGUUAUGCCAUACACCAAGUAUGCACACAAUGUUUAUCUAUGAUCUUUACUUUGUGGAAUAGAUUUAUUGAAAAAACUUCCAAUGAUUCUUUUUAACAAUCCCAAAUCCUUAUUGUAAAUGUAAGAAUGCCAAACUCUUGCCAUUUAAAGUAAUUUGUUAGAUUCUAAACUCAUAUGCAAUGAUCCUCUUGUAAUGACUAUGCCCAAGUCACAAAGACUUGGCAACAGACAUUACAAAGUAUUCCAAUGGAGAGCAAUUCCAUGGAAACGGAGUCUCAUAUUCAAAGUACAUUCCUUUGAAUAUUCUUCUUGCAUUAAGUUUUCUAACCUUACACAGAUUCAAUGAAUGAUUUCCACCUAUGGACAUUUCCAUAUUACCAUUUUAAACAUCACUUCUGAACAAGAGUUGCAUCUUUUUAGAAUAUGUCAAUAUGGUCCUAACUAUAUACUUCCAAUUUUCCAUGAGCAACCAAUGUUUUGAAAACCUCAGAUUGUCCUCGACAAUUGCUUAAUCAUUUUAGUCAUAUCCAGUUCUAUUCCUUUUCCCCUCUAAAUGCCCCCGGGAUUUUGGAAAAUUAAGAAUAGAUGAAUAUUAUAGCACAUGUAAUCAAUCAUAUACCUGAAGCAUAUGGGACACGAUUCAUGCUAUAAAUUUUUAUUUGCCAUGUCCUCACAAUUCGAACUAUGAAGGGGUAUGCCAUAAUCAUAAUCGAAUUUUGAGAACGCAACAUAUAUAGAAUUUCCUUAUGUUGAACCAUUCCAACAUAACAUUCAUAUAUCCUUGACUAAAUUUGAUUAAUAUCUCAAUCUAAGCUUGUAGAAUUGGAAUGAAGUAUAAAAUCCUCUCCAUUAAUUAUAGCAAAACAACUUUUCAAAGCGAAUUGAAACUUUGUUUUCUAUAAUUAACAUUGCUAACUUGCAACACUUAGCAUAAUAAUCAUGCUCCUACUAGCAUAAUGAUUAUUAUCUUACUAGCAUAACACUUUCAGUUCCCACUAGAUUUGACAUUUACACAGAAAUCAGCUGGAAUUCUAGAAAUCAAUACUUUAUUGAAUUUCUUAUCAAAGUUCAGAUUUCUGAUACGAGAUUGCUUUCAUAAGACUUCAUCAAAAACAUACACCUUUCCUUAGAUAGCUCACAUGUGUGUCUAAACAAUUAUGAAGAGGGAUGUCGUAAUCAUAAUGUUUAGAACUUUUUCCAUUCUCACAAGUCCAUGUUAGUGUGACGGUUAACCACACGCGCUCCACUAAUGACUUUGAGAAUGCAAAUGUCACAAUUGCUAUCUACUAAAAAUCUACUUAGUGAAAGCGUUUCCUGACCAUCAUUUCAUGAAUCGGAGAAAAACCUUAUGACACUUAGAUUUUUAUGGUGUAAGUGUUCCUAUCCAUGUGAAUUUGUCAUAACCUAAAUCACAAGACAAGCUUAGUGACAAGUCCAAAUUCAUAUGGACUGAACUUGUUCAAUCUUAAUUUCUUGCCUCCUGGUAGCACAAGGGCCUACCAUUUCUUCUAUGUUGUUAUGCGAACAAUUGAGAACUCUUAGAAUUCACCUGCAUAGUCAACUUAAACUGGAAUGGACCAGAAACAAGAAUGUGUCAACACGACAGGUUACAAACCUUGGGCGUGGGCUAGUGAUUAACAAUAGGUUUUAAUCUUGAUUAUUUCUUGAAACCAUCUCAAGAUCUUUUAAGACUACCACUGUCCUUUAGACAUAUAAAAUUCUCUUUGUCAAGAACCAUUCCUUGACAAAACAAAUAUUCAAGAGUUAGUGUGAAUUCUAAUCAAGAUAGAAACUUCACAUAAUUGGUCUUAGUUGGUCUUUGUUUUAUCCAAAACAUCACAACUUACCAAUUUGAAAUGUACAAGAGUAAGAAAACAUUUUACUCUACAUUUGAUAAGUGUUAGAAACCUUCAAAAAAUUAUGUCACUCAAGGCUCAAUCUUGGAGUAUGACUCUAAGACUUGAUUUUGGAACAAAGUAUGAUUUAUCUUUUGAUUUCACCAUUACGAUUCCUCUCCUUAGUUAAACAAAUGCACUAAGGUGUACUUAGAGGAUCAAUUAUGAUAUGGUUUUUCUAAUCACUAAGAUAAUAGUAAAACAAAAUACUAAAGUACUCUCCCAUCUCUUCAUAAUUGAGAAACUUUUAUCCUUCUGUCAAAUUUGAUUCUUCUCAUUCGUUCUACCUAUCAUUGAAACUCUUCCAAUGAUCAAAAUUAUACUUAAACUUGUAAGCAUAACCAUAUUACUAAACUUUAGUAAAUCAUGAUGAAUAGUCUUAUCAUUCUUUGUGGUGGACUUGACCAGCGCACAACCAAGUGUACCCAAUCCUUUAGUCCUUCACUUGACUCACAUAUACAUGUGAACAAGGAAUUAGUCUUAAUUUACCAAAGAUGAAAAUUCUCAUUCAUCACACAAUGCAGGUUGCAUGAUUCCAAGUUUCUAUCCAACUGAAACUUGGGUGAUGAGAAUCUUUCCUUAUUUGGAAAGUUAUGACACUACCACAAACGAAAGAAUCAAAUCCAUUUUCUGAUAUUUCUAUUAAUGGAAACAUAUAAACAACAAUUUUUCACAAAUGCCAUUGUAAGGGUACUUAAAAUAAAUAAAUAAAACCUUUUUUUCUAUUAUUUUAAAAAUUGCGGAAAAAAUCUUAUCCUUACAAUGCAAAUACAUAUGAAAACUGUGUUGUUAUCUAUUCCUAAGCAAUCUAUCAUAACUCUUAAGCAGCAGCUUAAAAUUCUGACCAUCGAACCAUGUGACCGAAUCCAUUUUCGCGAUCAGAAUUAGCACACUCUUUCUUUAAGCUUCCUUUGAUUCUCCAAAACAUCAAAAUGUAAUUAGAUUACAUUAUGUAUUAAGAAUCUCCAAAUGGGAACUUAAUAGAGUUAGACAAUGGAGUUUACCUAAUAUAGAAUCAAACUUUUGACUUUACCAUCUCUUAGAUCUUUCAAGUUAACAUGGCAGCUUUGUAACCAAUGCCACUUUUUCUUGGCAAAAGAAAACAUAUGGAAUCUUUGGGAAUGGUACAUGAGACUAUCUCAGACUUAGCCUUUCUCUUUAUCAUUGGAUCCAAUGACUUGACCAUGGUCGAUCCCUUUCCAUUAGGAAGAGAAAGCUUUUCUGGACUUCUAAUGUUAUCAUUGUCAAUGCCCAUGGAAGUUUGGGAAGUUGAUCUUCUAAUCAAAUUUGCUUUACCAGUGCCCCAAAUCAUUGUUGAUUUAGUAGCAUCAAGCAAAUAGGUAAGAUCAUUAAGGGUCAUGUCUUGAUCUGUCAUCAGGGAGUGACUAAAGAACCAUGUCAACAACCAACUACCUCGAGACUUCGACACCCAACUCUCCCGGCUUGCCAAUAGGGAUUGAGUGACAUUGAACUUUUCAAGUAUUUGAACUUAUGGGAUAGGGAUAAUAAUAGGAGGAGGUGGAGGAAGUGAGGCAUGAUUUCUAGUCCCAUUAAUGCACAACAAAGGGAUUGAUCUUUCACCUUGAUUGCCAUUUAGGAUAACAUCUUCAUUAUGAAAGCUUGUUCCUAAGGAUUUUGGAAGACCAUAAAUGUCUUAACAAGACAUCUAUAAUGGGAGAAAUUCAAGUUUAGUUUAUUUAAAGUCCUUAACAUAACACCCAAUAUGAAAUAUUAAGGUUAGGACCCAACAAACUAUUUUAUAACUUGUAAGAGGGAUGUUGUAAUCCAAGCUAUAAAAUAUUUGAAGGUAGGUAAAUGACGAUUUACGAAUUUCCACCAUGAAAAACGAAAUUAUUCAUUAAGUUUUAAUUGGAUUUGAAACUCCUAGAUCUUUUGAGAUACAUUGAACUUUCAAUGUCAUGUAUGAAUCUCGAUUGUGCCCUCUCAUGUUUGUGACUUGGAUGCCGAUGAUCACAAACAAGACGUGAAUAUGCAAAUUGACUUGGCACCCUUAAUUUUAUCACCUAAUAGAUGUACCGGUUAACCACACACGCUCCACUAACAACUUAACAAAGGUGCAAAGUGUAAUUUCAUGGGUUAGCACCAUUUCACAUUUUCCUAAGUAACUAAGAUUGGGAAUUUAUAAGUGUUUAGUUACUUAGUAUUUAUCAUUAUACUUUCAAUGAAAGGAGAAUUAUAGUCCUUUCGUACCCAUUCGGCUAACGACCCUCCACCAAUCAAGGAAGCGGUGGGUGAGAGUGAAUACCCAUUAAACUGCCAUUUUAUAGGCAGUAACCUUAUACCCCCCAUUAGAGACUAGCUUCGUGAAUGAGGCCUACUAUCACAACCUGAAACCGAUGGCGGAAACGUUCUGGGGCGGAGGACAUCAUGUAAAGUAUCACAACCAAUGUACAUAGCAAGCAUAGUAAACACAAAACAUUACAUUACAUAGGAAUAUUUACAUUUGUUUGAAAGCAAAGUAAUACAUGAUUUAUAUAUACAACAGUGUAACAAAAGUAAAGACGAGACUUCUAUACGCUCCGCCAUCUCCAAAAGGACGCGGGAUACUUGUCUAAUGUUGACCUGAGAAUACAAGCAGUUUUAAAAAUAUCAGCAUAAAGCUGGUGAGUUCAUAAGCUGUUGGUUUCUGGUAAAAGAAUGAGUUUCCUUUGGUUUUAUGAAAAGUUGUUAUCCAAGAAAAUUCUAUAUUUCUUAUGAAAGAAGUUUAGUUAUCCAUUUGUUAAAUAGCCUGAUUAAGAAAGAUUAAGUUAUCCCAGGAAAAACCCUUAUUUUCCCUAAAUAGUUGGUGGUUGGUUAUCGAUCCGGAAUGAAGUGUACAAGUAUCUACCAUACUUGUAGCGUUAGGUGAAGUUUCCUGAAAGCCUGGUUAUUCUUGAAAAGUACAUUAGUUUUAACACGUAUAUAAAACUAAUAAGAAGGGAGUAAACUAAUUUCCUAAGGGUAUUAAUUCACUAAGUUCUUUAUUACUUAAAAGUAAAUCUCUGUUAUCUUAGUUUGCGAGUUCUAUAACCAUACGAUAAACUAGAUAUGGCAAGAAGAAGGCCAAUAUCACUUUAUGACUUUUGUCACCCGUAGACCUGCCGGUCCCACUGUAGCUAGCAGCAAGGUGCGGGGUAGUCAGCCCCGUAUAGAUCUAUACACUCAAGUCACGCUCUCCGUCUUGGAGAUUCUGGUUACAGGGGCGAUCCUCCACUCGCGUAUCUCUAUGGAAUGUUACAGAGGGCGUGUCUCCAAUCUUAAGAAUAACGAAUUUACAGGUAAUAAUAUGGAAAAUCCUGUUUGAUGAAUGGCAUGAAAUCCUUUAUGAAACAUAAAAUAUAACAUUUUAGAAUGAGUUUUGCAAUUAGUUUGAAAACUAACUCUGCAAGUUAAACGGUUGGUUAAUACGGUUUUCUGUGUUAAUAACAUACUGAAUAUGAGACAUUUCAUACGAAAUAAUAAGUUUGAGUACAUGAUUUCCUUGUACUUUUUCUUGUAUUCCCCCCUCUGAAAACAUGAAAACACGGAAAAAAGUGUAGGGGUAUGAACUCACCAGACGAGAAUGUGCCAGGUUUCAGUUUACGGCUUGAACACGCAUGAGGAUCCUAUGUAACAAGAGGAGAUAUAUAAUUGUAUAUCAUUAGACAUUGAACUACAAAUUAAGACAAUACACUCCAAGGUGCAAAAACACUUUAUCUCAAGUGUUAGGAAUGAUACAGGUUGCAUCCAAGGGGGUGUAGGGCCUAGUUAUGAGUUUACUCUUCAAGAGUAAAAUCUUAGAGGAGAUUACGGACCAUAGACCAUAAACCCAUGAUUUUACGACCGUAAACUCAUGGGUGGAGUGUUUUUGGAUGUUUAAAGGCCUUAUCUUGCACAAGGGAAGGAUCUAGGGUUUAUUCAAUGGCUUAGGAAGUGAUCGGGACUUGAAAUGACCUUUGAAAUGGAGUUUGCUGCUCAUGAAGGACACUUGGGGAGUUUACUGGAGUAAACACAUGGGUUUACAGCUGUAAACUCAUGCUUGGUCCAAACUUGCAUGAUUUAAGGUCUCAAAUGAAAGAAUACAAGGUUCUAUGCAUUAAUCCAAGCCAUAAGGGGGAAGUUAGGACACCAUUUGACCUCCUUAAGGGAGUUUAUGACCAUAAUCUCCUAAGGUCAUGGUUUCCUUGAUGUUUAAGGUCCUUACUUCGAUAGUGGUUGAUUCUAGACAUUAUUCCAAGCCAUAGGAGGUGUUUAAGGGGCAAUUUAACACCUUAAAAGGUGUUUAUGGUCUAUGAAGAGGGGUUUACGGUACAAGAAUGUUCUUGGGCCGUAAACUCAUGUUUACUCCCCAAAUGACAAGAUUUUGAUUUCCUAAGUUCAUUCAUGCAAGCCCCUAAGUCAUAGCUAAGCACUAGAAGUGAUUUGGAAGGGUUUUGGGGCUUCAAAACCCCAUUUAUGUGUGUUUACGAUUUUGGAGUGUUCCAAGGCUGUAAACACAUGAUUUUUAUACUUUUGGAUGAUUUAAACAUGUAUUUGCAUGCUAAACAAGCUAAACAACAAGCUAGGAUAGAUUACUUACAAGUUUGGAGCUUGAAAGAUGUGUUUUUGGAUAAAAAAUUGAGUUGUAGAGAGAGAGAAAGAGUGUGUUAAGAGGGUGGAAAAGCUUCAAAUGGAGGUCCACUCACCCUUAUAUAGGGUUUGAUUUUUUUUGGCCCGGUGGAAUCUACCCGAUACCGACGUUAAACGGGGCUUAUGGUCGUACCAGAUUAAGUGGUCGUAACUCGACGUGGUCGUAAACUAAAAACUUUUCAAAGGGAUAUCGAGGAUGUUUCACAUGUUUCUAAUGCGUUUGGACACUCAUGAAGUCAUAAUAAAAGUCUCAAUUUAAAUAACCUAAUCCAAAAUGUUAACGGAACAGUUUGAUAAAGACGAGUUUUAUUGACGGAAACGGGUUACAGUGACGGAAUAAAUUUUAGGUUGUCACAUUAUCCCCCCGUUAAAGGGAAUUUCGUCCCGAAAUUCAAAAUUAAGAUACAAAUCAUGGAAUUUGAAAGAGAUACGGAUAUUUCUGUUUCAUCGAGUCUUCGUGCUCCCAAGUAAAUUCGGGUCCCAACUUGGCAUUCCAGUGAACGUUCACUAUAGGGAUACGACUUUGUUUCGUACGUUUGAUCUCUCGAUCCAUGAUUUCGAUUGGUUCUUACACAAAGUUCAGGUUUUCAUUGAUCUCGAUCUCAUCAAGAGGGAUCACGAGGGUUUCAUCGGAUAGACACUUUUUAAGAUUUGAGACGUGGANUCAUGGAUAGACACUUUUUAAGAUUUGAGACGUGGAAUACAGGAUGGAUGUUGCCAAGUUCUUGAGGUAGUCGGAGUUUAUAGGCUACGGGACCCAUCCUGGUGAGGAUCUCGAAAGUUCCUAUGUACCUUGGAUUCAGUUUUACGCGCUUUCCAAAGCGUAUCAUGCCUUUCCAGGGCGAGACCUUCAACAGGACACGAUCUCCAACCUGGAAUUCCAAGGGCUUUCGUUGUUUAUCGGCAUAACUCUUUUAUCUGUCUCAUAAAGCUUUCAGUCGUUCUCAGAUUUGGAUGAUCUUCUCGGUGGUUUCGCGGAUGAUUUCAGGACUAGUGAGAGUACUGUCGGGGACUCGACCCUUGACUAGCUGCGUGUCCCCUACCUCGGCCCAGCACAGAGGGGAUCUGCACUUGCAACCGUAGAGGGCUUCGAAUGGGCCAGCCUUGAUGCUGAUGUGGUAGCUGUUGUUAUACGAGAACUCGAUCAAGGGUAAUUGGGUGUCCCACAACUUUCCGAAGUCAAUGACACAUGCUCUCAACAUCUCUUCCAGGGUCUGGAUAGUUCUCUCACUCUGCCUAUCUAUCUGAGGAUGAUAAGUUGUACUCAUAUCCAACUUAGUUCCAAGAGCUUUCUAAAGGGACUGCCAAAAUCUUGAGGUAAACCUGCUAUCUCGAUCGGAGAUAAUGGACACAGGCACACCGUGCAGUCGGACUAUCUCUUGAAUGCAGAUUCGCGUGAGUCUUUCCAUCUUGAAUGAUUCUUUAAUAGGUAGGAAGUGAGCGGAUUUUGUCAAUCGGUCGACAAUUACCCAAAUGGUAUCGUACCCACUCAGAGAUUUGGGUAACUUGGUGAUGAAAUCCAUAGUAAUCAUCUCCCAUUUACACUCAGGUAUCUCGGGCUGUUGGAGCAGACCCAAGGGCUUCUGUUACUCGACCUUUACUUUGGCGCAAGUCAGACCCUUGCCCACGAAGGUAGCAAUUUCGGCUUUCAUUUUUGGCCACCAGUAUAGUUUCUUGAGAUCCAGGUACAUCUUAUCCGAACCUGGGUGAACAGAAUAUCUGGUCUUGUGAGCUUCGUUCAUGACAACUUCCCUGAAACCUCCGAACUUUGGGUUCCAAAUUCGAUCCAUGAAACAGUAGACUCCGUCACCUCUGAUCUCAAGUUUCUUAUCCAUUCCUCUCAAGGAUUCAUUCAACACGUUCUCUGGUUUUAGGGCUUCCAAAUGGGCUUCUCAGAUUUGUGCGGAUAAGUGGGAAUGGAUGGUCAUUGUCAAUGUCUUCGCCUUGUUGCUUGAGUUUUCCUUUCGGCUAAGGGCAUCUGCUACCAUAUUGGCCUUAUCGGGAUGGUAGCGGAUUUCGCACUCGUAGUCACUGAGCAGCUCUACCCAUCGUUGUUGUCUCAUAUUUAAGUCCUUCUGAUUGAAGAUGUGAUGUAGGCUUUUAUGGUCAGUGAAGAUCGUGCACUUGGUUCCAUAGAGAUAAUGUCUCCAAAUCUUCAAUGCGAAGACCACUGCUCCUAAAUCCAGGUCGUAAGUCGUGUAGUUAACUUCGUGUGCCUUCAGCUAUCUCGAGGAAUAAGCGAUAACAUUUCCUCUCUGCAUAAGCACACAACUUAAACCCUGAUUGGACACAUUGAAGUAGACAACGAAAUCCUCUGUCCCUUCGGGUAGGGAUAGGAUAGGUGUGCUGCACAAGGCUCGCUUCAACGUUUGGAAUGUUGUGUCUUGCUUUUCACUCCAACAGAAGGGUACACCUUUCUGUCUCAGAGUGGUUAGGGGUUUGGCGAUUCUGGAAAAAUUCUGGAUGAACCUGCGAUAGUAGCCGGCGAGACCCAAGAAUUGACGGAUUUCUAUGGGUGUCUUCGGUGCUAACCAAUUCUCUAUCACCUUGAUUUUGGACAGGUCCACGUGUAUACCAUCCUCGUUUAACACGUGACCAAGGAAAGCUACCUUCUGAAUCCAGAAUUCGCACUUGGAGAAUUUCGCGUACAACUUCUCCGAUCUAAGAGUUUCCAACACUAAUCUCAAGUAUUGUUUGUGAUCUUCUUCGCUUCUGGAAUAGACAAGUAUGUCGUCAAUGAACAUGAUAACGAACUUGUCCAGAAAGGGGCGAUACACCCGGUUCAUCAGGUCCAUGAACACUGCCGGUGCGUUGGUUAGACCGAAGGGCAUCACUACAAACUCGUAGUGACCAUAACGAGUCCUGAAUGCUGUCUUGGAAACAUCACUCUCAUGAACUCGAAGUUGAUGGUACCUUGAUCUAAGGUCUAUCUUCGAGAAAUAGCUGGCUCCCUGAAGUUGAUCGAAAAGGUCGUCUAUUCGAGGAAGAGGAUAACGGUUUUUGACGGUCAAUUUAUUCAACUCACGGUAGUAUAAACACAUCCGAAAGGAUCCAUCUUUCUUCUUCACAAAUAAUAUCGGGGCUCCCCAGGGUGAGGAACUCGGUCUAAUGAACCCUUUGUUGAGUAGCUCAUUGAGUUGACUGGAUAACUCCUGUAUUUCUGCUGGAGCUAAGCGAUAUGGAGAUUUUGCUAUAGGAUUAGCUCUAGGAAUUAGGUCGAUGCGAAACUCAACUUGACAUUCGGGAGGAAUUUCCGGGAGCUCUUCAGGAAAGACAUCAGGAAAGUUGCAGACUUCGGGGAUGCUCACGAGGUCUUUAACUUCUUGUUUCUUGUUGAUUACAUGAGCUAGGAAUGCAUAACACUCCUUUCGCGGAAGUUUUUGAGCUUUGAUGCAUGAAAUGAUGCAAAGAUUGGAACUAAGUUUAUCGCCGUAGAUCAUGAGAUUCUGGUCAGAGGGAAGAUUGAGACAGAUGGUUUUUUCGUAACAAAGGAUAUCAUCAUGAUUGGGACUCAACCCAUCCAUGCCAAUGAUAACAUCAAAGCUCUUUAUGGAAACUGGCAUUAGGUCAAUGGGAAUGGAAUGAUCAUUCAGGGUAAGGGUACAGCCUAUGAAUAUAUCGUUAGCGUUCUCUUUCUCACCGUUAGCUAUCUCGACGGUAAAUGUUUCGGUUAGUGGCUGGGGAUUAGGUUUAAGAAAAUGUUUGAAUGAAUGACUAACAAAACUUCUUUCAACACCAGAAUCGAAAAGGAUACAAGCUUAAGAGCUGUCGAGAAGGAACGUACCCAUGACGACGGUGGGAUCGGCGACUGCCUCAUCUCGCCCCACAGUUAGAAAUCUUCCAAUGUUGCCAGCUGUUGCUACCUUGGGGCAGUUUCUCUUGAAAUGCCCGACUUCACCACAACCGUAGUAGGCCUGACCAACACCUGCUCCGGAAGCUUGAUUGGUUGAUUGGGUUGGUGCUUUGCAGAAUCGAAUCGUAUGCCCCUUUUUACCACAGUUGGAGCAUGAAAGUUCAUUACAUGGACCGGGGUUAUGGUGGAAGUUACACUUGUCACAUUGCGAAAGGGUACCAGCAUACCUACUGGUAGCUGCUUGAACUGUAGAAGCGACGACAGAAACAGCAACAAGGGUAGUAGUAGCGUGGACUGCCACAAUUUACUGCUUCUUUGAGGACUCUUGCGAAGACUGACCCUUCUUCUGCUUCCAAAAUUUUCUUUUCUCACCACUCCUUUUUGUCGGCUCAGGAGCGGUGGCCACUUCAUCAAUAUCAUCUUCGUGGUCGAUCAGAGUUUGCGCCAGGCAUUUAGCGCUGUCGAAUGUGUUUGGCUUCGCAGCCAAAAUAUUUCCCUUGGUUGGUUGGGUUAGCCCCCAGAUGAAUCUUUCAAUCUUUUUACUUUCCGGGGUAACCAUUCCCGGACAGAGAAGCACUAGGUCUUCGAAUCUGGAGGUGUAUGCGACGACAUCAGAACCCUUCAUCUUUAGGAUCCAGAGUUCAUGCUCCAAUUUCUGCAUUUCGCCCCGCAGGCAGUACUCUGCAAGUAGAAGCUCCUUCAUGCUCUCUCAACCCAUAACAUUGGCUACAGGUAGGGUUAAGGAUUUGACUUGGCCAUUCCACCAAGUCAGGGCUUUAUCGGUGAAAGUGCAGACGACGGACUUUACCUUGUCAUCUUCAGAACAGACACAGAUUUCGAAAAUAGACUCGAUCUUCGCAAACCAUUGAGUCAGAGCAAUAACACCUCCAGUGCCAUUGAAGGGUCUGGGUUUCGCGUUCAUAAAAUCUUUGUAGGAACACUCCUUCCGGUGUCCCUGAUUACCUUCCUGGUUUUGGGGCUGAGUACCACCUCCUGGCCCACCGAAACCACCGGGGUUCAUUUGCGACAUGGCAGCAGCCACAUCAGAAGUAACAGCUACUUGGAACAUGGUGGGAUCAAAUGGAGAAGGUGGUGGAGGAGGAUUGUUGUUCUUUGAGCUGGGUCUUUUCCUUGGAGGCAUCUUGAUCUGAAAUGGCCAGGAAAGAGAGGAUAGUAAGUCCUCUGAAUUGAAUCAAGAGAUAUGGAACAAGAGAUAUCUCAUUAUGGCAGAUAAAGUGUUCUACUAUGCGAUAAUAUAUAGGAAAGCUACCAAAGCAAGAGAAUUUAUCGCUAAAGGAAAUGAGUAGCAACACUUGAAUGAGGAUUUCUAUAACAAAGUUGGUUCUAGAAAAUACUCCCAUAGUAUUUUGUGUUUCGUUGAGACGAUGACUCAUUGCUUGGAUAUUAGGUAAGUUUUAGGCCUGCUGCACACCAUAGUCACUCCCAAGAACAUGUUGGUUGUGUCUCGAAUGAAUAUAGUUGAUCAGGCUAUAUUGACCCUAGACACGACUACAUAACUGCCCAGGUUUAACCGCAGUGUACAACACCCAAUUACUUAUGUUUUGUUCUACUCGGGGUUACGGUUUCUGGCGUUUAGAUAUUCAUGUAUACUUAGAGUAAAAAUACUUAUAUUUUUAAAGUAUACUUUUAGUUCAGAGCACUUCGGCCCCUUAGUGUUUAUAGUUAUAUACCAUGUAAGGUUCGAUAUAGUUAGUUCACUAUAAACAAGGGCUCUGAUACCAAUCUGCACACCCCGAAACCGAUGGCGGAAACGUUCCGGGACAGAGGACGUCAUGUAAAGUAUCACAACCAAUGUACAUAGCAAGCAUAGUAAACACAAAACAUUACAUUACAUAGGAAUAUUUACAUUUAUUUGAAAGCAAAGUAAUACAUGAUUUAUAUAUACAAUAGUAUAAAAAAAGUAGAGACGAGACUUCUGUACGCUCUGUCUUCUCCAAAAGGACGUGAGAUACCUGUCUAACGUUGACCUGAGAAUACAAGCAGUUUUAAAAAUAUCAGCAUAAAGCUGGUGAGUUCAUAAGCGGUUGGUUUCUGGUAAAAGAAUGAGUUUCCUUUGCUUUUAUGAAAAGUUGUUAUCCAAGAAAAUCCUAUAUUUUCUUAUGAAAGAAGUUUAGUUAUCCAUUUGCUGAACAACCUAAGUAAGAAAGAUUAAGUUAUCCCAGGAAAAACCCUUAUUUUCCUUAAAAGUUGGUGGUUGGUUAUCGAUCCGGAAUGAAGUGUACAAGUAUCUGCGAUACUUGUAGCAUUAAGUGAAGUUUCCUGAAAGCCUGGUUAUUCUUGAAAAGUACAUUAGUUUUAACAUGUAUAUAAAACUAAUAAGUAGGUAGUAAAUGAAUUUCCUAAGGGUAUUAAUGAUGGGUUUUAGCCUUAAGACAUCCUAUGUGCUCAUACAAACCCUAAUGGUUGGAUCUAGGUUUCUCUAUUGUACAUGCAAUUCAUCCAAGACUUUAAACCCUAGAUCUAGCAUAUGAUAAUCAAUAUUAACAUAAUAAUCGGUUUAAGAUAUUACCUUGAUUGUUAUGUAGCAAUAACAAUCUCAAAUUCUCCUUGUAAUGACUUUAGAAAGCUUAGAGUCACUAUUGUCACUCCUCUAAUGGCUCACAAACACCAAGAGCAAGAGGAUAAAGAAUGAGGAGAGAGGAGGCUGCCCAAAACCGUCCAAAACCCUAAGGAGUUACUUCCACAUGUUUUUGGUGCUCUAGGGAUCUUUAAAUAGUGAGGCUAUUAGGGUUAUCUAACAAGGAACCCUAAUUUGUGUCACAACUAGCAUUUUUGCUAGGAAAUUCUACUCUCAUGCAAUCAUUAACCUAGUGUGAUAACUUGUAAUCUAAGUGAAUACCAUGCUCCAUUCCUAUUCAAAUGUAUCUCAUAUGCUCAAAUAAGGGUUGGAAACCGUAGAUAUUCCCUUUCAAGUUCACUAUGGCCUAGGAUUCUCUUAUUGGGCCUAAAGGACCAAUAAACCUUCAAGUUGACUAUUUUGGGCCUAGAAACCCUAAUUGGGCUCUAAUUAGACUCACAUUCAUCAACUUUAACAUUUUGGGCCAUGUGGACCUAGAAUGGUUCAUUCUAUUCCUAAUGGGCCAAAUUGGGCCAUAAGUGAUUUUAAAUUUUUCCUAAUGGGCCAUAAAACUCAUCCUUUGAUUAUUUGGGUCGUGAGCCAUUUCCAAAGACCAUGUGGGCCGGAAAUCAUUUAAAUGGGCCAUAUUUUGGACUUAAUCACUCAAGGCCCAAACUCUCUUUUCCUUUCUUCCCUUUCUCGGCCAACAAAUAAAAAAAAGGGAAAAGAAUGGAUAAAUGAAGACUAAACAUGCAUGUGACAACUCAUGUUUAACCACCAUAUAUCUAUGGUAGCAUCUCAUGUUUCAAGACUAAGUAUUACCUCACAAAUAACAAGGUUAUGAUCUCUCUCUCCCUUCUCUCCAUAUUCUCGGCCACCCUCUCACCACCUUCAUUUUUCCUUCAAAAACUCUCUCAAACAAACUCAAAAACCUCUUCCCUCUUCCAUCAAAAAUCUCGAGUUGGUGUGUACUUUCAAGAGGAUUCUUCACCAAAAAUCAUCAUCCUAGGUAAGUUUUUACUUAUAUCCAUGGUUUAGCUUCUAGAUUUCUUCAAAAUCUCCUCUUAACCCAUUCCAUUUCGUGAAUCAUAUAUCUUAGAGCCAUCUAAGUUGUAAAGCUCCUCAAGAAGCUUGCUAAGGCCAAAAACCUCUUCACAUCUUCAUCAAAAACCGACACCUUCAAACAAGGUGAGCUUCAUACCCCCUUAUGACAUGAUCAUGCUUGUCCGGCCUAGCUAGCCCAAUGACAUGAUCUUUAGGCCUGAAGGAAAUUUACUUACAUGUAGUUGGGUCUAAUACGACUUAAUUCUGUGUAAAAGGACUUUCAAUGGCAAACGUGCUGCUGGUCCCCAAUGGUCCUUCGGUACUGCUAGCGAAGUCGAGAAUUCACUAUUGCGAGUUGGGCUAAGGGCCCUUUGCAUUCUCUAUAGCCUUGAACGACGUAGGGAAAUACUGGUGGCUUCGCACCUUCUUUUUCCCCUCGGUCGUGGGGCUACAUGAGUCCGGGGGGUUGGGUUACGUGAAUAAGUGCAAGCGACGCCUAAGGGAUCGUUUUUACGGUUGUCAACUGGUCAUUUUCAUUAAUGUACGUUACAACAAUUCACCAUCUACUAUUAAUCCAACGUCUCCGGAGCUCAACGACUACCUUUAUCGUAACGAAAUAACAACACAUAAACUAAUUAAAGCAAAGUGAUAGGAAAACGUCGGGUUUUCCUAGGGUUUUCAACUAUUAUACCUACGAACUACAUAACGAGUUUUACAAAUGGUACACAUACAUUUAUAGAAACUAACAAGCAUACUUAUGGAUCUUCUACCUUUAUCGUAACGAAAUAACAACACAUAAACUAAUUAAAGCAAAGUGAUAGGAAAACGUCGGGUUUUCCUAGGGUUUUCAACUAUUAUACCUACGAACUACAUAACGAGUUUUACAAAUGGUACACAUACAUUUAUAGAAACUAACAAGCAUACUUAUGGAUCUUCACACCUUUUAUACUAUACUAUUUUCAGAAAAUAUCGGAUUUUCUGGUGGUUUUCAAAACAAUACACACCUUGGAUUUCAAACAUUACUUAUGAACUCACCAACAUUUCAUAUGUUGACGUUUUUCAAAAUACUUGUAUUCUCAGGUAACAGAUAAAUCGAAGGGAUAAGUGUACUCAGUGACGUUUUGCUGCUUCUUUAAUUAGUACCGAACAAUCUACUUUUUGGGCAUGUAAUGUUAGCGAACAAUGUACUAAAUGUAAACGCUACCAGUUGUAAUAUUCCAAUGCUUGGUGAUGUUUGAUGUUAUGUUUCAUGUAUAUUCAUUGUGAUGGUAUUCAAUUGAAUCACAACAGCCCCCGGACGUUUCCACCGUCUGGUUCGGGGGUGUGACAAUUUGGAUGCUUAGGCCCUAAGCAACCUAUCGACUUCUUCCUUAAAGGCCUAGGAUGAUUUCUAAUGGGUUUCCCCAUAGAAUUCGUCCACCCCUCUAAUAUGGAGUCCAUCAGCUCAAUAUUCAACUAUCAUACAAUUGACAGUUCUAGUCUCUUAAGUUUAAUUAAUGUCUUUUAGCCACAAAAUUAAUUCCUAAUUAAUUAUUGACUAAUAUUAAUUAAAAAAUAUGAUUUCUCCUUUAAUAUAUUAUUCUCAUAAUAUAUUAAUAAAUCAUAAUUAAUCCUUUCUCUCCAUAAUUCAUCCUAUCAAGUUGCUUUGGUGAAGGCAACCCAAAACGACCAUGCACCAUCGGGUCAAAUACAUACCAAAAUAGUUAUAGACUUAGACGCUAAUCCAACAAUUAAUUCACUAAGUUAUUUAUUACUUAAAAGUAAAUCUUCGUUAUCUAAGUUUGCGAGUUCUAUAACCAUACGAUAAACUAGAUAUGGCAAAAAGAACGCCAAUAUCACUUUAUGACUUUUGUCACCCGUAGACCUGCCGGUCCCACUGUAGCUAGUAACAAGGUGCGGGGUACUCAGCCCCGUAUAGAUCUAUACACUCAAGUCACGCUCUCCGUCUUGGAGAUUCUGGUUACAGGGGCGAUCCUCCACUCGCAUAUCUCUGUGGAGUGUUACAGAGGACGUGUCUCCAAUCUUAAGAAUAACGAAUUUACAGGUAAUAAUACGGAGAAUCCUGUUUGAUGAAUGACAUGAAAUCCUUUAUGAAACAUAAAAUAUAACAUUUUAGAAUGAGUUUCGCAAUUAGUUUGAAAACUAACUCUGCAAGUUAAACGGUUGGUUAAUACGGUUUUCUGUGUUAAAAACAUAUUGAUUAUGAGACAUUUCAUACGAAAUAAUAAGUUUGAGUACAUGAUUUCCUUGUACUUUUGCUUAUAUUCCUCCUGAAAACAUGAAAACACGGAAAAAGGUGUAGGCGUAUGAACUCACCAGACGAGAAUGUGUCAGGUAGGAUGCUAAGUGUCAGUUUACGGCUUGAACACGCAUGAGGAUCCUAUGUAACAUGAGGUGAUACAUAAUUGUAUCUAAUUAGACACUGAACUACUAAUUAAGUAAGAUAAUACACUCCAAGGCGCGAAAACACUUUAUCUCAAGUGUUACGAAUGAUACGAGUUGCAUCUAAGGGGGGUGUAGGGCCUAGUUAUGGAGUUUACUCUUCAAGAGUAAACUCUUAGAGGAGAUUAUGGACCUUAGACCAUAAAACCAUGAGUUUACGGCCGUAAACUCAUGGGUGGAGUGUUUUUGGAUGUUUAAAGGCCUUAUCUUGAACAAGGGAAGGUUCUAGGGUUGAUUCAAUGGCUUAGGAAGUGAUCGGGACUUGAAAUGACCAUUGAAAUGGAGUUUGCUGCUCAUGAAGGACACUUAUGGAGUUUACUGGAGUAAACACAUAGUUUUACAGCCGUAAACUCAUGCUUGGUCCAAACUCGCAUGAUUUAAGGUCUGAAAUGAAAGAAUACAAGGUUCUAUGCAUUAAUCCAGGCCAUAGGGGGAAGUUAGGGCACCAUUUGACCUCCUUAAGGGAGUUUACGGCCAAGGGACCAAUCCUUGGGGGGUUUACGGCCGUAAUCUCCUAAGGUCACGGUUUCCUUGAUGUUUAAGGGCCUUACUUCGAUGGUGGUUGAUUCUAGACAUUAUUCCAAGCCAUAGGAGGUGUUUAAGGGGCAAUUUUACACCUUAAAAGGUGUUUACGGUCUAUGAAGAGGGGUUUAUGGUCUAAGAAUGUUCUUGGGCUGUAAACUCAUGCUUACUCCCCAAAUGACAAGAUUUUGAUUUCCUAAGUUCAUUCAUGCAAGCCCCUAAGUCAUAGCUAAGCACUAGAAGUGAUUUGGAAGGGUUUUGGGGAUUCAAAACCCCAUUUAUGGGUGUUUAUAGUUUUAGAGUGUUCCAAGGCCGUAAACACAUGAUUUUUAUACUUUUGGAUGAUUUAAACACAGAUUUGCAUGCUAAACAAGCUAAACAACAAGAUAGGAUAGAUUACUUACAAGUUUGGAGCUUGAAAGAGAUGUUUUUGGAUCAAAAUUUGAGUUGUAGAGAGAGAGAGUAGAGAGAGAGAGAGUGUGUUAAGAGGGUGGAAAAGCUUCAAAUGGAGGUCCACUCACCCUUAUAUAGGGUUUGAGUUUUUUUGGCCCGAUGGAAAUCUACCCGAUACCGACGUUAAACGGAGCUUAUGGUCGUACCAGAUUAAGUGGUCGUAACUCGACGUGGUCGUAAACUAAAAACUUUUCAAAGGGAUAUCGAGGAUGUUUCACGUGUUUAUAAUGCGUUUGGACACUCAUGAAGUCAUAAUAAAAGUCUCAAUUUAAAUAACCUAAUCAAAAAUGUUAACGGAACAAUUUGAUAAAGACGGGUUUUUUGACAAAAACGGGUUACAGUGACGGAAUAAAUUCCAGGUUGUCACACCUACUAAUGAUAAGAUUGACUUUAACUCUUAUACAUAUAUACAAAUAUUAAACUUUUAAUAUUAUAAUAGUAUAAGGGUUAAAUUUUAAACUUUUAAAAUUCUAAGGUCUAAAAUUGGAAUUAAAGUAUACAUGGGGAGGUAACUUUGCGAAUUCCAAAACUUGAGGGCAAGUUUUGAAACUUUUUCAAAACUCUUCAAUUUCAUAACAUAUGAGUUUAAUAUAGGUUUUAAAACUUUUAAUGAAGAGACUCCUGGAAAUCCAUAACUUGAGGACAAGUUAUGGAGGUCAUAAAACAAUUUAUGGAAAAAGACUUUUCAAGUUCAUAACCUAUGUUUUUAAUAAAAUCCAUUAAUGAGACUUUUCAUAUAACUUGAGGACAAGUUACAUAAACAUAUUUUAUGAAUAACUUUUAGAUCAAAUUGGAUUAAAAACAACUAUCACAAACAUAUCUAGCAAUAUUCAUAAUCUUGAUUAAACUCAUAUGAACAAGAUAAUUCAAAUCAAACAAUUUUCAUGUAAUUUAGCCUAAUCAUUAAACUAAUACAAAACAUGAAACUUUUGACAAUUAUCUUUUGAAUUGGAUUAGAAUGAUCAUUACCACAUCAAAAACAGGUUUAUAGGUUCAAAAACAGCUUAUGGUAAUGUUCCUAGUCCAACUCUAGCCAAAACACUCGAAGGUAAGUUGUUAGGGACUUAAAAUCGUUGAGUUCUAUAGAGAACUCAUCGAGUUCAUGCUAUAAACCAUGAACUCGUCAAUUUUAUGGCAAAAACUCAUCAAGUUUUCAGUCUGGAUAGAUUCCUGGCUUUGAAAAACAAGUUGCAUCAAGUAUAAUCGAAAACAACCCUAGGCUCUAAUACCACUUAUGGGUUUCGAGCAUUCUUACACUCCUAAGGUGUUCAUGCAACCUUAAAUACCUUGGAUCUAUGUUUUCACUAAUUAUACAUGAAAUGGUGUUUCUAAGGUAUUAAACCUAUAACUAGCAUACAAUCGUCGUAGAAUAUAGUUAGGAUAACAUACCUUAUGGUGAAGCUUGAAGUCUUGAUGUAUCUAGCCUUAAGAGCUUAGCCCCAAUAGUGUGGAAGCCUCAAGUGGAAUCACAACACAUCAUGAACAAAGGAUGAACUUGAGAGAGAAUCUUCAUGCAUCCAAAAACCACCAUGAACUCCAAGAAUCCUCAAGUAUCUUGCAAGUGGCAAUUUUGGCUAUGAAUGGAUGUAUUUAUAUGUGGGAUUUCUAGGGUCAUGGAUAUAACCCAAAUCCAUACCCAUGAGUCUUAUGAUGCAUGGUUCAUGUGGCCCAACUCUUUAUGUAUCCAUACAUAAAGUUAUUCCAAUAUGGAUCAUAAGCCCAACACAUAUAAAUAUAACCAAUUAACAUAAUUAGUCCCCAUAGAUUUAAUUAGUCUCUAUUGAUCACCAAAUUAAUUCCAGAUCAAUACUAAUUAACUCAUAUGAUUUCAUAUUAAUAUAUUAUAACUUAUAAUAUAUUAAUAAAUCAUAUAUAACAUCUUCUCUCAAAAGUCCAUCCUAACAAAUUGUCCUAAUGAUAUGCAACCCAAAUGGACCAUGCUACUCUCGGGUCAAGUACAUACCAAUAAUAGUUAUGGGCUUAGACAUCUAAUCCAACACCCUCUGGUAAGGAUAACACCAGAGCAUUGCAGAGGGCUCGAUUCAGGGUUUGGAAAGCAGCAUCUUGUUUGUUACUCCAAUUAAAAGGUAUGCGUUUCUGGGUUAGAGUGGUGAGGGGUUUGGCGAUCUUGGAGAAAUUCUGAAUGAACCUCCUGUAAUAACCCACAAGGCCCAAGAAUUGCCUGAUCUUCGUGGGUGUUCUCGGUGUUUCCUAACCCUCAAUAGCUUUAACCUUAGUAGGGUCGACAUGGAUCCCUUCUUCACUGACCACAUGUCCUAAGAACUCCACUUUGCGAUUCCAGAACUCUCAUUUAGAAAAUUUUGCGUACAACUUCUCUUCCCUUAGGGUUCCUAAAAUAUGUCGUAGAUGCUGACUAUGCUUCUCCUUUCUCUUAGAGUAAACGAGUAUUCCAUCGAUGAAUACAAUUAUGAAAUUGUUGAGGAAUGGUCGGCAUACUCAGUUCAUGAGAUCCAUAAAUGUUGCGGGUGCAUUCAUUAGUCCAAAGGGCAUUACCAUGAACUCAAAGUGGCCAUAGCGAGUUUGGAAAGCAGUCUUAGGAAUAUCUUCUUCUCGGAUACGAAAUUGAUGAUAACCGGAUCUCAAAUCUAUUUUUGAGAAGUAACUUGCUCCUUGUAUUUGGUCAAGUAAAUCAUCGAACCGGGUAAAAGGGUAUCGACUCUUGACGGUCAUCUUGUUUAACUCCUAGUAGUCGAUGCAUAUUCAGAAUGACCCAUCCUUCUUCUUGACGAACAAGACCGGAGCUCCCCAGGUUGAGAAGCUCGGCCUGAUGAAUCCUUUGUCUAGUAGUUCACUCAGUUGGCUAGAUAACUCCUGUAUCUCGGUAGGGUCUCACCUGUAGGGUGAUUUGGCAAUUGGGUUGGCUCCAGGGAUUAGGUCAAUUCGAAACUCGACCUGUAGCUUGGGGGGUACGCCUGGGAGAUCUUCCGGAAAGACAUCUGAAAGUCUCGCACUUUCGGGAUGUCUUUUAUGUUCUUUCCCUCUUUCUUCUUGUCCAUGAUGUGUGCAAGGAAGGCUUGAUUCUUCUUAUGCAGACACUUUUGUGCCUUGAUGCACAAGAUAAGACGGAGAUUCGCACCAUGUUUGUCGCCGUAAAUGAUUAGGGUUUCGUUGGAGGGUAGGUGAAGGCGAACGACCUUCUUAUGGCACAUAAUAUCGACAUAGUGGGGGCAUAACCAAUCCAUAUUGAUGAUCACAUCAAAAAUUCGAAUAUUUAUUGGCAUCAAGUUAAUUUGGAAAUUGUGGUUAUUUAACGUUAAUGUGCACCCUAUGAAAAUGUUGUUGGUUGUUUCAGUUUUCCCAUUAGCUAUCUCCACUGUGAAGGCUUCGCAUAGCUUCUGGGGUUGUUGAUUUAGCAAGUGUUUGAAAUUUUGACUCACAAAACUCCGCUCUACCCCACUAUCGAAUAAAAUGCAUGCGUAAGUAUUGUUGAGGGGAAACGUAUCAGUGACUACGGCUGGAUCUUGAACUAUAUCUCCCUGUCCCAUGGCUAGGACCCUACCCGAUCCUCCUGUUCCUUGAUUGUUGCCUUUGGGGCAGUUUCGCCUAAUGUGACCAAUCUCCCCACAUCCAUAGCAGGCCUGACUGGCCCCGAUAUUGUUCGGUUCGGGAUUGUUUUGUUGAGGCUGAGACUUGCAGUACCGGGCAGUGUGCCCCUUUUUAUUGCAAAUUGUGCACUGGAAGUCUCUACAUACACUAGUGUGAUGGUAACUAGACUUGUCGAAUUUUGGUUGCGAACCUGUGUGUGGCCUUGCAGGUGCUUGUGGGGUUAUUGUGGUUACAAUUGGGGCUAGUGCGAUCUGCGUGGUAGCAACAUGGACUGCCACAGUUUGUUGCUUCUUGGAUGGUCCUUGAUUUUGUCGUCCCUUCCUCUUAUUUUCCCAGUUCUUCUUGUUGUAUCCUUCUUUCUUGGUUUCUACUUCUGCGAUCUUGAUGCCUUUUUUGUUCCCGUGAUCAUACAACUUUUGAGCCAGACAUUUCGUACUAUUGAACGUUUCAGGGUUGGCUGCAAUUACAUUUCCAUGAAUUGGAGGAGUUAACCCCUAAAUGAAGCGUUCGAUCUUCUUUCCUUCCAAUGUUAUCAUCCCUGGGCACAAGAGUGCCAGCUCGCUGAACUGAGCGAUAUAAGCUGCGAUGUCUAAGUUUUGCACAGUCAAAUUCCAUAGCUCUUGUUCCAGCUUUUGUAUUUCCCCAUGGGAAUGUUAACUCAGCUUAGGUCACCAGUUUUGUUUAAUUGAUCGGUAGAGUCGGUGUUGGAGUUGUACUCAGUAUUGUGUAGUUUUCUACUACUCAUCGGACUGGGAGGUGAAUUUUCUGCAUUGUACUCGUGGGUCGAAGGCACCAAUGCCAACCCACGAGAUUACGUAUCUUGGUUAUAUGAUAGUUUUAUUCUAGUAUAUAGCUGAUUAGUAGAUAUGUAUGACUAUUUGUAUUUUGCUAGAUCUGUGUUUAUGUUUAUCUGUUACAUAUGUUGACAUAUUGUAGUUGGGUUGAGGCGAUCCUGCUUUGUGCUGAAGGUCAAGACACCUGAGGCGGUCUGGAUAGGCCGUAGGCCCUACGAGGCGGUCCAGUCAUGUCGAAGGCCCAUAGAGUGUUUUAGAUAGGAUGUAGGCCCUGCAAGGCAGACCAGUCAGGCUCAAGGCUCAUAUUUACAUCCUUUUGUUUGUUAUGUUAUGUCACUACUAGAAAAAAGGCCUUUAACGACACACAAUUUAUGACGCGCAUUAAUUUACGAUACGUAAAAGUGUGUGACGUAAAAAUAAUGUCAUCUCUCCAAAAUUUUGAAGAAUUUGGGACGCGCAUUUUUGUGUGCCCUAAAAUUUGUGUCAGAAAAAACUAAAAAUAAAAUCACGGAGGACACCCAUCAUAAAAGGGUGUGUCGUGUAAGUAUGUCGCUUUAUAAUUCUUGAACGCGCCUCCUGACUAUUUAUUUUAUCAAAAAAUCGAAGGGAUCAUUCUAGGGUUCUUUUCGAGAUGGGAGUUCUCUCUGCAAUGUUCGCUACCUUGGCUCACCUUCUGUCCAACGAUCUCGACUCAUCUCCUUUAGCCAACGAGCUUGGGCUAGCCUUACCUCGAUGGAGACCGCCACAAAUGCUUAAGUUUACAAGCCCUAGGUCUGGUUUAACAUCAAAUCUUCUUUGUGAUCUGUCUCGCACAACAAGCCUCCCUCUCAAUAAAAGUCGUCUUCCUUGUGUUGAAGGUAUGCGAAUAUCAUCCAAAAUUUAGUGGGCUCGAUCGCACCCCCAAAUAUGUGAUUCUACCUACAAUAAUCGAGACCACAGCUCAAAAAGAGCCUACAUAAGGCUUUCAAACAUGAGAUUUUAUGAAACUUCAAACCACGUCUCUCUCAAAUUGGCAUUAUUCACUAUAUAAACAUAUAUGGUGUUAAAUUCUCUUUUCUACUGUUCGAAUUUUUGCUUGGUUAUGUCGAUUUUGCCCUUGAUUUGGUGAUUCUCCCCCUCAUGUUGUCUUUUAUUCUCUGAAUAGUACUUAAUUUUGACAAAUUGGUUCAAAACACAGACAAAUUGGAAAUUUAGGUUUACUUAUCGCUUACCAUAAAAUUAUAAAGACAAAUUGACAAAUCUGUAGUUCAAAAGAUUCUUUUUCCUAUAGAAAUAUUAUAAUUCUGUUUGGAAUAAGGGAGCAACAUAAUAGAAAACUAGAAUGUACGUGAGUUCUAAAGGGCAAGAAGCAUUAUCCAUGUGGCUUCUGAAUUUCUAUUUGUCUGAUACAUGGAAAAAACAUUAUCCAUGUGGCUUCUAACUUUCUGUUUGUUUCAUGUAUAUGUAUUUCCAUAGGUAAUAUAAGAUUGUUAUAGACUUGUGUAAAGAUGGAAAAUUCAUCCAUACCUGGUAUCCUAGAGAAUGUAAGAAGCUAUGGAGUUCUAUCCUUUAUUUGUGGAGAUUUUUCUUUGGGUUAUAUUUAUACCGUAUUUAGAAUGUAUUGAGGUGUUCAUGGUUGAAUUUGCAGAUGACUGGGAUAGACAAAGACUAUAGAUAUAUGGCAACUUCAGACCUAUUAAACGAAUUAAACAAAGAGAGGUUUAAACUUGACAACGACCUUGAGUUGAGAUUGUCCAAUAGUGUUCUACAACAGCUUGAUGGUGCAGCUCGUUACGUGUCUGGAUUGGUUGUUAAAUGUCUUGCUCCUCUGGUGAAGAAAAUUCAUGCGGCACAGGUACUGGAGAUGAGUCAUAAGCUAUGUGAUCUUGGUCUUUAUUAGAUAUAGUUUAUGUACUUGGUAACAUAAUUUUAGGCUGUUAAUUGUUGUAAUAUAUCUUGAAAUGCAGGGUGAUACUGAUUGAUAUAGUUUCCUAUUUUAUCUUGAUUUAGUUUCCUUUUUCUGGGCCUAAGAUUGUAUAUGAUCUUGAGGCUUGUGGCUAAUCAUCAAAUUUUAUUCCCUUUUUUGCAGGAAGGUUGAUGAACUGAAAACAGAACUGAGCAAAUACAUAACCUAUAACCAAACAGCAGCAUAUCCUGUAAGCAUGAUAUUUUUAACUUUAAUUUAUUGGAUUUUUUAGAUGAAUUUUAAGGAUUCUAUUUCUCGUCAAGAAGCUAAAAGAUUUAAACUCUGAACAAUCCUUGAUAUGCCAAGUUUAGCUCAAAAUCCUUGUUAUAUCAGUUCAAAGCAUCUUUAGCUUCAAUAAUUUGAGUCUUACAUAUUUUUUGGUUUCGUUGGUUGGAAGCUUGUUGAAUAGCAUUGAUUUAGGAGAUGAGAUGGAAGCCUGUGACCAAGUGAAAAGAGUUUCACUUGAUAGUAAUUGUCUCAAAAGGGACAACAUGUUGCAAUCGACUGACAAUAUAGAAGAGCUAAUGGAAGCAAAAGCCUUGUUGGGUGCCAUGAAAUCUGAGCAGGCCAGAUUGGUUGAAGAGCUACAGUAUAUUCGCCAAGAGAAUGAUAAGCUGACAGUAACCUUAAACAACAACAACAAUGCUCAAACACGUGAGAGCUAUACUUCAGAAAACCAAAACCUGUCACCUGUCACUGACAAGAUGUCUGAAGAAAAGAAGAAGCUAAGAAGAAUUAUAGAAGCAAAAAAAGGACGAGGUGUAUACGCUGCAUACUGAGUGGGAGACAGCAAGUUUAGAGCUCACAAGCUUUCUGUUAGAUGGUUCUAAAUCUCUCAAAGAUGCAUAUGGUCAAAUAGAAGCUAUUAGAGCUCAAAGAAACUAAUAAUAUGGUGCAAGUGCCAUUAGAGGGAAUGGGAUGUACAUAUCAAAUGCAAGAAAACCAGUUGUUAAUGGUGCAGCUAGAGGUGUUCAUAGUCUGGUUUUUUCGGUUUUUAGAUCAAACCGAAGUUAAACCGUUAGUAACGGUUUUUUGGCAAUCAAAAACUGAAGCCGAACCAUUGAAACUUAAAACUGAACCAAACUGAGCCGAUACUAACAGUUUGGCUCUGGUUUAGUUUCACGGUUUAGGCUUUUUAGCAUCAUUCUAAUCUAUCCCAUUAGACUACUAUUAAAAAAUCAGUCUCUUACUUAACCAAUAAAACCCGCAUGCUUUAGUCCGGUGUUGAACCAGAGCUUGUUGAACCACAAAAAAUAAGCUUUUCUUUAAAAAGAAAAUUACUUAGCUAGUCUCAGUUAGAGUUCCUGCAACAUAAACAAGUUUUAGUAAGAGCCCAAUCAAAUGCAAGUCCUACAAAACAACAAAAAGAUAUGUGGUAUCACAUUCAUUUUAUAAAAUAGACAAACUAUUAAUAUUCCUUACAUUCGUCGAUGUGGGACUGUAUAAAAGUACAAUUGCAAUUCAGAUUUCCUUUCUCCAUUCAACUAAACACGCUUUUUCCCAUAUUAAACAUUAGAGAUAUCUUACUGAACUAUAAUUUGCUUAAUUAUCUCACUGUUAACAAAACAAAUAUCAUUAGCUUUAUUAUAUAUAUAUAUAUAUAUAUAUAUAUAUAUAUAUAUAUAUAUAUACNNNNNNNNNNNNNNNNNNNNNNNNNNNNNNNNNNNNNNNNNNNNNNNNNNNNNNNNNNNNNNNNNNNNNNNNNNNNNNNNNNNNNNNNNNNNNNNNNNNNUGUACACUUAGGAAGUGUUAGAAUGCUCAAAACCCAUCAUGAAGAGCAUCUAGCAUUCUGGAUUAGGGGGAAUUUUUUGGUGUAAUCCAAAAAGUUUGGGGACCAUUUAUGUUUAUUUCAUUUGUGUUUGUUUCAGUUUUUCGUAGGAAGCUGUCAAAAUGCCAUGUUGGCCAUUUUCCCGUUUCUUUAGGAAGUAGUAAUCAAGUGGUUUCAUGUUUCCACAUUUCUAGCUUAUUAGUAGCUUAAAUAGCAUGUAUCGUUCCAGUUUUUACAGAUAAGACAAUCAGAAAAUUGCCUCAAAAUUACUCUCCAUCUUUGCUUUGUUUUGCUGUGUAAAGAACAGGGCCUGCAACAAUAUUUAUCAUACAUAACUUAUGUAUAGAAAGUAGAAACACAAACAUAAGUUUACAACUUCGAUAUAUCUCUUAUGUAUUUAUCUGAUGAUUUGAGUAUUUUGUUGAUGUAGGAGUUCUUAGGCACCUUUUCCUGCAGCAGGAUCAUCGGUUGUAUAGAUAUUGGUUGAAAUUACGUUAUUACCCUCUUCAGACACAAGUAUUACAAAAUCAAUAUCAUUGAUUAUGUAACACUAUAUGAAUGAUUUAUCAAUAUUUUUAGAGUAAUAUUACAUUUCUGGUCCAUGAGUGUAGCAGUUUUUUCCUUUUUUUGGUACUUAGUAAAACUUAAUAUAAAACCUUGACACAAAUCGUCUUUCUUUAUGCUGAAAAUGUAUAAAACUGCUGUUAAUGCUCAAUCUUAAUCUUGCAUGUCCAGAUGAUAUGUAUCACUCUUCUGCACAAAGACAGAUAAUAAAUUUCUUUAUAAUCAGUUCUGGGUAUGUUCCGUUUCUAUUAUUCUUUUUAAAUUUGAAUUUUGUCAUUGUGAUUGUAAGAUACAAUUGAGUGAUACUAAAUUCUUGUUGUAUGUAUUAGUUUUCAUUGAUCACAUAUCAAGAAACCUUUAUAACUUCAGUUAACAAGAGUAUGAGUAUGACAACAAUCUGGCUCCUGUAUCACAUGAUAAUGUUUCUAACAUUCUUUAUUCAUGUGUUGCAGUUGUUUGUAUGGGGAUGCUAUAAAUACCUAUUGCUGGAGUACACAACAGGAGUACUUGUUGGAGUCUUUGGUAUAGCUGCAACUUAAAACUGGUUAUAUUGAAAGCUGGGGAAAGCAGGUGAAACAGUGAAAGUUGCUCCUGGCUCACUCUCCUCUCUUUUCCAAUUACCCAUUUCCUAUGCAUGUGCAAUACCUUGUCAUUUCCUGCUGGCUCACUCUCCUCUCUAAAUGUCCCAUAACAUGACCUGAACACUCAUUCUCCUUAAUUCCCAUCCAUUAUUCCCAUCUCUAUGUUUCUGUUUUUUGCAGUAUGGAUCCUCUCACUCAUCUUGAAUAUGCUCUGUGUCCAUUUAUAGCAAUCAUUGGUAAAAACUUGCCUUUUAUAUUGCUAAUAUUUUGUACAGAGGUAACAGAAAGUUUUGAGAAGUGUUAAAUGGGAACAAAAAUAAAAGAUUUCCAAAUGAAGUAAAGAUUAUUCAUGGCGAAAAAAUAGAUGUAGAUUGACUUAAGGACAUGUUGCAUUUUCGUGGAUGACAUAGAAAGUAAAGAUUAUUAUUAUUAUUAUUAUUAUUAUUAUUAUUAUUAUUAUUAUUAUUUUUUGGGUGAUAAACCCAUGUAAGUUUUAACACAUGUGGAAUACACUUGGAGAAAAGUUGCACAAAAGAAUUGAAUUUUUGUUUGAAUUUGGUCUAGGUUUCAUUUGGUUGAUUAGACAAGAUGCUAUAUUCUAUGAAUUUAUUGCAUUUAGAUAAUUGGAAGUGAUAGUAUAUCUAUAUGAACAACAGUAAUUUUGUGGCAGAAGCUUGAAACAAAUUAGAUGAUACACAUAGAUAUAGAAUCAUUUCUUGCUUAUUUAAGUUUCAUUUAGUUUUAAAUGAUAGUAAAUGACCAUUUUACCUUUUUGUCCGGAAUUAGUAUCUAAUGAAAGAAAUGACUUUCUUGUUUGACAACUGCUUGUAAUAUAAGCUAUAAACGACAAUAACUUGUAAAUGUAUAAGAUAGUUAAUGGAAAAUGCAUUGGGGUUUUGACUUUUCAAGUGUGUAGUUAGCAAAUGAGAAGCAACUUGUUGAUCAUUACAGCUCCAAGCAUCCAAAGGAGAAGCCUCCAAGCAACUAUGAAUGAUCUGAUCUGUAUGCAUUUGCAUUGAUGCAAAGGUUUGUGUUGUCUGUUUUUCUUGUUCAUUUGCAUGAUGAUGAUAUGUCUAGUGUUUCUUUUGCUUUGACAUUUUCUUUUCUGCCAAAACUGAGUAUAAAAAGCUUAAUUGAUAUAGAGAUGGUUUUGUUUUGUGAUGUGUGAUUCUAAAUAAAGGGAUAAAUCCAAGAAAAAUCUACUCAAUUAUUAUAGCAAUUUCUUAGUUAUAACUGGGUUGAUCUUUCAAAGUAUGAUGUGGUAAGAAGAAAAAGAUUAGAAGUAUAACAUUGGAAUUGGGUAAAAUUUUUUUAUCAUAUGAUGCAUCAAUAAUAAGGAAAAAAUAAAAUAAAAGUAUAAUGUUGUAAUAGAAAGAAAUGGAAAGUCGUAGGUGUUCAAAACAUUCUGAUCAUGUAGGUGUUCAAAACAAUAGAAAAUUUUUAAACAUAUUUCUUUAUUUUAUUGCAUGUUAAGUUACCGAUUUGCCAUGUGUAGGUUCUGACAGCUCUAGCAACCUCCUUCCAUGCCCUGAAGCCUCUCAAAGUUCCUGCAUCAGGUUAUACUUUUAGAAAGGAAAUUUUCAAAGGAGAUUAUCAAAGGAGAAUUUAGUCAUGAGUUUCUUUUAAUGUUGUACAUGUUUUGUUUUUUAUAAUAAAUAUUAUGCAAUAUUAGCAAUGUGUUACAUUUACUUACUAUUGGAAUGAUUAUUUGUAUUUGACAUAUUACAGCAAUGAAUUAUCUUUAUUGUUUAUGGUAUUUUAUUUUGUAUUAUGAGACUUUUAAUGUGUUAUUUAAUUUGAAAAUUAGUAAAUUUAUCAAAAAUGUAUAAUUUUAAAAAGCUUUAAAAUUAUGACAUGCAAAAAUGUGUGUCUUCUUCCUUUAUGACAUGGGCUUCCUUGAUACACAUUGCGUGUCAUAAACAUGUGUGUCGUAAGGUUACGACAUGCAAAUGCGUGCCAUCUUCCUUUAUGACAGGGCCGUCAUUGAUAUGCAUUGCGUGUCGUAAAUGUGUGUCAUAAAUGCGCGUUGUAAAUGCGCGUCUGUAGACGACACACAAAAGCGUGUCGUCUCUCGUUAUGACAGGGCUGUCGUCUGAGCGUUUUACGACGCGCAUUGCGCGUCGUAAAAGGCUGUUUUUCUAGUAGUGUGUGAUGGUAUGUUGGGGGAACUCACUAAACUUUGGCUUAUAGUUUCAGUUCAUGGUUUCAAGUACUCGAGACGAUCAUGGGAAAGUGAAGGCUUGAUCAAGCACAUCUUCCUAUUUUCAUGAUAUUCAUUUUCGGGGCAAUCUGAUAUGAUCAUACUUUUGAAAAAUGGUUUUUCUAGUAAACAAAUAUGGAAAAUGGUUGUUUUUGAAAAUUUUUAAAUUACUAUGAUUUUUGGUUUGUUACAUUGGCAUUUUUUUUGUAAUAUCUCGAUUUACAUGUAUUUUACUUUUUCACCCUUGGUAUGAGUAUUGUUUGCAAAUUUGGUCCCACAUGGCAUUUUAAUGAAAUUUGGGAGCUUGUUGCGUACGCUGGGCGCACCCAAGCAUACGUCGGGUGUACGUGGCCUGAACCAAAACCCUAAUAUUUAUGGUUUGUGCACUAUUUAUACAUCCUUAACUCUCCAGGCUCCCUUCAUUCAUCAGUCUCUAUCCUUAUAUUCAACCCUUGCAAACCCUAAUCCAAUUUUAGAGCAUUUUUGAACCUUUAGUGUGUAUUUUGGUGAUUUUGAAUGAUGAAAAAGGAAAAGACCAUCUUAUAAGAGUGAAUCACUUUGGAUCAAGAAACACAUCAUCAUUUGGCACUACUUGUAGGUAAAAAGGUCUUAUCUUGAUGAAGUUUUUCUUUGAUCUUGAUUAGCUAUGGAUAGUGUUCAUUUUGGUCCCUUAAGCUUGAUGUAUGUAAGUAUGGGUUACUCUAAUUCAUUUAAGUUAUCCUUUCAGACAUUUUGGAGUGCUUAGAGCCAUAAAUAUGAAAUCUUGGUCCUUAGUUUUUCCCAAUGCAUGGACUAGGAUGUCUUAAUGAGUUAAAAAGUUAGGAUUUUUGGUUUUAAGCUCCUAAUAUCCAUGCAAGAUCAUAAAGUUGGAAACUUUAUGAUUAAGGACAUCAUUUGAGGGCUAUAUCUGGAGUUUGGAUGAAAGGGCUUAAGGAAUUAAGCUAUUAAUCGAAGGUGAAGUUGGCUGGCAUGUACGUUGGGAGUACGUUGGUGUACAUUGUGAUUACAUGGUCGCCAACCCAAUUUUGGUCAAGCCUUGAGUAUGCUGAGCGUACAAGCUGAUUAUGUUAGGCGUACUCAGCUGAGUCAACUCGAAUGAUUUUUUGACUUUCGAAAUUAACUAGAUUUUGACCAAGUUUGACCUAGGGGUAUUUUUGGUAUUUUGAAUUGUACUUAAGUUUGGUCAUUUUUCAUGAAUAGGUAACUGGUUGAGCUGAUAGUUAGAGGAGUGUCUUGUUCAGCUCUCUUUUGAGACUGAGAGGUGAGUUUUCCUCACUGUACUUGUGGUUCGAAGGCACCAAUGUUGACCCACUAGGUUAUUUGUAUCUUGGUAUAUAGGAUAUUGAUAUGUUGUAGUGUUAGAUCUAUAUCUUGGUAUAUAGGAUGUUUCUAUGUUGUAGUGAUUUUGUUAGAUCUUUAUUCUGGUAUAUAGGAUGUUGUUAUGCGCUAGUGAUCUUUAGAUCUACAUGUUUUGUCUGCUGACUAGUUAUAUGUUUAUCUAGUGUUUAUGUCGACACAAUAUGUUUUGGGUUGACGCUUUACUGUUAUGUGUGUGAGCUAACAGACCGGGGGUAAUCCGGACUAAUGGCUAUGGAACCGAGGGUAUUCCAGUUUGAUGAUUGAAUGGAUCCGUUACAUGUUGGAAAUUCUAGUCCGAUGACUGAUUGGGUAGGGGGUAAUCCAGCCCGAUGGCUGUUUGAUGACUGAGUGGACCCAUCAUACAUGAUUUUAUAUGUUAUAUAUUAUAUGGUGGUACUUUGGGGUAACUCAGUAAGCUUUGACUUAUACUUUUAGUUUAUUUUUUCAGGUACUUCAAAUUAUCGUGUCAAGGCGAAGGCAUGAUCAUACACAUCAUUCGAUGACAUGUUUUUGGGAUUUAUGUUAAAUUGAUCUUAGGGAUAUUUGUAUUUCAUAUUGGGUUUUGUUAUUGGUUUUGUUUAAAAAUAAUGGUUUCUUUUGAUUUGAAAAUGAAAAACUUUAUCGUGAUUUUGGGAUGUUUCAUUUUUCGCCAAAUUAACAAUUUAAUUUAUUGUUAUUUGGCAAAUGUUAUGUUUAAUUAUUUUAUAUAAACAUCUUUAAAAAUCAUAUCAUUGUAUUGAUCUUUAUAUUUGAUUUGCAUAUGAUCAAACUAAAUAAAAUUUUGAUUUAGAAUUAUUUUUAAUUAUCGCAUAGUUAAUUUCAGUUUAUUGUUGCAGAAGUUAAAAAACAAACAUACUUCUUAGUACAAGCUACAACCGUUUAGUCCACUUUUUCUUCUGCAGAGGUUUGCAGAUGUGGUCUGCAGACUUUAGACGUUUUCGCUUUAAAAAAAAACAAAUAGCACCUAAAUAGAACAACAUUACAAGAAAAAUAAGAUUUUUUUCAAUUUUCUCACAUAUCAAAAUAGGAGAUUAGUUGAUACAAUACAAGCCAACCAUUUUAAAUACAGGGUGAAAUAAUUGAAUUUAAGCAUUUCCUCCCUUAAAUUCGUAAAAACAGAUUGCGUGUUUGACAUUUGUAUCUACCAUUUGGAGCUACAAAAGUGUUACAGAAUAAAGACGAUCAAAAUCAGCAUGUAGGCAUCAUUUUAAAAAAAUAGUAUUAGAGUAAAAAAAGGAUUUGCGUAUUUUGUAGCAUGUUUAGAUUUUUAUAAAAAAUAAAAAAUAAAAAAAAAAUACAGAAGUUCAUGAAAUCUAAAUAAUUAGAUCAGAAAGGAAAAAGAAUGGGAAAACUUACCAAGUGAACAUUGAUGACUCGAGAAUCGAGAACGGGAGAGAUGAAUCAGCAAUGUAUUGAAAGCUUCACAUUAUCCCCGUACUCAGAAUGGUGACGAGGGAUGGUGGUGGGGAAAGCCACCGUCUGCAGGAAUUUUGGGGGAAACCUUUUUAAGAGAAAAUAACAAAUUUGGUCCCUUUGGUAUACUCAAAAUGACAGUUUUGUCAUGUUUAUUUUUUGUUACAAAAUUACCACUAUUGUCUAACGGUUUCAUUUUGUUGUAGAUAUGGCCCAUUUCGUAAAAUAAAGGUCGUUGGAAUGGGCCUCGCUUAUUGUUGCACUAACAAUGUUGGGUCGAAAUAGCCUAUUUGUAUAUAUGGUUUUUGUCUUUUUGUGUUUUCCAAUAUCUUGGUAUUUACAAAUUCUACAAUAAAAUAUAAUGAAAAAUAAAACCCUAACUCUUACAAGCACAACUCAAAUAGGUCAAACAAAAAUAUAUUACAUUGAUCACAUUCGACCACACUUUCAAACACAGUAUAAACUAACAACACAUGAACAAUUACAACCUUAUAUCACAAGUGUUAAUGGUCUAUUAUUAAAUCAUGUAUGUGAUUCAAUAACGUAUAAAUAAGUUUUCAAAAACUAAUUAUAUAGAACUAUUAUACAUUAUAUAUCGAAAAUUUUAAUUUAAAUUACUUUGAUCAUUGCAAAGAACAUCAAGAACCAUGAGCAUGAACAAUUGCUAAAUUAUAGCAAUUAAUGUUGUAAAACUCGUCGAGUUGGACGAUUACUCGGCCCCUACUGACACGAGUUACACAAUCCGAGUACUCCCUGAUUGGUCCCUUACUAAAGCAGUGUUGUAAAUUUUGGCCAACUCGAUGAUUACUAUGUAUACUAUAUUGUUAAUGAUUUAUUAUUUAACACACACACAUGUGAUUAUUACUCAUAUAUAUAUAUAUAUAUAUAUANNNNNNNNUAUAUAUAUAUAGGCUUAGGUUAUUCUAUUCAAAGUAAUUAUUGUGUUAUUGUAUACAUAAAUGUGGACCAAUUAUUUUACUUAUUUUAAGAAAGUGAUUAAUACAUAUUAUUAAAUUAAAGAUAAUUGAAAACCAUCUAAUUUCAUUCUAAGGGUAUUUUAGACAAUUGAGAUAAUUUUAAAAAAGGAAAAUUCCAUAUUUUUUGGGAUAAUUAACUCUCUUGAUUUUAAAAUUAUAAUUUGUUAAAUUACUUUAAUUUUAAUUAUAACGUAAUUUUUAUAAUUAAACCUGAUUUUAUUCUGUCAGAAUGACAUUCUUUUUAUAAUGAUAUUCUAUGAAAAUUCAAGCCAUAAACUAAUAAAGAGACUUAUUUCUUGCAGAAUAAACAAAAUUUUAGAUACAAGUUAAAUUUUUUGUAUCACAUCCUUGAAAAAAAUAAAAAAAACUUUAUAUUUUAUUCUAUAAUAAUGAAACACUCCCUAAUAACAAACAAAUAUAAUAUGUAGAUUAUUCUAUUGGAAUAUACUAUUACAUAUACUGUUAUCAUUAUAUUAAAGAUUAAUCUAACAUAAUAUGACAAUGAGUAGUGCAUUUUUCUGGAAGAUCGGUGACCAUUGAGGAUUGUUCAUGUCUAUCACAAACGCAUUCAUCCAACCUUCGGUUCAUUCAUCAUCAUGUACUUCAUUCAUUCUAUGAGAAUAAAUGUCAUGAAAAUGAAUUAUGUAAGAAUAAAACUAUGUGAGAAUGCUUUUAUACAACAAAAAUAAAUCAAAUUUUAGUAAUUCUAAGAGAACUCAUAUAAAACACAUACUGGGCCUUGCCCCCUCCAUCGAACCGAAGUCCGAAGCUGUCUAACUGGGACCUUGUCCCUUACAUCGGACCGAAGUCCGAAGCUGACUGACUGGGACCUUGUCCCCUACAUCAGACUGAAGUCCAAAGCUGACUAACUGGGACCUUGUCCCCUACAUCAGACUGAAGUCCGAAGCUGACCAACUGGGAUCGUGUCCCCUACAUCGGACUGAAGUCCGAAGCUGGCUGCCUGGGACCUUGUCCCCUACAUCGGACCGAAGUCCGAAGCUGACUGACUGAACAAAGCAUAGCGUAACAUAUCAACUAGCAUAAACACAUAAAUCCUGCCUGAGCCACAAAGGCGUCAAACAUACUAACUACUGCAUUGGACCGAAGUCCUGAAACUACAUCUAACUGAACGGGCCGACAUUUAGGCCUUAGACCCGUUCCUACUGGAAGGAAACUCACCUCGUGAACUGGCUGCUGUGUGUAUGGCUCUGGAAACUAACUGCUGCUGCUCCGGUAUCUCCCCGGCUACAAUUCCAUAACACACUCAAUCGGAUGCUAAUCAUUGCAUUGGGUAAAAUGACUCUUUUACCCUUGGUCAAAGUCAACUCUCCCGGUCAAAGUCAAUCUACAGUUGACCUGACUCGCCGAAUUGGGCCGCCAACUCGCCGAGUCCCUAGUCUUACUUCUCAACCCUACUCGUGGCUANNNNNNNNNNNNNNNNNNNNNNNNNNNNNNNNNNNNNNNNNNNNNNNNNNNNNNNNNNNNNNNNNNNNNNNNNNNNNNNNNNCUUGGACUCGCCGAGUUGUAUGAACAACUCGUCGAGUCCCACCAUUACUGAGUCUACCCUUCGACUCACUGAGUCUACCCUACUGCUCACUGGCCUCCACUCGGAAUCACUCAAAGGGUAAUGAUAGGGGACUCGCGACCGGACUCGCCGAGUCUGAAGAACGACUCGCCGAGUCACAUGCAUGCAGAUCCUAAAAACUUGAUUCUGAUCAAAACCACCGCAUACAAUUUAUAGAUCUGAGUUUCUAAGGCUGAUUUACCACGUAAAGUUUCCAACUUUACGUGUACACAUGCAUGAAAAAGGAGAUAAAGGCUAAAAAGGCACUUGGAAGAGUAGAUCUAGGGUUAUCAUGCAAAAUGGCUCUAUAAAGGUGAUAGAUCUACGAUUUUGGAACUGAAACAUGCCUAGAUCCGAAGGCUAAUCAAUCUAAUGUGAUCUCUCUACUAAGAACAAACUAAGAAAUGGCUAAAAGAGGCUAAAUAUGCUUGUUAAAGAGAAAUCAAUCAUAGAAACAGAAGGAAUUCGGUUAAUACCUCAAUAAACUCUGAAAUGGGUGCAAGACCUUGGAUCUUCUUCUUCUCCUUUGGAUCUAGCCUCCUUCUUCUCUUCAAAACUUCAAGAUUCACACAAGAAAUGCUCAAUUACUCAAGGNNNNNNNNNNNNNNNNNNNNNNNNNNNNNNNNNNNNNNNNNNNNNNNNNNNNNNNNNNNNNNNNNNNNNNNNNNNNNNNNNNNNNNNNNNNNNNNNNNNNNNNNNNNNNNNNNNNNNNNNNNNNNNNNNNNNNNNNNNNNNNNNNNNNNNNNNNNNNNNNNNNNNNNNNNNNNNNNNNNNNNNNNNNNNNNNNNNNNNNNNNNNNNNNNNNNNNNNNNNNNNNNNNNNNNNNNNNNNNNNNNNNNNNNNNNNNNNNNNNNNNNNNNNNNNNNNNNNNNNNNNNNNNNNNNNNNNNNNNNNNNNNNNNNNNNNNNNNNNNNNNNNNNNNNNNNNNNNNNNNNNNNNNNNNNNNNNNNNNNNNNNNNNNNNNNNNNNNNNNNNNNNNNNNNNNNNNNNNNNNNNNNNNNNNNNNNNNNNNNNNNNNNNNNNNNNNNNNNNNNNNNNNNNNNNNNNNNNNNNNNNNNNNNNNNNNNNNNNNNNNNNNNNNNNNNNNNNNNNNNNNNNNNNNNNNNNNNNNNNNNNNNNNNNNNNNNNNNNNNNNNNNNNNNNNNNNNNNNNNNNNNNNNNNNNNNNNNNNNNNNNNNNNNNNNNNNNNNNNNNNNNNNNNNNNNNNNNNNNNNNNNNNNNNNNNNNNNNNNNNNNNNNNNNNNNNNNNNNNNNNNNNNNNNNNNNNNNNNNNNNNNNNNNNNNNNNNNNNNNNNNNNNNNNNNNNNNNNNNNNNNNNNNNNNNNNNNNNNNNNNNNNNNNNNNNNNNNNNNNNNNNNNNNNNNNNNNNNNNNNNNNNNNNNNNNNNNNNNNNNNNNNNNNNNNNNNNNNNNNNNNNNNNNNNNNNNNNNNNNNNNNNNNNNNNNNNNNNNNNNNNNNNNNNNNNNNNNNNNNNNNNNNNNNNNNNNNNNNNNNNNNNNNNNNNNNNNNNNNNNNNNNNNNNNNNNNNNNNNNNNNNNNNNNNNNNNNNNNNNNNNNNNNNNNNNNNNNNNNNNNNNNNNNNNNNNNNNNNNNNNNNNNNNNNNNNNNNNNNNNNNNNNNNNNNNNNNNNNNNNNNNNNNNNNNNNNNNNNNNNNNNNNNNNNNNNAUUGCCGCAUUUCAUGAUUAUGAGAUUUGGCAAAUGGAUGUCAAGACCGCUUUCCUUAACGGAAAGUUGGCUGAGGAUGUUUACAUGGCUCAGCCAGAGGGGUUUGUGGAUCCGAAGCAUCCGAAUAGAGUGUGUAAGCUUGAGAAGUCCAUUUAUGGGCUUAAGCAAGUGUCACGUAGAUGGAAUCUCUGCUUCGAUGAGAAAGUCAAAGAGUUUGGAUUUGUACGAAGCAAAGAUGAAUCGUGUGUAUAUGUCAAAGCCAGUGGGAGUAUAGUAAGCUUUCUCGUUUUAUAUGUCGAUGACAUAUUACUCAUAGGAAAUGACAUCCCGACUCUGCAGGAGGUUAAGUCCUGGCUCGGGAAGUGCUUCGCUAUGAAGGACCUCGGAGAAGCUUCUUACAUUUUGGGAAUAAGGAUAGUAAGAGAAAGAAGUAAGAGACUAAUUGGACUUAGUCAGAACACUUACUUAGAGAAGGUACUAAAACGUUUUAGUAUGGAAAACUCAAAGAAGGGAGAAUUACCGAUACAAAGUAAUGCCAAGUUGAGUAAGACUCAAAGUCCGAGUACCGAAGCUGAGAUAGCUGAAAUGAGCCAAGUUCCAUACGCUUCCGACGUUGGCUCAAUCAUGUACACUAUGACUUGUACUCGCCCUGAUGUAGCCUUUGCUUUGAGCAUGGUUAGUAGAUAUCAAGGGAAUCCUGGCAGAGCACAUUGGAUUGCGGUGAAGAAUAUCCUUAAGUACCUUCAGAGGAUAAAGGAAUGGUUUUUAGUCCUCGGAGGGAGUGAUGACUUGAAGGUGCGAGGGUACAAUGACGACAGCUUUCAAACCGAUAGGGACAACUACCGUUCGCAGUCAGGCUAGAUCUUUACCCUAAAUAGAGGAGCAGUUACUUGGAAGAGUUCCAAACAAGAAACCAUAGUUGAUUCAACCUGCGAAUCAGAGUACAUUGCCGCGAGCGAAGCAUCAAAGGAGGCAAUAUGGCUGAGGAACUUCAUCAGUGAUCUUGGAGUUGUACCCGCCAUAAAGGAGCCCAUGGAGAUUUUCGGUGAUAAUGAAGGAGCGGUUGCCUUGACCAAGGAACCAAGGGAUCAUGGUAGAUCUUGACAUAUCAACAGAAAAUACCACUUCAUCAGACAUCGUGUAGAAGAAGGACAACUCGUAGUGAAGAGGAUAUCAUCAGAAGAUAACCCAGCAGAUCCGCUUACGAAGGGACUGAGUAGGGUUAAGCACUUGCAGCAUGCUAGGAGUAUUGGGCUGAAGGAUGAUAUUAGCAUAGAUUAGAUAGUAUUAGAAACGUGUAAUAGAUAAAUGUAAUUAACAUUUGAUGAUUAAAUAAAGGGUUUUUAUUUAUGAGUAAUGUUACUAUCUUAUGUUAAUUGUUUAACUAUUGUUUCACUUUGCAUGUUUUGACUUCCAGAAUAAUAGAAUUUAUUAGGAAUAAUCGAAUUAUUCAAAUUGUCCACAAAUCGUUCAUAUGUUGGAAGUAGAUAUGAAUGAAGAUUGUCGUGAAUUGGUGCGUAGAUUAUCUAAAUGGUAUUAGACAUAGCAAAGGAUUUCUACGACGUUCAUGAGUGCUUAUGAACUGGUUUUGAGCAUUGGAACAAACCCGCGCUUGCUGGAAUCACCGUAUGGAAUAUGAUAUAUAAAAGGUGAUCGCGAGACGAUAAUAUCAUAUAGUCUUAAAACCUAGAUAUAUGGUUUAUUAUUUGCUAUUUGAUUAUACAUUGAUAAUGUGAAAACGCAUUGGUAACUCAAUGUUAUAAAACGCAUUGUUGUGUAUAGUUGAUUAUUGAAUAAGUAAAUGCAUAUAAGUCGAAGUUUAUCUGUAAAUUUUAUCCUAAGAGGGUAGAAGAGAUAUCUCGGCCGCUCGAUGAUUUGAUUUGACUUAUGUGCCGGGCCCGGUCAGAACUAAAUUGAUGUGUUCGAUUAAGUUCUAUGUCAAAUAAAUCGGAGAUCGAUAAACCUAAAUGCUUGACUAAUCAUUCCAUAGAAUUGUCAGCAUGAUAUCUAACAGAGGACUGUAAGAUCCCUUAUCUAAAGGACAAGAUUGAUUAGAUCAGAGUUCGACAACGUCUUUGAGAGCUACAAUUACAAAUCGAAUUGUACUUGUGCAUAUAGUUACUAGACUUAUCCAAGUGGGAGAUUGUUGGAAUAGUGUCUAAGGCUGCAACUAUAUUAGGCAAGUAUUUGACCCGAUUGUGCAUGGUCCUUUUGGGUUGCCUUCACCAUAGCAACUUGAUAGGAUGAUUUAUUAUGAGAGAAUAGAUAUUAUUAAUAUAUUAUGAGAAUAAUAUAAGGAUUAAUAAUAUAGUUAUUUAACUAAUAUAAGUCAUAGAUUAAUUAGUAUUAAUUUGGUGACUUAAAGAGAUUAAUUAAAUAAGAGGGUAUAAACUGUCAAUUGUUUGAUAGUUACACUUUAGGCUGUAAAUCCUUAAAGAUAAGAGGGUGGAAGAAUUAUAGGGACAUUGGAUAGCUCAAAAUCGUCCAAGGCUUAUCUAAGGUUAGGAUUAGGAUUGCUUAGAGAUUAAGUUAUCCAAUUAGGGUUUAAGGGUGAAACCCUAGGAGCCUUACAAGUAUAAAUAGACCCCUUGGGCAUAAGAAAUCUGCACCUCCUUCAAAGUAAAGAAGCCCGGGCCGAUUUCUUCCUCCAACCUCUCUCUCAAAUCAACCUCUUGCUAGUUGGUGUUUGUAAGCCAUUAGAGGAGUGACAAUUGUGACUCUAGAGCUCCAAGACAAUAAUAUCAAACAAGAGAAUCAAAGGUAUGUUUCUAGAUCUGAUUUGUAUUGUUCUUAUUCUUAAUUAGUCAUUAGAGGUCUUGGGUAGAAAGCAUGUUUAAUUAGAGAAGCCAUAGAUCCAAGCAUUAGGGUUUGCAUGUGCACAUAGGAAUGUUCAUAUGGCCAAAACCCAUCAAAAAAUUCUCUUGACAACAAUAAGAUGUGAAAGUUUAGGAUUAGCCUAAUAAUUUGCGCAUCGACACACUGCAAACAUAAUGUCUGGACGGCUUGCAGUAAGAUACAUCAACGAACCGAUCAUCGAUCUGUUGUGAGUUUGAUCUACGGAUUCACCUUCAAUAUCUGGAGUGGGCAGAGGUCUUUCGGCCAUUGGCGUCAAAGCAGGUUUAGCGUCAUGAAACCCGAACUUCUCAAGAAUAUCCUCCACAUAUUUAGCAUGAUGUAGCAGAAUUCUGGUUGAACUUUGUUUGACAUGAAACCCCAAAAACAUGGUCAUUUCUCCCAACGAACUCAUCUCAAACCUCUUCUUCAUCACACCUUCAAACUCUUUGCAAAGUUACGGACUGGUCGACCCGAAGAUAAUGUCAUCAACGUAGAUUUGGACAAGAAUCUGAUUAUUAUCCACAUAUUUGAUGAAUAAAGUUUGAUCGAUAGUGCCACGAGAGUAUCCAUGCUCGAGCAAAUACUUUGUGAGAGUCGCAUACCACGCUCGUGGAGCUUGAUGUAACACAUACAACGCCUUGUCUAACUUGUUGACAUGAUUAGGAAACUUCAAGUUAACAAAACCCAGGGGUUGAUCAACAUAGAUCUCUUCCUGCCAUACAAGAAAGCAGUCUUGACAUCCAUUUGGUACACUGUAAAUUUCAUAUAAGAGGCAUAUGCAAGGAAGAUACAAUUAACCUCCAAGCGAGCCACCAGAGCAUAAACCUCAGUAUAAUCAAGACCCUCAACUUGUCGAAACCCACAGACCACCAAUCUUGCUUUAUUGCGUUCUAUAACACCCGAAUCAUCCUGCUUGUUUUGAUAGACCUAAUGUGUGUCAAGAGACUUUUUACCCUUUGGUAACUCAACCAAUUUCCAAACCCCGAGCUUUUCAAAUUGAUUCAGCUCUUUAUGCAUAACAUCUACCCAACUGGGCUCAUUCAAAUCGAUUUCUACAUUCUUGGGCUCUAUUUGAGAAAUAAAGCAAGAAUAGAGACAUGUGUUGACAUCUCCAAUCUGACUUCUGGUUCUAACUCUGUCGCCCAGCUGACCAACGAUGUUUUCGAUCAGAGUAUUGCGUUGAAGUCUUGAAGGUAUCUCCUAGCUGAUAUCAUUGAGUGAGACAGGAAGAUUAUGAAUGUUGACACCUCCAUCAUUUGCUGAUUGUUCUGCAUUAGAUGAUUCAGCUACAAACUCAUUAGUGAUGUCUUCAGGAAAGAGUUGUUCCAUGAACGUUGAAGUAACAGCGAAAGCAUCUCUAGUCAUGAACUCUCUUUCAAUAGGGGUAAGAUGAUGGGUUCUGGUCAUAAGAACAUCCUAUGUGCUCAUACAAACCCUAAGGCUUGGAUCUAGGUUUCUCUUUUGUACAUGCAAGUUAUCCAAGACUAUAAACCCUAAUUCUAGCAUACAAGUAAUCAUAUUAACAUAAGCAUGGGUUUAAGAUAUUACCUUGAUUGUUAUAUCGCAAUAACAAUCCCAAUUCAUUCUUUUAUUGACUUUAGAAAGCCUAGAGUCACAAAUGUCACUCCUCUAAUGGUUCACAAACACCAAGAGCAAGAGCAUGAAGACGAGAGAGGAAGGAGGCUGCCCUAAAACGUGUGAAACACUAGAAGGAUGCUUAGCCAUGUUUUUGGGUCAUAAGGGAUCUAUAUAUAGUGAGGCUAUUAGGGUUGUCUAACAAGGAAACCCUAAUUUGGAUGCUUAAGCCCUAAGGAACCCAUGGACACCUUUCCUUAAAGGCAUUGGACGAUUUAUUAUGGGUUUCCCCAUAGAAUUCGUCCACUCCUUAAUAUAAGGCAAUCCAUAGCCCAAAUUGCAAUUAUCUUAUAAUUACAAUUUCAGUCCCUUAAGUUUAAUUAAUCUCUUUCAGUCACAAAACUAAUUACCAAUUAAUUCUUGACUAAUAUUAAUUAAACAAUAUGAUUUCUCCUUUAAUAUAUUAUUCUCAUAAUAUAUUAAUAAAUCAUAUUUAAUCCUUUCUCUCCAUAAUUCAUCCUAUCAAGUUGCUUUGGUGAAGGCAACCCAAAAGGACCAUGCACCAUUGGGUCAAGUACAUACGAAAAUAGUUAUCGACUUACACACCAAUCCAACAUUCUCUGAUAUGUGCAUAAUUAGUUAAUUAUUUAACAUAUAUUCUUAGUUAUUUUUGAUUAAUUAUGAGAAUAAUGUGGACAAAAGGUACUUAAAAUGUUGAGAAUUGUGUUUUCAGUCCAAAAGAUAUGCUUGGAGGCAAAAAGGAGAAAAGGAAAGCAAGUGAAGAUUAAAGAGUGAAAGAAGGAGUUCUACUCGGCGAGUAGAUCGACCCUACUCGGCGAGUGCACGACGAUAUGCCAGAAGAUAAAUACGACUGCUAAUUCAAGACGGAUAAGUAUGGACCUACUCGGCGAGUUGAUUCUGCUACUCGCCGAGUACCCUCUGUUUUGGGAUAUCUAUAAAAGACGAAUCCUUAUUCCANNNNNNNNNNNNNNNNNNNNNNNNNNNNNNNNNNNNNNNNNNNNNNNNNNNNNNNNNNNNNNNNNNNNNNNNNNNNNNNNNNNNNNNNNNNNNNNNNNNNNNNNNNNNNNNNNNNNNNNNNNNNNNNNNNNNNNNNNNNNNNNNNNNNNNNNNNNNNNNNNNNNNNNNNNNNNNNNNNNNNNNNNNNNNNNNNNNNNNNNNNNNNNNNNNNNNNNNNNNNNNNNNNNNNNNNNNNNNNNNNNNNNNNNNNNNNNNNNNNNNNNNNNNNNNNNNNNNNNNNNNNNNNNNNNNNNNNNNNNNNNNNNNNNNNNNNNNNNNNNNNNNNNNNNNNNNNNNNNNNNNNNNNNNNNNNNNNNNNNNNNNNNNNNNNNNNNNNNNNNNNNNNNNNNNNNNNNNNNNNNNNNNNNNNNNNNNNNNNNNNNNNNNNNNNNNNNNNNNNNNNNNNNNNNNNNNNNNNNNNNNNNNNNNNNNNNNNNNNNNNNNNNNNNNNNNNNNNNNNNNNNNNNNNNNNNNNNNNNNNNNNNNNNNNNNNNNNNNNNNNNNNNNNNNNNNNNNNNNNNNNNNNNNNNNNNNNNNNNNNNNNNNNNNNNNNNNNNNNNNNNNNNNNNNNNNNNNNNNNNNNNNNNNNNNNNNNNNNNNNNNNNNNNNNNNNNNNNNNNNNNNNNNNNNNNNNNNNNNNNNNNNNNNNNNNNNNNNNNUUUCCUGUUUUAAUUAUGGGGUGUUGUUUGUUGCUGUGUUCUUGGUAUGUUUAUGCAGAUAGCAUGGCAAGGAGAGGACAGUCAUCACGUGGAGGAGGCCAUGGUGAUAUGCCAUGGUUAGCCUUUCAACAAAUCACCUCCAAAUCCUCCAAAACUCGAGCCCUAAACAGGUUGGAGGCGCUGCGACAGAAAGAAAUCCACUUGCCCAAUGCAGUGGAUUGGGGAUGGAUGGGCAAUGUCGGCUUGGAAGAGGAACUUACUCCAUAUUUGGUGAAAGAUUGUAACUUGGGUUAUGCCAACAUCACUUGUGAUGGUUGGUUGCAAUUGUUUAAAAUACAAGAGCCAGUAUACGCGGAGUUGUGCUGGGAAUUCUUUGCUACCAUUUCAUUCCGAGGUGGUAGUGAGUAUUACAAUCCAAACACGAUCUCGUUUUCUUUGGGAGGAGAGCUGCGACAAUGCAGCAUGGUUGAGUUCUCUUGGCGGUUGGGCAUCUACGAUCAAGACAUGUCGAUGACGGAAUACUUUGAAGCCUUCUUGGAGAAUACCUACAAAGAACUUCCCGAGGGGGUGUGGCGUCGACAUGGUGGAGUACAAUUGCUAACCGGGUCUACAUACCUUCCACUGCUCAAGAAGGUCAUAUCCGUUCUCCAAUCCAUCGACUCAUUCACCGGUUCGUUGCAAGCACGAUCAACAUGCGGAAGGAUGGGGACAAAGUUCCCACCCUUGAUAUCUUUUACUUGUGGAGUAUCAUCACUCCCGAUGUCUUCUGCAACCUCUCGUACUGCGUUGCUAAAUUUCUUGCGGAGGGAGCGGUUAAGGAGAAGAUAAACUCGAAGAUCAAUGGGGGCAUGUUCAUUACUCGGCUUGCGAGAUCAUUUGGGAUCUUGGAAUUGCCGCAAGCUCAAACGCUAACGAUUAUCCACCCUCCUCCGUUCAACACUGCACUUUAUAGGAGGGCUCGGAUAGUUGAAAAUUUUGGUGAUUCUUUUACUAUCCCGAAUGAGGAUGAGCCGGCGGUCCCCGAGGAGCCGGGAAGGCGGGUUAGGCCAAGGAGCGAGCGGGUACGAGAAGAUCCACCGGUUAUUCCGGUGGAGGAUAACGAGGGAUGGAACCAAGUGGAGUAUCGACACUACUUGGAUGAUAUAGGGCGAGGGGUUAAUUACACCAAUCAAUCCUUCGAGUAUCUUUUCCAACAAAUGCAUAUUGACCCGCGACCGGGACCCGGCUACCCUUACAUUAUGGAUUGGGACGAAAGGAUGCGAAGAAGGGGUGGAGAAGGAGGUAGUGGAGCUGGAGGAGCCGGGAUGGAAGAGGAAGAAUGAAGAUUUUAUUUUAUUUUGUUUUGUUUGGUUAUGAUGUUUGUUUUAAGACAAUUGUGGACAUGUUGAAUUUGGCUAUGUGGUUGGAAUAUUAGUGUUACUUUUAGUUUUCUUUUCAGGUAUUGAAGCUAGGAAGCAUGCUAUUUAGGAAGGGUCAAGAGAGGAAUGAGAGUCUUUAUGAGUGAUUAUGGAGUCUUGUUCCUAGGAUUGAGUCCGUACGAAUCGAGAGUUUAUUGAAGUGUUGCUGCUUAGGAAGUUCACGGGAGAGUACAUUUAUGUUUCCAUGUCAACACUAGCGUAAAGAGAGACAGCGGUUCAUAAAACUCUGGAAAUAUAAGCUCUACUCGCCGAGUGCACUAAUACUACUCGGCGAGUACAUCUGCUUUUGCACGAACUACUUUGCCAAUCGAGUUCUACUCGCCGAGUUUGAUCACCUACUCGCCGAGUAGCCUGCUGCAAGAGGAGUUUCUGAUUUGUUCUGGCUAGUUUUUCUGCGCCAUUCAUACACUCUUUAUGAAUUACUACUGAGGAUUGUGCAACAACCCUUUUUCCUUGGAGUUUUCGAGCUAUCAACCACACGAGACGUAUGACGCCCGUGCCAUGGAUGAGCUGUUCCCAUGGUUAAAGUCACUAGAAGAAGGAGUUGAAGAAGAGAGUGUCAACCUAGCGACUGCUACCCCAGGGGAGUUUGUUCCAACUUUCUCUCUAUUUGCAUUUUUAGUUGUUAUAAUAUGCAAUGAGGGCAUUGCAUAAAAUAAGUGUGGGGUAGGGGUUAGUCAGAUCUUAGAACACUUAGAAUCUUAAUUUAGGCUAAUUUUUAAAUUUGUUGAAUAUUAAAAAUGCUAGGGCUAAUUUAGAAAAUUUUGGUAAAAGUAAUUAGGAUUCCAUACUAGUAUUAUGUUGAUAAUUGCAUGAAAACCCAAAUGUUUAGUUGAGUCUUUAUACGUUCUAGUGCAUUUGUGGCUUCCUUAUUUCAGUGAAAUCAUGAGACAAAAACACGACCUUGCUCAGCCUGAGGGAUGCAAUAUGUUUAGCAGCCUAAACCUGAAAUGUAUCCAGGAAAGUUUUUAUCAUUAGCCAAUAAAGGUUGAGAUUGAGCGCCCCUGCUUAAGCAUGUAGGGAUUUGAGUGAAAAAAAAUAUUGAGAAAUACAUGAAAAAAAAGAAUUGCUAGAAAAGUUAUAGGAAUUUUGGAGCAAAUGAAGUGAAGAUCUGAAGAUCAAAAUUCCAAGAAAUCUAAAAAGUUGAAGAUACCAAAAAAAUCCAAGAAGGUGGUGAAUUCAAAGAAAUCAAAGAUCAAAUUAUCAAGAAAGAGAAGAAUUCAAAAGAAUUCCAUAGUGGUAUUGAAAAGUUAUAAUUCUAGAUUAUGUAUGCUUGGGUUGCUCAAUUAAAAAUACCUUGAGGGUAAAGAGAUUUUCUGAGGAUGGAUUCGGAGGGUUGCAUAAAAUGAGCAUAGUUCGGGGUGAGUGGGCGAAUGUUUAUGAGGAUUGUGAGUAUUUGGAGUAUGGGGGGUUCUUUAGAAAAGUUUAGACACAAAUGCAUGCGUUGCGGUCUUGGCAUAAUGGCUGGGUUGGAUUGGAGUUAUUAAUGUGAUUUUAAUGUGUUUAAAAUUUAGUUUUGCUUGGGGGCAAGCAAAAGUCAAGUGUGGGGUAUUUUGAUAUGUGCAUAAUUAGUUAAUUAUUUAACAUAUAUUCUUAGUUAUUUUUGAUUAAUUAUGAGAAUAAUGUGGACAAAAGGUACUUAAAAUGUUGUGAAUUGUGUUUUCAGUCCAAAAGAUAUGCUUGGAGGCAAAAAGGAGAAAAGGAAAGCAAGUGAAGAUUAAAGAGUGAAAGAAGGAGUUCUACUCGGCGAGUAGAUCGACCCUACUCGGCGAGUGCACGACGAUAUGCCAAAAGAUAAAUACGACUGCUAAUUCAAGACGGAUAAGUAUGGACCUACUCGGCGAGUUGAUUCUGCUACUCGCCGAGUACCCUCUGUUUUGGGAUAUCUAUAAAAGACGAAUCCUUAUCCCAUGGGAAGGCAUUCUUGGCGAUUUUUGAAGGAUUAGCUGCGACUAAAAGGUUCAGAAGGCGCUAAGGAACCCUAAGCUUCAAGAGUUGGAAGAAUUCAAGCAAUUAGGUUAAUUCUACCACUUAGACUUAGGAAUUAAACAUGUUUGCNNNNNNNNNNNNNNNNNNNNNNNNNNNNNNNNNNNNNNNNNNNNNNNNNNNNNNNNNNNNNNNNNNNNNNNNNNNNNNNNNNNNNNNNNNNNNNNNNNNNNNNNNNNNNNNNNNNNNNNNNNNNNNNNNNNNNNNNNNNNNNNNNNNNNNNNNNNNNNNNNNNNNNNNNNNNNNNNNNNNNNNNNNNNNNNNNNNNNNNNNNNNNNNNNNNNNNNNNNNNNNNNNNNNNNNNNNNNNNNNNNNNNNNNNNNNNNNNNNNNNNNNNNNNNNNNNNNNNNNNNNNNNNNNNNNNNNNNNNNNNNNNNNNNNNNNNNNNNNNNNNNNNNNNNNNNNNNNNNNNNNNNNNNNNNNNNNNNNNNNNNNNNNNNNNNNNNNNNNNNNNNNNNNNNNNNNNNNNNNNNNNNNNNNNNNNNNNNNNNNNNNNNNNNNNNNNNNNNNNNNNNNNNNNNNNNNNNNNNNNNNNNNNNNNNNNNNNNNNNNNNNNNNNNNNNNNNNNNNNNNNNNNNNNNNNNNNNNNNNNNNNNNNNNNNNNNNNNNNNNNNNNNNNNNNNNNNNNNNNNNNNNNNNNNNNNNNNNNNNNNNNNNNNNNNNNNNNNNNNNNNNNNNNNNNNNNNNNNNNNNNNNNNNNNNNNNNNNNNNNNNNNNNNNNNNNNNNNNNNNNNNNNNNNNNNNNNNNNNNNNNNNNNNNNNNNNNNNNNNNNNNNNNNNNNNNNNNNNNNNNNNNNNNNNNNNNNNNNNNNNNNNNNNNNNNNNNNNNNNNNNNNNNNNNNNNNNNNNNNNNNNNNNNNAACCAAUUAAAUUAUUCAGGAAGUCAAAACAUGCAAAGUGAAACACAAGAAUAAUACUAAUCCCAUAUGGCCUCAAACCUUUGAGUAUAAAUAAAACACCUUUUAUUUAUCACCAUAUCGAUUACUCAUUAUUUGUCGUUUCGGGUAAUCAACUUCUUACUUGAAUUAUUACACUUGUCCCAUGCUCUUUCGCAUGCACACAAUGUUUACCUAUGGUUCUUACUUUGUGAAAUAGAUCAAACUGAACACAUUUGCAAUCAUUAUCAUUUCACAACUCCAAAUCCUUUUUCAUAAGUGAAAGAAUAUCAAAUUCUUGGUACUUAUAGAAUAUGCUAGAUUCCAACAUUUUAUGCAAUGAUCCUUUCGUAAUGUCACUGCACCAAAGUCAAAAACACUAUUGCCAAUGAUAUUACAAAGUCCUCUAUCGGAGAUUGUUACAAGGCAACUCCUUAGAUAUGAUGUCUCUCAUUCAAAGUACAUUCUUUUGAACAUCCUUUUGCAUAAAUGUUUCUAAUCUAGACAUAGAUUUUCAAUAUUCAAUUACCAAUAUGGACACGUUUCAAUAUUUUCCAUAUGACAACUCAUUCUUAAUAGAAUCUUAUCUAUUCAUAAUAAUAUCGAUAUGGUCCAUCCAAUACUAUACUUCCAACUACUCACAAGCAACCAAUCCUCGUCGAACUUUGGAUUGUCCUUUGAUAGUUGUUUAAUUAUCUUAGUCAAAACCGAUUCUUGUCCUUUUUCCCUCUUAAUGCGCUAGACAUUUGGAAUGGUCAAAUAUUAAAGCAUUUGCAAUCGAUCUUAUACCCGAAGCGUAUGGGACACGAUGCAUAAUGUCUUACAUAAAGAUUUGAUACUUUAUCAAUCUUCUGCCAUAAUAUUUUAUUUGCUAUGUUCUCAAAAUUUUAAUUAUGAAGAGGAAUGCCGUAAUCAUAAAUGAAAUUUUAAGAACACACUUUGUACCUUUGACUAAAUUUAUUAACAUUUCUCAACCUAAGCCUUUAGAUUUGAAAUGAAGCAUAAUAUUCUCCCCCUUAAUUAUAGGAAAACAACUAUUCAAACCUUACAACUUUGCAAUGUAUGACUCUUGUUUUCUAUAAUUAAUAUUACCAACUUACAAUACUUUCCUUAAUAAUCAUACAAUCAUAACAUUCAAGCUCCAACUAUCAUGAUGAUUAUUAUAACACUUAUGCUCCCACUAGCUUUGACAUGUAUUCAGAAACAGCUUAACUUUCAGAAAAACAAUACUUAUUGAAUUUUCUUAAGUUCAUGUUUCUAAUACUUAGUGCUUUGAUAAUCUUUUAUCAAGGCUUCUUGAACUUAUACACCUUUUCCUUAGAUAGUUCAUAUGUGUGUCUAAACAAUUAAGACUAAUUGCCAAACCUCACAAUUCAAAUCAUGGAAAGGGAUACCGUAACCAUAAUUGAAUUCGAGAAUGCAAUUUUACAAUCACUGUCUUCUUAAAAUCUUUCUUAGUGAAAGCAUUUCCUCACAAUCAUUUUCAUGAAGGAGGAAAUCUUAUGACACUUAGAUUUAAACGGUGUAUGUGUUCCUAUCCAUGUGAAUUUGUUAAAACCAAAGUUUAUGACAAAUUCAAACUCAUAUGGACCAAACUUUCUUAAUCUUGAUUUCUUGCCUUAUGGUAGCACAGCUGCCCACCAUGUCUUCCAAGUAGUUGAGCAGCUCACCCUUUCCUAUCAAUGUACCUUUCAUUUAUUCAGGUGCCUUGCCUUUUAAGCAUUCAAAAUGAGAACUCAUAGAACUCACAUGCAUAAUUAACUCAAUUAGAACAGCACAAAAACAAAAUACUGUCAACACAAUAGGUUGUAAAACUCAACUUGUGUGCUAGUGAUGAUCGAUAAGGUUUAUUUGAUUUGUUCUUGAAACCUUUCAAGACCAUUAAGACUCCCACUGACUCCUUGACAUAUAAGAUUCUCUUGUCAAUAACCAUUUCUUGACAAACAAAUAUUCAAGAGUUAGUGUAGCUUUUAUCAAAACACUUCAUAAAUUGGUCCUAGUUGGUCUUUGUCUUAUCCAAGACAUCACAACUUUCCACAUUUGAUGAAUGUUAUAAACCUUCUUAAUACUUAUUCACUCAAUGUCACAAUCUUAACUCUAAGACUUGUUUUGGAACGAAGUAUGAUUGACUUCUUGAUUUAACCAUUUCUUCAAUUCUUGAUUCCUCUUCUUAAACAUACAAUUGUACUAAGACUCACUUAGAGGAUCAAUUGAGAUAUGGUUCUUAAUCAUUAAGACCUAUCAUAAAGCAUAAAAGGUACUCUCCCUUCUUCUUAGAAUGGAGAAACUUUUAUCUUUCUGCCUACUUGAUUCUUCUUAUUCGUUCUGCUAUUGAUUUAAACUUUUUCAAUCAAUUCAGAAUUACACUUAAUCUUAUAAGUAUAAUCAUAUUUACUAAACCUUUAGUAAAUCAUGACGAAUAUCUUUGUUACUCUUAUGGUGGACUUGAUCAACACGCAACUUUGUGUACUCGAUCUCCUAGUCCUUCACUUGACACUUUGUCAAUGGAUUAGUCUAAUUUCCAAAUAUGAAAUUUCUCAUUCAUCGUGCAACCAAGUUGCAUGAUACCAAGUUUCUGUCCAAUUGAAACUUGGGCGAUGAGAAACUCUCCUUAUUUGGUAAAUUCUCGACAUUUCCAUAAAUAAGAAUCAUAUCCAUUCGUUGUAGAAAUAUGCAAACAUCAAUUUUCAUAACGAUUUCAUUGCAAGGAAAUAAACAAAUAAAUAAAUAAGUCAAACCAAAAUUUAUUUUAUUUAUAAAGCAACGGAAAACAUUUGUCCUUACAAUGCAAAAUCCUUUUAAAACUAUGUAGUCGAAUAUUCCUAACAAUUCUAUCAUAAAUAUCUAAGCUCAAAAUCAAAUCUUCAAGUCCAUGCGAUUGAGAUCCAUUUCUUUGUGAUUAGACUCGUCUUGCUCUUUCAUCAAGCUUCCUUUCUUUUCACCGAUCCUGCAAAAGAUUCAAAUACAAUAUUAUCACAUCUUGUAUUAAGAAUCAACGAAUAGGAACUUAAUGGAGUUAGAUAGUGUAUUUUUACCUGAAGCACAACCAUACUCUUUGACUUUCCCAUCUUUGGAAUCUUCAGGCUCUUGGGGCAGACUUCUAUCCAACGCCCUUUCUCUUGGCAGCAAACGCAGGUCGCUUCUCUUAGAACGUCCUCGAAAGCAUGGUCAGUUGACUUUCCCAACAAAUAUGCUCCAUUGCUUCGCCAAAUCAUUUCUGAUUCAGCAACAAUGAGCAUGUAAGUUAGGUCAAUGAGGUUAUCGUCAUGAUCCAUCAUAUAAUACUUUCUUUUGAACUCAUUAUAUGAUUCAGGGAGUGACUGCAGAACCCAGUUCACAGCCAACUCAUCGGGAAAUGACACACCCAACAUAAUCAACCUAUCGAUGUGUGAUUUCAUUCCUAGAAUGUGGGCACACACGGAUUUACCAUCUUCAUGUUUCAUUUUCAAUAGGGCCUUAGUGAUAUUGAACCUUUCAAUUCUUAGAUCUUGUGGGUUAGGGAGAACAAUUGGAGGAGNNNNNNNNNNNNNNNNNNNNNNNNNNNNNNNNNNNNNNNNNNNNNNNNNNNNNNNNNNNNNNNNNNNNNNNNNNNNNNNNNNNNNNNNNNNNNNNNNNNNNNNNNNNNNNNNNNNNNNNNNNNNNNNNNNNNNNNNNNNNNNNNNNNNNNNNNNNNNNNNNNNNNNNNNNNNNNNNNNNNNNNNNNNNNNNNNNNNNNNNNNNNNNNNNNNNNNNNNNNNNNNNNNNNNNNNNNNNNNNNNNNNNNNNNNNNNNNNNNNNNNNNNNNNNNNNNNNNNNNNNNNNNNNNNNNNNNNNNNNNNNNNNNNNNNNNNNNNNNNNNNNNNNNNNNNNNNNNNNNNNNNNNNNNNNNNNNNNNNNNNNNNNNNNNNNNNNNNNNNNNNNNNNNNNNNNNNNNNNNNNNNNNNNNNNNNNNNNNNNNNNNNNNNNNNNNNNNNNNNNNNNNNNNNNNNNNNNNNNNNNNNNNNNNNNNNNNNNNNNNNNNNNNNNNNNNNNNNNNNNNNNNNNNNNNNNNNNNNNNNNNNNNNNNNNNNNNNNNNNNNNNNNNNNNNNNNNNNNNNNNNNNNNNNNNNNNNNNNNNNNNNNNNNNNNNNNNNUAAGUAACUAAGAUUGGGAAUUUGUAAAACAUUUAGUUACUUUUGUACUUCAUUAUACUUAUAAUGGAAGGUUUCGUCCUAUCCUACCCGUUCGGCUAACGACCCACCACUAGUCAAGAGUGCGGUGGGUAGGAGUGGAUACCCAUUCAAUUGCCAUUUUAUAGGCAAUUUCCAUAAACACCCCUCAUAGACCAGCUUCGUGAAUGAGGCCCACUAACGGUAAGACUGACUUUUACUCAUACAUAUAUAUAAUGUUAGACUUUUAAUGUUAUAUAUAGUAUAGGGUGUAUUUUACACUUUUAAAAUAAUAGGUGGUCUAAUUUACCAAUUAUACUUUUAAUUCAAUUAAAUUGUAAACCUACACUUUUAUGGAUUUAUUAAACCUCCUUUAAUUAUACACCUUAAUUAAUUAAUAAAACCAUAAGGAUGUGAUUUGAACUUUUCAAAAUAAUACUAGGGUUUUAGAAUUUAACAUUCCUAAUUAAACUUUUAAUCAACUUUUAAAUUCCAAAACUUGAGGGCAAGUUUUGAAACAUUUCAAAACAUUAGGGUUUAGAAUUUAAAUAUACAUCAAAAUUAAACUAUUCAUCAAAAUUUAAAUUCCAAAUCUUGAGGGCAAUUUUGAAACCUUUUUCAAAACAUUAGGGUUUUAACUAUUUAAAUUUCAAGACAACAAAACUAUGAGUUCAAGUUUAAUUAAUCUCUUUUAGUCACAAAACUAAUUACCAAUUAAUUAUUGACUAAUAUUAAUUAAACAAUAUGAUUUCUCCUUUAAUAUAAUAUAUUAAUAAAUCAUAUUUAAUACUUUCUCUCCAUAAUUCAUCCUAUCAAGUUGCUUUGGUGAAGGCAACCCAAAAGGACCAUGCACCAUCGGGUCAAGUACAUACCAAAAUAGUUAUGGACUUAGACACUAAUCCAACAUAAGAGGUGUAGCAUCAGCAUCUGGAGUAACAACUUGAACUGGAGACUUUGGACUACCAAGUGGAACUGAUGACUUCCCCUCAGGUGUAGCGGAUGACUCCCCCUUAGAUGGUGAAGAGUUUAUUGUUAGAGGUCUGUAGACAACUUCUUCGUCUUCAUCUUCAGAAUCAAUCCUCGAACCAGAGGAAGAUCCAGAUAAACUAUCCAAUGAAACAUUGAUAGAUUUGAAAAGCCACGUGUAAUAAAAUAACCAAUCCGGACCCACUCGAGCAUCCCUUUCAUUCUCCUCCAACCAGCACACAUCAUAGGAUUCCACGAUCUGCUUUGUCUUCUUGUUAUAGAUCCUAUAAGCGGUGAGUGCAACAUACCCUACAAAAUUACAAUCAUCGGCUUUGGCAUUAAACUUUGGGUUGGAUUCCAGGUGAAGAAGGGUGAAAGGGCAGCCAAAUACGCGGACGUGACUGACUAAAGGCUUGUGACCAUAUAGAAUCUCGUACGGUGUCUUCAUCUGAGCUUUGUUGAUCAGCACAAGGUUUUGAACGUAGCAUGCAGUGUUGAUCACCUCAGCCCAAAAGAAAACUGGCAACUUUGAAUCACACAGCAUCAUCCUUACGGCGUCUUUUAAUGUUCUGUUUCUCCUUUCAGCAACACCAUUUUGUUGAGGUGUGUGAGCGGAGCUGUGUUGACACAUAAUCCCCUUUUCUACGCAAAAAUGAUCAAGAAUAGAAUUCUUGAACUCUAUUCCAUUGUCAGUACGAAGCGCCUUCACCUGAUUGUUGGUUUGGUUCUCAAUUAAAACAAUGAACUUCUUAAUCAGAUCAGCAACUCCAGCUUUGUUGGACAAAAAGAAAACCCACGUGAACCGAGAGAAAUCAUCAAUGACAACCAGACAGUAUGAACUUCUGUUGAUGCUGAGGACGUUCACCGGACCAAAUAAUUCCAUAUAUAAUAAUUGGAGCUCCUGGCUGAUUGAGUUAACCUAUUUUGUCAGGUGUGGUUUUCUAUGGUGCUUUCCCUUUGCACAUGACUCACACUUCUCAAACGUUAUGAAGACUUUGAUAGGUAAGCCUCGGACCAUCUCAUUCUUCACAAGACGAUUAAGAUUUUUAGUGUUUGCAUGACCGAGUUUUCGAUGCCACAACAAUGCGUUCUGUUCGGAGACCUUUGAAAAGAGGCAAGUGAUUUGUUUGGGAAUGUUGCUCUUCAUAUCGAUAAUGUAAGCAUCUCCAUCCCGCUUAGAUUUAACGAGAAUCCACUCUUCCGGGAUGACAAUGCCUGGCUUGAGAAUCAUGUAUUCCUUGUCGGUGAAAUGUGUAGAGUACCCUUUGUCACAGAUUUGAGAUACACUCAACAAACUAUGUUUCAACUCGGGAGCAAAGUUGACAUUCUAGAAACCUAGCACUCCAUUUGUAAAGAUUCCUCUCCGUGUGAUCUUGCCACCUUCUCCGCCCGAAAAAGAAAUGAAUCCCCUAUUUAAUGAUUGAAUGUGGCACAGUUGGGAGAUGUCUCCUAUCAUAUGUCGGGAGUAGCCGCUGUUGACAUACCAAGGUCUGAUGACAUUCCUCUGCAACUAUCCCUGCAACAUGGGCGGGAUCAAUUAGAUUUGGGAACCCAGGUCAUCACUUUCCUGGGUUGACCCUUUCCUUUCUGAGAUUGAUCAUGAUUUAAAACCUUUUCAGAGGAUACAAACGAUUGAUUAGAAGUUGUUUUGGGCAUCCAUUGAUAGUUGGGUUUCUUAGCAGUCACCGGUGAUUUUGAGAUUUGUUUCUUAUUAGUAUGCAUUAAGCACCUGGGUUUUCUACCAGAAGUGGUUGAAGACCCAGAACUGCUUUUUGACGAAACCAAUCUUGGCAGAGCCUUGUUCGGUUUUGGCAAACUAUUGGUGACACUGUUAUGAGAAAUCCUUUUAUUCUUUUGAAAAUAUGCCCUUAUUCUACUUCGAUCAUCCUUCCAAUCAUCAUCCUGAGCACGAGUUCUAGAGGAUUUUCUAAUUAAAGACCUUCCUCUAGAUUUGUUCUCUCCUCUUGGUGACAUAUAAUGUACAAACAUCCUAUUUUUACAAUUUCUGGCUAUAUGACAACCAACACCAUAGUUAAAACAAAUCUGAUUAUUAUUAUUCAAUUUGGUACUACUUUUCUCAGAUUUUUUUAAUGACACCCUUACUUUUCCCACACGAGCAUGAACUAGAGGCAGGUUGUGAAACAAGUGAGGGUGUAUCAGAUGAUGUGACCUAUGGUAUUGGGGUAUUUUCAUUAAAAGCAUGAAAAAUAGUAGUAUUAUCAAUAAAUUCAUCAAAUACCACAUGAGAGUUUAAUUCAACAAAAGCAGAAGUAGAUGCAGGAGUAUCAAAAAUAACAUUGUCUUUCUCAACAUCAAAAACAUUAAAAUCGUUAUUAGAAACAGAAACAUGAGGUUCAAAAUCAAUUUUGUUAUCAGAAACAGAUCCUUCAACUUCGCUCUUUGAUUUAUCUAAGGAUUGAUCUGCGGGGGAAGUAGAAACGUUAGUAUUUUCAACAUUAAUAAAUCCUCCUGAAACAAAACCAUAUAGUUUGCCAUAAACCAUAAAUGGCUCGUUGGCAAUUUCCUCUUUAGUCAAGGGUUUAUACUGAUAUGAAUGAUUAAAAGGAGGGGGUACAUUGUCGUAUCCCAAACCCUUUUGCUGGUUGCGUUUGAACGGCAGGCAAUGAUCAAUCAUAUUGGACACCACCUCGGUUGAUACAUCAAAUUUUUUAAAAUCAAAAUUGGCAGUUUCAUAUUUUUCGUUUAAUGUAUCAAGCUCAUUAAGUAACUCAGUGUUCUGUUUCUUGAUAUAGUCAUAGUUCGUACAUUUAUUACUGUAUUCCUCCUGAAGUUUUCUAAAAUCCUUUAUUUUUGUUUCUAAUUGGGCUUUUAAAGGUUUUUGUCCUUUUCUAAGUUGAUAGCCCUAAUAUCUAAGGUCCUCUACUUCUCUAUGUAAAGUCUCCAUUUCAUCACGAAGAAUUUUUACAUAAUCAACACAAGCUUGAGAAUAAGAAGGCAAACUUACCUCAUUUUUAUUCGGUCUAGAAGUAGAAGACACUAUCAAAGCAAACUGCAGCUCCAUUACCUUUUCUUCAGCUGCAACACUUUCCACGGAAGCUUCAUCCUUUAUGUGUGCCAGGUGAGCAUUUUCAGGGCUUGAAAUGUUCAAAGCCUGAAUCUAUUCCUCCCAGCUAAAGGACUGAGCAACCAUAACUGUUUCACUAUUGGCGUGAGUACCUCCCCUGUUGUUUCCUACUACAACCAUUGUCCUUUCAUUAUUCAAUCUUUUAUCUGGUUUCGGACACUCACGAGCAAAAUGACCCAGCUCGUGACAGUUGAAGCACCACAGCUUCCCUUGUUGAAUCCCACCUUCUUAUCAGCUUUCAUUCCCAAUUAUUUUUCCCUGUCUUCUUGGAAAAAUGCUUAGCCCUGAAAAGAACCAUAACAAUUUGCCAUGUGAUGUCCAUCUCUUCCACAUCUUCUGGAUGAAUCCGAUCCAGAUCGGCAAAUGACAGAUCAGGAGGAAGCUCUCAAACUACGAAAGCAUUACAGCAGUUAACUAAUCCUGUGGCAAAAGCAAGAUUUUCAUCACAUUCCUUGGUGUUUGAGGAAGAUGCCACAACUGGUGUGUUGGAUGAGGGAACAGCUUGAGGAGCAACAGGUAGCUGGCUUUGAGGGUAUGGCAUGGAUGACGCAGCAGUAACGGUUUUGAUCGGAUGUCGUUGAGCAGCAAAUGCUUGGCCUGGAGCAGAUAUGAGUCAUGAAAGAGCGUUGUUGGAAGAAAUUCUGAGAUUUGCAUUCGAAUAUGAGGUCACAUGAUUGAUUUCUCUCUGUUUAUUAUCACAUGCUUUAAUGAUAGCCAUUGUUUCAGCAAGAGUAAGACGACUCAAGUCUUUGGUCUUCUUAAUAACUGCUACUUUCAUGUCCCAUGACUUUGGAAGGGCAUUCUGUAGCUUCUUGUUUUUAUCAAACUUGGUCAAGAAGAUUCCAACGAUAGUCAUUUCAGUGGUGAGAGUGGUGAACCGCUGCAGCUGAGCCUCUAGAGUCUCUCCAGGAAUAUAAUUGAACAUGUUGAACUUCUGUCUCAACAUAUCCUGGCAGCUUUCCUUCAUAUCUUCAUUUCCUUCAUACACUUCAAUCAGGGCUUCCCACAAGGAUUUAGAUGAUUUAUAUUCUCUGAAACCUUGAGCAAUAUCAGAAGAUAAUUCCAUUGUCAGAGUGGCCAAAGCUCUUUCCUGCUCUUCAACCCUUUCAAAAUCUUCAUCUGUGUAGUGUUCAACUGGUUUUUCAAAAAUUUGUCCGGCAACGGUGGUGGUUAUUCUAACAUGGUUCUUGAUUAUUCUUCUCCAGACCUUGUAACCUAUCAUUUUAAUGUAUUGUUCAAUUCGGUAUUUCCAUUCGGGAAAACCGUCUGCGGACAGAAGUCUCGGAAUGCAUGUAGUUGUCCCCAUGACAGAAUCUAGCUCAUUAUUAUGAUGAGAUUGACUUUGAGAAUCCAUUUUAAUUUGCUUAGGAACUAGUAAAGUGUCAAGAAUGAGUUUGCUUUCAAAAGUGCCUAGAAAAAUAUGUCAAGAAUGAGUUUGCGGUCACGAAUCAGUUUGCGUUAGGAGUUUACGGACGUAAACUGAGUUUACGGUCACUUAGUUUACGGUCAAAAGGUGGUUUAAGGUCAAUGAAGGUGUUAAGUUCACGGUCCAAGAACAACAUUUACGGUUGAUGAAUUUCUUGAGAUUACAGUUGUAAACUGGUGUUUACGAAUGUAAUCACUGGGCAAUAAACUCCCAGAACUUCACGAGAAGUUUGAUUUUUAGGGAAUUCAAUCCUUUCGAGCAGUAAAACUGACAAUCCCAAUCUCGAGCUUUGUAGAACUUGCCUUUAAAUGAUCAAGAAUUCGAUUAAGUGAAGUUUAAACACGGGUUCUUGCUUUGAUACCAAUUUUAAGUUUCUGGAACGGAUCUUACCAGUAGUCAAACAAACACACAAUCGAAAUAAUAAGAAAUAGGUGUAGAAAAUAGAUUAAAAUAAGCUUGCACAUACUUCUAUUAACAAAAAACAUAUGGUACAACUUGCUCUCUAUGACUGUGAACUCUGUGGCAUCAACAACCAUAAAUGACCUACAAAACUCCUAUAUAUAGUGGAUUGGGCCGGAUACUGGGUUUACGGCCGUAAACAGUUUACGGCCGUAAACUCAUACCUUGGCUGUAAACUACAAAUAAACCUACUAAAACACCAAACAUACGCAAAAGAACUAUUACAAUGUAAAGUCUAGCCCAAACUACUAAGUGGACCCUUCAAAAUGUUUUCAACCUAUGCAACAUGACAUCAAAUUGAGUAAAACUCAAAGUCCUAGCUCUAGUGAUGAAUAGGAAAGAAUGAGUCGAUUCCCAUAUGUUCUGCUAUAGGAUCGAUCAUGUAUGCCAUGACAUGUACUCGACCUAACGUCUCAUUUUCUCUAAGCAUGGUGAGUCAUUUUCUGGACAAUCCAAGGGACAACCAUUGGACAUUAGUAAAUAAUAUUUUGAAAUACCUAAGAAGAACAAAGGAUAUGUUCUUGGUAUAUGGGGGUAAAGAUGAGUUGAGAGUUACAGGUCAUGUAGAUGUAAGUUUCCAAACUAAUAAGGACAACCAAUGUUUGCAGUCAGGACUGGUAUUCUUGCUUAAUGUGGGAGCGGUCACUUGGAAGAGUUCCAUGCAAUCGGCAGUGGCAGACUCCACAUACGAGUCAGAGUAUAUAGCGGCUAGUGAAGCUGCAAAAGAAGCUACAUGGUUGAAGAAUUUCAUUGAUGGUCUUGGUGUCGUUCCGAGCAUCAAGGAUCCUCUAGAAAUCUUCUGUGACAACGAGGGUACAUUUGCAUUGAAUAAAGAACCCAAGGACCAUGGUAACCAAGGCAUAUACUUAGGAAAUUCCACAAUAUGAGACAUCGAGUCAAGGAUGGAGAUAUUGUUAUGAAUAGGGUAUCAUCAGAGGAGAAUCCAACCAAUCCAAUCACAAAGUCAUUAUCAAGGUCAAGCAUGAUAGUCAUACUAGAUCAAUAGGCAUUACAUUUACUGAUGUUAUGGUGUAGUUGUUUGGUUGUUUAGUUUGAUAAUUUUUGAAACAUUUGGCAGUAUGCAUCUGUAACUGAAUUUAUGUUUAUUUUGUGGAGACUUAACAAAGUGCUAGUGAUGCUAUCAUUUCUAUUAAUUUGUUACUAUGUUUCACGUUUGCAUGUUUGGAACCCACUUCCUGAGUAUUAUUUUACUCAAAACUCCACAGUCUGUCAUACUCUUGGAAGUAAGUAAUGAUUCAAGAAUCUCAUGAGUACUGGUGGAUUGACCAUUCUGAUUAGGCAUAGCAUAGUGAUUGCGCCAACACUCAUGAGUACUUAACAGAGAUUUAAGUAUUGGAACAACCCGCACAUAGAGAUUACUUCAUGGAUAUAGUCACACAUAAUUCUAAGAUGAUAAUAUCUUCUGUUAUUCAAACCGAGAUACAUGUGGGGUUUUGCUCUAUGAUUCUGUUAUGUAUUAGUGUACUCUAACUUUAUAUGUAACCGGUAGCUAUAACGGGUAUAUCCAUAUGUGACAUGAUGAAAUAGACAAAAAACUAUGUAGUCAAAGUUUAUUCAUCCCUUCUGCUUUAAUACGAAAAGCGAUAUCUAUGGGACUCUCGAUGAUUUGGUGUUGACAUCAUGAAUACUUGGCCGAGUCUUGACUGAAAUUCAUGUGUUCAAUUUAGCAGUCAAAUGCAGUGAUCACAAGUCUUUAUCGGGAAACAUAAUCUUGAAUUCUGAGAUUGACCAUUAUCUAUGUCUCGAAUUCAUACGGAUAUCAUGAGGAUAAAGAAAUAGUUGAUCACUUCUUUGAGGGAUGAAACUGAUUAGAUCAGAGUUCGACAGAUGCAUUGGAUAGAAUUCUCUCUGUUGAUUAUUAGAGAAGUAUUGGAACAUAUAUAGUUGAUGACUUGUCCAAGUGGGAGACUGUUGGAAAGUGUGUCCAAGGUCAUUAACUAUUGGUGAUAUUUCAAAUAAUAGUUGGGUCCUCUUGGGUUGCCCUCAAGACUCAAAUUAAGUAGAAUAAAUAAAGGAGGAAUUAGUUUAUUAAUUAUUAUGGUUUAAUAAUUAAUGAGAAACUACUUGGAAAACAAAUUGGGAAUUAAUUAACAAUUUAAUUAAUAGAAGGGUCGAAUAUCAAUUAAUCAAUAGUUGGUUAAUUAGGAAUAUUCCAGAACCUUAGAAAAAAGGGUGGUGGACAAAAAUUCCCUUUGUAUAAGGGGAAUUUCGUUCAUAGGGAUAUCCCAUCCCACAUGAGUUUGAGGAUAAAAACCUAGAAGGCAUCCAAGGCUAAAAAUAGGGCCUUAGGGAUUCAUUCCUCGUUGAUCAUUCUUGGCUUGAUUUUCGCCACUUCUUUCUCCCUCGUUGUGGAAGAACUCUCCUUAUAGUUCAUCCCCUCCUAGUUGUUUUUCAUUCUACUCUUUUGAUUCCACUGGGUGUGAACCAAGAGAGGGAUUCUGGUUUGGGUCCUUAUCGUCCAAACAAGGUGGAACGCACAAAGAGUCAAGCGCGAAGUUCUUUGGCUGCAAAAGAGGUAUGUUAUUCUUCCUUUGUAUUUUCGGUUUCUUAGGGUAGAUGUAACAGUAUGAAACCAUAGAUCCAUAGGUUUCAUAUACACUUAGGUAUAUCAUUUUUGUUUUGAUUUUUCUGCUACCUAGUUUAGAGUGUAUUUGAUGCUUAGUAAACCUAACAAUUGUAUCACAAUCGACUCCUCUAAGAGCAUCUUAGUGCUAAUUAUAUGACCAAGAAGAGGAAUCGAACAAUUUUGGAAAUGCUUUGAUCAUAGAUGAGUCAUACUUUGUUCCAAUCAAGUUUUAGAGUCAUACUCUAGUAACUACAAAUCAUAUCUUGAAACACCAUUUAAACUAAACAGGUUGAAAACACCUCAAAAUAUGUGGAGUAAAAGAUGUUUUCUUACUCUAGCUCAUAUAGAAUUGGAGUUGUGAUGUUUUUCGAGGAACAAAAGAUAAACUGAGACCUAUUCUAUGAAGUGUUUUCUUGUCACGAAUCCAAACGAAAUUUUGAAUAUUUGUUUUAGCUCUUCAAGAAAUGUUACUUGAGAUAAAACUCAUAUGUCAAGAAGUUAGUGGGAGUUGUAUUGAUCUUGAGACUUUCAAGAGUCAACCAAGAAUAAACCUUUUAUUUAUCUCUAGCACACAACAUAAGGUUGAUAACCUAUCGUGUUUGAUUGAGACAUUAUUAGUUCUGUGCACCUUCCAGAUGAGUUGGUAAUCCUUAUGAGUUCUAUGUUUUUCAUUUAACUGCAAAAAGAAAAGAACGUUGGUUAGUGAAAGUACAUUGAUCAAUAUGGGUGAGUUGAUUAAAAACACAGAAGCACUAGUAGGCGUUUGUGCUACUAGAGGGAAAGAAAUUUCGAGUAAGUGAAGUUCAGCCCAUGAAAGGAAAGCUAAAUUUCAAUUUGCUUUUGUCCUAAACCUUGUCUUAGGAUUAUACGUUGGAAAUGAUAGAUUCACAUGCAUGGGAAAGUAUGAACCAUAAAUUUCACACUCCAAAACCGAGAACGGCGGAAACGUUGUAGGGCGGAGGACGUCAUGUAAAGUAUCACAACACAAUAUAAUAGUAAGCAAGUAAACAAAAUCGUUGCAUUAAAUAUAUAAUUUUAAUACAAAUGUGUUCUGUACAGUAAUAGAAAUCAAAAAUAUGAAUCAAAAUAAAGAUGAGUCUUGUAUGCACUCCAUCUUCUCAAAAGCUAGCAUCGGUACCUGUCUACUGAUGACCUGAGAAUACAAGUUAUUUUGAAAGAGUUUAUCAGCAUUAAAGCUGGUGAGUUCAUAAGUAUUUAGUGUCAGUGUUUGUAUCAAAAAGUUUGAAUGUUGUUUGAAGUAUAAUCUAUAAAUGUUUGCUGUAAAGGUAUGUGAAUGUUUGUAAGUGUUUGUAAAAUUUUGUAAUUCCUAGAAUAUCCUAUAUUUUCUACUAAAAGUAGCCUUCUAUCAAGGCACAACUGUUUUGUAUGUUUGUUUCUUGUAAAAGUGAAGUAAUCACCAAAUAAAUGUAAAGGGGUAAAUUAAUGUAGUAUUGUAGUUUCGUGUUAUAAGAACUACUGCUGUACUAACUACCUUAAACCGGAUUUAUAUCAAGGUAUUACGUGAUUAAUUGUACCAUACUAUCGACUGAGAAAACACGACAAUGUAAGUCGUAAAAAGGUGUGACGUUUAGCCACCUGCAGACUUGUAGGUCCGGCUGUAGCUAGUAGCAAGGCGUAGGAUAGUCAAUCCAAUAUAAAUCUAUACGCCAACUCAUGUUUUCCCUCCAGGAGAUUCUGGCUACAACUCGGGCCAUGACAAUGAAGGCAUGCACCGAUACAGUGGAUCACAUUUAUGUUAAUGUAUUCUUGUAUAUGUAAUGUAUUGUUACUCAUCCUAGUAUCGUUGUAUAUGUUCUUGUUAGGGUGUAGAUGUAUAUGUUCUCUUCCUAGUAUAGUUGAAUAAGUUCUCGUUAUCAUAUAGUUGUAUAUGUUCUCGUUAUAGUAUAGUUGUGUAUGUUAUCAUAGUAAUCAAUAAUGGCUCGUGAAUGAACUGACUCUUUGUAUGUUUCAUUGUACUAGAAGUAGUAAGUAGUAUAACCCUAAACUAUACCUAUUAUAGUUUAUUAGUAGACUUGUUAGUAUGAACAAAUGUACUGAAUUGAGAUAAAAAUCUUUAUAUCUAUACAUAUAUACAUAAUAUAUAAGCAAGGGUUCAACAACAUUCGGACGAACAACCGGGUACUUUAGGACCACAACCAAACAAGGAACAGGAAGUAAAGCGGGUUAUCUCUCCUAAGUCCUUCAAACCUUAUGUAUAUAUCUAUAUAUGUAGUAGACAUGGCUUUAAUCAAUAUAUAAGUUUAAGAUUUGUAAAAGGAAAGUUUAGUAUUCAAAAGUGUGUUUGAUAAAGAGUUUAACAUGCAAAAUAGUUUGAAAAGCAGUUUAAAGAAAUUCAUUAGUAUGCUAGCUAUUAAUCACAUAUGAUCGAUCUAAUAACUUAUCAAGAUUCAACUUGUAUCCCGCCCAUAAAAGCAUUUAAAACAUUUCAAAGGUUGAUUAAUAGGGGUAUGAACUCACCUGUAGUGAGUGAUGCAACGGUAGGACCAGUUUAGAAGGUUGAGUGUCAAUUGAGAACUGGAACACAACCGGAUCAUAUUAAUCAUAUAAUGACAUAUACUUUUGUAUAGUUAGUGUUUGAAACAACUAAUUAUUGAAUUGUGACCACCUUAGGGACUUGUAAACACUUAUUAUUAAGUGUUACAACCAUAUAAGACUUUAUAAGGGUGGUAUACGAUUACACAUGGGAGUGUAUGGUCAAAAUGCACAACACACAUGUGUGUGCGGCCAGGAGAUGUGUGCGGCCACACACUCCUUAUGGAAUGUGUCAAAACGUGAUUUUAAGCUAUAAGGGACAUCUAGGAAGGUUUCAUUCUUCAUGCCUUAUCCUUUAUUGAAUUUUUUUGCCAUUUGGGGACUUAAAAAGGGUGUGUGCGGCCACUAUGAAGGUGUGCAGCCGCACACCCUUCAUGAUGAUGAUAAAUUCUAGUUUUUCAAGGAAAUCAUCAAGUGUUCUUAACUAAGUAUAUUCACGUUAAAGAGGCUUAAGAUGGGUGUUUUAAGGUGAAAACUUAGUGUGUGUUCUUGGUGUUCAUGGACAUUUAACACCAAGAAUGUGUUUUUCAUGGAUCAUAGUAGGGAAUGAGGCUAGAUAAUCUCAAAUAUAAACUAUUAUAAGGAACGAUUUCUUACUUUUAUGAAGAUCAUGAUGGAAAUGUGGAUGGUACUUGAGAGGAUUUCGAGUUCUAGUCUUGAAGAAGUGAAAGAAGUGAUGAAAAAUGGCUAAGUGUUCAAUAUAUAGGUGGAGUAUGCGGCUGAAAUGGGUGUGUGGCCGCACACACAUGUAUGUGGCCGCACACUCCAUGUGUUGGAGUGUUUGGCCCGGUUUUGAUUGCUACACUUUGAGUUAACACAUUUCUAAACUCCCACAUUGAUUGUAUUACAUUUAGAACACUCCAAUAGACCCUAAAUGGUGCUAUAAGAUAGCAAAACGAGUCUAAACUUUGAUAGAAUUGAUAUAAAUUAAACAUGAAAAUUUUGGAUUGCCACAUCAUCCCCCCGUUAGAGGGAAUUUCAUCCCGAAAUUAGAGUUUCAACAAUUAAGUAGUUACAAGAAAUUAAUUAAAGAGAUGAUGAUAUUUCAGUUUCAUUUGAUCCUCGCGCUCCCAUGUGAAUUCCGGUCCUCGCUUGGGGUUCCAGCGAACCUUCACAAUCGGGAAGCAGCUUUGCUUUGUCUGUUUGACCUCACGGUCCACGAUCUCUAUGUGUUCUUCCAUGAAGUUGAGGCUCUCAUUCAUCCUGAUCUCAUCGAGUGGGAUUAAAAGAGUCUCGUCGGACAGACACUUUUUCAAUUUCGAGACGUGGAAAGUAGAAUGUUCGUUACUGAGUUUGUUGGGUAGGAUGAGUUUUUAAGCUAUAGGACCGAUUCUUGCAAGAAUCUCGAAAGGCGCUAUGUAUCUUGGAUUGAGCUUCCCACACUUACCGAAGCGUAUCAAGCCCUUCUAGGGCAAGACUUUCAAAAGAACUUGGUCUCCCACCUGCAAUUCUAAAGGUUUCCUUUGUUUGACAGCGUAGCUUUUCUGUCGGUCUCUAGAGGCUUUCAAUCGUUCACGAAUCUGAACGAUCUUCUCUGUCGUUUCCUGAAUGAUCUUCGGACCUAUGAGAAUGCUUUCAGGAACUCGUCCUUUAGCUAACUGUGUGUCACCCACUUCAGCCUAGCACAGAGGGGAUCUGCACUUCCGGCCAUAUAGGGCUUCAAAUGGAGCAGCCUUUUAUGCUCGUGUGAUAACUGUUGUUAUAGGAAAACUCGACAAGGGGUAAGUGAGUAUCCCAUGCCUUACCAAAAUCAAGAACACAUGCUCUCAACAUAUCUUCCAGUGUUUGUAUUGUUCUCUUACUUUGUCCAUCAGUUUGUCGAUGACAGGUUGUACUCAUGUCCAGCCUCGUUCCAAGGGAAUGUUGUAGCGACUGCUAGAAUCUCGAAGUGAACCUACUAUCUCUAUCGGAGAUAAUGGAUAUAGGGACACCAUGCAGCCGUACGAUUUCCCUAAUGUAUGUUCUCGUAAGCUUUUCCAUCUUGUCAGUUUCCUUGAUAGGCAGGAAGUGUGCAAACAAGGUCAAUCUAUCGACAAUGACCCAUAUGGUAUCAAGUCCACCCGUUGUCUUGGGCAACUUGGUUAUAAAAUCCAUAGUGAUCCGCUCCCACUUCCAUUCUAGUAUCUCCGGUUGUUAAAGCAAACCGGAGGGCUUCUGGUAGUCGACCUUAACCUUUGCACAAGUAAGGCAUUUACUCACAAAGGUAGUAAUUUCUACCUUCAUGUUAGGCCACUAGUAUAACUUUUUAAGAUCUAGAUACAUCUUAUCUGAACCCGGGUGGACGGAAUACCGAGUGUUGGGCGCCUCGGGGUCCAGAUCCGGUCCAUGAAAUAUAAGGCUCCGCCACCCUUGGCUUCUAAGUUCUUAUCCAUUCCUCUGAGGGAUUCACCCGCUACAUUCUCAAGUUUCAAGGCUUCAAGCUGAGCCUCCUGAAUUUGUGUAGACAAGUGUGAAUGGAUAGUCAUUGUCAAUGAUUUGACUCUUCAACCAGAAUAUUCUUUCUGACUUAGGGCGUCUGCUACUACAUUGGCUUUACCUGGAUGAUAACGAAUUUCACAUUCGUGGUCAUUAAGUAGCUCGAUCCACCGUCGUUGACGCAUGUUGAGUUCCUUCUGGUUGAAGAUGUGUUGUAGGCUUUUGUGAUCGGUAAAUAUCAUACUUUUUGUACCAUACAGGUGGUGUCUCCAAAUCUUUAGAGCAAACACAACUACUCCUAGCUCAAGAUCGUGAUUGGUGUAGUUGACUUCAUGUGUUUUCAGUUGUCUCGAGGCAUAGGCAAUGACCUUACCUCGUUGCAUCAAAACACAACCGAGCCCUUGGUUUGAUGCAUCGCAAUAGACAACGAAAUCUUCUAUCCCUUCGGGGAGGGAUAGUAUUGGCGUGGUGCACAACGCUCGCUUGAGCGUUUGGAAAGCUCUCACCUGCUUGUCUUCUCUGUCAAAGGCCACGCCUUUCGCGAUCAGUGCUGUAAGGGGUUUCAAAAUGCGGGAGAAGUUCUCAAUGAACCUGCGGUAAUAGCCAGCGAGACCUAUAAAUUGACGAAUUUCUGUAGGCAUCUUCGGUGCUGACCAAUUCUCAAUAGCCUUAAUUUUGGAUGGGUCCACAUGGAUUCCCUUUUCGCUGACCACAUCUCCCAAGAAUUCGACUCUUCGGAUCCAAAAUUCGCAUUUAGAGAACUUUGCAUAGAGCUUCUUCGUGCGUAAAGUUCCUAGAACUUGUCGCAGGUGAUCGCUAUGUUCUUCCUUACUUUGGGAGUAGAUCAGGAUGUCAUCUAUGAAGACAAUGACAAACCGAUCCAAAUAAGGUCGAGAUACUCUAUUCAUCAAAUCCAUGAAAACUGCGGGCGCAUUGGUCAAUCCGAAUGGCAUCACCACGAACUCGUAAUGUCCGUAACGAGUUCGGAAGGCUGUCUUUGGAACAUCCUCCUCUAGCACUCGUAACUGGUGAUAUCCGGAUCUUAGAUCAAUUUUGGAAAAGUAAUUGGCCCCUUGCGGUUGGUCAAAUAAAUAGUCUAUGCGAGGCAGAGGGUAACGAUUUUUAACCGUUAUCUUGUUGAGUUCUCUGUAGUGGAUACACAUACACAACGAUCCGUCUUUCUUCUUUACAAACAAGACCGGUGCUCCACAUGGUGAAAAGCUUGGUCUAAUAAAGCCCUUGCUGAGCAGCUUGUUAAGUUGACCUGACAGUUCUUGCAUCUCGGCUGGUGCCAGACGAUAGGGCGAUUUGGCUACUGGGUUAGCUCCUGUGACUAAGUCGAUUCGGAACUCGACUUGUCGUUACGGAGGUAAUCCCGGUAGUUCUUCUAGAAAGGUGUCGGGAAAGUCGCGUACUACUGGGAUGUUCUUCAGUUCUUUGGUUUCAUGGUUUGUAUCGACAACGUGUGCAUGGAAUGCACGAUAUUCCUUACGCAGAUACUUUUGAGCUUGGAUACUUGAGAUGAUGCUAAGGCUUGUGUCGGGUUUGUCACCGUAGAUAAGGAGAGUUUCGUUAGACGGAAGGUUAAGGCGUACAACCUUUUCGUAACACAUAAUGUCGGCAUGAUGAAGACUCAAUCAAUCCAUGCCGAUGAUGACGUCGAAACUUUUAAUCGAGACCGGCAUGAGGUCGAUUGGAAAUGAAUGGCUAUCUAGAGUUAGGGUACAUCGUGUGUAUAUGCUAUUAGUGCUCUCCGUUUUCCCAUUAGCCAUUUCUACAGUGAAUGGUUCUUUAAGUGUGCGUGGUUUUUGUUUAAGUAAGCGUGCAAAUUUCUGGUUUACGAAACUCCUUUCUGCUCCACUAUCAAACAGUAUACAUCCAUAAGAGUUUUCAAGGAGAAAUAUAUCGGUCACCACCGUAGGGUCAGCAACUAUUUCCCUGUGGCCUAUAGCCAAAAUUCUUCCUAUUCCCCUUGCAUUUCCUGCUUUGGGGCGGUCCCUUUUGUAGUGGUCCACUUCCCCACAUCCAUAGCAAGCCUGGCCUACACCAGCGUUGGGAACUUGGGUGAUCGGCUUUGCCGGAGAUAUGCAGAAACGGACUGUGUGUCCUUUCUUGUUGUAGUUGGAGCACUGCAUCUCCCGGAAGGGGUCGUUGUGGCGGAAGUUGCAUUUGUUGCACUUCGGCGUGUUUCCAGCAUAUUGUUUCACUGGAGCAGCAGCAGCGGGGGUUAUUGCGGCAUGAACUGCCACAGUCUGCUGCUUUUUGGCAGCUUGUUGUUUCUUUUUUUCAUCCCAGAACUUCCGCUGAUUGUCAGCGGGUUUGGAAGGUUCCGAGACGGCCAGGGUUGUUGUUGAUGAUGGGGAUUUGACUCCAUGAUCAAUGAGUCGUUGUGCUAGUCGUUUUGAAGGUAGUUGGGUUCGAUGAUAGGACAUUUCCCUAAUACGGAGGCACCAGCCCCUAGAUGUACCUCUCGAUCUUUUUCCCUUCAAUGGGAACCAUAUUAGGACAGAGGGCCACUAGUUCGCUGAACCUGGCGGUAUAUGCUACUAUGUUGGAACACUUCAUAGUUAGGCUCCAUAGUUCUUGUUCUAACUUCUGAAUCUCACCCCUCAGGCAGUACUCCUCAAUCAUGAGGUCUUUCAGAGUUUCCUAGCCCAUGUCAUUGGCCACUACAAGAGUUAGUGCCUUGACAUGGCUAUUCCACCAAGUAAGGGCUUUGUCUUCGAGGGUGCAUGCAACACAUUUUACUUUGCUCGUGGUAGGGCAGGAACAAAUUUCGAAGACCGAUUCUGUCUUGUCGAACCAUUGCGAGAGGGCAAUGACUCCGCCAGUCCCUCUGAAGGACCUUGGUUUACAGUUAGUGAAGUCCUUGUAGGUGCACUCUCUUGAGCGCACAAUGAUUUCACCUUGAGUUUACUGAACAGGCAUUCCACCUCUACUGGCAUCAGUGGAGUGAUACUGAGCCAUGGCAGUUGCCACUGCCGCAGCUACUGCAACAUUCAGGGCUGCUGUAUCGAUCACCAGAGGAGGAGGCGGUGGUGAUGGAGGAUUAUGCCUUGUUGAUUUGUGAGGAGGCAUCUUUCAACUAUAAUUUUACAAAGAUGAAUACGAUAAUAAGAAUCAAUUUUGAACAGAGUGAGAGUGACCCAUGGACUAAAUCGCCAUAGCCCAGUAGCCGAAUGAGAGUAUGUCUUGAAAUAGUAAUUUAGUAAGAGAGUAGGGAAAACACAAGAGUACAGACUUUUCCAAUAGAUUAGAUAAGUGUCAAUAUUACUGGUAUUAUUGAUGUAACAAGUUCAAGAAAAAUUGACCUAACAGUAGGUCUUACAUCAUACCAUAGGGGAAAAAGUUGAGAGUUCAUAGAUUUCUAGUUAGAGUACUUGGGAAGUAGGAAUAUUUUACAGAUAAGAGCUUCAUAGAGCUUAGUUAAGAAGGCUAUUCCUUAAUCAAAAGAAAAGAUGUGCUAGACAUCUUCUAACGGUGAUGAGAAUUCCUUGGGCGAACCCUGAGGUCUGCCAGUUGGAGAACCACUUCUUGAAGAUGUCGCUCAUGAGCCCUCUGGUGAACUCGAAGUUCUAUGACUUCGGCUUGCGAGGCAGUCAGUUGUUGCUGCAAAGUCUCAUUGGUUCUCCUCGUCCUUUCCAUGUCUUCUUCAAGAUGGCGGAUACAGAUUUUGUUGACACUAGAGUUGGCAUCAAUUUCCAUGACUCUGUCGAUGGCUACUCGACCUUGUUCAAUGUUACGAGCAAUCCUACGGACCAUGACGGGCAGAGCCCGAUCCGCAGAGCCACCUUUGCUAAGGUUGUAAAAUCUUCGGUCUCCAUAGUAAGGUAAGGGUUGACCCUGUUCGUCGCUCCAACGAUUCAAGUUGGUUGCCCACAAGGGUGUGAGACCUGGAAAAGCUGGUCGGGGGUUGUUGUUUGGGGCUUGACCUACUAUGGGUAGGUUGUUGACUUCAGGCUCAGAGUCGGAACAAUUAGAGAAGCCUUUACCACGGUGAUCAUCCAAAGGGAUUGGGUGAUCAUCUUUUGGUUCUUCCUCUAGCCAUCCUCUGUUGCCUUCAUUUGGAAGGUAUGGGUCGCCAUGAAGGAAUCCAGCCAUGAUAUCUAAGCGAGAAAAGGGGUAUAAGAACCUUAUAUAAAUAGACGUACUACUUAAGAUAAUUAUAAGGUGAUCUUUAUCAUUUAUGUCAAUACUUGUGUAGUGUAUACCAGGUAUAUGAAAUUAGAGUAUGAUAGCCCUUCGAAUAAGUGGCCCUAACUCCAAAUCCAUAACCAAACAAGGAACAUGAAGUGAAGAAAAGGUCACAUAUUCUGAGUCUAUAACACCUAAAUUUCAUAUAACCAUAGUGUAUGCACUUAACAACUAUUGACCCACUUGAUAGAGACCUUUUUUGUUCUCAUGUAUGUAAUUAUAGUAACACAAAAUACUCCUAUAGUAUUUUAGACUUAUGUUCUGUUCUAAUGUUUUUAUUGUAGUAGUGUUGGUAUGUUUUUAGACUUGUUGCAAUAUAACAACCAUUCUAGGGCAUAUUCUUAUCACUCCUCAGACCAGCAUAGUUGAUCAGGCUAUGCCAUUCCCAGGACUGACCAUACAUCUCCGAGCUCACUUAUGAUAUUCAACAAUCAUAAUACUUUUGUUCUUCUCAUUGUGAAACUAAUUUUAUUAUGAAUGCAGGUUUGUAUACUUAGUUAAAUAUGUUAUUAUUUAAAAGUAUAGACUCUUGGUCAGAGUAUUUUAAUCCCAUUGUGUUUAUAGUUACUAUAUAUCUUUUAUGGGUUGAUAUACUAGAUUCACUAUAAACAAUGCUCUAAUACCAAUCUGUCACACCCCAAAACCGAGAACAGCGGAAACGUUCUGGGGCGGACGACAUCAUGUAAAGUAUCACAACAUAGUAUAAUAGUAAACAAGUAAACUACAUCAUCUAUUGCAUUAAAUAUAUAAUUUUAAUACAAGUGUGAUUUGUACAGUAAUAGACACCAAACAUAUGAAUCAAAAUAAAGAUGAGUCUUGUAUGCACUCCAUCUUCUCAAAAGCUGGUAUCGGUACCUGUCUACUGAUGACCUGAGAAUACAAGUUAUUUUGAAAGAGUUUAUCAGCAUUAAAGCUGGUGAGUUCAUAAGUAUUUAGUGUCAGUGUUUGUAUCAAAAAGUUUGAAUGUUGUUUGAAGUAUAAUCUAUAAAUGUUUGCUGUAAAGGUAUGUGAAUGUUUGUAAGUGUUUGUAAAAUUUUGUAAUUCCUAGAAUAUCCUAUAUUUUCUACUAAAAGUAGCCUUCUAUCAAGGCAGAACUGUUUUGUAUGUUUGUUUCUUGUAAAAGUGUGUAAUUUUCCCAAGAAUAACUAUUAUUAUCAAAAUAUAGUUUGUACAUUAAAGUGUUAAGUGAAGUAAUCACUAAAUAAACGUAAAGGGGUAAAUUAAUGUAGUACUGUAGUUUCGUGUUAUACGAACUACUGUUGUACUAACUACCUUAAACCAUACUUAUAUCAAGGUAUUACGUGAUUAAUUGUACCAUACUAUCGACUGAGAAAACACGACAAUGUAAGUCGUAAAAAGGUAUGACGUUUAGCCACCCACAGACCUACAGGUCCGGUUGUAGCUAGCAGCAAGGUGUAGGAUAGUCAAUCCAAUAUAGAUCUAUACGCAAACUCACGUUCUCCCUCCAGGAGAUUCUGGCUACAACUCGGUCCAUGACAAUGAAGGCAUGCACCGAUACAGUGGAUCACAUUUAUGUUAAUGUAUUCUUGUAUAUGCAAUGUAUUGUUACUCAUCCUAGUAUCGUUGUAUAUGUUCUCGUUAUAGUGUAGUUGUAUAUGUUCUCUUCUUAGUAUAGUUGAAUAAUUUCUCGUUAUCGUAUAGUUGUAUAUGUUCUCGUUAUAGUAUAUUUGUGUAUCUUAUCAUUGUAAUCAAUAAUGACUCAUGAAUGAACUGACUCUUUGUAUGUUUCAUUGUACAAGAAGUAGUAAGUAGUAUAACCCUAAACUAUACCUAUUAUAGUUUAUUAGUAGACUUGUUUGUAUGAAUGAAUGUACUGAAUUGAUAUAAAAAUCUUUAUAUCUAUACACACACACACACACACACACAUAUAUAUAUAUAUAUAUAUAUAUAUAUAUAAUAUAUAACUAAGGGUUCAACGACAUUCGGAGAGACAAGCGGGUACUUUAGGACCACAACCAAAUAAGGAACACGAAGUAAAGCAGGUUAUCUCUCCUAAGUCCUUCAAACCUUAUGUAUAUAUCUAUAUAUGUAGUAGACAUGGUUUUAAUCAAUAUAUAAGCUUAAAAGUUGUAAUAGGAAUGUUUAGUAUUCAAAAGUGUAUUUGAUAAAGAGUUUAACAUGCAAAAUAGUUUGAAAAGCAAUUUAAAGUCAUUUGUUUGGUAAAACAAUUUGAAGUAUUGAAAAUUCAUUAAUAUGCUAGUUAUUACGCACAUGUAUUCCCCCGAUAAAAGCAUUUAAAACAUUUCAAAGGUUGAUUAAUAUGGGUAUGAACUCACCUGUAGUGAGUGAUGCAACGGUAGGAUCGGUUUAGAAGGUUGAGUGUCAAUUGAGAACUGGUACACAACCGGAUCCUAUUAAUCAUAUAAUGACAUAUACAUAUUUAUAAUUAGUGUUUGAAACAACUAAUUAUUGGAUUGUGACCACCUUAGGGACUUGUAAACACUUAUUAUUAAGUGUUACAAUCAUAUAAGACUGUAUAAGGGUGGUAUAUGACUAUACGUGGGAGUGUAUGGUUAAAAUGCACAACACACAUGUGUGUACGGCCAGGAGGUGUGUGCGGCCACACACUCCUUAUAGAAUGUGUCAAAACGUGAUUUUAAGCUAUAAGGGACAUCUAGGAAUGUUUCAAUCUUCAUGCCCUAGCCUUUAUUGAAGUUUGUUGCCAUUUUGGGACUUAAAAAGGGUGUGUGCGGCCACUAUGAAGGUGUGCGGCCGCACACCCUUCAUGAUUAUGAUAAAGUCUUGUUUUUCAAGCAAAUCAUCAAGUGUUCUUGACAUAUAAUCAGGUAUACUAAGUAUAUACACGUUAAAGAGGCUUAAGAAGGGUGUUUUAAGGUCAAAACUUAGUGUGUGUUCUUGGUGUUCUCGGACAUUUAACACCAAGAAUGUGUUUUUCGUCGAUGAUAGUAGGGAAUGAGGCUAGAUAAUCUCAAAUAUCAACUAUUAAAAGGAAGGAGUUCUUACUUUUAUGAUGAUCAAGAUGGAAAUGUGGAUGGUACUUGAGAGGAUUUCGAGUUCUAGUCUUGAAGAAGUGAAAGAAGUGAUGAAAAAUGGCUAAGUGUUCAAUAUAUAGGUGGAGUGUGCGGCUGAAAUGGGUGUGUGGCCGCACACACAUGUGUGUGCCCACACACUCCAUGUGUUGGAGUGUUUGACCUGGUUUUGAUUGCUACACUUGGAGUUAACCCAUUUCUAAACUCCCACCUUGAUUGUAUUACGUUUAGAACGCUCCAAUAGACCCUAAAUGGUGCUACAAGAUAGCAAAACGAGUCUAAACUUUGAUAGAAUUGAUAUAUAUUGAACAUGAAAAUUUCGGAUUGUCCUAAUAAAAUCUACGUGGCAAAAUUUUCGCUCUAAUUCAUGAGAAUGAUUAUGAUGAAACACUUUCGCUAGUAGAUUUUAAGGAUCUGAUAAUGAUCAAUAUGGAUAUUGGUUGUGUUAAUUGCAUUAUCAAAUUCACAAUAUGAUUACAACAUCCGUCUACAUAUUUCGAAUUGUGAGGAAUGGAAAGGAAUUGUUUGAACUUUCAAGACAGAUAUCUAUAAGUUCUGGAAGGGUUUAAACAGAUACAUAUGCUAUCCAAUUAAGGUGUAUAAGCUUAAGAAGUCUAUUUGGAUACUUAUCAAAACAUCGCGUAACAGAAAUCUAUAAUUUAGUAAGAAAGUCAAGAGUAUUGAUUUCUAGAAGUUCAGUUGAUUUCUAGGUACAUGUCAAAGCUAGUGGGAGCAUAAUUUUUAUGCCCGUGUUGUAUGUAGACAGUACUCUUCGUAGGGAACAUGGUUCUCAAUUUGCAAAUUUCAAAGGUUGGGAAUUGUUUCGCUAUGAUAGACUUAAGGGAGAGGAUACUCAUACUUUCUUUCGAAUCUAAAGCAUUAGAUCGUAUAGUUUAAUAGAAAUUACUCAUAGACAUAUGUGAAUAUCAUGUUGAAAUGGUUUAACAUAGGAAAUUACGUAUUUGAAAAUCUUAUAGCAAGAGAUUGAACAUAUAUCAUAUAUAAUGAAUCGAGUCCCAUAUGCUUCGGAUAUAGGAUCAAUUACAUAUGCUGUAAUAUCCAUGUAUUAUUAUUUUUCCAAAUGCCUUGAUCAUUGAGAGGAAAAGGAUUAGAAUUUUUUAUGUGACUAGAGUUGGUAAACAACUCUCAAGAACAUUCUGAGGAUUAAUGAAUAUUGGUUGCUUGUGAAUAGUUGGAAGUAUCGUACUAAUUUGGACGAACCAUAGUGACAUGAUUCUAGAUUAAGAUGAUUCUUGAUCAGAAUUGACGGUCAUAUGGGAAUAUGGAAAUGUUUCCAUAAUGGUAGUUGAUUAUUAAAUCUACAUGUGUGUUGGAAACUUUAAUGUAAGAGAAUUGUUCAAAGGAGUGUACCUUAAAUUUGAGCCUUCAUUAUCAUGGAAUUGUUUCUACUAACAAAGUUCCAAUGGAAGAUUCUUUAAUAUCUUUCACUCAGUCUCUGUGACUUUGAAGCCUCGACAUCACAGAAGGUCAAUGCAUGUAAGGUUGGAAUACCAAUACAUUUUAGACAAUGACAAGAAUUUGAAAUUAUGAAAUGAGCAUCAUCAGAAUAGUGUCCAGUCGAUCUGUUCACAAAGGAAGGACCCUAGAGAGGCAUAGUAUGCAUGUUCAUAACAUGACAUAACUGAUGUUAUUUAAUUCAAGUGGUUAGUUGAUUAGUCGAAACAUUAUACAAUUAAUAAAGUCAUAAUUACCAUGGUGAUUAAAUGAUGGACAUUUAUUUAUAUUCAAUAGUUUUGAGACCAUUGUAAAUUAGUUUAUUUUUGUGUUUCUCUUUAUAUGAUUUACAUCCUGAAUGAUUUGAUUAUUCAAUCCUCUACAAUCGCUCAUACUUUUGGAAGUAAGUAGUGAAUUAAGGCUGUCAUGAAUCGAAUUGUAGAUUGUCUAUGGAGAUUGGGCAUUACAAUGGUUGCUACAAUAUUCAUGAGUGUUUAGAAAAUGUUGAUUUUUGAGUAUUGGAUAAACCCACGCUUAGAGAAUUACUUCAUGGAUUUUAUUACAAGUAAUUUUGAGACGAUAAUAUCUUAUAUUCUUGAAGUAGAAAUAUAUGAGUUGUAAUUUUGUAACAUCCUAUUUCGAGAAGUUUCUUAUUUUAGGAUAGUGGAAAAUAAAUUGAUCAAGUAAAGGCCUUGGGCUUCAAUGGAAUAUGGUUUAGACCCUAUUGGAUGUUGAUAAUAUUGGUUAUGUGAUGUAAGCCCUUGGUUUGUGUUGGAGUCAACGGGUCAAAACGGGAAAAGUGAUAUUUCAGACUUCUUGCAUGAAAUAUUGAUUUUUUUUGAGAAGUUUUUAGUACCAAGAUAUUUAGAUAAUAUUUUGGGGCUCCCGAAGACCUCUCCGUGGGUCGAAAUCGGAGUUGAAACGAAGAAGUUAUGACCGUUUGAAGUUAGGACGGUUUUGGGUUAAGCCGUAUAUGCUGGGCGUACAAGGAAGUACGCAGAGCAUACUAUCGCAUCCUGAGUAUGCUGAUCGUACCCAGAGUUUGUUGGGCGUAAGUGAUUUGUGACCAAACUCAAUUUUCGUGUUUUAUGUCCUAUUUAAACUCUUUAACUUCCCUAAACUCAUUCCAUUCUCAGCCUCCACCUGUCCUACACCCUCCCUUGAAAAUCCCAACGCUAGUUUGAGCCUUUUGGGAAAAAGGUGUGCUUGAGUGCUUUUGAGUGUUCUUGGUGCAUCUCGAAAAAGUAGGAACUCUUAAGAGAAUUUUUGGUUGCAUUGGAGCUUGUAGAUCCAGACUUUGUUCACCUUGAUCUUUCUUCUUGAGGUAUAAAGUUUGAAUCUUGAUGAUGCGUUUGAGAGAUCUAGCUAGUCUUGGGUAUUAUGAGCUUUUGGUUAAUUUACUGCAUAAAGUUUUGAUCUUGAAAGUUUGUGACCUUGUUAUGGAUAAAGUUGGAAACUUUAUCUAUCUAAACAUCAUAUUGAUUCAGAUCUUAAGGCUUGAGACUUGGACUUAAUGUAUUAAUUUGGAAAAGAUGCACUUCUACUCCCUUUGAGACUUAAAUACUAGAUCUUGGUUGGUUGUACCAUUCUAAUGGAUAAAGUUAAAAACUUUAUCCAAUAUGGAGUUAUUAGGAACCAUAAAAAUGUAAUCUUGGAUCUUAGUCCUUCCCCAUGCAUGUGAUAGGAUGUCCUAAUAGAUUAAGAAGAUAUGGUUUGUUGGUAUUAAGCCCUUUUAGCAAUGCAAAGUCAUAAAGUUGGAAACUUUAUGAAUUAAGAUAUGUGUUGAAUGCACUAGUUUUAAUCCGACUUUUUAAAUAUAAAUUAGACAUGUUUUAUUGUAGAAGGCCCAGUCCAAUGAGUGCGUGAUUUUCCCAUAAUGAGCUUUAGUCUUGAAUUGUACAAGAUAACUUUUUGCCCUUCCUCAAACUCCUUAUUACCCUUCAACCUUGCAUGAUUCCAUCUUUUAGUCUUAUUCUUAUAAAUUAAUGAGUUAGUAUAAGACUCAUUCCUUAAUUCUUCCAAAGCAUUCAUUUGCAAAAGUCGAUUCGUACGCAACUCAUUUGGUUCAAAAUUACAUGUCUUCAAGGCCCAAUAAGCUUUGUGUUCAAGCUCCAUUGAUAAAUGACAAUUCUUACCAUAAACUAACCUAUAUCGUGUGGUUCCAAUUAUUGUCUUAAAAGCGGUCAUAAAUGCUCAAAGCGCAUCAUCCAAUUUAUCCACCCAAUCCUUUCUAUUAUUCCCCAUUGGUUUCUCUAAUAUUCGUUUUAGUGCCCUAUUAGUAAUUUUGGUUUGCCCAUUUGAUUGUGGUUGGUAAUGUGUUGAAAAUCUAUGGCAUACCCCAUAUUUUUGUAACACUUUUGCUAGUUGAUAAUUAGCAAAGUGAGUUCCACUAUCACUAAUUAAUGCCUUAGGCACUCCAAAUCUUAAGAACAAUUUCUUUAAGAAUUAGACCACUACCCUUGCAUCAUUAGUUGGUAACGCCUGUGCCUCCGCCCACUUUAACACAUAAUACACCGCCACUAGUAUGUAUUUGUUACUUUUGGAUGAAGGAAUUGGUCCCAUGAAAUCUCUACCCCACACAUCAAAGAUUUCACAAACUUGAAUAUUCGUUUGGGGCAUUUCAUUCCUUGCUGAUAUAUUACCUGUUCUUUGGAAAGCAUCACAUUCCCUUAUGUAUUUAGCAACAUCUUUAAAGAUAGUAGGCCAAUAGAACCUUGCAUUGAAUACUUUUUUUGUAGUGUAUCGCACCCCAUGAUGUCCUCUUGCAGAUCCAUUGUCAAAAUGCUCAAAGAUGUCCCAGAUUUCCUUGCCAAACACGCAUCUUCUUAUGAUUCCAUCGGCACAACUCCUAAAAAGAUAUGGCUCAUCCCAAAAAUAAUAUUUAAUUUCUGAUAAAAGCUUUUUCUUUUGUAGAUGGGUAAGGCCUUUUCAAAGGUAUUCACCAGCCAAGUAAUUUGCAAUGUCUGCAUACCGUGGCUCUUCAUCCAUGAACAACUUCAAGUAUUCUUCCGGGAAGUUAUCUCGAAUACCCAUAAUAUCGAUCUCCUCUUUUUUUAUAUAUUUUCUAGCCUAGAGAGAUGGUCAGCAGCUACAUUCUCCAUUCCCUUUUUACCCUUGAUCUCGAUGUCAAAUUCUUGUAGUAAAAGUACCCAUCAGAUCAGUCUUGGCUUUACACCUUGCUUGGCAAACAAGUACUUAAUAACAGAGUGGUCAGUAAAAAUAGUAGUUUUAGAUAAAAUAAGAUAAGGUCGGAAUUUGUCAAAGGCAUACACCACAACUAAUAAUUCCUUCUCGGUUGUGGUGUAAUUUUCUUGGGCGGGAUUUAAUGUUUUGAUGGCAUAAUAGAUGGGUAGAAAGUGCUUAUCAACUCUUUGGCCAAGGACAGCCCCUAAAGCAAAGUUGCUCGUAUCACACAUUAUUUCAAAGGGCAGGUUCCAAUUCGGGGCGAUAAUGAUAGGAGCAUUAGCUAAUUUUUCUUUUAAAAAUUCAAAUGUGGCUAGACACUCUUUAGAAAAAUUAAAAGGUGCAUCUUUUAAAAGUAAUUGAGUUAGAGGUCUAGUAAUUUUUGAAAAAUCUUUUAUGAAACGGCGGUAAAAACCCGCAUGUUCAGAAAAACUCCUAAUACCCUUCACAUUAGUUGGUGGGGGUAACUUUGAAAUUGUAUCAAUUUUCGACCGAUCCACCUAAAUCCCCGCCUUGGAUAUUUUAUGACCUAAGACUAUGCCCUCUUUAACCAUAAAAUGGCAUUCUUCUCAAUUUAAGACUAAAUCGGUCUUUUCACACCUAGCAAGCAUCAAAUCAAGGUUAGUGAGACAAUCAUGAAAUGAAGAGCCAAAAAUAGAAAACUCGUCCAUAAAUACUUCCAUAAAUAUCUCUACCAUGUCAUGAAAUAUUGCGGUCAUGCCUCUUUGAAAGGUCGUGGGUACAUUGCAUAACCCAAAAGGCAUGCGACGAUAGGCAAAAGUCUCACUUGGGCACGUAAAAGUGGUUUUUUCUUUUUCAAUUGGAUAUAUGGGGAUUUGGAAGUAACCCAGAAAUCCGUCUAAAAAACAAUAAUAACUAUGGCCAGGUAUUCCUUCAAACAUUUGAUCAAUAAAAGGAUGGGAAAAUGUUCUUUAACUGUGGCAUCAUUUGUCUUUCAGUAAUCGAUACACACUCUCCAACCGGUUACUGUUCUAGAUGGUAUGAGCUCGUUCUUCUCAUUCGUUACUACGGUCAUCCCUCCUUUCUUAGGAACCACUUGUACUGGACUAAUCCAUAGACUAUCGGAAAUAAAAUAUAUGAUCCGUGCAUCUAAAAGCUUGACCACAUCCUUCUUGACCACUUCCUGCAUAUUUGGGUUCAAUCGCCUUUGAUGUUGUACCACCGGCUUCACUCCUUUUAAAUUGUUCUUGUGGGAACACUAAGAAGGGCUAAUUCAUUUAAUGUCAGCAAUGUUCCAUGCAUUAGCAUUCUUUUUCUUCUUUAUAGCUCUGACUAACUCUUAUUUUUCAGAUUUAGUAAGAUCAGAAGCGAUAAUUAUGGGUUUUUGUUCGCCCUCUUCAAUAAAUGCAUAUUCCAAAUGAUUAGGUAGAAAUUUCAGCUCAGAUUUUGUACUCGAUACGUUGAACACGUCGACUCCAGAGAGGGGACUCAUUGAGUUCAGGGCAAAAUUCACGUCUGGCCGCGAAUUUUUAGACGGACUCGUCGAGUCGUAGGGGGCUACUCGACGAGUCGGGCUUUCAGCACUUCUAUUUACUUCAUUGUAUUCAGCUUCUUCAAUCAGCCUCUCUAUCUCCAUCAAGUCUUUCUUAGCAUCAAAUUCAUCUUUAAAGGUAAUGGUAGACUUGCUUGGAUCGUCUUCUUUCCACUCUUCUAUUAACUCUUCCAACAUAUCAACCGAGAACGUCGUGUCACCACUACACCGUCUAUUCCAAAUGUAACCGAUUCUUCCCCUACCCGAAGGGUAAGCUUGGAAUCUUUUAUAUCUACUAUGGCACUUGUGGUGUUGAGGAAAGGUCUUCCAAGUAUAAUUAGGACUUGAGAAUCUGCUUCCAUGUCUUAUACUAUGAAAUCUGUGGGGAACACAAAUUUAUCCACUUUUACUAAAAGGUCCUCGCAUAUCCCUCUUGGAAAUGUUACCGUUAUAUUAGCCAAGUGAAUUUCCAUUCGAAAUGGCCUUUGUUACGGAAGGUUUAAUUUCUUAAAAAUUGAGUAAGGCAUGAGGUUAACACUUGCCCCCGAAUCGGCAAAUGCAUGGAUAGGUUAAAAAUUCCCAAAUUGGCAGGGUAAGGGCAAACUCCCCAAGUCACCUUUCUUCUUGGGUAAUUUGUUCAACAUGGCAGCUGAACAAUUUUCAUUUAAAACCACCUUCUGCACCUCUUCCAUCUUCUUUCUAUUGUGAGAAGCUCCUUUAAGAACUUGGCAUAUUUGGGCAUUUGAGCAACCGCCUCGUUGAAAGGCAUAUUAAUUUGAAGGGCUUUCAUGUGUUCCAGGAAUUUUUGAUAAUCAAUAUCAUUCUUUUCUUGUCUAGCUCGGCCUGGAAAUGGCAGUGGAGACUGAUAUGGUUUAACAGGAGGCUUAUUAUUCUUUUCAAUUGGGGGACUCGUCAAGUCCAUGUCUUCGACUCAGCGAGUCGAAUCGGGUUUCUGCGAUUUUUAAUUUUCCGUUUCAUCCUCUUGCACCAACUUUGGAUCUUCUUUAUUAAUAUGGGCCAGUGGAGUAAUAAUUUUCCCACUCCUAGUCAUCACGAUGUCUAUAUGUGCGCCCUUUGGAUUGUGUUCGGUAUUACUAGGUAGCGCACCCAGUUACCUCUCGUUUAUUUGUAGUGCAAGUCGACCUAGCUAUUUUUUAAUGUUUAGGAUGGAAGCUUGCUGAUUCCUCAUCAAAGAUUGUUGUUCUUUCAUCAUGAGUUGUUGUUCUCUCAUUGCAACUUCGGUUUCAUUAUGUCGUUUCUCAGAUGAAGCUGCAAUUCUGGUAAGCAUAUCUUCAAAAUCUAGCUUCUUUUCUUGCACUUGUUCCUCCUUUUGAAAAAACCUCUUGUUUUCACACUAUGUCCCUCCUCCUUCGCCUUUUUAUACUCUUCGUAAGGUAACCACUCUUUCUUUUGGUUGUGCGAAUUCGCAUCUCAUUUGUUGCUAUUCGAGUAGCACACUUGCGCCUUCUGGUUCCCAUGCUUAUCAAGAUCACAUUCCUUAGUAAGGUGAGGCCCGCUACAUUUCUCACAACCAACUCUAAUGGCAUGGAUGGAUUUGUCCAUCUUAGUCAUUAUUUGCUCCAUACUUUCCCAUUUUUCCAUCACAACUGCCAUGCUAUCAUUCACUAAGUUCACCGCCCCUCGAGUCGAGUCAUAUCUUGGAUUAUGAUAUUCUCUAGAGUGCUUAGAGAAUUCUUCAAUGAGUCUUUUAACUUUAGCCAAAUUCUUCUUCGUUAACAGGCCUUGAGAGUCAAGUAGUUGCCUUGUAGUGACAUUCACCCCGUCAUAGAAAGUUGCGAAUUCGUAUCAUAUUUGUAGCGCUCCCACGCUUCAAAUAAAGAUUCUCCUACUUGUUGCUCGAAAUUAGCGAUAGCCUUCCUGAGUUUAACAAUUUUCAGAAGGUGGGAAAAUUUUCUCUAGAAACUCGUCAUGCAUCUUGGCCCAUAUAGUAAUAUCCCCUAGUGGUAGUGCUUUCAGCCAAUCCUUUGCAGCCCCUUUAAAAGUAACAGGGAGCAUCCUCAAUAACACCAUCUCUCUUGGCACGUUCAGGAUGUUGAAAUAGUCGGUGAUGUUAGUAGCUUCAUCAAGAUGCUUGUAUGUGUCUUCAUAAUCCUUUUCGGUGAAAGAAAUUUCCUUCAAUGCGGUAAGGAUGUGCCCCUUGAGUUCAAACGUGGCAGUUGCUUCUAUGGCGGGUUACACAAGCCAUAACCCGGUGUCGUCUCGAAUCCUCUUUUUGUAUGCCUCCAUCGAAAGGUCGGCAAUGUCCCCCAUCUACAGGAAACAAAAAAGAAACACGCGUAAAAAUAACAAAAUGGAUGUAAAAACGAAACUGAAACUUGGACUCGUCGAGUCAAUGCGAUUGGACUCAGGGAGUUCAAGUGUAAAACAUAAAAAAUUUUAGAACGAAAUUCCUAAACAAAACAAACUAAAACUUAAAUCUUAACAAAAAAUUUCCUAAAACAGUAACUUUGUGCAAGAAAAAUCUCACACAAAGGAUUGAUAACAAUAGUAAUUAAGAUUAAUUUUAGAACUGUUCCCCGACAACGGCACCAAAAACAUGAUGUGUGUUGAAUGCACUAGUUUUAAUCCUACUUUUUAAAUAUAAAUUAACCACACAAAAGGAAAUGAACCUGUCAAUUGGUGGUAUAGUUUAGGGAGCAGGGUAUCGAACAUAGGGAACACCAAUUAUUCUCAUUACUAAUACUAUCUAAAAACAAGUAAAAGGAAAGGCUUUUGCUCUAGUUUUGCAAGACUAGAAAACUUAAAAUACUUAUCUAAUACUUACACUAGCAACUAACAACUACGUAAAUGAAAAUUGACUAAAUUCAAUAAUGGAGAAGACUUCUGUUUAGGUUUUGAAUCAUUUUUUCAUAUGGUUGAUUUUAUGACAAGUGCAAUGGAUUAAUUGGCUUUGGCUACCGAUUAAUGUGAUUAGGUUCACGUUCGCUAUUACUAAUCCUUAGAAAACAUACCAAUUCAAGCUGUGGCCAAUUGAUUAAACUAAUAUAUUUCCUAGUUUAUUGAUUCGGGUUAAGUAAGACUUGUAAUGAGCUAAUCAAAUAUGCUAAUUCAAUUAACUCCUUGUUGAUUGUUCAUCACACAAGCUUACCCAUUCACGUACCUAUUUUCUAGUUAACCCUAGUUUCACGUUCCUUAUUCAUAUGUAACACCGUAAAAUUUCAAAACAAUUUUUCGCAAUUUAUUAAAACAUAUUUCAUUUAAUUUUCAUAAAACACCAUUGUUUGAAACCCAAAUACAUAUCAUAUAAAAAUCCCAAGAUCACAUAGCAUAAAAAUCCCGUGUGUGUACUGGUCAAGCCGGCGCCUUCCCAUGGUCAUCACUAUUACCUGAAACAAAUAACACCAAACACUGUAAGCACAAAGCUUAGUGAGUUUCCCAAAAUACCAUACAUAACACAUAUUAGCCACUCGAGGCUAUAACUAUGUGGGUUCGUGCACCCAAACUCUAUGAACCCUCAGGUUCUAACACUGAUAACAUGCAUAGCAUAAAUCACAUAGAAAUAAUGCACUGCAACACAUAGCAUACAUAAUAUACAAAUACUCUAUCACAUAACUCUAGUUACCUACUCAAGGUAAAGUAUAGUGAGAAGACUCACCUCGUGUAUCUCGGUAAAUUCGCAAAUCCCCGAAGUCACUCUCCCACGCUAUAAUCCUCCUAUAACACAUUAUAUCCCUAGUUAACACUUUCACCACUAAGAUUGACUAGCUCUAUCAAGUUAACAUAGUUCAAAUUUGGUCAUGGUCAACGGUCAAAUCUUUGACCGGACUCGCCGAGUGCACUCGAGUGACUCGGCGAGUCUAUGCGUGUCCNNNNNNNNNNGUCCCCAGACCCCCCCCUUGGAACCUCUCCCGACACGUCGAGUAUUCUCCUAACUCGACGAGUUCCACCUGGCAUGAGUUGUGGGGCCACCACGACUCAACUCGCCGAGUCUCAAGAACAACUCGAUGAGUUCCAGCUUGACUCGGUCCACCUGCCCACCCGCUCUGACUCGCCCUGAUUUACUGAGUCAACCCUCAACUCGGCCAGACCACUCGCUGAGUGGUUCUGGGCAAUCUUCAAGCUACUCGCCGAGUAUGUUCUUCAGACUCGGUGAGUCCAUGCCAUGCAACAGCUCAAACUUGCAUCUAAGGUCAGAUCCGUUCCAAAGGAUCAUUCAUCACGUAAAGUCCCUAACUUGGUUGCCAUGCAUCGCUUACAAGGCUUCUUUUGGGAAAAUGGCAACCUAAGUUCACAACUGAAAAGGAUGGGCAUAAAGCAAGGCAUUUGGGACUCUCUGGACCUAAUAAGGUCCAGAUCUAGGUACCAUUUCUCCAUGGGACCUCUCCUUCUCUAAAUACAAGGCAAACAAGGCAUGAAGAAACCCUAGAAUUGACUACGUACAUAAAAACACAAGAAUAGGCUCUGAAUCAUACCUCAAUCAGCCUCUUCUGAUGAAAUGAAGUUAGAUCCUAGCUCCCCAAAUCUUCUAUCUUGGUCUUCCUCUUCUCUUCUUGCUAGCACACACACAAAAUGGUGAUUAAUGGCUUCUCUUCAGACUCACAAAGGCUCACAGCUGCUCUGGAUCUCACAAGGUCGAAGAUAGCCGCAAUGAAGGGCUAUAAUGCCCCUUAAAUAGGGCUUAGGGUCAGGAAAUUAGGGUUUCAUUAAACAGCGUGGACUCGCCGAGUCCGGACGCGAACCCGCGUCCAAAUCCGCGAUCAUAUUCGGCAAGUCUAGGCUCCGACUCGCCGAGUCCCCUCACAAUUACCAAAAAUAAAUGAAUAAUUAAUACCUGGGAAUCCGGGCUGUUACAUCAUAGGCAUAUAACAAUGUUUUCACAUAAAUCAUAUGAGAUUAGCAACUAAGAGAUGUUCAUGCAACUUAAUUACUGGUUAAUUAACAGAAAAUAGUUAUAAUUGACACAUUAGGUUCUUUAACAAGCUCAACAAAACAAAAACACCAAAUUAAAUUAAUCCAAUCAUAAAAUCAAACCAUAUUCAUAAAAUCAUCUAUCCUAAAUAGAAUUUAUGAGUUUUUAGCUCAUGAUUAUAGAAGAAAACAAGUCAAAAACGAAAUCAAUUGAUGAUCACACAGUUUAAACAAAAGACUAAGUAAGAAUACACUUGAAUUGCUUAGCCUUGAUCUCCGAAUUCUAAAGCUUCAACCGCAACUUAAUUCGCAAUUAUCCUCCUAAAGGUUCCAGAGAAAAGUCCCCAAUAUUUGAAUUAGACCCAUUUAUAUAGUUUUUGAAAACAGGGGCUACUCGUCAAGUCCACGGACCGACUCGGCGAGUCCCCAACUUAAAAUCCGUGUAUGCUAAGGAGUCUUGCAUAUUCGCGAACCUUCCAACGGAGUCGGUGAGUAGGCACGCAACUCACCGAGUUCUUCAGGGUUUUUGUCUUUCUUAUUUCUUCAAUUCCCGAGCUUCCAAUCGCGUUUUGCGCUUCUUUUUGCUUCCGAGCUCAUCUUUUAGGCUGAAAAUACAUUUUAAACACAUUUAAGUAUCUUUUGUUCAUAAUUUGCAAUAAAAUAGCCAAAAAGAAAUAGAGUAAAUAACAGUAAUCGUCCUUAUGGUUUGGUCAAAAUUUCACGUUUGGUCCCUAACUUUUUUUUUCCACUCGGAUCGUCCCUAUGGUUUGAUUUCGUUGCGUUUUUCGUCCCUAUGGUUUCGUCAAAAUUGCAUGUUUGGUCCCUAAUUUUAUGUACGUAAGGGACAAAAAACACAACAAAAUCAAACCACAGGGACGAUCCGAGUGCAAAAGAAAAGUUAGGGUCCAAACGUGAAAUUUUGACCAAACCAUAGGGAUGAUUUUAGUAAUUUACUCAAAGAAUUAAGAUUUUACACAAAAUAUAUGACUAAACAUGCACAUAUCAAAUCAAAAUGUUAUUUUGGGCUUAGAUCUAGAUUUAGAUGUAAGGACUUGAUGUAUUAAGCUCUUAGUAAGAAGUUGAGGUGACCAGAUGCAUAUGUUGGGCAUACCAAGUGGUGUGUUACGCGUACGCAGUCAAGCCCUCGACUUCUUGGUCAAGAUUAAUACGCCCCAGGUUCACCUGGGUAUGCCCAACAUACUCGGUUGGGUUGACUCGACUUGUUUGCUGACUUUGACAUUUUGACCAAGGUUGACCUAAGAGUAGUUUUGGGUAUUUGAGGCCUAUUGGGAUUAUCAACUAAACAUAUGUCACUGGUUUCAUUUAGGUAAUCAAUAGAGUUGGUGUUUGAGUUGUACUCGGUCCAGUCAGGCCGAAGGCUCAUAUUUGCAUGCUAUAGUUUGUUGUGUUGUAUGAUGGUACUUUGGGGGAACUCACUAAACUUUGGCUUAUCAUUUUAGUUUAUUGUUUCAGGUACAUUAGAGGAUCAUGCGGAUGCGAAGGCAUGAUCGUUCACAUCUUCCUAUUUUUAUGGCAUUGGAUCUUAUGAUACUCUAAUUUUGAAUAAUACUUUUGAAGGAAUGGUUUUGUAAACACUUUAUGGAUGAAAUGGGUUGUUUUGGAAAUUUUAAAUUUCUACGAUUUUUGGGUGGUUACAAAUUGGUAUCAGAGCCCUGGUUUGAGAGAAUUAGAUGAACAUUCGUGUGAAUCCAGACUCAAACUAUGAACAUGUGAUGGUUUUAAAAUUAUUUUCCUAUUAAAUUCAAAUCAUUUCAAAAUUAACCAAGGAAGGAUGAGAUGUGUAUGAUCAUCCGGAGCAAGAAAGUUUACCCUAAGAUAGCCACACAAUUAUUUGCUUUGUAUGAGUAUGAUAGAUAUGUAUGCUAGUAGUAAGCUAGCGAAUUUUAGGAAUUGCAUUCUAGAAUUGCAUGAUGUAUGAUGCCUACUAAACUAGGAGAAUUUCUUGUAUGCUAGGUGAAAUUGACAUCAUUUUUGUAGUUGCUUAGUGUGUGCAUCACAAAUGUACAUAACUAAGAUUUUAUAGCAUGGGAAUUUUUGCUGUAGCCUUAUUUCCUGUUCUUGUCUGAUUAAGGGAUUAGGGUAGAGUCAAGUAUUCAACUUUCUAUAGGAUCCAACGUUAUGCAUAAUUAGCAUGCAUGAGUGGCUGCAUGGUUGGUGGAAGUUUCAUAAGUAAGUUUGGGUGUAGCGGGCCAAUUAAGGAGUGAUUAGCCACUCUUGAGAGAGUAGAUACAAGAUGUGUCUGUAUCCUAGAUUCUUGGGCCUAGUAGUCAAGAAUUUUGUGUAAGGAUCUACCUGAUUUUUUUUGGUAUCUUAGUGCCAGUCGGUUUCAUUGCUCUAAUGUUGCUUGCUUUGUGCUUUGUAGAGCUUAUAUUGAUGUGAGUUAAGUUUUAAAUGAAUAUGUUAAGUUACAUGCUAAAAAGAUUAAAUGAUUUUAGAAUGAUUGAUUCGACCCUAUUACGUAGCUGUUUAGUAUGCAUGGUGCACUGUUUAGCGGGUUUUGGUGAUAUUAUUAUGAGUUGAUGACUUAGAGGACUCGAGAUGAUUCUUAAGGAAAGUACGGAUAAGUGUGGAAGGUAGUGUUGGGCCUAUACUACUGGAAGCAUAGGAUCCGUGCUUGAAUCAAGGAAAUUCUGGGGAUUCUAAGGAGCUGGUCGGGGAAAAUAGCAUGGGUUGAUACCAUGAUCCAGGGCAAGUGUUUCCAUAUAUGUCGAUCUAUUAGGUAUGGUUUUUCAUACUAAAGAUGGGUUUGGUGGUUGCUUAGGCCUUACUAGCCAUGUAAGAUUGGGUUUGAAUGGUGCAGACCUAGGUGAGUUAUUUGAUUUGUGGUCUCAAGGGCCUUGCUUGAUGGUAGUUCCAGUUAAGUUGUGGGACAAAAGAAAGAAGCGAUUGUUUUUUAUCAGCGUGAGGAUUAUAACUAGAGGCUGAGUGAGCGGUAGGACGAUAGUAUGGGAAUAUAUAAGAGGAUAUCGUGGUAUGGAUGCCUUGAGAUGAGACCAAGGGUCUACUUCAUGCGAUAUAGGCAGUUCAGGUGCUAGCUGAUGAUUUUUGGUGAAUCGGAGAGCGAGAAAUUUUGUUGUCUCUGAUGUAUCCUGACUAUGAGGAUAAUGCCUUUUUUAUUUGUGAAUGAUUCUCAUGAUGAUCUCAUGAUUGCGGGUUUGCAGACAAGGAGUGUGGUAGUCAGUUUGUUCUAGAUAGGGAGUUGGUGCUAUGAAUUGACUAUUAGAAUUAUUGGUUGUGCAUCUAUGUAGGGUUCUUAAUGUUAGAAGUGGUUAUGAUUGGAAAUUUCUGAGGUCUUCAUCUGAGAUUCAAAAUCUCUUAGGGUUUGUUGUUGCUAAUCUGGAAGAUCAUCUUGUGUGUAUGUGUGUUAUACAUUAUAAGAGUCAGGGAUGCUUUUAACCUGGUUGGGUUGGUUUGAGAUAUGGUUUGGUGGUAAUACCAGUGGGUGGUAAUUCGAACCCUAAGUCAAAGAGAAAUGGAUAUUCUUCUUGAUCGAUGAUUGAUCUGUUCGAACCCUAAUUCGAUGAGAAAUGGGUAUUCUUCUUGGUGGAUGAUUAACCUUCGGUUCGGGUAUGCGAGACCUUGUUUCAAGAUUUGGUCAAGUAAGGGGUAUAGAACAGGUUGUUAUCAAUGUAUGUGCUCAGGAAAUGUGCGAGUUGUCUCGCGGCAGGAAGUUUUUGGUGUAGGAGUUUGUUUCAGCCAUUGGUUCCUUUCGAGAGGCCAAGGAAUAGAUCAAAAGGCGCUAAAGUCGCACAGGUUGAGAAUUAGUUGUUGAGAGAUUUGUCUGCUCGUUGUUUCGAUUGCUAUUUGUAGUCUAGAUUGGGCAGUUUUUGAUUGGUAAAUCAGUUUCAGAGAUGGGUAUGUUCAACUCCGCAUUGGUUUUGGUUUAGUAGUGUAUUGGUUUGUUAUAUUAGGUUUCAAUUCAUUCUCGAUAAUUGGUCAUUUUUUUUCAUCAUCAAAGCAGAGAUGCUUCUGAAGUUUUAAGUUGUAUCAGUUGAACUUCAAUGGAUUCAUCAGCCUAUCAUCAAGUUCAACUCGAUUUUGGAAGAUGUCCUUUGUUAUUGGGAGACUAGAAUUUGGGAUAGUGUUGUUCAACUUUCCAUAUGGGACAUUAGAUCUUCAUAGAAUCUAAUUUUUCAUUUCAUGCUGGCAGGUUUGAUAACUAGAUGGAUCCAACCAUGGUUUUUGCAAUAUUUCUGGUUAACUUUAAAAGUUUUAUCGAGUUUGUUAUGUAUUGAUGGGAUCUGUUUUGGUCGAUCAUGAGGAUGCUUUUGUUUAUGAUUGAGGGUCAUCAUUUUAUUAGAUCUACUAGUGGGGGAGAGUUGCAACAUCAUGUUUUGAGGAGUUUCUUGAUUCGGGAUUGUAGACAAUAAAUGGAUCAAGUAACCGCCUUGGGCUAAAAGGGAAUAGGUUUUAGACCCUAUUGGAUGUUGGUAAUAUUGGUUAUGCGAUCCAAUCCCUUGGUUUGUAUUUGGUUCAAAGGUGAAAACAGGAAAAAUGAUGUUUCCGACUUCUUGCAUGAAAUAUGGAUUUUUUUGUUCAAGACAUUUUUAGUACAAGAUGUUUAGAUAAUAUUGUGGGGGCUCCUCAACACCAUUCUGUGGAUAUAAAUGUUGGGUUUUGAACAUUCUAACACUCCUAAGUGUACAUGCAACCCUAAAUACCUUGGAUCUAUGUUUUCUCUAUUAUACAUGCAAAUAAGAACAUCCAAGGUAUUAUCCUAAUCUAGCAUACAAAAACUAUGAAUGUAACAAGAUAGAAUACAUACCUCUUGAUGUAGCUUGAUGUCUUCAAGCUUUAAGAGCUUAGCCCCAAUAGUGUGGAAGCCUCAAGUGGAAUCACAAAUCACCAAGACACCUUGGAAUACUUUAGAGAAUAUGAUUAAUUGGUUCUCUCUAGUGAAAUUGGCUAGCCCUUCUUUAGUGUAUUCACACUAGUGCCAAUUUCACCAACCAAAGACAUCUUUAUAUAGUAUGGAGGAUUAGGGUUAAACCCUAAUACCCAUGACCUUUCAUUUCCUAGGAUCCAUGGGUUAAACACUCCAUGGACUAUCCAUGAAAGCUUAGCCCAACCUAAAUGAACUUGGCCCAUUCCAUAUAUAUAAGAGUCCAUAUUUAAUUAGUUCCUUUUGAUCACUUAAUUAAUUAUAAAUUAAUUCUUGAUCAAUACUAAUUAAAUAAUAUGAUUCCAUAUUAAUAUAUUAGAACUUAUAAUAUAUUAAUAUUAAUCAUAAACAUACUAUUCUCAAAAGAUUAUCCAUAUAAAUUGUGUCGGUGAAGUGCAACCCAAAUGGACCAUGCCGGGUCGGGUCAAGUACAUACCAAAUAUAGUUAUGGACUUAGACAUUAAUCCAACAGUCUCCCACUUGGAUAAGUCUAAAACUAUUAUUGCGUAUGACUUCAAACCUAACUGGCAAUCGUAGCUCUUAAAGCUGCUGUCGAACUCUGAUCUUGUCAACGAACUUGUCCAUUAGAUAAGGGAUCAUAUAUUCCUCCAUUCUAGAUAUCAUAUGGACUGAGACAUGGAUUAUAAUCAUUCUCUCUGUCCAUUUGUUGUUUCCCGAUUUCCGAUUUAUGACGACUGACUAAUUGAACAAAUCAAAUCAGUCCUGGCCCGGCCGAGCACUUCCAUUUGUCAUCAUCAAAUCAUCGAGGGGCCCACAGAUAUCGCUUUUAUCCCGAAGGUAAAAGGAAUGGAUAAACUUCGACUCAUAUGGCUUGUUCUACUACUUGUUGAAUCAUACACAAAGGCACGUUUUAUAGCACCGAGUUACCAAAUGCGUUUUCGUGCAAUCAAUGUACAACCAACUCAUAGUAACAACUCAUAUCUCUAGGUUUGAAGAAUAUAAGAUAUUAUCGUCUCAUGAUCACUCGUGAUAAAAUCCAUGAAGUGAUUCCAAUGAGCGCGGGUUGAAUCCAAUACUCAGAACUUAUGAGCACUCAUGAGUGUUGUAGCCCUUUGUCCAACACCUUAGACCUCUACAAGCCAACCCAUGACAGUCUUAAUUCAUAUCUACUUCCAACAUAUGACCGACUGUGGAUGGUUUGAAUAACUUAGUCAUUCCGGAAGAAUAACCUAGUUUAUUCGGGAAGUCAAAACAUGCAAAGUGAAACACAAUAAUAAUUGAAUCCAAUAUGGUAUCAAAUCUUUGAACAUAAAUAAAACACCUUUUAUUUAUCACCAUAUGAUUACACAUUAUUCAUUGUAUACUGUUUCAGCUAUCAACUUUAUUCUUGAAUUUAAAACAAUAGUUGUCCCAUGCUCCAAGCAUGUACACUAUGUUUUCUUAAACACUAGUCAUGCCACACACCAAGUAUGCAUACUAUGUUUGUCUAUGAUCUUUACUUUGUGAACUAGAUCAAUUGAACAUAACUUCAAUGAUUCUCUUUUCACACUCCCAAAUCCUUACUGCAAAUGCAAGAAUUCCAAAUUCAUGCCAUUUACUGAAAUCUGUUAGAUUCUAAACUUAUAUGCAUUGAUCCUCUUGUAAUGAUUAUGCACAAAGUCAGAAAGACUUGACAACAAUCAUUACAGAGUAUUCCAAAGGAGAUCAGCUCCUUGGAAACAUCCUUCUUGCAUUAAGUUUCCUAAUCUUAAACAGAUUGAAAAUUCUAACUUUGAAACAUUUCCAGAUUCCAUUUUGACUAUCACUUCUGAACAAGAGUUGCCUCCUUACAGAUUAUGUCAAUAUGGUCCUUCCAGAAUUAUCACUAUACUUCCAACUGUCCUUGAGCAACCAAUCUUUGGUAAACCUUAGAUUGUCCUCGACAAUUGUUUAAUCCUUUUAGUCAUAUCCAGUUCUAAACCUUUUCCCUUCUUAAUGCCCCAGGCAUUUGGAAAAUUUUAGAACGGAUGAAUAUAGCACAUGUAAUCGAUCCUAUAUCCGAAGCAUAUGGGACACGAUUCAUGAUGUCUUACAUAAAGACUAAACCAGUCUUUUGCUAUAAUAUUUCCAUUUCAAUUUGCCAAGUUCUCAUAAUUCAGAUUAUGAAAAGGGAUGCCGUAAUCAUAAUCGAAUUUUAGAACGCAAAUAAUGGACCCAUAUACAGAAUUUCCUUAUGUUGAGCCAUUCCAACAUGAAAUUCAUAUAUAUCCUUGACUAAAUGAUUAAAACCUCACGAUCUAAGCUUAUAGAUUUGAGAUGAAGUAUAAUUUCCUCUCCCUUAAUUAUAGCAAAACAACUUUUUCCCAAUUGAAACUUUUGUUUUCUAUAAUUAACAUUGCUAACUUGCAAUACUUAUCAUAAUUAUCAUGCUCCCACUAACAUGAUGAUUAUUAGCAUAACACUUAUGCUCCCACUAGCUUUGACAUGUACUCAGAAAUCAGCUGGACUUCUAGAAAUCAAUACUUCAUUGACUUUCUUACCAAAGUUCAGAUUUCUGAUGCUAGAUUGUUUUGAUAAAGCUGUAUCAAAAUCAUACACCUUCCCUUAGAUAGCACACUUGUGUAUCUAAACAAUUAUGAAGAGGGAUGCCGUAAUCAUAAUGUUUAGACCUUUUUGCCACUUCUCACAAGUCCAAAUUAGUGUGCCGGUUAACCACACGCGCUCCACUAACGACUUUGAGAAUGCAAAUAUCACAAUUGCUAUCUAGCUAAAAUCUACUUAGUGAAAGUGUUUCCUCACCAUCAUUUUCAUGAAUCGGAGAGAAACCUUAUGACACUUAGAUUUAAUGGUGUAUGUGUUCUUAUCCAUGUGAAUUGUCAAAACCAUAGUCACAAGACAAGGAUAAUGACAAAUCCAAACUCAUAUGGACUGAACUCAAUCUUAAUUUCUUGCCACCUGGCAGCUCAAGGGCCUACCAUUGCUUCCAAGUUGUUAUGCAACAAAUUGAGAACUCUAAGAACUCAUAUGCAAAGCCAACUUUAACUGGAAUGGGCACAGAAUAUGUCAACACGAUAGGUUAUAAACCUCAAGUCGUGUGCUAGUGAAGAACUUCAGGUUUUAUUCUUGAUUAGUUCUUGAGACUUUCAAGACCUUUAAGACUCCCACUGUCCUCUUGACAUAUAAGACUCCCUUGUCAAACAUCCAAGAGAUAGUGCGGAUUCUAAUCAAGAAAAACACUUUACCCAAUUGGCCUAAGUUGGUCUUUGUUUUAUCCAAAACAUCACAACUUACCAAUUUCAAAUGUACAAGAGUAGAAAACUUUUACUCUUACAUUUGACAAGUGUUUUAAACCUUCUUUAAGACAUGUCACUCAAAUGACAAUCUUGGAGUAUGACUCUAAGACUUGUAUUGGAACGAAGUAUGACUCAUCUUCUUGAUUUAACCAUUUCAACAAUUCAAGUUCCUCUUCUUAGUCAUAAGAAUGCACUAAGAUUUCCUUAGAGAACUAAUUUUGAUAUGGUUUCUUAAUCAUUAAGAUGAUCACAAAACUGAUACUAAAGUACUCUCCCAUCUUUUCAGAUUUGAGAAACUUUUAUCCUUCUGCCUUAUUUGAUUCUUCUUAUUCGCCCUGCCAUACAUUGGAACCUUUUCCAAUGUCUCAGAGUUACACUUAAGCUUGUAAGUAUAAUCAUAUUUACUGAGCUUUAGUAAACUAUGACGAAUAGUCUUAUCAAUCUUUUGUGGUGGACUUAAUCAGUGCACAAGAAUGUGUACUCGAUCCCUUAGUCCUUUACUUGACUCACACAUCCAUGUGGCCGAGUAAUUAGUCUUAAUUUUCCAAAACUUGAAAGUUCUCAUUCAUCAUGCUAUACAACUUGCAUGAUUCCAAGUUCCGGUCCAAUUGAAACUUGGGUGAUGAGAAUCUUUCCUUAUUUGGUAAAUCUAGACAUUACCACAAAUGAAAGAAUCAAUUUCAUAUUUCCACUCUUGCUCUUAAUGGAAUCAUAUAAGCAACAAUUUUUCCUCAAAAGCCAUUGUAAGGAUAUUUUAAAAUAAAUAAAAUCAAAAAAAUUUUCUUUUAUUUUAAAACUUUGCGGAAAAACUUAUCCUUACAAUCCAUAUGAAAACUUGUUGUUAUCUAUUCCUAAGCAAUAUCUCAUAACUCCUAAGAAGUUGCUCAAGAAUCCGAUCUUCAAACUAUGCGAUAGAAAUCCAUCUACGCCAUCAGAUUCAGCAUAUUCUUUCUUUAAGUUUCUUCACUUUUCUUUGAUUCUUAAAACAUCACCAUGUGACCCAGUCACAUCAUGUAUCAGGAAUCUCAGAAUAGAAACUUAACAGAGUUAGAUAGUGGUCUUUACCUGAAGUAGAGUCAAACUUAUUGACUUUAACAUCCUUAGGUAAAUUUGGCAGCUUCGCAACCAAUGCCCCUUCCCUUGGCAAUAUAAACAUAUGGACCCUUUGAUAAUGGUACACGAGACUAUCACAGACUUAGCUUUUCUCUUUACCAUUUGGUCAACCGAGUUGACUAUGGCCGAUCCCUUUCCAUUGGGAAGAGAAUGCUUUACUGGAUAUCCAAUGUCAUCAUUGUCAAUGUCCAUAAAGUUUUAGGAAGUUGAUCUUAGCAAAUAGAUAAGAUCAUUAAGGGUCUUGUCAUAGUCUGUUUCAUAGGUGUCCCAAAGGAACUCACUAUGUGACUUAGAAAGUGAUUGAACCACCAACUUUCUCAAGACUUUGACACCCAACUCUCCCGGCUUGUCAAUAUGUGACUACAUCUCCAAGAUGUGAUCACACCUAGACCUUGCCUUGCCAAUAGGGCUUGAGUGACCUUAAACUUUUCAAGAACUUGUGGGUUAGGGAGAAUAAUUGGAGGAGGUGAAAGAAGUAUGAUUUCCAAAGGACAUCAUCUUCAUUUAGGAAACCUUGUUUCACUAGAUUUGGGAAGAUCAUAGGUGUCUAUUACAGACAUCUUUUGGGAGAUAUUCAAGAUAGUUGAUUUAAAGUCCUUAAUAUGACACCCAAUAUGAAAUAUUAAGGCUAGGACCCAACAAACUAUUUUAUAACUUAGAAGAGGUAUGCCGUAAUCCAAGCUAUAAAAUAUUUGAAGGUAGGUGAAUGACGAUUCACCAAUUUCCACCAAGAUAAACGAAAUGUAUUAUUAGGUUUUAAUUGGUUUUGAAACUCCUAGAUCUUUGAGAUUCAUUGAACUUUUCAAAGGCAUGUUUCAAUCUCGAGUGUGCCCUUCAGGUUUUGUGACUGGGAUGCCGAGGAUCACAAAACAAGGUGUGAAGUAACCAUGCAAAUCACUUGGUACCCUUAAUAAAUUACCCCUCAAUCGAUGUGCCGGUUAACCACACACGCUCCAUCGAUACUAUGAUAAAUAUUAAGUCACCCUUUACCUACCUUGUUAAGUCCAAGUUAGUGUGCCGGUUAACCACACACGCUCCACUAACGACUUAGACAAAGUGUAAAGUGUAAUUUCAUGGAUUAGCACCUUAUUCACAUUUUUCCUAAGUAACUAAGAUUGGGUAUUAUUAAGAGUUUAGUUACUUAGUAUUAUCAUUAAUACUUUUAAUGAAGGGAGAAUUCUAGUCCUGUCAAACCCGUUCGGCUAACGACCCUCCACCAGUCAAGCAAGCGGUGGGUGAGAGUGGACACCCAUUAAGUUGCCAUUUUAUAGGCAACAACCUUAUACCCACCUUAUAGACCGGCUUCGUGAAUGAGGCGUACUAGCGGUAAGACUGACUUUACUCUUAUACAUAUAUAUAUUAUUAACUUAUAAUAUUAUAAAGUAUAAGGGUUGAAUUUUAACUUUUAAAAUUCUAAGGGCUAACUUGGAAUUAAAGUAUUCAUAAGUGAAAACUUUACAAAUUCCAAAACUUGAGGGCAAGUUUUGAAACUAUUCAAAACUAAUUAAUUCCAUAACUUAUGUGUUUAAAGUAGUUUUAAUCCAAAAACUCUUCAAGUUCCAUAACUUGAGGACAAGUUAUGGAAGACUUUAAACUAAUAAAAGAAUUAACUUUUCUUUAUUUUAUAACUUAUGGAAUUAAUUAAGGUUACACUUUUUUUUUUUUUAUUUUAUUUUAUUAAAUGAAGAGACUCUUGGUCCUCCAUAACUUGAGGACAAGUUAUGGAGUCAUAAAACCAUUUAAUUAGAACUAGACUCUUCAUUUUUGUAACCUUUGCCAAUUUUUAUGAGUUUUAUGAUUCUUAAAUGUGACUUUUCAUAUAACUUGAGGACAAGUUACAAAAACACAUUUUAGAAUCAAUUCUUAGAUUAAUUUGGAUUAAAACCAACUAUCACAUAAUUUUAUUCAUUAAUCUAAAUUCACUCAUAAAACAAGGUAACACAAAAAACUUUUGGUGAUCCAUAACUUAUUCUUAAGUUAUGGAAUCCUUUAAAACAUUAACACCAAAUUUUGUAACUCCAAAAAAACUUUGAAUCAAUUUUUUUUUUAAAACCUUUUCAUAUCCAUAACUUAUGGAGGUUUCAAAAAAUAAAACUCUUUAGAUCAAACUUUUAAAACUAAUAAAAUAAUCAUAUUAUUUUAUCUUUUAUUAAAUUUGACCUAAUUCAACUCAUAAAGCAAAUUAUUCAAAUUUUACAAAUAAUUAGUUUUUCACAAGAACAAGUAAUUAUCUUAAAAUUUGACAAACUUCAUGUUUUUUUUUUUUUUUUUUUUCAACUUUGAAAAUAAAAUAUUUGCAUCAAUAUAACAGAAAACAACCCGUGGCUCUGAUACCACUGUUGGGUUUUGAGCAUUCUAACACUUCCUAAGUGUACAUGCAACCCUAAAUACCUUGGAUCUAUGUUUUCUCUAUUAUACAUGCAAAUAAGAACAUCCAAGGUAUUAUCCUAAUCUAGCAUACAAAAACUAUGAAUGUAACAAGAUAGAAUACAUACCUCUUGAUGUAGCUUGAUGUCUUCAAGCUUUAAGAGCUUAGCCCCAAUAGUGUGGAAGCCUCAAGUGGAAUCACAAAUCACCAAGACACCUUGGAAUACUUUAGAGAAUAUGAUUACUUGGUUCUCUCUAGUGAAAUUGGCUAGCCCUUCUUUAGUGUAUCCACACUAGUGCCAAUUUCACCAACCAAAGACAUCUUUAUAUAGUAUGGAGGAUUAGGGUUAAACCCUAAUACCCAUGACCUUUCAUUUCCUAGGAUCCAUGGGUUAAACACUCCAUGGACUAUCCAUGAAAGCUUAGCCCAACCUAAAUGAACUUGGCCCAUUCCAUAUAUAUAAGAGUCCAUAUUUAAUUAGUUCCUUUUGAUCACUUAAUUAAUUAUAAAUUAAUUCUUGAUCAAUACUAAUUAAAUAAUAUGAUUCCAUAUUAAUAUAUUAGAACUUAUAAUAUAUUAAUAUUAAUCAUAAACAUACUAUUCUCAAAAGAUUAUCCAUAUAAAUUGUGUCGGUGAAGUGCAACCCAAAUGGACCAUGCCGGGUCGGGUCAAGUACAUACCAAAUAUAGUUAUGGACUUAGACAUUAAUCCAACAAUAAAGAUUGUUGAAAUCAGAGUUGAAACAAAGAAGUUAUGACCAUUUCAAGUUAGGAUGGUUUUGGGAUAAGCCGCGUACGUGGGGCAUACGGGGAAGUACGUUGGUCGUACUAGGGCAUCCCUGAGUAUGCUGGGCGUACCAGGAGUAUACUGGGCGUGCGUGAUCAACGCCCAAACCUUAUUUUCGUGGUUUGCGCCAUAUUUAAGCUCCUUAACUUCCCCAAACCCAUUCCAUUCUCAUCCUUUUCGUCUGUAACACCCUCCCUUGAAAACCCUAACCCUAGUUUGAGCCUUUUGGGCAAAAGAAGGUGUGCUUGAGUUCUUUGGAGUGUUCUUGGUGCAUAUUUGAGAAGAACGAGCUCUUUGAAGAAGUGUUGUGUAACAUCCUGAUUUUUCAGGUAUUAUGAUAUUUCUUGCAUCUUUAUUAUUAUGGCACCUUUGGUCCCUUGGAAGAAAAGUUUUAUGAUUUUAGUUGUAUGCCGGGUGUACGUAAGAGUACGUGCAGCAUACCAAUACAAAGGGUGGAUCGUAGGUGGCUAUCUAGUAUCCUGGGUGUAUGUGUGGUACGCCGGGUAUACUAGCCCAUACUCCAAAACCUUAAUUUCUUGGUUGCUCCCUUUCUAAAGAAAAUUAAGUCCUCUUUUUCGUCACCUUUAUCAGCCUCCAAACCCUCCCUAAACCAUAAUCCCAUGUUUGAGUGUUGUGUGAGCCUUGCAAGUUCAUUUGAGUGUUUUUCAUGCAUUUAUAUGAAGAAGGAAGUUAGUGAAAAAGAAGAAGGUGUUGGGAAGCUUGUAUAUCUAGAAAACUUCUCUCCUUGUGCAUGCACCAUUUUCAGGUAUAAAGUUUGUACCUUUACAAGUCUUUCAUUAGAUCUCCAUGUUUGAAGUUUUAAGAUUUUUGUCCCCAAAGAUUGGAACUUUAUGAGUUUGGAGCACUCUAGUGGUUUGUAGCAGUCCCUUCAUGUAUUAUAAGACUUGUGGAUGCAUAAAAAUGGUAGCUUGAUCACUUCUUUCAAUUCAUGCAUGAGAAAAAUGGCUUAGAAUGUGUUAGGAGUUUAUGAAUGGAUCUUGGGAACUCUUCUGGCCAUGGAAAGGCUUAAAGAUGAUAACUUUAUGGUUUUAGAUGUCGUGGAAUGGCCAGAUCUGUGAUUAGGAGUAAAUGUCUUAAAGGAUUAACACAUGUGUUACUAGAAAUGGGAAUAGACAGAGUACGUUGGGCAUACUCCAAGCUACGCCCCGUGUAGCCGGUCCAAGCCCCGUUAUUUCUGAUCCAAGUUGUACGCCCCGCGUGGAUUGUGGUAUGCUCAACAUAUGUUUUAAAUGUUGACAUUUGUUGAUUUUGACCCUUGGUCAAGAUUUAGGGUUUUUAGACCAUGCGAAGGGCAAAAUGGGCCUUUUUUCCUUAGAAGGUUUGUUCGUGGGAUUGAUAAUUUUUUAGUGAGUUUUGAACCUUAUUUAUUGAUUAAGGUUAAUUAUUUUUGACUAGCUGGAGUCUAGAUCCGACAGUUCGGGUGCUACGUUUUCGUGUCAUCAGUAUUAGGUGAGUCUCCUCAAUUACUCUUACCUUUACGGUAGGAUUGUUGUGUUAUGAUGACGAGAUGGGUCUAGCUACUUCACCAUGUUAUGCUAUGUACUUAUAAGUGAUUGAGGCUGCUAAUAGCCAACCAGGGUCGCUGAUAACCCACCAAGUGUGGUGUUAGCUCACCGGGACCGCUGAUACUCCCAGGGUUACAGAUAACCCAUGGCUGUUAUUUAUGUUGUAUUGUAUGUGGUAUCUUUGGGAAAUCACUAUGCUUUGUUCUUAGAGUUGUUGAUUUUAAUGUGACGGGUGCUUCACUGGAUCGCGGGAAGGCGAAGGUCGGAUUGUACACACGCGCUGAGGAAUUUACUAUUAGGACAUGUUUAUGAAAUCUUAUAAUUAAGAUACUUAUUGUUUUAGGAUAGUCAUGUAUUUGAUAAUGUGGUUGUGAAACUAUGAUUUUCAGUAAAUUUAAAACAAAAGAUUUGGUCUAAAAUUUGAGGUGUUACAACUUGGUAUUAGAGCCCUGGUUUAAGGGAUUUGGAUGAACCUCUAGGUGCUUCCAAACUCAAACUAAGGAUCUGAAAAUUUAAAGAACUUAACAAGAAAUGAAGACUUUUACCUGAGAAAAACCCAGAGAAGUAGUGUGUGCAAUUGACCAACAUUCGAACGACAGUUUCCCAAAAUACCUCAAUUUGUAUUCUUGAGUAGUGUAGAGAAGAUAUGUUUAUAUUUUGAGCUAAUAGAAUUGCAUGCUAGCUAGAGGCAGGCUAUGGAAUCUUGCAGAGUUAGUAUGAAAAUGUUGCUUGAUUUGGGAUACCUUAGCCUAGGAGUUCCUUCUUAUGGGAUUGAAUAUGUCUUUACUAUUUGGUUGGUGUAUGAUAUAUAGUUGUACAUAGUUAGGAUUUUGUAUCCUUAGAAUGUAUGAUUUGGCCUUUCUUCAUGUUCCUUGAUUGGUUGUGGAUUUGAGGUAGGAUCAUUGUUGAGUCUAAGAGGUUGCGUCACUGGGCUUGUUCUUAGGCCCAUUUUGUAUACUCGGUCUAAGCCUGUCCAACCGUGUUUUUUCUUUGGGGUUUAGUAUAAAUGGUGCAUGCAUGCAUUGUUUUAGUUACGCUUCUCAAUUAAUAUUUGAUUUAAUUCUAUUGUAACCCUAGCACACCUCUACAGUCAAAGUUCUUUAUCGAGUUCUUCUGAGGUGGAGCAUAUUAAUCAUUUAGCACCUGUUUGAUCCAUUCUCCUAUUCAUCAUUUUAUCUGUGUUUGUUUAUCUUUUAAAAAACUAUCGAGCUAAGAGAAUAAUAUUCUCUACAAUUGGUAUCAGAGCAGGAGACUAUGUAAUUCAUACGCAUCUCUUCUAUUGGAAGAAUCUUUUUAGGGUUUCCGCUUUUAUCAAAAUUGUUGGAGCCGUCAUCUCUUCAUUGAUUUGUUUCUUGAUUUUGAUAAAACCCUAAUUCAAACUUUACAAGUCUGGUUCAUAGCAAAUAUUUGAAAAAGGUCAUCAUGUCUCAUGAUGAUUCACAAACCAAUCCGAUAAAUAUCUCCAACAACAUUGGAUCUACAACUAGAAUUCUGAUUCUAUACACUCAAGAUUAUGAAGUCUGGAUGCAUCACUUUGAAGACUAUGUCGUUGGAUCUGAAGACAAUGGUUAUUUAAUAUGGGAAGUGAUAACUUUGGGUCCUUUUGUUCACUUUGGAACAAAUAGAAUCAUCAAGACUCAAAAGGAGUGUAAUAAGCUCUUGGCUUAUGUGAAUAAUAUUCCUCAAGACGAGAAAGACAAGUUGUCAUGUAGCAUCAAAGCUAUGAGAGUGAUCAGAUUUACUUUACAAUCUGAUACUUUUCGUUUGGUAAGUCCAUGCACCACGGAAAAAGAAAUAUGGGACAUACUCAAGGAGUUGUAUUCCACUGAUGAGGAUCUAGAGCAUUCAAUCCAAACUCUACUGCUUUCUGAGUUCGGUGCUUUCGAAUAAAAUUCGGAAGAAAAACUUAUUAAGGCAUUCGAUUGUUUCAACCAUAUUCUAAGCACGAUGAUCAAGCAUGGUAUUGGCAGAGAAGUGAUCGAGCAGAAGGUCACAAUUAUGAAUGGUUUAAGACCCAAAUGGAUGGCUGUGGUUUCGACUGUGAAGGCUCAAGAGAAGUUUAAAAGCUAUUCGUUAGCGAAGCUGGUAGCGAUCCUCAAGUCUCAUGAAAGUGUAGUAACAAAGGAAACGAAGGUGGUGUCUGGUAUCGGAUCCUUCGGCCUUCUCUCUAAGAAUAAGAAUGUGGCAAAAAAUGAAGAAGACUCAGAAUUGUCAGAAUGCGAUCUGACAAGUGAAGAAUAUGCUAUGAUGGUUUCCAACCCGAAGCGGUUUGCUCGUAAAAAGUUCCCUGACGCCAAAAACCGAAACUAGAAGGGAAGCUACAUCUCAUAGAAGGUGAAAGAGGAGAUCAGGAAUACUCCUUAGAAAGUAGAAGAGAAGAAGGAGAGAAAGCUGGUAGGAGACUCCGCAUAUGAUUGCAAAUUUUUCUAUUGCAAAAACCGCUUUGCCAAGGAUUGCAUGUAAACAAAGCUGUUAGAGAAAAAGGACAGUGAAGAUUAUGAACCUUACCAUAUGCGUAAGCCGGAGGUGAUAAAGAUGAAGAAAGCCUCUAAUAGUACUAUGAAUGCUUUGAUUGUGCAGGAGAACUUUGUUGAUGAUGAGUUCGAUGGUGUGGAGGUCUGGUCUACCAACUCUAAAGAUGAAGAAAUACGUAAACCCAUGCAUGGCAGGACUUUUGCGGUGAAGGAAUAUCGUGAAGAAUUAGCUGGCAGAUGCUUAAUGGUGAAUACUGGAGUGUCAUAGAUGAGAGGCUACACAACAGAUGGCAGGUGUGAUGAGGAGAAUCAGAAGGAACACAAGUGUAACAUCCAAAAUUUCAGAAAAAUUUAAACUUUUAAAGUCAUAUCGAGUUCAUCAAAAAAUUACAACAUUGUUUUCAAAACAUCUAUUAUCAGAUUCUUUCCCAGAAACAUAACAUGAUAGGAGGUGCUAUACGAUCACGCCUUAGCCUUGCUACAAUCCCCUGGUGUAUCUGAAACAAUAAACUGAAACUAUAAGCCCGAAAGCUUAUUGAGUUACCCCUAAAAUACCGAUACACAUACAGUCCACAUAACAUCAUUAACAUUAACAUAUCAUAUCAAUAAAGAUAGAAUAGCGUGCAUGGGGUCCACAGCUUUACAAGCUGGACGACCCCUAGGCCCUUAGUAUGAGUCUAGAAUGCCUACCGGGCCCUUAGCUCGUAUCUGGAAUGCCAUCGAGCCCUCAGUACGAGUCUGGAAUGCCUACCGGGCCCUCAGCUCAUAUUUGGAAUGCUCCCCAAUCCUCAGUAUGAGUCUGGAAUGCCUACCGGGCCCUCAACUUAUAUCUGGAAUACUCUUGAGUCCUCAGUGUGAGUCUGGAAUCCCUAUCGGGCCCUCGGCUCAUAUCUGGAAUACUCUCUAGUCCUCAGUGUGAGUCUGGAAUACCUACCGGGCCAUCAGCUCAAAUCUGGAAUACUCCAGGGUUUGCUGGCUACCGCACGAAGCAGUACAACCUCAACCCAUCCCACAUAACAUGUCGACAUGUAACGGAUAAAUGCACAUACAGGUAAUCAAUUAGUAUCACAGGCAGUCCUACAGAUCUACCCGACUAGCAUAUCAACUGGCAUACAUUACUAACUCAACUCAACAUAUCAAUGACUACUAGGAUAUCAAAUUCUAUGGGCCGGCCUUGGUGCCUUAGACCCCUUAGUAUAGUGAGGAUAACUCACCUGGCAGAUGUCAGCUCGGUAAACAAUCACAGCUCUCUGAUCACUUGCCCAACGCUCCACCACCUAUUACCAUAAUACGAUCAUGCUCAUAAGUAUCUACUCGUCGAGUCCCUUUAUGGACUCGGCGAGUAGAUCACUAAUUCCGUGAUCCCGUGUCGACUCUACUCAGCGAGUAGGGCAUCAUUUACUCGUCCAGUAGGGCUUAAAAACUAAUUAAAUUCUUAAUUUAAUACCUGGGAAUCGGGGUGUUACAUUCUACCCAACAUAUUAGUAGAUAAAAUAUACAUUUUUAUACACAGUUUAAAACCUGUAUAGCAUGUUCAUUCAAUACACAUUCCAAAUAACAGAUGAGACACCUAUACAUAACACAUAUUUCGUAGAGAAUAAAGCACAACUAUGAGUUAGAAGAAAGUGAAUAUACAUUCACACAUAUAAACAACAAUAUAUACACAUAGCACGUAUUUCAUAUCAAAUACUUCAUAAUUAUGCGUUAGAAGAAAUUAACCACACACUCACCUGAAAAGACGAUGAUCGGACCACGCCUCGUCAAUUAAGAUAAUCUUUUGUGAUGAAACCGGGACGUUUUCUCUAAAACCGGGCUUCACGCGGAUAGAGCUUCGACUCGGGAAUUUUACUUCUCUGGAUCUUCGAGGCUUCGGGACUUGCUUCAGGGCUCGGGAAUGAUACCGGGGCUUCGGGGUAUUUCUUGCACGUAAAUAAAGGCAAAAACGAGAGAGAAGGAAGAAUUCGAGCACUAAAACUCAGCAACCCUCUACAUCUAUUUAUAGGGUGUUGAAACUCGUGUUACGAUGGGCGUAAUCUCAGAGUACGCUGGGCGUACUCCCUCUAUGAUCUGUAUGCAAGGCGUACAAAGCACUACACUACGCGUAGUUCGGAUCAGGUCGGAGUCGUCAUCGCUUACGAACUCGGAACACUCGAGUGGUUCAUGCAUCAGGGUACCCUGGGCGUACCGAGGUCCUACACUGAGCGUAUUUCAGAUCGGAUCAGUGACUCCUUUGGACAUUAUCCGAAAUAAAAAUUAAAUAAAUAUAUUUUAAUUAUUUAAAAAAUUUAGAAAAUCAUAUCUUCCUCAUACGAACUCCGUUUUUGACGAUCUUUAUAUCCAUGCGUAGGUGAGACUAAGAUCGACAACUUUCAUUUACACUUAGUCGGCUGAUUUCGACUUUUAUUUUUAUUAUAUUAUUUUUAGUAGGCCGAGACAGAAAAAAUCCAUUAUAAAUUCAUAACUUCUUCAUCCGACAUCCAUUUCCGUCUGUCUUUUUACCGUUGCACUACUAAUAAUGAGAUCUUCGAUUCUCGUUUAGAUUGUUUCGGCUAGACAUCACUCAAUCUCAUAAUCGAACUUCGGGUUGCAUACUACUAAGCUGAAACAUAGAAAAAUCCUAACUCCCUCAUAAGAAGUCAGAUUUGGGCAUUCUUUUUAUGCAAGCUCUCGGUUUAACGAACUCUACGACUUUCGUUUAGAUCACUAAGGCUAAAUGCCGCUCCAUCGUAAAUUCACUUUUUUUACGUUAUUCAGUGUCGUGCCAGUUCUGUCGCGAAACUUCAACAUAUCAUAACUUUUUCGUUAUAACUCGGAUUUUGGCAUUAUUUAUAUAUCCGGAAUCCUAGUUUCAACCACUACAACUUUAUUCAUAGAUAUCGACGUUAUUUAAUAUUCAUUUUGAUGAUAAUUUUUUAUCGUUAACUCAAUUAAGCCACACAACUAAGCAUAACACACAUAUACUCAAAUAAUACAUUUUUAUUAUUUCAAAACAAGUUACAAAAGUUAACCUAGACUAUUACAUUAAUAUUAAUGACGAGCCCAGAAACAUAGGCGUUACAAAAUGCUAACCUAACCGAUAAAAUUAGCAGUGUGACAUCCAAGAGUGAGGAGUGAAGGAUGUGGAUACAGAAGACGGAGUUAGAGUUAGUUAGAGCAAGAGAUUAGUUGAUAUAUUUGCAACGUGACAAUUUGAAGUUUUUAAAACAAAGGAAUAUUUUUUGUUUGAUUGCUAAACGUCUUUAUUCAAAUAUCACUACUAGAAAAUUGCCCUUUAAUGACGCGCAAACAAUGACACUCGCUGAUAGAGGACCCGUAUUUGUGCGUGCCCUAAAAAAUAAUGUCAAUUUUGCAAAAUAUGAAGGAUAGUGGACACGUAUUUGUGCGUGUUCUAAAAUUAGUGUCAGAAAAGAAAAACAUGGAAAUGCGGAGGGCACCUUUCAUAAAAUGUGUGCCAUCUAAGUGUGUCGCUUUAUAAUUUUUAAUGAAACAUGCGUUUUAAGCGGGAUUUCACCCACCUAUUGGAUCCCAAAAAUUAAACCCCCUGCCUCUUCCAAUUAGCAAGAAAAAGCCCUAGGGCCUUCGUCUUCAUAGCAUAAUUGCUUUUGCUUUCGUGAUCGAAUCCCUCACGACGACAAUUGUUUGGAUGUUUCCAAUCAUUUUCUCAGUGUUGUAAGCCAUUAUAGGGGCUGGUGUUAUGCAUUUUCUUUACUCAUUGACUGAUACGCAUUCUGCAACCAGGGAGCUGAACUCAUAGAGUCGGCGAUUGGGGUCUAUGACUCCUCACACUCAAAACGCCGGUGAUUUUAAGGUUUUUUUUAUCCCCGAUAUCAAAGAAGGACAACGGAUUUUAUGUUCUAGACCUUACAAGUGUGCACCUAAGAACUAGCGCUUUUAUAUCAGCGUGUUCAGGUGGAACAACGAUAUCCGCUCUUCCUUCUCGAAAGUUCAGUUGUAGGGUUUCGAAACUAUAGGGAUCAAUUUAGAGGUUAAAGAUAAGAAAUCGAAGGUUGAAGGUCAGAUUUGGGAUUAGAAGUUGGAUGUUCAUGGUCAGAUUGGAAGUAUCGGAAAUUAGGAAACGAAAAUGGAAGAGGCACCAGGUUUGAAUAUCAUUCUCUUCUUCUUAAUGUAUGUACCCUAGGUUAAUUUCUCUUACUUUAUCAUUUUAUUAUAUUAAUUUGGGGCUCUCUGCAUUUUCACAUACGUCUCUCCUCUCAUUCUACGUAACCUUAAACAAGCAAGGAAGAAUUUAAGGCUUAUUCGGUGUUCUUUAUAUAUUAUUCACUUUCUUUUCAUCAGGGUUUCUCGUAAUAUCCAUUCUUUCCUCUUCAUCUUUUCAUUUGUUUCUUUUUUUUGUAAAACUUGAUUUUCUCUGUUUUAGGAAUUGUAAUAGUUGCAUUUGGACUUCAAAAAUGAGGAAUUUGUUUUUAUGCCCUUAUCUGACUUCAUUGGAAUGUUCCUUAUCUGAGGAAUUGGAAAAAUAUUGGGAUUCAUGGUCAAAAAGGUAAUGGUGAUAAUGGCUAACCAUUUUAAUCCUAGGUGGAGAAGGUUUCUGGCUAUUUGGUUGAAAAUUAUGGUCUUUGGUUUGCAGGGAUUCUAGGUCUGCUAUCAUCUUUUAACUCUUUAUUUUACUCUAUUUCUUUAAGGAUUAUUUGUUACUGAGACGUGAUUUUUAGCUGUAAAUUACAAAUAAUGUAUGAACCAAUGUUUUUAUUUCAUUGUUUUUCUUGUCAUUGGGUUUCCAAUAAUACUCUGUCGUCUUCUUCAUCUCUUAGGAUUUCCAGUGUUUUUUCUGUCAAAUCUGAUUUCCAGUGUUAUUUUUAUGUUUUUAUAUUUAUUUUUUUAAUUAUCUUUAGAUUAUAGAAUUUGAAGAAGAGAAAAAGGGAUUGAUAACAAAACUACAGGUAAUUAAAUUCUUUACCCUUGUGGCUGUGAGUAAUCUUUGCCUUUUAAAAUAGUUUUCUCAAAUUUUUAUUGAUUUUAUAACUUUUUUUAGGUUAAAGGGAAGAUCUGCUUGGUACCUGACAAGUGUAUGUAUAUCAAGUCAAGUUGUAGAACUUUAUUUGUACGUGAUCAUAUGACUUUCUCUACUACUAUCUUAUUGCGUGCUUUGUUUCUUUCAGGAUGAGAGGUUGGUAUCUAUAACAUUUGUAGUUAAGCUUAUUUCUGGGAAUCAUUUCUAGUUAUUUGAUUUAAACUUUUCCACCUUUACAGGAUUUACUUUUAUGAGUUGUGUGUGGUUAUAGAAUUAGGGUGUGUUUGGGAAUAUAAAAUACUCCAAAAAGACUUUUUGACCACUUUGCCUAAUAGACCUAAAAGCAACGCUUUUGUUUCCUGGAUACAUAUUUAACCUGCAUUUUAUUCUAACGCCUUCAUCUGCUUCCCUUUCAUUGACUGUGCCUCUUUAUUCCUCCCUCUUGCUACCGCCUCCGACGUCCCUUCUAGCCUUCACUCUUCACCGGCCUUUUCUCCUCGCUGCCACCUCCGUUGCUCCAUGCCGCCACCUCCGUCGCUGCACUCUGCCGGUAUAUAUAUUAUGCCCUUUUCUCUUUUAAUCCUAGUUUUUUCCCAAAUCUUUCUCCAUCCUCAUUUUGAUGCUUUGUGGUUGAACAUUACUUGUUUUAGAUCAUUGUGCACAAUUUGAAGUCUCAUGCUGAGUCACAUAUGGAAAAUUUAUAAAAUCUGCUAUAAGUACCCAAAAAAAACUCCAAAAUCUGUUCUAUGUACACACAUGUUAAGUGUCACCUUGAGUUUUCAAGUGAAUAUUACAUAUUCUUGAGUUUUUUAUCUAUUGUGUAAGAUUUUUUCCAAGGUUAAAGUUAGUUAAAAUAAAUAACAUUUUUAUAUUCAUAAUAGAAAUGUUUUUUUUUUAAUUUUGUUAUUGAUUUUUGUAGGGUGAUUUGAACAGACUUUUUGUUACAGUCUAAACUGAUUGUUCUUAAUCUUGGGAGUCUCUGUAUUUAUGGAAGUAUGGUUUAUUGUAACAUAAAUCCUAUUUCUCUACUUAUUUUCUUUUCAAUAAUACCUUUUACUUCUUAAUAAUGAGAUUCAUAGAAGAAUUCUAUGUGGUACUACUUUAAUUUCUAUGUGAGGAAAUGACUCAGCACACUAGGAAAUCAACUAGGAUGUUCAGAAAAUAUCAUAUAUUUUCUACUUAUGUAUUCAGCUGACUUUUGAUCCGAUCUGAACCACAUUGAUUAAGCAGUAUGACUCACUUCUUGCGAUUAUUUAUUAAGAGGGUUUUCCAUUUAUAGCAUUUAUGCCUAGUUAAAAAUUUGAUAAUUUGUGAAGCCCUUUGUGCUGUUGAUUAUUUACUAUUGAUAAACUAUAGUAUAUCUAAUCUACCAUCAUGUCCACUAGAGUAAAAAGGGAUGCCAAUUUAGUAUAUUGGCUGCUAAAAUUAACCCAUGGUCUUAUGAUCUUUAUAACUUGUUACUUGUCAGUGGUCCAGUGUUAACAACUGAUUUGCAAAAAGCUAAUGCUAUUGCUGAUUGGCGUGGUCAUAUCAUGUUGUAUUCUUGUGAUUCAAGCCUGAAAACUUUGUGUCACUGACACAACUAAUUAAUGAAAGUUUUUACCUUUCAUGGUGGUGUGUUGUUAUUUAAAUUUUUGUCUUGUAUAACAUCAGGGCCAUGUGUAGGCAGGAUUUGGAGCGGAAUUGAGUUCAUGGUUCAAUUCAUGUGAGUCGGUUGCAAGGAAAAUUUCUUUUUUCUUCACAGAGACAUUUUCAGGUUAAACUAUCAUCAUAAGUUAAUGUUUCCAUGUUAAUGGCUUAUGGUGUUAUUAUAUUAUAAGUUUACAACUAAACAAUACUUGAUAGAAAUAUGAGUAUCUCACAUAAUAAGGGCAAUUGAGUCUUUCUACAUACACGAGUGACUGAGAUAUGUGAAAUGAAUUAAUAAUUGGAUAUUAGAAGACACUUAUUUCCAAAAAAUGAAUUGUUGAUCCAUUUUAAGGAAAUUGAUGGUUGAAUGUAUAGGCCAAGAUAGAAAAGAGACAAAAGAUAUGACUGGAAAAGGUCAAUAAAUUAUAGAACAAUCAAUUGGACUAAUAGUAAAUGUCUUUUAUAAUGGCCUUUAACGGAUUUAUCUUACCUUGUUUGUUGCUCUGUGUUUGAAGUAAGUUUCUUAGCAAGUAUUAAGCUUAAUGACUCAUUGCUACAACCAUUACAAAGAGCACAACCAUUCUUCGUGCUAGCUGGUCCCAAUGUGAUUGAAUCUGAAGAACAUAUUUUACAUAUGGCCAAACAAAUCAAGGCUAACACUUCAAAGUAUGUUCUUUAUUCUUAUAUCUGUAAUAUGUAAAUAAGCAUAUAUGUUUGAGUUUGACAGAUAUAAUACAAAUCAUGUUGCUUUCUUUUUCUUUUUGUUUUUGUUUUUGUUUUUUUUUCAGACUUGGAUUGCCAUUAGUUUUUAAGUCAAGCUUUGACAAAGCUAACAAAACCUCAUCAAAAUCUUUUCGUGCUCCUUCAAAGUGAAUCAUCUUGGAGCUGAGAAAAUAGUAAGAGAAAAGGUUCAUUUAUUUUUCUCACACCCCCGAACCAGACGGCGGAAACGUCAGGGGGCUGUUGUGACUCAAUUGAAUACCAUCACAAUGAAUAUACAUGAAACAUAACAUCAUACAUCACCAAACAUUGGAAUAUUACAACUGGUAGCGUUUACAUUUAGUACAUUGUUCCCUAACAUUACAUGCCCAAAAAGUAGAUUGUUCGGUACUAAUUAAACAAGCAGCAAAACGUCACUGAGUACACUUAUCCCUUCGAUUUAUCUGUUACCUGAGAAUACAAGUAUUUUGAAAAACGUCAACAUAUGAAAUGUUGGUGAGUUCAUAAGUAAUGUUUGAAAUCCAAUGUUUGUAUUGUUUCGAAAACCACCAGAAAAUCCGAUAUUUUCUGAAAAAAAGUAUAGUGUAAAAAGUGUGAAGAUCCGUAAGUAUGCUUGUUUGUUUUCUAUAGAUGUAAGCGUACGAUUUGUAAAACUCGGUAUGUAGUUCGUAGGUGUAUUAGUUGAAAACCCUAGGAAAACCCGACGUUUUCCUAUCACUUUACUUUAAUUAGUUUAUGUGUUGUUAAUUUGUUACGAUAGGGGUAUUCGUUGAGCUAAGGAGACGUUGGAUUAAUAGUGGAUUGUGAAUUGUUGUAACGUACAUUAAUGAAAACGAACAGUUGACAACCGUACAAACGAUCCGUUAGGCGUCGCUUGCACUUAUUCACUUAACCCAACCCCCCGGACUCAUGUAGCCCCACGACCGAGGGGAAAAAGAAGGUGCGAAGCCCCCGGUAUUUCCCUACGUCGUUCAAGGCUAUAGUGAAUGCGAAGGGCCCUUAGCCCAACUCGCAUUGGUGAAUUCUCGACUUCGCUAGCAGUACCGAAGGACCCUUGGGGACCAGCAGCACGUUUGCCAUUGAAAGUCCUUUUACACGGAAUUAAGUCGUAUUAGACCCAACUACAUGUAAGCAAAUUUCCUUCGGGCCUAAAGAUCAUGUCAUUGGGCUAGCUAGGCCCAACAAGCAUGAUUUGAAACUUUUGGGCCCAAGGACGGAGUGUCGACGUCUAGUGUGUUUCCGCGUGUGUAUAGAGUUUCCGAGAGUUCCAUGUGCGUAUUGACGUAUCGUAGCGUUAGUAAUUUCGGAUUUGUUAUUGAUUCGAGACCGAAUCAAUUCGUUCGAUAACGAUUGUUGGUAUUGUAGGUGUAUUGUAAUUUGCCGAGAGUCGAGAUACUAGCGUUUCAUCGUGUCGGAUUCGUGUUUGUUAUUGUUUUGUUUAUUUUGGCUUUGAUUAUUUACAUGAUUGAUAUCUAAAGCCCACUUCUUGUAAAAUGAUGCUCUUGGCCCAAUAAGCCAAAAUUUUAGGAUUAAGGCCCAAUUUUUGUAAGAAUGACACUUUGGUCUCCAUUUUGUUCAAAACUUGUUUUGAUAACUAUUUUGUAGUAAAAACAACAUUUUGAAACCCCUUUUUGUCAAAAAUAACAUUCUUAGCUUGAGUUUUGUGAAAACGCACAUUUUCUGGUUUUUGAACUUUUCCGACCUAGUUGUUUGAAAAUUUGUAGAAAAAUCAUCGUAAGUCGAAAUUUGGAUCCGUAAACUCUCAAAGUUUAGAAAUUUUGUCUACUUUGUUCCAAAAUUUUCUCAUAAUUUUUAAUGGCUUCUAACAAGUGUGAAAUUGUUCAUCUUCACAGGUUGGUCCGAUAUUAUUUCAAAUAUGAUAGGCUGUUUUGAAAAAUUCGCCAAAAAUUGUAGAAAAAUCAUAUGAAAACGUGCGAGUAGUCAUUUUAAAGGUAUGAACCUGAAACUUAUCCAUGUAAAACAGUUUUGAAAAAUACUUCCAUUUGGAUGGUCAAAACAGUCUGAGAUUGGACCAAAACUUUCCUGUCAAGGGCUGUUUAGUGAGUUUAGCUUAUAGAUCUUUGAAUACAACACUCAUUUUUGCUAUUUCAAGUGUACAAAUCCCAGAUCUAAAAGUUUAAAUGCAUUAUAUGUGAUAAAACAUACUUUUCUCAUGAUUCAUACGGAGAUCCUAGUGAUACACUUCAAGUUUCUUAACAUAUUUUUAGAUUAGUGAAGAAAUCAACACAUAAUCACCAUAUGUUUCAAGAAAACACACAUAAUCAUGCAUAAAUACAUAGAUCUACACAUAUGACUUGUAUUCUCCCCCCCAAAACAAGUGAAAACAGAAAUCAAGGGGGUAUGAACUCACCUUGAAGAUUCCAAGUGGUAGAAUGAGAAGAAGGAGUUGUUGGACCUAGCUUGGUGUAGUUUUUGAAGAUCACUCGAAAUUUGAUGGAGUUCUAGAGUCAUACACACGAAAAUGGUGGGUGCAUGGAGUGAUCUUAAGAAUAAACAUGAAACAAACACUUUGAGUUUCAUAAAGAUCUUACGUAGUUUGUGAGUUUUGAAGAAGGAUUCUUGAGGAUGACUCCUUCCUUGAAGAUGAUCUUGAAUAUUUUGAGGGAGAAUAGGAGGACUUGAGAGUGUUUGGAGAGUAAAUUGGAAAUUGAUUUUUGUGAGUGUGUGUGAUGUGUUGUGGCCGAGAGUUUAAGGUGGGGGUUAGGAAGGAUUGGUUAAAUGGUUAUUACAUGAAAGUUUAACAUCUUCAACCUAGAUAUAUGGGGGAUUUUUGCAUGGAUAUACAACAUAUAUUAAUGAGGUGUUAAGUAUUAGAAAAAUCCCAUUCUCUUUUUUUUUUUGUAUAAAUAUUAACACAUUGGGCCGAGAAUGGGCUCAAUGAAUGAAGGUGAAAUAGCUUUGGGCUCAAAUCCAUGGCUUAGAUUGAAUUUCAUAAGCCUAAUAAUAUUUUUCGGCCCAUUGGGCCCUUAUUAAGGGUCUCGGCCCAAUAAGGUCCAUGAGAAAGGUGUGGGGCAUUUUAGGCCCAUUAAAGCCCAAAAUACUAUAUCUUAAUGAAUGUGAGUUCAAAUAGGGCCCAAUUAGGGUUUCUAGGCCCAAGAUAGUCAACUUGAAGGUUUAUUGGUCCAUUAGGCCCAAUAAGAGAAUCCUAGGCCAUAGUGAACUUGAAAUGGGAUAUCUAGGGUUUCCAACCCUUAUUUGAGCAUAUGAGAUAUAUUUGAAUGAGAAUGGAGUAUAGUAUUCACUUAGAGUAUAGGCUCUUACAAUGGAUGAUGUUUAUAUGAGAAUAGAAUUUCCUAGCAAGAUGCCAGUUGUGACAUCAUCCUCCCGUUAGAGGGAAUUUCGUCCCGAAAUUCUUUCGAAAGGUAGGUUCAUGAAUGAGAGAGUAGGUACUUCAUCUGAUCUUCGCGUUUCCCAUGUGAAUUUCGGUCCACGCUUAGCGUUCCAUCGAAGCUUCACAAUCAAAAUGUGGCUUUGUUUUGUAUGCUCUACUUCCCUAUCUAAAACACCUCGACUGGUUCUUUGACGAACAUGUGAUUCUCAUUUAUUUCGAUUUAUUGUAAAGGAAUGAUAAGAGUCUCAUAUGAUAUGCAUCUUUUCAGAUUCGAGACACGGAACACAGGGUCUACGUUUCUGAGCUCUACUGGUAGCUGCAGCCUAUAAGUCUUUGCACCAAUCCGAUCAAGAAUAUCGAACAGUCCAAUGUAUCGCGGGUUCAGUUUUCUCGUUUCCUAAAGUGAAUCACUCCUUUCCAAGGAGGUUCUUUUAAUCACACGCGAUCCCCGACAUGACAUCCUAAUGGCUUACGCCGCUUGUCAGCAUAGCUCUUCGGUCGGUCUUGCGAUGCUUGAAGUUAAGCUUUGAUUUGGAUUAUCUUCUCUGUUGUUUUGCAAAUGGUUUCUGGGCUCAUGUUAGUACUGGCGAGUGAUCUGCAUUUAUGACUAUAAGGAAGCCUCGAAAAGAGCAACCCUGAUGCUUGUGCGAUAGCUGGUAUUGUAGGGGAAUCCAAUCAUGGGCAAUCGGGUAUCCCAUGACUUGCCGAAUUCAGAUUCCCAGACUUGUCACAUGAAUUCGAGUGGUUGAAUGGUUCGUUUGCUUUGGCUAUUGGUUUGAGGGUGGUAAGCAACGCUCAUUCUUAGCUAUGUUCCCAUAGCCUUCUCAAAUGACUGUCAAAGUCUCGAAGAAAUCCUGUUACCUCGAUCCGAGAUAGUAGAUACCGAUAUUUCAUAGAGUCUCACGAUCUCCUUGAUAUAGAUGCAUGUAAAUCUUUCUGUCUUGUUUGAUUUUAGUAUUAGCAGGAAAUAGGCAGUUUGGGUUAACCUAUCGAUGAUCACCCAAAUAACGCCCAAUUUAACUUGCGUACCUAUAAGCUUUGUCUUUCAACUUCGAGAGUUUUAUCCAUCCAUGCAGUGCUUUCUUCGCGAUAUUCUCCGGCUUCGAUGCUUUCAAGGCUGGUAGUAGGUGUUGACAGUGUUUCGUUCUCGCUUCGUGGGCAGACGAGUAUGUUAUUGAUGAAAAUAAUGAAAAGGAAUGGUUGGGAAGACUUGGUUCGUAGGGUCCAUGAAUAGUGUGGGAGCAUUCGUUAGACCGAAGGGUAUCAUAAUGAAUUUGAAAUGGUCGUGACGAGUUCGGAAGGCAGUUUUUGAAAUGUCGCUUUCUCGGACUCGAAGUUGAUGAUAACCGAUUCUUAUAUCUAUUUUUAAGGAGUAACGAGCUCCUUGGAGCUGGCCAAAUAGAUCGUCAGUCCGAGGAAGUGGGUAUCGAUUUGAUAGGGNCUUAUUCAAUUUCCUAAAAUCGAUGUACCUUCCGAAGGAUCCGUCUUCUUGAAGAACAAGACCGGAGCAUCUCCAAGGUGAGAAGCUUGGUCUGAUGAAUCCUUCGCUCGGAAAUUUUCUUGAUUGCCUGGAUAACUUCUGAAUUUCAGCGGAAGCUAACCUAUAGGGUGAAUUGGCGAUUGACGUUGUUCCCUGUACGAGGUUGAUUCGAAAUUCGACCUGUCUCUCUGGGAUAUUCCCGAAAGUUCUUUGGGGAACACAUUUGGAAAAAAUCACAUGUUACUGGAAUACCUUGUAUGCCUACCUCUUCUUUGGUCUUGUCCACAACAUGAGUGAGGAAAAUGUAGUCUUCUGGUGCAGGCACUUCUAUGCCUUGAUGCACGAGAUAGGAAAAGUAUUGGUGCCAGGUUUAUCACCAUGGAUUAUUAGAGUUUUCAUGAUUAGGAAGGUGAAGGAAAACGGCCUUCUCGCGACACAUAGUAUCAGUACGGUGGGGGCUUAACCCAACCAUGACGAUUAUCACAUUAAAACUCCUAAUAUUUACUAGCAUGAACUCUAUUUGUAAUGAAUGGUUGUUUAGUGUUAAGGUGUACUCCACAUAAGUACCCUAGGUUAAAUCGGUUUUCCCCACUGGCCAUGUCCAUUGAAAAGGCUUAGCUUAGCUUUGGGGAUGUUGUUUUUGUAAGUGUUUGAGUAUGUUACUAACGAAACUUCGCUCAGAUUUACCAUUGAAUAAGAGGUAAACGAAAGAGUUGUCAAGCGGGAACGUACCAGUAACAACCGUUGGGUCUUGGAUUGAUUCGCCUUGACCUAAGGUCAGGACCAUUUCUGAUCCUUCUGCUCCUUGAUUGUUAUCCCUAGGGAAAUUGCGCCUGAUGUGACCAGUUCCUCCAUACCUAUAGUAGGUGUGACUGGUCUCAUCAUUGGUGUUGUUGUUAGGGUUGUUGCGAUUGUUGUCGUUUUCAUUUGGCUGACGAUUCUGGCAUGGAUAAGUUCUACAGAAUUUGGUGAUGUGAUUCUUUCGGUUGCAUUUGUUACAAUGCAUCUCCCUGCAGGCUCCAUUAUGAUGGAAUUUGCACUGGUUGCAUUUUGGAAGGUUUCCAGCAUAUGGUCUCCUGGUUGCUGGUGUAAUAGGGGUCGUGGUCGCAUGAACAGCAACAACAUGUUGCUCCCUUGAGAACCCUUGAGUGUGUCGCCCCUUUCUCUUACUUCCAGACCUCAGCUUCCUGCUCUUGAGCUUGGGGUUUGGAGUUCCUUGACAGGUUGUCACUUGUUGGUUUCCAUGUUUGUUCCUUUGGCUGGAGUCGUAAAUGCUAUUCCCGUCUCCAUUAGGGUUGUUUGCAUUGAUUUGUGUCAUAGCAACGGUUACUGCUGCCAUUACAGCAGCUUGAAAUGUAGCAGAGUCCAUCUGCAGGAGUGGUGUCUCGCGGGUGCGCUUGUUAUUCUUGCGGGAUGGCAUUUUCCUGAUGCACGUUGAUAAUCCAGAUUGUAAGUAAUGAUCGUCAUUCCUGGUUGUACUCUAUAAAUUUUGCAUCUUGUUGUAUACUUCUUACUGCUUCCAUCUACAUCCCUAUGAUGUAUUUGUGGUAGUAAGUAAUCACAGAUUUGGCGCGAUUGUUACGUCUAUCCUUAGAAUAUAUGGGUUGUUUUGGUUUCGAGAUCCUUAAGUAUCUAGUGGUCUCGAGGGUUCGCUUGUGCAUAUAAUUGAGUCUUUGUAGCAAUAUGAAAUAAAUAUAACACAUAAUUGUUUCAGGGGUAAGUACCAUCUUAGUACACGAAAGAGAGUCAUGUCGGAUAGUAGGGGGAACUAGAAAAGGCCGAUCCUAAUCGUGGCGGGAAGUGUCUGGUGGUGGUGCUGGUGAAGUGGAUGCACCUCGGAGACGAGCUACUUGUUGGUCGGUAUCUCGUAGGCGUACCCCCCCCCCUCCCAAACUAACUGUCUCGCUCGAGAGUCUCCAUUCACUUCCUGUGUUUGCCUCUCAUCCCUCUCAAUAGCAAACCACAUUUGUUCCGUUCGAUUUGGGGUGUCCUGAGCUUGGUUAUCAAUACCUUGGGUGCGUCGUACCAUGAUUGGGAGGGCCUGGUCAGCUGGUCCUCUAUGGCUAAUGGUCGGAGAGACCUCGGUUCCUAUCCUAGUGUGAUCGUAUCCCCUGCUGGCGACUCUAUCUCCAAAUUUCGUAAGUCCAGGGGGGCAUGGGGCCACCGGGGCCCAAACGAUAAGUCGGUACUCUGGCUUUUCAUGGAUGAUUGAUGACAUCAGAUUCUACAUCCGAGUCAUCAUCAUCAUUGCCCUUGGGCUCUUCCUCUUCGAGGUCCACUAUUGACUCAGCGGGUUCACCUGUGAGUUCUACUUCAUGUUCCUCCUGUGGUUCUUCCUCUGGGUCGAGCCACCCUACUUUUCCUUGACUAGGGAGAUAGGGUUUCCUGACUAAUGAUACUUGUCUAUAGCGUAUUGCACGAAGGGCUAUGAAUACUAGAAUCAAAUAGCAUACCAAUUACUCCUAUAAUCCUACAACUAUUGCAUAGAUUUAGUUGGGGUUCCCUUCUUGGGGAUUAAGGGGUAUGUUUUUAGAUUCCCUAGCUAUCACGACUUCUUCAAGACAUGUGAUGGUUGUACCUUGGAGGGAAUGUAGUUGAUCAGGCUACAUCCACUCCUUGAUACAACUAAGAACAGUCUUGGAUUAACCAGGAUACUAGCAUUAUCUUGUUUUGUUCGGUGUUAGGUUCUCGUUCCUAAUACAAGAAAGGGUGUUUUAUUGUUAUGUUUUACUUGUUUUGUUCAGAGUUAUGUUAGUCCCUCUUUUGGUUUAUAGUUGCAUAUCAAUGUAUGGUUAGAUAUGCUAGUUCACUAUAAACAGAGCUCUGAUACCAACCUGUCACACCCCCGAACCAGACGGCGGAAACGUCCGGGGGCUGUCGUGACUCAAUUGAAUACCAUCACAAUGAAUAUACAUGAAACAUAACAUCAUACAAUACCAAGCAUUGGAAUAUUACAACUGGUAGCGUUUACAUUCAGUACAUAGUUUCAAAAUAUUACAUUCCCAAAAGUAAAUUGUUCGAUAUUAAUUAAACAACAGCAAAACGUCAUAGAGUACAAUUCUUCCUUCACUUUAUCUGUUACCUGAGAAUACAAGUAUUUUGAAAAACGUCAACAUAUGAAAUGUUGGUGAGUUCAUAAGUAAUGUUUGAAAUCCAAUGUUUUGUAUUGUUUUGAAAACCACCAGAAAAUCCGAUAUUUUCUGAAAAUAGUAUAGUGUAAAAAGUGUGAAGAUCCGUAAGUAUGCUUGUUUGUUUUCUAUAGAUGUAAGCGUACGAUUUGUAAAACUCGGUAUGUAGUUCGUAGGUGUAUUAGUUGAAAACCCUAGGAAAACCCGACGUUUUCCUAUCACUUUACUUUAAUUAGUUUAUGUGUUGUUAAUUUGUUACGAUAGGGGUAUUCGUUGAGCUAAGGAGACGUUGGAUUAAUAGUGGAUUGUGAAUUGUUGUAACGUACAUUAAUGAAAACGACCAGUUGACAACUGUACAAACGAUCCCUUAGGUGUCGCUUGCACUUAUUCACUUAACCCAACCCCCCGGACUCAUGUAGCCCCACGACCGAGGGGAAAAAGAAGGUGCGAAACCCCCGGUAUUUCCCUACGUCGUUCAAGGCUAUAGUGAAUGCGAAGGGCCCUUAGCCCAACUCGCAAUAGUGAAUUCUCGACUUCGCUAGCAGUACCGAAGUACCAUUGGGGACCAGCAACACGUUUGCCAUUAAAAGUCCUUUUACACGGAAUUAAGUCGUUUUAGACCCAACUACAUGUAAGUAAAUUUCCUUCGGGCCUAAAGAUCAUGUCAUUGGGAUAGCUAGGCCCAACAAGCAUGAUUUGAAACUUUUGGGCCCAAGGACGGAGUGUCGAUGUCUAGUGUAUUUCCACGUGUGUAUAGAGUGUCUGAGAGUUCCAUGUGUGUAUUGGCGUAUCGUAGCGUUAGUAAUUUCGGAUUUGUUAUUGAUUCGAGACCGAAUCAAUUCGUUCGAUAACGAUUGUUGGUAUUGUAGGUGUAUUGUAAUUUGCCGAGAGUCGAGAUACUAGCGUUUCAUCGUGUCGGAUUCGUGUUUGUUAUUGUUUUGUUUAUUUUGGCUUUGAUUAUUUACAUGAUUGAUAUCUAAAGCCCACUUCUUGUAAAAUGAUGCUCUUGGCCCAAUAAGCCAAAAUUUUAGGAUUAAGGCCCAAUUUUUGUAAGAAUAACACUUUGGUCUCCAUUUUGUUCAAAACUUGUUUUGAUAACUAUUUUGUAGUAAAAACAACAUUUUGAAACCCCUUUUUGUCAAAAAUAACAUUCUUAGCUUGAUUUUUGUGAAAACGCACAUUUUCUGGUUUUUGAACUUUUCCGACCUAGUUGUUUGAAAAUUUGUAGAAAAAUCAUCGUAAGUCGAAAUUUGGAUCCGUAAACUCUCAAAGUUUAGAAAUUUUGUCUACUUUGUUCCAAAAUUUUCUCAUAAUUUUUAAUGGCUUCUAACAAGUGGGAAAUUGCUCACCUUCACAGGUUGGUCCGAAAUUAUUUCAAAUAUGAUAGGCUGUUUUGAAAAAUUCGCCAAAAAAUAUAGAAAAAUCAUAUGAAAACGUGCGAGUAGUCAUUUUAAAGGUAUAAACCUGAAACUUACCCAUGUAAAACAGUUUUGAAAAAUACUUCCAUUUGGAUGGUCAAAACAGUCCGAGAUUGGACCAAAACUUUCCUGUCAAGGGCUGUUUUGUGAGUUUAGCUUAUAGAUCUUUGAAUACAACACUCAUUUUUGCUAUUUCAAGUGGACAAAUCCCAGAUCUAAAAGUUUAAAUGCAUUAUAUGUGAUAAAAACAUACUUUUCUCAUGAUUCAUAUGGAGAUCCUAGUGAUACACUUCAAGUUUCUUAACAUAUUUUUAGAUUAGUGAAGAAAUCAACACAUAAUCACCAUAUGUUUCAAGAAAACACACAUAAUCAUGCAUAAAUACAUAGAUCUACACAUAUGACUUGUAUUCUCCCCCCCAAAACAAGUGAAAACAGAAAUCAAGGGGGUAUGAACUCACCUUGAAGAUUCCAAGUGGUAGAAUGAGAAGAAGGAGUUGUUGGACCUAGCUUGGUGUAGUUUUUGAAGAUCACUCGAAAUUUGAUGGAGUUCUAGAGUCAUACACACGAAAAUGGUGGGUGCAUGGAGUGAUCUUAAGAAUAAACAUGAAACAAACACUUUGAGUUUCAUAAAGAUCUUACGUAGUUUGUGAGUUUUGAAGAAGGAUUCUUGAGGAUGACUCCUUCCUUGAAGAUGAUCUUGAAUAUUUUGAGGGAGAAUAGGAGGACUUGAGAGUGUUUGGAGAGUAAAUUGGAAAUUGAUUUUUGUGAGUGUGUGUGAUGUGUUGUGGCCGAGAGUUUAAGGUGGGGGUUAGGAAGGAUUGGUUAAAUGGUUAUUACAUGAAAGUUUAACAUCUUCAACCUAGAUAUAUGGGGGAUUUUUGCAUGGAUAUACAACAUAUAUUAAUGAGGUGUUAAGUAUUAGAAAAAUCCCAUUUCUUUUCUGUUUUUUUUUUGUAUAAAUAUUAACACAUUGGGCCGAGAAUGGGCUCAAUGAAUGAAGGUGAAAUAGCUUUGGGCUCAAAUCCUUGGCUUAGAUUGAAUUUCAUAGGCCUAAUAAUAUUUUUCGACCCAUUGGGCCCUUAUUAAGGGUCUCGGCCCAAUAAGGUCCAUGAGAAAGGUGUGGGGCAUUUUAGGCCCAUUAAAGCCCAAAAUACUAUAUCUUAAUGAAUGUGAGUUCAAAUAGGGCCCAAUUAGGGUUUCUAGGCCCAAGAUAGUCAACUUGAAGGUUUAUUGGUCCAUUAGGCCCAAUAAGAGAAUCCUAGGCCAUAGUGAACUUGAAAUGGGAUAUCUAGGGUUUCCAACCCUUAUUUGAGCAUAUGAGAUAUAUUUGAAUGAGAAUGGAGUAUAGUAUUCACUUAGAGUAUAGGCUCUUACAAUGGAUGAUGUUUAUAUUAGAAUAGAAUUUCCUAGCAAGAUGCCAGUUGUGCCAAUUUUGACCUGUUAACAAAAUGAUAACCUUUUAAUGUUUAUAGAAUGGAAAUUGUCUUAAGUAAACAAAACAUUAGGCUGUAUCUAGUCCGUGAAUGAAUAAGAUCAUGAAGCCAUUGCAUAGGUGUUGGGCCUCCAAGUUGACUUCUGGGCACUGAGUAGUUCUUCUUGAUUCUUAUAAAAACAUAGAAAUUUACAUUGCAAUGUAGUGUCUUCAAGAGCUUUUCAAAUUCCUCUAUUGUACUAGAUUCGUCACAACAAUCGGUUUCCCUCCUUGCCUUAUAAUUCUAUCAACUUCUACAAUCACAAGUGCGAUUUUACACUUGCAUUCAGGUUAUAAAAGUUAUAUGACAUUAUAAUCAAUGAUCUCAAUACAAAUUUACAUUGCAUGUAGUGGAUUCAACAAGUUAUUUUUGGUUUUUGGCUUAUUUUUACAUAUUGGGAUUUGUUGGUUUAUGUGAAUCUAAUGGUUGCAUUAUUCAAAUUUUUAGGUCUUGUUGAUGUGCAUAGUCUCAAGCAAAGUAACUCAGAUGUUGGGAAGGUGGGCAACAAGUUCUUGUAGUUCAACUAUUAUUUGUUGAUGACUUUCAUCUCUUUCAUAUUUGAUGUACUACAUUUGUCUCAUGUUGUAAUGAUUAUUUGUAUGACAUUAAAUUUUGUGCAAUGGAUUGUAUUUUUUUGUAUAUGGUAUUUUAUUUUAUAUUAUGAGACAUGAAAUGCAAAUUUAAUUUGAAAAUUAGUAAAUCAAUAAAUAAUUUAAAAAAAAAAAUUUAAAUUACAAUACGCAAAAAUGUGUGUCAUCUUCGUUUAUGACAUGCCCUUUCUUGACAGUGGCUUCAAUGAUACACAUUGCAUGUCAUAAAUGUGUGUCGUAAAUGCUCGUCGUCUAUAGACGACACGCAAAAGCAUGUCGUCUCCCGUUAUGACAGGGCCUUCCUUGAUGCGCAUUUGCGCGUCGUCUGAGCGUUUUACGACACGCAUUGCGCGUCGUAAAAGGUUGUUUUUCUAGUAGUGUAUUACUUAGUUACAUCUAAAUUGUGAUAUUGGCAAAAAGAUUCAGAAAAUGAUUUUGCCCUUCCUUGAACUAAAGGAAGACGAAAUAGAUGCUGAUUGUUAUAAAUGUGAAUCUAUUGUGUCUUCAGAUGAGAUUUCGGAUGCCUACAGAAUUGGACUAGAUAAAUUGAGUCCUUUGUUAAGUCCAAAGACCAUAAAGAGAUGCUUAGAAAUCUAUUGGACGAAAAUGUCAAAUUAAAAAUCAAGAUUGAAACCAUGUAGAAAUUUGACUAAUUGUGUACCAAGUUAAGUUCAGAAAACCAAAUGAAUGUGGAAAACACUUCUGAAUUUGAUGAGGACAGUGAUAUGAGUGAAAUCUCUGUAGAGGACGAGGUUGACUGUUCAGAGUUUCUUCAAAGUGAACCCAAACCUGAAAAGGAUCUCAUAUCUGAAAAUUAUGUUGAGUUCGAUCGUAUGUCCAAGGACAAGUCUAAAGUCUUUAAAGAGAAAGCGGUUAUAUAUCAAAAGGUGCAAACAGUACCGAAUCAAGUGUAUGCCACCACUGGAGUUACCAAGAAGCAAAUAGUUGAGCUAACUUCUCUAGUAAAUAAAGAUAAUGCUGAUGGUUGUGAAGAAUAUUUCUGGUUAGCUCCCAUUGAUAAUGCAAAUGAAACAGUUGGUCUGUCGGAGCGAACAUCAUGGAGGGUCAAGGGCAGAUACGUGGCUGAACCUCUUAACAAGCCCUCAAGCUUUGAUAAGCCAAGCUCAAGUGGCACUAAAGAAAUACAAAGGGUACCAAUAAAGGAAUCAAGAGAAUCAUCUUCAAUAAAAAGCAAAGCUCGUGUAGAAAGACCGAAGCCAAAAGCAAAUAUUCACAAGUCUUAAAAACAAAUUGUUGAACAGAAAUGCCAGCGGAACAUGAGAUAUCAAAAGAAUCUCAAUGAGAGAAAAUAGUUUUGGCAGUCCUAAAACUCCGGUUAUGUUCACAAGGAAAAGGUGUCCAAUCUCAAGGCGAAAGAAAGAUCAAAGGCUAACUUUGAUCCAUGGACUCACUGCCAAUCUUGCAGUCAUACGAACCGAAGAAGAGGUUUCGGUCCCCAAUCUAGUAGUGACAUUAACCGAAAGUGUAGUUUCGGUCCUAAAUCCCAUCCUCCUCAUCACCAACCAAAGCCGAACCCUGUCAAGGAUGUGAAAGGGAAGGGAAAGUUGGUCUCGGACUCUAAAGUGCACACGAAGAAGACUUCAACUAACCCUAGGAAUCAAAAGACUAGUUUCAAUAAGAAUCAAAAUAAAGAUAAACUGUCUGAUUCAAACAAACCAAAACAAGAAAAUGAUAAAAUCAAAGUUUUUACCAUAAAAAAAGAUGAAAUCACACUAAUAAAAAGAACAUAUAUGGUUGAUCUUUCUGUUGCACUUCCCUAUUCUGUGAAAGGCUCAUGAGGACCCAAGAAAUUUUGGGUUCCUAAAUCUGCUUAAUUAUUGCAGGUAUUAAGUGACAAGCAGUUCGACGACGAAUCAUACAUUGAUAGUAGCUGCUCGCGUCACAUGACGUGAAGGAGGGAAGAUCUGAGAGAAUUUCAGGCUCUCAAAGAUGGUGGAUGUGUCAAGUAUGGACACAACUCAUAUGGCACGAUCAAAGGCUAUGGCAUGAUCAUAAACGGAUACUUCUCAAUCUGAAAAGUUGCCUAUGUAGAGGGAUUGCAGCAUAAUCUUAUAAGUGUCUCGUAAUUGGUUGUGGGGACUGGGAUGAAGAUCUUAUUUGAUGAUGAGGGAUCUGAGAUCCUAGAAAAGAAGACAAAGACAGUUAUGUUGAAGUCCAAACGCAAAGGUGAAAUGUAUCCUCUAAAUCUCAAUCUGAUACGAGGGAAGCCUGCAAUAUGCCUACUGACGAAAUCUAACUUAGAUGAAAGUUGGCUAUGGCACUCAAGGCUCUCGCAUUUUAAUUUCAAAGAUGUGAAGAAGAGACUUCUUGGUGAUCAUGUGCAAGGACUUCCACUUCUCAAGUUUGAUAAGGAAAAUUUGUGCACUGCAUGCGAGAUGGGAAAGCAAAGCCAAAAGAGUCAUCCCACACUUGUUAAUACAAAGAUCAAUGAAACACUUGAACUUCUACACAUCGACCUAUGUGGGCUUUCAGCAAUCGAGAGCGUUGGUGGUAGUAUGUACAUAUUCGUUAUUGUUAAUGAUUUUUGACAUUUCACCUGGGUUCUCUUUCUUAAACAGAAGUCAGAGGGGACUCCAAAGCUCAAAGCAUUUAUAAAUCAAGUAGAGCUUCAACUACGAAAGGUGGUUAGAAAUAUCCGAAGUGACAACGGGUUGGAAUUCAAAAACCAAGAGUUUGAAGGAUUUCUUGUUGAUAAAGGGGUGUCUCACAACUUCUCUGCUCCCUAUACUCCACAACAGAAUGGUAUAGUUGAAAGGCGAAACCGUUCAUUGUGUGAAAACGCCCGAACCAUGCUUAGCUUCACUUCUCUACCUUUUGUACUUCUAGGCUGAUGCAAUAGCCGCUCCCUGCUAUUCCCAGAACCGAUCCUUCCUCAAUAAGUGAUUUAAUAUCAUUUCGUAUGAUAUUUUGAAUAAUCGUAAACCAAAUGUCAAGUUUUUCCAUGUUUUCGGUUCUAGGUGCUUCAUUUUCAAUUCUAAAGAGAACCGAAACAAGUUCGAUGUAAAGGCAGAUGAAUGGAUUUUUCUUGGUUACUCUCUCACUUCAAAGGCAUAUAGGGUUCUGAAUAAACGUUCAACGAAAAUUGAGGAAACCUAUUAUGUCACCUUUAAUGAUAGUUACAUAAAUAAACAUCAAUCAAACGAAGGUCCAAUGGAGGAAAUCUUUCCAAAAUCAGGUCAAGUCUCAGUUCCAAUAUCCAAUCUAUUUGAAGAGUACAUGUUUCUCUUUGAUGAACCGGAAAAGGAAAUUCUCUCUGAAGCAAAGGCAGCUGACAAUAAAAUUGACAACUUGAAGAAGAUCAUCGAUGAAGCUGCAAAAGAAAUGGAAAGCACACCUCAAGGUCCAUCAAGCAGCAAGGUCCAAGCGAACCUCAGGACUCCAGCAAACGUCUCGUAUCAAGUGAAUCUCCAAAAGUUAGCUCAAGAUUCCAGGGGGAGGGUUCAUCUACAUCAACAAGAUCUGAUUUGCCUUUCCAGGGGGAGAGUCCAUCACCAACAACAACCCACGAACGUCCAGUAGAGGAAGUGAAUACUGAACCUAAAAUUGAUCGUAGUUCAUCAUUCGAGGGGGAGAAUAAUCAUAGAAAUGACGGAGAUGAUCAAUCUGAAUUUUAAGAGGAGAUAAAAGCUGAAUUGGAUCCUAUUUGUGAUCCAAACUACCAUCCAAUCACAAAAUGGACUAGAGAUCAUCCGAAAACUAAAAUGUUUGGUGAAUCAUUUGAGGGAGUUCUUACACGCUCUCAAAUAAAAGCGAAGCAAACUCAUCUAUUCUCUCAAGUAGAAUUUUGUAUGUUUAAUUCAUUUGUCUCCAAAAUAGAAUGAAAACUAUCAACACAACUCUCGAUCACUCUGAUUGGGUGUAGGCUAUGCAAGACGAACUCAAUGAAUUCGAGUGAAACCGGGUUUGGAGACUAAUCCCCACACCAAAGGAUGCAUCUGUAGUUAGGGUCAAAUGGUUUUUCAGGAACAAGAUGGAUAAUGAAGUGAAUGUGAUACACAACAAAGCUAGGCUGGUGGUGAAAGGGAUAUUGUCAAGAAGAAGGGAUAGAUUAUGAGGAGUCCUUCGCUCUAGUGGCAAGGUUGGAAUCGGUGCGAAUCUUUCUGGCAUACGCUACACACAAAAAAUUUGAAGUUUUUCAAAUGGAUGUAAAGUGUGUAUUCUUGAAUAGAGAACUAGAAGAAAUUGUGUACGUUGAGCAACUACCUGGAUUUGUGAACGAGAAGUAUCCUGCUCAUUGCUACAAUUUGCAUAAAGCGAUCUGUGGUCUAAAACAAGCCCCGAGAGCCUUGUAUGAAACGUUAACUUGGUUUCAUAAAAAGUCUAAAUUCAAACAAGGUUCGGUUGACCCAACCAUCUUUCGUAAGAAAGAGGGUGACCAUUUAAUGAUUCACCAAAUUUACGUCGAUGAAAUCAUCUUCGGUUCUACGAAUCCUAGCUUAACUGCUGAAUUCAGGAAGUUUAUGGAGACUAAGUUUGAGAUGAGCUCAAUGGGUCCAAUUAACUUUUUCCUUGGACUGAACAUAAGACAGGGACCAGAAUGCAUAUUCAUUGAUCACGAGGCUUACACAAAGACUCUAGUGGCGAAGUUAGGUAUGAAGGGGGAUUCUAAAGUGAAGGCUCCAAUGGCAUUCAGAACAAAGUUAACAUAAUCUCUAGAGAAACCAACUACUGAUAUGACCCUCUAUCAUCAAAUGAUAGGGUCUCUAAUGUAUGUAACAGCUAGUAGACCAGAUAUUAUGUUUUCUAUCUGUUAUUGUGUCAGGUUCCAAGCAAAUCCAAGAGAACCUCAUAUGGUGGCUAUGGAAAAUAUCUUCUUGUACUUGAAGCGAACCUCAUCUCUCAGUCUUUGGUACUUUGUGAAAUCGGGCUUCUUUGUUCAAGCCUUUUCCGAUGUUGAUCUUGGUGGAUGUGGUCUGGACCGAAAGAGCACAACUGGUGGGUAUCAAUUCAUUGAUUGAAGAUUCGUUACCUGGCAAGUGUUGUGAUCUUUGAUUAUGUUGAGUUGCAUUAGGGAGUGGCCAAAAAUCUUGUUUUUGCUGUUAUAUAAUAUUUUGAGACCUACGCCAAGUUGACUCAAGGCACAACAGGUACAUUCUCAACAAUGCUACAAAAAUGAGGCUAAUCAGGUUGGAUCUUUUUCAUUCUUGUUUUAGGUAUUGCAUUAAGUUUCAAAUGUUUGAAUUUUGAUUUUCAUUCAUUUUCUUUUUGUUUAUUUUCUCUGAUCUAAAUUUUUUUUGUUCUUUCUUGGGGACAAGAAAGGUUCAAGCUUGGAGGUAGGAUCUUGUUGGAGGAGGUAAAUAAGAGUUGCGGACAAAAUUUCACGACUUGCGGAGCACCGAGGAGCAAGAUAUCAAAGAAAUGAAGAUUUUGAAUUUACAGAGAUUUACACGGCCGUGUAAAUGGAAGCCUUGCGUUUACACGGCUGUGUAAAUGUAGAUUUCUGUGUAAUGUACAAUUGUCUUGACGCGGGCCGCGUAAAUGACAUUGUUAAUUUGCGCGGGCCAUGUAAACAUAAAUGCGGGUUUUAAAGCAGUUUUUCACAUUUCUUAAAAGGGGGAACCACUUUUUUACGUUGGGGGGUCGGAUUUUAGAGGAGAGAAGGCGAUUUUCAUGAGGAUUUUGAAGCAGAGUAACACUUGGGAACAUUUGAUUCCAUUUUGUAAAAACUUUAAUUUGAUUUUCCAGAUUUGUGAUCUUGUUCUAGCCAUGAGUGGCUAGAACCCUAGAUUCUCUAACUUUAUGUCUUGACAUUUGGAUGUGACUUCAAUGAUAUGACCUGCUGUUUGCUUAUAAUUUCUAUCUAGUAAAAGGGAUUUUACUUCAAUCGAAUGUUUGAUUUUGAUUUUGAUUCUUAUUGGCCAUUUGAAUUAGGUUAGGUCAUUCAAGUUAUUCAUUUUGCAAAAUUUGUAAUUGUUUUGUGAAUUGAACUAAGUAACAAGCAUUAAAUUGAUUUCUAUUCAAUGAACUUAGUGUAAAUCUUUUCACAAACUUUUACACUCCCACACUUGUGAGGAGUAUUGGGUGUUGUUGAGAACAUUCACAUGAAGCUUAAAAUAACCUUUUAAUCUAACUCUAAGAGCUUGUUUAGAUUAGGUUAGUAAGGUUACGAUUAAUCAAAGAUCUUGUUUUGGUUAAUUAAUGUGGUGAAUGGGAAGUAUUAGAGCUUGUUAACACUUGCAAAUACCAACUUAGAUAGAAUUGAACUAAAAAUCUUGUCUUCUUUGAAUCACAUUGCUAAAUUGUCAUACAUGAAGUUGGAUUCCUUACAAAAUUUGAACUUAAUUCACUCGUUCAGCUGAUUAUGUAUGUGUUUAAUUUGUUUCUUUAACUACUACAUUCAAAAUCCUCAUCCUUAGAUUGUUUGUGAACAAGUAACUUAUGCAAAGAGGUAUUGGACCAAUUGUCCCGUGUCUCUGUGGAUCGACCCUACUUGCCUUGUACUAUCUUUUAGUGCAACAUAGUGGUGUUCUUAGGACUAUAUCGUACCCUGGAUUUGACAUCCUAAGAGAGCAUAUUCUCGAUGUCAUACACAAGUGUAAACAAAACAGUGAAGCUGAUAAGAAGAACUUUACGGAUAUGCUUUGGUGGUAUAUUGAUUUUCAUCAAACUCUUCUCGCCAUUAUAUCGAAGAUAUUCAAUACUGUGAAGAAAUCCACUCUCGCUCAACCGAUAUGAUCUCUCACCUCAAUUGACGCAAAGGGGGGAGAUUAUUGAGUCUAAGAGCUUGCGUCAUUGGGCUUGUUCUUAGGUUCAUUUUGUAUACUCGGUCUGGGCCUGUCCAACCAUGUUUUGUCAUUAGGGUUUAGUUUAAAUGGUGCAUGCAUGCAUUGUUUUAGUUACACUUCUCAAUUAAUAUUUGAUUUAUUUAUAUUGUAACCCUAGCACACCUCUACAAUCGAAGUUCUUUAUCAAGCUCUUCUGAGGUGGAGCAUAUUAAUCAUUCAACACCUGUUUGAUCCAUUCUCGUGUUCAUCAUUGUAUAUGUGUUUGUUUAUCUGUUAAAAACCUAACGAUCUAAGUGAAUAAUAUUCUAUACAAUCAUUUAUUUGAAUGUCUAUCGAGUCUCAUACUAUGCACAAUUGACAUAUGUGAAGCAAAUAGCAGGGACAACAGAGAUCUCGUGAGACAGAGCAGUGCUGGGAGCAGUCUAGAGCUAGUAUCUAGACAUAUGGUUAUGGUUCCAAGGAACCAGUAGGGAGAGUCCAUAGCUGAUGUGAGGAGGUAGAGUUCUUGGGUCUCGAGGGUACAACUCGAGACAAAUACGAAUUGGUGUGUAAGGUAGCUUUAGGCCCAUACUACUGGAAGCACCGGGUCCGUAUGCGGCUCGAGGAAUAACCUUAAGAGACUAAAGAGCUUGUAGGGGUGUGAGUGUUGAUAUUUGUGACUUAGUGUAUUUUGUAAUAAUUUUCUUAUGUAUUUCAGUAUGGUGGGUACCCGAGGUUUAGGUGCCAGCGACCCAGAGAGGCUGAAUGCCAGUGAUGAUGAGAUCCAUAGGAUUAUUGCCGUAGAGGUGGCCGCAAAAAUCAGAGAGCCUAUCCCAAAGAUGUUUGGGUCUAUCAAGACCAUGUUGAUUGAGACUUUUGAUGAGCGCUAUGUUGCUAUCACUGAGGUUUUUGUUGCUACUGCCGCAACCACAAAAACCCUAGCUGCUGUGAGACGGUAGGGGGUGAUUUCUUGUGGUGCCGGGAGUUCACCAACACAAAGCCACUCGAGUUUGAUGGGACCUAGGAUUUGAUUGCCGCUAUGUGGUAGAUCUCUGAUGUUGAGGCAUAUUUCUAUACCUGCUCCUAUUCAGAGAAUUCGAUUCACAUUGAACCUGCUUCGCUCGGGAGUGAAUGUCUUGUGGAAGUUUGUGACAGAUGACUACAUGCUUCUAGAGAAUGUUGUCAUGACUUGAGAGAGGUUUGUUGUGAUGUCUAGGGAUGAGUUUGUACCAGCAGUAGAGCAAGAAAGGUUAACCCAAGAGUUCUUGUCUCUCUAGUAGAAGACAGAGACAAUGACUGAGAUCACAAGGAUGUUUCAUGAGAGGGAAUUGUUCUGUCCUAAGCAGGUAUCCACAGAGAAGGAUCUUGUGACUCUGUAUUUGAGUAUUCUGAGGAGGGAUAUCAGGGAGUUCAUGGUCAACACCACAUAUAAGACAUUGGCUGAGUUGCAGACCAAUACGAGGAGGAGAGAGAUCGAGAUGGAGACCCAGGCUAGGGUGGAGAGGGAGGCCCAGUGGAGAGAUAGGAGGCUAGUGUAGUUGCAGAUGGCGAAUAAGCAGGCCAAGCCCGCUAAUCAGAGAGCUGGAGGCCAGAAGGGCCGUACUUGUAGGAAGUGUGGCAAGGGAAAAUAGGGAUCUUGCUGGUUCGGAUCAACUUGUUAUCUAUGUGGCAAGGAGGGGCAUAUGGCUAGGGAUUGCCCCAACUGCUUUUGAGUUUGUUUCAACUGCAAUAAUAGGGACCACGUGAAGUCAUAUUGUCCUCAGCUUGCAUCUUGGGUGGUUCAUAAUUAUGCCCCAGUGACCAUGCAUAUCACUGAUGGCGAAUAGGGGAAGGCCGCGACAUCCAGGGCUUGACGUAGAGCAUUUCCGUUGACAACAAAAGAGGUUCGCGUAGCUCCAGACGUCGUGGUUGGUAUGUGUUCUUUAUAUUCUAUUGAUUUAUUUAUGCUUCUUAUAUUAUCUAUUUUGUAGGUACUUUUCUUGUGAAUUGUGUGCCUGUGCUUGUGCUGUUUGACUCUGGUGUGAGUCGAUCAUUUGUUUCAUCAUCAUUUUGUUGUAGUUUUAGUGUUCCACAAGAGACCUUGAGUAGGCCCUUGAGAGUCUCGAUUCCUAAUGAACGUCCAAUCUCUGCUAUUGAUGUCUAUUGAGGUUGUGUAUUAGAGAUCCUCGGGGUUGGAUAUCUUAUAGACCUCAUCCUUAUCGCAAUGGGAGAUGUUUGUGUGAUCGUGGGUAUGGAUUAGAUGAGUCGGUUUGGGGCUCUGAUUGAAUGUGAGCAUCAGUUGGUGACAGUUCGAUACCCUAGUGGGGGAGUGCUGACUAUCUGAUGAGGGUACUAGGUAAGGAUCAUCUUUCUACUUACCGCCAGGGUAAGUUAGAGUUUGGAACAUGGGUGUAUGGAUUACCUGGCAUAUGUAGUGGAUACUUUAGUUGAGAAGAAGGGAUCGACCUCUAUUUCUGAUGUUCUAAUGUUAUUUGACUUUCCUGAUGUUUUUCCCAAGGAGUUACUGGGUGUUCCUCCUGAAAGGAAAGUGUUCUUUCGGAUCGAUAUGAUUCCACAUGCGGCGCCGAUCGCCAAGGCGCCAUACCAUCAUGCACUUCCUGAGAUGGAGGAGUUAUCCUCUCAGCUAUAGGAGCUGUUUGGAAAAAGGUUCAUUAGGCCGAGCAGUUCUCCUUGGUGAGCCCCGUUCCUUUUCGUCUGGAAGAAGGAUGGUUCGCACUAGAUGUGCAUUGAUUAUCAUGAACUCAACAAGCCAACGGUGAAAGACUAUUACCACUUGCCGAUGAUUGGAGACCUUUUUGACCAGAUUCAGCGGGCAUCUUGGUUUUCCAAGAUUGAUUUGAUGUCUGAUUAUCAUCAAAUGAGGGUACGAGAGGAGGAUAUGCAGAAGACGACCAUUCGAACUCGUUAUGGGCAUUAUGAGUUUGUGGUGAUGCUUUUUGGGCUCACCAACGCACUGAAAACACUCAUGGAACUCAUGAACUAGGUGUUUAGGACCAUGUUGGAUCGAUCAAUGAUCGUUUUUAUAGAUGACAUCGUGGUAUAUUCGAAGACUAGGGAAUAACAUGAGUAGCAUCUUCUGGAGAUUCUUGGGGUUUUGAGGAUGGACAGGCUUUAUGCCAAGUUCUGCAAGUGUGACUUCUGGUUGCGUGAGGUCCAAUUUUUGGGACAUCUCGUCAAUCAGAAUGGUAUUUUGGUCGACUCAAUCAGAAUGGUAUUUUGGUCGACUUAACCAAGAUAGAGGUGUUGAGAUCUCCUUUUGAGAUUUGAAGCUUCCUUAGAUCGACAGGUUAUUAUUAGAGAUUCGUUAGAGAUUUCUCCAAGAUUGUUGUUCCUCUCACCAAGUUAACAAGGAAGGAUGUUACUUUCAGUUUGAGACCUGAGUAGUAGGCAUCGUUUGAGACUCUUCACCAGAGAUUGUGUGAGGCUCCAGUACUUGCCCUUGCGGUGGGAGUGGAGGAUUUUGUGGUUUACUGUGAUGCAUCCAUUGCAGGAUUGGGUGUUGUGUUGAUGAGAGGGGACAUCCCACUCAUGAUCUAGAGUUGGGGGCAGUGGUUUUUUCCCUCAAGAUUUGGCACCACUAUCUCUAUGAUGUUCGAUGUACCAUUUACAUGGACCAUAAGAAUCUAAGAUACCUUAUGGAUCAGCCUAACUUGAAUAUUAGGCAAAGAAGGUGGUUGGAUAUAGUGAAAGACUAUGACAACGAUAUCUUGUAUCACCCAUGAAAGGCCAAUAUGGUGGCUGAUGACCUGAGGUGGAGGUUGGUAAUUAAGUGCCCCAAUUAGGGAUGUGUGCAUGACGAUGACCGUGAUGAAUCCAGUCUUAGGGAUCAUCAACGAAGCGCAAUCGGAGGCCAUAAAAGAGGAAAGUCGGAAAAGUGAGCGGGUGAUCGAUAAAAUUUCGACAGUUGAUAUGGACAGUCGAGGGAUUUUAAGUCUUCAUGGGUGGGCAUGGAUACCAUAUGUAGGUGGGGCCCAACAAAUUUUGAUGGAGAAGUCCCACAAGUCGAGAUUUUCCAUCCACCCGGGGGCUACCAAGAUGUAUCUCGACUUGAAGCAUAAUUAAUUGUUUCCAUGUAUGAAGAGAGACGUGACUUGGUUUGUGAGAACUCUUUUGUAGAAAAGUUGGCUGAGAACUCUAGAGGUGGUAGCUUACCAAUGCCCUCCUGGAAAGUUGCAGCCUCUGGAAGUUAUCCUAUAGAAGUGAGUAUAUUAAUAUGGAUUUUAUUAUAAAACUAUCGAGGACUGCGAGGGGUGUUGACACUAUCUGGGUGAUAGAGGAACGGUUGAUGAAGAGUGCUCACUUCUUAGCUAUUUGUGAGAACUCUUUUGUAGAAAAGUUGUCCGAGAUUUACGUUCGAGAGGAGGUAGCUCAGCAUGAGGUGCCAAAGUCUAUAGUGUUUGAAUGGGAUGUGUGAUUUACUUCUAGGUUCUGGAAGAGAUUUCACGAGGACUUGGCUACCCGGCUACACUUCAGUACUGCAUACCAUCCGCAGACAGAUGGGCACAACAAACAAAUAAUUAAGACACUCGAGAAUAUGUUGCGUGCUUGUGUGAUCGAUUUUGGUAGGAGCUGGGACUCCUAUCUUCCAUUGACCGAGUUCUCGUAUAACUGUUGGGUUUUGAGCAUUCUAACACUCCUAAGUGUACAUGCAACCCUAAAUACCUUGGAUCUAUGUUUUCUCUAUUAUACAUGCAAAUAAGAACUUCCAAGGUAUUAUCCUAAUCUAGCAUACAAACACAAUGACUAUAGCAAGAUAGAAUACAUACCUCUUUGGAGAAGAAAGUCUUCAUGAAGCUAGAGUGCCUAGUGCCCCAAGUGUGACACCUCAAAUGGAAUCACAAUCAUCAAAACACUUGGAAUGACUUGAGAGAAUUCUACACUUAUCAAAAUUGGCUAGCCCUCUCUAGAAUCAUACUAGUUCCCAAUAUUGUCAAGAAUAAGAUCUUUAUAUAGUGUUACAAUUAGGGCAAACCCUAAUUGUCAUGACUUUCCAUUUCCUUGGAUCCAUGGGUACAAAUACACCAUGGAGCAUCCAUGGACCAUCCUAUGGGUUUUAGCCCAACUUGAUUAUCCAUGGAGCAUUAGCCCACUAUACAAGUAUGGAUGAUUUACACAAUCAACCCAUAUAUUUAAUUAGUCUUCUUUUGAUCACUUAAUUAAUCCUAGAUUAAUUCUUGAUCAAUACUAAUUAAAUAAUCUUAUUAUUCUUAUUAUUAAUAUACUAGAACUUAUAAUAUAUUAAUAACCAUAAGUGUCUUAUUUCUCUCAUCCAAGUGCAUGAUGGUAUGCAACCCAAAUGGACCAUGCCGGGUCGGGUCAAGUCUUACCAAUUAUAGUUAUGGACUUAGACAUUAAUCCAACAGUCUCCCACUUGGAUAAGUCUAAAACUAUUAUUGCGUAUGACUUCAGGAACCAACUGGCAAUCGUAGCUCUCAAAAGCUUCUGUCGAACUCUGACCUUGUAGAUGAACUCUGACCUUUGUCAAUGACUUGUCCAUUAGAUAAGGGAUCAUAUAUUCCUCCAUUCUAGAUAUCAUAUGGACUGAGACAUGGAUUAUAAUCAUUCUCUCUGUCCAUUUGUUGUUUCCCGAUUUCCGAUUUAUGACGACUGACUAAUUGAACAAAUCAAAUCAGUCCUGGCCCGGCCGAGCACUUCCAUUUGUCAUCAUCAAAUCAUCGAGGGGCCCACAGAUAUCGCUUUUAUCCCGAAGGUAAAAGGAAUGGAUAAACUUCGACUCAUAUGGCUUGUUCUACUACUUGUUGAAUCAUACACAAAGGCACGUUUUAUAGCACCGAGUUACCAAAUGCGUUUUCGUGCAAUCAAUGUACUAUCAACUCAUAGUAACAACUCAUAUCUCUAGGUUUGAAGAAUAUAAGAUAUUAUCGUCUCAUGAUCACUCGUGAUAAAAUCCAUGAAGUGAUUCCAAUGAGCGCGGGUUGAAUCCAAUACUCAGAACUUAUGAGCACUCAUGAGUGUUGUAGCCCUUUGUCCAACACCUUAGACCUCUACAAGCCAACCCAUGACAGUCUUAAUUCAUAUCUACUUCCAACAUAUGACCGACUGUGGAUGGUUUGAAUAACUUAGUCAUUCCGGAAGAAUAACCCAGUUUAUUCGGGAAGUCAAAACAUGCAAAGUGAAACACAAUAAUAAUUGAAUCCAAUAUGGUCUCAGAACUUAUGAAUAUAAAUAAAACACCUUUUAUUUAUCACCAUAUGAUUACACAUUAUUCAUUGUAUACUGUUUCAGCUAUCAACUUUAAUCUUGAAUUUAAAACAAUAGUUGUCCCAUGCUCCAAGCAUGUACACUAUGUUUUUCUCAACACUAGUCAUGCUAUACACCAAGUAUACAUACUAUGUUUGUCUAUGAUCUUUACUUUGUGAACUAGAUCAAUUGAACAUAACUUCAAUGAUUCUCUUUUCACACUCCCAAAUCCUUACUGCAAAUGCAAGAAUUCCAAAUUCAUGCCAUUUACUGAAAUCUGUUAGAUUCUAAACUUAUAUGCAUUGAUCCUCUUGUAAUGAUUAUGCACAAAGUCACAAAGACUUGGCAACAAUCAUUACAGAGUAUUCCAAAGGAGAUCAACUCCUUGGAAAUAUCCUUCUUGCAUUAAGUUUCCUUAAUCUUACACAGAUUGAAAAUUCUAACUUUGAAACAUUUCCAGAUUCCAUUUUGACUAUCACUUCUGAACAAGAGUUGCCUCCUUACAGAUUAUGUCAAUAUGGUCCUUCCAGAAUUAUCACUAUACUUCCAAUUGUCCUUGAGUAACCAAUCUUUGGUAAACCUUAGAUUGUCCUCGACAAUUGUUUAAUCCUUUUAGUCAUAUCCAGUUCUAAACCUUUUCCCUUCUUAAUGCCCCAGGCAUUUGGAAAAUUUUAGAACGGAUGAAUAUAGCACAUGUAAUCGAUCCUAUAUCCGAAGCAUAUGGGACACGAUUCAUGAUGUCUUACAUAAAGACUAAACCAGUCUUUUGCUAUAAUAUUUCCAUUUCAAUUUGCCAAGUUCUCAUAAUUCAGAUUAUGAAAAGGGAUGCCGUAAUCAUAAUCGAAUUUUAGAACGCAAAUAAUGGACCCAUAUACAGAAUUUCCUUAUGUUGAGCCAUUCCAACAUGAAAUUCAUAUAUAUCCUUGACUAAAUGAUUAAAACCUCACGAUCUAAGCUUAUAGAUUUGAGAUGAAGCAUAAUUUCCUCUCCCUUAAUUAUAGCAAAACAACUUUUUCCCAAUUGAAACUUUUGUUUUCUAUAAUUAACAUUGCUAACUUGCAAUACUUAUCAUAAUUAUCAUGCUCCCACUAACAUGAUGAUUAUUAGCAUAACACUUAUGCUCCCACUAGCUUUGACAUGUACUCAGAAAUCAGCUGGACAGUCUGAAAUUUAGAUUCAUACACCCUUUCCGUAGAUAGCUCACCUGUGUGUCUAAGCAAUUUCAAGAACCAUGAAAAGGGAUACCGUAAUCAUGGUCUCAAUUGCUUAGGCAUUUGCCAUUUCUCACAAGUCCAUGUUAGUGUGCCGGUUAACCACACGCGCUCCACUAACGACUUUUGAAAAUGCAAAUAACACAAUUGAUAUCUUCGUAAAAUCUACUUAGUGAAAGCGUUUCCUCACCAUCAUUUUCAUGAAUCGGAGAGAAACCUUAUGACACUUAGAUUUAUAUGGUGUAUGAGUUCCUACCCAUAUGAAUUUGUCAAACCAUAAUCACAAGACAAAGAUAAUGACAAAUCCAAAACCAUAUGGAUUGAACUCAAUCUUAACUUCUUGCCACCUGGCAGCUCAAGGGCCUGCCAUUGCUUCCAAGUUGUUAUGCAACAAACUGAGAACUCUAAGAACUCAUAUGCAAAGCCAACUUUAACUGGAAUGGGCACAGAUAUGUCAACACGAUAGGUUAUAAACCUCAAGUCGUGUGCUAGUGAAGAACUUUAGGUUUUAUUCUUGAUUAUUUCUUGAGACUUUCAAGACCUUUAAGACUCCCACUGUCCUCUUGACAUAUAAGACUCCCUUGUCAAACAUCCAAGAGAUAGUGCGGAUUCUAAUCAAGAAAAACACUUUACCCAAUUGGCCUAAGUUGGUCUUUGUUUUAUCCAAAACAUCACAACUUACCAAUUUCAAAUGUACAAGAGUAGAAAACUUUUACUCUUACAUUUGACAAGUGUUUUAAACCUUCUUUAAGACAUGUCACUCAAAUGACAAUCUUGGAGUAUGACUCUAAGACUUGUAUUGGAACGAAGUAUGACUCAUCUUCUUGAUUUAACCAUUUCAACAAUUCAAGUUCCUCUUCUUAGUCAUAAGAAUGCACUAAGAUUUCCUUAGAGAACUAAUUUUGAUAUGGUUUCUUAAUCAUUAAGAUGAUCACAAAACUGAUACUAAAGUACUCUCCCAUCUUUUCAGAUUUGAGAAACUUUUAUCCUUCUGCCUUAUUUGAUUCUUCUUAUCGAUCUUUAGUGGUGGACUUAAUCAGUGCACAAGAAUGUGUACUCGAUCCCUAAGUCCUUUACUUGACUCACACAUCCAUGUGAACAAGUAAUUAGUCUUAAUUUUCCAAAACUUGAAAGUUCUCAUUCAUCAUGCUAUACAACUUGCAUGAUUCCAAGUUCCGGUCCAAUUGAAACUUGGGUGAUGAGAAUCUUUCCUUAUUUGGUAAAUUUAGACAUUACCACAAAUGAAAGAAUCAAUUUCAUAUUUCCACUCUUGCUCUUAAUGGAAUCAUAUAAGCAACAAUUUUUCCUCAAAUGCCAUUGUAAGGAUAUUUUAAAAUAAAUAAAAUAAAAAAUUUUCUUUUAUUUUAAAACUUUGCGGAAAAACUUAUCCUUACAAUCCAUAUGAAAACUUGUUGUUAUCUAUUCCUAAGCAAUAUCUCAUAACUCCUAAGAAGUAGCUCAAGAAUCCGAUCUUCAAACUAUGCGAUAGAAAUCCAUCUACGCCAUCAGAUUCAGCAUAUUCUUUCUUUAAGUUUCUUCACUUUUCUUUGAUUCUUAAAACAUCACCAUGUGACCCAGUCACAUCAUGUAUCAAGAAUCUCAGAAUAGAAACUUAACAGAGUUAGAUAGUGGACUUUACCUGAAGUAGAGUCAAACUUAUUGACUUUAACAUCCUUAGGUAAAUUUGGCAGCUUCGCAACCAAUGCCCCUUCCUUUGGCAAUAUAAACAUAUGGACCCUUUGAUAAUGGUACACGGGACUAUCACAGACUUAGCUUUUCUCUUUACCAUUUGGUCAACCGAGUUGACUAUGGCCGAUCCCUUUCCAUUGGGAAGAGAAUGCUUUACUGGAUAUCCAAUGUCAUCAUUGUCAAUGUCCAUAAAGUUUUAGGAAGUUGAUCUUAGCAAAUAGAUAAGAUCAUUAAGGGUCUUGUCAUAGUCUGUUUCAUAGGUGUCCCAAAGGAACUCACUAUGUGACUUAGAAAGUGGUUGAACCACCAACUUUCUCAAGACUUUGACACCCAACUCUCCCGGCUUGUCAAUAUGUGACUACAUCUCCAAGAUGUGACCACACCUAGACCUUGCCUUGCCAAUAGGGCCUGAGUGACCUUAAACUUUUCAAGAACUUGUGGGUUAGGGAGAAUAAUUUGAAGAGGUGAAGAAGUAUGAUAUCCAUGGGACAUCAUCUUCAUUAGGAAACCUUGUUUCAAGAGAUUUGGGAAGAUCAUAGGUGUCUAAACCAGACAUCUUUUGGGAGAUAUUCAAGAUAGUUGAUUUAAAGUCCUUAAUAUGACACCCAAUAUGAAAUAUUAAGGCUAGGACCCAACAAACUAUUUUAUAACUUAGAAGAGGUAUGCCGUAAUCCAAGCUAUAAAAUAUUUGAAGGUAGGUGAAUGACGAUUCACCAAUUUCCACCAAGAUAAACGAAAUGUAUUAUUAGGUUUUAAUUGGUUUUGAAACUCCUAGAUCUUUGAGAUUCAUUGAACUUUUCAAAGGCAUGUUUCAAUCUCGAGUGUGCCCUUCAGGUUUUGUGACUGGGAUGCCGAGGAUCACAAAACAAGGUGUGAAGUAACCAUGCAAAUCACUUGGUACCCUUAAUAAAUUACCCCUCAAUCGAUGUGCCGGUUAACCACACACGCUCCAUCGAUACUAUGAUAAAUAUUAAGUCACCCUUUACCUACCUUGUUAAGUCCAAGUUAGUGUGCCGGUUAACCACACACGCUCCACUAACGACUUAGACAAAGUGUAAAGUGUAAUUUCAUGGAUUAGCACCUUAUUCACAUUUUUCCUAAGUAACUAAGAUUGGGUAUUAUUAAGAGUUUAGUUACUUAGUAUUAUCAUUAAUACUUUUAAUGAAGGGAGAAUUCUAGUCCUGUCAAACCCGUUCGGCUAACGACCCUCCACCAGUCAAGCAAGCGGUGGGUGAGAGUGGACACCCAUUAAGUUGCCAUUUUAUAGGCAACAACCUUAUACCCACCUUAUAGACCGGCUUCGUGAAUGAGGCGUACUAGCGGUAAGACUGACUUUACUCUUAUACAUAUAUAUAUUAUUAACUUAUAAUAUUAUAAAGUAUAAGGGUUGAAUUUUAACUUUUAAAAUUCUAAGGGCUAACUUGGAAUUAAAGUAUUCAUACUUGAAAACUUUUCAAAUUCCAAAACUUGAGGGCAAGUUUUGAAACUAUUCAAAACUAAUUAAUUCCAUAACUUAUGUGUUUAAAGUAGUUUUAAUCCAAAAACUCUUCAAGUUCCAUAACUUGAGGACAAGUUAUGGAAGACUUUAAACUAAUAAAAGAACUAACUUUUUCUUUAUUUUAUAACUUAUGGAUUUAAUUAUGGUUACAUAUUUUUCUUUAAUGAAGUGACUCUUGAACUUCCAUAACUUGAGGACAAGUUAUGGAGUCAUAAAAAUUAUUCAAUGACACAAGACUCUUCAUUUUGUAACCAUUGCCAACUCUUAUGAAUUUUAUGAGUCUUUAAUGUGACUCUUCAUGUAACUUGAGGACAAGUUACACAAACACAUUUUAUACUCAACUCUUAGAUUAAAAUGGAUUGAAAACAACUAUUUCACUCAACAUUUCUAUUAAUCUAAGCAACUCAUAAGAACAAGAUAAUUCAAAUCAAACUUUUUCAUGUAAUUAGUCUAAACCUUAAACUAAUACAAAACAUGAAUCUAUUGACAAUUAUCUUUGAAAAUGGAUUAGCAUGAACAUUACCACAUCAAAAACAAGUUUAUAAGUUCAAAAACAACUUAGGGUAAUGUUCCUAGUCCAUUUCUAGCCAAAAAACUCGAAAAUAUGCUGUCUGGGGGUCCAACUCGUCGAGUGCAUGAACAAACUCGGCGAGUUGGAUCGAAUUCAUCACUUUUUAGGCAUGGACUCGUCGAGUCUCCUGAUGGACUCGCCGAGUCUGAUGGCCAGACAGCACCAGAUUCGUUUUUUCAGCUUCUAUUGCAGGUAUAACAAGAAAACAAGCCUAGGCUCUGAUACCACUGUUGGGUUUUGAGCAUUCUAACACUCCUAAGUGUACAUGCAACCCUAAAUACCUUGGAUCUAUGUUUUCUCUAUUAUACAUGCAAAUAAGAACUUCCAAGGUAUUAUCCUAAUCUAGCAUACAAAACAAUGACUAUAGCAAGAUAGAAUACAUACCUCUUUGGAGAAGAAAGUCUUCAUGAAGCUAGAGUGCCUAGUGCCCCAAGUGUGACACCUCAAAUGGAAUCACAAUCAUCAAAACACUUGGAAUGACUUGAGAGAAAACCCACACUUCAUGAAAUCGGCUAGCCCUUCUAGUACACCCACUAGUGCCGAUUUUGGUGAAUAAUAUGAUGCUUAUAUAGUGUUACAAUUAGGGCAAACCCUAAUUGUCAUGACUUUCCAUUUCCUUGGAUCCAUGGGUACAAAUACACCAUGGAGCAUCCAUGGACCAUCCUAUGGGUUUUAGCCCAACUUGAUUAUCCAUGGAGCAUUAGCCCACUAUACAAGUAUGGAUGAUUUACACAAUCAACCCAUAUAUUUAAUUAGUCUUCUUUUGAUCACUUAAUUAAUCCUAGAUUAAUUCUUGAUCAAUACUAAUUAAAUAAUCUUAUUAUUCUUAUUAUUAAUAUACUAGAACUUAUAAUAUAUUAAUAACCAUAAGUGUCUUAUUUCUCUCAUCCAAGUGCAUGAUGGUAUGCAACCCAAAUGGACCAUACCGGGUCGGGUCAAGUCUUACCAAAUAUAGUUAUGGACUUAGACAUUAAUCCAACAAUAACAACAACCAUCAUGCCAGUAAUUAGAUGCCCGCGUUCGAGUUCCUUCAUGGUCGGAGAUGUCAUACUCCUAUUUGUUGGGUCGAGGUGGGACAGAGGGUCAUGGGGAGCACGAACGUAUUUCUCAAGAUGAUUGUGCUUAUACAAUAGGUUCGACAGUGAUUACUGAUACCGUAGAGCCACCAGAUGAGUUAUGCGGAUCGGAGACGCUCUGAGCUGGAGUUUCAAGUGGGGGAUAUUGUUCUCCAGAAGGUAUCACCUUGUAAAGGUAUUAUCCACUUUAGGAUGUGGGGAAAGCUAGGCCCCAUGUUUACUGGCCCUUUUUGAGUCUUGACCCAUGUGGGCAAGGUGCCCUACCGGAGGAGCUGAGUCAGAUCCAUAAUACCUUCCAUGUUUCUCAGCUGAGGAAGUGUAUUGCUGAUGACACAACUGUGGUCAAUUUGGCAGACAUUCAGGUCGAUGAUCGCCUGAGUUAUCUGGUUAAGCGUGUUAUUGAUUUUGGAUUGGAAGGUGAAAACCAUGAGGAACAUGGUUGUGAACUUGGUCAAAAUUCAAUGGCAGCAUAUGAGAGGUUCAGAAUGGAUGUGGGAACCGGAUUACGAGAUGCAGGAGCAAUAUCUGGAGCGAUUUCCUGAGGAUAACUUCGAGGGUGAAGUCCGAUUUUAGUGGGGUAGAUUUGUAACUUCCUGAUUUUUUAGGUAUUAUGAUAUUUCUUGCAUCUUUAUUAUUAUUGCACCUUUGGUCCCUUUCAAGAAAAGUUUUAUGACUUUUUGUUGUAUUCCGGGCGUAUAUAAGGGUACGCAAAGCGUACCCAUGUAGAGUAUGGAUCGCGGGUGGCCCGGUAGUACGUUGGGCAUACAUGUGGUACGCCGGGAGUACUAGCCCGUACUCUAAAAACCUAAUUUCUUUGUUGCUCCCUAUAUAAAGAACAUUAAUUCCCCGUUUUGGUCACUCUUAUCAGCCUCCAAACCCUCCUUAAACCCUAAUACCGAUUUUGAGUGUUGUGUGAGACUUGCAAGUUCAUUUGAGUGUUUUUGGUGCAGUUAGUUGGAGAAGGAUGCUAGUGAAAAAGAAGAAGGUGUUGGGAAGAUUGUAGAUCUAGAAAACUAUUCUCCUUGCACAUCAUUUUCAAGUAUAAAGUUUGUAACUUGACAAGUCUUUCAUUAGAUCUCCAUGUUUGAAGUUCUAUGAUUUUUGUCCUCAGUGAUUGGACCUUUAUCAGUUUGGAGCACUCUAGGGGUUUGUAGCAGUCCUUUCAUGUAUUAUAAGACUUGUGGAUGCAGAAAAACGGUAGCUUGAUGACUUCUUUUAGUUUAUGCAUGAGCAAAAUGGCUUAGAAUGUGUUUGGAGCUUAUGAAUGAUGCUUUAGGACUCUUCUAGCCAUGUAAUGGCUUAAAGAUGAUAACUUUAUGGUUUUAGACGUCACGGAAUGGCCAAAUCUAUGACUUGGAGUAAUAAUCUUAAGGUAUUAAGACACGAGUUAGUAGAAAUUGGAAUAGACGGAGUGUUGAAUUUUGUUUAUCCAUGUUGUAUGCCCCGCGUAGCCGGUCCAAGCCCCGUUAUUGCUGAUCAAAGUUAUAUGACCCGCGUAGAUUGUGGUAGGCUCACCGUAUGCGCUAAGUGUUGACUUUUGUUGACUUUGACCCUUGGUCAAGAUUUAGGGUUUUUAGACCAUGUGAAGAGCAAAAUGGUCCUUUUCUCAUAAAAGGUUUAGUCGUGGGAUUGGGAAUUUGUGAUUGAGUUUUGAAGGUUAAUUAUUGAUUAGUGUUAAUUAUUUUUUGAAUAGGCAGAGUCUAUAUAUGACAGUUUGGGUGCUAGGUUUUUAUGUCAUCAGUAUUAGGUGAGUCUACUCACUUACUCUUACUUGUAUGGUAGGAUAGUUAUGUUAUGAUGACCAUCUGGGUCUAGUUGCUAUGUUAUGUUAUGAUAUGAUAAUUAUAUGUGAUUGAGGUUGCUAAUAGCUAACCAGGGUUGGUGAUAACCCACCGAGUGUGCUGUUAGGUCACCGGGACUGUUGAUAGUCCCAUGGUUGCGGAUAACCCAUGGAUGUUAUUUAUCUUGUAUACUAUGUGGUAUCUUGGGGGAACUCACUAAGCUUUGUGCUUACAAUUGUUGAUCUUAAUGUGGCGGGUACUUCGUAGGACCGCAAGAAGGUGAAGGUAUGAUUGUACACACACGCUGGGGAAUUUACUUUUGGGACAUGUUUAUGAACUCUGAUAAUUAUGAUACUUGUUUCUUUGGGAUAGUCAUGUAUUUUCUAAUCUGUUUGAGAAACUAUGAUUUUUAGUAAAUUUAAAAACGAAAAAAUUGGUCUAGAAUAUGAGGUGUUACUUGUUGGUUGCAUUGGAGCUUGUAGAUCCAGACUUUGUUCACUAUAAUCUUUCUUUUAGAGAUAUAAAGUUUGAAUCUUUGAUGAUACAUUUGAUAGAUCUAGCUAGUCUAGGGUGUUAUGAUCUUUUGGUCACUAUAGUGCAUAAAGUGUAGAUCUUGAAAGUUUGUAACCUUAUUAUAGAUAAAGUUGGAAACAUUAUCCAUCUAAAUUUCAUAUUGAUUCAAAUAUAAAGUCUUGAGACUUUGACUUAAUGAAUUAUGUUGGAAAAUAUGCACUCUGGUCCCUUCAACACUUAAAGACUAGGUCUUGGCUGGUUGGACCAUUCUAAUGGAUAAAGUGGGGAACUCUAUCCAUUGUGGAGUUAUUAAGAACCAUAAAAAUGUAAUCUUGGGUCUUAGUCCUUACCCAUGCAUGUGCUAGGAUGCCCUAAUUGAUUAAGAAGUUAGAGUUUGUUGGUAUUAAGUACUUCUAGCCAUGCAAAGUUAUAAAGUUGGAAACUUUAUGACUUAUAAUGUUAUUUUGGGCUUAGAUCUUGAUUUGGACAUAAGGACCUUAUGUAUUAAGCUCUUAGUAAGAAGUUAAGGUGACCAGGUGCAUACGCUGGAUGUACCAAAUGGUACAUUGUGCAUUCGUACACAAGCCCUCGACUUCUUGGUCAAGAGGAGUAGGCCCCACAUUCAGUUGGGAACACCCAACGUACUCGGUUGGUUUGUUGGCUUGACUUGGUUGGUUUGUUGACUUUGAACUUUGAUCAAGGUUGACCUAAGAGUAGUUUAGAUAUUUUAGGUCUUUUGGGAUUACUAACUAAGUUUAGGUCACCGGUUCCGUUUAGGUGAUUGGUAGAGUUGGUGUUGGAGUUGUUCUCGGUGCUGUAUACUUUUCUACUACUCGUUGGACCGAGAUGUGAUUUUUCUUUACUAUACCCAUGGGUCAGAGACACCAAACCGAUCCACUAGAUUAUGUAUCCUGGUUAUCGGAUGGUACUAUGCUAGUAUAUGAAUGAUUAGUAGAUAUGUAUGAUUAUCUAUAUUUUCUGGUUCUGUAUGUAUGUUUAUCUGUUACAUAUGUCGACAUAUUGUGGUUGGGUUGCGGCGGUGCUGCUUUGUGUUGAAGGCCAAGGUACGCAGUGUGGUCCAUGUAGGCUCUAGGAUCUACGAGGUGGUCCACUCACAUGGAAGGCCCAUAGAGUGCUCCAGAUAGGCUGUAGUCCACGCUAGGCGGUCCAGUCAGGAUAAAGGCUCAUAUUUGCAUGUUAUUGUUUGUUGUGUUGUGUGAUGGUACUUUGGAUAACUCACUAAGCUUUGUACUACAAUUUCAUUUUAUUGUUUCAGAUACUUCAGAGGAUCGUGGGAAAGUGAAGGCAUGAUCAUGCAGUUCUUCAUAUUUUUAUGACAUUAGAUCUUCGGGUACUCUGAUUUUGAAUAAUACUGUUGAAACAAUGGUUUUGUUAACACCUUAUGGAUAAAAUGGGUUGUUUUUAAAAAUUUUAAAUUUCUGUGAUUUUUGGGUUGUUUCAAAUUUACAAGUUGGUUGUGCAUUGGUAUUGCGAAACCACAUCAGCAAAACGAUGUUAUAAAACGUAGUGUCAUGCAUGAUUUGAUGAGUAAAAGAUACAAGCAUAUAACUCGAAAUUUAUUCGUUCCUUUUUCCCUAAUGGGAAAAGCAACAUCUUUGGCCCCUCUAUGAUUUGUUGUGAACAUCUGAAGUGCUUGGUUAAGCCCAUACUGAAUUGAUGUGUUCGAUUAGUAGUCUGAAUUUAGUCAUCAUAUAUCAAGAAAUCAGGAAAAAGAGUUUUGGACUAUGAGAUUUAUUAUAAUUCAUGUCGUAUCCAUACGAUAUCUUGUAGAACGAAAGAAUAUUUGAUCACUUAUCUUAGAACUAAUGACUGAUCAGAUCAGAGUCUGGAGUUUCUCUAGGAAGUACCCUUUGUUGAUAAUUUAGAAGUUAUACUAUCAACUGUAGUUAUAGACUUAUCCAGGUGGUAGACUGUUAGAUUAGGUGUCUUAGCCAAUAAAUAAAUUAUUAUAUACUUGAAUUAUUGAGAAGGUCCUUUUGGAUUUCCCUGAAACCUAGUAAUUGAAUAAAAAGGAUUUGAGAGAGAGGAAGGGAGAGAGAGAGAGAGAGAGAGACUGAUUUAUUGAUUUAUUGUAUGAUUAAUAAAUAACAAUAAAUAAUUUGUUAAUAUAUUAUGAGAAUGAUAUAUUAAUUAGAAAUUUUAUUAUUUAAUUAAGAAUUUUUAAGAUUAAGAUUCUUGGAGGCAUCAUUAUUUUAUUAUAUUUUUGAGUUUUGGAUAGUGUCACGUUGUGGUGAAGGAAUCCAGCGACAUGGAAAUGUUCAUUGUAUUGCAGGUUUUAAAUGGCCGCCACGGCAUGGCAGCCUAUGGCCAUGACAUGGCAAUUGUUUCAUGAGAAACCCCAAUUUCUAGGGUUUGCGCCAUAUUUAAGGAAAUUUGAGUGUUAAUAUUGCUCACCCUCAGCCUCCAUCACACUCUCUCAGCCUCCAAGCAAGCCAUAACCUCCAUUUUUACUCUCUAAGCCUUCGGUGUCGAUUUUUGGGGAUUUAAAAAGUAGUAGGUGACUUCUAGGCCCGGAUUCAACAAGAAACUCUUAUCACCAUCUUCUUUUGCAUCUUAUGGACUCUUGUAAUCCCCAAGUUCAAAGCUUUUUCGUUUAAAGUGCAUAGAUCUAAGUUCUUAUGCCUUAAUCUUCAUAUCCUUGAUCAUUGGAUGGUGAGAUCUCAUAAAGUUUGUGUAACAACCCGAAAUUCAUAUCACUGCUUGUACCCCUUUUAGCGACUCAUUUCGAUCAUCCAAUUGCCGUUUCCAAUUUUGUUUCCAAUUCCGACAAUUAAUUAAGUCAUUAAAGUGUAUUUUAUUUUAUGACUUAAUGAGCAUCCUAAUACCUUUAGAACUCAUUCUAACUGUAAAAGCCCAAAACCCAGGUACCCUUCUAUUUAGCCCUUCAUCUUUGUUAUGUUGCCAUUUUGGGUUUGCAUGUUAGGCGAGUACGCUAGGCGUACAAGGAGUAUGUUGCGCGUACUCGUGCACUUCAUUUGGACGCGUUCACCCUCAGGUACGCUGGGCGUACCCAAGGUUACGCGGGGCGUAACCGGUCCAGACCUAAAAACCCUAAUUCAUUCGGAGGGCUAUAAAAGGAAUGUGUGGCUCGACUUCUCAGCCACCAUCCCAAAGAGAGAAACCCUAAAGAGAGUGUGUAUCUGUUCAUGGGCCAUUUGUGAGUAUUCUAAGCUUGGUGGUGCCAUUUCAAGGUAGCAAAGGAGAAGAAGAACUCAUUAGGAAGGCUAGAAGUGGUGUUUAAGUGUAGAUCUGAGCUUUGCAAGGGUUGAAGCUGCAUUAUCAGGUAAAAAGUUCGGAUCUUGUCACUUGGUUCAUGUUACAUGCUUCAAGUACCAUUUUCUAGGGUUUUAGUCCCAAAGGUGGAGACUUUUUGUGCAAAUGGUCUCCAUAAGCGUAGAUCUCAUACUUCUGGUCUUUUGGAGUUGUAGACUCAUAAAAAUGACAUCUUGGACAUGAAUGUUGCACCAUGCAUGAGAUCUAGGUUCUUGAGUUGGAAUAGAAUGAUGUUAAGAAGUGUUGGAGCUUUUACAGCCAUGCCAUGGCUUAAAGGUCUCGACUUUAUGGGUAUAGACGCAUAAACAAAGCUGGAUCUAGAAGUUGGAGUAAUGGCUUAACCGAUUAAGACAAAAUAUGAUGUAUGCUAAAGUCUGAUGGUUACGCUGGGCGUAACUCCUAGUACGUGCAGCGUACUGGGUGGAGACCUCGAUCCAUGGGUUGGUGAUGUACGCCCCGCGUACAUCAAGCAGUACGCCCCGCGUACUCAUAGGGUUGACUUUUGUUGACUUUUAGGGUUUUGGUCAACAUGAAGACUUUGGGUCAAGGAAGGGUAAAAUGGUCUUUUACCCUCUGAGGAAUGAUGAUAAGGAGUAAAGUUUUAGUUGUGGAAGUCUUUUAUUAUUAAAUGAUAUUUUUAUGAUUAGGCGAGGUAGAGUCGUCAUUGGGAUUUGGAGAUACCGAGUACGCGGGAUCUUAGACUUUCCACGAGGUGAGUUUUCUCACUAUACUGUACCCGAAAGGGUUUUAUCGUGUGACCGGAAGGUCGGAUAUGUUAUGUGUUAUAUGCAUUGUAUGUGAUAAGUUAAUCGUUUAUAUGUAACAUGUAUGAUAUGCUUUAUGUUAUGGGCCGGAAGGCGUUUAUGUUAUGGGCCGGAAGGCGUAUAUGUUAUGGGCCGGAAGGCAUUGUGAUGUGGACUGUAAGGUUGACGUAGGUAGGACCGGAAGGUUUACCUAGUCGGGAAGGAAGUGCCCUGAGACACGUGGACCGGAAGGUCAGGGCCUGGAAAGGCGUAUGUGCGUAAGUUGUAUUUUGGGGAACUCACUAAGCAAUUAUGCUUACAGUUGUUGUGUUAUAUGUUUCAGGUACUAGCGAGGACCGGGGGAAGGCGCCGACGUGAUUGUACACACUAAUGAAGAAACUGUUUUUAUGAUCAUGGGAUGUAUUUGUUAUGAUAACAUUGUUCACGUUUGAAUUUGGAAUAUUAAAUGAUGGUUUUUAAUGUUUGCAAAAAUUAAAAAUCUGUUUUAAAAUUUACGUUGUUACAAGUUGGUAUCAGAGCCUUGGUUUGAGGGAUUCGGGUACACCUUCGGGCGUAACUGAACUCAAACCGGGGUUUGAGGAAAAAUUUUAAUUAAUAAAAGCAAUAAAAAUUUGAUAAGAGAUUUCGAAACAACCAAAGGAGAAGCAGUGUGUACGGUCAGCCAGCGCCCGAACGGUAAAAUCCGCAAAAUACCCUUACAAUAUGUGUUAGGAAAUAUGUUAUGAUAUGAUACGCAUGAUAGUAGACUAGGUAUUCAUAUUAGGACUAGAGUGGCCUGAUUUGUGAUGCCUUAGUCUAGGGGAACCUGCUGCUAUGAGAUGCUUUGAGAGCGAGUGGGUAGCCAGUGCAUAGGAAGAAUAGAGUACUCAUGAUCCGGGGUUCGGGAGGAGGACUUGGGAUGAAUGUUGUGUUGGGUUUUGAGCAUUCUAACACUCCUAAGUGUACAUGCAACCCUAAAUACCUUAGAUCUAUGUUUUCUCUAUUAUACAUGCAAAUAAGAACUUCCAAGGUAUUAUCCUAAUCUAGCAUACAAAACAAUAACUAUAGCAAGAUAGAAUACAUACCUUUUUGGUGUAGAAAGUCUUCAUGAAGCUUGAGUGUCUAGUGCCCCAAGUGUGACACCUCAAAUGGAAUCACAAUCACCAAAACACUUAGAAUGACUUGAGAGAAUUAUACAACUCAUGAAAUCGGCUAGCCCUUUCACUUCACACACUAGUGGCCGAUUUUGGUCAAGAAUAAGAUGCUUAUAUAGUUAGGGUUACACCAUGUAAACCCUAAUUGACAUGGCCUUUCAUUUCCAUGAUCCAUGGGUACAAAUACACCAUGGAGCAUCCAUGGACCAUCCUAUGGGUUUUAGCCCAACUUGAUUAUCCAUGGAGCAUUAGCCCACUAUACAAGUAUGGAUGAUUUACACAAUCAACCCAUAUAUUUAAUUAGUCUUCUUUUGAUCACUUAAUUAAUCCUAGAUUAAUUCUUGAUCAAUACUAAUUAAAUAAUCUUAUUAUUCUUAUUAUUAAUAUACUAGAACUUAUAAUAUAUUAAUAACCAUAAGUGUCUUAUUUCUCUCAUUAUAGUCUAUCCAAGUGCAUGAUGGUAUGCAACCCAAAUGGACCAUGCCGGGUCGGGUCAAGUCUUACCAAUUAUAGUUAUGGACUUAGACAUUAAUCCAACAGUCUCCCACUUGGAUAAGUCUAAAACUAUUAUUGCGUAUGACUUCAGGAACCAACUGGCAAUCGUAGCUCUCAAAAGCUUCUGUCGAACUCUGACCUUGUAGAUGAACUCUGACCUUUGUCAGUGACUUGUCCAUUAGAUAAGGGAUCAUAUAUUCCUCCAUUCUAGAUAUCAUAUGGACUGAGACAUGGAUUAUAAUCAUUCUCUCUGUCCAUUUGUUGUUUCCCGAUUUCCGAUUUAUGACGACUGACUAAUUGAACAAAUCAAAUCAGUCCUGGCCCGGCCGAGCACUUCCAUUUGUCAUCAUCAAAUCAUCGAGGGGCCCACAGAUAUCGCUUUUAUCCCGAAGGUAAAAGGAAUGGAUAAACUUCGACUCAUAUGGCUUGUUCUACUACUUGUUGAAUCAUACACAAAGGCACGUUUUAUAGCACCGAGUUACCAAAUGCGUUUUCGUGCAAUCAAUGUACUAUCAACUCAUAGUAACAACUCAUAUCUCUAGGUUUGAAGAAUAUAAGAUAUUAUCGUCUCAUGAUCACUCGUGAUAAAAUCCAUGAAGUGAUUCCAAUGAGCGCGGGUUGAAUCCAAUACUCAGAACUUAUGAGCACUCAUGAGUGUUGUAGCCCUUUGUCCAACACCUUAGACCUCUACAAGCCAACCCAUGACAGUCUUAAUUCAUAUCUACUUCCAACAUAUGACCGACUGUGGAUGGUUUGAAUAACUUAGUCAUUCCGGAAGAAUAACCUAGUUUAUUCGGGAAGUCAAAACAUGCAAAGUGAAACACAAUAAUAAUUGAAUCCAAUAUGGUAUCAACCCUUUGAACAUAAAUAAAACACCUUUUAUUUAUCACCAUAUGAUUACACAUUAUUCAUUGUAUACUGUUUCAGCUAUCAACUUUAUUCUUGAAUUUAAAACAAUAGUUGUCCCAUGCUCCAAGCAUGUACACUAUGUUUUCUUAAACACUAGUCAUGCCACACACCAAGUAUGCAUACUAUGUUUGUCUAUGAUCUUUACUUUGUGAACUAGAUCAAUUGAACAUAACUUCAAUGAUUCUCUUUUCACACUCCCAAAUCCUUACUGCAAAUGCAAGAAUUCCAAAUUCAUGCCAUUUACUGAAAUCUGUUAGAUUCUAAACUUAUAUGCAUUGAUCCUCUUGUAAUGAUUAUGCACAAAGUCAGAAAGACUUGACAACAAUCAUUACAGAGUAUUCCAAAGGAGAUCAGCUCCUUGGAAACAUCCUUCUUGCAUUAAGUUUCCUAAUCUUAAACAGAUUGAAAAUUCUAACUUUGAAACAUUUCCAGAUUCCAUUUUGACUAUCACUUCUGAACAAGAGUUGCCUCCUUACAGAUUAUGUCAAUAUGGUCCUUCCAGAAUUAUCACUAUACUUCCAACUGUCCUUGAGCAACCAAUCUUUGGUAAACCUUAGAUUGUCCUCGACAAUUGUUUAAUCCUUUUAGUCAUAUCCAGUUCUAAACCUUUUCCCUUCUUAAUGCCCCAGGCAUUUGGAAAAUUUUAGAACGGAUGAAUAUAGCACAUGUAAUCGAUCCUAUAUCCGAAGCAUAUGGGACACGAUUCAUGAUGUCUCACAUAAAGACUAAACCAGUCUUUUGCUAUAACAUUUCCAUUUCAAUUUGCCAAGUUCUCAUAAUUCAGAUUAUGAAAAGGGAUGCCGUAAUCAUAAUCGAAUUUUAGAACGCAAAUAAUGGACCCAUAUACAGAAUUUCCUUAUGUUGAGCCAUUCCAACAUGAAAUUCAUAUAUAUCCUUGACUAAAUGAUUAAAACCUCACGAUCUAAGCUUAUAGAUUUGAGAUGAAGUAUAAUUUCCUCUCCCUUAAUUAUAGCAAAACAACUUUUUCCCAAUUGAAACUUUUGUUUUCUAUAAUUAACAUUGCUAACUUGCAAUACUUAUCAUAAUUAUCAUGCUCCCACUAACAUGAUGAUUAUUAGCAUAACACUUAUGCUCCCACUAGCUUUGACAUGUACUCAGAAAUCAGCUGGACUUCUAGAAAUCAAUACUUCAUUGACUUUCUUACCAAAGUUCAGAUUUCUGAUGCUAGAUUGUUUUGAUAAAACUUUAUCAAAAUCAUACACCUUCCCUUAGAUAGCACACUUGUGUAUCUAAACAAUUAUGAAGAGGGAUGCCGUAAUCAUAAUGUUUAGACCUUUUUGCCACUUCUCACAAGUCCAAGUUAGUGUGCCGGUUAACCACACGCGCUCCACUAACGACUUUGAGAAUGCAAAUAUCACAAUUGCUAUCUAGCUAAAAUCUACUUAGUGAAAGUGUUUCCUCACCAUCAUUUUCAUGAAUCGGAGAGAAACCUUAUGACACUUAGAUUUAAUGGUGUAUGUGUUCUUAUCCAUGUGAAUUGUCAAAAUCAUAGUCACAAGACAAGGAUAAUGACAAAUCCAAACUCAUAUGGACUGAACUCAAUCUUAAUUUCUUGCCACCUGGCAGCUCAAGGGCCUACCAUUGCUUCCAAGUUGUUGUGCAACAAAUUGAGAACUCUAAGAACUCAUAUGCAAAGCCAACUUUAACUGGAAUGGGCACAGAAUAUGUCAACACGAUAGGUUAUGAACCUCAAGUUGUGUGCUAGUGAAGAACUUUAGGUUUUAUUCUUGAUUAGUUCUUGAGACUUUCAAGACCUUUAAGACUCCCACUGUCCUCUUGACAUAUAAGACUCCCUUGUCAAACAUCCAAGAGAUAGUGCGGAUUCUAAUCAAGAAAAACACUUUACCCAAUUGGCCUAAGUUGGUCUUUGUUUUAUCCAAAACAUCACAACUUACCAAUUUCAAAUGUACAAGAGUAGAAAACUUUUACUCUUACAUUUGACAAGUGUUUUAAACCUUCUUUAAGACAUGUCACUCAAAUGACAAUCUUGGAGUAUGACUCUAAGACUUGUAUUGGAACGAAGUAUGACUCAUCUUCUUGAUUUAACCAUUUCAACAAUUCAAGUUCCUCUUCUUAGUCAUAAGAAUGCACUAAGAUUUCCUUAGAGAACUAAUUUUGAUAUGGUUUCUUAAUCAUUAAGAUGAUCACAAAACUGAUACUAAAGUACUCUCCCAUCUUUUCAGAUUUGAGAAACUUUUAUCCUUCUGCCUUAUUUGAUUCUUCUUAUUCGCCCUGCCAUACAUUGGAACCUUUUCCAAUGUCUCAGAGUUACACUUAAGCUUGUAAGUAUAAUCAUAUUUACUGAGCUUUAGUAAACUAUGACGAAUAGUCUUAUCAAUCUUUUGUGGUGGACUUAAUCAGUGCACAAGAAUGUGUACUCGAUCCCUUAGUCCUUUACUUGACUCACACAUCCAUGUGGCCGAGUAAUUAGUCUUAAUUUUCCAAAACUUGAAAGUUCUCAUUCAUCAUGCUAUACAACUUGCAUGAUUCCAAGUUCCGGUCCAAUUGAAACUUGGGUGAUGAGAAUCUUUCCUUAUUUGGUAAAUCUAGACAUUACCACAAAUGAAAGAAUCAAUUUCAUAUUUCCACUCUUGCUCUUAAUGGAAUCAUAUAAGCAACAAUUUUUCCUCAAAAGCCAUUGUAAGGAUAUUUUAAAAUAAAUAAAAUCAAAAAAAUUUUCUUUUAUUUUAAAACUUUGCGGAAAAACUUAUCCUUACAAUCCAUAUGAAAACUUGUUGUUAUCUAUUCCUAAGCAAUAUCUCAUAACUCCUAAGAAGUUGCUCAAGAAUCCGAUCUUCAAACUAUGCGAUAGAAAUCCAUCUACGCCAUCAGAUUCAGCAUAUUCUUUCUUUAAGUUUCUUCACUUUUCUUUGAUUCUUAAAACAUCACCAUGUGACCCAGUCACAUCAUGUAUCAGGAAUCUCAGAAUAGAAACUUAACAGAGUUAGAUAGUGGUCUUUACCUGAAGUAGAGUCAAACUUAUUGACUUUAACAUCCUUAGGUAAAUUUGGCAGCUUCGCAACCAAUGCCCCUUCCCUUGGCAAUAUAAACAUAUGGACCCUUUGAUAAUGGUACACGAGACUAUCACAGACUUAGCUUUUCUCUUUACCAUUUGGUCAACCGAGUUGACUAUGGCCGAUCCCUUUCCAUUGGGAAGAGAAUGCUUUACUGGAUAUCCAAUGUCAUCAUUGUCAAUGUCCAUAAAGUUUUAGGAAGUUGAUCUUAGCAAAUAGAUAAGAUCAUUAAGGGUCUUGUCAUAGUCUGUUUCAUAGGUGUCCCAAAGGAACUCACUAUGUGACUUAGAAAGUGAUUGAACCACCAACUUUCUCAAGACUUUGACACCCAACUCUCCCGGCUUGUCAAUAUGUGACUACAUCUCCAAGAUGUGAUCACACCUAGACCUUGCCUUGCCAAUAGGGCUUGAGUGACCUUAAACUUUUCAAGAACUUGUGGGUUAGGGAGAAUAAUUGGAGGAGGUGAAAGAAGUAUGAUUUCCAAAGGACAUCAUCUUCAUUUAGGAAACCUUGUUUCACUAGAUUUGGGAAGAUCAUAGGUGUCUAUUACAGACAUCUUUUGGGAGAUAUUCAAGAUAGUUGAUUUAAAGUCCUUAAUAUGACACCCAAUAUGAAAUAUUAAGGCUAGGACCCAACAAACUAUUUUAUAACUUAGAAGAGGUAUGCCGUAAUCCAAGCUAUAAAAUAUUUGAAGGUAGGUGAAUGACGAUUCACCAAUUUCCACCAAGAUAAACGAAAUGUAUUAUUAGGUUUUAAUUGGUUUUGAAACUCCUAGAUCUUUGAGAUUCAUUGAACUUUUCAAAGGCAUGUUUCAAUCUCGAGUGUGCCCUUCAGGUUUUGUGACUGGGAUGCCGAGGAUCACAAAACAAGGUGUGAAGUAACCAUGCAAAUCACUUGGUACCCUUAAUAAAUUACCCCUCAAUCGAUGUGCCGGUUAACCACACACGCUCCAUCGAUACUAUGAUAAAUAUUAAGUCACCCUUUACCUACCUUGUUAAGUCCAAGUUAGUGUGCCGGUUAACCACACACGCUCCACUAACGACUUAGACAAAGUGUAAAGUGUAAUUUCAUGGAUUAGCACCUUAUUCACAUUUUUCCUAAGUAACUAAGAUUGGGUAUUAUUAAGAGUUUAGUUACUUAGUAUUAUCAUUAAUACUUUUAAUGAAGGGAGAAUUCUAGUCCUGUCAAACCCGUUCGGCUAACGACCCUCCACCAGUCAAGCAAGCGGUGGGUGAGAGUGGACACCCAUUAAGUUGCCAUUUUAUAGGCAACAACCUUAUACCCACCUUAUAGACCGGCUUCGUGAAUGAGGCGUACUAGCGGUAAGACUGACUUUACUCUUAUACAUAUAUAUAUUAUUAACUUAUAAUAUUAUAAAGUAUAAGGGUUGAAUUUUAACUUUUAAAAUUCUAAGGGCUAACUUGGAAUUAAAGUAUUCAUAAGUGAAAACUUUACAAAUUCCAAAACUUGAGGGCAAGUUUUGAAACUAUUCAAAACUAAUUAAUUCCAUAACUUAUGUGUUUAAAGUAGUUUUAAUCCAAAAACUCUUCAAGUUCCAUAACUUGAGGACAAGUUAUGGAAGACUUUAAACUAAUAAAAGAAUUAACUUUUCUUUAUUUUAUAACUUAUGGAAUUAAUUAAGGUUACACUUUUUUUUUUUUUAUUUUAUUUUAUUAAAUGAAGAGACUCUUGGUCCUCCAUAACUUGAGGACAAGUUAUGGAGUCAUAAAACCAUUUAAUUAGAACUAGACUCUUCAUUUUUGUAACCUUUGCCAAUUUUUAUGAGUUUUAUGAUUCUUAAAUGUGACUUUUCAUAUAACUUGAGGACAAGUUACAAAAACACAUUUUAGAAUCAAUUCUUAGAUUAAUUUGGAUUAAAACCAACUAUCACAUAAUUUUAUUCAUUAAUCUAAAUUCACUCAUAAAACAAGGUAACACAAAAAACUUUUGGUGAUCCAUAACUUAUUCUUAAGUUAUGGAAUCCUUUAAAACAUUAACACCAAAUUUUGUAACUCCAAAAAAACUUUGAAUCAAUUUUUUUUUUAAAACCUUUUCAUAUCCAUAACUUAUGGAGGUUUCAAAAAAUAAAACUCUUUAGAUCAAACUUUUAAAACUAAUAAAAUAAUCAUAUUAUUUUAUCUUUUAUUAAAUUUGACCUAAUUCAACUCAUAAAGCAAAUUAUUCAAAUUUUACAAAUAAUUAGUUUUUCACAAGAACAAGUAAUUAUCUUAAAAUUUGACAAACUUCAUGUUUUUUUUUUUUUUUUUUUUCAACUUUGAAAAUAAAAUAUUUGCAUCAAUAUAACAGAAAACAACCCGUGGCUCUGAUACCACUGUUGGGUUUUGAGCAUUCUAACACUCCUAAGUCUACAUGCAACCCUAAAUACCUUGGAUCUAUGUUUUCUCUAUUAUACAUGCAAAUAAGAACUUCCAAGGUAUUAUCCUAAUCUAGCAUACAAAACAACAACUAUAGCAAGAUAGAAUACAUACCUCUUUGGUGUAGAAAGUCUUCAUGAAGCUUGAGUGCCUAGUGCCCCAAGUGUGACACCUCAAAUGGAAUCACAAUCAUCAAAACACUUAGNCUUGAGAGAAUUCUACAACUCAUGAAAUCGGCUAGCCCUUUCACUUCACACACUAGUGGCCGAUUUUGGUCAAGAAUAAGAUGCUUAUAUAGUUAGGGUUACACCAUGUAAACCCUAAUUGACAUGGCCUUUCAUUUCCAGGAUCCAUGGGUACAAAUACACCAUGGAGCAUCCAUGGACCAUCCUAUGGGUUUUAGCCCAACUUGAUUAUCCAUGGAGCAUUAGCCCACUAUACAAGUAUGGAUGAUUUACACAAUCAACCCAUAUAUUUAAUUAGUCUUCUUUUGAUCACUUAAUUAAUCCUAGAUUAAUUCUUGAUCAAUACUAAUUAAAUAACCUUAUUAUUCUUAUUAUUAAUAUACUAGAACUUAUAAUAUAUUAAUAACCAUAAGCGUCUUAUUUCUCUCAUUAUAGUCUAUCCAAGUGCAUGAUGGUAUGCAACCCAAAUGGACCAUGCCGGGUCGGGUCAAGUCUUACCAAUUAUAGUUAUGGACUUAGACAUUAAUCCAACAUGCUGAUGCGGUGUAGUCGAUAGUAUUGGGCUCGUACUACUGAAGACACCGGUUCAGUGGGCAACCCAAGUAAGAAUCCUUGGGUAUCGGAGACCGAGUAAGGUUGCGUUAUCGAGUGCAAUUAUGCUCGAUGGAGUCUCUGAUAUUUUUAUGUUGUAUUUCAGAGGCAUCAUGGUUGGGACGCGUCACAGAACUCAGACGAGCGGUGUGAGUGACGAGGAGCUUCGCCAGAUGAUCCACGAUGAGGUAGCUGCGGCAAUCCGGACCAAGAUUCCGAAGAUGUUCGGGUCUAUCAAGACCACGCUGCUGGAGACUUUUGAUGAGCGGUACGCCGCGGUAACUGAGGCUGUGGCUGCUGCCAGACCACAGGGAGGUGACUCAUUGUUGUUCUGGGAGUUCAACAACACGAAACCACCCGAGUUUGAUGGGACGCAGGAUCCGAUCGCUGCGAUGUGAUGGAUUGUUGAUAUUGAGGGAUGCUUCUACACUUUUUCAUGUCCAGAGCAUCUGAGGGUACGGUUCGCUUUGAACAAGCUCUGCCUGGGAGUAUAGGAUUGGUAGAAGUUCGUGACGGCGAACUUCACUCUUGCAGAGGUUUCAGCUGUGACUUGGGAUAGGUUUACUGCUAUGUUCAGAGACGAGUAUGUUCCCCCGGUGGAGAGGGAACAGUUGGUUCAGGAGUUCUUGGCCCUCAAGCAGGGUAAUGAUUCUGUUACGGUGAUCACUCGGAAGUUUCAUGAGAGGGCGAUGUUUUGCCCUGAGCAGGUGUCCACUGAGCAGGCUCGGAUGAGCCGAUAUUUUGGUGUACUGAGGAGGGAUAUCCGGGAGUUCGUAUCAAACUCGUCAUACGAGACCUUUGCUGAACUCCAGGCGAAUGCCAGGAAGAGAGAGAUCGAGUUGGAGACCUAGGCCAGGGAGGAGGCCGAGUCUCAGCGGGUGGAUCGGCGGCCGGCUCAGUCCCAGCCGGCAACCAAGCGGACCAAGUCCNNNNNNNNNNNNNNNNNNNNNNNNNNNNNNNNNNNNNNNNNNNNNNNNNNNNNNNNNNNNNNNNNNNNNNNNNNNNNNNNNNNNNNNNNNNNNNNNNNNNNNNNNNNNNNNNNNNNNNNNNNNNNNNNNNNNNNNNNNNNNNNNNNNNNNNNNNNNNNNNNNNNNNNNNNNNNNNNNNNNNNNNNNNNNNNNNNNNNNNNNNNNNNNNNNNNNNNNNNNNNNNUUACCGAGACUCGGCCGGUGAAAGCCGAGGCUCCGAAGGCUCGUGGGAGAGCUUUUCAGUUGACUGCAGAGGAGGUCCGCGCGGCGCCCGAUGUCAUAGCUGGUAUGUAUUCUUUCGUGUAUUUACUUUUAUGCUAAGAUAUUGUGCUUAUAUUAUGAUAUGUGUACGUACUUUUCUUGUAAAUUUUGUACCUGCCUUGGUAUUAUUUGACUCGGGUGCGAGUCGGUCUUUUGUAUCUUUGGCUUUUAGCCAGCACAUCGAUAUUGAUCGGGGGUGAUGAGUCGACCCCUGCGGGUUUCUAUAGCAGAUUAGAGAGCGGUAUACGCCACUGACGUGAUUCGAGGAUGUGUGCUCGAGAUUUUUGGAGUCAAAUUCCCUAUAGACUUGGUUCCUAUAGCGAUAGGGGAUGUCUGCGUCAUCGUGGGCAUGGACUGGUUGAGUAAGUUUGGGGAAGUCAUUGAUUGCGAGAGACAGCUAGUGACUAUACGAGACCCUAGUGGGGGAGUGCUUACUAUGUAGGGCGAGGGGACCCAGUGUGGGUCAGCUUUUUGUUCGGCUGCCAGGGCGAGACAGAGUUUGCAGCAGGGAUGUAGUGGAUUCAUAGCCUAUGCGUUCGGAUGUGUUCCCCGAAGAAUUACCAGGUGUGCCUCCAGAAAGGCAAGUGGAGUUCCGUAUCGAUUUGGUUCCGAGAGCGGCGCCCAUCGCCAAGGCGCCUUAUCGUCUCGCUCCACCAGAAAUGCAGGAGUUAUCCUCGCAGCUCCAGGAGCUGCCGGGAAAAGGGUUUAUUCGGCCAAGUAGCUCAUCUUGGGGCGCGCCGAUUCUAUUUGUCAAGAAAAAGGAUUGUUCGCACCGGAUGUGUAUCGAUUACAGGAGUUGAACAAGUUGACGGUUAAAAACCGAUAUCCGUUACCUAGGAUCGAGGAUCUAUUCGAUCAGUUGCAGGGGGCAUCAUGGUUCUCCAAGAUAGACUUGUGGUCGGGUUAUCAUCAAAUGAGGGUUUCGGUAUGAGGAUAUCCAGAAGACUGCAUUCAGAACUCGUUAUGGACAUUACGAGUUUGUGGUGAUGCCUUUUGGGCUCACCAAUGCCCCGGCUGCAUUCAUGGAUCUUAUGAAUAGGGUGUGCAGGCUGAUGUUGGAUCGAUCGGUGAUCGUAUUCAUUGAUGAUAUUUUGGUAUAUUCGAGGUCUAGGGAGCAGCAUGAGGAACACUUGAGGGAAAUUCUUGGAGUAUUGAGAUCGGAGAGGUUGUAUGCAAAAUUCUCCAAGUGUGAUUUCUGGUUACGAGAGGUCUAGUUCCUAGGGCACCUUGUUAACCAGAAAGGGAUAUUGGACGAUCCGGCCAAGAUUAAGGCGGUGAUGAGAUAGGAAGUGCCGAAAUCGCCCACUGAGAUUAGGAUAUUUCUGGGAUUGGCCGGCUAUUAUCGAAGGUUCAUCAAGGCUUUCUCGAAGAUUGCCGUGCCACUUACUAGGAUGACCCGGAAGGGUGUUGCAUUUUCAUGGGGACCGGAGCACCAGUCCUCAUUCGAGACCCUUUGUCAGAAAUGGUGCGAGGCCCCUGUGCUUGCACUCCCGGAUGGGAUGGAUGAUUUUGUGGUAUACUGUGAUGCAUCUAUAUCUGGAUUAGGGGCGGUCCUUAUGCAGAGGGGACACGUUAUAGCAUAUGCUUCGAGGCAGCUGAAGCCUCAUGAGUCGAGAUAUCCCACCCACCACCUGGAAUUGGGGGCUGUGGUGUUUGCCCUCAAGAUCUGGCGGCACUAUCUGAUGGGUUUUGAGCAUUCUAACACUUCCUAAGUGUACAUGCAACCCUAAUAACCUUGGAUCUAUGUUUGUCUAAUUAUCAUGCAAAGUUGAAUUCCAAGGUUAUAUUCCUAUCUAGCAUACAUGGGGAACAAUUUUAACUUGAAUCAUAGAUAGAAUAACUUACCUUGUUGUUGCUUGUGUUCCUUGAAACCUUGUGAGCCUAGCACCCCAAGUGUGAUGCCUCAAAUGCUUCACACAACACCAAAUGCUCUUGGAAAGACUCUUGAGAUAACACACUUCACAAAAAUCGGCCAAGCCCUCUUGUUUCCUUAGUAGUAGUGCCGAUUUUGGUGGAGAAUAUGCUUCUUAUAUAGUGUUGACACAUCUAGGGUUACACCAUGUAAACCCUAAUGUGUCAUGACUCUUCAUUUCCAUGACCCAUGGGUUUGUAACUCCCAUGGAGCAUCCAUGGAGCAUCCUAUGGGUAGAACCCAACUUGAUAAUCCAUGGAGCCUCUUAGCCCACUAUACAAGAUAUGGAUGAUUUACAUAAUCAACCCAUAUAUUUAAUUAGUUAUCCUUUGAUCACUUAAUUAAUUCCAAAUUAAUUCUUUGAUCAACUAAUCAAAUAAUAUUAUUAAUAUAUUAGAACUUAUAAUAUAUUAAUAAUCUCCAAGUGUUAUUUCUCUCAUUUAGUCUAUCCAAUUGCAUGGUGCCAUGCAACCCAAAUGGACCAUGCCGGGUCGGGUCAAGUACAAGCCCGAAAUAGUUAUGGACUUAGACACCUUAUCCAACAGUCUCCCACUUGGAUAAGUCUAAUAACUAUAUCUCUAGUACUUCAGGAACCGACCGGCAAUCGUAGCUCUUUCAAGGUCUCUCGGAACUGAGAAGAUGAUGGUACGCCAUUUAAGAUAAGUGAUCAUAUAAUCCUCCGUUCUAGAUAUCAGCCGGACAAAUACAUGGAACAUUGUCUUGCUUAUUGUCCAGCAUUUGUUUCCCGAUUUCCGAUUUGUUUGACAUAGAACUUAAUUGAACACAUCAACUUAGUUCUGACCGGGCCCGGUACAUGGGUCAAAACAAAAUCAUCGAGGGGCCCAGAUAUCAGCUUCUAAUCCAAGAAGGAACAGAUAAACUUCGACUCAUAUGUUUGUUCUACCACUCAUUGAAUUACACACAAAAGUACGUUUUAUAACAUCGAGUUACCAAUGCGGUUUCGUACAGUCAAUGCAUAACCAACUUGUAAGUAACAAAUCAUAUCUCUAGGUUUGAAGACUUAUAUGAUAUUACCGUCUCACGAUCACUCGAGAUAGAAUUCCAUGAAGUGAUUCCAGUGAGCGUGGGUUGAGUCCAAUGCUCAGAACUUAUGAGCACUCAUGAUUGUUGUAGCCUUGUCCAACACCUUAGACCUCUACAACCCAUCAUGACAGUCUUGAUUCAUACCUACUUCCGACAUAUGACCGACUGUGGAGGUUUGAAUAAUAUGUUACACCAAACAAAAUUAUUCUGGAAGUCAAAACAUGCAAAAGAAAUAUAGUAAACGAUUGACAAGAGAUAGCAACACUUUACUCAUAAAUAAAACACCUUUUAUUCAUCAUCAAAUGUCAAUUACACUUUACAAAUUUCUGGGUUAUCUAACUACUAAAACUUAUAUCAUCCUUCAGCCCUAUGCUCCGAGCAUGCUGGAGAUGCUUAACCCUACUCAGUCCCUUCGUGAGGGGAUCUGCUGGGUUCUCAUCCGAUGAUACCCUCUUUGCCACGAGGAGUCCUUCUUCGAUCCGAUGUCUAAUGAAAUGGUAUUUUCUGUCGAUGUGUCUGGAUCUCCCAUGAUCCCUUGGUUCCUUGGCUAAGGCAACAGCACUUUCACUAUCACAGAAAAUUUCCAUUGGCUCUUUAAUAGCUGGUACAACUCCAAGGUCUCCAAUGAAGUUCUUCAGCCAUAUCGCCUCCUUUGCUGCUUCGCUAGCUGCAAUAUACUCUGAUUCACAAGUAGAAUCUGCCACUGUCUCUUGCUUGGAACUCUUCCAAGAAAUUGCUCCUCCGUUUAGGGUAAAGACCCAGCCCGACUGAGAGCGGAAAUUAUCCCUAUCAGUCUGGAAGCUAGCAUCACUAUACCCUACAACUCUCAAGUCAUCACUCCCACCGAGGGUAAGGACCCAGUCCUUAGUCCUCCGUAGGUACUUGAGGAUAUUCUUUACCGCAGUCCAGUGUGCCUUGCCAGGGUUCGCCUGAUACCUGCUAACCAUGCUCAAGGCAAAAGCUACAUCGGGUCGAGUACACGUCAUAGCAUACAUGAUCGAUCCUACAGCCGAAGCGUAAGGUGUUCGACUCAUUUCUGCUAUCUCAGCCUCAGUGCUAGGGCUUUGUGUCUUACUCAAUCUGGUGUUACUCUGGAUGGGUAACUCUCCUUUCUUGGAAUCCUGCAUGCUGAAUCUCUUCAGCACCUUAUCCAAGUAGGUACUCUGACUAAGUCCAAUUAGUCUUUUACUCCGAUCUCUCAAGAUUCUUAUCCCUAGAAUAUAGGCAGCUUCACCAAGGUCCUUCAUAGCGAAACACUUCCCAAGCCAGGACUUUACUUCCUGCAGGGUUGGAAUGUCGUUUCCUAUGAGUAGUAUGUCAUCCACAUACAAUACCAAAAAGCUAACUAUACUCCCACUAGCCUUGACAUACACACAAGAUUCAUCUUCACUCCUAGAAAAGCCAAAUUCCUUGACCUUUUCAUCAAAGCAAAGAUUCCAUCUGCGAGGUGCUUGCUUCAAUCCAUAAAUGGAUUUCUCAAGCUUACACACUCUAUUAGGGUACUCGUUGCUGACAAAACCCUCUGGCUGACUCAUGUAAACAUCUUCAGCCAACUUUCCAUUAAGGAAAGCGGUUUUGACAUCCAUCUGCCAUAUUUCAUAGUCAUGAAAUGCAGCUAUGGCUAACAGAACCCGAAUAGACUUAAUCUUGGCUACCGGAGAAAAGGUCUCAUCAUAAUCCACUCCAGGAAUUUGAGAGAAGCCCUUUGCAACCAGUCUAGCCUUAUAAGUGUGUACUUUACCAUCCAUGUCGGUCUUCUUCUUGAAGACCCAUUUGCACCCUACUGUCUUACGACCUGGUACAUUUUCAACCAAGUUCCAAACUUGAUUGUCAUACAUGGAUUGUAUCUCGCUAUCCAUAGCCUCUUUCCAUUUAGCAGACUCGGGGCCUGCCAUGGCUUCCUCGUAGCUGUUAGGGUCAUCUUGACUUACUAGUGUCUCAUCACUAAUAAGUGUCUCACCUUCUGCAGUAAUAUGGAAUCCAUAGUAAUGCUCAGGUGCACUCCUAACUCUCGUGGAACGUCUCAGAGGUACAGAUUUGUCAAUUGGCUCAACAGGAGUUUCCUCCUCAAGUUGAGGGCUAGAGUUUGAAGUUCCUUCACCGCUUGAUUCUUGAAUUUCUUCAAGAUCAAUUUGCCUCCCACUGUCUCCUUGGCUUAUAAACUCUCUUUCUCGAAAGACUCCUCUUCUUGCUACAAAGACCACAUUGUCACUAGGUCUGUAGAAGAGGUAACCAAAGGAUCGCUGUGGGUAACCGAUGAAAAUACACCUCUCGCUUCGAGGUUCGAGCUUAUCAUGAGUCUCGCGUCUCACGAAAGCCUCGCAACCCCAAAUCUUGAUGUGGUCUAGUUUAGGUACUUUACCAGUCCACAUCUCGUGAGGAGUUUUGGCAACUUUCUUUGUAGGGACUAGAUUAAGAAUAUGGGCGGCAGUCUCUAAGGCAUACCCCCAGAAUGAGAUUGGUAGCGUAGCUCGACUCAUCAUGGAACGAACCAUAUCUAACAAGGUUCGAUUACGCCUCUCAGCCACACCAUUCAACUGUGGUGUCCUGGGAGGUGUCAAUUGUGAGACUAUCCCACAUUCCCUUAGAUAGUCGAGGAACUCUGAACUAAGAUACUCACCACCACGAUCGGAUCGAAGCAUCUUAAUGUUCCUGCCCAAUUGAUUCUCGACUUCCUGUUUAAAUUCCUUAAACCUCUCGAAAGUCUCUGACUUAUGCUUGAUCAAGUAGACAUAUCCAUAUCUACUAUAAUCAUCAGUAAAAGUCAAAUAAUAACGAUUAGCAUCCCUUGUGGCAUGUUUGAAUGGUCCACACACAUCCGUGUGUAUAAGGUCCAACAAACCUUCACCCCUCUCACACGAACCUGUGAAGGGUGACUUUGUCAUUUUUCCAAGUAAGCAUGAUUCGCAACUAUCAUCUGACUUUAGGUCAAACGACUCCAAGACUCCAUCCUUUUGGAGUUGGCCUAUGCGUUUCUUGCUUAUAUGUCCAAGACGACAAUGCCAUAAAGAUGCUUUAUCCAAGUUAUUAUUAGUAGAAUCAAUACACAAAACAUUAUUUCCCAAGUUAUCUACAACAGAUACAGCUUCAUACACACCAUCACAAGGUAAUGCUUUAAAAUAAAAGACAUUAUUAUAGAAAACAUCUAUAGAACCAACUUCAUUAUUAAAUGAAAAGGUAAACCCUUGUUUGUACAAAGCAUGAAAGGAAAUAAUAUUUCUUGCCAUUCCUGGCGAAUAACAACACUUAUUCAAAUCUAAACUAAACCCACUACUUAGCGAUAAAGUAUAAACUCCAAUCUUGGUAACAGGUAUAGCUUUCCUAUUCCCCAUGAUCAAGUUUAUCCUUCCUUGCUCCACAUCCUCACUUCUUCUUAGUCCCUGCAAGUCACAACAAAUGUGAAUACCACACCCGGUAUCAAGGACCCAAGAAUUAGAAUGGGGUGAGUUAUUAGAAAUGAUAGUGUAAAUACCUGCAUGGUUGGGUUUAACUUUCCCAUCCUUCACAUCUUGCUGGUAUUUUGGGCAGUUCCGCUUCCAAUGAGCUUUUUCAUGGCAAUAGAAGCAUUCAGCCUCUUUUGGGUCAGAAGAAGGAGUAAUGAAACCUUUCUUGGUUCCACUUGAAGAAGAGCCAUCAAGGGUCCGAACCUUGGUACCCUUAGAAGAGCUCUUUCUCUUCCUCCCUCGACUUUUCCCGAUUGCCAAAACCGGAGUAGAGUUUUGAGUAGGAGUGAUAGCAACCGACUUCCCCUUAAGACCUGAUUCUGCGGUCUUGAGAAGUCCCUGAAGUUUGCUGAGGGUGACUUCUUCCUUGUUCAUGUGAUAUGUCAUGCGGAAUUGAUCAUAGCACGAUGGUAAGGAAUGCAAAAUAAUAUCUAUUGCAAGAUCCUCCGGGAAGUUCACAUUAAGCUUCAGCAAACGAUCCACAUACCUUUGCAUUUUCUGCAUGUGGCUCGUGACGGAUUCCCCGUCCUUCAUCAUGGUUGUUAUCAUGGAGCAGAUGAUUUCAUACCUCUCUUGUCUUGCACUUUGAUGGUAUCUUUCCAUCAAAUCUUGGUGCAUUUCAUAAGGGUAGAAAUCCUCAUAAGACUUUUGGAGUUCCGCUGUCAUCGUGGCCAUCAUGAUGCAAGCCACUUUCGUAGCAUCCCUUUCAUGUGCCCGAAAUUCAGCGAUCUCCUGAGGAGUUGCAGUGGACUCAUCAAUCUCCUUAAGCUCCUUGUCAAGGACAUAUUCUUUGUCCUCGUAGCGGGUAAUCAUCCUGAUGUUUCUGAUCCACUCAUUGAAGUUGGAUCCAUCAAAGGUGACUUUCCCACACAAGUUCAUAAGGGUAAAGGAGCCAUUAGGAUUAGAGCCAGAAGCAUUGUUGAAAGACAUCUGAAGGAAAGAGGACAAGAUUAGUUUAGAUAUAAGAGAGUCCUUAAUAAAACACCCAAAUGUAAUAUUAAGGCUAGGAUCCAAUCACAAUAUAAUAUAACUUAGAAGAGGUAUGCCGUAAUCUAAGCUAUAUCAUAUUUGAAAGGUAGGUGAAUGACGAUUCACCAAUUUCCACCACGAAAACCGCAAUAUUUUAGUAUUAGGUUUUUGAAUGGUUCUUAGAAAUUCCUAGAUUCUUUGAGAUUCAAUGAACUUUUCAAAGGCAUGUUUCAAUCUCGAGUGUGCCCUCCAAGUUUUGUGACUGGGAUACCGAGGAUCACAAAACGAGGUGUGAAGUAACCAUGCAAAUCACUUGGUACCCUUAAAGUUUAUCACUCAAUCGAUGUGCCGGUUAACCACACACGCUCCAUCGAUACUAUAAUAAACCCUAAGUCACCCUUUACCUACCUUGUUAAGUCCAAGUUAGUGUGCCGGUUAACCACACACGCUCCACCAACGACUUAAUCAAAGUGUAAAGUGUAAUUUCAUGGAAUAGCACCUUAUUCACAUUUUUCCUAAAGUAACUAAGAUUGGGAAUUUAAUAAAACAUUUAGUUACUUUAUAAUAUUCAUCAUACUUUGAAUGAGAAUUAAUAAGUCCUUGUCUUACCCGUUCGGCUAACGACCCUCCACCGAUCAAGCAAGCGGUGGGUGAGAGUGGACACCCAUUAAGUCACCAUUUUAUAGGCAACAACCUUAUACCCACCUUAUAGACCGGCUUCGUGAAUGAGGCGUACUAGCGGUAAGACGACUUUGUUCUUAUACAUAUAUAUAUAAUUAUUAAAUCAUAAUAAUAUAAGUAUAAGGGUUGAAUUUUAACUUUUAAAAUUCUAGGGGUUGGAACUAAAGUUUUAACUUAACUUUACUUGUUCCAAAACUUGAGGGCAAGUUUUGUAAACUUUCAAAACUUUUCAUUUCUUGUAACUUAUGAGUUUAAUAGAGUAAUAAAAUGAGGACUUUUCAUUUUUCCUAACUCUUGUGUUCUUUUAAUGUUUUUUAAUCCAAGAGACUUUUGGUUUUCCAUAACUUGAGGACAAGUUAUGGACUCCAUUAAAACACAUUAUGAUCAUGAAUUAAUCUACCACAUAGGUUACAAAUAAUUCCUAUGAUCAUCUAAACAUCAUAAGAACAAGAAUAUGAAUAUGAACACUUUCAAGAAUCAAAAUCACAUUUAAUCUUUGUAAUUUUGAUAACUAGUUGUUGUAAAUGAGUUAGAAAAGACAUUACACCUUCUAAAAUAAGUUUUCAAGUACCAAAACAUUUUAGGGUAAUGAUUCUAAUCCAUUUCCAGCAACACAAGUCGAAAUUCUGCACUCUGUCGACCCUACUCGCCGAGUGCAUAAACCUACUCGCCGAGUAGGUUGAAGAUACACAUGAACUCGUCGAGUCCUCCCCAUGGACUCGCCGAGUCCAUCAGUCAGACAGCAAGAUUUUCGACUUUCUUCAACUUUUAAGCACAAAUAACAAACAAACAAGCCUAGGCUCUGAUACCACUGAUGGGUUUUGAGCAUUCUAACACUUCCUAAGUGUACAUGCAACCCUAAUAACCUUGGAUCUAUGUUUGUCUAAUUAUCAUGCAAAGUUGAAUUCCAAGGUUAUAUUCCUAUCUAGCAUACAUGGGGAACAAUUUUAACUUGAAUCAUAGAUAGAAUAACUUACCUUGUUGUUGCUUGUGUUCCUUGAAACCUUGUGAGCCUAGCACCCCAAGUGUGAUGCCUCAAAUGCUUCACACAACACCAAAUGCUCUUGGAAAGACUCUUGAGAUAACACACUUCACAAAAAUCGGCCAAGCCCUCUUGUUUCCUUAGUAGUAGUGCCGAUUUUGGUGGAGAAUAUGCUUCUUAUAUAGUGUUGACACAUCUAGGGUUACACCAUGUAAACCCUAAUGUGUCAUGACUCUUCAUUUCCAUGACCCAUGGGUUUGUAACUCCCAUGGAGCAUCCAUGGAGCAUCCUAUGGGUAGAACCCAACUUGAUAAUCCAUGGAGCCUCUUAGCCCACUAUACAAGAUAUGGAUGAUUUACACAAUCAACCCAUAUAUUUAAUUAGUUAUCCUUUGAUCACUUAAUUAAUUCCAAAUUAAUUCUUUGAUCAACUAAUCAAAUAAUAUUAUUAAUAUAUUAGAACUUAUAAUAUAUUAAUAAUCUCCACGUGUUAUUUCUCUCAUUUAGUCUAUCCAAUUGCAUGGUGCCAUGCAACCCAAAUGGACCAUGCCGGGUCGGGUCAAGUACAAGCCCGAAAUAGUUAUGGACUUAGACACCUUAUCCAACACUAUCUUUAUGGGGUUCGGUGUACCAUAUACACGGACCACAAGAGUCUGAAGUACUUGAUGGAUCAGCCAAAUUUGAAUAUGCGAUAGAGGAGGUGGUUGGAUGUGGUGAAGGAUUAUGAUUGUGAGAUCCUGUGCCACCCGGGCAAGGCGAAUGUAGUAGCCGAUGCAUUGAGCCGUAGGGCGGAAAGCGCCCCGAUUCGAGACAUUUGUAUGAGGUUGACGGUGAUGAGAGACCAGUGGCAAUUAGGGAUCAAAAGGUUAAGGUUCUGAGGAACAAGGAAAUACCCUUGGUGCAAGUGCAGUGGUAGCAUCGGAGGGGGUCCGAGCUGACAUGGGAGUCCGAGGCUGAGAUGCAGGAUCAGUAUCCGGAGUUAUUUUCGGUAUCAGACUUCGGGGGUGAAGUCUGGUUCUAGUGGGGGAGAAUUGUAACAGCCCAAAACCCAGGUACCCUUCUAUUUAGCCCUUCAUCUUUGUUAUGUUUCCAUUUAGGGUUUGCAUGUUAGGCGAGUACGCUGGGCGUACAAGGAGUACGCUGCGCGUACUCACACGCUUCAUUUGGACGCGUUCACCAUCAGGUAUGCUGGGCGUACCCAAGGUUACGCGGGGCGCAACCGGUCCAGACCUAAAAACCCUAAUUCAUUCGGAGGGCUAUAAAAGGAAUGUGUGGCUCGACUUCUUAGCCACCAUCCCUCAGAGAGAAACCCUAAUGACAGUGUGUAUCCGUUCUUGGGCCAUUUGUGAGUAUUCUAAGCUUGGUGGUGCUAUUUCAAGGUAGCAAAGGAGAAGAAGAACUCAUUGCGAAGGAUAGAAGUGGUGUUCAAGUGUAGAUCUGAGCUUUGCAACGGUUGAAGCUGAUGGGUUUUGGCUUCUAAUUAAACAUGCUUGUAUAAAAGACUUUAUAAUGACUAAUUAGGUAUAUAACAACACAAAAACCAGAUCUAGAAACAUACCUUUGAUUCUCUUGUUUGUUCUUGUUGUCUUGGAGCUCUAGAGUCACAAUUGUCACUCCUCUAAUGGCUUACAAACACCAACUAGCAAGAGGAUGAUUUGGGAGAGAGAGGAAGAGUAUGAAAUCGGCCAGAGUAUCCUUGCUUAAGAUGGGUGCCGAUUUCAUGAGCCUAGAGGGUCUAUUUAUACUUGUAAGGCUCCUAGGGUUUCACCUUAAACCCUAAUUGGAUAACCUAGAGUCCAAGUUAAUCCAUAUCCUUUCCUUAGAUAACCCCUUGGACGAUUUUGAGCUAUCCUAGGCUCACAAAUCCGUCGAAUCCUUUAUCUAUAAGGAUAUAUAGCCUAAAGUGUAACUAUCAAACAAUUGACAGUUAAUACCCUCAUAUUUAAUUAAUUCCUUUAAGUCACCAAAUUAAUACUAAUUAAUCUAUGACUUAUAUUAAUUAAAUAACUAUAUUAUUAAUCCUUAUAUUAUCUCCAUAAUAUAUUAAUAAUAUAUAUUCUCUCUUAAUAAAUCAUCAUAUCAAGUUGCUAUGGUGAAGGCAACCUAAAAGGACCAUGCACAAUCGGGUCAAGUACUUGCCUAAUAUAGUUGCAGUCUUAGACACUAUUCCAACAGUCUCCCACUUGGAUAAGUCUAGUAACUAUAUGAGCUAGUACAAUUCGAUUUGCGAUCGUAGCUCUCAAAGACGCUGUCAAAAUCUUAUCUAAUCAAUCUUUUCCUUUAGAUAUGGGAUCGUACAGUCCUCUGUUAGAUAUCAUGCUGACAAUUCUAUGGAAUGAUUAGUCAAGCAUUUAGGUUUCUUGAUCUCCGAUUUAUUUGAUAAUCAACUAUACACAACAAUGUGUUUUAUAACAUUGAGUUACCAAUGCGUUUUCGCAUUAUCAAUGUACAAUUAAUUAGCAAAUAAUAAACCAUAUAUCUAGGUUUUAAAAAUAUAUGAUAUUAUCGUCUUGCGAUCACCCUUUUAUAUCAUAUUCCAUAAGGUGAUUCCAGCAAGCGCGGGUUUGUUCCAAUGCUCAAAACUAGUUCAUAAGCACUCAUGAACGUUGCAGCAACCCUUUGCUAUGUCUAACACCAUUUAGACAAUCUACACACCAAUUCAUGACAAUCUUCAUUCAUAUCUACUUCCAACAUAUGAACGAUUGUGGACAAUUUGAACAAUUCGAUUAUUCCUAAUAAACUCAAUUAUUCUGGAAGUCAAAACAUGCAAAGUGAAACAAUAGCUAAACAAUUAACAUAAGAUAGUAACAUUACUCAUAAAUAAAACUCCUUUAUUUAAUCAUCAAAUGUUAAUUACAUUUAUCUAUUACACGUUUCUAAUACUAUCUAAUCUAUGCUAAUAUCAUCCUUCAGCCCAAUACUCCUAGCAUGCUGCAAGUGCUUAACCCUACUCAGUCCCUUCGUAAGCGGAUCUGCUGGGUUAUCUUCUGAUGAUAUCCUCUUCACUACGAGUUGUCCUUCUUCUACACGAUGUCUAAUGAAGUGAUAUUUUCUGUCGAUAUGUCUUGAUCUACCAUGAUCCCUCGGUUCCUUGGUCAAGGCAACCGCUCCUUCGUUAUCACAGAAAAUCUCCAUGGGCUCCUUUAUGGCAGGUACAACUCCAAGAUCACCGAUGAAGUUCUUUAGCCAUAUUGCCUCCUUCGACGCUUCGCUCGCUGCAAUGUACUCUGAUUCGCACGUUGAAUCAGCUACGGUUUCCUGCUUGGAACUCUUCCAUGUCACUGCUCCUCCAUUUAGGGUAAAGACCCAGCCCGACUGCGAACGGUAGUUGUCCCUGUCGGUCUGAAAACUGGCGUCACUAUACCCUCGCACCUUCAAGUCAUCACUCCCUCCGAGGACUAAGAACCAUUCCUUCGUCCUCCGAAGGUACUUAAGGAUAUUCUUCACCGCAAUCCAAUGUGCUUUGCCAGGAUUCCCUUGAUAUCUGCUAACCAUGCUCAAAGCGAAGGCUACAUCAGGGCGAGUACAAGUCAUAGCGUACAUGAUUGAGCCAACUGCGGAAGCGUAUGGUACUCGGCUCAUUUCUGCUAUCUCAGCUUCGGUACUCGGACUUUGAGUCUUACUCAAUUUGGCAUUACUUUGUAUCGGUAGUUCUCCCUUCUUUGAGUUUUCCAUACUAAAACGUUUUAGUACCUUCUCUAAGUAAGUAUUCUGACUAAGUCCAAUUAGUCUCUUACUUCUUUCUCUUACUAUCCUUAUUCCCAAAAUGUAAGAAGCCUCUCCGAGGUCCUUCAUAGCGAAGCACUUCCCGAGCCAGGACUUAACCUCCUGCAGAGUCGGGAUGUCGUUUCCUAUGAGUAAUAUGUCAUCGACAUAUAGAACGAGGAAGCUUACUAUACUCCCACUGGCUUUGACAUAUACACAAGAUUCGUCUUCGCUUCGUACAAAUCCAAACUCUUUGACUUUCUCAUCGAAGCAAAGAUUCCAUCUGCGAGACGCUUGCUUAAGUCCAUAAAUGGACUUCUCAAGCUUACACACUCUAUUCGGAUGCUUCGGAUCCACAAACCCCUCUGGCUGAGCCAUGUAAACAUCCUCAGCCAACUUUCCGUUAAGGAAAGCGGUCUUGACAUCCAUUUGCCAAAUCUCAUAAUCAUGAAAUGCGGCAAUUGCUAGCAUCACUCUAAUAGAUUUAAUCUUCACAACUGGUGAGAAGGUCUCAUCAUAGUCAACUCCGGGAGUUUGAGUAAAGCCCUUCGCAACCAAUCGCGCUUUAUAUGUGUGUACGUUUCCAUCCACGUCGGUCUUCUUCUUGAAGAUCCAUUUGCACCCAACGGUCUUACGUCCGGGCACAUGAUCAACCAAAUUCCAAACUUGGUUAUCAUACAUGGAUUGGAUCUCGCUAUCCAUUGCCUCUUUCCAUUUCGCAGACUCCGGGCCUGCCAUGGCUUCCUUAUAGCUAUUAGGUUCAUCAAGAUUUACUAGUGUACCAUCACUAAUAUACGUGUCCCCUUCGGUAGUAAUAUGAAAACCAUAAAACUGGGGUAGAACUCUAACUCUAUCGGAACGUCUAAGAGGUAAGGACUCGUCAAUCGGUUCAACCGGAGUUUCCUCCUCGGGUUGAGUGCCAGCGGUAGAGGUUCCUUCAUCUAUCGACUCUUGAAUCUCGUCAAGCUCGAUUUUCCUCCCACUGUCCUCUUGGCCUAUGAGUUCUCGCUCUCGAAAAACUCCUCUGCUCGCAACAAAGACUACAUUGUCCUUCGGUCUAUAGAAGAGAUAUCCAAAGGAUUUCUGCGGGUAGCCGACGAAAAUACAUCGCUCACUUCGAGGUUCGAGUUUGUCAUGAGUAUCUCGUCUUACGAAAGCCUCGCAACCCCAAACCUUGAUAUGUGCCGACGAAAGAGCUUUCCCCGUCCACAUCUCGUGAGGUGUUUUGCCAACCUUCUUAGUAGGGACUCGGUUAAGGAUAUGGGCGGCAGUCUCUAAGGCAUACCCCCAAAAAGAGAUUGAUAGUGAAGCACAGCUCAUUAUAGAGCGAACCAUAUCCAAUAGUGUUCGAUUACGCCUUUCUGCCACACCAUUCAAUUGUGGUGUCCUAGGUGGCGUCAAUUGCAAAGCUAUUCCACACUCCUUGAGAUAUUCGUGGAAUUCAAGACUUAGGUAUUCUCCUCCUCGAUCGGAUCGAAGCAUCUUGAUCUUCCUACCCAAUUGAUUCUCC